Molecule: long non-coding RNA, 421684 nt
Filed under: Citrus x clementina
Lineage: Eukaryota; Viridiplantae; Streptophyta; Magnoliopsida; Sapindales; Rutaceae
Description: Citrus clementina (C. clementina) long non-coding RNA (CCLE_LNC004281)
Rfam family: tRNA (bases 396206-396279)
Source: RNAcentral
CACGGCCAGUCGAAACGAGGGUGGUCAACCGUUUACUUGCUUGGUUUACCCUCAACUCCUUAUUUGGGCUGCUGAAGUGGCGCGUGCGUAUCACCUCCCUUCGGCGCUACUCUGGCUUCAACCAGUCCUCGUUUUCGACGUUUAUUACUAUUACUUCUAUGGAUAUGGCGAUCUAAUUGAAGGAAAGGUUAAUGAUUUGAUAGAGUUACCGGGACUGCCGCCACUCACCGGCCGUGAUCUUCCUUCUUUCCUAGAUCCCAGAAAUUCAAAUGAUGCUUACUCUUUCGUAUUACCUUCUUUUAAAGAACAAAUGGAGGCAAUUGUUGAAGAAACCGAUCCAAGAAUUCUUGUCAACACGUUCGACGCAUUAGAAGCUGAGACCUUGAAAGCUAUCGAUAAGUUCAAUAUGAUCGCAAUCGGACCGUUAGUUGCAUCGGCGUUGUUGGACGGAAAAGAGCAGUACGGAGGCGAUCUUUGCCAGAAUAGUUCAAUAGAGUAUUAUAUGGAAUGGCUAAGCUCGAAGCCCAAAUCAUCUGUUAUCUACGUGGCGUUCGGAACCAUAUGCGUUCUGGAGAAGCGUCAAGUGGAGGAAAUUGCACGGGGGUUGUUAGAUAGUGGCCAUCCAUUCUUGUGGGUCAGUAGAGAAAACGACAAUAAAGAUAAAGAUAAAGAUAAAGAUAAAGAUGAAGGAGAAGAUGACGUGAUGAUGAAGUACAAAGAAGAGCUGAAUGAGAAGGGAAUGAUAGUGCCGUGGUGUUCACAAGUGGAGGUUCUGUCACAUGAAGCGGUGGGGUGUUUUGUAACGCACUGUGGGUGGAGUUCGAGCUUAGAAAGCUUGGUAUAUGGCGUGCCUGUGGUGGCGUUUCCUCAGUGGACAGAUCAAGGGACAAACGCUAAAAUUAUUGUGGACUUCUGCAAAACCGGAGUGAGAGUGAAGGCAAAUGAAGAAGGGAUUGUAGAAAGUGAUGAGAUUAACAGGUGUUUGGAGUUGGUGAUCGGAGAAGGAGAUGAUUUUAGAAGAAAUUCUUUGAAAUGGAAGGAUUUGGCCAGAGAUGCCGUCAAACAAGGAGGGUCUUCACAUAAGAAUCUUAAGGCUUUUGUUGAUGACUUUAGCACCAGCAAGUAAGUUUUAUCUUUUUGUUUUUUCCUCGUUUUUACUCUUUGAAUAUCAGAAGAUUGAAUAUAUAAAAGAAAGACAUUUGUAACGAUUUUUACUUUUUAUCUUCAUCUGUCAUAUGGCACGACGGUUAAGCGACCAUCAUUAAUUUGGUGUCAAGAAAAUUUGAUGACGGAUUUUAUAUGUCAGGCAAUGCAUGAUAUAUUAUCCAUUACGAUUCUAUCAUAAAUAUUUUGAUAAUAAAUUAUCAUGCAUGACUAACAUUUAUUAUAAUUACUUUCAAAGCAUGACUAAUAUCUAUCGCAAGAGAAUGAUACAUAUAAAUGAAUUUGGCUGGAAUUCCAAAAUCUAAAUAAAUUUGACGAAAUUUUAAAAUUUUUAAAUGAGUUGGGCUGGAAUUACAAAAUUAUUUUAUUUAAUUAUUAAUUUAUUCAAUUAAUUGUAAUUAUUAUUGAAUUAAAUUUUAAUUUUGAAAUAUAUUCUUUUAUAAAUUAUUAUGAUGACGAUGAUAUGUGUAUAUGCUCCAAAAUUAUAUAAAUAUAUACAAAUUAAGAAUUUAAAAUUAAUUAAACUACAUAAUAAUAACAUGAAUAUAUUAUUUGUUCUUUUAAACUAAAUACAAUUACUAUCAAUCACAUAAUAUGAACAAGAACAUCAUUCAUUCUUAGGCUACAUCAAACUCCAUAUUUCCACUAAAAACAUAAAAAUUCCAGCUUUUGAGAGGAUCGGUACAAACGCUGCAUGUUAACUUAACUAGCAAGCAAAAAACUAAAGCACCUCAUCAACCAACUACAGUCUAACAAAUUAUGUGACGUUCAGGACAAAAUCCAGCAUGGGGUCCUUAGAUCCAAAACACAAUUUAGUUGCCGGCCACCUGGAAUUUCAAUUAAGAGAAAAAAAACAUCAGUUGGAUAAUCUCAAAAACCAAGUUUCCAUAAAUUUUAUCUUUGCAAAAUGCACUAGGAUUAUUGUUAGGAAUUUGGUGGGUGAAGCAGAACCAUAGUUAAAAUGAAAUUGGAAGAAAAAAUAAAGAACAAGUAGAAAGAGGACACCAAGAAAUUACGUGGUUCAACUUUUAGUCUACAUUCACGGGCGAAGACAGAAGGAAAAUAUUUUACUAGUGAUAUGAGAAUUACAAGUAUUGUAAUAUUUUGGCUUACUACCCAGAACCUCAAUACACCUAAUCUCUCACUCACUAGACUCAUAAGAGCUUUAUAAUUUAAACCUUUAAAAUUACCCAAGCUCCCUGCUUUCUCUCUCACAAAUUUUUGAUGCCAAAACGAAAUGGGGAGCUCUAUAAUUUUUUUUCUCACCGUCAUUAUCUUCUUCAUUCUUCUUUUUCAUUCUUCAAAGAACGCUACUGCCAAAUUCCAUUUUUUCUUCGUCUUUCAUUUUGUCUUUGUUCAAAUUUGGCAGCUUCAACUCUUUUUCUUCUUCCUUGUUUUCUUUGGGUCGCAACUUCCCCUUCAAUAUUUGCUACUUCAAAGUUUCUUCAUUCUUCUAGAUUGGUGGCUGUCAAAGCCAAUUUGAAUUUGGCUUGUUAAAGCCACCGGCUUUGUCAGCCAUUAUUUUGACAAUUAUUUGCUUUAAUAAACUUCAAUAUGGCCUCAAAUUGACGUAUACAAUUUGAGAAAGUGCAACACCAACAAAACUCUCAAUUAUCUUAAUGUAGUCUUAUUGUACCUAACCGAUAACUUUCAACGUAAAACAUGAACUAUAAAAAGCCUCAAACAUAUAUAUUUCACUUUAAACACUUUAUGAACUAAUAAAGUAAUAGAGUACAGUCUAGAAAAUUAUUUACAAAUUUAUAACUGCCAUAAAGCUUAAACCCUUAUGUGGUGUAAAAUUAAAUUUUAAGAUCUAAAUCCCUAACAUAACUUCAAUAAUUAAAAAAAAAAACCUAGAAAUGAUCAAUAAAAGUUUUCUUUCUAAUUUUCAAAUUCCAUUCACAAUAAUUUAAUUCUAACUUAAUAAGAAACAAAAACAUUCAAAUCAUUAUAAUAAAUGUUCAUUCUAAAAUAUCACUUCCUAAGAACACAUAAGAGUUGGGACAGAGGAGACGACAUAUUGGAGCUAGUGGAGGAGUUGUGGAGAUAUUAGUAGCAGAUGCAGUAGAGAAGUGAGCAUGCACCGAGUAGAAGGGGGUUAGUUCAGGUCGUUUGGAAUUGGAGGCUGCUGGUUCUAGUUUGGCUCCUUUGGAGAAAUUGAAGGGGGGCUGUGCGAGUUAAAAAGAAAGACGUUUGGCAUUUGGGUUUUGUUUUAAAUUAAGGUGGAGGUGCAAUUAGUCAUAAAAGAGGGUUAACUUAAAACAAUUUAAUUUUAAAGUGUCAAUUAUAUUUAAAAGUUCAUGACAAAUGUUUAUCAUAGUGCACAAACACCGUCGAAUAAUCAAAUCAUGUAAAAAUCAAUGUUAUAUUACAAUGGUAUUUUUGUAAUUAAAGUUAUUAUAGAAAACUUAAAAUAAUUGAAUUAAUAAUAAAAAACGAUGCCAUUGCAUACCAUGCCUGUCAUGGUUUGAAACGAUGUCAUUUCAAUCUAUGACAAUGCCUGUCAUGCUUCGCAAACAACGUUAGAUGGUAUCGUAAAACGACUUGUCAUUUUAAUUUAUUAAAAAAAAUCAACAUUACAUAUAUCUAUCAUUUACUUAUGUCAGUAAGUUAUAAGUCACGAAUAAGUCAUGUAAUCUUGACAUAUAAUUAUAUGUCACGAACAUGUCAUACACGUACAUGAUAUAUUUGUGACACAAUGUUAUCUGUUAUAAAAAUUUUGUUAUUAAUUUGCGUUUCUUUAGUAGUGUUUAGGAUCAUAUGAUAUAUGAUAUGGUAAGAGAUGAUAUAAUUAAAUAUUGUAUUUUUGUAUAUUUAGUUGAAUUUUGUAUGAUCAUUAAUUAUAUGUUUUUCAAAAUAAAUAUACUUAUGUCAUAUAAUAUUAUUUAUUUAUUAUCAUCAUAUUUAUAAAAAAAUUUAGCAUGCAUUGCUCUUUUUAUUAUUAUUGUUAUCAUUUUAUAUGUGGACAUACCAUUAUAUAUAUGGAAUAAUGAAAGUGAAUCAGCUUCACAAUAUCACCUAGCAAGUACAUGAAAUGGUGGAUCGGUACCCUAGUCUCCAGAGUGAUGCUAUAUAUUUAUAUAUAUGCACUUCACUCCGCAAUAUCAACCAGCAAGUACAUGAAAUGGGGUGAAUUAGUACCCUAGUCUCCAGAGUAAUGCUGUGUGUGUGUGUGUGUGUGUGUGUAGACACUUGUACAACUAUGUGCUGAGAUAAAUUUGAGCUUUAUGCCCUUUAUCUUACAUUUCCAAGUAAAAACAUUCAUUAGAUAAAAGUUUGAGAUUUACCUUAAUUGGCCAUGAGUCCAAAUUUUAUUAUCUAGCUUGCCUCUUACUCGUGAAUCCAACAUUUUUUUCCUCUAAUUUGCAGUGAUUCUACCUUAAAUUUUAGCUGCAAAAUCAAGCUCACUAUGCACACAAACACAAUCGGCCAAGAGGGAGGGAGAGAGAGAGAGGUGCACUGUACUCAUACCCCAGAUUCUAUGAAUAGUGAACUCCGAAUGAGCUGAAGGCACUUAAAUAUUAUAGCUGAGUGCAGGAAUCCCUCAUGUGUUAGUACAAAAUUGCCCAUUCCAUUAUGAGCUAAAAUAACACAAUUGAAGGUUAUACUUGCCCAUAAUGGACUACUAUAUAGGGUAUGACAAAAUUAGACUCAUUAACAUAAUAUUUGAUCACUUAAUAAAUGAGCCUGUCAAAAAUACUCUUUAAUAUUUGACAUCAGUCACAUAUUAAUUCGGUAAAACAUGAAAAAUAAUUAGAAUUAUAACACCUUAGGCGAAUCCCACAUCGGCAAAGCACGGGAGAGAUGCUGGGUUUAUAAGAAGUGAUCCACACCUUAAUUGGCAAGACGCGUUUUGGGGUGUAUGGGCGCCCCAAGAACAAAUCCGUGUGGGCCUUGUUAAGGCCCAAAGCGGACAAUAUCUUGCCAGGUCUGGGUUGGGUCAUGACAUUAUGGUAUCAGAGCGGCUCCGCGUGUCCUCUUAAGCGAUGGUGGGGCAAACCUCAACGAGGACGCUGAGUCCCCAAGGGGGGGUGCAUGUAACACCUUAGGCGAAUCCCACAUCGGUAAAGCACGGGAGAGAUGCUGGGUUUAUAAGAAGUGAUCCAAACCUUAAUUGGCAAGACGCGUUUUGGGGUGUAUGGGCGCCCCAAGAACAAAUCCGUGCAGGCCUUGUUAAGGCCCAAAGCGGACAAUAUCUUGCCAGGUCUGGGUUAGGCCAUGACAAGAAUGAUCUAUGCCAAUCUACAAUAUGUGAGAAAUAAAUCUAACACAAUGUGCAAACUACAAGAAAAGUAAAUUUUUUACUUGUACAACUAUGUACUAACCGUUUUUAGGCAGAAAAGAUUUUUGUUCAAUCAAGUCAUCAAUAAUAAACAAAAAUAAGUGUAUAACUUUUCUAAUGGCAAAAUAACUAUUAAAAAUAGCUUCGAAUUUGGUUGUUAAUAAAUAAACUUUAGUAUAAAACAGUAGUAUCAUUAUUAAAUAGUGGAGAAUGCAUAUUUAUAAAGGGUAAAAUUAUUGAUCUGUUCUAAGUCAGAUCUGGUCUAUAAGGCAGACUAGUCUCUGCAUUGAUCAGGUAGAACAACGCCACAUACCGAUUUAAUCAUAAUAAAAAGAACCCACAACUGUGUUUCUGCUUUGUUAGAAUCCAAGGUUUUUAAAAGUUUAUCAAGAUAUUCCUUUUAAAGAUUCGGAUCAGAAAUAUGUUUAACAAGCUCAAGAAAGGUUUCUUGGUCUUUAGUCAAAACAUUGAUUUUCUUGAGAUAAGAAACUGAAUCACUAGUGUUGGAACCACUAGAAGAAACAGAUUCAGAGUCAUUUAACUCAUCAACCUGUAGGGGUUCACUAUCUCCCGUCAUGGAAGACUCAGAGUCAGAAGACUCUACAAGUAAAUGGGCUACUUUAGAAAGAAUUUCUUCAUCAAGGCCAAGCUCAUAGAGCUUUCUGUUCAUUCUGCAAAACUUUACAGUGUGGCCUUUCUUUCCACAUUUAUAACAUGUGGCUUCUUUGUAGUUAAAAGGACUCUUUUGUUUAGGUUUAAAAUCCUUCUUUUUAGAGAAGCUGGGCUUCUUAUAAGGCCUCGAAGGUUUCUUAUAAGAAAGUUUUCUAAAAUCUUGGAAGGGCUUCUUAUGGCUUCUUGAAUUGUAAUAUUUUUUGUAAGGUUUCGAAGAACACUUACCAUUACAAUCCUUAGAAGUAGAAGUUUUAAAGGGGUCAUAAUUGAAUUGUUUACAGAAACUACCUAAUUCUUGCUUAGAUUUCCUAAGCUCCCAUUUUAGUCGUUUCUGUAACUUCAAAUCUUGACAAAUCUUUAAAACUUCUUUGUUGACAAAACUGACAAGUUCACCACAGGUAAGCUCGUCAUAAGGAAUACGAUUGUCAUACAAGGCUUUAAUGGAAUUUCUAACCUUCUCUCCUAAAAGGGUUGGUAAACCUGCAAGGAAUUUUUCCUUCCAAGUUGUAUGAUUUGCAUCAUCCCUAAGGAAAAGUCUGGUAAAGAAAGUGGUUUUAUAACUUUGGAAUUCACUAAGUUUCCUAUACCUGAGAUUGUGUAGCAACUCAGCGUUCUUAUCCCUAAGGUGCGAAGGGUCACCUAUGAAAUGAAGGGAUAUAGUCAAAAUUAGGGUAGCAACAGCAUCCUGAAUUGGACUAUUGAACUCAUCAAGAAUAGGGACUCCAUUCUCAUCGACUUGAAUAGAAUUUAAGACAUCUAAUUGUUGCUGUUGGGUGAGAAGGUGAUCCCACCAACCUUUAAGUUGACCCGUAAACCCUGCGAUGAGAAUUUCUGCUAUGGCUCUAUCAGAAGUUCCCCCCUGAGUUUUAUAGGCAUUGGCUACCAUGGUCAUUUGUUGCAACAAGCCUAAGAUGUUGUACUCAGACAUACAUCAAUAUUCCACUCAUAGACAGAAGAUGCAUUAAAUCGCGAUUGAUUUAAAGCACUUGGUUUAUUAUUUAUAGCUAGAUCUGGUGGAGUCUUGACAGUAGGUAAGGCUAAUUCCCAAUGGAUUUUGUUGGCUUUAGGAGCAGAUGGUUCAUCUUUAAAUGCUUCUAUAUCGGAAGAGGCUAUAGAAACAUUGUCAUGUUCUAGUACACCAAUCUUGCUAGAUUGGGCACUAUCCGGGGCUAUCUGGACCUUAGAAGAAGAAGAAGAAGAAGCUUCUAUUCUAUCUAAUUGGUCUCUAAUGGCUUUAGUAAAAUAUGAUUUUGACUAUUGCACAAGCUUUUGGCUAGUUUUCGAAACCUGAAAAGGUUUGAAAAUAGGUUCCUUAAGCUUUUUGUCAGAAUCCGAUAUUGUGCUAAUAGGAGAAACAGCUAUGGUUGACCUUUGGAAUUGGCUUUCUAUCCUAGUCAACUGUUUUCCUAUCGUAUUUAAGUUAGUAUUACAGAAAUUAUUCUGUUGAAUAAUACUACUUAAAUUCGCAUCAGAAUCAUUUGGUUUAGGGAUUUUAUAAAGUGAGGCUCUAAUUUGGACAGGAGGUUCACCGUGAUUAACAGUUAAACUCCUAAGAGGUGAAUGCUCAGAUUCUAUAGUUCUAUCACUAUCAGAAAGUUUCCACUUAUAAAUUUUCUUCCUAAUAGUAAUAGGGUUUGAUUCUUUAAAAGGAUAAGAGAUGUUGUUAUUCGAAGAAUAUAUCUCAAACCAAUCAAAAAACAAUAUGUGAAUUUAUAAAUUCAUAAUAUGUGUCUUGAAUUUCUUUUCUUUGAUUUAGAAAAUGUUUAAAAAACCAAAGUCUUUUUUCUUUAUUACCGUCUGAAUAAAAAUCAUUGUGGAGAAAAGUUUUAUCCAGUUCAAAAUUUUUUUCAAUGACAUUUAUAACAUUUUCCGUGACUGCAGAAAACGUAUGAGAAGUUGGAGGAGAAGGUUCCUUCUCUUCCUGUCUUUGUUCAUGUUGGCUGCUAGUGUAGAUAGGGUGAGGAACACUAGUGGUAUAAUCAACAGAAUGUAUAGAGGAACUAGGUAUAUCCGAAGUGGAAAACCUGGGUUGACUUUGUUGAAAAGGAAGAUUUAUUACGGAAGGAACUUUUGUAAAUUUUCUUUCUAAUGAAGGAAUGCUUGAGCAAGAAUCUUUAUCGGAGAAUCUAGUUGAAGUAGAUCUCCUAAAGGACAGUUUUACUUUACCAUAUGAAUACUGAGUCACAUUUUGCAACUCUGUAUUUGGCUCAAGUUGUUUUGGAAUCACUAGAGCAGUGGCUCCUUCAAGAAUCCAUUCAUCGGGAAGAUUGACAUCUUUCCAUUGGAUAGGUUUUGGAAUAACAUUGUUAGCUUUAAACAGGUCAGUCUGUAAGAGAAGAGUCUCAUCUCUUUUUUACUGAAAUUUAUGUUGCGUGCUAAACGCAGAAAUCAUGGUUUUAUAGGAAAUUUUAUAAAUUAAGGCUACAGGAAUAGAUCCCUCAAUCAUAUCAUAAUUGUGGGUCUUGAUUUGUAAAAUCAUACUUUUUAAAAUGUUUUUGUCUUUUAAAGAAAUUGUUAUGUUCGGAUAACAAUUAAAUGAAAUUGGACCUUUACACAGACUUGAUUCUAUACUACUUAGUAAAGAAUCAUCAAAAGAGAUGAAUCGACCAUCUCUCAGAACGACAAGGAUGGAAGUAUUAAGUCCUUCUUUAGUAAGGGGUUUUAUGCCGACUUGUAUUAAGCCGAUGUGAAUAUAAUGAAAAUUUUUAUCUCUUAAUUUCUUUACAGAUUGCUCUGAAAAUAAAUGAAUUGUUUCAAAAGGCUUUGAAAGGGUUAUAUCGCGUUCUUCAGUCUUUAUAACAUAAUCAUUCUUUAAAAAAUCAAGCUUUUUUGUUUUAUAAAUAAUUUCUUUAUUAACUUUAGGUAAUUCCCAAUUAUCAAUUGCUUUAUUAAAAUCUUCAAUCACAAAUUCUUCCGAAUUCACAACAUUCUUUGAAUCACUAGUUCUUCCAGAAGAAGAGCUAGAGAAAGAUGAUGCUCUACAGGGUAGAGAAUCCAUGGUGUUAAAACUAAAAUCUAUAUGAAUGCCUACAGGUAUGGUUUUACAGCCCUAAACGAAAAAUCUUAUCCUAAAACGGGACUUACUACCAGUAAAAAAUUCAGCACACACACAGAGAAUAAUUUAAGACAACAUAGAUUCUUUACAACUAUAUCACAUAUACUUCCCAGGCUCUGAUACCAGAAGGAAAUGCCAUCCAGUGCCUAAAUCUUUUUAAAACCCAUUAUGUACCUACAGAAUCUGAGAAACGAUUUCCUCCUUUUCUCUGCUUCUGUACAAAUUUCUUUCUUCCCUGGGUAUGGAUGUGGAACUUCCGAUACCAUCCACAAGAUGCCCAACUAAUUUUACAAAGAACCUUUAAAGUUAAAUGGUGGUCAAAAUUUGAUGAACAAUCCAAAUUGACUGUUAAUAUGAUCGAAAAUUGGCUCUCCUCUAAAAACCUUCUUCACCCAACCAUUAAAGAUAUUAAAGCCCAAGGAACCUUCAUAUAUAUAUAUAUAUAUAUAUGUAAUUUUUUUUUUACUUUCGGACUUAAUGUGGUUGUUUUGACUCAUUGUCAACAAACAAUGUAUCUUGUCUAGAUUUUACUCAGCAUACCAACUCUCUAGUGAAAGAUCAUUACUGUCUGGCACAAUGAGCACUUAGUACCAUAUUUAUUAAAGGAAAAUUUUCCUCUAGCAUUUUAUGGGUCAUAUUGACUCAGUAUCGAGAGAGAUUGCAUAUAAGCUAUUUAGUGGGUGGUCUUGCCACAUUGUUGAAAGAAGGAUUAUUAUUGUCUGGUAUAGCGUGUUCUUGACACCACACUUAAUGGAAGAUCAUUACCCUCUAGCACACUAAGCUCUUAAUACUAUAUUUAUUAGAGUGAGGAUUUUCAGGAGUGGUAAUACCUAAAAUACUAGCUAUGCAACCUAAGAUGAGGGUGAAUUAGGUUUGAAAAAAAAAUUAUGUUAUGCUUGCAUAAAAGUUAAUGCAAAUCUUAAACAAAUUCAAAACAAUAGUAGAUAAACCAAUCAAAAAGUAAAGAGAUAAGGGAAAAGAAUUUCAAACACAGAUUUUUAUGUCGUUUGGCCAACCCUGCCUACGUCCACGCCUCCAACCUCACCGGGCUUGAGGAUUCUAUUAUUCAAGCCUCCAAGGCUUCAAUACCUUUUACAAUUGACUUCACAAAUGUCAAUCAACCUUUACAAUAAGAGAUUGUCCCAAAUCUCUUAACCUAAGUAUAUCUCACACUCACAAUCACUCGAAAAUAAAGAUUACAAAAGCGUUUUCCCUCACACAACAUAUAUGUUUACAAGUGAAAGCUCAAAGUGUGAUUCAACGAAACAAUGACAAGUUUAGAGCUCAGUAUAGAUUGUUUACUCAGUAGUAAGCUCAACUAUGACUGUUAGAUCACUUUUUAUUUGAAUUUGGUUGAGUCAUUUUAUGGUCGCUACUGAAAAACUAGUCGUUGUUGACUUUCUGCAUACAAUUAGACCGCCGUUAGCCUUUAACUAAUUGCCAUUUUGACUUAAGCAAGUGACUAUAAUUUCAAAUUGUUGGAUCAUCAUUUUCUAGAUGUUGAAUCGUCGUUAGUUUCCAAUGUAACACUUUAGGCGAAUCCCACAUCGGCAAAGCACGAGAGAGAUGCUGGGUUUAUAAGGGGUGAUCCACACCUUAAUUGGCAAGACGCAUUUUGGGAUGUAUGGGCGCCCCAUGAACAAAAUCGUGCUGGCUUUAUUAAGGGCUAAAACGGACAAUAUCUUGCCAGGUCUGGGUUGGGUUAUGACAUUAUGGUAUCAGAGCAACUCCACAUAUCCUCUUGAACGAUAGUGGGACAAACCUCAGCGAGAACGCUAAGUCCCCAAAGGGGGGGUGUAUGUAACACCUUAGGCAAAUCCCACAUCGGCAAUGCACGAGAGAGAUGUUAGGUUUAUAAGGGGUGAUCCAUACCUUAAUUGAUAAGACGCGUUUUAAGGUGUAUGGGCACCCUAUAAGCAAAAAUUUGCAAGUCUUGUUAAGGGUCAAAGCGGACAAUAUCUUAUCAGGUCUGGGUUGGGUUACGACAUUAUGGUAUUUUAGCGGCUCAGCGUGUCCUCUUGAACGAUUGUGGGGCAAACCUCAACAAGGACACUGAGUCCCUAACGGGGGUGUAUGUAACGCCCUAGGCGAAUCCCACAUCGGCAAAGCACAAGAGAGAUGCUGGAUUUAUAAAGAGUGAUCCACAACUUAAUUGGCAAGACGCGUUUUGGGGUGUAAAGCGAACAAUAUCUUGUCAGGUCUGAGUUGGGUCAUGACAUCUAGUAACUUGCAAAAGAGAUAUCGACUUACCAUAUUUCCAAAAGUCUAUUUGCCGUUAGUGUCCAGAAUUUAAACUUCAAAUUUUACUCAAUAUCGGUUAGUUGUUUAUAUACUAAGGGUUAGUCGAUUGCGUCCAGAGAGGAUGUAAUCUUGCCUUAAUUAAUCGGUUAGCCCUUUUUUAGCAAGCAGGAAACCGUUUAUUACCAAAAUUUUAUUCUAUGCUCAAUUCAUUGCGUGGCUUAAGAAAUUUGGACUAAAAAAUAUAUAACUCAAUGAAGAAAAAAAAAGUUAUAUACUUGGUAUCGUCAUCUUGUUAUAGCACUCAAAUAAAUGAAAUUUUAUCUUAAAGCUAUACCAGAUAUAUAGAUGCAAUACCAUUAGUUAACAUUCAAAGAUUCUGGGAAACUUUAAUACGACAUCAACUAAUCAAUUAGGUUGCAUUAGCCAACACAAAAUAACUAAAAACAGAACAAAUUCUAUGAAAAAUUAAUCUAAAAAUCUUUGAAAAGUAAUUGCUUUUGUACUAUGAAUUAAAAGUAAAAAGGAAAAGCAUUCCACACACUUUGACAUGCUAUGAAAUAUCUCAUAUACUUCAUUUUUUGUCUCGACCUCUCAACAACAGUCAAAAAAAUUUCAAAGAGCCAACUUCGACCUCGUGAAUUUAGAUUUAUAUAAGUAUAUACAAAUCGACAACAGGUCUUAUUCUAACGAUUAAAACUAAUGCUUUCCAUGGUCACUAUAAGUAAAAAGAAAUUAAAGUUAUUUUUCUCCUUUCUUUUUCCUAGGACAACUCUUGUUCAAACCAAAAAACCUUGAUCUUGAACAUCUUUAUAAUCAAAACACAAUUACCUACAUACAGUGCCAUAUCGUAAUGUGCAAAGAGGAAGACGCAUAAGACAAUCAAUAUCACUAAUAGCAUAUAUUUUCUUCCCUUUUUAAAUUGGAGACAGCCAGCUGAAGCUUGACUUGCUUAUCAGCCUCGCUUGGAUUCAACCACUUGAGAGGAAGCCAACAACAGUUUUUGCAUUAGAUGCUCUGCCUAUAUUUUCCUCGCCAAUCCUUUUACAUUGGAAGCAUAAGACAUUAAAAAAAACACUGAUAGUAACAAAUUAACUGACAAUUCAAAAUGUUAUACAAUUCAUGUUAAUUACUAUAAUCUAAUAAGGCAAGGAAAAAAAAUUAAGGACAUUAAUUGCAGAAAAAAAGUGAAACAAUUAUUCAAAAAUAUAGAUCUUAAUGUAUGAAAAUACAAACAAAAGCCUAAAGCCUAAAGGAUCUGUUUUUUGAUUUGAGAUUAAAAAAAUCAAAUUUAUAUUUUAACAAAGAAUAAUAAUUUUCAAAUUUACGCAUAUAAAAGAAUAUAAAAAUGUGUAAAUAUGUUUUCAUUUAGUUAGUAGCUUUGCUCGUCUAAACAUAACUCUUUUUUUAGUGUUGUAUUAAAAUAAAAAAUAAUUGAAUACUAUUUAGAGUAAUAUAUUAUAUAAUUUUAGGAAAAGCACAUCUACACCCCCAAAUUUUGGAGAAAUGGCCAUCAACACCCCCAAGUUUUUAAAGAGGGACACCAAGACCCCUUUUUAAUGAUUAUAACCUUUAUUUCUAUUAUCCCAAAAGAAUUAACUCUAAUAUUUUAUAAUAAAUAGAAAUAUAAUAUUAAAAUAAAUAUAAUAAUAUAUACAUUUUAAAAUAAUUUCAAUAUUUAAAAAAUAUUUUAAUAUUUUAUAAUCUAUUAGAUAUAUUUUAUUAUUUUAAAGAAAAUUUUAUGAUAAAUAGAAUCAUAAUAUUAAAAUAAAUGUAUUAAAAAUUUAAAUUAUUUUUAAUAUUAUGUAAAAUAAUAAUUUUAACAAUAUUAGUAUGCGAGAAUGUUUUUAAUUGUAGAACGUAUUUAAUGCAAAUAUUUAUUUAAAAUCUCUACAAUGAAUAAAAAUAUAUUAUUAAAAUAAAUAUAAUAAUUUACAUAUUAGAAUUUAUUAAAUAUUAAAUAUUUUAAUAUUGUUAUUCUACUGCAUAAAUUACAUUAUUUAUAGAAUUUGUAUGUACUAAAAAUUUUAAAGUCAAUUUUUUAGAAUAAUAGAGGUAAAUGGUAUAAUGGUCAAAAUGAGGUCUUAGUGUCCCUCUUUAAAAGCUUGGGGGUGUUGAUGACCAUUUCCCCAAACCUUGGGGGUAUAGAUGUCAUUUUUCCUAUAAUUUUUUUAGAAAAAGUUUACAAUCUAUAUACAAAUUAUGAUUUAUAAUUUAAUGGGAUUCUAUAUACGUAUACUUUAUAGUAUAGUCUGAAAGUUCUCCGAGUGUUAACUUGGGAACCUAUUCCCAUAAAUAUACAAAGAGGCAUCUGCUUUAUUUUAAAUUAAUAUUAUAAUAUUAUAGUUAUAUUAUUAAUUUGCUUAACUUUAUAAUAUAAUACCGGCAAUAAUUUGCAAUGAUAAUUAACAACAUUUAUCAUUACAUCAUUAAAAAAUUUAGGAAAAUUAUCAUUUGAAUACCCUUAGUUUACUUCAUUAUCAAAAAUACUACAACACUUUGAGGGUGUAUCAAUCGUCCACCCUAAGUUGACAAAAUGUAUCAGCUGACCACCAAACCGUUAGUUACCGUUUAAGUAUGAUGACGUCAGAAGGGUAAUUUAGUCUUUUCAUAUGAUACAAGUGAUAAUUUAAGGGUAUACAAGUGAUAAAAAGAGAAUUUAAUGGUAUACAAGUGAUAAUUUUCAAGGGUAAAAUCGUCAAUUCACUGUAAUUCCGUUAACUUUCAAACGGCAACUAAUGGUUUGGUGGUUGGCUGAUACAUUUUGUCAACUAAGGGUGGACGAUUGAUACACCUUCAAAGUGUUGUAGUAUUUUUGAUAACAGAACAAAUAUAGGGUAUACGAAUGAUAAUUUCCCAAAAAUUUAUUACCAACAAAAUGUUGUUGUAUUUAGAAUUAAAAAAAGUAUAAUAUUAAUAAAGUUAUCAUAUAUCUGUUCAGUUUAAUAAUAACAAUAAUAAUAAUAAUAGUAAUGGCUAACAAAUAUACUCAUCAAAAACAUUAAUAAUAGAUGUUAAGAGUGAAGGACAACAUUUGUCCAUGAGGUUCCUGAAAAACGCAACUUUUGUGCAGUAAAAUUAAAUCGACUUCAUUCAAAAAUAAAAAUCAAGAGGAAAGAUUGAAGUUUGUUUACCUCACUUGUAGUUUCAGAAACGACUUCGUGAGGUAGAAAAAAAUGACUGAAAACAACAAGGUACGAACACUGUCCAGAAAAUAUUCCUCUGCAUGAACAGCUUUUGUUUUGCCACGAUUUGAGUUAAAGCACCCCAAUUGUGAUGCCUCUAAUCAGUCCACACUUAGAAAUGUUCUAGAAGUUCAUAGGAUUUUGAAUCUUCAAAUUUCGUUUAGAAAUGAGAGAGAUAAUGAAGAAACAUAAAUGCUAAUUCAUGAUGAUUCAUUCCACUAAAUAAAGCCACCAUUAUCUUUUCAAUAAUGGCACCAAACAUUAUCAUGUGCUAGACCCACCCACUAAGCCAUUAUUUAUUGAAUGUGAUCUUAUCACUUCAAUAAUUUAUUUAAUCAAAUUAUUUUGAAUAAAUAAAUAGCUAAAUUAAUUAAUUUUGUCUUUAAUUAAUGAAGGGAAAUUAUCAGUCAUAUACCCUUAAAUGACACCAGUAUCAAACGUGCUACAACACUUUUCAAGUGUAUCACUCGUAUACCCUAAGUUGACAAAACACUUCUGCCGUCCACCAAUCCGUUAACUGUCGUUUGCGAGCGCUGACAUCGUAAGGAUAAUCUAGUCUUUUUUUAAAAACGACAUGUCAUCCCAUUUACCUAGUAAAAAACGACAUGUCAUAUGAUAUAUUUUGAUAAAAUGACAUGUCAUCCCAUUUAUCAUAUAAUUGUUAAUAAUUGCUAAAAAAAAAAGCUACUUUACAACCGAAUCUACUCCUUCAAAAUUUAACCUAAAUUAUUGAAGAUCUACUCCUCCAAGCUCAAACUUGAAUUUUUUAUGGUAUAAUAUGUAUAAUUGUAAAUAAUAUGUUGUUAAUAAUUUUUUAUGGUAUAAGAUGAAUAUUUUUUAUGGAUUAAUUGUUAAUAAGAUGAAUAUUUUUUAUGGAUUAAUUGUUAAUAAUAUGUACCAUUAAUAAUUCAUAUUUUUUUAAUUAAAAAAUGUAUUGUUAAUAACAAAAUAAAAAAAAUUGUGUAUUGAAAAUUUACAUUAAUUUUCAAGGUAAAUUUAUUUUUUUGCCUCAUUUUGAGUUUAAAGGGUAAAAUAAUCAUUUUGCUCAAAUUCUGUUAAGUUCUUAACGGUAGUAAACGGAAAGGUGGACGCUAGAACUCUUUUGUCAACUUAGGGUAUACGAGUGAUAUAAGCGAAAAAUGUUGUAGCACGUUUGAUACUGGUGUCAUUUAAAGGUAUAUGGCUGAUAAUUUCCCAUUAAUUAAUCCCAUUUUGAUAAAAUCAAAUGGUUAAUUGUGGGCUUAUUUUGUGACGUGUUCUAAUGCUUUCUCCUAAUCCAUAUCAGGUCCAAUAAAAGCCCAAAAUUGGUCUAGAAGUCCAUACUCAUUUACGAACCAGAACAUGUCCAAAAUGGUCAUUUUACGUGCUCGAUAUUAUACAUAAUGUUUAAUUAAGGAUUUAUGAAAUUUAUUUUGUUCCUUAAACUAUUUAUGGAACAUCUAAAUUUCUAUCUUAAAUCAUAUUUAAGAUAUAUAUAUAUAUUCAUUCUUAAUGAAUUAUAAUAUAAAUACCGAUUUUCCUAAAAUUAGGAAAUUUAACUUCUCAUUUUCUAGUAACUCCUUUUUCAUUUCUAUUAGGUGUGUGAUCUUUUAGGUUCUUUGUUAUAAGGUAGUAGAACUAUUUUAAUGAUAACUCUUUAUUCAUUAAAUGAUGCUAAACUCUUUAGUCAUCAAUUAGAACUUUUCUAAUGAUCUUAAGAUACAUUGGUAAUACGCUUUACCAAUAAUGAUCUUAAGGUUUCUACAAGUCAUGAGUGACACCUAGCAGUAUUUCACAACCACCCAAAUAACAAGAAUUGUUGGAUCUAUAGAACCUAUUCCAUUGUAUCUCUAUGUCUUGGUCUCUUCAUCAUCCAUGUCCAAAGAAAAGCACGGCUAAUGGUUUAGUGUGUUAAGCAUUUAUGCUUUAUCUCAAAAUAAAUCUAAAUGAACUUGGCAUGAAAAUAUAAUUUGAACUCCUUCAAACAUAUUUUACCUUGGCCAAGGAUUUCUCAUGCCAAUUCAUAUUAUCUCACAGGGACAUCCUUUUUGUAUAUUACAAAGUGAUGAAUUUCAUAUUGGCCAUACACUUGUCUCCAUACAUACCCAACCAUGACAGCUAUUGCUAGAUCUCUUCCUUGAUUAAGAAUUAAUCAUUAUGCUUUCACAUAUCAGAGAUGUCUAUGUAUAAGACAUCUGUGAUGCCUCAGGUCUAAAGACCAUUACUAAACAUAAUGUCUAUCACAAUGUAUAAUAAGUCAUUAACACUCAAAAUCAUAUGGCUUAUUAUAUUUGGUCAAGUUUAGUAAACUCGUUCUCUCAACAAGUACCUAUGUGUUUGACUUGACAUCUCAUAUCAAUGAUAUGAAACUCACUGUUCAUUUUAGUAUCACAUACCAUAAAUGAGUUAUAACACAUACUAGUGUUUAUAGGAAUUUAUCAUAAAUCCACUACUAGGAACUAUUUUAGAAGUAUAGUACAAAGGAUACACGUUUCAUAUUCUUGACAAACUCGAGAAUGUGUUGCUUAACGAUUUUACUCUUGGACUAUAUUCAUUAAAUUAAUUUAUGAAUGUUGAUAACUUUGCCAUUUUAUAAAUAUUAAAAUGCAAUCAUAUACAAUAAUUCCCUAAAAGCAAACACCAUUCGAUUGGCUUUUAGGGCAUAUCACUAACAAAGAGUACCAUUAAUCGUUAUACUAGUAAUAAAACAAUAUCAUCAAAUAUUAACCUUACAUGUAAUCAUGUAUAAGCUCCUAGAACAAUUCAUAGAAAUUUUUGUAACUUCAAAUCGGGGAGUAAAUAAAACCAUAAAGGGUAAUUUAAUUAAUUUCAUAGAAAUUUGUAUGAAAUAUUUUAAUUAGAGAUUGUUAUCUUAUAGUUGCCAUAUCCAAAUUUAAAUUGUACUAUUAAUAUUAGUCAAUAAUACAAAUAAUUAUGAGUAAUUGCAAUAAUUAGUAUUGCUACUAAUAUAAUUGUUUGAAAAUUAUCCAACGGCUAUAAUGAAAAAUUAUUUUAAUUCUCAUAUUGGUAUUGAUAGAUAUAAUAAGAGUUUGAAUUCCUUUACGGUACAUUUUAGAGUUGAUUUCUUCUAAAUACUUGGGAAAAUUUUUUUUUGAUCUGUGUUAUAGACCUAUCUAUCUAGAUUGCAUUGCGCCACAUAGAGUUAGAUAAAAAAGACACAAACUCCCAAAAAUAAAGAAUUUUCAAAAAAUUUUAUAUUGCAAAAUAUUUGUAGGUUUAUAAUGUCAUAAUAAAAACAUAUAAUUUAUUUAAUAUCAAAAAUAAUUUCCUUGAUUUAUAAUGAAUAUAGUUUACCCUAAUAUAAAUAUUAUUCUCAUUAUUUUAGACGUUACAUAUUUUAAAAAUAUAUUUUAUAUUGAGAGGUUUUUGAUACUCUCAUAAAUUAAAUGAAGAUUUUAAUAUUUAGUUAAAAGAUGAAGGAACCAAAUUACCUUGAUAUUUGCAAAGUUUUCCAUUUGAUUCGAUGACUGCUUAGAAUGCCAAUAAAUUUAAAAUAAACAAUUGAACUUGUACAUUAAGGGACCCCAAUUUCGUAGAUCAGUCAUCAGUCAUACUCAAGAGUCAAGCUAAAGUCACUCAUCGGUCAUCACGUACUGUGUGUCGUCUGUCAAACCCUCGCUACUGAGUACCAAUUGAAGCUGAUUUUUCACCAAAUCAUUUUGUCUCACUAACAAAAAUGGUUCGUCUUGCAGGGAUUGAAGCUCACAAUCGGUGACUUUCUUACAAAUCAGUAGCUCAUCUUUCUCACUCGUUGUAUAUAUGUGCUUACUUUUAAUUUGCUGCAUUUUUAUGUGGGUCUUUGUUGGCGUGGAGCCCAUGCUGGGUCGCUUGGAUUUAAUUUUAAUCAAGGGUUUUGGAGUUGACGAUGGAUGCCACGUGGAUUUAUUACAUAUCAUUUAAUUUAAUUUUAUAUUUAGGAGGUUGCUUUCUUCAAGAAAUCGGUGUGUAUAUUACAAAAUAUAUUUGUGGAAAAUGAUGCCAUGUGGUCCCAUUCAAACUUUAUUACGUAUACUAUAACUAUGUGAAAGAUAAGGGUUAUCCUUGUUUACUCUAUCGUCUAGAAAUUGGAAAAUGAAGCUGUGCGGUCCAUUGAAGCUUUAUAGUAGAUGUAGGGAAGGGUUUGAUUGUGUAUGUUUGUCUGUAGGAACCCUAUGAGAAUAGGAACCCUAAUAAUUAUUUCUAAUUUUACUUCAGACCCACUAUUUUAAUUCUCAUUCCACCUCUUAUUUAAAUAAGUAAGCAUAUUAUUUAUUUUUAUUUUUUAAUUUCCAUUCUCAUUCUCAAAUAAAUAAAUAAACACACCAUUAGCAAAUUGAAGUUGUUUCUAUUGAACUGUUGAAGUGCACGCAUGCAUUUGCUAUAUAUAUGAUUUUUCAAAUCUUUUAGUUAAGUGGAAAAAAUAAAGAAGUAAGGUGAUUUCAUUGAAAAUAACGGAUAAAAAAUAUAAUUAAAUAUUUUAUUGAUAAUGAGACAAAACUCAUUUAUGUGAUUUAAAGAAAGAAAGAGUAAUGCACAAAUUAGGGGUAAAGAGCGAGUGAAUCAGUCCCACUGACAGUAAGAUUUUUUCAUGAUCUAAUCAUAUCCUGAGUAAAUAACUCAAUUAUUAAUUGGUAGUUAAUAAAUAAAAAAAUAAAAAAAAUUAAAUUUUACCCAUAUACUACCACUAAAAGAUAUACAUAAUAAGAGAUUCUUAAAACCUUAAUAAAGCUCAGAUGAGAAAAUGAUCAUUUUCCCUUACGUAACCCUGUAUAUACGUACUACUACGGUCAUAUGUACUUAGGCAGUGUUUACUUUCUGGAGUGGGAGUGUGGAGUGUGGAUUCCUCCCACUCCAGUGUUUACUUACCUUAAAAAAAGAGGGAGUGGGAGUGGGAAUCCGUGGGUCCCUCUUCCCAUUUUAUCCUUAUAAAAAUAAAUAAAUAAAUAAUAUCAUAUUUAUUAAAAAUAAUAAUUAUAUCAUAUUUAUUUUAUUAAAUUUAAUAAAAUAAAAAUAAAUAAAUAUUAUAUUUAAAUUAAUAAUAUUAAACAUUAAUUUUAAUAAAUAUUAAUUAUUUAUUUAAUUAAUAAUAAUAAAUAUUUUAUUCUAAAAAAUAUUAAUUUUGUACUAUAUUAUCAAUAAUAAUAUUUCAUUUGUGUUGCUAUUAUUAAUAAUUUUUAUUCACAUAAUUUAAAUUAAAAUUAAUAAAAAAUUAUGAUUUACAUAAUUAAGAAUAUUAGUAAUUAUUAUUAAUUUAUAAAUAUAAUAAAAUAUUUAUUUUAUUUUUCAAAUAUAUUUUUUAUUAAUUUUUUAAUUACAAAUUAUAAUUCUGUACAUAAUGUUAAAAUUGUAAUUUAAAACAAUUUACUCCUAAUUCAAGACAAACUAAACAAAUAAUUAGGAUUCUGAUUGAUAAUCCAUACUUUCAUUUAGUCUAAGUAAACACCCUACUCCCACUCCCACUCCACACUCAUAAUCCAAGGAUUCCCACUCCUCAGGAUUUCCACUCCAAUCCAAAAAGUAAACGCAGCAUUAAUUCACAAAAGGGGCACUAAACGCAGCAUUAAUUCACAAAAGGGGCACUGAAUUAUUCAAGUUUGUAGGGCAGCUGCAGCUUGUGGAGCCCACACAGUGUUCAAUCUCAUCGAUUUCUCUCAGGAUUUUGACUUGUGGUUUCCAUAAUUCACCAACUUCUUUCUGCUUGCUCUCUCUUUUCCAUUGAUCCGGUUUCCAUGGCAGAGCUCUUACUCUCAGCUUUCUUCCAGGCUUUGUUUGACAAGUUGGCUUCCCGUGAUUUGGCCAACUUUGUCAGUCAACUUCGAGGAGGGGUUGAUUCUGAGCUGAGGAAGUUGGAAAACACUUUGAAGAUGAUUCAGGCUGUGCUGAGGGAUGCAGAGGAGAAGGAAGUGACGAGUGAGACAGUGAAAUUGUGGCUGGACAAUCUCCGAGACUUGGCUUAUGAUGCUGAGGAUGUACUGGACGAGUUUGAUACUGAAGCUUUGAGACAAAAGUCGAUGGCAGAUCAAGCCAGCACAUGCAAAUUGAAGAACCUUGUCCCUUCUUGUUUCAACAUUUCCGGUGGUUUCAACAGUUCCCGUAUGCUUUCCAAGAUAGAAAGUAUCUCAAACCAGUUGGAACAACUCUUUCAAACAAGAGCUCAACUUGGAUUGCAAACGACACCCGGAGGGACAUCAGCUGCUUCACAGGAACAGCAAAGACAAGCCAAUGCUACUUCAAGUGUGCCAGAGGAACCUGCUGUCUACGGCAGAGAUGAAGAUAAGGCCAAGAUACUUGAUAUGGUGUUAAGCAAUGGAUCGACUGAUGCCAACUUCCAUGCCAUAUCCAUCAUCGGCAUGCCAGGGGUUGGGAAAACAAAGCUGGCCCAGGAGGUCUACAAUGACGAGGCAGUGGAAAUAUUCGACAUAAAGGCAUGGCUUUGUGUAUCCGACGACUUCAAUGUUUUCAGCAUCUCAAAGACACUUCUCGCGAAAAUCACCUCCAAACCUUUUGAUGUAGUGGAUAUCGACGAGGUGCAGGUUCAAUUGAAAAAGGCCGUGGCUAAGAAAAGGUUCUUGUUGGUGUUAGAUGAUGUUUGGAACGAGAACUACAACUCAUGGUCAGCAUUGAAAGCUCCCUUCAUCACCGCUGCACCCAAAAGUAAGAUGAUCGUGACCACACGCAAUUCCUCCGUUGCGUCAACAAUGGGAGCGGUUGAACAAUACAAUCUAAAGCCUCUAUCAAAUAAAGAUUGUUGGUCUAUAUUCAUGAUGCACGCUUAUGAGGGUAAGGACAUUAAUGCAGUUUCAAUUUCAGAAUCAUUUCGUAAGAAAGUAGUUGCAAAGUGCGGUGGUUUGCCACUGGCCGCAAAGACUCUGGGUGGUCUUUUACGCUCAAAGGGAGAUGACGAAUGGGAUGAAAUUCUAAACAGCAGUGUAUUAGAUUUACCUCAAAGUGGCAUUCUAUCUGUUUUGAGAUUGAGUUACCACUAUCUUCCAUCUCAUUUGAAGAGAUGCUUCGCUUAUUGUGCAAUACUUCCAAAAGAUUAUGAAAUCGAGGAGAAGGAACUUGUUUCUCUAUGGAUGGCUGAAGGCAUUAUUCAGCAAUCAAGAAACAAUAGCAAGCAGCCCGAACUUCUGGGUCGUGAGUAUUUUCAGGAUCUAUUGUCGAGGUCAAUACUCCAACCUUCAAGUAGUAAUACCUCUAAAUUUGUCAUGCACGACCUCGUUCAUGAUUUGGCUCGAUGGGUUUCUGGAGACACAAGUUUUAGAUGGGAAGAGGCCAACAAGACAGUCACCCCUGUACCGAAGGUUCGUCAUUUUGCUUAUGAUCUUAGCCUUUAUAUUAGCAAGGGCAAGUUUGAGGUCUUGCACGAAGUUCAGCAUCUCAGAACAUUUCUGCCGUUGUCAAUUUCAAGUUUUCGUGGUUACAGCAUGAACAAUGUGGUAUUUUCUGAUUUGUUACCAAGGUGUGUGAAAUUGAGGGUGUUAUCUUUUACCGGUCAUUAUAUCAACAAGUUUCCUACUAGAUCAAUGAGUGGUUUGAAACAUUUGAGGUAUCUUAACCUUUCUGCCACAUUGAUUAGAAAAUUACCAGAGUCAGUGUGCUCUCUGAUUAACUUGCAAAUUUUGUUGUUAAGACGUUGUUUUUGCCUGAGGAAGUUACCAUCCAACAUCAGAAAGUUGAUUAAUUUGCGCCGUCUUGAUAUAAUGGGUGCAUAUUUAAUCAAAGAGAUGCCAUUUGGAAUAAAGGAGUUGAAGAAUCUUCAGGUGCUAUCUAAUUUUAUUGUGGGCACGGGUACCAGAUCAUCCGGCUUGAAAGAUCUGAAGAGAUUAACACUUCUCAAUGGAGAACUUUGCAUUUCGAGAUUAGAGAAUGUGAAUGACCCGCGGGAGGCAAAAGAAGCUGCAUUAUGGGAGAAAAAGAAUCUAGAAACAUUGUCCUUACUGUGGAGGUCUAAGUUUGACAGCUCACGAAGAGAGGUUUUAGAAGAAAGUGUACUUGACGUGCUAAAACCUUAUCCAAAUAUCAAGAAACUCACAAUUAUGUGCUACGGUGGGCAAAGAUUUCCUUCUUGGAUAGGAGAUCCAUCUUUCUCCGUGAUAGAGGUCCUUAAAUUAGAAAAUUGUGAGAAUUGCACAUCCUUGCCAUCGCUUGGGUUGUUGAGUUCACUUAAGCAUCUUACAGUUAAAGGUUUGACAAAGCUCAAGAGCAUAGGUAUUGAGGUUUAUGGAAAGGAUUGCUCAAAGUCGUUUCAAUCAUUGAAGAUUCUUCGUUUUGAGAAUUUGCCAGAAUGGGAGCAUUGGGACACGGAGUUCAAAGAAAAUGGUCUUGUUGCAGGAUUCUCUAGCCUCCGUCAACUUUCCAUUGUGAAGUGUCCCAAAUUCUCUGGAAAAUCACUGGAGCAUCUGCCUUCAUUGGGGAGGCAAAGCACAACUUUAGCAUGCUUACCUGAAGAAAUUUUAGGCAAGAAUUCACAACUGGAAAGCUUGUACAUCCAAGAUUGCCAUUCUCUAAGAUUGAUUGCAAGGAAGCUAUCUUCAUCUCUUAAAAGCCUUAAGAUUCGGAGUUGUCAAAAAUUACAGCAGUUGGUGGAUGAUGAAGAAGGUGCUUCUUCUUCUUCAUCAAUGAUGCUGAAACACCUAGAGAUAGGGUAUUGCCCACAGCUGACCAGUUUCUCAUCAGGAACCCAGCUACUUGAGGCGCUUGAAGUCCUCCACGUAAGUAAUUGUCCAUUGCUGGAGUCAAUACCUGGAGGUCUGCACAAUAUUCAGAGCAUUAAUAUAGAAGACUGUGCAAAUGUUGUCUCCUUGGCAGAAAGAGGGCUUCCCAACACCAUUUCAAGUGUUAAAAUAUGGAGUUGUGAGAAGCUUCAAGCCCUGCCCAAUAACAUGCACAGACUACACUCACUUCAAUUUUUAGAGGUAAGGCGGUGUCCAAGUCUUGUUUCCUUGGCAGAAAGAGGGCUUCCCAUCACCAUUUCAAGGGUUUUCAUUGAAGAUUGUGAGAAACUUAAAGCUCUACCUGACAACAUCCACAAAUUGAACUCUCUUCAAUUUUUAGAGAUAAGGCGAUGUCCAAGUAUUGUAUCAUUUCCAGAAGAAGGUUUUCCCGCCAGUCUGAAAUCACUUGUUAUUGGAGGAGAUGUGAAAAUGUAUGAGGCACUCAUCCAGUGGGGGUUGCACAAGCUUACCUCUCUUAGACGCCUCUUGAUUGCUGAAGAAUGUCAUGAAGCAGAGUGUUUUCCAGACGAGGAGAUUGGAAUGACGUUGCCCACCUCUCUAAUUGAGUUGCAGCUUUGGGGACUGUCAAAAUUGAAAUUGCUAUCUUCCACGGGUUUUCAGUGCCUCACCUCUCUUGAAUAUCUGUGUAUCCAGAAUUGCCUAAAUCUCACAUCCUUUCCAGAGGUGGGCCUUCCAUCCUCACUCUUGGAACUAAAAUUAAUAAUGUGUCCAAUGCUUGAAAAAGAGUGCAAAAGGAAUAAAGGAAAAGAGUGGUCCAAGAUAGCCAACAUCCCUCGUGUUGUGAUAGACGGAGAAAUCAUAUAUACAGUGGAGUAGUUUUUAUUAAUCAUUCCAUCUCUUAUCAUACCCAACAAUCAAGGUCAGUUGAUUUCUAUAAUCCACUAUAACAAGCUCUUUUGAUUCUGCACUUGUAUCAUUAAUCGAUCACCUUACCUAAAUUGAAAAUGCUUAUCUCUUUUUAUUUUUAUUUUCAUUUUUAUUUUCUGUUUUCUUAUUCUUCAGAAUGAUGCUAGUUGACAGUUUCAAAUGACAAAUGCUUUGGGAGUAGAAAUAAUUUUUUUAACUCGUGAUGGUGAGUGAGUAGUAAUCAAAGAAAUUCUUUCAGCUUAGUAAAAAUAAUAAAUGGUACAUGCUGUUAUGGAUUUUAUACUAUACAUUCUAAGGUUCCUUAUGUCUGCUUGUUUUCAGGUGAUGAAUCUAUUUUGUUACAGAAUUGGAUUGAAAGUAAGCUGGGUAAUAAGUACACAAGGGCGUUAAUUUUUUGGAUUUCCUCAUGGAGUAUGGAUAUGGGAUAAACGAAGUGUCAAAGGCAAUUUCAACUUAUUGAUUUUUCUACUGCUGUGGUUAUGAUUGAAAGGUAGUCAAAAGAAAUUUGCAAACUUAUAUAUAGUGGCAGAUUUUGGUAAUGCUUUUUAUUUUUUUUUGGCCAUUUUUGGUCAUAGACAUUUAGAUAUUUUAGAUCCCGAAUUUUAACAUUAAUUUCAUGCCAUUUUUACUUCAGAGGGAUGUUCAGUGGGAAUUGAGUUGCAAUUUUAAACUAGAAUCGGAGUAUGGCAUUUUGGAGCUGAGCAUACUUGACGAAUGAUUAUAUGAACUGCUGUGGUAAGUGGUAACUAAAGAAAUUUGUUUGCUUAAGUCAAAUUUCAUUUUGGUGUUCUGGAUAUACAUGCUUAAGCUCCUCUUAUUUAUUUCAGGUGAUGAAUUCAUUUUCUUCUUCAAAUAAGGGAAGAAAAGUCGGAAAGGUUUAAUCUGAUCUUGAAGUUAACAGAUUGAUGUUAAUUGUACAACUAGAAUGGGCUCUCUUGUCCUACUGUAUGAUAUCAAAUUUUCCAAUAAGAUGGCAUUUGUGUACUUAUUCCUUCUCCCACCAUUUUCUUUCUUUCUGGUGAAGAGUGUCUACUUAAUAAGUCUUUGUUUUCUUCAGGAUUGCAUGAAUGCCAAGAAUGGAGUGAUUAAAUAAGUGCUGCUGCGGCCUGCUUUUCCUUCUUUGGUAUUGAAGGUAACUCAAUUCGGCAGGUGAAGACAGCAGCAACCCAGUAGAUAGAUGCAAUUUAAGGAUUGUGUACCUCAAUUAUACCUUGAUAUUAUUGAUAACAUGUUAAUUAUAUUUCAGUUCUGCAAUUAUAAGGAAAAUUGAGUCGUCGGCACAGUGCGCAGCAACAGUUGUUCAAACUUCGAACAGUCGGUUUCUGCAGGUAAUUAGCUCUUUUUUCUUUUUUCUUUUUUUUUGGGUUAUUAAUUACAUUUUAAGGGUUAUUAAUUACAUUUUAAUUAAGUUGAUUUUAGGACCUUUAAAGAUUCAAUUUUUCAUUUUCUUUUUCUUCAAAGGGAAGCAAGUGGACUGUAUCAAACAUACCUGAUAAAUGAAGUAUUCAUGCCUGAUUUAAAAGUUAUUAGCUUUUUCAUCCGCUUGAUAGUAACUAAAUGAGCUUUUGAGCUCAGUGGCAUUAAUUGUAAUAACUGAUGUUUUAGAUAUAUUAAACAUGCCAAGUUCCAUUGUAAAUAUUAUUGAUUAAAUCUUAAGCUUCUAGUUUUUGCUAAAGAUUCAUAGAUAUAAGAUAUUGUACUGCUUUGUUCUGUUGCAGAGUAAUCGAUGAUAAUUUACUGAUAAAGAAUUUGGUGAAAGCCAACAACUCAAAAUGUUUAAGUGAGGGAAUGAUGAGAUCAUGUGAGCAAAACCUGGGUAUCAGCAUCUUAAUGGCGAUAUGGAAAUCCUUGUUGAGGCAAAACUACAGUUGAAUCAGUUGAAGUUCAUCUGAUGAGGUGCACAAUCUCACAUCUCUCAAGUAAAUGCUGUCCUACAGUCCUAGAUAUUGAAGCUUUUCGCAUUUCAACAACUUUUUGCAAGACAGGUGAGGAUGGUGGGAAAACUAAAAAUCUGGACCACCAGCUAACUCCUAGUCAUUGCCACCCUUGGAUGUUUCUGGAUUUGAUCAAACCAAAAAGACUUUUGAAGUUGUUAUUUUAUGUCUUCAUAAAACUAUAAUGACCAAGCCGCCAGUGUAACAUUCCUGAAAGAAUAUUGUGAUUGCUUCAGAAUAUGCUCGGUGCAUAACAAAGACAUCCUCGUAGAAAAGCAUACAUAGCUAAUAACCAGGUAAAUAUUCCUUGAUUCUUGCCAGGUAACUUCUAUUCCCAGGUUUCCAGAUAAUUUACAUUUCAGAAAUUGUUCUUAGUUGAAGAAUCUGAUUUACAUUUUGUUUUCCAGAAUAUGUACAUUUUACAAUAUGAUGUGCUUUAGUUGCAGUAUCUGGGGCACCUUUCGAAUUUCACUUGCCUUUUUCUUUGUUUGCAUGUGAUUUGACUUGAAGGAUGCCAACAUGGCUAGAUAUUUGAAGAAACACCAAAAGAGGCUUAAUGCCAGGGGAACUUUCUCGGGCACUUUUGCUCCCAAGCCUUUAAUCCCACAAACAAAUUCAGGGAGUGAAUGCAUGCCAUUCAUUUGUGGUCCCAAAAACAGGUUGAUACCUGGCCGCUGGUACUGAACAUCUCUGCAAUUUGGAAGCAGGGUAAUAAUUGUGUUGACACACAAGCUUCAAACUGUUAAAGCUAUACCCUUCUUGCUUCAGGAAUCCAUGUUGUAUGUCUCAAAUUCUGAAAGCAAAUGAGAAUUACUGCUUCCUUUAAGGCACCAUUCCAAGAUCUGCUUUUGUAUUCAUUCAAUCAGAUCAAUCAUAUGGAUUGUCAACUUUCAAGGAUACGAUGAAUUAUGAGUGAACAGAGGACUUGGAGGAAGAAUCAUUAAGAACAGAGCAAAAACUGAGAAGCAGAUAAGAGGAAGUUGGCUAUCAUUGAAGAAGAGGCAGCUUGCAUUGCUUUAGUUAAUGAUGAUAACCGUCAAACAUGCUCUUGGUUUGUAUGUUAACAUGAUUGGAGUAUGAGAGAAACUACAUUUGUCUAAUUUUUUUGACUUCAUUGAUUUUUUUUCCCCUCUCACUUAAUCUUCAAAUCAAAAUCUCAUCUUUGAUCAAACUUGAUCACAAAAUAUUAUUAAUGUUUGAUACUACUUGUCAAGAAAUUGCUAAAAUGUUUAUUCACUACGAAUACUGUUGAACCAAGAUCAGUAAAUGACCAAUCUUGAUGCCACAAGAUCUGACUAAACUCUUUGAUUAUUCACCAAGGGACAAAAGAAAUUAACAAUUGAAACAAACCGCGUGGAAUCAAAUUAGUUAUAUUCGGUUAUACAAGCUGAGGUGGCAAGCUGAGUCAGCAAGGGUGGGUCCCCAGGUGGUUUAAAUCGGUUGUUAUAACCAGCUGUAUUAACUGAUAGCUAUAUAAGCUACAGUGAGAGCUGAUCAGAUUAGUUCUACGGAGUGAGAUCGAUUGUGUGGGUUUUCUAGUGAGGAGAAUAUCUUUGUGUGAGUGAAAUCAGUUCUUGCUCUUGGAAGAAUCCAUUUUAAUCUUGUUCAUCUUCUAAUAAAGCUUUAGCUCUGCUGUUCCUGAUCGUGGAUGUAGGUACUUUGGUACCGAACCACGUUAACUCUGUCUUGAGUCUUUAAGUUUCUUUUCUUACUCUGGAAUGUUUCGCUGUGUCCUCUGGUUCUGGUUUCUUGCUUGUUUGUGAUUGGUUUCUGCUUAAGAAGGGUUUACGAAUUUGGUCUGUUGCAUUAACAAACAGAAACGGAAUCAAAGAAAUCACAAAUAAAGAACACACACAGCAAUUACAGAGGAUUCAGCCAAAGAUGGCCAGCGUCCUCUUGAACAAGAACAAAUUACAACGGUGAAGGAAUUUUCACAGGCUACAGAAUGAACCCAGCUCCAGCCUCUAAGGCUUUAUAUACAGCUCACAAUGGAUAUGGAAAGGUCCCCUACUUACCAAACAGGUCGUUCCCGCUUCCUGUAACGGCCGUAGCGCCUUUUCAUUCAGCUGAUACACGUGCAACGCAGGUGUACUGAAAAUAUUUUCUUUGGUGGGUGAUUGCACGUGCCUCGCAGGUGAGUCACUCAGCGCACACCGCUGACACAUGAUCGAAGUCGUACGCAUCAUGUAAAAUAAAGCCGACAUGGCAUCCAUAAGGAAACGACGGCACAGUGACUCUUAUUUUCAUAAACCGACUUUGUUGUCUGCUAUUUAUUUCUGAUUCAAUAGCCUGUCCCGUAUAUUCGUCCGAAAAAUGGAUGUUUGCCACAGCAAAAAUUUUCCAAUUAAUUAAUGAAAUAAAAUAUUGACUAAUUUUCUUUUUCUUUUUUUAACAAACAAUUAGUAAUACUAGCAAUUCCAUGCGACAACUGGAAGGAGUUAAUUGUUGUUUGAGGAAUUAAAUAGAGCGACCGUGAUCUCCUCCAAGUGAAAGUGAGCAAAUGGUUGAGCAGGUCACCUUGACUAGGUGGUAUGAGCUUGAUCAAAUCACCUCGACCAAGUACAAUGAGGUUGAGCAGAUCGCCUUGACCAGGUGGUGUGAGCUUGAGCAGAUGACCAUGUGGUAUGAGCUUGAGCAAAUCACCUCGACCAGGUGCUAUGAGCUUGAGCAGAUCACAUCGACCAGGUGCUAUAAGGUGGAGCAGAUCACCUCGACCAGGUGCUAUGAGGUGGAGCAGAUCACCUCGACCAAGUGCUAUGAGCUUGAGCAGAUCAAAUCGACCAGGUGCUAUGAGGUGGAGCAGAUCAUCUCGACUAGGUGCUAUGAGGUGGAGCAGAUCACCUCGACUAGGUGCUAUGAGCUCGAGCAAAUCACCUCGACUAGGUGCUAUGAGCUCGAGCAAAUCACCUCGACCAGGUGUUAUGAGCUCGAGCAGAUCACCUCAACCAUGUGCUAUGAGCUUAACCAGAUCACCUCGACCAAGUGGUCUAAACUUGAGCAGAUCACCUCGCCCAGGUGAUGACCAGGAAUAAAGACUCAGUUAAAAUAAACCACCACAAAGCUCCUCCGAAAAAUCAGGGUAUUAAUUUGAUCAAUUAAUGGUUAUUGUCACGAUCUAAGGCCGUGGAUGUGGGGUGUUUUAUAAAAUCCCCGAGAAAACCACGCAAAGGGGGAGAGCUCUUUUUCCCUUGAUCUCACUGAGAAAUUCUUUCUGGAGACUCUACUUUACUUUUCUGCAAAUUAUUCAAAGAGCUUUUGGUUUUAAGGCAAUGUUUAUUAAACCAUAUGAGAAAUGGCAUAUUUGGCUUUUCUUAUAACCUCAUAACUGACUUGAGCAUCGGAGGGUUUACGCCGGAAAAACUUUCGGCACCUCUGACCAUCUUCUGUAAUUUCAGGUACUUAUUGAUCGUCAGCUUGAAGAUUAUAUGCUCAUAACUGUUCUGCUCAUAGUCAGAGAAUAUUCUCAGAGAUCAAUCAGCAGCUUCCCACCAACAAAUUUAAUACUGAUGCAGGGAUCUGAAACUGAGUCACUAACCAAUUGGUUCAGAUUUCGGCAUCAACAAUUGUCCUGCUAUUAAUCGGACUUUUUUGAGUCCAGAGACUUUUCUUUCCUUGGAGAAAAAUUGCACCAUGCGUCCAAUCACUUGGCAAAAUUCAACGUGUAACGCCUUUGAAUUUUUUUUUCCCUCUCUUUAUUAAUUAUUAUGGUAGUUCUUAGAUAGAUAAUAAGAAUUUGUUGUUUCUUUUUUAUUGGUUUAUUCAAGAAAUUCAGAGAAUGAUUCUAGGCUUCUCCAAGUUACUAGAAUUAUUUAAAAUUUCUUAAUGUUACAUUUAUUAAUUACGCAAGACAUGUGCACCUACAUUAUUACUUGCAUUUGUUAUGCAUUUAUUAUUUAUAUUUUUCAUAAAAGCCUCUAUUUAUUUAAAGAUGCAAACAUUCAUAUUUACAUUUAUUUAAGCUUUUUACAUAUUUAUUGUUGCUUUCCUAAAGUUUCUUUAUUCAAGUUUACUUUAAAUUUAUUCAAGUUUACUUUAUAUUACACUUAUUAAAGAUUUACUUUAUAUUUAUUAUUGUUUUACUAAUUUUUUUUUAAUAAAGUUUAUUUUAAUUUAUUAUUACACUUAUUAAAGUUUGCUUUGAUUAUACUUAUUAAAAAUUUGCUUUAUAUUUAUUCUUUCUUUAAUAAAAUUGCUUUGUUAAAGUUUACUUUAUAUGUAUAAUUGCAUUUAUUAUUGUUUGCUUUAAAUUUGUUGAAUCUUGAAAACGUGGACUCGGAGAAGGAAGCAUAAUUAUUCAACUUCUUUCAAUUGUUCAUCUUCAUUCUCUCUCAAUUCCAAAAAUCUAAAUUCUAGGUUUCUCAUAGCAACCUUCUCCAAAUCUUCAAUAGAGUUAGAGAUCUUAAUUAAUUUGGAAGCUUCUUGAUUUGGUGAGUCUUUAUUUGCUUAUGUUUUUAAAGACCAAAUUCACAAAAUUAUUUAUACCACAAAAUGAACUCGAAAAAUUCUGAAUUUUUAAACAGAAGUUAAUAUAUCUGUUUAAUAUUUCUAGUUUUAAUUUCAUAAUUUUCUGAUUAAUACAUAAUUUCAUAAAAAUCUCGGAAUCAAUAAUGUUCUCACUACAAGAAAAAGUGCCUACUAUGACAAGCAAAAACUGUCAUAGUAGGGGGUGGAUGACAGUUGUUUAUACCGUCAUUGUAGCCACCAUCAAGAAUUGAUGACAGAACAAUACCAAUUAUAAUCUGUGAUAGAUAUUGCCAAUCACAUAACUGUCAUAACUUUAUUUAGAGGAGAAUAUAAUAAAUUUGAAUUUGGCUCUUUUUUUUUAAAUUUGCAUGCCAUAUUUUGAAUUUUUUGGCGGGAAAAUUAAAUUUGGCGCGAAAUGCAAAUUAUAAUUAAAUUAAUUUUCUCAAUUAAAUCAAAAAUUGAAAUUAUAUUUAAUAAAAAAUGGGUAUUUUGUUUGCAUCAUGAAAUUAUUAUCAUUUUAAUAACAAUCCUGCAAUUAAUUUAUUAGAAAUUAAUAUUUCAUAAAUUAGCUAAUUAAUUAGAUUAUUAAAAUUAAUAUUGCAACUAAAAAUUCACUGACAAAGAAAAUGAAAUGGAUAACAUUGACUAAGAUUUCAUAAUUGUCAGCAAACAUAAUUUAAUCAAAUUCGAGAGUGACAAGUCCAACAUAAAUAGAAGAAGAGUAUUGUAACAACCUAAAAACUAAAUUCCAGAAACAUGUACAACACAAAUGAACCAUGAUCAGUUCAAUUCCAGUAGUCAUAAUUGUCAUCACCAUUUCAAGUUUUAUUGCAAAAGGUUAAAGGAUUACUAGAUUUAUUUUAUAAAUAUGGUUUGGGUAAUGAUCCUUCAAGACCUCGUAAAGAUGCCUAUGGAAAACAAGUAAUAAUUACUUCACUGCAUAUCUAAAUAAUUAUAACUAAUUAUAUUGCUAAGAAAAUAAGUAAUUAAUUACUUUAUGCAACAAUAACAAUUUUUUUCCAAGCCAUAGAAUCAUACAAUGUCAUCAAUUGAUAAAUAUAAUUCAGCUUGUUUAUUGUCAAAGACCCCAAGAUAAAUUUCACUAAAUGAUGAUCUAGUCAACCCUCAACAAGCGUACUUGCAAAGAACAUCUAUUUUUGCUGGUACUUUGUAUUCCUGCAUAUUCUUAAUAGAUUUCUUUAUAUAACUAGAAUAAUAAAAAAUAUUAUUAUUAAUUUAAGACAUAUCAAAGAAAAACAAUAAUUAUAGAGAUGUGUUGGGAAAAGAACUCACACAAGCAGUUGCAAAGUAAGUGGAAACAAACUAUGUCCCCUUUUUUGUGAUUAAAACAGGAUAUGUACCAUACAUUAACAAACAGAAAAUAAACCAACACAAUCUAAAACAAUAAAUCAACCACAAGAGGCACAUAUUUUUACGUGAAAAACCUAAAUCGAGAAAAACCAUAGGAUGGUAGUCCGAUAGAACCUUCAACUAUAUUAAUAAUGGGAUUACAGAAAAAAUUAUCUCUAGAUAAUACUAGAGGCUAACAACAUAAAAACAUCAAGAAUCUCAAAAUCUUGGCCUAUAGUAACAGCUUAAUAUUUAUCGAUCUAACAAGUAGGUAUCUCAAAUAACAACCAUCAGAAGGAUAAAAAAAAAAUCAAGACAAGUAGGAUUGUAGAGGUGAUGCCAAUAACUUACCCACUAAAUUCAAGUGAAAACGGAGUUAAAAUGGCAUUUCGAUCGUCCAAUCAAAACUUGAAACUCUUGGCUCAAAAAUCAAAUAUUACACCAUUGUCUAUUUUUUUUCUCUCUUGUAUUUUUCUUCUCUUUUCUAUCAUUGUUGCAAUUUGCUUUUCUUUUCUUUUUCUUUCAUAUAUAUUAUUAUUUGGCUAAUUUCAUCUAACUCCAAAACUUAAUAUUAAUUGCACAUCAAGUGAGCCUUUUAGACUUGAGGCUUUAGGGCCAACCAAAUAAGAUAGACCCAAAAAUAUGUACCCCAAUAUCAUUUAAGAUGACAAAUUGUUUAGGCCAAGUAUCAACGCCAUGAGUCAUGGGGCCAACUGUUGUGGCUUGGCUUGGGGCCUUGUGCCGAGUCUUGACAGCAAAUGGGUGUGCUUGUGGUGAGCGCGGAAAUAAGGCAGGGUUGGUGCAUUGGCUAGGGCGCGGCAGCAAGGCGUACGUUGUGGCAUGGCCACAAGCAAUACAGGACAGCGCGCACGAGAGCGUGUGUGGGUGGCGCACGCAGUAUCUAGCAAGAGCAUGGGUGCAAUGGGCGCACGAGUGUGUGGUACAGUGGGCGGUCGAGCACGGGGCAUGAUGGGCGUGUGAACACAAGGCGUUGAGGUGCGCAAGUGCGAGGCACAAUAGUGCGCAAGCGAGCAUGGCACAAGACGCGCGAGCAUGGGGCUCAACAACAUGUGAGUCAGCUAUUGGAUUGCGUGAACAGUUGCGAGAUUUUGGCAUAUUUGUGUACCAGAGUGCGCACGAAAGUGCAGCGACAUGAGGCAUGCAUGUAGGGGCUGAAUCAUGCGAAAAUAAGAGGCGUUCAUACGCAGACUGGGUAAGGACAAUGGUUGUUGGAUGUGGAGCAUGGUUGGCUGCAACUCUCCAAGAAAUGGGCCUAAAAUUAAGCGUGAGUGGCAGUUGCGAGUACAACUAGAGUGGGAGAACAUGGUCUUGAUCAUGUGCCUAAAAAUGAUGAGCAAGAUAGUGGGUGUGGCAGUUACAACUCAUGAUUCCUUACUAAUGGACAUGGUGAGCAACGAUUGCUCAAAUCAAAGGGGAGUGGAGAUGUACUCAUAGGAUUAUGCUUAGUGGGUGCCUAAAAACUUGGGGAGGGAUUUAAGGUGGCGUGAGAGUGGCGCACCACCUAACCUUAGCAAGUGGGGGUGUCACUUGCAAACCAUGCAUAUAAAUAGUGAUGGGGAUGUAUGUUGGGGCGCGAGUUUUGAGUUGAGCAUUUUGUCCUUGAGCAUAAACCUAAAAUUGUUUGUAAAUCUUUUCUUAUUGUGGAAAUAGAAAAGUUGGGGGUUGGUGCCUUAGUAAAAAGCCAAAUACUUGUGCUCUUGUGUUGUGUGUGUGUUGUUCUUUGUGUUGGCGAGAAAGUGUUCUUGCAUAACCUCCAUUUACGAGUGCUGACAUGCUUCUUGUUAAAUUGCUUCCGUUGGGUUUGGGUUGGCUGGCUAAGUGGAGUUCUUAGUGCCAUCACGCGGGUUGCCACACCUAGCUUAUAAAAGCCCGGUGACACCAAGCAACAUGGGAUCCAAUGACAUGGCUAACAAGAACUAAGUCAUACCCAAUAAGCCUUGGUAAAAAGGCAUCUCCUUUAAUUGCAAUAUUAACAGCCACAUGAACAUAUGUGACUAUCAAUGGUACUCUAUGCACAGUCACAUUAGGAUAAUUUUUUCUAACAUUGUACCUUUGGCUAUAACAUUUUUUUGUUGCCCACUGCUAACUUGCAUGAUUUGCCUUGCAUUAUCUAUGUGUAAAAGUAUUAAUCAUAGCAUUAUAAGUGAUAAAAAUUUAAACUUUGAGAUUUGGAAAAAAAAAGUGCACUUAUUUUUUCAUAUAUACCUAUUUCUUCUUAAAGCACUAAUUUUACAUAUAUACUUGUUUAUUCUUGGAGUACUUUUUCUCUAUUCUUGGUUCCUUAGAGCAACUACCCUUUUCUGAGGGAAUUUUUAGUGACUGGAUCAAUAUGACUCCAUUCUUUUGGAACAUUUUGUUGACCUAUAUGGUUAUACAGUCUUUCAAUUUUGACUAUAACAAACCAUGUGUCAAUGGUAGAAUAUGAAAUGCAUUGUUCAUAAGCUUAAGGUAUUCAAAUGCACAAAACUCUAUCUAGACAAGAAUGGGCAUUAGGGUCACUAAGCUUAGAUAUUUCAUUUUGUAAAGCUCAUUUGAACAAAUGAAUGCAUGAUCAAAGCAUUUAAAAGCUCAACUUAUUCUCUCAUUAUAUUUUAAGAAAAAAUCAUUUACGUGGAAAUAUAAUCUCAUAAAAUGAGUUAUUGAACUCUACUAAGAAUGAUUUGAAAGGUUUCGAAAAAAAAAAUGUUAUUUUAAGUUGAACGGACACAGUCACUCAUAUGGUAAAGUUACAAGCAAAGUGGUAUAGUGUGGUUGGGAAUUUAUGUUCUCAGAUGAUGGUUGGGGAUGAGAUCAAAGAGACGGGUAGCUAGGAGUACAAUUAUUUCCUUGUACAUUUAUAUAGCUAUUUCGGUAGGUUUGGAAAAAUCUAUACAUUUUAGUACUCAAACGAUAAACCACUAACUUCAAGUAGGUAGUCGAUAAGGUUGAGAAAUGUUUCUAAAAUUAAGCAGCAUACCGCUAGACUUGAAACAGCUAAUCAAGUGGGUUGAUAUAAGGUUCUAGAAUGAAACGGCAAACCAUUUACUCAUAAGCGGCAAGCUAACUUCCAAUAGAGGGGUCUUUGGAUCAAAUGGCAAACUGAUUAAAUCACAAGCCACAAGUCGACUUCAAUCAAUGAACUCUAAAUCGACAACUCCCAAGCAGCAAUCUAAUUGUGAAAAAAUUUCAAACUUAUGCAUAACGGUAACUAGCCACAUAAGCAAAUAGCAAUCCAUUUCAUUACGAGCGGUAAACCGAUUAUGCUUGAAAAGUCAAUAAUGGCUAAUUUUAUUGAUCAAUCUAAAUAAAUAGCCAAGGAAAACUCAUUUCAAAUUGAACUUUUGAAAUCCAUAUUAGAGUUUAAAAUAGAAAAAAAAGUCUCGAGUUUUUUUAUUUGCUGACACACAUUUAUUGAUUUGUAUUUGAGCUAUCAUUGCAAAUAUACUCCUGAAGAGUGCAAUCUUUGUAAACUCCAGUUUCAUUUCAAAAAAUGAGUGCUAGUGAGUGUGUAAAGGUUUAUUGAAAAAGGGAUAUAUAAUCAUCUCUCGUUGAUAGUGUGGGUGUGUAAAGGUUUAUUGAGUGUGUAAAGGUUAAUCUAUCAACGAGAGAUGAUUAAAUAAUCUGAUUAAAGUUAAUGAUCAAUAUGUAUAAAACGUAAAGCCGCGUCAACUUUCAAGAAAACUGAAAAAAUAGUACAAUAUAUAUAUAUAUGAAGCUCCAUCUUUAAAAUCUUGAGAAGCAGAUACAUUUUCUUUUAAUAAUUUAAACAUAUCGAGUACCCUAUAGCCUCUGUAGAGUAGUAUCAACAAUAUUUAACUAGAACUAAACUCCUCAUGUCAAUUUCAGAGGUGACUUUAAUUAUAGGCGAACAUGACAAUUGUCUAAAGUUUCAUUUAGAAAGACCUCAUUAAUUUUUUUUGAGUAUUUCAUUAAUAAUUUUUUAAUUAAUAAAGAUUUUUUAAAAUUACAUAAUGUGAGAAAAAUUUAUUAAACAUCUCUGUAAUUAAUAAUUAUCAUAUAAUUAAGAGUUAUUUUCUAUAGAAUAUCUAUAUUUGGUAACCUUAUUGUUAAAAAAAUAUAAUUAAUAAAAUUGUCUAACUAUUAAUUUAUUCAUUCUUAUUUUUUCUAAGAAAAGUAAAUAAAUUACUUACCUUUUUAGUUUCUUAAGAAAACUUAAUUAUUUAAUGUUAGAAUCUUUAACUUUGAGUAUUCUUUUUAAUUUCUAUUAAAAUGAGGAAUUGACCUGUGGUAGAUUCAGUAAAAAAUAAAUAAGAAUUUCUAAUUGUAAACCUUAUAAUCUAAAAAAUCAUAGACAAAAAAAUUUCUUACUCUCUCCUCUACAAAGAAAAUUAUUACAUACAUUAGUUCAUUUAGAAAAGAAAAACAUUAGUUUCUUGAACUAGAAAGUCCAUAUGCAUUAUGUGAUCAUCAAUUCGUCAUCUCAAAUUUUAAUAUACUCCAUUCUAAAUAUUCUAUUUGAAAAUAAUAUUAUUCUUAUUUAUUUAUUUUUGUAAAAAUUCUAAUGAAAGUAAAUUUUUAGAUUUUGUUUUUGAAAUAUUUUAGGCUCUUCUUUAUUAUUAUUGAAAUUCAAAAACUAAAAAUGAAAUAAAUUUUGAGCUCUAUUAUAAUUUUUUUUAAUAUUAAAGUUUUUAAAUAAAAAGAGGUCUCGUAAAAGAAAAUUUUACCUAUGGCCAAUUUCUCUAAUUUUUAAAAUACAUAUUUUAAAUAUCAAGUUCUCUACAAAAUCUUUAAAAAAAAAAAACUAUUUCUUGUAGUAUUGGAUAUCGAUGAAUGAAUAUCGGCAUCCACAAGAUUCCAAAUCAGUUGUUGGGUUUUCAGAAAACACAUAAUAACAAGCAGACACAAAAAGCUUAUAGUUGUGGCUCCACAAUCACGCAGUCCAGAUCAGCUCCCGUCCAUGUAAUCAAUAUAUGGUCCAACUAGAUGCCUCGUGACCUUUCUCACCCGGCUAACAGCGAGUCAAGAUAUCUCACCGUCACCGGCACUGCACUUACCGCAUUCAGAAUUUUCAGAUCCACCUGUCCAUAACCUUCCCCAGGUCACUGCCACGGGCGUUCCCGCCACCACCAUAGCUCCAAUCGCCAUCAGUCCCUAAUAACCAAAUCACCAACCCAACAGCUCACAUCCGCCUAACAGGCCGAUAUCCUUCGUUUGAUAUUUUUCUUUUGUUUUUCUUUUAUUUAUUUUGAGUCUCCUAAUUAUUUUAUGUUUUAAUUUUUUUUAAUUUUUUAAUUUUUCUAUUUCCUUGUCUUUAUGGUGUUUGUUUUCUGCUCCCGAGAUCUUUUAUAUAUGAUCGUAAAUGGUGUCGAUUCACAGUUUGGAUCAGAAUCGUAUCAGCGUUCAAAUGGAGAGAGUUUGCUUAUAUUGGAGUUGAUGAAUAAUUCUAAUGGUGGUGCAAUGAGAUUUCGAUGACCUGGCCAUGUCGCUGAUGGCAUGGGUUGAGGCCUCAUCGAGAGUCAGGCUGGGAAUACUUGAGAUGAAGUGGUUAUCAUUGCUGAGGUUUUGUAGUUUUUUAGUUCUGUUCUGCAGUUAAUUAGCAUUAUGUUGUGGUGUAUUCUAUUAUUUUUUAUAUUCUUAUUUUCUUAUCCCAUAUAUUGUGCAAUAUGGUCUUGUAUUUAUUAAUCUUCAAUGAUUGUGUUUGUAUAAAUAUAUAUAUAUAUAUAUAUAUGUAGCAUAUUCCAAGAAGGUUUUGACAAAAAAAAAAAGUUGUUUGGUCCACUGAAAACUGGACGUGGCUGAGACGAAAUCCGCUGUAAAUACGUGUCCUUUAAUCAUCAUCUCGAACUUCAUUCUAUCAAAGUGCAUGCCCUAUUUAAACCUCCCACCAUGUGCACUCAGACUCAAGUGUGCACGCAAAUGCCAAAAAACAAGCACAUGGAGCAGCAACAGCAACCCCACUUUCUACUAUUAACAUUUCCAAUACAAGGCCACAUUAACCCAUCCCUCCAAUUCGCCAGGCGUCUUACGCGCAUUGGUACACGUGUCACCUUCGCCAUCGCCAUCUCCGCCUACCGCCGCAUAGCCAAUAAUCCCACGCCCGAAGACGGCUUGUCGUUUGCCAGCUUCUCCGAUGGAUAUGACGACGGAUUCAAUUCCAAACAAAAUGAUCGGACGCACUACAUGUCGGAGUUCAAGCGUCGUAGCUCCGAAGCCCUGGCUGAGCUCAUCACGACCAGUCAAAACGAGGGUGGUCAACCGUUUACUUGCUUGGUUUACCCUCAACUCCUUCCUUGGGCUGCUGAAGUGGCGCGUGCGUAUCACCUCCCUUCGGCGCUACUCUGGCUUCAACCAGCCCUCGUUUUCGACGUUUAUUACUAUUACUUCUAUGGAUAUGGCGAUCUAAUUGAAGGGAAGGUUAAUGAUUUGAUAGAGUUACCGGGACUGCCGCCACUCACCGGCCGUGAUCUUCCUUCUUUCCUAGAUCCCAGAAAUUCAAAUGAUGCUUACUCUUUCGUAUUACCUUCUUUUAAAGAACAAAUGGAGGCAAUUGUUGAAGAAACCAAUCCAAGAAUUCUUGUCAACACGUUCGACGCAUUAGAAGCUGAGACCUUGAAAGCUAUCGAUAAGUUCAAUAUGAUCGCAAUCGGACCGUUAGUUGCAUCGGCGUUGUUGGACGGAAAAGAACAGUACGGAGGCGAUCUUUGCCAGAAUAGUUCAAUAGAGUAUUAUAUGGAAUGGCUAAGCUCGAAGCCCAAAUCAUCUGUUAUCUACGUGGCAUUCGGAACCAUAUGCGUUCUGGAGAAGCGUCAAGUGGAGGAAAUUGCACGGGGGUUGUUAGAUAGUGGCCAUCCAUUCUUGUGGGUCAGUAGAGAAAGCGACAAUAAAGAUAAAGAUAAAGAUAAAGGAGAAGAUGACGUGAUGAUGAAGUACAAAGAAGAGCUGAAUGAGAAGGGAAUGAUAGUGCCGUGGUGUUCACAAGUGGAGGUUCUGUCACAUGAAGCGGUGGGGUGUUUUGUAACGCACUGUGGGUGGAGUUCGAGCUUAGAAAGUUUGGUAUAUGGCGUGCCUGUGGUGGCGUUUCCUCAGUGGACAGAUCAAGGGACAAACGCUAAAAUUAUUGUGGACUUCUGCAAAACCGGAGUGAGAGUGAAGGCAAAUGAAGAAGGGAUUGUAGAAAGUGAUGAGAUUAACAGGUGUUUGGAGUUGGUGAUGGGAGAAGGAGAUGAUUUUAGAAGAAAUUCUUUGAAAUGGAAGGAUUUGGCCAGAGAUGCCGUCAAACAAGGAGGGUCUUCACAUAAGAAUCUCAAGGCUUUUGUUGAUGACUUUAGCACCAGCAAGUAGUUUUAUCUUCUUCUUUUUUUUCCUCGUUUUUACUCUUUGAAUAUGGGAAGAUUUAAUAUAUAGAAGAAAGACAUUUGUAACGAUUUUUACUUUUUAUCCUCAUCUGUCAUAUGGCAUGAUGGUUACGCGACGAUCGUUAAUUUUGGUGUCAAGAAAAUUUGAUGACGGAUUUUAUAUGUCAGGAAAUGCAUGAUAUAUUAUCCAUUAUAAUUCUAUCAUAAAUAUUUUGAUAAUAAAUUAUCAUGCAUGAUUAACAUUUAUUAUAAUCACUUUCAAAGCAUGACUAAUAUCUAUCGCAAGAGAAUGAUACAUAUAAAUGAAUUUGGCUGGAAUUCCAAAAUCUAAAUAAAUUUGACGAAAUUUUAAAACUUUUAAAUGAGUUGGGCUGGAAUUACAAAAUUAUUUUAUCUAAUUAUUAAUUUAUUCAAUUAAUUGUAUUUAUUAUUGAAUUAAAUUUUAAUUUUGAAAUAUAUUCUUUUAUAAAUUAUUAUUAUGAUGAUGAUGAUAUGUGUAUGUACUCCAAAAUUAUAUAAAUAUAUACAAAUUAAGAAUUUAAAAUUAAUUAAACUACAUAAUAAUAACAUGAAUAUAUUAUUUGUUCUUUUAAACUAAAUACAAUUACUAUCUAUCACAUAAUAUGAACAAGAACAUCAUUCAUUCUUAGGCUAAAUCAAACUCCAUAUUUCCACUAAAAACAUAAAAAUUCCAGCUUCUGAGAGAUGAUUGGUACAAACGUUGCAUGUUAGCUUAACUAGCAAGCAAAAAACUAAAGCACUUCACCAACCAACUACAGUCUAACAAAUUAUGUGACGUUCAGGACAAAAUCCAGCAUGGGGUCCUUAGAUCCAAAACACAAUUUAGUUGCCGGCCACCUGGAAUUUCAAUUAAGAGAAAAAAAAUCAGUUGGAUAAUCUCAAAAACCAAGUUUCCAUCAAUUUUAUCUUUGCAAAAUGCUGUUAGGAUUUUGGUGGGUGAAGCAGAACCACAGUUAAAAUGAAAUUGAAAGAAAAAAUAAAGAACAAGCAGAAAUAGGAGACCAAGAAAUUACGUGGUUCGGCUUUUAGCCUACAUUCACGGGCGAAGAUAGAAAGAAAAUAUUUUACUAGUGAUAUGAGAAUUACAAAUAUUGUAAUAUUUUGGCUCACUACCCAGAACCCAAUACACCCAAUCUCUCACUCACUAGACUCACAAGAACUUUAUAAUUUAAACAUUUAAAAUUACCCAAGCUCCCUGCUUUCUCUCUCACAAAUUUUUGAUGCCAAAAUGAAAAGGGGAGCUCUCCCUUUUUAUAGCCAAAAUUGGCUAUUAAAAUAUUAUUUUUUUCUCACCGCCAUUAUCUUCUUCAUUCUUCUUUUUCCUUCUUCAAAGAACGCUACUGCCAAAUUCCAUUGUUUCUUCUUCUUUCAUUUUGUCUUUGUUCAAAUUUGGCAGCUUCAACUAUUCCUUUUGCUUCAGCAACUUUCCCCUUCAAUAUUUGCUACUUCAAAGUUUCUUCAUUCUUCUAGAUUGGUGGCUGUCAAAGCCAAUUUGAAUUUGGCUUGUUAAAGCCACUAGCUUUGUCAGCCAUUAUUUUGACAUUCUCCUACUUGGAGAUUUGAUUGAGGAUCAAUCAAUCUUCACCCAUCAUUUUUGUUUAGCCAUUGUCAUGCUGCUUACAUCUCUAUUAGGUCACAAGAGGAUCUACUCUAUACAAACUUGUCAGUAUUGAUUGGUUUGAUCAUAACAUAUGUCCUUCGUAUGGAUUUUCAAUAAAUCUACACUUCUGUCUUCCACUACUUCUCGAACAAAGUGAUAUUGUAUCCUUAUGUGCUUUGUCCUGGAAUGAAAGGCUGGGUUCCUUGCAAUAUGCAAUGUGCAAGGCGCUCUAGUCGCCAUGUAUUCUACUUCUAUUGUAGAUAAAGCCACAAUGGUUUGUAGUUUUGAAACCCAGCUUACAGUUCCUCCCGUAAGUGUAAAUACAUAGCCAAUAGUGGAUUUCCUUUUAUCAAGGUCUCCUGUAAAAUCUGAAUCCACGUAACCCCUGACAGUAAAUUCUGAUUCUCCAUAACAUAAUGCAACAUUGGAGGUUCCUCUAAUGUAUCUCAAAAUCCUUUUCACAGUUUUCCAAUGUUCUCCACCAAGAUUCGCUAUGUAUCGACUGAUUGCUCCCACUGCUUGUGCAAUGUUUGGUCUAGUACAUAUUAUAGCAAACAUUAAACUUUCCACUGCUGAUGCAUACGGUACUCGAGACAUCUCCUUCCUCUCUGCUUCAUUGCUAGGACACAUACUUGAGGAUAAUUUGAAAUUAACAAGAGGUGGGGUAAAAAUUAGCUUACAAUCGUGCAUGUUGAAGCAUCAUAAGAUUUUCUUCAAGUAGUUCUUCUGAGAAAGCCAAAUCUUCUAGUUAAUUCUCUCUCGGCGAAUUUGCAUCCCUAGAAUCUUGUUUGCUGGUCCUAAGUCCUUCAUUUUAAACUUCCUAGUCAAUUGUGCCUUCAAUUCUUGGACUCGAUCUUUGUUAGGGCCUGCUGCCAACAUGUCAUCCAUGUACAACAUCAAAAUAAUGAAAUCAUUAUCUUCAAACCUCUCGUAAUAUGCACAAUGGUCUGAACUGAGUCCGUUGCAUCCAAGACUCAUGAUGAAGGAAUCAAAUCUCUUAUACCAACACCUCAGUGUCUGUUUGAGACCGUAUAGAGAUUUGUUCAACCUGCAAACCAAGUUCUCCUUUCCUAUUUCAGCAAAAACUUCUGGUUGGAGCAUAUAUAUUUCUUCUUCAAGUUCUCCAUGAAGAAAUGCAGUUUUCACAUCUAACUGCUCAAGAUGUAAGCCAAAUGUAGCAAACAUCGCCAAGACUACUCUAAUUGUUGUAAGUUGAACCACCAGAGAAAAUAUCUCAUUGAAGUCAAUACUUUCUUUCUGAGCAUAUUCUUUCAUCACCAAUCUUGCACGAUACCGCUCCACUUGGCCAUUACUAUCACGUUUGAUCUUGUAGACCCAUUUGUUACCAAUGGCUUUUCUUCCGCGUGGUUGUGAUACAAGUUCACAUGUCUUGUUCUCGUGUAGAGUUUCAAUUUCCUCCUGCAUUGUUGUCAUCCACAAAGCAACAUUUGAGUUGUUUAAAGUUUCAUGGAAAGUUGAUGGCUCUCCAUCCUCUGUUAGAGGACAGUAUACAACAUUAAUAUCCGUGACAUACUCCGAGUGCCAUUUUGGCGGUCGUCUCUCACGAGUUAACCAACGAACUUCUGAAGCCUUGGACUCGACUAGUUCUUGUUCCUUAUGCUCUGGUGAUGCUUCAGAAGAAUUCGAAUCUUCUGGAUUAUUUUCCAUAUAUACCGGUACAAUCUCUGACUUUUCUUUUACAGUGUUAUCAUCCUCAUCUCUCUUUUAAAAUUGAUCUUCUACAAAGAUAACAUCUCUGCUGAUGACAAUCUUAUGGGCAGUGGGGUCCCACAGACGAUACCCUUUUACUCCAUCGGCAUACCCCAAGAAAAUACACCUUCUAGAUUUUUUAUCUAACUUUGUUGUUUCUUGGAUAUUGUACAUUACGUACACAGGACAUUAAAUGCAUGUAGGUAGGAGUAAUCAGCUAGCUUUCCAGUCCACAUCUCCAUCGCUGUCUUCAGCCCAAUAGCAAUGGAUAGCGACCGAUUUACUAUAUAACAAGCAGUUUUGGCUAUUUCUGCCCAGAAUGAAUUAGGUAGACCAGCAGUCCUUAAUAUAGCUCUUAUCCUUUCUGUAAGAGUCAUGUUCAUCCGCUCUACCUCUCCAUUUUGUUGAGGAGUUUAUGUUACCAUGAACUGCCUCUGAAUACUUUCUUGCUUAUAGAAAACAAAAAAUCCGCCGUCUGUAUACUCUCCACCAUUAUUUGUCCUCAAGCACUUAAUCGUUUUGCUAGAUUCAAGUUCCACUCGAGCUUUGUAUUCUUUAAACACUGAAAAUACAUCUAACAUUUUCUUAAUUGGAUACACCUAACAUCUCCUGGAAUAAUCAUCAAUGAAAGUCACCAUAUACUUUGCAUCUCCUAUGGAUAUGUCUGGUGAUUCCCAAACAUUAGAGUGAACGAAGUCUAUAAUGCAUUUACUUCUAGCAAUAGAUCUACUAAACUUUAAUUUAUAUUGCUUACUUAUAACACAAUACUCACAAAAUGGUAAGCUUACCGAUUUGAGACUUGGAAGUAAUUUUCGCUCAGAGAGAAUCUUUAAACCUUGUUCCAACAUGUGACCAAGUUUGAUAUGCCACAUCAUCAUUGACUCUUCUCUAUUUGAUACAACACAAGCAUCAGCUUAAUGUAGUGUUUCUCUUUUAAGUAUGAAUAGAUUGGCACCGAUCUUUUCUGGCUUCAUCAGUACAAGUACACCUUUAACAAUCUUCAUAAUUUCAUUUUCCACAUGAGUUUUGCACCCAUGACUAUCUAUUUGUCCUAAAGACAAUAGAUUUUUCUUCAGCGCGUUGACAUGUCGUACCUCCCCAAUUGUACGAAUUGUACUAUCAAAUAUUUUUAUUUUGAUAGUAUCAAUACCAACGAUCUCCAAUGCAUGAUUGUCACCCAUAUAUACAGAUCCUCCUGAGAAAGGUUCAUAUGUGUGGAACUGUUCUCUCUGAGAGGUCAUGUGCUAGGUAGCUCUUGGAUCUAUGAGUCAGACGUUAGAUAGCCAUUUUCUGCCUUCUAAAACAGUUGUUGCCUCGCUGUAGAGAAUUUCGCUAUCAUCCUAGGUACUUGCUACACACCCCUGAGCAUUUGAUGACUCAGGUUAUUUGCCCUCUCUUCUCUUCUGGUUGUUCCAACAGUCUUUCUUGAUGUGCUCUUUCUUGCCAUAGUUGUAGCAUUUAAUAUUCUUCUUACUUCUAGAUUUUGAUCUACCAUGAUUGUGAUUUCUACUGGGGCCACGUUCCAUUGAUCUCCCACUCGUCACUGAUAGUGCUUCUGCUUACUGCGAACUUGUUUGUCUGUCUUCUUUAUUUUUCCUCCUGCCCUCCUUAUUUAAUACAGAGGCUGCAACAUCAUCGAAAACUAGACUGUCCGCUGGGGUAUUGUUUGUCAAAUUAAUGAUGAGUUGAUCAUACGAAUCUGGUAGACUUUGAAGUAGAAGCUCCACAUGUUCAUUUUCCUUUAUAUUAGGACCUAACGUUAAUGAGUUGUGAAAAUAGAGUCUUUAAGGUGUUGAUGUGAUUGGUCACUGAUGUAAAUUCUAUUAUUCAAAGGGUCUAGAGUCUAGAGUCUUCUCUUUAAGAAGAUUUUAUUGUGCAGCGAUUUGGCCUCGUACAAUUUUGUGAGAGUAUCCCAUAUUUCCUUUGUUGUCUUUUUCUCUGCCAAACUGCAUAAUACUCCAUCCGCAAGUGCUAAGUGUAAAUAGAAAUAGCGUUGCCAUCUAUCUCGUUCCACUUGUCAUCAAUUAUCUCCAUGAGCUUUUCUCCAAUUGCUGUCAAGCAAUUAUUUUUCCUCAAUACAGUUUUUAUCUUCAUUUUCCACAAUGAAAAAUUAUUUCAGUUGAACUUUUCAAUUUCAUAUUUUUCCGCCAUCGCUUUUCACCACAAACUAACUUUGCUAAGAUUAGCUCCCACCACUUCACGUGAACAGGAACAGUAUACGUGAACAGUACCGUAUACGUGAAUAGUAUCCUAUACGUGAAUAAUACUUUUACGUGAACAGUACCAACGACUCCAAAAAAAAAAUACAACCAGUAGCUCUGAUACCACAAUUAGGAAAUUAGUGGGUGAAAUAGGACCACAGAUAAAAUGAACUUGGAAGAAAAAAAUAAAGAACAAGCAGAAAGAGGACACCAGGAAAUUAUGUGGUUCGGCUUUUAGCCUAUAUCCACGGGCGAAAAUAGAAGGAAAAUAUUUUACUAGUGAUAUGAGGAUUACAAGUAUUGUAAUAUUUUGGCUCACUACCUAGAAUCUCAAUACACUCAAUCUCUCACUCACUAGACUCACAGGAGCUUGAGUAAUUUUAAAGGCAAUUUUAAGCCUUUCAAAUUACUCAAGCUCUUUGCUUUCUCACUCACAAAUUUUUUAUGCCAAAAUGAAAUGGGGAGCUCUCCUUUUUUAUAGCCAAAAUUAGCUAUUAAAAUAUUAAUUUUUUCUCACUGUCAUUAUCUUCUUCAUUCUUCUUUUUCCUUCUUCAAAGAGCGCUGCUGCCAAAUUCCAUUUUUUCUUGUUCUUUCUUUUUGUCUUUGUUCAAAUUUGGAAGCUUCAACUCUUCCUUUUUCUUUUUCCUUGUUUUCUUUGGGUGGCACUUUUCCCCUUCAAUAUUUGCUGCUUCAAAGUUUCUUCAUUCUUCUAGAUUGGUGGCUGUCAAAGCCAAUUUGAAUUUGGCUUGUUAAAGCCACCAGCUUUGUUAGCCAUUAUUUUGACAAUUAUUUGCUUUAAUAAACUUCAAUAUGGCCUCAAAUUGACGUAUACAAUUUGAGAAAGUGCAACAUCAAUAAAACUCUCAAUUAUCUUAAUGUAGUCUUAUUGUACCUAACUGAUAACUUUCAACGUAAAACAUGAACUAUAAAAAGCCUCAAACAUAUAUAUUUCACCUUAAACACUUUAUGAACUAAUAAAGUAAUAGAGUACAGUUUAGAAAAUUAUUUACAAUUUUAUAACUACCAUAAAGAUUAAACCCUUAUGUGGUGUAAAAUUAAAUUUUAAGAUCUAAAUCCCUAACAUAACUUCAAUAAUUUAAAAAAACCUAGAAAUGAUCAAUAAAAUUUUUCUUUCUAAUUUUCAAAUUCCAUUCACAAUAAUUUAAUUUUAACUUAAUAAGAAACAAAAACAAUCAAAUCAUUAUAAUAAAUGUUCAUUCUAAAAUAUCACUUCCUAAGAACACAUAAGAGUUAGGACAGAGGAGACGACAUACCGGAGCUAGUGGAGGAGUUGUGGAGAUAUUAGUAGCAGAUGCAAUAGAGAUGUGAGCAUGCACCGAGUAGAAGGGGGUUAGUUUAGGUCGUUUGGAGUUGGAGGUUGCUGGUUCUAGUUUGGCUCCUUUGGAGAAAUUGAAGGGGGGCUAUGCGAGUUAAAAAGAAAGACGUUUGGCAUUUGGGUUUUGUUUUAAAUUAAGGUGGAGGUGCAAUUAGUCAUAAAAGAGGGUUAACUUAAAACAAUUUAAUUUUAAAGUUUCAAUUAUAUUUAAAAGUUCAUGACAAAUGUCUAUCAUAGUGCACAAGCAUCGUCGAAACUCAAAAAAUGUAAAAAUCAAUGUUAUAUUACAAUGGUAUUUUUGUAAUUAAAGUUAUUAAAGAAAAAUUAAAUAAUUGAAUUAAUAAUAAAAAAACGACGUCAUUGCAUACCAUGCCUGUCAUGGUUUGAAACGAUGUCAUUUCAAUCUAUGACAAUGCCUGUCAUGCUUCGUAAACAAUGUUAGAUGGUAUCGUAAAACGACUUGUCAUUUUAAUUUAUUAAAAAAUUAGCAUUACAUAUAUCUAUCAUUUACUUAUGUCAGUAAGUUAUAAGUCACGAAUAAGUCAUGUAAUCUUGACAUAUAAUUAUAUGUCACGAACAUGUCGUACACAUAAAUGAUAUAUUUGUGACACAAUGUUAUCUGUUAUGAAAAUUUUGUCAUUAAUUUGCGUUUCUUUAGUAGUGUUUAGGAUCAUAUGAUAUAUGAUAUGGUAAGAGAUGAUAUAAUUAAAUAUUGUAUGUGUGUAUGUUUAGUUGAAUUUUGUAUGAUUAUUAAUUAUAUGUUUUUCAAAAUAAAUAUACUUAUGUCAUAUAAUAUUAUUUAUUUAUUAUCAUCAUAUUUAUAAAAAAUUUAGCAUGCAUCGCUCUUUUUAUUAUUAUUGUUAUCAUUUUAUAUGUGGACAUACAAUUAUAUAUAAUUGUGGUGGAUCAGUACCCUAGUCUCCAGAGUGACGCUAUAUAUUUAUAUAUAUGCAGUUCACUCCACAAUAUCAGCCAGUAAGUACAUGAAAUGGGGUGAAUUAGUACCCUAGUCUCCAGAGUAAUGUUGUGUGUGUGUGUGUGUGUGUGUAGACACUUGUACAACUAUGUGCUGAGAUAAAUUUGAGCUUUAUGCCUUUUAUCUUACAUUUCCAAGUAAAAAUAUUCAUUAGAUAAAAGUUUGAGAUUUACCUUGAUUGGCCAUGAAUCCAAAUUUUAUUAUCCAGCUUGCCUCUUACUCGUGAGUCUAACAUUUUUUUCUUCUAAUUUGCAGUGAUUCUACCUUAAAUUUCAGCUGCAAAAUCAAGCUCACUAUGCACACAAACACAAUCGCCUAAGAGGGAGGGAGAGAGAGAGAGGUGCACUGUACUCAUACCCCAUAUUCUAUGAAUAGUGAACUCCGAAUAAGCUGAAGGUACUUAAAUAUUAUAACUGAGUGCAGGGACCCCUCAUGUGUUACUACAAAAUUGCCCAUUCCAUUAUGAGCUAAAAUAACACAAUUGAAGGUUAUACUUGCCCAUAAUGGACUACUAUAUAGGGUAUGACAAAAUUAGACUCAUUAACAUAAUAUUUGAUCAUUUAAUAAAUGAGUCUGCCAAAAGUGCUCUUUAAUAUUUGACAUCAGUCACAUAUUAAUCUGGUAAAACAUGAAAAACAAUUAGAAUGAUCUAUGUCAAUCUACAAUAUGUGAGAAAUAAAUCUAACACAAUGUACUAACCUUUUUUAGGCAGAAAAGAUUUUUGUUCAAUCAAGUCAUCAAUAAUAAACAAAAAUAAAUGUAUAACUUUUCUAAUGGCAAAAGAACUAUUAAAAAUAGCUUUGAAUUUGGCUGUUAAUAAAUAAACUUCAGUAUAAAACAGUAGUAUCAUUAUUAAAUAGUGGAGAAUGCAUAUUUAUAAAGGGUAAAAUUAUCAUUUUGUAUUCCAAAUCUCACUAACAUUUCAACUUUUACGUGUUUAAAUCCUCUAACCUUUUAUUAUGUGCGUUUUAUUAUAAUUUAAAUGUUUUAUAUAUUUUAGGGAUAUUUUGGCCAUUUCACAACUAACGAGAAGUCGGACAACAAAACGGAUGACAUUUUUAAAUACUGAUGUGGACGGCCAACAAAACGGAUGGCUAUUGGACCAAAAUACUGACGUGGCUAUUGGACCAUAAUAUUAUUAUUAUUAUUAUAAUCAUUGUCCAUUAUAAUUAAUAUUAAUAAAAAUUACUAUAAUAAUAUAAAAAAUGAUAAAAUAGAAAUUUUAUAAUUUAAGUGAGGGUAAUAUGGUCACUUAAGGGAAUAAGAAUCCCAUUCCCACCUCCCUAUGAGAAUUCAUUUGGCAAAAGCAGAGCUUCUAAGCUGUAAAGGCUGUGACACACCAAUGACUACAGGAACAAAACUUCAAAAACAAGUUGAUGGUUCACUUGGUCAAUUCAUUGAAGAUCCUUCAGCAUAUAGAAGUUUAGUUGGAGGCUUACAAUAUGUGAUACUUACAAGGCCUGAGAUAGUCAAUAUGUUGCUAUGCCAACUUUACAGCAUCUAAUGGCGUGCAAGAGAGUGUUGAGAUACUUAAAGGAAACUCAUGAUUAUGGACUGAAAUUUAGAAUUGAAGGAGAGCUGACACUAACUGGAUACACAGAUGCAGAUUGGGCUUGUGACAUUAAUGACAGGAAAUCAGUUGGUGCAUACUGUAUUUACUUGGGAAACAAUCUAAUCUCAUGGUCUUCUAAGAAGCAAUCAGUUGUGACUAGAUCUAGUGCUGAAAGUGAAUAUAAAUCUCUUGCUUCAGCUUGUGCAGAGAUUACUUAGCUUCAAUCAUUAUUCAGUGAAAUGAAUCUGCAGUGCACUUCAACUCCAGUGAUAUGGUGUGAUAACAAGAGUGCCACUGAGCUUGUAAAGAACCCAGUUUAUCAUUCAAGAACCAAACACAUUGAACUGGAUAUGCACUUCAUCAGAGACAAAGUUGUUGCCAAGGAAUUGCAGAUCAAUUAUAUACCCAAUGAAGAACAAAUUGCAUAUGUCUUAACCAAACCCUUAACCUUUAGUCAUUUUAACUUUUUCAGAAGCAAACUCAAUGUGCAACCUUGCCCGUUGAGUUUAAGGGGGGCUAUUAAGGAAGCACAUCUCAGCUUCUUAGUCAAAGACCAGUCAAUGCAAAGAGUGAUCAAAGAAGCCAAGUCAGCAGAGUGAUUGAGAGUGUGCCAGAUCAUUGACAGCUCAGGUUAAUUAAUUACACUUGUCUAUUGUGCUCUGCAUCUUUUAUUUUGUUAUUUUUUGUUUUCGUUUUAUGCAGUUAGUUAAGCUCACGAGCUUGAUAUAAAUAGAUUGUAUUUCUAUUUUGUUAUAUGAUGAAAUACUAAUAAUAAACAUUCAGUUCAAGAAUAUUCUUUUCCUCUGUAAAUUUUCUUUUCUUCCAAACACAAUAAGAUUUUCCUUUAAUCCAACAUCAGAAAGUUGAUUAAUUUGCGCCGUCUUGAUAUAAUGGGUGCAUGUUUAAUAAAAGAGAUGCCAUUUGGAAUAAAGGAGUUAAAGAAUCUUCAGGUGCUAUCUAAUUUUAUUGUGGGCACGGGUACCAGAUCAUCCGGCUUGAAAGAUCUGAAGAGAUUAACACUUCUCAAUGGAGAACUUUGCAUUUCGAGAUUAGAGAAUGUGAAUGACCCGCGGGAGGCAAAAGAAGCUGCAUUAUGGGAGAAAAAGAAUCUAGAAUCAUUGUCCUUACUGUGGAGGUCUAAGUUUGACAGCUCCCGAAGAGAGGUUUUAGAAGAAAGUGUACUUGACGUGCUAAAACCUUAUCCAAAUAUCAAGAAACUCACAAUUAUGUGCUACGGUGGGCAAAGAUUUCCUUCUUGGAUAGGAGAUCCAUCUUUCUCCGUGAUAGAGGUCCUUAAAUUAGAAAAUUGUGAAAAUUGCACAUCCUUGCCAUCGCUUGGGUUGUUGAGUUCACUUAAGCAUCUUAUGUUAGAUUAAUUUUAUAUUAAUCUAAUAUAUUUGGGGCCACACAUGAAAUAAAUAAAAUGUGUGUGCUAUUAUUUAAUAAGCCAAGAAUUAAGUGAUCUAAUUGAAGUUCAUUAAAUGGUUAAGGGUAUAAUUAUUGUGGAUUAAAUGCAUAGAUACCAGAAUUUAAUCAUCACUUUAAUGAGGGGCUGAAGUAAUUAUUAUCAUAAAUACGUGACUGUUGGGUUUUCUAAAAGAAAACUAAUAGUCACGAUAUUUAUAUAAAAAGGGGUUAUGGUCCCCAAUCUCUCUAAUAAUCUUUUGUAAUUCUCUAAUCCUCUCAAAGAGAAUUCUAAACUCAAGAAAAAGAGAAGAUUGGAAGUCCAUCUCCUACACUCAAGAACCACUACGAAUCACCAUGGAUUCAGGUACGCUUCCGCUUUCGUAUUUCUCAGUAAUUUAAUAUGGAUGUUAUGAAGAUUAAGAGGACAACAAGUGGUAUCAGAGCCACAUCCAUGAUUAGAUUAUUGAGUUAUUAAUAUCAUUUUGCUUGAAAUUUUGUAAUUGUUGUGGUUAGACCACGUUUCGGUUUCGGUUUUAUCAAUUAUUUCGGUUAUGGUUUUAUAAUCUUUAAAUUAAAAUGAUUUAUAACAUAAGUUUAUUAUUGGUCUAACAUUGAUAUGCUAAUUAAAACAAGAAGUCACCAAAGUGAUAUCUCUUGUGUAGAGUAGUUUAUUUGAAGUGUUAGAUGUUUGUGUUUGUGUAAUUCCUGCGGAUGUUAAUCGACCCAAAGGAAGGUUAAUAUUUGGCCUAAUUACACACACACUUGUGAUGGUAAAUUUGUGACGAUUAUUAAGAUAACUUAAUGUGAGUAAUUUACUAAUCCAAAGAUUGGUUCAUUACUUGACAUAAUUUAUUGUCAAAAUUUGAUAAUUGCAACAAGAGUACCAUUUACAAUUAGUAUUAUAGUCCAAAGACUUGUUACUAAUGUUGUGCUAGGUAUCUUGAAAUGUUAUAAUUUUUUUAAUUUUUAAAGAUUAUUACUUGAGUUAUUUAAUGUGAGUAUUAUUAUUAUUAGGGAAAUUAUCAUUUGUAUACCCUAUAUUUGCUCUGUUAUCAAAAAUACUACAACACUUUGAGGGUGUAUCAAUCGUCCACCCUUAGUUGACAAAAUGUAUCAGCCGACCACCAAACCGUUAGUUGCCGUUUGAAAGUUAACGGAAGUACAGUGAAUUGACGAUUUUACCCUUGAAAACUAUCACUUGUAUACCCUUAAAUUCUCUUUUUAUCACUUGUAUACCCUUAAAUUAUCACUUGUAUCAUAUGAAAAGACCAAAUUACCCUUCUGACGUCAUCAUACUUAAACGGCAACUAACGGUUUGGUGGUCAGCUGAUACAUUUUGUCAACUUAGGGUGGACGAUUGAUACACCCUCAAAGUGUUGUAGUAUUUUUGAUAAUGGAGUAAAAUAAGGGUAUACAAAUGAUAAUUUCCCUUAUUAUUAUUAUUUUUUUCUCUAUUCAGCUUUUUUGUCUGCUACUUCUAUAUCUGCAAACAUGAAUAGUGUCCCGGUUCUAAAUGGGACUAAUUUUAAGGACUGGAAAGAGAAUAUGAUGAUUCUCUUAGGCUGCAUGGAUCUAGACUUAUCAUUCAGACACCCUAAGCUGGACGAACUCACUGAUGAUAGUACAUCUGAGGAUGUGUUAUACUAUGAGAAGUGGGAUCGAUCUAACAGGAUGAGUCUUAUGAUCAUGAAGCGCGGUAUUCCAGAAGUAUUUAGGAGUGCUAUAAUUGAUGAGGUUACAAGUGCUAGUGAGUUUCUUACCGAAAUUCAGAAACGUUUUACAAAAAACGAUAAGGCUGAAACAAGUACGCACUUAGCAAGCUUGAUUUCCAUGAAGUAUAAAGGCAAGGGAAACGUUCGGGAGUACAUCAUGUAGAUGUCUCAUCUUGCUUCUAAGCUUAAGGCAUUAGAGCUCGACCUAUCUGAUGAUUUGGUUGUGCAUUUGGUCCUUAUCUCUCUCCCAACACAAUUUAAUCAGUUCAAAGUCAGUUACAAUUGUCAGAAAGAAAAAUGGAAUCUCAAUGAACUGAUUUCCUUUUGUGUACAAGAAGAAGAGAGACUGAAGCAAGAGAAAUCCGAAUCUGCACAUAUGGUAAGCACUUCUAAAGAUAAGGGCAAAAGAACGAAAAAAGGUGAAGCUGCUGCUUGUAAGGGUCCAGAGCCAAAGAAACCAAAGGCCGAGCAUGGCUGUUUCUUCUGCGGCAAGCCUGGACAUGUGAAGAAGGAAUGUCAAAAAUAUCACGCAUGGCGCGUAAAGAAAGGUACAUUUCUUACUUUGGUUUGUUCUGAAACUAAUUUAGCUUCAGUACCAAGAAACACAUGGUGGAUAUAUUCGGGUGCUACUACUCACAUUUGUGUUUCAUUGCAGGGUUGCCUGAGCUACCGGUCGCCAAGUGAUGCUGAAAGAUGCAUUUAUGUAGGAGAUGGCAAGACGGUAGAAGUUGAAGCAAUUGGGCAUUUUAGAUUACUUAUGAAAACUGGUUGUUAUUUGAAUUUGUUAGAUACUUUUGUUGUUCCGUGUUUUAGACGGAAUUUGAUUUCAGUUUCUGUUUUGGACAAAUCUGGUUAUUCUUGUUCAUUUGUAAACAGACAAUUUAGUUUAUCUAUCAAUUCUAAUGUUAUUGGAACCGGUUUACUUAAUGCUUAUGACAAUCUAUAUUUGCUAGACACUGUUUCACGUUAUAAUGAAAACCUGCAUUUUAGUUCCAGAGGUAUAAAGCGUAAAUUAGAAAAAGAAAAUUCAGCCUCAUUAUGGCACAAACGCUUAGGUCACAUCUCUAAAGCUCGACUUGAGCGAUUAGUAUCUGAUGAGAUUUUAAGAUCUCUUGAUUUUACAGACCUUGAUGUUUGUAUUGAGUGUAUCAAGGGAAAACAAACCAAAAGUAAGAAAUUAGGAGCCUACAGAACAUCAGCCGUCUUAGAAUUAAUUCAUACAGAUAUCUGUGGACCAUUCCCUACAGCUACUUGGAAUGGUCAACAAUAUUUCAUUACCUUCAUAGACGACUAUUCGAGAUAUGGCUAUAUAUUCUUAAUUCAUGAAAAAUCACAGUCUUUGGAUGUGUUCAAAACGUUUAAAGCCGAAGUUGAGUUACAACUCAACAAAAUGAUUAAAAAUGUCAGGUCUGACCGUGGUGGUGAAUACUACGGUAGAUAUGAUGGUUCAGGUGAACAACGUCCAGGACCGUUUGCUAAAUACUUAGCGGAAUGUGGAAUUGUCCCUCAAUAUCCUAUGCCAGGAUCGCCUAACAUGAAUGGUGUAUCUGAGAGACGAAACCGCACUCUUAAGGAUAUGGUAAUAAGUAUGAUCAGUCAUUCUACUUUACCAGAAUCACUCUGGGGUGAAGCACUAAAAACAGCAGCUUAUAUCCUAAAUCGAGUGCCAACUAAAGCGGCUGCUAAAACACCUUAUGAGCUUUGGACGGGUCGCAAGCCUAGUCUAAACCAUUUACAUAUUUGGGGCUGUCCAGCUGAGGCGAGGCCUUAUAGACCUCAUAAAAGGACAUUGGAUUCCAAAACUGUAAGCAGCUACUUUGUUGGCUAUGCAGAGCGAUCAAGGGGUUUUAAGUUUUAUGAUCCCAGUACAAGGUCAAUUUUUGAGACGGGAACUGCUACAUUCUUUGAGGAUGUUGAGUUUGGGGGGAGAAAUCCAGUAAGAAACAUUGUCUUUGAAGAUGAAGAGGGAUCCACUGUUGCUUUUGACAAUGUACAAGUUUUAAUACCUGUCAUUGAUCAUGAAGUAAAUUCAGAUCCUCAACCAUCUGACAAUAUUGUUCAACCUCAACAUCAACAUGAAAUGAUUGUUCCUGAGGAACAAACUCAACAACCUCAAGAGCCUGUGCAAUUAAGACGAUCCACAAGAGAAAGGAGAAAUGCUAUUCCGGAUGAUUAUAUAGUAUUUCUUCAGGAACAUGAGGAUGAAACUGGAGUGAUGGAAGAUGACCCAAUUAACUUUCAUCAAGCCAUGCAAAGCUCCAAUUCUCAUAAAUGGAUCGAAGCCAUGAAUGAAGAGUACAAGUCAAUGCAAGACAAUAAAGUUUGGGAACUCAUCUCAUUACCUUCUGGUGCGAAGCCCAUUGGUUGUAAAUGGAUAUUUAAAACCAAAAGGGAUUCAAAAGGUAAUGUGGAAAGGUAUAAAGCACGUCUGGUAGCUAAAGGCUUUACUCAAAAGGAAGGAAUUGACUAUAAAGAGACUUUCUCUCCGGUUUCUACGAAAGACUCUUUUAGGACAAUUAUGUCACUUGUUGCACAUUUUGAUCUUGAGUUACAUCAGAUGGAUGUUAAGACUGCUUUCCUUAAUGGUGACAUUGAGGAAACAAUUUAUAUGGUACAACCAGAAAACUUUGUGUUGGGAGACCCAAAGAAAAUGGUUUAUAAGCUAACCAAAUCCAUCUAUGGGCUCAAACAAGCUUCUCGUCAAUGGUACUUUAAGUUUCAUCAAAUAAUUAUCUCAUAUGGUUUUGAGGCAAAUGUUAUUGAUGAAUGUGUGUAUCACAAGUUCAGUGGGAGUAAACAUAUAUUCCUAGUUUUAUAUGUUGAUGACAUAUUGCUUGCCACAAAUGAUAUAGGCAUACUGCACGACACCAAGAGUUUUCUAUCAAAACAUUUUGAAAUGAAAGAUAUUGGUGAUGCCUCCUUUGUUUUAGGAAUCGAGAUACAUCGGGAUCGUUCUCGGGGUAUUCUGGGAUUGUCACAAAGGAACUAUAUCGAUAAAGUUUUAAAGAAGUUUGGCAUGCAAAACAGUAAACCAGGUGACACCCCUGUCGCCAAAGGAGAUAAAUUCAGCCUUAGUCAAUGCCCUAAGACCAAUCUUGAAAUCCAGGAAAUGGAGAAGAUUCCUUAUUCUUCAGCUAUAGGGAGUCUUAUGUAUGCUCAAGUAUGUACGCGUCCAGAUAUUGCGUUUAUAGUUGGCAUGUUGGGCAGAUAUUUGAGCAAUCCCGGGAUGGAUCAUUGCAAAGCAGCCAAACGGGUUAUGAGGUACUUACAGAGAACAAAAGAGUACAUGCUCACAUAUAGGAGGUCGGAUCAGUUAGAGAUCAUUGGGUAUUCCGACUCUGAUUUUGCUGGAUGCCAAGAUAGCCGAAGAUCCACAUCAGGCUAUAUUUACAUGUUAGCUGGUGGAGCAAUUUCUUGGAGAUCUGCCAAGCAGACACUUGUAGCUUCAUCGACUAUGGCAGCAGAGUUUGUAGCAUGUUAUGAGGCGUCUAAUCAAGGCAUAUGGUUGCGUAAUUUUGUCACUGGGCUGCGCAUUCUAGAAGGUGUAGAAAAACCGCUCAAGAUAUUUUGUGACAAUAAGUCAUCAGUUUUAUAUUCCAACAACAACAGGAGCUCUACAAAGUCAAAACACAUUGACAUCAAGUUCCUUGUUGUGAAGGAAAGAGUACAGAGUGGACAAAUAUCUAUAGAGCACAUUGGGACAAACUCCAUGAUAGCGGAUCCGCUCACUAAAGGAUUACCACCUAAAGUCUUUCAUGAGCACACUGCUCGUAUGGGUGUGAUUUUACUUGAAGAUAUUCAGAUUUAGUGGGAGUUUGUAUCAUUACUAAGUGCGACUUUUAGAUUUUUGAUUAUAUUAUUCAGAUUAUUUUCUGCAGAAAUACAGUAUUUCGGUUCCUUACACUCUGUUGGACUAACUUAAGUUUAGAUCUCAAUAAAGUGAAUUAGGACCAGUUGGGAAUAGACAUGUUUAGAUCACAUUGCAUGUAAUUUCCAUGCUAUGCAUCCACAAUUGAUCUAUGUUAUGUAACUAUCUUGAUAUAUGUGACCAUGGAUGGUUGCGUUACGAUUAAUGUAACAAAGGCCGCUAUGAUCCUAUACCGAUGUAGUUAUUGAACUAGAUUGUUCAUAUAUACCCUACGGACAUAAUAGCAAUUUCAUGAGCUCAUUAAGUUAGACACAUUUCAGUUUUUCAUUUGUGGCCCAGUGGGAGAUAUUGUUAGAUUAAUUUUAUAUUAAUCUAAUAUAUUUGGGGCCACACAUGAAAUAAAUAAAAUGUGUGUGCUAUUAUUUAAUAAGCCAAGAAUUAAGUGAUCUAAUUGAAGUUCAUUAAAUGGUUAAGGGUAUAAUUAUUGUGGAUUAAAUGCAUAGAUACCAGAAUUUAAUCAUCACUUUAAUGAGGGGCUGAAGUGAUUAUUAUCAUAAAUACGUGACUGUUGGGUUUUCUAAAAGAAAACUAAUAGUCACGAUAUUUAUAUAAAAAGGGGUUAUGGUCCCCAAUCUCUCUAAUAAUCUUUGGUAAUUCUCUAAUCCUCUCAAAGAGAAUUCUAAACUCAAGAAAAAGAGAAGAUUGGAAGUCCAUCUCCUACACUCAAGAACCACUACGAAUCACCAUGGAUUCAGGUACGCUUCCGCUUUCGUAUUUCUCAGUAAUUUAAUAUGGAUGUUAUGAAGAUUAAGAGGACAACAUCUUACAGUUAAAGGUUUGACAAAACUCAAGAGCAUAGGUAUUGAGGUUUAUGGAAAGGAUUGCUCAAAGUCGUUUCAAUCAUUGAAGAUUCUUCGUUUUGAGAAUUUGCCAGAAUGGGAGCAUUGGGACACGGAGUUCAAAGAAAAUGGUCUUGUUGCAGGAUUCUCUAGCCUCCGUCAACUUUCCAUUGUGAAGUGUCCCAAAUUCUCUGGAAAAUCACUGGAGCAUCUGCCUUCAUUGGGGAGACAAAGCACAACUUUAGCAUGCUUACCUGAAGAAAUUUUAGGCAAGAAUUCACAACUGGAAAGCUUGUACAUCCAAGAUUGUCAUUCUCUAAGAUUGAUUGCAAGACGAAAGCUAUCUUCAUCUCUUAAAAGCCUUAAGAUUCGGAGUUGUCAAAAAUUACAGCAGUUGGUGGAUGAUGAAGAAGGUGCUUCUUCUUCUUCAUCAAUGAUGCUGAAACACCUAGAGAUAAGGUAUUGCCCACAGCUGACCAGUUUCUCAUCAGGAACCCAGCUACUUGAGGCGCUUGAAGUCCUCCACGUAAGUAAUUGUCCAUUGCUGGAGUCAAUACCUGGAGGUCUGCACAAUAUUCAGAGCAUUAAUAUAGAAGACUGUGCAAAUGUUGUCUCCUUGGCAGAAAGAGGGCUUCCCAACACCAUUUCACGUGUUAAAAUAUGGAGUUGUGAGAAGCUUGAAGCCCUGCCCAAUGACAUGCACAAACUACACUCACUUCAAUUUUUAGAGGUAAGACGGUGUCCAAGUCUUGUUUCCUUGGCAGAAAGAGGGCUUCCCAUCACCAUUUCAAGGGUUUUCAUUGAAGAUUGUGAGAAACUUAAAGCUCUACCUGACAACAUCCACAAAUUGAACUGUCUUCAAUUUUUAGAGAUAAGGCGAUGUCCAAGUAUUGUAUCAUUUCCAGAAGAAGGUUUCCCGCCAGUCUGAAAUCACUUGUUAUUGGAGGAGAUGUGAAAAUGUAUGAGGCACUCAUCCAGUGGGGGUUGCACAAGCUUACCUCUCUUAGACGCCUCUUGAUUGCUGAAGAAUGUCAUGAAGCGGAGUGUUUUCCAGACGAGGAGAUUGGAAUGACGUUGCCCACCACUCUAAGUGAGUUGCAGCUUUGGGGACUGUCAAAAUUGAAAUUGCUAUCUUCCACGGGUUUUCAGUGCCUCACUCUCUUGAAUAUCUGUGUAUCCAGAAUUGCCUAAAUCUCACAUCCUUUCCAGAGGUGGGCCUUCCAUCCUCACUCUUGGAACUAAAAUUAAUAAUGUGUCCAAUGCUUGAAAAAGAGUGCAAAAGGAAUAAAGGAAAAGAAUGGUCCAAGAUAGCCAACAUCCCUCGUGUUGUGAUAGACGGAGAAAUCAUAUAUACAGUGGAGUAGUUUUUAUUAAUCAUUCCAUCUCUUAUCAUACCCAACAAUCAAGGUCAGUUGAUUUCUAUAAUCCACUAUAACAAGCUCUUUUGAUUCUGCACUUGUAUCAUUAAUCGAUCACCUUACCUAAAUUGAAAAUGCUUAUCUCUUUUUAUUUUUAUUUUCAUUUUUAUUUUCUGUUUUCUUAUUCUUCAGAAUGAUGCUAGUUGACAGUUUCAAAUGACAAAUGCCUUGGGAGUAGAAAUAAUUUUUUUAACUCGUGAUGGUGAGUGAGUAGUAAUCAAAGAAAUUCUUUCAGCUUAGUAAAAAUAAUAAAUGGUACAUGCUGUUCUGGAUUAUAUACUAUACAUUCUAAGGUUCCUUAUGUCUGCUUGUUUUCAGGUGAUGAAUCUAUUUUGUUACAGAAUUGGAUUGAAAGUAAGCUGGGUAAUAAGUACACAAGGGCGUUAAUUUUUUGGAUUUCCUCAUGGAGUAUGGAUCUUUGGUGCAAGCAUAUGGGAUAAACGAAGUGUCAAAAGCAAUUUCAACUUAUUGAUUUUUCUACUGCUGUGGCUAUGAUUGAAAGGUAGUCAAAAGAAAUUUGCAAACUUAUAUAUAGUUGCAGAUUUUGGUAAUGCUUUUUUUUUUUUUUUGUCCAUUUUUGGUCAUAGACAUUUAGAUAUUUUAGAUCCCGAAUUUUAACAUUAAUUUCAUGCCAUUUUUACUUCAGAGGGAUGUUCAGAGGGAAUUGAGUUGCAAUUUUAAACUAGAAUCGGAGUAUGGCAUUUUGUAGCUGAGCAUAUACGUGACGAAUGAUUAUAUGAACUGCUGUGGUGAGUGGUAACUAAAGAAAUUUGUUUGCUUAAGUCAAAUUUCAUUUUGGUGUCCUGGAUAUACAUGCUUGAGCUCCUCUUAUUUAUUUCAGGUGCUGAAUUCAUUUUCUUCUUCAAAUAAGGGAAGAAAAGUCGGAAAGGUUUAAUCUGAUCUUGAAGUUAACAGAUUGAUGUUAAUUGUACAACUAGAAUGGGCUCUCUUGUCCUACUGUAUGAUAUCAAAUUUUCCAAUAAGAUGGCAUUUGUGUACUUAUUCCUUCUCCCCACACCAUUUUCUUUCUUUCUGGUGAAGAGUGUCUACUUAAUAAGUCUUUGUUUUCUUCAGGAUUGCAUAAUGCCAAGAAUGGAGUGAUUAAAUAAGUGCUGCUGCGGCUUGCUUUUCCUUCUUUGGUAUUGAAGGUAACUCAAUUCGGCAGGUGAAGACAGCAGCAACCCAGUAGAUAGAUGCAAUUUAAGGAUUGUGUACCUCAAUUAUACCUUGAUAUUAUUGAUAACAUGUCAAUUAUACCUUGAUAUUAUUGAUAAAAUGUUAGUUAUAUUUCAGUUCUGCAAUUUUAAGGAAAAUUGAGUUGUCGACAGUCGGUUUCUGCAGGUAACUAGUUCUUUUUUUCUUUUUUUGGGUUAUUAAUUACAUUUUAAUUAAGUUGAUUUUAGGACCUUUAAAGAUUCAAUUUUUCAUUUUCUUUUUCUUCAAAGGGAAGCAAGUGGACUGUAUCAAACAUACCUGAUAAAUGAAGUAUUCAUCUCUGAUUUAAAAGUUAUUAGCUUUUUCAUCCGCUUGAUAGUAACUAAAUGAGCUUUUGAGCUCAGUGGCAUUAAUUGUAAUAACUGAUGUUUUAGAUAUAUUAAACAUGCCAAGUUCCAUUGUAAAUAUUAUUGAUUAAAUCUUAUUGAUUAAAUCUUAAGCUUCUAGUUUUUGCUAAAGAUUCAUAGAUAUAAGAUAUUGUACUGCUUUGUUCUGUUGCAGAGUAAUCGAUGAUAAUUUAGUGAUAAAGAAUUUGGUGAAAGCCAACAACUCAAAAUGUUUAAGUGAGGGAAUGAUGACAUCAUGUGAGCAAAACCUGGGUAUCAGCAUCUUAAUGGCGAUAUGGAAAUCCUUGUUGAGGCAAACUUACAGUUGAAUCAGUUGAAGUUCAUCUGAUGAGCUGCACAAUCUCACAUCUCUCAAGCAAAUGCUGUCCUAAAGUCCUAGAUAUUGAAGCUUUUCGCAUUUCAACAAAUUUUUGCAAGACAGGUGAGGAUGGUGGGAAAACUAAAAAUCUGGAUCACCAGCUAACUUCUAGUCAUUGCCACUCUUGCAUGUUUCUGGAUUUGAUCAAACCAAAAUGACUUUUGAAGUUGUUAUUUUAUGUCUUUAUAAAACUAUAAUGACCAAGCCGCCAGUGUAACAUUCCUGAAAGAAUAUUGUGAUUGCUUCAGAAUAUGCUCGGUGCAUAACAGAGACAUCCUCGUAGAAAAGCAUACAUAGCUAAUAACCAGGUAAAUAUUCCUUGAUUCUUGCCAGGUAACUUCUAUUCCUAGGUUUCCAGAUAAUUUACAUUUCAGAAAUUGUUCUUAGUUGAAGAAUCUGAUUUACAUUUUGUUUUCCAGAAUAUGUACAUUUUACAAUAUGAUGUGCUUCAGUUGCAGUAUCUGGGGCACCUUUCGAAUUACACUUGCCUUUUUCUUUGUUUGCAUGUGAUUUGACUUGAAGGAUGCCAACAUGGCUAGAUAUUUGAAGAAACACCAAAAGAGGCUUAAUGCCAGGGGAACUUGCUCGGGCACUUUUGCUCCCAAGCCUGUAAUCCCACAAACAAAUUCAGGGAGUGAAUGCAUGCCGUUCAUUUGUGGUCCCAAAAACAGGUUGAUACCUGGCCGCUGGUACUGAACAUCUCUGCAAUUUGGAAGCAGGGUAAUAAUUGUGUUGACACACAAGCUUCAAACUGUUAAAGCUAUACCCUUCUUGCUUCAGGAAUCCAUGUUGUAUGUCUCAAAUUCUGAAAGCAAAUGAGAAUUACUGCUUCCUCUAAGGCACCAUUCCAAGAUCUGCUUUUGUAUUCAUUCAAUCAGAUCAAUCAUAUGGAUUGUCAACUUUCAAGGAUACGAUGAAUUAUGAGUGAACAGAGGACUUGGAGGAAGAAUCAUUAAGAACAGAGCAAAAACUGAGAAGCAGAUAAGAGGAAGUUGGCUAUCAUUGAAGAAGAGGCAGCUUGCAUUGCUUUAGUUAAUGAUGAUAACCGUCAAACAUGCUCUUGGUUUGUAUGUUAACAUGAUUGGAGUAUGAGAGAAACUACAUUUGUCUAAUUUUUUUGACUUCAUUGAUUUUUUUUCCCCUCUCACUUAAUCUUCAAAUCAAAAUCUCAUCUUUGAUCAAACUUGAUCACAAAAUAUUAUUAAUGUUUGAUACUACUUGUCAAGAAAUUGAAUGACUAAUCUUCACUAAACUCUUUGAUUAUUCACCAAGGGACAAAAGAAAUUAACAAUUGAAACAAACAGUGUGGAAUCAAAUUAGUUAUAUUCGGUUAUACAAGCUGAGGUGGCAAGCUGAGUCAGCAAGGGUGGGUCCCCAGGUGGUUUAAAUCAGUUGUUAUAACCAGCUGUAUUAACUGAUAGCUAUAUAAGCUACAGUGAGAGCUGAUCAGAUUAGUUCUACGGAGUGAGAUCGAUUGUGUGGGUUUUCUAGUGAGGAGAAUAUCUCUGUGUGAGUGAAAUCAGUUCUUGCUCUUGGAAGAAUCCAUUGUAAUCUUGUUCAUCUUCUAAUAAAGCUUUAGCUCUGCUGUUUCUGAUCGUGGAUGUAGGUACUUUGGUACCGAACCACGUUAACUCUGUCUUGAGUCUUUAAGUUUCUUUUCUUACUCUGGAAUGUUUCGCUGUGUCCUCUGGUUCUGGUUUCUUGCUUGUUUGUGAUUGGUUUCUGCUUAAGAAGGGUUUACGAAUUUGGUCUGUUGCAUUAACAAACAGAAACAGAAUCAAAGAAAUCACAAAUAAAGAACACACACAGCAAUUACAGAGGAUUCAGCCAAAGAUGGCCAGCGUCCUCUUGAACAAGAACAAAUUACAACGGUGAAGGAAUUUUCACAGGCUACAGAAUGAACCCAGCUCCAGACUCUAAGGCUUUAUAUACAGCUCACAAUGGAUAUGGAAAGGUCCCCCACUUACCAGACAGAUCCUUCCCGCUUCUUGUAACGGCCAUAAGGACUUUUGAUUCAGCUGAUACACGUGCAACGCAGGUGUACUAAAAAUUAUUUAGAAUUUUCUAGUGUUACAUUUAUUAAUUACACAAGACAUGUGUACCUACAUUAUUACUUGCAUUUGUUAUGCAUUUAUUAUUUAUAUUUUUCAUAGAAGUCUAUAUUUAUUUAAAAAUGCAAACAUUCAUAAUUACAUUUAUUUAAACUUUUUACAUAUUUAUUGUUGCUUUCCUAAAGUUUCUUUAUUCAAGUUUACUUUAUAUAUAUGAUUACACUUAUUAAAGAUUUACUUUAUAUUUAUUAUUAUUUUACUAAAUUUUUUUUAAUAAAGUUUAUUUUAAUUUAUUAUUACACUUAUUAAAGUUUGCUUUGAUUAUACUUAUUAAAAAUUUGCUUUAUAUUUAUUCUUUCUUUAAUAAAAUUGCUUUGUUAAAGUUUACUUUACAUGUAUAAUUGCAUUUAUUAUUGUUUACUUUAAGUUUGUUGAAUCUUGAAAAUGUGGACUUGGAGAAGGACGCAUAAUUAUUCAACUUCUUUCAAUUGUUCAUCUUCAUUCUCUCUCAAUUCCAAAAAUCUAAAUUCUAGAUCUCUCAUAGCAACUUUCUUCAAUAGAGUUAGAGAUCUUAAUUAAUUUGGAAGCUUCUUGAUUUGGUGAGUCUCUAUUUGCUUAUGUUUUUAAAGACCAAAUUCACAAAAUUAUUUAUACCAUAAAAUGAACUCGAAAAAUUCUGAAUUUUUAAACAAAAGUUAAUAUAUCUGUCUAAUAUUUCCAAUUUUAAUUUCAUAAUUUUCUGAUUAGUACAUAAUUUCAUAAAAAUCUCGGAAUCAAUACUAUUCUCACUACAAGAAAAAGUGUCUAUUAUGACAGGCAAAAACUGUCAUAGUAGGGGGUGGAUGACAGUUGUUCAUAUCGUCAUUGUAGCUUCUGUCCAGAAUUGAUGACAGAACAAUACCAGUUACAAUUUGUGAUAGAUAUUACCAGUCACAUAACUGUCAUAACUUUAUUUAGAGGGGUAUGUAAAAAAUUUGAAUUUGGCUCUUUUUUUUUUAAAUUUACGUGCCAUAUUUUCAAUUUUUGGCGGGAAAAUUAAAUUUGGCGCGAAAUGCAAAUUAUAAUUAAAUGAAUUUUCUCAAUUAAAUCAAAAAUUGAAAUUAUAUUUAAUAAAAAAUGGGUAUUUUGUUUGCACCAUGAAAUUAUUAUCAUUUUAAUAACAAUCCUGCAAUUGAUUUAUUAGAAAUUAAUAUUUCAUAAAUUAGCUAAUUAAUUAGAUUAUUAAAAUUAAUAUUGCAAUUAAAAAUUCACUGACAAAGAAAAUGAAAUGGAUAACAUUGACUAAGAUUUCAUAAUUGUCAGCAAACAUAAUUUAAUCAAAUUCAAGAGUAACAAGUCCAACAUAAAUAGAAGAAAAGUAUUGUAACAACCUAAAAACUAAAUUCCAGCAACAUGUACAACACAAAUGAACCAUGAUCAGUUCAAUUCCAAUAGCAUAAGGAAGCCAACAACAGAGUCAUUUCUACCAACAUGAGCAAAGGCAACAACAUAGUUCAUUUCCAGCAACACAAGAGGAGCCAAAAAUACUGAUCAGACAAGGCCAACAGUUCCCAAACGUGAAAAUCCAACCUAAGAACAACCGAAAUGUGUGAAAUUGCAUCAAUAUCCAGGAGUUAUUUUCCAAACAAAGAAAAAAACUAGUCAACUCCAGCAGUACCCACCAUCUUUAUCAUAAUCCAACAUACAAGUAUAAUAAGCUAGAUAAUUGCCCAAGUAAAAUAUAGGUAAUAAAUUAAUUUAUUUCAUCAAUGAACUCACAAUAACAACAUAAUAGGUAAGUGUUACCUCACAUAACCGCAAGUACUCCAGAAAAACUAAAAUUAUUUGUGCAACCAAUGACACUCCACUAUUUUGAGUAACUCUAUUUAAGUCUCGAUCUCUUGUAACAAAGUGAAAACCAUUUAUGUCAUAACCAGGAUGUUGGAAAACAUAAGGACGAGGCCCUUGGGAUAACCAAUGGAUUGUUCAAGUAACGAUGUGACCGUUCUCAAUCAACAUAUUUACCUAUUAUUAAUCGACAGGAAUAUAAUGUUAAACAAGCACAAACCGAAACAGAAAGGAAAAAAAUGAAUUAAUUAAACUAAUGUUAUCAAAACCUUAUUUGUUAGCCAAUCUGCAAAUGUUCGGUUGUGUUCAUCUUGCAACCACUUCUCAUUUUUUUCAUGGAUGGCAAAGUUGUAACCAAUCCUCAUGCUCUCUAAAAAUCAGUUAAAAAGACAAAAUUUUCAGGUUCUUAAACUACCAAAACCUGACAAAUAUAAAGCUAAAAUAACACAAGUUAGAUAACAUCACCUUAUAUAAGGCUGAACUUCCUCAAUGUUAUGCAAAACAUACAAGUGUGCUUGAUCUAAUGAAGUUCGAUCAACUUCCAUCAUUUGUCCACCACUUAUGGGCUUGUCAAAUUCUAAAUUCUGCACAUAUCCAGGUGGAACCCCAAUUGUGGGCAUGUUUUCCAAGUAUUCUGCACAAAAUUGUAAUGCUUCCUCAGCAAUAUAACUCUCCGCUAUGCAACCCUCAGGAUGGUUACGGUUUCGAACAUAGCCUUUUAGAGUUUUCAUGUAUCACUCAAAAGGAUACAUCCACCGAAAAUAUACGGGGCCACAUUGUCUAACUUCACUCACUAAGUGAAUAAUAAGAUAAACCAUUAUGUCAAAAAAAGAAGGGGGAAAAUAUUUCUCAAGCAAGCACAAAAUCUCUACGAUGUUUUUCUCCAAUUCAUCUAGCAUUGUCACGUCAAUCACAGUCGCACACAACGAAUUAAAGAAGAAAAAGAACUUAAUGAUAGCUUCUUUGACAUGUUUGGGCAGCACACACGUUACGGCAAUUGGCAAACGUUGUUGCAUAAGAACAUGAUAGUCAUGAGACUUAAGACCCUGGAGUUUAAAGUCCUUUUUUGACACAAGAUUCCUAAUAUUUGAAGAGUAUCCAGUAGGAACCUUGAUACUUUUCAAAGCUACACAGAAUCUUACUUUUUCCUCCUUAGUUAAGGUGUGGCAAGCAGGAGGAAGCCAUGUACGAUUAUUGUUUCAUUUAACUUGUGGUGCUAAUUUGGGCCAAUGUUCAUUUCCAAGAGAUCCAUCCUCGACUUCAGUCCAUCUUUGGACUUUCCAAGAAUAUGCAGCAGUGUACCGUAGAUGUUCUCACACACAUUCUUUUCAAUGUGCAUAACAUCUAAUUGAUGCCGCACAAGAAAGUGCUUCCAAUACUCUAAAUUAUAAAAUAUGGAUUUCUUCUUCCACCACAUGAGAUCAUCAUUGUUCUCACUUUUACGCUUUUUACUAUUGCUUUUCCCCCAUCUAUUAUCAAUAGAGUCGACCAGCUGGAAAAUUUCCUCCCUGUUUAACAGUUUUAGAGGGGUUUCAUCACACACACUAUUGUCAAAGGCUUUUGCUUGGAACCAAAAUUUAUGACCAUGAAGAAGCCAAAGCCGAUGCCCAAUGUAUACAUUUUUUCCAUUGUGUUUUAGUCUACAUUUUGGUGUUUCUACACCACAAUAUGGGUAGGCAUAAUAUCCUUUAACAUUACAUCCGCUAAAUUUUCGUAUGUCGGGAAGUCAUUUAUUGUUCAUAAUAAUACAGCCCGCAAAUUAAAGUACUCAUUUUUAUACGCAUCAUAUGCCUCCACCCCAACAUCCCAUAAAGUUUGCAAAUCCUCAAUAAGAGGUUGCAAAUACACAUCAAUGUCUAAACCCGGUUGUUGAGGACCAGAAAUCAAGAGGGACAACAUCAUGAAUUUUCGUUUCAUGCACAACCAUGGUGGAAGAUUAUAAGUAAUAAGAAUUAGUGGCCAGCAGCUAUAUGUACUACUAAGAGAGCUAUGUGGAUUGAUUCCACAGCUGAUAAAGUUAUGCGAAGGUUUCUAAGAUUGGAUGCAAAGAUCGGCCAUUUCUCAUCUACUAACUUCCAAGAUGGUAAGUCAGCCGGAUGUCGGAGUUUACCAUCAACCAUCCUCUCAUUUGCAUGCUAAGUCAAGUCCCUAGCAGUUUUGGAUGACUGAAACAUUCGCUUAAACCUAGGUAUAGGAGGAAAAUACCAUAAAAUUUUUGUAGAAACCCCUUUCCUAUAUUGGUCUACAGUACCAUCCUUUUUCUUCCAUCUACAUAACCCACAAGUAUGACAUUCAAAAAGACCUUCAUACUCUUUUCUGUAGAGUAUGCAAUCGUUUGUGCAAGCAUGAAUUUUAACAUAUUCUAAGCCCAAAGCUAACAUUGUCUUUUUGGCCUCAUACAUAGAGGUUGGAUUUCAUUAGUUUUAGGGAAAGCAUUUGCUAAAACACUCAACAAUUCAGAAACGAUACUGUCAGACCACCCAAAUCUACCCUUCACAUUGAACAAUUUCACUAAAAAUGAUAACUUAGUAAAUUUUGUGCAUCCUAGGUAUAAGGGUUUCUCAGCUUGUUCUAGCAACUCUUUGAAUGCCUUAGGGUCCCCACAACAACCCUUAUAAACAUCAUUAACCAUUUCUAACUCAUUACCAUUGUCAAACUCUAUAUUUUAUUGCUGAAAAUGGUUUUCUCUUUGAGGAGAAGAACUCUUACGAAUCUCUUCCCCAUGCCAAAAUCAAUUGUCGUAUUUCACAUCAAAACCAUACAUAUAUAAAUGAUCUUUUACAGUUGUAGGUGUUUCAAAUGAUAAAUUCCCACAAUCAAGGCAUGGACACCUAAUGACACUACUGCCUCCAGCAUUUUUUAUAGCAAACUUUAUAAAUUUCUGGACACCCUCUUCAUAUUCUGUCGACAGUCAAUUACAUUGAAUCCAAGAUUUAUCAAUUUCUGCCUUAAUAAUUAAUGUUCCUGACAUAUACAUAAAACAAAGAAAGAAUGUACAUACUUAGAAUAUUUGUCUAAUGUUACAGCACCAUGUGAAAUAAACAAAGUUAAACCUACAUGAGGCCUUUCAAAUUAAACACAAUUUGGCCCAUAUAGUUUUCUCUUUUAUAUUAAAGGAACAACCUACUUUACGGAAAAGCAUGGUCAUGGUCCAUAAACAAAUUUCAAAAUUACAUGUAUAGCAACCAAGAACGCUGAUAAACUGAAUUUCAUACUUUUCAAAAGUUCACUCUCCUAUUAUAAUAUAAAUAUAAUAAAUAAGACAGUCCCCAAAACAAACACUUUACAUAGUAUCAUAAUUAUAAAGUUAAAGAUAUGUAAAUUUUAAGCAAGUGUAUAACAACUUCAAAAAGUCAAAUAAUAGAGGAUAAGAAAUAGAACUUACCAAAUUAAACACAAUAAUCUACUGCUAUAUCCAAUUCCAGGUACAAAUCCAGCAACAAUAUUUAUUACUGAAAUAUAUUUUGAAUAAUCAGUUGAUAGAAUUCCAAAACUUGGAUUCAAGAGGGCUAAAAAGGUACCAAUAAAUUAAAUUAAUCAUAUGAGUAAGCCUAAGAAGAAAUAAUAAACUACAACUUCAAAUAAUAUACAUCAGUAGAACAAAAAUGAAAGCAAACACAAAGAAAAGCUUCAAGUACCUUAAUACAAUGCCUUCAACAAAUCAAGAACAUCGAACUGUCACGUUUAUGCAGCAAUCACAACUAUUUAUAUUUGACACGCAAAUGUUACGACUUAAGACAACAACAGUAACAACAAUACCACCAUAUGCAAAAUAGCUACAAUACCACAUGCAUAGGUCGAUGACAAUGAGAGGUGAGAAUCCCUCAAUUUUACAUAACAUAAUCAGUUACUAAGAAUCCCUCCUCAGGCUUUGUUAUAGACAUUUCAGGCCAAUAUUUAAAGAAUCAACUAUUAGAACAUAAAGAUAUAUAAGUUGUAGAUUAUCACCAUCUUCAUACACUAACAUUCAUUUAACUUAAUGAAGCUUCAAUAUUAGAAAUAGCUAGAAAAAAAAAUUUACACACAAACACAUGAAUAUAAAUAAGAAUUACCUAGAAUAAAAAAAAAUAACAACAUUAUGCAAUGCACGAUUACAACUCAAAACAGAACUCAAAAUUAACAACAUUAUAUCUUUCUGGGAAAUUAUUUAGUAAAUUAAUUACCGAAAUAUACGCAAUAUAUGCAAUACAUGCAAAUACAUUUCAAUUUUUUACAAAUUAUUUACUACUUUACAUAAAAGUUGAAUAAAUAGUCAAAAGUAAAUAUAUGCAAAUGCAGGAAUGACUCACCAGUGUGAAGCUUCAAUUCACCGUCAAGCCUAGGGUUUCAACUUCGGCAACAAAGAUUUGGGUUUUCUUUCACGGUAAGCCAUUGGGUUUCUUUCAAUCAAUAAAAGUACCCUGGAUGUUGUUCUCAUUCCAAUUUGGGUUUCGAUUAGCACUGACUUCGUCCUAGAAAAGAGAGACGGUUCAAUGACAACUGCAGCAAAGAGAGACGAUUCAGUGAAACAACCAGAACGAUUUUGAAAUUAUGGGUGUUUAGGUGUCGUUAGAUUGCUAUGGCCGGCCUUUGAGGGUUUACUGCAAGUGUGCUAAUCGAUUUUGAGAUUCCACAAUAACGCUUGCAAAUUUUCUGAACACUUCAAAAAAAAUUUCCUUCUUUUCUCACAAAAAUGUUUCCCUCGCUUUACAAAACGCAACGUUUUAUUAAUUGUUUUUUGUUAUUUACAUUUAUGUUUUCCUCAAACACUUGCAAAACAUACAACUGAGACGACAUCGUUUCAUUGCUUUUUUAGUAAUAUAAUAUUUUAAAAAUUAAGUCAAACCUGCACAAUUAAAGUCAACAUAAAAAAUCACUCUUUCAUUCUUGAUAACCAAAUAAUUUAUCACUAGUCUAUCAUAGUUUCUUGAUAUAUGAUAUUUAUAUCACCAAUAUAUCAUAAUUUCUUGAUAAACGAUAUUUCUAUCAUAACUAUGUCAUAAGUGUAUGACAGAAAGUAAAUCUAUCACGAUUCUAUUGUUGUAGGCCUCUAGACCAAAAACUGUCACACAUAGGACUGUCAUAGUAAGUACUUUUUCUUGUAGUGUCUGUUAAGGCAAUGUGAGACAAUUUUGAGACUAUCAAGAAACAAAUAGUUUUGAAAAUGUUUUUGGUAUCAGAUCCUCCUGAAAAUUUUAUAGGAGAUAUCUAUGGAUGUCUAGAACAGAUCUACAUGAUAUCGUAUCGUUUAGAUUAUUAGAUUAAGAGUUAAAAUCUAGAGAAUCAGAUUUGAACCGGCAUGAAUUAGAAACUCAGUUCUCGGAAUAAGUUGUUAUUAAUUAUGUCUUAUAUCUUUUUAAGGUGUUGGAGAUAUUUAAGGUUGUUAAAAGCUUAGAGGUGUGUUUCAAUUAUUAUAUUAUCGAGGUAAGUAACUCUAUUCCUAGUGUAUUAGAUAUGUAUAAUAAUUUUGAUAUUUUAAUAUUACUACAAGUACAUAUUUUUCUUAGUUCUUUGUAACCAAAUUAAUUUAUGUAAAUGUUUUCAAAUCUGAAAAAUUAUAUUACUUUUAUGGUUUUAACAAAUAUUGUAAAUUCUUUUAAAUGUGUAAUUUAUUCUUGUUAAAUAAUUAUAUCUUUGAAAUUGUCUAUAAAAUUUUAGAAUGGAAAUUGUUCUGCAAUACUAAAUCUUUGUUAUGAUCUUUUAUGAAUCCAAUAUAAAUGUUUUAUUCACGUAUUUGAUUAAGAUUAUCUAUGAAUUAUGCGGAGACCACCUCUUGAGAUUGUAUGGGGGCCCCCUCUCGAGGGCUAAAAUGCCACGAAGUGCCACGUAUAGUGCAAAGCGCCAUGUGUAAUUUGCUACAAAUGAAAAAUGAAUUUAAAUAUUUUGGUUCAUUGUCCAUAGUCAUUCCGAUUCUAAUUCUGAUCGUAUUAUACGAUAUAGAUAUAUUUAUGUUCUAUACCAGUACUGAGUUUCUAUUCGAAGUGUGCACACGAUAUUAUGAUUCUGGCGGGUCACCAGGAUUAUAGGUGACACUAUGUGACAUGAGCUAACUUUUUGUGUCCUGUGAAUGUGUUAUGUGAUUUGCUGUCAAAAGUGACUAUGCUUUUGAAAUUAUGAAUUAUUAUGAAUUUAUGUUAUUUUAUCGUGAUAUGUCAUUUAUGAAAAUUACGAAUUAUGAUAUAUGUUUUAAAUAAAAAAAGAAGGUUUGCAAUAUUUUUUGUAUUGAUAGGCCUAGUGAAUUAGGAAUUGUUUUACUUACCGAGUUGACGACUCACCUCUCAUCAUUACUUUUUACAGAUUAAGUGACUUGUUCAGAAUUGUGGUUAUCUUUGGCACAAGAGAUUUAUUUACUUGCUAAGUUAAAUAAAAGAAGGAUGAAUUUCUUUAGCCUUUAAGUUUGUUGGUCUUGUGAAUUUGUAUUUGGAGAGUUUUGAGCCGUUUGGUACUUUUAUGACUUGGGAGAAAAUGUCAAAUAUCUUAUUUGUGUAAUUGUUAAUUUAUUUAAAAAUUUUUGAGGUAUUUCAGUUCAUGAAUUUGUAUAAAAAAUUUUGAUUUGUUAGUAACCUCUUACUGCCACGUGUUCCGCACAUGAUAAUUUUGGGGUGUUACACAAUGCAUCUAAUCGGGAGGUCUACAAUGACAGGGCUGUGCAAAAUUUCAAGUUUGAUGUGAAAGCAUGGGUUUGUGUUUCUGAUGAUUUUGAUGUUCUUAGCAUUUCGAGGGCUCUUCUCGAGUCAAUCACCUCCAAAACUUGUGAUCUCAAGACGUUGAAUGAGGUGCAGGUUAAAUUGAAAAUUGCUGUGGAUGGAAAAAGGUUCUUGCUUGUAUUGGAUGACGUUUGGAACGAGAACUACAACUUGUGGGAAAUCCUGAAAGCUCCAUUCAUGGCUGGUGCACGAAAUAGCAAAAUAAUUGUCACCACACGCCAUUCAAAUGUUGCAAUGUUGCGUCAACGAUGGGAUCCGUUGAACAUUAUAAUCUUAAGCUUCUGUCAGAUGAAGAUUGCUGGUCUGUUUUUGUGAAGCAUGCGUUUGAGAGGAGAGAUGCCGGUGCUCAUCAAUUUUCAGAAUUAUUUCGUAAGAAAAUUGUUGCAAAGUGCGGAGGCUUACCGCUGGCAGCAAGCACUCUUGGCGGCCUUCUACGCACUAGGCACACAGAAGAUGCGUGGGAGGAUAUAGUGAGCAGCAAAAUGUGGGAUUUGCCUCAACAAACUGACAUUCUCGCCGUGUUAAGGUUGAGUUACCAUUAUCUUCCUUCUCAUUUGAAGAGAUGUUUCACUUAUUGUGCAAUUUUUCCCAAAGAUUAUGAGUUCGAGAAGAAUGAACUUGUUUUUCUGUGGAUGGCUGAGGGUAUGAUUCAACAAUCAAGGACAGAUAAACUAUUGGAAGAUUUGGGCAAUGAGUUUUUUUGUGAUCUAUUGUCUAGGUCGCUUUUCCAACAAUCAAGCAGAGAUGUUCGUAAAUUUGUAAUGCACGAUCUAGUUCAUGAUUUAGCUCAAUUGGUUUCUGGAGAUACAAGUUUCUGGCUGGAAGAGGCAAAUAAGCAGUUAAGAACAUUUGAAAGGAUUCGUCAUUUUUCUUAUCCUUGCGCUUGGUAUGAAGGAAAAAACAAAUUUCACGGUUUGAAUAAAGCUCCAGGUCUGCGGACAUUUUUGCCUCUAAAUGCAAGAGGUCUUUCAACUCGUAAUUAUAUAACCAACAUGGUUCUUCUUGACUUGCUGCCAAAGCUGAAAAAGUUGAGGGUGCUAUCUUUGGAAGGAUACUGCAUUGCUCAUAUACCAAAUUCUAUCAAGGAUUUGAAACUUCUAAGGUACAUCAAUCUUUCUCGUACACCCAUCGAGAGUUUACCUGAGUCAAUAAGUUCACCGUUCAACUUGCAGUUUUGCUGUUAAAAACCUGUCCUUGUCUACAGAAGUUGUCUUCUAACAUGAGAAAUUUAUUAAAUUUGCAUCAUCUUGACAUAGGGGGUAGUUUUAUAACAGAGAUGCCAUCGGGAAUCAAUAGGUUGAAAUUUCUGCAGACGUUGUCUGAUUUUAUUGUGGGCAGGGGUAUCGGAUCUGGUUCGAAGGAUUUGAAGAAUUUAACUUUCCUUUGUGGAAAACUUUGUAUUUCGAGAUUAGAAAAUGCGAAUGAUUCAUGGGAUGCAAGAGAAGCUUCAUUGUGUGAUAAGAAGGGUCUGGAAGAAUUGUCAUUAGGAUGGGGCUCUCCAUUUCACUCAAGAAAUGAGGUAGCAGAAGAAAAGGUACUUGACAUGCUGCAACCACAUACAAACAUAAAGAAGCUUGAAAUCACACGAUAUAGUGGCAGAAAAUUUCCAAUAUGGUUAGGGGACCCAUCAUUCUCUAACAUGGUUGCUUUAAAAUUGAUAGGAUGUGAAAAUUGCACAUCCUUACCUGCGGUGGGGAUGUUGGUUUCCCUGAAAGAGCUUACAAUUCAACGAAUGCUUGUACUCAGAAGUAUAGGGUCUGAAAUUUGUGGAAACGAUUACUCAACGCUUUUUCAAUCCUUAGAGACUCUUUUUUUCAGUGAUUUACCGGAAUGUGAGUUCUGGGAUACCGGCAACCAGACUGGGUAUGUUGAAAUAUUCCCUCGCCUCGUUGAACUGUCCAUUUUUGGAUGCCCCAAACUAUCUGGAAAAUUACCUGACCAUCUUCCUGCAUUAGAGACCCUUGUUGUCAGCAAUUGCGAAGAGUUGGUAGUUUCAUUCUCAAGCUUUCCUUUGCUCUGCAAAUUGGAAAUUUAUAGAUGCAAAGGACUGGUUUGCAGCUCUCCGAUUGACUCUAAGUUGACAAAGUGUAUGGCUAUUUCAAGCUGUUCAUUAGACAUAUACGGAUGCAAGGGGAUGGUAUACAAUAGUCCACUUCACUCUAAAUCACUGUCGACGCCUGUGACUAUUUCAAAUAUUUUAGAGUUUGGAAAAUUGUUAAAAGGAUUUCUGCCAGCAGAGUUUCUGGGGAUUAGCGAUUCUCAAGAUAUUCAGUUAUUGAGGCCGCAGUUUAAGGGUAUGCAAUUUAGGGAGGAGGCAGUACAAGGGCUAUGGAUUAUCGUGCCCCCUGAAGAGGUAUCAACUGAAGAAAAUUGCACGAGUCUGGUUUCAUUUCCAGAAGUAAAAUUUUUCCCGAUCAAUCAGCUUGAUCUUGAAAUUGAAAAUAGUGGAGCUUUAAAAUCCUCACUUGAGGGAAUUAUGUACAACUGUGCACAACUGAAAAGUUUGAACAUUAAAGGUUGUGAUUCUCUAGAAUUCAUUGCAAGAGGCAAGCUGCCUUCGUCUUUAGAAUGGCUUCAAAUACUUGAUUGUAAGAAAUUGCGGUGUUUGAUAGUUGAUGAAGAGGAUGCUUCUGUUGCUUCUACCUCAUUAUCUUCUUUAUCAUUGGCUCUCAAGUGGCUUUAUAUUAGCGGCUGCUCAGAGCUCACCCAUUUACCAUCAAGAACUACACCAUUGCCGAAAGAGCUUGAAUUUCUAAACAUUAGGGAUUGUCCAAAAUUAGAGUCAAUAGCUGAGAGCUUUCAUGGUAACGGACGUCUUAAACGGAUAGUCAUCUCCGAUUGUGGAAAUCUAAAAUCCAUAACGAAGGGCCUACAGAAUCUUAGCUGUCUUGAGUCAGUCAAAAUCGUGAGUUGUCCAAGUCUUGUUUCUUUUCCAGAAGGAGGGCUUCCCAGCACUGUUGCGAUUGUUUUUAUUGACGGUUGUGAAAAGCUUAAAGCCCUACCUGAAGACAUGCACAAGCUCAGCUACUUUCAAAUUUUAAGAAUCAGGGAAUGUCCAAGUAUUGUAUCAUUUCCUGAAGCAGGUUUUCCUACCAACCUAACAUCACUUGUAAUUACUGAUAUCAAAAUGUACAAGGCAAUUAUCCAAUGGGGCUUGCACAGGCUUACAUCUCUUCUACGCCUUUACAUAAAUGAGGGUGAUAAUGCUGAGUCUUUUCCAGAUGAGAGGUUGGGAAUAAUAUUGCCCACCUCUUUAACUGCACUGAGGAUUUCUGGAUUCCCAAAUCUGAAAUGCCUAUCUGCAAUGGGUUUUCAAAGCCUGGCCUCACUCGAAUCUCUGAGUAUAUCAAAUUGCUCGAAGCUCAAAUCCUUUCCUGAGGUGGGCCCGCCAUCCUCCCUUUUGGUACUACAAAUUCAAGAUUGUUCUUUGCUGAAAAAACAUUGCAAAAGGCAAAAAGGAAAAGACUGGUCCAAGAUUGCUCACAUCCCUUGUAUUAUGAUAGAUGGCAAAUUCAUCUUCGAUUAAGAGGAGAAAGAAUGAGCUCUGUUUAAUAUCAGAAGGAAGAAUUCAGGUAUGCCAAGUCCUAUUAUUACGAUUACUAAAAACACGUUGUUAAAUUAUAACACAAAUUUUGAUUUUCAAUUUCAAUAUCAAUCCUCUGCCUUCAACUGCAAAUGGCACUAGAAUAUUUUCAUUUUUACUUUUUCAGAUACUAUGAUGAGGCAGUUUGACUUGAUGAUGCUGUAAGUUUUUUAUGGUAAUGCACAAAUGGUUGGUACUUUUUCUGUUGAUUAUUUACAGUGUAGUUCAGUUGACUUUAGUACUAUGUAUCUGAAAAUUCUCAGUGAUUUAAUACUUUUUUUCAUUUUAACUCAUCAGAUUUAAUGCGGUCCCAACAAGUUACUCACACACCGGUGCUGUGUUAAGGUAAUCAGUACAUUUUCAGUUGCGUUAACUCGAAUAACUUGUAUCUGAAAUAUUGCUGUCGUAAUUUCUUUUCAAUUUAUAGUUUAGAUCAUAGUCUGGCAUGUAGUUUCGAUGGCGAAUUUUUUUUUUGUUUUUUACAUUUUAUUAUUUUUUCAGAGCAACUCAAUUAGACAGUUCCAACCCAGAAAUUUUUUAAUGUAUUUUAGUGCAAUCGUAGUUGUCAAGUGAAAUUUUCAUAUUAUGAUGAUCUCAAUGCUAACUACAUUUCCAACUCUUUUAAGUUUUUUGAACUCUAGCGGGUGAAAGUCAAUGGAAAGAAGUUUCUGAACUUUUCCAAUGAUCAAUGCAAUUUGCUUCUAAGGAUAUAACACGGGUCUUCACUUAUUUCAAGUUGCAGAUAUGAUUCUAUCUUUCUUCUGCUGUAAUUUCAGAGGGCAAGUUUGCUCAUAUUCCUUGAGUUGACGUGGAAGAAAGCAUAAGGAAAGCUCUGAGACAAUCCACAUCAAAAUGUUCACCCACUUUUUCACAGUUUGGAAUCGACUACACUGCCUUCAAAAUGACUUUCAAAUGAAAGGGUAGAAAGUUAAUCAUACAGGGUUCUAAAGUCGGUUAAAAGUUAGUUUUAAAGCUUCUGAUUUUUUCUGAAUAGGCUGACUAGUUAAUAAGCCAAUAAAAUGUGCCAAGAAAUAUCCCUCUGUAGUGGAUCAUCACUUUGCUUGAUUCUUGCUUUGAUUUAGUCUUUGUAAUCUUGUAAUUGCCAUUAUUAAGCUAGUGAAUAUAGAACAAUGGCUGCUUUUGCACCCAUGGAUGUAGGUCAUUUUGACCGAACCAUGUAAAUCUGUGUCUUUGCUCUCUGCGCCUCUCAUUUAAUUUGUGUUUGCUGAGAUUGAUUGCUUUUGUGCAGUUUAAUUCUUGGUAAAAGCUCAGCUUAAUAAUCUCUGUUGAUACGAGAUUCUGGUUCUCCUCGUUCUACGACCAGGGUCUCUGCUCGAUCAACUUCACCACGAACUGGAUCUCUCCUCGUAAAGCUUCUUCUCCAGAGGUUCCUGUGCACAUAGACAGGUCAGAGUACGCCGGUUGUUUUCCCGGUGAAAACCCUCCGACGCUCAAGUCAGAUAUGAAGGUUCGGGGAACGCUUGCCACAAAUCUUAUGGCUGUUAGGUUGUUUUCUCUCUUUUAGAAUCAAAAUUGCUAACCCUUUUACCUUCGUUGGCUACCUUUUUAUAGGCUUCCUCUGAGUCCCGGUCUUUCGCAGUUUACGCCCGUUGUUCUCCCCACGCUCGGAUGUGGAUGUCCCAUUAUCGUCAUGAUGGGCGAAUGGAGAUGGACCUCGUGCCUUGAUUCUCGGAUAGGAAUGCACGUCUCGUCAACUGCCGUUGACCGGGUCUCCUCGCCUCGAACCCUAGCGGGAGUGACCCUAUGCCUCUAGCAAGGGUUCGGCCUCGCGAAUGGCAUAUUCGUGGACGAGCAGAAUAUUCCUGCUCCUGUUCCCUUGCUACCUGGCUCUUACAGGAGACACCUGCUCGCAGAAUUCUGCCACCAAACAUCUGCUCAUCACGUCUGGUCUCACCGAAGUAUUUCCCUCAAACACCGGUCCCCCAGUUUCUGGUGUUGGGUAAUGUAAUGGACCAGCAGUAGAAACUCAGUGGUUCUUGGUCGCGUGGGACUGGAAAAGGCUGCCAAGAGUCGUGUCGCAUUUAAUUGCAGAUGAAGUGAUGUGGCGGGAAUCAGCCCCUCCAUUUGAAUUUCAAAUCUACGGUUGCAAGAUUCUCGGGAUAUGUGUCAUUAAAUGCUGGCAAUCCAAAAGUUUGCUCCUCAGUAAGAAAACCCAAAGUCCUUAGACGCGAACUCGUCAUUCUCUCCCUUCUUGUCUCUCCGGCGAAUGACCCUCGGCAUUGAAGCUUUCAUCCUCGCCUCUCUCUAACCGAGUCCCUGCUUCAGGUAUUUCUUCUAUUUUCUCGGUCUUAGUUAGUUGUAGAUAAUUUCUUUUCUCUCUGCUUUGCUUGAGGUUGUAGUUGGCGGUGGUGUUUUGGUUAGAACUUAGGAUAUAUCGAAGGGUAAGGAGAAAGUCGUUGAGAUUGGUGACGACGAACUAGGUUUCUUGCCUAGUCUGCUCGCUGAUUCUGCUUUUGACCCUGGGGUCCCCUUAGAACCCACUAGGUCUAGUGUCGGGACUAGCGCUAGGAGGAUGUCCCCCCAAACGACCUCCACGAGCGGAAGUAGUGGUGAAGAGGGACCUUCUGGCUCGGAAGACACUUUAAGUGAGGAUCAAAGAGGUGAUUCUGGUGAGGGAUCUUCACCAGGAGCGCCGCGACCAGAGGGGCGUAGUACAGUAGGAGGUAGAGCCUCGUCGCGGGAUUAUGCUAUUGAUUACAUGACCUGCACGACCACAUUCAACGAGCUGGAUGACCUCCGGCUCAGGUAUAGCAUUCCUGGUGAAAUUCCUCUCAAGAUCCCAGGAAAGAAGGAUACACCUAGCCGGCCUCCUAGGGGAUACGUUACCCUGUUUCUGGAAAGCUUUAAGUUUGGGCUAAGGUGUCCCUUGCAGCCUUACUUUGCCCGGAUACUUAACGGGCUAAAUCUGGCUCCUGGUCAGCUGAACCCCAAUGGGUGGAGAGUGCUCUCUGGUCUGUUCAUAUUGUGGGACAGAUGUUGCCAAAGCGAGCCCACGGUUGAUGAGGUCAAGCACCUGUACCAGCUGAAGAGCAGCCCUAAAAAUACCGGCUGGUACUACUUCCAAUCUAGUACCAAGAGCAGGAAACCCAUAACUGAUCUUCCAACUGGUGGUGGUGGGACUUGGAAGAGGAAAUUUUUUUUUGCUGGGGGUCCUUGGGGUCAAGUUGCACAAAUAGACGGGAAGGAUUGUCGCGUCCCACCCCGUUUCACGGUCCCAGGUUGCCUGCUCGCUUUAGAUGUCUUGUAUCCAUAAUUGUUCUUGCUGUGUUGGUUUGUCUCUAACCAAGUGUCUGUUUGUGCUGUAGUUUCUUGGGGUGUUCAUUUCCCGCUCAAACCUGACCAACUCAAAAGGGUCGAGGCCGUAUUGGUUAAUUCCUGCCCGAGUCGAGAGCUGUUAACCACCUACAACCUGCUCGAGUCUCGUUUGGUGCCCCCUGGCCAUAAGAUGGAGGACGCAGUGAUUGGAGCUCUGACCAAGAAACGUUCUCGACCUCCAACAACCAAGCGGGACCAGAACAAAGAUGCUCCUGCAACGAAGCGAAAGAACAUCGUGCAGCAGGUUCCUCCCUUGCAGGCUCUUCCUCCUACUAAAGUCGGUGAGACCAGACGUGAUGAGCAGAUGUUUGGUGGCAGAAUUCUGCGAGCAGGUGUCUCCUGUAAAAGCCAGGUAGCAAGGGAACAGGAGCAGGAAUAUUCUGCUCGUCCACGAAUAUGCCAUUCGCGAGGCCGAACCCUUGCUAGAGGCAUAGGGUCACUCCCGCUAGGGUUCGAGGCGAGGAGACCCGGUCAAUGGCAGUUGGCGAGACGUGCCUUUCUAUCCGAGAAUCAAGGCACGAGGUCCAUCUCCAUUCGCCCAUCAUGACGAUAAUGGGACAUCCAUAUCCGAGCGUGGGGAGAACAACGGGCGUAAACUGCAGAAGACCGGGACUCAGAGGAAGCCUAUAAAAAGGUAGCCAACGAAAGUAAAAGGGUUAGCAAUUUUGAUUCUAAAAGAGAGAAAACAACCUAACAGCCAUAAGAUUUGUGGCAAGCGUUCCCCGAACCUUCAUAUCUGACUUGAGCAUCGGAGGGUUUUCGCCAGGAAAACAACCGGCGUACUCUGACCUGUCUGUGUGCGCAGGAACCUCUGGAGAAGAAGCUUUACGAGGAGAGAUCCAGUUCGUGGUGAAGUUAAUCGAGCAGAGACCCUGGUCGUAGAACGAGGAGAACCAGAAUCUCGCAUCAACAUUUUGGCGCCAUCUGUGGGGAGCUGAGCAAAAAGCUUCUGUUGAUAGCAAAAAGAGGAGUGAAGCAAGUGAAAAGCAAUGGAGACAGGAGGAAGUAGUGCACAAGGGGGUGAUUUGAGGCUUAACGAUUCCGUGACGCUGAGAGAGAUAGCCAGUGAAGCACGGGAAAAAGCCAUGUUCGACCGGAUGGAACGGAUGGAAAAGCAGAUGGAGACCCUGACAACCAUCCUGCAUGAGCUGCGGAGUGAACGCAGGGUAACCCAGGAGGAAAGGGUGAGAGGUGGUGGAGUGGCACCAGGUCCUGAUAGUGCGAGGAGAAGUCAAACCACCGGGAGAUUUGGUGGUGAGAGAGAUAACAUACCUCUGCGGGGAGAACUUCAUAGAGAGGAAGAGCAGUCCCUAGCAAGACAGAUUUUUGACGAGGACGACGGGGUGGCGAAUGCAGAGGAAACGGAGUUGAGGCAACACUUGCAUGAUGUAGAGCAAGAGCGGGAUCAAGUUGCUGCACGUGACCCUGGUCGUGCAGUGCAGCUGAAGGAGGAAGUGCGCAGACUAGCGCAGAUAAUUGACGACAUGCAAGGAAGGAACAGAGCUCCUAGUUGGAAGAUAAUGCUGAACGGAGAAUCACCGCUCGCAGCAGAGAUCAUGAGGGCAAUUAUUCCAAGGGAUUUCCGCCUCCCAGACCUUAGAUACGCGGGAAGAACUGACCCGCUGGUGCACAUAGAGCGCUUCAACGACAUAACUGAGGUACAAGGAUUAUCUCAAUCCCAAAGGUGCAGGGUGUUCCCACUAUCCCUUGAGGGACGUGCACGAGAGUGGUACAGAAAACUUCCUCGGGGCAGCAUUAAAACCUUCGAUCAGAUGUGCCAGGAAUUCGCAGAGCAGUUUAGUGGGGCGAUGGCACCAGAAGAUGACAUGAUGGAGCUGAAAAGCAUGAAACAGGGGGAGCAAGAAACCCUUCGGGAAUUCAUCAAGAGGUUUCAUCGUGCUGUCCUCGAUUUGGGAGCCUUCAACCAUCCUCAGGCAUUAAGGGGAUUGAAAGAGGGAGUGAAGAUAGGAAGGUUGUGGUACAACUUGAGAAGCCCAGCUAUUCACUCAUAUGCGGCCGCAUACGAGCAAGCUAAAAGAGACAUAGAGAUCAAGGAAGAAAAGGCGGCUCAGAUUAAGACUGACCAGCUAGAGGGGUUGGAAAAGAAAGAGAAGAGGGCACCACCAGGGAAUGGGCCGAUCAGGAGGAGGGACCACCAGGCCUCAGGUAGUGGAGCAGGAGGUCGGGUAACAGCUUACCAGCCACAUCAGAGGCCACCACAAUAUCAGCGCAGCAGGGCGCAGCCUCUUCGUUCCCCAGCUAGGGAGCCUUGGAGAAGGCAUGAUUCGACAUAUGGUGGUCUUCAUCAACACUCCCACGCCAGUAGAGGGAGCAGACCAGAAGUGCUGCCACUACCCCCAACUCAAAACGAAGCAAAUAGAGAAAUGGCAGUACACCUGAUCGACCAGAACCAGGACUACGGGCAGUAUACUUCAUUGAAGAUGUCCCUGGAUGAGGUGUACGAGGCCAUAAAGGAGCGAGGAUUGCUGUACCUCCCUGCCCAAUAACAAAGCUACCCGGCAGGAGAGAUAGGGAACGCUAUUGUAAGUUCCAUGGCACUCAUGGCCAUACCACAGCAGACUGUAGAGAUCUCAAGACCCAGGUAGAAGAUUUGGUGAGAAAUCGGUAUCUGGACGAGUUUAUAGAUGGGACAUUCCCAAUGGUAGCAUCAACAAAUGAAGGGGAGCAGAGUGACAGGAAUUUGAGGCGCGAGCAGCCUACAGUAAGGAUGAUAGCUGAGGGCCCGACAUUGGCUGGAGAUUCCAACAGGUCGAGGAAGAAUUAUGCUAGAUACGCCAUGACCAGCAAAAGGGUAUUCUUCAACACCCCAGCAGCCAAACGUGCAAGAGUUAGGCAAGUGCCAAUCAUGUGGACAGAUGAGGAUGAGGAAGGCAUUUUAUACCCUCACGAGGAUGCUUUGGUCAUCGAGGCCACUGUUGCUAGCAAGAAGUUUGACAGGAUACUGGUUGACACAGGGAGCUCAGUUGACGUAUUGUUUAAGUCAACCCUGGAGGAGAUGGGAAUAGCAAACCGGAAGCUGGAAUAUACCAACACCUCCUUGAAAGGGUUUGGAGGAGGAAAGCUGGUCCCUCUGGGCGUGGUCGAGCUGCCUAUCACGAUUGGGAGCUCCCCGACGGAAAGGACAAUGAUACUGGACUUUGUGGUCGUGGAUGAAGAAGGUCCUUACCAGAUGAUCUUAGGUCGGCCGUUUCUAAGGAUGAGCAAAGCGGUAUUAUCCAUCCAUUAUCUGGCUCUCAAGUACCGGGUGAACGGGGUAGUUGGAGUGGUACGAGGAGACCAGAGGAUCGCAAGAAGCUGCUACUCCUCGGCAGCAAGGGAAGCAAUGCAGAUAACAUCCCUCGAUACCCGAGUAGAAAACAAGAAGGGCCACAUAGAGUCAAGCAGAUGGUGGGACCCGGGGAUUACAAGCUGGUUCGCACGGACGACCACGAGGUGAAAUGCCCAUGGAACGCAGCACACCUCCGAAAAUACUUCCAGUAAGACUUGUUCACAUUUUAAAGCAAUUUCUGCUCGUGCUCUUUAUCUUUUAUUUUUAUGUUUUACGUCAAAGCAAGUUCAUGUAAAAUCAAAACCUGCAAUUAAUGGAACGUCGAGGAAUGUCAUUCACUUGAAACUGUGAUAAAUUUUCUAAGGCAUGCCAAGGCUCACCAAGUCUCAAAGCCUGUUUUAUGGCGAGACAGAAGCCAAGCAAGCCAGGAUCUGCUCGGCCACGAGAAGGCUAGCAGAAUCCCAAGCUUUGAAGAAAUCAUCUAAAGCAUGCAAAGGCUCACCAAGUCUCCAAGCCUGUUUUAUGGCGAGACAGAAGCCAAGCAUGCCAGGAUCUGCUAGGCCACGAGAAGGCUAGCAGAAUCCCAAGCUUUGAAGAAAUAAUCAAAGGCAUGCAAAGGCUCGACAAGUCUCAAAGCCUGUUUAUGGCGAAACAGAAGCCAAGCAUGCCAGGAUCUGCUCGGCCACGAGAAGGCUAGCAGAAUCCCAAGCUUUGAAGAAAUCAUCUAAGGCAUGCAAAGGCUCGACAAGUCUCAAAGCCUGUUUUAUGGCGAGACAGAAGCCAAGCAUGCCAGGAUCUGCUAGGCCACGAGAAGGCUAGCAGAAUCCCAAGCUUUGAAGAAAUCAUCUAAGGCAUGCAAAGGCUCGACAAGUCUCAAAGCCUGUUUAUGGCGAGACAGAAGCCAAGCAUGCAAGGAUCUGCUCGGCCACGAGAAGGCUAGCAGAAUCCCAAGCUUUGAAAAAAUCAUCUAAGGCAUGCAAAGGCUCGACAAGUCUCAAAGCCUGUUUAUGGCGAGACAGAAGCCAAGCAUGCCAGGAUCUGCUCGGCCACGAGAAGGCAAGCAGAAUCCCAAGCUUUGAAGAAAUCAUCUAAGGCAUGCAAAGGCUCGACAAGUCUCAAAGCCUGUUUUAUGGCGAGACAGAAGCCAAGCAUGCAAGGAUCUGCUCGGCCACGAGAAGGCUAGCAGAAUCCCAAGCUUUGAAGAAAUCAUCUAAGGCAUGCAAAGGCUCGACAAGUCUCAAAGCCUGUUUAUGGCGAGACAGAAGCCAAGCAUGCCAGGAUCUGCUCGGCAACGAGAACGCUAGCAGAAUCCCAAGCUUUGAAGAAAUCAUCUAAGGCAUGCAAAGGCUCGACAAGUCUCAAAGCCUGUUUAUGGCGAGACAGAAGCAAAGCAUGCCAGGAUCUGCUCGGCCACGUGAAGGUGAGCAGAAUCCCCAAGCAUCGAAGAAGUCACUAAGGCAUGCAAAGGCUCGCCAAGUCUCAAAGCCUGUUUAUGGCGAGACAGAAGCCAAGCAUGCCAGGAUCUGCUCGGCCACGAGAAGGCUAGCAGAAUCCCCAGCUGUGAAGAAAUUACCUAAGGCAUGCAAAGGCUCGCCAAGUCUCAAAGCCUGUUUUAUGGCGAGACAGAAGCCAAGCAUGCCAGGAUCUGCUCGGCCACGAGAAGGCUAGCAGAAUCCCAAGCUUUGAAGAAAUCAUCUAGGGCAUGCAAAGGCUCACCAAGUCUCAAAGCCUGUUUUAUGGCGAGACAGAAGCCAAGCAUGCCAGGAUCUGCUCGGCCACGAGAAGGCUAGCAGAAUCCCAAGCUUUGAAGAAAUCAUCUAGGGCAUGCAAAGGCUCACCAAGUCUCAAAGCCUGUUUUAUGGCGAGACAGAAGCCAAGCAUGCCAGGAUCUGCUCGGCCACGAGAAGGCUAGCAGAAUCCCAAGCUUUGAAGAAAUCAUCAAAGGCAUGCAAAGGCUCGACAAGUCUUAAAGCCUGUUUAUGGCGAAACAGAAGCCAAGCAUGCCAGGAUCUGCUCGGCCACGAGAAGGCUAGCAGAAUCCCAAGCUUUGAAGAAAUCAUCUAAGGCAUGCAAAGGCUCGACAAGUCUCAAAGCCUGUUUUAUGGCGAGACAGAAGCCAAGCAUGCCAGGAUCUGCUCGGCCACGAGAAGCCUAGCAGAAUCCCAAGCUUUGAAGAAAUCAUCUAAGGCAUGCAAAGGCUCGACAAGUUUCAAAGCCUGUUUAUGGCGAGACAGAAGCCAAGCAUGCCAGGAUCUGCUAGGCCACGAGAAGGCUAGCAGAAUCCCAAGCUUUGAAGAAAUCAUCUAAGGCAUGCAAAGGCUCGACAAGUCUCAAAGCCUGUUUUAUGGCGAGACAGAAGCCAAGCAUGCCAGGAUCUGCUCGGCCACGAGAAGGCUAGCAAAAUCCCAAGCUUUGAAGAAAUCAUCUAAGGCAUGCAAAGGCUCGACAAGUCUCAAAGCCUGUUUAUGGCGAGACAGAAGCCAAGCAUGCCAGGAUCUACUCGGCCACGAGAAGGCUAGCAGAAUCCCAAGCUUUGAAGAAAUCAUCUAAGGCAUGCAAAGGCUCGACAAGUCUCAAAGUCUGUUUAUGGCGAGACAGAAGCCAAGCAUGGUAGGAUCUGCUUGGCCACGUGAAGGCGAGCAGAAUCCCCAAGCAUCGAAGAAGUCACUAAGGCAUGCAAAGGCUCGCCAAGUCUCAAAGCCUGUUUAUGGCGAGACAGAAGCCAAGCAUGCCAGGAUCUGCUCGGCCACGAGAAGGCUAGCAGAAUCCCCAACUGUGACGAAAUUACCUAAGGCAUGCAAAGGCUCGCCAAGUCUCAAAGCCUGUUUAUGGCGAGACAGAAGCCAAGCAUGCCAGGAUCUGCUCGGCCACGAGAAGGCUAGCAGAAUCCCAAGCUUUGAAGAAAUCAUCUAAGGCAUGCAAAGGCUCACCAAGUCUCAAAGCCUGUUUUAUGGCGAGAUAGAAGCCAAGCAUGCCAGGAUCUGCUCGGCCACGAGAAGGCAAGCAGAAUCCCAAGCUUUGAAGAAAUCAUCUAAGGCAUGCAAAGGCUCACCAAGUCUCAAAGCCUGUUUUAUGGCGAGAUAGAAGCCAAGCAUGCCAGGAUCUGCUCGGCCACGAGAAGGCAAGAAGAAUCCCAAGCUUUGAAGAAAUUACCUAAGGCAUGGACAGGCUCACCAAGUCUCAAAGCCUGUGUUAUGGCGAGACAGAAGCCAAGCGUGCCAGGAUCUGCUCGACCACGCGAAGGCGAGCAGACUCCAAAGCAUUCGAAAAAAUUUCUAAGGCGUGCAAUGGCUCGUCAAGUCUCAAAGCCUGUUUUAUGGCGAGACAGAAGCCAAACAUGGCAGGAUCUGCUCGACCGCGCGGAGGCGAGCAGAAUCCCAAACAUCGGAAAGUUUUCCAAGGCAGGUGGCAAAACCAUAUGCCAAGCCCGAUCCUGCUCGACCAGACAAAGACGAGGAGAUUCUCAAACGGAAAAAUAAUUCAUGAUUACAACUCAAGCAAGUAAUCAAAAGCAGUUUUUCAUUAAUCUGUUAAUAACCAACAAAGUAGUUCAUUACAACGCGAGAAAAAUGUUCAAGAAGAUGGCGGAUCAGUAAGCCGAGCAGCAUUGGUUGGCUGAACCUCCUCAGGUGCGGGGGGGGUAUCACCAGUUACGUCCGGGGGGGUGCUCGCCUCGGCAACGACAGCAGGGGUGCUCACCUCGCCAACGUCAGCAAGGACUGAACGAGGAGGAGAACUUUCCUCCUCAAUCACGAUCGGUUCUAUCCCUUCGGCAUCUUCCUUGGCCGCUUCCUCGUCCAUAUGUUGAGCAACACCAGCUGCAAGAUCAUCCAUCUUCAGAUCAGGAUGCUGCUUCCCGAGGACGGCCAUAAUGCAAUGAUAGGAAUGCCGAAGUCCCUGGUCGUAUUGGUUGUCGGCCUCCCUCUCCAAGGUCUCGACCUGAGCUCGGUGGGAAUCGCGGAGAGAUUCGAGCUGAGCCUCAUACAUAGCCCUCUGCCUUUGCAGAUCCUCCUUGACCUUGGUCAGCUCCUCCUCGAGGGUAAUGGCUUUUGCUUGAGCAAGAGAUUCUUGCUCUAUCAGCUUGAGGUUCUCAACGUUUAGCUCCCCCGCUUUCUUUUCGGCAACGUCAGCUCUGGUCGUCGCCGAUUGAAUGUCCUCCUCCAUCUUCCUGUCGUAAUGGCCAACCUUGGCCUUAUAGUAGGUGGUCAUGCAGCUGAGAUGGAAAGCGCUAUACUACAUGGCUCCCACCAGCUUGCCCAGGGUACAACCGUCAAAGUCCUCCAGGUCCUUCUUGCUCACGAGUUUAGACAACUCAUUGAGAUAGGGGACCAAGUGUUCUGCUCGGCUGUCAGGUAAGCGAGACUGAGGUGCGACAGGUGGAGAAGAGGAAGCAGGAUCAGUGGCUGCUCCACUAGAUUCCCCGACUUUAGCAGGAGCAGGAGGAAGAGCCUGCAAGGGAGGAACCUGCUGCACGAUGUUCUUUCGCUUCGUUGCAGGAGCAUCUUUGUUCUGGUCCCGCUUGGUUGUUGGAGGCCGAGAACGUUUCCUGGUCAGAGCUCCAAUCACUACGUCCUCCAUCUUAUGGCCAGGGGGCACCAAACGAGACUCGAGCAGGUUGUAGGUGGUUAACAGCUCUCGACUCGGGCAGGAAUUAACCAAUACGGCCUCGACCCUUUUGAGUUGGUCAGGUUUGAGCGGGAAAUGAACACCCCAAGAAACUACAGCACAAACAGACACUUGGUUAGAGACAAACCAACACAGCAAGAACAAUUAUGGAUACAAGACAUCUAAAGCGAGCAGGCAACCUGGGACCGUGAAACGGGGUGGGACGCGACAAUCCUUCCCGUCUAUUUGUGCAACUUGACCCCAAGGACCCCCAGCAAAAAAGGAUUUCCUCUUCCAAGUCCCACCACCACCAGUUGGAAGAUUAGUUAUGGGUUUCCUGCUCUUGGUACUAGAUUGGAAGUAAUACCAGCCGGCAUCUUUAGGGCUGCUCUUCAGCUGGUACAGGUGCUUGACCUCAUCAACCGUGGGCUCGCUUUGGCAACAUUUGUCCCACAAUAUAAACAGACCAGAGAGCACUCUCCACCCAUUGGGGUUCAGCUGACCAGGAGCCAGAUUUAGGCCGUUAAGUAUCCGGGCAAAGUAAGGCUGCAAGGGACACCUUAGCCCAAACUUAAAGCUUUCCAGAAACAGGAUAACGUAUCCCCUAGGAGGCCGGCUAGGUGUAUCCUUCUUUCCUGGGAUCUUGAGAGGAAUUUCACCAGGAAUGCUAUACCUGAGCCGGAGGUCAUCCAGCUCGUUGAAUGUGGUCGUGCAGGUCAUGUAAUCAAUAGCAUAAUCCCGCGACGAGGCUCUACCUCCUACUGUACUACGCCCCUCUGGUCGCGGCGCUCCUGGUGAAGAUCCCUCACCAGAAUCACCUCCUUGAUCCUCACUUAAGGUGUCUUCCGAGCCAGAAGGUCCCUCUUCACCACUACUUCCGCUCGUGGAGGUCGUUUGGGGGGACAUCCUCCUAGUGCUAGUCCCGACACUAGACCUAGUGGGUUCUAAGGGGACCCCGGGGUCAAAAGCAGAAUCAGCGAGCAGACUAGGCAAGAAACCUAGUUCGUCGUCACCAAUCUCAAUGACUUUCUCCUUACCCUUCGACAUAUCCUAAGUUCUAACCAAAACACCACUGCCAACUACAACCUCAAGCAAAGCAAAGAGAAAAGAAAUUAUCUACAACUAACUAAGACCGAGAAAAUAGAAGAAAUACCUGAAGCAGGGACUCGGUUAGAGAGAGGCGAGGAUGAAAGCUUCAAUGCCGAGGGUCAUUCGCCGGAGAGACAAGAAGGGAGAGAAUGACGAGUUCGCGUCUAAGGACUUUGGGUUUUCUUACUGAGGAGCAAACUUUUGGAUUGCCAGCAUUUAAUGACACAUAUCCCGAGAAUCUUGCAACCGUAGAUUUGAAAUUCAAAUGGAGGGGCUGAUUCCCGCCACAUCACUUCAUCCGUAAUUAAAUGCGACACGACUCUUGGCAACCUUUUCCAGUCCCACGCGACCAAGAACCACUGAGUUUCUACUGCUGGUCCAUUACAUUACCCAACACCAGAAACUGGGGGACCGGUGUUUGAGGGAAAUACUUCGGUGAGACCAGACGUGAUGAGCAGAUGUUUGGUGACAGAAUUCUGCGAGCAGGUGUCUCCUGUAAGAGCCAGGUAGCAAGGGAACAGGAGCAGGAAUAUUCUGCUCGUCCACGAAUAUGCCAUUCGCGAGGCCGAACCCUUGCUAGAGGCAUAGGGUCACUCCCGCUAGGAUUCGAGGCGAGGAGACCCAGUCAACGGCAGUUGGCGAGACGUGCCUUCCUAUCCGAGAAUCAAGGCACGAGGUCCAUCUCCAUUCGCCCAUCAUGACGAUAAUGGGACAUCCACAUCCGAGCGUGGGGAGAACAACGAGCGUAAACUGCGGAAGACCGGGACUCAGAGGAAGCCUAUAAAAAGGUAGCCAACGAAGGUAAAAGGGUUAGCAAUUUUGAUUCUAAAAGAGAGAAAACAACCUAACAGCCAUAAGAUUUGUGGCAAGCAUUCCCCGAACCUUCAUAUCUGACUUGAGCGUCGGAGGGUUUUCGCCGGGAAAACAACCGGCGUACUCUGACCUGUCUGUGUGCGCAGGAACCUCUGGAGAAGAAGUUUUACGAGGAGAGAUCCAGUUCGUGGUGAAGUUGAUCGAGCAGAGACCCUGGUCGUAGAACGAGGAGAACCAGAAUCUCGCAUCAACAAUCUCUAUAGAUUGGAUCGAUCUCAAUUCAUUGGGAUUGAGUUUUAGUCAUUUCUAGGGCGAGAGAAAUUGACUUGCACAUGUAUCAUGGCAACGUUUGUUUUAUUUGGAUAUUAUUUGUUUUUAUACAGGCUUUUAGUUUAUUUCAGGUUGUCUGAGCAAAAUUUUAUCACACAUGCGAUUACUUGGAAAAUUCUAACGCCAGUGUAUGUUAAAAAUGAAAUUGGGUCAUGUAGGUACCCUCUGUCAAGAUCAAGUGCUAGCUGGACAACCACUUUGAAAACUAGUCUCCUUUUCCUGCUGUAAGUUUCAUUUCCUUUUAGAUUUUACCGCAUGAGUUUAGCUUAAUUUCUUCAAAUUACUCCGAUUUAAGACCAAAUAGACUCUGGAAUAAGGGCUUAAGUAAUUUAUAAUAGAGAUGAUUAGGGGAUGGGCAAGGAUACUUGGUAAUAUGAAGGGACAAUUUGGAUGUGUUUGCAAAAAUGAAAACACAGUAUCCCCUGUAAUAUUGGACGGGAUUGAUGACUGAAUGGUCAAUCAAACGUUUUUUUCCAUAACUUUUGAAAGCACCAACUACUUUCAGAUCCAUCUGCCAUCUAUAUUGAGUAUAUUCUAAUUAUAAAUCUAUCGUUGUUUGUCCUUAGAAAGCAAAAUACAUACAAAACUGUAUUUAAUACUCUUUUUUAAACCAACCACCCAAUAAAUAAAUAAAUAAAUAAAAUUAAAAUGUAUUUAUUAAAUUAAAUAAUUUGCAAAAACUACGAAUCUCAAUAGUCUGUCUACUUAUAGACCAAAGUUAUUUAUUAAUCAUGGUUAAUGCAACAUGUGUGUAACACAAAACAACAAAUAACUGGCUUUGCUUUGCUCCAGAAAAUUGGUCGAAAUUUUGGUCAGGCAAACCAAGCAGUCCAAUUUUGGUACAAUAUUUUGUCUAACAAUUUUUAGCUUUACCGUUAAGCCAUAAUAUCGUUUUCUUAUAAGCAUUAAUCUAAUUUCUCCUUAACUAAUUAUUGUAUUAUGCGUAUGGUGUUACCCUCAUCAUCGUUUGACUUUUCAACCAAGUAGUUGUGGGUGGAGAUCAAUUAAUGCUUCAACAUAUUACAGUUCAGAGAGAAUGACAAUUCCAUCCCUCUUUAUUUUUAUUUUUAUUUUUUGGGGCAUCACUUAGGUUUCUUGUAGACUUUUAGUACCUCAUUUUAUCAUUGACUAAAAAAUGUUAAGUAAAAAAUUACGCGGUUGGAGGUAAAAUACAGUUGGUGUAUUGAAAUACAAACUAAUAUUACAUAAAAUCUGACAUAAAAACAUAUUAAAAUUGGACCAGUUAAUGAGGUCAUUUUACGCCGACGCAAUCGUGACGCAAUCGUGCAAAUACCAAAAAACGUACUGAAUAUUGAUGAGCCAUGGUCCAAAACAAUAACUGGACCAGUUGAUGAGGCCGGCUUAGUAUCUACAAACAAGGUAGUCAAUCUAGGCUUCAGCAGUUAGUAUCCCAAUCCCAAUCCCAAUCAAGUGCGCAGCCCUAAAACAAAGAGUGGACUUUUCUAACACCCCGUGAAAAUUCUUAUGAAACCCACUUUUUUUAAUUAUUAUUUUGAGUGCGACUAUUUUCACCCCUUUAAAUAUCUCUUAAUAUCCUUUUUUUUUUAAUUAACUCCAUUAAACUAUUUUAAAAAAUUAUAAAAUUCUUUUAACACCUCCAUCAAUAACAAAAAUACCCUUAAUUAAAACUUAUUAGUAUAAACUUUAUUCUCUAAUUUUUACUUGUUUUUAUUAUUAAACCUCAUUUCAAUAAUAAGAUUUCUUCCACUCAAAAGAAAAAAAAAAUAACCGAUUUUCUUCUCUCCAUUGCAAUCGUCAGUGGUGAAUUUUUCACCCAAAAAUUAGAGGAAAAUUAAUUGUUUUUAAUUUCUAUAAUGUUAAAUUUUUUUAAGAAAAAAAAAAUUAUUUGAAUUUGGAGUAGGGUUUUAAGAAUUGCCCUAUCAUGUAAUUUUAAUCAAAGUUAAAAUUAUAAAAUAAUUAAAGGGGUUUUAAGAGGUAUUUGGAAGGGUGUCAAUAGUCCCACUCAUUAUUUUUUCCGACAUAUUAAAUCAUUUGAUAUAUGAAUUUCACAUUGGGCCUCGACUAAUUCAGAUUCGAGCCGGAUAUAACCAUUAGGACGACAAAACUCUCCCAAAAAAUAUUUAACGCAGCUGCAUUCGCAAGUCUCGAACCGAGAACCUUGAUUAAAUUAGAAUAAUUUAUUUACAGCUAAUCUACGCGUUUGUUGAUUUUUUUCAAUUAUUAUUAUUCUUAUUUUAAUACCAAAAAUACCCUUUUCCUGCUAAAUUCCUAUUACAUUUUUUUAGUUUAUUCCAAUUUAACUAUCUUUAAUCAGAUCGAGACGAUGAGUUUGCAAAACUAUGUAAAGUUAGGUGGAGCUGCUUGAUGGUUCCUCCAAUCACGAUCAAGAUGUUAAAUGUUGACCUUGGAAAAACAUAAGCCGCUAAACUCAAUAAGUAUAUGCAAAAGAUAGUACAUCAGGUAGUAUUAAAGAAUUGUUUUUUUUUUCCUACAGUUUUCUCACCCGUAAAACAAAUCAAUGUCUUAUUUUUGGUCUUUUGGAUAGAUGAGUCACAAACAAAAACAAAAAGGAAAAGAAAAAAAAAAGGACUUGUUGAUUUUUCAGAUUUUGGGGAGAGAAAGAGAAGCGGUCGAAGAGUUCGCAGAGAAAAUAAAAAUAUCCUGGGUGUGUUUGACGAGAGAGAAACAGGUAGACGAGUUUGUCCUCCCAUGUAAUUACAUCAGAAAAGGUGUUAUAAGUAAAAAUAGCGGGGUGUUAAUAGCUGUACUGGAAGGCAAAUAUAUUGUCGCUCAAGUCCAUUCAAAUUCGGCCUAUAUCUAAAGAAUGAGAGAAGACUUUACUUCUCAAGCUGACUGGGGGGUACCGGGCCAGGCUGGUUUCGUUUUGCUUUUUGUUUUCCCUCACUAAUACAAUUUACUAAUUCAAAAUUAUGGUAGUUGAUUUACUUCUACUUCUAAAUAUGUAACGCACUACGAGCAUAAACUAUCUAAAUCGUACCAUUAUUAUAAAUCUAAUCCAUGAGGCUUUUAAUUGAAAAUAUAAUAGAUUAUAUUGUAAUUCAAAAUAUAAAUGUAUAAAUGUCAAAUAAUAAGUUAACAUACGAGUAGGGAUGGCAAUGGGCACCGCCCGCAGCGGGUUUGCCAUUACCAAACCCAAACCCGCACAAAAUUUAAAUUACCAAACCCACCCGCAACCCGCAGCGGGUUUUAAUUUUUUUACAAAAACCCACCCGCAGCGGGUUUUAACAAUUACCAAACCCGCAAUGGUAUCCGGCGGAUUUUUUGCGGGUUUUCGUAUUUAAAAUCACAAAUGUUUAAUAUAUAAAUUUAUAAUAAUAACCUCAAAUUCCAUAUAACAUACUCAAUUUUAUAUUUAAAUAAUGUAAAUGAAAAAUUAAAAUUUCCACAUCAAUUCAACACAAAUUCUCAAAUUUAAGUAUAAAUUACACAAAUCCAUUUAAAAAACACAAACUAGUAUCUAAAAAUAAUAAUUACAUUUCAUAUUAUCAUUUAAAACAAGCUCCAAGAGAAGAUAUUCAUUUCAUUCACCACCAUAAGCACCCAUCCAACACAAUGCCUAUAAUAAUAAUUAAGAUUAAUAUUUUCAAAUACUAAUUCGAAGGAAAAUGCCUUUAGUUUUCUUUAGAUUAUGACUUUAGAAUAGGAUAUAGGCCACAUACACAACUUUGAGCCUUUGGCUAUUUGGUAAUUUAAUUAAUGACAUUAUUUUCUUUAUACAUUUUUAGAUUAAAAUUAAACUAAAAAUAUUUUUAAAAAAUAUUGCGGGUUUGGUGGAUAUCCAUGCGGGUAUCCACCGGAUAUAAGGUUAAUACCAAACCCACCCGCAUCCAUGUGCGGGUUUUAAUUUAUAAUACUAAACCCGCCCGCAACGGGUAAAAUUACCCGCAACGGGCGGGUUUUGGCGGGUGGGUUUGGGCGGGUUUGCGGGUUUACGGGUACAAUUGCCAUCCAUACAUACGAGUGCAGUCUCACACAAAUUUUUCUUGGUGCACGCAUUGCCAACUUGGAAAAUCUACUCAACUAAUACUUCCUUCUCUUUACUGUUGCAUUGACUUUAGAAAGUUAAUUUUAGGGGUCUUGUUACAAUGCACCAGCUGCACCAUCUAACAAGUUUUACAUUGUCCUUAACCAAUUAUUCAUUCAUAAUCGUUGAUUCACUAUAUUAUUUUUAUACAUAACAUGUUUUUGUAAUACAUAUAGGGCUUGUUUGGUUGUUGUAUUAAAGCCCCUCAUUGUAUUAAUUUUACACAAAUUCAUGUUUGGCAAAUAAAAAGUUACAGGACCACCACAUUAAAAGCCCAAACUAAUGCGGCAGUUGCCGCAUUAAGGUAAACCCGACUGUGAGUCGGGUUUAACUUAAUGCGGCAACUGCUGUUUUUUUUGUUUUUUUUUUUUUUCUCUCUCUCCCUUUUUGCUUUUGCAACUGUCUGUGGAGCCUUGCUUUUUGACUUUUGUUUUUUGACUUUUGCUUUAUAAUAACAAUAAUAAUAAUAAUAAUAAUAAUUAUUAUUAUUAUUAUUAUUAUUAAAUAUAACUUUUAAUUUAAUAUUAUUUUUAUAUUAUAAUUAUUAAUAUAGAUUAAUAAACAUGUAAUUUAUUAUUCAAUAUUAUUAUGUUAUAUUAUUUUUUACAUUAUAAUUUAUUAAUAAAUUUAUAAUUUAUUAUAACUUAUAAUAAAUAGUUAAAUAUGAAUAAAUUUGAAUAAUAUUAAUUUAAAAUUAAUAAUAAUAUAAAAUAUUAAUACAAUUUAAGUAUAUUAAUAUAAUAUAAUAUAGUAUAAUAUUUAAUUUAAAUUAAUCAAAAAAUUUAUUACAGUACAGUGUAGUACCAAACAUUAUACAAUAUUAUUAUAAUACAGUGCUAAUGCAAUACAGCAUAAUACAAUACACCAGCAUUAAAAUAAUGCAAUACAACAUAAUACAAUACAUGUACCAAACGCACCCAUAGUAAAUUAUGUAUACAACGAAAAAGUUAUUAUCAAUAAAAAAAAAAAAAAAAAUGUGGAUCUACGGCGCAACAUGCUGCACCAUAAUCACACCCUAAAUUAUUAAAAUAAUAAAUUAAUUAAAAGAUAAAUAAAACGUACAUUUUAAAUAAAAUAUUUUAUUUUUUAAUAUAUUAAAAUAUGUAUUUUAUAUACCUUUUAACUUAUUUCUUAUUUUAAUAAUUUAAAGAAUCUUUCAUUCAAAAUUUAUUCUAUACAUAUAUAUUAAGUUGGCCCCUUUUGAUAACAUAAUAUUUACAUGCAUGAACUUGAUCACUAACACAUAUAUUACAUGAGUCGCACCUGACGAAAAUUCCAUACGAUAUAUAUUCAAGUGAUCCAGAUCGAUAGACAAAUUAAUUGUACCAUGUUACAGUUAAAAUUGGAAAAUAAUAUAUAGUACAUAUUCCUUUUAUGUGGCAAAAUAAUGUAUACAUUACAUUUUCCCUUUUACGUGGCCCUCAUGACGUCGAUUUAUAAAUCAUCAUGUGACAGUGAUUUAAUGUGGACAUCCAAUGGACCACCAAAUUUCUAAUGAACAGAGAAAUUUGUCGACAAGCUUAUCCCAACUCCUUGAUUGCUAGUUUAAGUGUCUAUUCACAUCAAUGAGCCAAGUUGAUUCAUCUCACUACCGGUAUUUAAGGUCAAUUUUUUUAACUUAAAUCUAAUAUGUUAUUAUACAACUUAAACGAUAAAUCCCAAGUUUUUAAAACUUUUUACUUUGGUAUGAUCAAAUAAAAAUCAGUUAGGUUGCAGUAGCCAACACAAGAUAACUAAAAACAGAACAAAUUCCAUGAAAAGUUCACUAAAAAGUCUUUAAAAAUAAUUGCUUUGUACUAUGAAAAUUAAAAAAAAAAAAAAAAAGUGUUCCCGCAUACUUUGAUGUGCUUAAUUUUUUUGUCUCAACCUCUCAAUGGUAGUCAAAAAGUUUUCAAACAACCAACUUUGAUCUCGUAAAUUUAGAUUUAGAUAAACAUAUGCAAAUCUACAACAUAUCUUAUUCUAACUAUUAAAAGUAAUGCUUUCCAUGAUUUUCCUAAGUAAUAAGAAAUUGGUAGUGUUUUGAUUGCCUCAAAAAAUCCCAACUAAUCAAACACUGCCCAAGAUCUUUGUCAAGAUAAAUUCAAGUUGCAUAUGAAUCAAAUGACCAACCUUUAUGACUCAAUGAUUAACAAGAACCUAAUAAACGAAUUUUAGAGACCAGAAACACAAGUAUCAAGCUAAAUUACCAACCAAAGCACAUAGAAAAGAAGACUGAUUCUACAUGGUUCAAUUGUGCAAAGAAGCACAAUCUACCAGAAUGAGUUUUUACUGAUGAUUCGAGUUGAAUUUAUAAAGCUUUUACAGAAUAGAUGACAAGGAACGGGAUGUCUCUCUCUCUCUUUCUCGUAUAUCUCUCUAGAACGCUCUUAAUUCCUCACUGAAACUGCCUCAACAAUCAGCUUUGUAUAACAGUCGAUAACAAACCCGGAUUCCAACAGUUUCUGCCACGUGGUUAACGGCCUGCAUCAAACUUGCUUCCCCUUCAUUUCAUAUGCUUCAUCACCUGCAUGACUUGAGUCUUAGCCAAAACGUCUUCAUGUCUUGCCGUUUUGAUGUUAUUAAGUGAGUCACACGUCCAUCACAUGACAGGUUGAAACAAACUAAUACGCAAAACGAUGCCGUUUAACAUGUCCAAGUUUUAAAUUCAGCAAAUUAGUCCACAAAAUUAAAGUUAUUUUUCUUUUCUUUUCUUUUUUUUCCAACUCUUUGUUCAAACCAAAAAAAUCUUGAUCUCGAACAUCUUUAUAAUCACAACACAAUUACCUACAUACAAUGCCAUAUCGUAACGUACAAAGAGGAAGACACAUCAGAAACUCAAAUAGUAACAAUAAAAACAUCCUUCAUAAGUCAAUCAAUAUUACUUAUAUAUAUAUUCCUUUCGAAUUGAAGAGAGCCACCUGAAGCUUGGCUGCUCAUCAGCCUUGCUUGGAUUCAACCACUUAAGAGGACACCAACAACAGUUUUUGCUCGCCUAAUCAUAAUUCUUUUUUAUGUUGUAUGAAAAUAAAAAAUAAUUGAAUAUUAGUUAGAGAUAUAUAUUAAAUAAUUUAUUAAAAAAAGUUUACAAUCUAUAUACAAAUUAUGAUCUAUAAUUCAAUGAGAUUCUGUAUAAAUGCACUUUAAAUUUAUAGUACAAUCCAGAAAUUUUUCGAGUAUUAACUUAAAAGUCUACUCUCAUAAAUAUACAAAAAGAUAUUUACAGUAUUUUAAAUUAAUAAUAUAAUAUUAUAAUUUAUUAUUAAUUUUGUUUGUAUUAAUGGGAAUCUUCCUUGCAUUCCUCUUUUAGUUGCGCCAAGGAUAUCUUUGAAAAGGAAAUGCUUCCUCAUGUUGCUAUGACUGAAUUCUCUAGAACUAAGAAAGCUUAUUAUUUUGGGUAACUAUAAUUCUUCUAUAUAUUAUCAUUGUCAUUACUUUAGAGUAGUUACAGAUCUUAUUUAUCUUUAAUUUCUUCAGCUGUUUUAUAAAUCGGCUUCUUCUUUGUGCACUUGGCCGGUGGGUUAAAGAUGUUAGAUAUCAUUAUGGCAACAAGAGACAGGACCUUUCUGGUUCAUUACUUGAAGGCUUGUUUAGGAUGGUUUGUUUCAUUUUUGUGUCGAGGUAGUUGACUUUACUUGUGAUCAUAUGAAUGGAGAUGUAUCUCUUUUCUUUUAACAUCCCACUUUUAUAACUAAAAUAAGAUGAUUUAUUUCAAAAUAUUUAAAAUCUCAAUAUUUUUUUAAUAUAAAUAUGGAUAAUUAAAAUUUUUACAUGACAAGCACAAACUUCAUUACAAAAUAUAUGAGACACAUAGAGAUUCCUUAGUAUAUAUUUCAAAACAUGGUUAUUAUGCAAGAGAACUUAAGAUAUUUAUUUUUUAUAGCAACAUAGCUAAGCCCAUCAGAGUCCAACGGUUUGACAUGCCCAUAUGCAUUUCAUCUUGGUUGGGACUUGGCGCCAACUUGAUCUACUCAUCAUUACCUACAAUCUAAGGAUUGCAUGAGCUAAUGCCUAGUAAGAUAACACCUUGAUGCAAGUAUAAAUUGUUAAGCACAUGGAUGAGCUUAUAAACAUUAAAUCUUUAAAAGAAACAUAGAAAUAUAAAACAACUUUGUUAGGGCCCUAUGUACAUUGCACGACAAGGUUGGCACUUUUCAUUCUUUAAAACAACAUCCCCUUGGGCCUAAAUUAAUAGUUGAUCUUUGGGCAUUGCGUAACUCUGUCCCCAAAAGAUUACUCUUUACUUAGCUUUGAGGUCUUGCCCUCCUUGAAAACUUUAUCACCCUAGUAGUACAACAACCCAUUGUUCAAGACUCAUUUUUAAAAUCUUUUCUUUGUAAAGUAAUCUUAACAUAUUAACAUGAAUGCAUGUGUUCAAUGCAACCUAUAUCAUAACAUGUAAAGUUCCUAGAUAUAUAACAAAGCCAACCAUACAAAGUUUUUUAAAGACAACAAUCUUUAGUAUAGACGGCAGUGCUGUUUAUAUAAAAAAUAAAUAAAAAACAUGAUUAUAAUAAUAAUAUAGGUGACAAAGCGAACCAUAUCAUAAUUAAAUAAGAAUAUCACAAUAUAGGCAGCAUAACCAACUGUAUAAAGAUUAAAUGAGAAAAUAUCACAAUAUAGGCGGCAUAGCCGACCAUAUAAGGAUUAAAUAAGAAAAUAUCAAUUAUCAGCGACAGAGCCGACCAUAUAAAGGUUAAACAAUAAAUAAUCACAUCACAGUAGUCAUCAUAAGAUAAAGAAAUAAUUAAAGAUGAAUUUAAGUAUGAAAAGAACUUUGUCCGCAAAUUGCAGUUAAAGUAUUACUCAUAUCUUAAUCUUGACCCUCCUAACUUUAGGAUUUCUCUAUUCUUUGAUGUUAUUACUUAGAAUAGAAGAGGAUAGAAUUCCAAAGGAGAUAUGGAAAAUGAAAGAGCUAGGAGUACUUAUAGGAUUUCCUAAAGCUAAUGGAUGAUUAGGAUUUUGUCACCAUACCUUUUGAUUAAUAGUUGAGAUUUAUCCUUCCAUAAAUAUCUUUGUAAAUUCCAGAAUUUAUAAAUAUUCUACAGACAUUUUGUUGCAUCAAUACUUAUGUCAUCGCUUGUGUCAUCAUUACUCUAGAAUUUACUUUCAUAAAUAUUUUCUAUUUUUAUUAUUUUAAUAGUUAAGGGGAUUUGUAGCUUAAAAAUUAAUUUUAUAAUCUUAAAAUGAGAAGUUUAUACCUCAUAGUUUCCUCCCCCUUAAGAAAAUUUUAUGCUCAAAAUUUCCUAUUGAAUAGCUCAAGAUACUUGUUCUUCAUAUUUUCUUCACAUUCCCAUGUUGCCUCCUCCUUGAGCUAUUUCGUCAUAGUAUUUUAACUAGAAAAAUCUUCUUGGUUUUUAUCUCCUUUAUCUUUCUAUCAAGUACUUGGAUUGGAUGUUCUCCAUAGGUUAAGACUUCUCUUAGUUGAAGAGCCCUAUAAUUUAGCACAUAAGAGGGGGUCUGCAACAUAUUUCUUUAACAUGAAGAUAUGAAAAGACAUUAUGUAUCCUUGACGAUGGUGGAACAACAAGUCAGUACGAAACAUUCUUGACAUAUUUCAAGUAUUUCAAAUGGUCCAAUAAACCUCGGAAUUAAAUUUCCUUUUACAAAUACUUUAUUACCAACUUGAAAUUCAAAAGGCCUUCAACUUUUAUCUACAUGACUUUUUUGUUGACUUUGAGCUGUUUACAUUCUUUAAUGUAUUUUCUCGAUCGCCUUAGAUGAGACAACAAUCAAGUCGGGCCCAAACUACUUUUGCUUGCCCAUUUGAUCCCAAUGAAUAGGUGACCUACAUUUUCUACCAUAUAGAACUUCGUAGGGUGUCAUGCCGAUUUUUGCUUGAUAGCUAUUAUUGUAGGCAAAUGCAGCCAAAGGUAGAUAUUUGCUCUAUGAUCUUUAAAAGUCGAUAGCGCAUCCCCGCAACAUAUCUUCUAGUGUCUAGAUCAUUCUUUCUGACAAACCAUUUUUUUAAGGGUGAAAUGUUGUACUAAAUUUUAAUUUUGUUCCCAUAGUUCUAUGUAACUUUUUCCAAAAUGUUGAGGUGAACAUUGUCUCUCGAACAAAGAUAAUAAAAAUAGGUACACCAUAUAGUCUCUAAAUUUUAAUUUUGCUCCCAUAGUUCUAUGUAGCUUUUUCCAAAAUGUUGAGGUGAACAUUGUCUCUCGAUCAAAGAUAAUAAAAAUAGGUACACCAUAUAGUCAUACUAUCUCCUUUAUCUAUAUUUAAGCAAAUUGGUUCAUGGUGUGCAUCAUUCAAAUAGGCAAGAAGUGGGUGGACUUUAUAAGCCAAUCGACGAUCACCCAAAUGGCAUCAUGCAUUUCUUUUUCAAUUUUUUAUUACUAUUGGUAUUUAUGCAAUUUUUUAGAAAGUUAAACUGGAAUGUGAGAGCUUAUGUGAAGAAGGUUCUAAGUUUUUGUUGCUUUCUUUCUUUUUUUCUUUUUGUUUGAUUUUGAAUUAUUCCUUUUUUUUUUCAUUUGUUCUGGUUUACACUCAUAUAGUUCAUCCAUUUUGUAAAGGUUGGAUAAGGAUCUAUAUGUUAAUUUGCAAUAUGCUAUUUUAGCUAAAACAAUUACCCAUGGUAUAAAGUGUUCUUUGGCUACUGGUAAUUAGGGUCAGUUAGAUGCGUUUAUUACAAGAACAGAAGUGUCACAGGUUUUUUAUUUUUGAUCUAUUUGAAUACAUGAUAGUUGUUUUUGCUCACUCAAUUUCUACUUUGUAGUAUUCCUUAUAGUAUACCUUUUGAUUACAUUGAUCUUGUGGUCUUUCACAGAUGUUGAAUUACGUGACAUGCGCAUCUACCUUGUCACAUUUGCGAACACUAUGUUCGCCCAUAAGACAAAAGGUAAACUACUUAUUAUUGUGUAUAAUUUUGUUUUAUUGAGGGUUCAUUCAUGCUUAGUUUUGUUUUUUCACUUAUGCAUUACCAUAUUGUUAUUUUGUUAAUUUGUUGCAUAUAAUUAAUUGUUUUCACUUUAUUUUUCUAAAGAAGUUUUCAUUUACUAGGUACACAAGUAAAACCUAGGGUGGCACAUAAUACACAAUGAGGCAAGAUUUGUUCCUUUGCAACACCUUUGGGAUAAGUAAGUAAAAUUGCGCUUAUAAGAUAUAUCUAUAAUCUCUGUUUCUUAUUGUAGCUUACAAGAGUUUGUUUUGGUUAAUCUAGGCCUGUGGACUAGUGAAGAAUCUUGCUUUGAUAGUCAAUAAAACCCUUGGUUCAUUAGUAUUUCCCAUCAAUGAGUUAUUAGAAUAUGAGCCAAUAGUAGAAGCCAAGGUGCAUUUUGUAAUUUAUGGCAUUUAGACGUUAAUAAUACAUAUUUCAUUCAAAUUAUUUCAAUUUUCUCCUGAUUGCAAAAUGCUACUGCAGACUUUAUUCUAUAAGCUACAAAAAGUUUUGUUAAUGGUUACUGGGUGUCAUGCAUGAUGUUGGUUCAUUGGUCCAAGCUUUGAGACGCUUUAAAAGAAAUGUCAUUAUACUUGUAUUUCAUCUAUUCAUAAGGAAACCUCUGUAUUAAAAGUUGGCAAAUCGAUUGGUGUACUCUUAUGCCAUUUAUGAACUAUUUUGUUUCUCUACCCAUGUGCAGGACUUUAUAAAUACUGCAAUUGGGGUUUCUAGGGAUAUCCGUUCAAAAGAAUUGCGUAUAUACACUGAUUUUGGUCGUUGUUUUCGUCCAUUGCUUAUUGUCCAGAAUUAAAGACUUCUUAAAAAGAAGAAAGAUAUUGACGCCCUCUAUGACAAGGUUAGCCAAACAGUUUCUCGCUCUUUUAUUAAUGAUUUGUCUUUUCUGUAGUUACAUGACUUUUAUCUUGUUAAUCUUCCACAAAUCUUCCGAAGAUGGUUGUUGGUGUGACCUUUCUAAAAAAUGGGUUUAUAGAAUAUAUUGAUCCACAAGAAGAAGAAACCAUAAUGAUUUGCAUGACAAUCAAUGUGAAUAAAAUGGUAUUGGUUGGUCGAAAACCCAUUAUCGUGAGACGUAAUUUUUAACUUGCUAAAAAUUUGAUUAACACAAAUUUGCUUCAAGAAGUUGUAAAUGCGAGGCUUCAUCCAAACAAGGCUACUUCUAAUGCUUACAUGCAUUAUAAGAUUCAUUCAUCCUUGAUAUUGGGAGCUUUUGCUUCAAUUAUACCAUUUCCCAACGAUAAUCAGGUGCGUCGUGCUUUUGACAUUUCUCUGGUAAAAUAUGUUUAUAUAUUAAUUCAAUCCUCAAACUUUCUUUAGUAUUAUUUAUGCCAUUUAUGAGCUUUUGCUUUUAGUCCCCCAUGUAAUGUGUUUCAAGCUGCAAUGAGCAAGCAAACAAUUGGAAUCUAUGCUACAAACUACCAAUGACAUAAAGUACUGUAUUUGGUUUCAAUUUUUUUGUGAUUAGAAGUUCAUUUUCAGCAAGUCAUAGAUAAUGAUAUUAUUUUUCCUUUAUAUGAUUUAAGAUGCUUUAGCCUAUGUUCUCUACUACCCUCAGAAACUACUACUUGCUCGGAAAGAUGUAAAACUCCUUCAAUUUAACCAACUUCCUACUAGUGUGGUGAGUAUAUAAUUUAAUGUUGCUUUAUUGUUGCUCCUUAUGAUCAAAGUUUUCUCAUAAUCUUUUUGUCUUUGUUAUUUGGCAUUAGAAUGUAAUUGUCACUAUUGCCUGUUACAGUGGCUAUCAUCAAGGAAGUUCUGUUGUUAUGAACCAAUUAUCUAUAGAUUGAGGAUUAUUUUGAUUCCAUACAUUUAGGUAAGUUGUUGUUGAGACAUUGUGUAUCUUAAUUAACACGACUCAAAAGUAUUGAUUACUCCCAAGUAUAAGAGUGUCUAAUUAUAAUAUAAUCUAGUGAGUUGGGGUCGAUCCACAAGGAAUCUAUAAAUCUAGUAGUCAAUUAUUAAAAAAAAAUAACUGCAGAAAAAAGAAAUUAAUAGAGAUCAAUCUAGAAAAAAUGUUGUGGUUACGGAAUUCACUGUCGAUUUUCAAAUUAUGGUCGUAAUACUCUCUCAUAUUUAUAUUUUGCAUUUCUUUAGCCAGUUAAUUGUUAUGCCAUUUAAUUCUUAAUUGACCAUUUGUAUGGAUAAAUAUGAGAUCAAGUACCUAAUGUGCCACAGCUAUAUUGGAGUAUCGACAUUAUGUCAAAAAAUCCAUACCAAUCUAAGCAGAUCUAGAUCUAUAAAUUAGCAUGAUAUAAAAGUAAUUAGUAAAGAAAAAAUACAAAUUAUUAACAUUUAACAAUUAAAAUAAAUUUAAAACUCACUUGAGAGAGUAAUUAAUUCCCUAAUUUGAAUCCUUGAGCUUUAUCUUUCACCACAACUUAUAAAAAUUUAGUCACUCAUAUUUAAAAGGAAAACACUCAUUUUAUUUAAACUUUGUGAACUACAAUACAAGAAAAUUGAAAAGUAAAGGAAAUGAAAGAGAUUUUUGUCCUUAAAUUCACUCUAUAUUCACACCAAAAUACUCAUCCCUAAAAUCCACCACAAAUUCUCUCUCAUUUUCUUCUUUCUCCAAAAAUCUAGAACACCCUCAUUUAGAAGAGCUCUUACCUUUUUAUAGGCAAAAUUUAGUGAUCAAGUGUGGGUGUUUACAUAAUAUUUUUGUGAGAUUACAAUCACCACCAUUUAGAUGAGAUUUAGUAGUAUAAUCUAAGGGUCUAAAAUUUGCAAUCAUUAUGGAUCGUUAGAUUUAACAUAAUUGUUUUUAGUAGAUUUUGAGUGUGUGAAUAAAAACAAAACCUAGUUAAAAAAAAUGAAUUUAUUUUUAUUGGGAUGUAAAGUACCUUGCUUAGUCAGAAUGUGCGUGUUAUUUCGGUCUUUCUAGGGAAGAAGGAAGGGUGAGAGGGUGGCAGAAACGGUGAGAGGUUCGAAUCUAGACUCACAAAGCUCACCUUAGACCUGCAAAACAAUGAAGAAAAGGUUAGAGGUGCAGGCGAGAUGGAUGGCGACCACACUCUAACUCUCAAGUCGGAGUUAGGUUACCUCAGGUUCGAGAACUUGCAAACUCUCAAUAAUAGUGGCUAGAGAUUGAAGAAAAUCUCAGCCUUGGUGGUAUGUGUGUGUAUUGGUUGUGUAUCAUAAAAAUAAAACCUGAGCAUUUUAUAAAGAGUACUCCGGCUACCAUGCGACAUGAUGUUACUUUUUUUAUGUUCCUUAUUGUCGUGGCAAAAAUAUUUUUGUCCUUCAUACAUGAGACAAUUUGGGUACUUUAGAAUGAGCAUGAAAAAUAAGUUUGAGGUGCAUACACGUGUUGGGCGUAGAUGGGUGGUCCCUCGUACCUCUACUGAGGCUGUUCGGAACUUGCAGGCAUGGCAGGUGAGGACAGGUGGUCCUAACUGUCUUGGUAACUACUUUUUUGUCUUAUUUGUAGGAGUAACAAGUCGUUGUUUCUUCUUUUCCAACACAAUAUUCCUUUAUUGAUUUCCUAUUUUUUGCCAGAAAAUCAACCAAUCAUUUUGGGAUAAUGCCUCCUUUUAUCACCUGUUACUUUUUUGAAUAUUUUUCUAACAUUCCUACGCUUGCAUGGCAUACCCCAGGUACUCUUUCGAAUAAAUAGGGUAUUCGACAUAAGCCAGGAUAUUUUUUAUGACUUUUCUUUCGUUAUAAGUCUUUGUAUCGACACAUGACGCUUUAUUGUUAAGUCUUCCACUUCUUUCCCAAGUAAUAAUCAAUGUCUAUGAUUGAAGUCAAAGGUGGAUCCUCCUUUUGCUAAUUUGUCAAGGCAGUUGAGCUAAUUUGUUAAAAUAAUUGAUCUACCAAAUUUGGUGUGCAAAAUCAAGCACAACAUGGUGUACGUGAGCUUAGACACGCGGCAUGAUCUCAAUCGUUUAGCAAUAAUGCCAGAUCAAAUGGCUACAAAAUAUCCAACAACUUCUGAGCUUAUGGGAUCCAAAUGUCACGUCCAUUUUUUUUUUAUCCAAGCAUCGUGAUUUUAGGGAAUUACCUACGAAACACAAAAAAAAAAAUUGUAGUUAAAAAUAAAUAAAAAUUAAUCAUUUGUAAAAUAGUUUAGGGAUUUAUUAAUGUAAUAAAUUUUUUAGUGUUAUCAACACUGCAAAUUGAAAAUGAUAACUAAAAUUUUAUUAAAUGUACACUUUCUAAUAUUAAUAAUUAAAUAUCUGCUUUAUUCAGUUUGUUUUAUUUUCUUUGAGAUAUACUUUAUUAAAUUUCUCCUAUUUGACAAUGAUGAGGAGAAAGGGAUGAGCACUAUUAGAGAACAACAAUUUGGGCAUCUGGCUCCAUCGAAUAUUAGGGUGAAUACUAAAAUCAAGACACUGCUAGUUGUUGUUUGGAUGAAAUAUUGUUUGAAUAUAUCUAAUACUAUGAGCUAAAUUCAGGAUGCUGGUGGAGUGUUGGUUAUUGUUUGCUUGAAAUAUUGGAUGUAGAUAGGAAUUUUGUUUUGCAGGACGUACAACAUGGUAAUUAUGAUAAAUUGGAUGCUGAUGGUCUUGUGCCUCCUGGUGGUAUAUAUUUAAAGUUCAUUUCUAUUUCGUCUUGCUCUUUCUUAAAGAAACUCAUUCUUUUCUUAAAUUGACUUGCUAUUUUUUUCUUAGGGAACAAGAGUUUCUGAAGGAGAUGUGAUCAUUGGGGAGACUGCUCCUAUUACUCUGGAUCAACAGACAUCGAGCUACACCAGACGUGACCUUAGAACAAGCUUACCUUCUGGUGAAACAGGGAAGCAGAUCGAGUAAUAUUUAUGUAGUAGAUCGAGUAAUAUUUAUGUUCCAAUUUUACUUGCAUCUUUACAUGUUAUUUACUUCAUUUUUAUAAAUUUAACUAUGUAGUUUCAUAAAAGUUACAUUCAUAACUGAAGGUGUUCUAAACUUUAUAGGUUUUGCUAACGAAUGCUGAUAAGGAGUUCAGGUCUGUGAAAGUUAUGGUCAGAACUAUCUGGAUAUCCUAUAUUAGAGAUAAGUUUAGCAGUCUGCAUGCUUGGAAGGGAACAAUUAGGAUGACAUACAACCAGGAAGACAUGCCAUGGAUAGUGGAAGGCAUCACCCCUGAUAUAAUUAUAAAUCUGAUAGAGCAGCGUAACGAAAGCAGAAUUGAUUGGAUAGAAAACACUAGAUAUCGUUCUGGUACUAGCCCAAGCCAACGCGAUUAGACUACACUCUAAUCGAAGCAUGAUUAGAUUUCAUUCUAACCUAAAUGACUCAAUGAGAUUUUUAAUUACGCGUAAAGCUAGAUUAGAUGACGCUUUAAUCCAAACGACUUUAUAAGAGAGAUUUUGAUAGAUAAUUCUAGAGGGAAUUAUAAAAGAGGGAAACUUAUUAAAUAAUUGAAUCUGAAAUUAUGAAAAUAAUUACAAGACCUCUCUAUUUAUAAUAGAGGAAACCCACUUCCCUAAGUUAACUUAAAAAGGGAAACUAAAUCACAAUUAUAAUGAAAAUAAAUCACUAAGCUAACUUAAAAAUGGGAAACUAAAUCACAAUUAUAAUCGAACUAAAAGACUAAGAUACAUAUCAUAAUUAACUCAAACUAAAAUAGAAAAUCCUAAAACCAUAAAUAAUCCUAAAACCAUAAAUAUUCUAGAAUCCUAAAUUACCUAAAAUAAUGUCCUACAUCAUUCUCCCCCUCUUAAAAGAAACUCGUCCUCAAGUUUGAAUAUAAUCUAAAGGAUGAAACUUGUAGUGUAGGAGCAAAUCAUCUUAUAAUUCGAACUUAUUGUCCUUCUCAUCAAUCUUUUUUGAAAACUUUGAAGAAUCCAUAUUUCAUCAAUUUCCUUUGCUUGUACAUUUUUCGAGGUGAUCAAGACUUCAAAAAACGAACAACAAUCAAAUAACUUUUGCCCUUCCCCAAUUCUCGCUCAAUGCUCUCUCCAAUAAAUUUCACCUUUUCAAUCAAAUCUUCAAUCUUACUGUUAGACUCGCUACUUAAAUCAAGGUGAGGUUGUUCUUCUUCUUUAAAAAAUUUAGAUAGGUCAAAUAUUUCGUCAUCUUCAACACUUGUCUUCUUUUUCAGGGAAACAUCAUGCGCAUUCUCAGAAAACUUGUCAAAUUGAAACUUUAAAUCAAUAAUAAAUUGUACAUUUUCCUGCAGUAUCUAACGCGAGUCUUCUUCCUCAACGAUAGGAGAACUCAUUGGUGCAUCUCUCAGCACUUUCAUAGAGACAUGUCAUUCCUUGAUUAAAUCUUGAACUUCGUUAAGUUUCUUAAUCACAUCAUCAAAGUUUCUUUGUCGUUGGGACUCAAUUUGAUUCAAUUUGCUUGGCUAAAUAAAUUGCUUGCUGUAUAUUGUAGACAGUGUAUGUAGGCAUCCUUUCUUGAACAUGUAAAUCAAGCACUUUCACAAAUCGUGUAGUUGUAUUCUCCUCAAGUUCAUAAUAAUAUUUGCAUCUAUAAACUUUUUCAAACUCAAAAGCAUAAGCAGAAAUGGAUCUCGUACCUUGCUGUACCAAACAAUAAUCAAGAGGGACAAACUCAUAUCACAAAAUACGCUUCAUACGGUUCCAUGAUCGAACUUUGCAUUUGCCUUGGUCAAGUCGAGAAGUUUGCAACUCAUGCCACCACUCUUAAACACUUAAGGUUAAUCUACUAGCCGCAAACGAUACUUGCUCUUCUUUAGGAGUGCGCCAAAAUAGAAACCAGUGCUCAACCUUGUCCAACCAAUCAAGAAAUUGGUUUGGACGAGUGUAUGCAAAUAAUAUCGACACAUGAUAAAUAGGCAUGCAAGGAUAGUGGUUUACCAUUUAAGUUUCCACACAAUGGCAAAACUAUAAAUAAAGAAAAUAUUAUUCAAAAUUUAUAAAUAAGCAAAAUAUGGGUUACCAGCGACGAUGACUGGAAAAUAGGUCAAAGAUUGAUGGAUCUGGAGGAUUUGAUGGUGAGGAACACGAUAGUGGCUGGUGAUUGGCCGGAUUCGUAGCGUGUUGGCUAGAAAACCUACUUGAAAUGGCGGUUGUGGUGCUUGGAUUGUGAAGGAGCUUACGACGAUUGCUUAGACUCAAUGGCAGUUAGGACUUGACGAGCAGCCAGAGUGGAGUUUGAUGAUAGGUGUGAUCGACAGUGAGGAGGUGAAAUCGACGGUGGCGCAUGUGUGGAGAACGCGCGGGUGGGUGUUACGUGUGGUGGCUAUGAGCGACGAUUCAGGGUUGAAGCUGGUCGACUUUUGGUCAACGGUGGCCAGCGAGUUUGGUGGUGGAGGUGGCUGGCUGAUCAGCGGUGGUGGGUGGCGGCUGUGGAAGUAGAUGUGGCGACUAGGGUUUUCAAAAUUUUUUUUUUUUGGAUUUUUGGAUUUUUUUUUGCUUUUUUUUAAUAACCAAUGAUGGAUUUGGUAGGGGAUGGAUAUGGGUAGCCAAGAAAGCUGUGCAACUGGCAUAGAACCGCUCUGAUACCAAUUGAUGGAGCAGCGGAACGGAAGUGGAAUUGAUUGGAUAGAAAACACUAGAUAUCGUUCUAGUACUGGACCAAAUCAACGCGAUGGUUGAAGAUAAAAUCCAUUCCUGUGCUCGGGGUAUGUCGGACACCCUCACAAGACAACCUUUUCAAGGACAGUCUCAUGGCGGUGGCUAUCGAUUUGGAGAAAUGGAAUGAGAUUGUACGAGCUCAUGGUGCAAUUUGCGUUCUCAAGGAGAGAUUAUUUGUGCAAAGUGAUCCAUACCGAGUCCAUGGCCAUUGUUUGUUCAUUGCCAUUUCUGUAUAGCGUGUUAACAAAACUACAAAAAUUCAUUUCAGUAUCAGGAAACACUGUUUCCGAAACAGCAUUAGCUUCUGUUUUUCAAUGGGUUAUAAAAAAGUGUGACUUGGCUCAGUGGGAGAUAAAUCGUGAUAAAAUUAUGCGGUGUUCUUUGGGCCAGAGGUUUCAGCUGUGAUGCAAGAGAUUCUAAACUCUAAUUUGUUGUUGUCUGACUUCUUUUGCUCAUGGAUUUAGAUAAAACUUCUGUGCUAAGUCUUGUUCAAAGUGUAUAUAUAGAACUGAACUUGAUUCUGACUGAUUCCAUUGUUAAAAUGCAUGAGUUGUGUGGCAACCGGCUACUCUCCACUGAUGCUUUGCUGUCAUUGUACUUGUGCGUCAAAGAAGGCUUUCUUAAUAUUGUUGAGGAAAUUGUUGUCAAGCGAGGCUAAUCUGUUCACAUCUGGAAAAUAUUAUUUCAUGGUGUAUAUUUGUUAAAGUUAUUUAUUUUCUUUAUCUCUUAUAAUGGAGUAGAUUUGAUGUUGAGAAGAAAAAUAUUAGUGUUUAAUUGUGUGUUGAGUGAGUGGUUUAAAUGAGUAUUAAGAGUAAUUAAAAAUUAUAGAGUAAUGUUAAAUUGUUCAUAAAAUUAGUUUAACAAAAGACUUCUUAAUUUUUUAAUAAAAUGCAGUCUUAAAAAGUGUAUUUUAUCAAUAAUGUUGACAUUCUUGCAUUUGAGUCUUAAUUUUAUAUGUUAGUUGUUCAUUAGAUGAUAUAUUUUAUAGUUUACAAAGUUAUUAUUUUAUUAUUCAAUAAAUAAAUGACGCAUCAAUUAGGACUAAAUUGAAACGUAAAUGUUGAAUAUUACGUUUUGUUAAUGUUAAUGUUUAAUGGUCAGGUUAUAUAGAUAAAAUUUGUGUAUUUAUUUUUUAUUUAUUUUAAAAAAUUCAUUUUUUCAUGAACAAAGAAGUUAGUAAACUGAAAUUGCUUCUAUUGAACUGUGGAGUGCGGGUGCGCAUUUGCCGUAUCUAUGAUUUUUCAAAAUCUUUUAGUUUAAAAAAAAAACCUCAUACUUGAUGGGUAAUCAAGUAGAAAAAAUUAAUAAAAAAGUAAGUAGGCAUUUUAAGUGUAAUUUCAUUGAAAAUAAUAGAUAAAAUAUAUAAUUAAAUAUUUUAUUGAUAAUGAGACAAAAGUUAUUUCAUGUGAUUUUAAGAAAGAAAGCGUAAUGGACACAUGUCUAAUGUACAAAGAGUACAUGAACUGACAAAUGAGACUGUGAGAUUGUGGCUGGACAAUCUCCGGGACUUGGCUCAUGAUGCUGAGGGCAUACUGCACUAGUUCGACACUGAAGCUUUGGGGCACAAGCGAAUAGCAGAUCAAGCCAGCAGCUGUAAAUUAAAGAACCUAGUCCCUUCUUAUUUCUAACAUUUCGGUGGUUCCAACGGUUGGAAUUAUAUGCUCUUUAAAAUAUAUUAAUUUAUUUAUUUUUUUAUUAAUAAAAUAUUUGAGACAUUUUUAAUUGCAUAAAUAUUUUGAAUAAAGGUUCAUUUAAUCAUCUUAUAUGUAUUUAUAUGAUCAUCAUAUGGAUUCACAGAAAAUAUAAAUACAAGUUAUCUUAUGAUUAAAUAAAUUAAGUUCGCAGUUGAUAAAUAGAGUUGGACGCUCUAUUUAUGUUUAAACUGUAAUAAAUUCAUUGAAUGAUUUGUCUUAAUCAUGUAUGAAUUUAUUGAUGUAGUAUGACUACAUUGAACAUGAUCAUAUAUGAGAUUUAAUUAACUUUGUAAUAACUGUCAGACUUAUUAAAUCUCAUAGGCAUUAAUUUUACUGAAAUCUUAAUCUUGAGUUAGUUAUGAUUUCAUGAUUGUAAUUAUUAUUCUAUUUGAGUUACCAAUGGGCACGACACAUACUUAUAGUCAAGAUUACCCGGUAUUUUGGUAGGAGCAAUUAUAAGUAUUGGAGUUAUAGAUUAACAAUAUACAAUUUGUACAAUACAUCUCUUGAUGGGUUUUCAGCACUUGAUCAUAGAAUUCUCUGGUUAGAGUGUGUCAAUAUAUUUAGUAUAUUGAAAAUUAUCAUUAGAGAAAACCAGUAAGUAUCAAGAAAUAAGAUGUAAUUAAAUUGAUAGGAAAUUUGAGAUAUCGAUUUAAUUAACGAUGUGGUACAAAGAAUUAUGCAGUAAAGAAAUCAAUGUGGUAUGAGUCGAAUUAUUAUUCGAGUAUACUAUCCUAAAUAGCAUACAAUUAUGAAUGUCAAUUUCAAUCUUUUAGUGGAGUAGAUUUGGAAUUAAAUAAUUGAGCUAGUUUAAUUACAUACCUAAUUAUUGUAGCCACUAUUGUAUGUACCCAUAUGAUCCCCGCGUUAGCUCAUUUAAUUAACUGCGCCAUUACUGGAUUAAUAAGAAAGAUAACUAGUUAUUUUGGUUAAACGCCUAAAUAUAUUAUUUAGUGGGAGGCUUCAUAUAUAAUAUGCUUGUGUCUAAGGGGCCUUAUAUUAUUUUAUAAGGUGGGCCCCUAUGACAAGAAGAAGUAACGUUAUUUUUUGUUUUAUUAUUUUUUAAUUUAAAUCAAAUUUGAUUUAAUAGAAUUAAAAAAUAUAAAAAUAUGAAGUCCAGGGUUUCCACUAGAUAGAAAUAUAAAGGACUUAUUUUCUCUUAAAAGAAAAGAGAUGUCAUAUUAUACAGAUCAUAGAAAAAUAUUUUUUCUCUCUAAUUUUGAGAGAAAAAUUUUCUCCUACUAAUUGCUUUUAGUGGUAAUAAAGGCGCUCACACGUCAAGAGUAGAUCAAACGUGAGUCAUAACCUAAAAGAUUAUUGGUGAUAGAUAGUGAUCAAACCUACGUUGUGGUGACGGAUCGUGAUCUAACAGGCGUGGUGAUGACGGAUCGUGAUCUGGGAAGCCUGGAUUAAUUUUAAUUGUUCAUCUUCUCGUAUUGUCAAUGUAUGAUUUUCUAGAUUAAGAAUUGUUAUAUAUUGUAUGAGAUCGGUCCUAAAAGUUUUUAUAAAAAUUUAAAAAACUGAUUUUCUCCGACAUCAACAGCCUCCCUAUGCUUUCCAAUGCCCGGAGAAUUUGAAGCUCUGGCGCUUAUGCCAAGCCUUUAAAUCCCACAAACAAAUUCAGGGAGUUAGUGCAUGCCAUUCAUUUGCGGUCUUCAGAAACAGGUUGAUGUCUGGCCGUUGAUACUGAACACCUCUGCAAUUUGGAAGCAGGGAAAUUAUUUUGUUGACACAAAAGCUUCAAACCGUUGAAGCUCUACCCUACAGGAAUGUUGUACGUAUCAAAUUCCAAAAACAAAUGAUAAUUGCUGCUUCCUGUAAGGCGCCAUACCAAGAUCUGCUUUUGUAUUCAUUCAAUCAGAUCAAUCAUAUGGAUUGUCAACCUUCAAGGUUACGAUGAACUAUGAGUGAACAGAGGAGUUGGAAGAAGAAUCAUUAAGAACAGUGCAAAAACUGAGAAGCAGAUAGAGGAAGUUGGCUAUCAUUGAAGAAGAGGCAGCUUACAUUGCUUUAGUUAAUGAUGAACACUUUCAUACAAUUUCUUGUCAUUUUAGCAAUUUCUUGUCAAGUAGUGACAAAAAAUAAUAAUAUUUUGUGAUCAAGUUGGUUCAAGGAUGAGAUUUUGAUUUGAAGAUCAAGUGAGAGGGGAAAAAAAAUCAAUAAAGUAAAAAAACUACAUUGCUUUAGUUAAUGAUGAAAAGUGUCAUAUCUGCUCUUAGUUUGCAUGUUAAUAUGAUUGAAGUAUGAGAGAAACUACAUUUGUCUAAUUCUUUUUACUUUAUUGAUUUUUUCCCACUCUCACUUAAUCUUCAAAUCAAAAUCUCAUCUUUGAACCAACGAUCACAAAAUAUUAUUAUUGUUUGUUACUACUUGACAAGAAAUUAAUUGCUAAAAUGUUUAUUCAUUACGAAUAGUGUUGAACCAAGAUCAGAAAAUGACCAAUCUUGGUGCCACAAGACCUCACUAAACUCUCUGAUUAUUCACCAAGGGACAAAAUAAAUUAACAAUUGAAACAAACAAAAACAGAAUCAAAGAAAUCACAAAGAAAGAACACACACAGUAAUUAUAGAGGACUCAGGCAAAAAUGGCCAUCGUCCUGUCCAACAAGAACAAAUUACAGCGGUGAGAAAUUUUUACAAGCUACAGAAGGAACCCAACUCCAGCCUCUAUGGCUUUAUAUACAGCUCGCAAUUGAUAUGGAAAGAUCCCUCACUUACCAAGACACAUCUUUCCCGCUUCUUGCAACGGCCAUAACGCCUUUUGAUUCAGCUAAUGCACGUGCAACGCACGUGUAUUAACUAUAUUCUCCAAAAACGGCGAUAAAUCAUGUCGUUUAAGAUUCUAUGGCUGGUGAUUGCACGUGCCUCGCAGGUGAUCAGUCACUUAUCACACACAGCUGACAUAUGAUCGUUGUCGUAUGCAUCAUGUAUAAGACAACCGACAUGGCAUCCAGAAACGACGGUACAUCGACUCUUAUUUUCAUCAACAGGCUUUUUGUCUUCUCUUUUUUUUUGAAAAAUUUACAAAAAUAACCAUAAUAUUUUUACAUUUUUAAAUUUAAACCUUCAAACUUUUUUCUAUCAUAAUUAGCUAAAUGCUAAACUUUUGGACUAAAUUGUCCUCGCCACUUUCAUUAAAUUUUCAAAUAAUGCCACUCUUACAAUACUCAACACCCUCAACAAACCUUAACACUCUCAACACCCUCAACAAACCUCAAUACUCUCAACAUUCGCAACACUCUUAGCAUAACAAAAGUAUAAAAUCAUCAAUUAGAGAGUAUUCUGAAGGUUAUUCCAUGUUCUUACAGUAUUCUAAAGGUUAUUCCAUGUUCUUACACAAAUAUAAAUUUUUAAUGUAUUAAGUCUAUGGUUUAAGUUCAAAAUUGAUGUAGAUUUUGUUGUAAAUGUUGUUAUUUUUAUUUAUAAAGUACUGUAAUUUGUUAAAGUAGUUAGAUUUGAGUUGAGAAAUCCAAAAAAUCGUUGAAAACAGUAGAAAUUCGAGUUAGAAAUAAAACCUAGAUUAUGUGCAACAUGUUGAAUUAUGUGCGACAGGCUGGAUGACAGGUGCCUAUCGCACAUAAAUACCACUGUAUUUUUGUGCGACAAGCACCUGUCGCACAUAAUUCAGCAUGUCGAACAAAAUUACAGUAUGUGCGACGGUACUUUUUGGAAGUCAUAACUUAAGCUAUAUUUGUCCAUUUUUUUGCAUAUAAUCUAUCGUUUCGAAUCAAACCCAUAACUUUUUUGUUGGUCUCCCCCAUGAUCAAACAAAAAAUUUGCGUAAAAAACGGAGAAUAUUUGUGAAAUGCAACUUUUUGUGCAAUAGGUGCUCGUCACACUUAAAUUGAUGCAAAUUUUUAGUUUGAUCAUGGGGGAGACCAGCGAGAAAGUUAUGAGUUUGAUUCGUCUCAUUGUAAGCUUCGAAACGGUAUAUUAUACGCAAAAAACGGACACAUAUAGCUUAAGUUAUAACUUCCAAAAAGUACCAUCGCACAUACUGUAAUUUUGUACGACAUGCUGAAUUAUGUGCGACAGGCACCUAUUGCACAUAAUUCAACCUGUCGCACAUAAUUUGGGUUUCGUUUCUAACUCGAAUUUCUACUGUUUUUAAUGAUUUUUUUUUAUUUCUCAACUCAAAUCUAACUACUUUAACAAAUUACAGUACUUUAUAAAUGAAAAAUAACAACAUUUACAACAAAAUCUACAUCAAUUUUGAACUUAAACUAUAGACUUAAUACAUUAAAAAUUUAUAUUUGUGUAAGAACAUGGAAUAACCUUUAGAAUACUGUAAGAACAUGGAAUAACCUUUAGAAUACUCUCCAAUUGAUGAUUUUAUACUUUUGUUAUGCUAAGAGUGUUGAGCAUGUUGAGAUUUAUUGAGAAUGUUGAGAGUAUUGAGGUUUAUGGAGGGUGUUGAGAGAGUUAAGAUUUGUUGAGAGUGUUGAAUAUUGUAAGAGUGGCAUUGUUUGAAAAUUCGAUGAAAGUGGCGAGGGUAAUUUGGUCCAAAAAUUUAACAUUUGGUUAGUUAUGAUUGAAAAAAGUUUGAGGGGUUAAAUUUAAAAAACGUAAAAAUAUUAUAACUAUUUUUAUAAAUUUCCUUUUUUUUUUCUUUAACUAACAAUUAAUAAUACUAGCAUUGACAAGUGACAACCAUAAGGAGUUAAUUGUCAACAAAAUUUAUUGAGUGCAGAUAUUUUGUUGUACCAUACUUGGCAAAAUUCAACACACUCUAGUAAAUGCUGAAAACGGAACUAUUGCAGAGCGCCGGUGGGGUUCACCCGGCUGGAAAAUUAACAAAUUUCCUCCAUUAUUGUAGCCUAAAGACUUUUGAAGACUAGAGACUUAUUCCGAAAUUUCAGCAUCCAUUUUGAUUGAGUAAAAACCAUCUUUCUCGGACGAUUUCGAAGCGAUGGCAGUUGAAGAGCUCUUACUGUCUGCUUUCUUUCAAGUGUUGUUCGACAGAUUGGCUUCUCGUGAUUUGCUCACCUAUGUCGGUCAACUUCGAGGCGGGCUAGAUUCCGAGCUCAAAAAGUGGGAAAAAACUUUGAUAAUGAUACAGGCUGUGCUCAGUGAUGCAGAGGAGAAGCAACUGACGGACAGGGCUGUGAAGAUCUGGCUCGAUGAUCUCCGAGACUUGGCUUAUGACGCAGAGGACAUUCUUGAUGAGUUUGCUACUGAAGCUUUGAAGCAGAAGACGAUGGCAGAAAAUUCGAACCACAGUCCUGCUUGUUUCAACUGUUUUAGUCCAAGUUCUGUCAAGUUUAAUAUCGACAUGGAUUCUAAGAUUAAAAGUAUCACUAGCAGGUUGGAUGAACUAUGUGCUAAAAGAUUUGUACUUGGAUUGCAAUUGAUUCCUGGAGGGAUAUCAAAUGCCUGGAAGCGAAGACCGCCGAGUUCAAGUGUGCCAACGGAACGGGCUGUCUACGGCAGAGAUGAGGAUAAGGCCAGAAUACUUGAAAUGGUGUUAAGUGAUGAUCCAACCGCUGACGCCAACUUUUGUGUAAUACCAAUUGUCGGCAUGGCAGGGGCUGGAAAAACAACGCUUGCUCGGGAGGUCUACAACGACAGGGCUGUGCAAAAUUUCAAGUUUGAUGUGAAAGCAUGGGUUUGUGUUUCUGAUGAUUUUGAUGUUCUUAGCAUUUCGAGGGCUCUUCUCGAGUCAAUCACCUCCACAACUUGUGAUCUCAAGAUGUUGAAUGAGGUGCAGGUUAAAUUGAAAAUUGCUGUGGAUGGAAAAAGGUUCUUGCUAGUAUUGGAUGACGUUUGGAAUGAGAACUAUAACUUGUGGGAAAUCCUCAAAGCUCCCUUCAUGGCUGGUGCACCAAAUAGCAAAAUCAUUGUCACUACACGCCAUUCAAAUGUUGCGUCAACGAUGGGAUCCAUUGAACACUAUAAUCUUAAGCUUCUGUCAGAUGAAGAUUGCUGGUCUGUUUUUGCGAAGCAUGCGUUUGAGAGUAGAGAUGCCGGUGCUCAUCAAUUUUCAGAAUUAUUUGGUAAGAAAAUUGUUGCAAAGUGCGGAGGCUUACCUUUAGCAGCAAGCACUCUUGGCGGCCUUUUACGCGCUAGACAUACAGAAGAUGCGUGGGAGGAUAUAUUGAGCAGCAAAAUGUGGGAUUUGCCUCAAGAAACUGACAUUCUCCCCGUGUUAAGGUUGAGCUACCAUUAUCUUCCUUCUUGUUUGAAGAGAUGCUUCACUUAUUGUGCGAUUUUUCCCAAAGAUUAUGAGUUCGAGAAGAAUGAACUUGUUUUUCUGUGGGUGGCUGAGGGUAUGAUUCAACAAUCAAUGACAGAUAAACGAUUGGAAGAUUUGGGCAAUGAGUUGUUUUGUGACCUCUUGUCUAGAUCACUUUUCCAACAAUCAAGCAGAGAUGGUUGUAAAUUUGUGAUGCACGAUCUACUUCAUGAUUUAGCUCAAUUUGUUUCUGGAGAAACAGGUUUCUGGUUGGAAGAGGCAAAUAAGAAGUUAAGAACAUUCGAAAGGAUUCGUCAUUUUUCUUAUCCUCGUGCUUAUCAAGAUGGAAAAAACAAAUUUGAGGGUUUGAAUAAAGCCACAAGUCUGCGGACGUUUUUGCCUCUGAAAGUAAGAGUUUUUUCAUCUUGUUAUUAUAUAACCAACACGGUUCUUCUUGACUUGCUGCCAAAGCUCAAAAAGUUGAGGGUGCUAUCUUUAGAAGGAUACUGCAUUGCUCAUUUACCUAAUUCUAUCAAAGAUUUGAAGCUUCUAAGGUACCUCAAUCUUUCUGGUACAAUGAUCAAAAGUUUACCUGAGUCAAUAAGUUCACUGUUCAACUUGCGGUUUUUGAUGUUAAGAGACUGUGAUCGUCUACAGAAGUUGCCUUCCAACAUGAGAAAUUUGAUUAAUUUGCAUCAUCUAGAUUUAAAGGGCGCACAUUUAUUAACAGGGAUGCCAUCGGGAAUGAAUAGGUUGAAAUUUCUGCAGACGUUGUCUGAUUUUAUUGUGGGCAGGGGUAUCGGAUCUGGUUUGAAGGAUUUGAAGAAUUUAUCUUUCCUUUGUGGAAAACUUUGUAUUUCGAGAUUAGAAAAUGCGAAUGAUUCAUGGGAUGCAAGAGAAGCUUCAUUGUGUGAUAAGAAGGGUCUGGAAGAAUUGUCAUUAGGAUGGGGCUGUCCAUUUCACUCAAGAAAUGAGGUAGCAGAAGAAAAGGUACUUGACAUGCUGCAACCACAUACAAACAUAAAGAAGCUUGAAAUCACACGAUAUAGUGGCAGAAAAUUUCCAAUAUGGUUAGGGGACCCAUCAUUCUCUAACAUGGUUGCUUUAAAAUUGAUAGGAUGUAAAAAUUGCACAUCCUUACCUGCUGUGGGGCAGUUGGUUUCCCUGAAAGAGCUUACAAUUGAAAGAAUGCUUGUACUCAGAAGUAUAGGGUCUGAAUUCUGUGGAAAGAAUUGCUCAAAGCCUUUUCAAUCCUUAGAGACUCUUUGCUUCAGUGGUUUGCCAGAAUGGGAGAUCUGGGAUACCGGCAACCAGACUGGGUAUAUUGAAAUAUUCCCUCGCCUCGUUGAACUGUCCAUUUCUGGAUGCCCCAAACUAUCUGGAAAAUUACCCGACCAUCUUCCUGCAUUAGAGGCCCUUGUUGUCAGCUAUUGCGAAGAGCUGGUAGUUUCAUUCUCAAGCUUUCCUUUGCUCUGCAAAUUGGAAAUUUAUAGAUGCAAAGGACUGGUUUGCAGCUCUCCGAUUGACUCUAAGUUGAUAAAGCGUUUGACUAUUUCAAGCUGUUCUUUAGACAUAUAUGGAUGCAAAGGGAUGGUAUACAAUAGUCCACUUCACUCUAAAUCACUGUCGACGCCUGUGAAUAUUUCAAAUAUUUUAGAGUUUGGAAAAUUGUUAAAGCAAGGAUUUCUACCAGCAGAGUUUCUGGGGAUUGGCGAUUCUCAAGAUAUUCGGUCAUGGAGGCCCCAGUUUUUUCAGGGUAUGCAAUUUAGGGAGAAGGCAGCACAAGGGCUAUGGAUUAUCAUCGCCCCUGAAGAGGUAUCAACUGAAGAAAAUUGCAUGAGUCUGGUUUCAUUUCCAGAGGUAAAAUUUUUCCCGAUCAAUCGGCUUAAUCUUAAAAUUGAAAAUAGUGGAGCUUUAAAAUCCUCACUUGAGGGAAUGAUAUACAACUGUGCACAGCUGAAAAGUUUGGCCGUUGAAGGUUGUGAUUCUCUAGAAUACAUUGCAAGAGGCAAGCUGCCUUCGUCUUUAGAAUGGGUUCAAAUACUUGAUUGUAUGAAAUUGCAGUGUUUGAUAGUUGAUGAAGAGGAUGCUUCUGCUGCUUCUUCCUCAUUAUCCUCUUCAUCAAUGGCUCUCAAGUGGCUUGUAAUUAGCGGCUGCUCGGAGCUCACCCAUUUAUCAUCAAGAAGUAGACAAUUGCCAGAAGAGCUUGAAUAUCUCAACAUUGAGGACUGUCCAAAAUUAGAGUCAAUAGCCGAGAGCUUUCAUGGUAACGGACGAGUGAAAAUGAUUUUCAUCUCUAAUUGUGGAAACCUGAAAUCCAUACCGAAGGGCCAACAGAAUCUUAACUGUCUUAAGGAAAUCAAAAUCUUGAACUGUCCAAGUCUUGUUUCUUUUCCAGAAGGAGGGCUUCCCAGCACUGUUACAAAUGUUUCUAUUGGCAGUUGUGACAAGCUGAAAGCCCUACCCGAAGACAUGCACAAGCUCCAUUUCCUGCAAGAGUUAGAAAUCACGGAAUGUCCAAGUAUUGAAUCAUUUCCUGAAGCAGGCUUUCCUACCAACCUAACAUUACUUGUAAUUGCUGAUACCAAAAUGUACAAGGCAAUUAUCCAAUGGGGGUUGCACAGGCUUACAUCUCUUCUACGCCUUUACAUACAUGGAGGUGAUAAUGCUGAGUCUUUUCCAGAUGAGAGGAUGGGAAUAAUAUUGCCAACCUCUUUAAAUAGACUGGGUAUUUCUGGAUUCCCAAGUCUGAAAUGCCUAUCUGCAAUGGGUUUUCAAAGCCUGGUCUCUCUUGAAUUUCUGAGAAUAUCCAAUUGCCCGAAGCUCAAAUCCUUUCCAGCGGUAGGUCUGCCACACUCACUUUUGCAGCUGCACAUUCGAGAUUGUCCUUUGCUGAAAAAGCAGUGCAAAAGGGACAAAGGAAAAGAUUGGUCCAAGAUUGCUCACAUCCCUUAUGUUAUGAUAGAUGACAAAUUCAUCUUCGAUUAAAAAGAGAAAGAAUGAGCUCUGUUUAAUCUCCGAAUGAAGAAUUAAAGAAUUGCCUCCUUUGUUCCCUUAUCUUCUAUAAUCAGGUAUGCCAAUUCCUAUUAUCCGGGUUACUAAAAACACAUUGUUAAAUUAUAAACAUAUUUUGAUUUUCAAUUUCAAGAUCAAUCCUCUGCCUUCAACUGAAAAUGGCGCUAAAAUAUUUCAUUUUUACUUUUCUCAGACACUAUGAUACGGCAAUCUGACUUGAUGAUGCUGAAGUUUAAUGCACAAAUGGUUGGUAAGUACCUGAAAAUUUCAAGUUAUUUUAAUACUGUUUCCAUUUUCACUCAUCAGAAUUUUUUACGUAUUUUAUGCAAUCGUACUUGUCAAAUGAAGUUUUCAUUUUAUGAUGGUCUUGAUGCCAACGACAUUUCCAACUCUUUUAAGUUUUUUGAACUCUUGCGAGUGAAAGUCAAUGAGAAGAAGUUUAUGUCCUUUUCCAACGAUCAAUUCAAUUUGCUUCUAAGGAUAUAACAUUAGUCUUAACUUAUUUCAAGUAGCAGACAUGAUUCUAUCUUUCUUCUGUUGUUUUUUCGGAGGCCAAGGUUGCUCACAUUCCUUGAGUUGACAUAGAAGGAAGCAUAAGGGAAGCUCUGAGACAAUCCACAUCAAAAUGUUCACCCACUCUUUCACAGUUUGGAAUGUACUACACUGCCUUCAAAAUGGACUUUUCGAAUCAAAAGGCAGAAAGGUAAUCAAUCAUACAGGGUUAAAAAGUCGGUUAAAAGUUAGUUUAAAAGCUUCUUAUUUUGUACAUGGAUCAUGGCAACAUUUGUUUCACGCUGAUGGGCUUGAGAAAUUGAUUUGCACAUGGAUCAUGGCAACAUUUGUUUAAUUUGGAUAUUAUUUGUUUUUAUACUGGCUUUUAGUUUAUUUUAGGUUCUCUGAGCAAAAUUUUAUCCUAAUGCGAUUACUUGGAACACCAGUGUGUGUUUAAAAUGAAAUUGGGUCAUCUUAUCGCAGUUCUACGACCAAUCCAAAAAAAAUCCCCAACAAGAAAAUCAAGGAAAUCAGAUCAAUUAGUGCAAGACUUGGCUUUGAGAAUAGAAGAAAACGAAACAUAAUCUUAUAUAUGGUGUCCAAAUUAAAGAAAAUUUGAGGACCAGUUCGGGAAAUCCCUAAUCAAAUUUUAGGAAGCCGGAUAACUUGCAGCCAGAAACCAAGUGAAUAAUAGAAUAAUUUGAGUAUGUAUUGUUAUGUCUAUAAUAGUAAUUUAAAUUUUGAACAAUUUUGUAAUAAAAGAAUUUUUUUUUUUUACAGGUGGAUCUAAUGUGUGUUUUGGCAGAUUAAAAUAACCGCACCAUUUUUUACAAUCACAUAAUGAGAAAAAUUACCAAAAUCCCCUUUAUUUUCUUAGAGAUUAAUCGUUUUAGAAAUUCACUAAAUUUUUUUACAUUAAUUUUUAUAUUAAUUAUAUUUUAUUGAAGUAUCAAAUUAUUGCUAUAACAUGCGAAAUCUUUUAAUGAGUUUUAAACAUAAAGUAAAAAUGUUAAAUUUUAGCUAAUAAGAGUAGCAAUCGACAAUUCAUGGUGUAAAAAUAGCUGUAUCUACCAUUUAUAUAAAAUAGAAAAAUAGGAACCAAGAAUAUUUAAAGUACACAAUUUUUAUUUCCACUUACUUGCAUUUUUUACAUUCCUUUUUUUUCUUCAUUUUAGUUGGGGUGUUAGAUAAAUCCGUAUGGAUAUAUACUUAUUACAGUCAUUGUAGCGAUCCACAACAUUCUUCCACCACAUUAAACAAGUGAGAGAGUAACUAAGAAAAAACCCAAAAAUCCACUUUUCAUUUUAUUAAGUUGAAUUUCUUGCACAGUCUUACUUCAUUAUUCAAAAUUUUUAACUUCCUCCAAUAUUUUAAUGUUAUUCUAUAUUUAAAUAUAUAUUUCUAGUGGAUAUAAAAGGUUCUGAAAGAUGAUACAAUGAAUAUGCCUUUUGAAGAAAAAAAUGGCAAAAAAGAAAUUAUAUGUAACAUAUGUGAAUUUAAAAUAAAAUGAGGCGGUUAAGGAUUUUGGCGGUUAAGGAGUUUAUUAAUAAACAAAAGAAGAAGCUGGAAAAAACAGAGCAAAAACAGAAGCCACACGUGUGUGAGAGAGUGAGAGAGAGAAGCUAUCAACAGACUCGACAACCCGACCCGGAACCCGCGACCUUGACCCGACUAUAUCUCCCAUUUCCAGCCACCGUUUCGGCCGAGCUUGGGAGUUGUAAAUUAGGGAUAGAUGUUAAUGAUCUACGGACUCAAGGGCAUUUUAGUAAUUUUAUGGACACGGGAGUUGUAAAUUAGGGAUAGAUGUUCGUUUCGAGUUUAUUGCAUAAAUUUAGUCAUAAUUCCGAUUUACGGAAAAUUAUUAUGUCGUUUCCUUGAUUUAGGAGGAUCCGCGAGCGAGAACCGGUCCGCGGAUGUGGAUGAUAACCGACCGUGAACACCGUCACUGUGAGUGGAAUAUACAAAACCUAUUUUCAUAGUUAAUUUUGAUAGUAAAGCAUGUUUGCGAAAUAAGUAUUUUAAAUGUUCUGAUUUAAUGAUUUCUCGAAAUGGAUUUUAUUCACGCAUUGAUAUUAUAUUAAAAUGUUUGGUUAUUGAUUUUGCGUAUCGACUUUGAAUAAAGCAUGAUAGUAUUUUAAAGAUAAGAAAAGUGGAUUCAAAUGUGGUAUAAUUUAAAAUAUGAUUAAGAGGUAUGUGAAUAUAAUGAUUGUUUUUGAAAUCAUUAGACAGUACCCUUCCCUCCAGAUACAGUGAUACAUAUGAGAUGAGAUGAGAGGCCUUUGGGGCCCGUCUGAACACACAUAGAGGCUUUGGGCCGUGUGUUUGGGCGCUUUUGCCUUUUGGGGGCAUAUGCAUGCGGUAUGAUGAUUACAGAGAUACAGAUAUGAGAUACACACAGAUAUUGAGAUACAUAUGAUACAGAUGAGAUACAGGCCUUUGGGGCCCGUCUGAGUACACACAGAGGCUUUGGGCCGUGUGCUUGGGUUUUUGUCCUUUAGGGACUAGAUUAUGCAUGCACAGAUAUGAUGAGAUAUGAGAUGGUAUUUCCAUGUCUAUCUGUGUAGCUCCGGGGCGUGGCGGUACCCAAAUAGUACGUCAUUGCCUGUCCGUUGAGGUCCGGAUACGACGAGAUUAUUUCCCUGGGUACUUGUUUGGUGAUGAUUUUCAGAUUUGUGUAUUCUAUAUGAUAUUGUGAUAUGAUUUGCAUGGUUAGUAAUCUGGUUUAAAUGUUAAAUGAUUUAUUACUGGUUUCUUGCUUAUGGUUUAAUGAAAUCGUGUUUGGAAAUAAUAUGAUUAUUUCUUUUUAAAGUAAGAAUUAAUUUUCAAAACUACUAUCCACUCACUGAUCUCACUGAGUUUUAAACUCACCCUGUUUUUAUUAUAUUUUUCCCCCACACCAGGAGGUUGCAGGUACACCAGAUCGACCCAGCGACUGUAAAUAUAUUUUGAGUCUUGGCCAAUGAUGGUGUUAGAAGAUAUAAAUGGUUUUGUUAGGACAUCUUGGUUAUUUCGUCCUGUUGGGAUUGUAUAAUUUUUGUUAUAUUAUUCUUUUGGGAUUAAGAAUAAACUGAGAUAUUAAUAUUAGUUAUAAUAUUAUCUUUUGAGACUCUGGAGAUAUAAAACUCAGCAUUUUAGUUGAGGAUGUUGAUCACUGGAGUUUGUUAUAUAUUGAAUUGUAUUGAGAGUGUUAUAUUCAUAUUUGUAGAUUGGGAGUGAUAUAUAUAUAAAGGAGACUGUGCCGAAUUUUCGGCAGAAUCUUUACUAAUAGAAUUUUUAUCAAGUCCGGUUUGAUGAGACUAGAUAGACUCGUCUGGGGGGGAUUCGGGGCGGGUCGUUUCAUUAUACAAAAAUUUAGGAAACAAAAUUUUUUUUAGGUGUUUCAUGCAUCUAAAUGUGUUAUAAAUGUAAAACAAUAAAUUGAAAGGAUCUUUCACAAAUCUUUUGAUUUGAGAAGAUGAAAAUCUAUAACUAACACUUGAAUAAAUCAGGUUUAAGAAAACAAAAAAAAAAACUAUUUUUCCUAGUGUAUAUAUAUAGCUUAAAAUUAUAAUCUUUUUUAUUUUCACCAAUUAGCUUUAAAAUUUAAAAAUCUUUUUUUAUUAAAAAGAAAAUAGUUUGAAUAGAGAGUGGAAUUGGGGACUUCUAGGUUUGAAGUUUUUGGGAGUGAUGAAGAACUAAGAGCUGAAUAGCAUUGGGUGCAAACAAUUGGCGUGGCUUUGGCUUUUUAUAGGACUUCAUUGUUCACGUUACUUAUUCGACACAUGGCUUCUCAUGGGUGGAAUUUGUUUUACAACUGACUUCACAAUUCACAUGUAGCUUUAACAACUUGGGACACAUGGCUUUGACGUGGGUUGAGUUUGUUGUAAUGGCUUCUCGUGGGUGGAGUUUUUUCUGUGAUUUGCGAUUGACGAAUUGGUAAAGGCAAACGAUUUGGACUAAUUACGUCCGAACUACACAUGGGAACUUUAAGAGUGAAAUCUUGUUGCAGAUUGACGUGGUCAAGGUUACUAGGAGUGGUCUUAAGUUCAGAUUGACAUAACGGUAAUAGACGAGGAAGAGGAAGAGACGAGGUUCAACUCGCAGAUGUAGCUUGAUGACGGAGCAGCUGGCGGAUUUUUAUUUCUUAUUACUCCCUCAAGUUUAAUUAGUUUCACAAAUUCGUUUUUACGUUUGAUCUUGGCACAUGUUUCAUUUUAACUAAAUAGAGAACCAGAAAAGAGCAGAUAACUAGAGCUGAGAGAUCUAUAUGUACAAUUUAAAACUCGUUAAAAUAAAUGAUUUCAAUACAAAAAAAAUAAGGUUAAAGAGAUUACAUUUACAAUUGAUAGUUUGCGAAAGGACCAACUAAAAAGUAAACAAUAAAAAGACUUAACUUUCUAUACUGACUCAAUAAUGAUAAAGUGUCGAUAAAAAUUGACAAAACUAUAUUGUACCUUGGGGUUAUUCAUAUCGUAUGUAGUGUGCUAAUAAAUUAAGGAAAUUAAUGCUCCUGUGAAACCAAAAAAUAAUGUUCAAAAUCAUUCUCCAAAUUCAAUGUUAAAUUAACAACUUUUAGUAAGUUUACUUCUUCGAUUAUUUUUUUCUUUAAAUUUUUUAUGAAUAAACAUUUUUUUUAUCAUUUAGGAGAACCGACUAUCUUUAUUUUAAAGAAUAAGAAUGUCUGCCCAAAAAAUGAAACUCAAACCCAAAGGUAAACCACAUUUGCCAACUGCCAUUAAGAAAAAGGCGGUAGCAGAACAAUAUCAGCCAAAUCAUCAAAUUAAUUAUUAAUUGGUUUACAAUAAGAGGGUGAUGUUUCAUCUUACAGAAGCAAGGGGCAAAGCCAAUCCACCACUAGACUGGCAAAUCAAACGAAUACACAACCCUGCAACCACAGAAAAAAUCUUAAAAAUAGAGCAAACAUAAGAAAAGAUUUACAUUCAUUCAACUUUCAACCUAAUGAUAUGUUAUAUGUAGCCCUCCAAUCUCCUUUUCUUUCGGCUUUGUAAAUUCUUUUUAGCCAAAAAUAUACUUGGAUCUGUCGGAUCUGAUGACACGAACACUUUUUAAGUGUUCAUCUGUCUGCUUAGUGGGAUGACGAUUCAAGGCCGUCGAUACUUUCGGAAACAAAGACAACCUUGAAGCUGAUCACCCGGGAUCACACCCCCACCUUUCGAUGUGUCAAGGGCCUCCCACAUUGAAACUCCUUAAUCCAUCUCAGGCCGCUUAUCAGGGUUAGCAUCCCAGCAUCUCUUCAUUACAUUUGCUUGAGAACUUGGGCAGCGUCUUGGUAUCUCCGGUGUCUCAGAUUCUGUUUCAAAAUGAAUGUAGACAGAAAUAAGAAAUGGGUUGCAUUUUGAGGUACCAAUUUUUUUUUUUUCCCCUUUUUUGAGGACCUGUUGAAAAUGGUCGAUUCUUAGAGAAAGAUAAUAUUUGGGCUUGAAGCAGAUACUGUACCCGGCGAACCACGGCUAAGGUGACUUCUGAGAAACUAAGGUCGGGAUAUGGCAUAUCACAGCAAUAUAUCUCCCAUACGCAGAUGCCAGAACUUUACACAUCACAUUUCCUUGCCAUUCAGAACCAAAAACCAAGCCACUUGAUUCACUCAACUCAGAUUAAUACUGUAUCAUUAGCUAAAACAUUAGUAUUUCCACCAAACAAAAGAAAAAAAAAAGCUCAUAGUAACACGGACAUUCCAAAGCCAACACUUCCCAUCAUCACAUCAAAUGAAGCAGAAAUUAACGGGAGAUGGUGCAAUUAAGAUUUUAUAGGAAAUGACCUUAUAUGUAUGACUGAUCUUCCAGACCUAUACCCCACUACAUUUUCCUUGAAACACAUAAAGAAAAACUAACAGCCAUGAAUUAUCUUUUUCUAGUAAAAGAAACUGACCUCAAAAUCACACUACAUAUAUGCAAGUAGAAAAGAAACAGAAAUAAAGUCUAUACCUCCGGAGCCAUGACACCAAGCGUCUCCCCCCUCUCCCCCCCCCCCCCAGUCAGGUCAUUAGGAUUUGGGGCUUCAACACCGGCAACUACAAGAUCAGCAAUUUUUACAGUGGGAGUCUUGUUCAAUAAUAGCAUGUUCUCUGUUUUCACAUCUCUGUGGACAAUCUUCUGUGAAUGAAGGUUACUCAAUCUACAAAAUAUAACUGCUGAGCUGAACAAGAUUUCGAGUCACAGGCCAUCCUAUAGAGCCAUAGGGUAACAUAUGGUAGAAAAAUUACAAUUACUAAUGGGGUAGAUAUAGGUACCCUCCGUCGAGAUCAAGUGCUAGCUGGACAACCACUUUGAAAGCUAGUUUCCUUCUCCUGUGGUAAGUUUCAUUUCCUUUUAGAUUUUACCACGUGUUCAGCUUAAUUUCUUCAAAUUACUCUGAUUUAAGACCAAAUUAGACUUUCGAAUAAGGGCUUAAGCAAUAUAUAUAAUGCAGAUGACCUAGGAAAUGGGCAAGGAUACUUGGUAAUAUGAAGGGACAAUUUGGAUGUGUUCGCAAAAAUGAAAAGACAGUAACCCCUGAAAUAUUGGAUGCGAUUGAUGACUUGACGGUCAAUCUAACGUUUUUUUUUUUCUCUCUAAAUUUUUUAAAGCACUAAAUGCUCUCAGAUCCAUUUGCCAUCUAUAUUGAGUAUAUUCUAAUUAUAAUUCUAUCAUUGUUUGUCCUUUGAAAGUAAAUACUUACAAAACUGUAUUUAAUACUCUAUUUUAAACCCACCACCAAAAAUAUAAAAUAAAAUCAAAAUGUAUCUAUUAAAUUAAAUAAUUUGCACACACUACGGCUCUCAAUAGUCUGUCUACUUAUAAACUAAAGUUAUUUAUUAAUCAUGGUUAAUAUGAGAUGUAUGUAACAGAAAAACAACAAAUAGCUGGCUUGCUUUGCUCCAGAAAAAUCAUCGAGAUUUCGGUUAGGCAAACUGAGCAGUCCAAUUUUGGUACAAUAAUUUGUCUAACAAUUUUUAGUUUAGCAUUAAAUCAUAAUAUCGUUUUUUAUUAGCAUUAAUUUAAUUUCUUUUAAUUAAUGAUUAUGUUAUACGUAUAGUGUUACUCUCAUCAUCGUUUAACUUUUUUAAUCCACUACUGAUUAAUGCUUCAACAUAUUAUAAUUCAGAGAGAAUGACAAUUCCAUACCUCCUUUCUUUUUUUCCCUUCUUUUUUUUUUUUUUUGGCAUCACUUAGGUUUCUUGUAGAUUUUUAGUACCACAUUUUAUCAAUGACUAAAAAUGUUAAUUGAAAAAUUAUGCGGUUGACGGUAAAAUAUAGUUGGUUUAUUGAUACACAAACUAAUGCAUAAAAACGGGAGGUUGCUAUGUUACAGCAUCUGUAACAUACACACCCAAAGCAAAUAGCACACGUGUCCCGACUUACAGAGAAAAAGCAACGCAAAGCAAGGUUGGGGGGUUGCUGAAGCAGCAUCUGUAAGUUACAGAUGCUGUGACUUAGUCAGCUCCCAUAAAAACGUAUUAACAUUGGUCCAGUUAAUGAGGUCCUUUCAUGCCGGCGCAACAUGAUCGUGCAAAUAUGAAAUUUUCACUGAACAUUGGUGAGCCAUGGUCCAAAACAAUAACCGGACCAGUUAAUGAGGCUGGCUUAGUAUCUAUAAACAAGGACUAGCCCCAGUAUCAGUCAAUCAAGGCUUCGGCAGUUGGCAUCCCAAACCCAAUCAAGUGCUCUAUCCUAAAACUAAGAGUGGACCUUCUAACACCCCUUCAAAAUUCUUAUGAAACCUUUUUUUCCCAAUUAUUAUUAUUCUUAUUUUAAUACCAACAUACCCUUUUCCUAUUAAAUUCCAUUUACAAUUAUUUUAGUUUAUUCCAAUUUAAUUAUUUUAAGGCCUUAUUUGGUAAUGAGCUACUGUAAUUUUUACAGCUACUAUGAAAAAAAACUGUAACUAUAAAAUAAAAGUUAAUAAUAUACAAUAAAUAUAAUUUUUAAAUAAUGAUUUUGACGAAAUUAAUAAAGAUAUACUAAGUUUUUUAUCAUACAAGUAUAAAAUCAAAUCAACUUAGUUUUUUAGCUAUAAUAGUUAGUAUUUAUUAAAUAUUUUAGUACGGUAAAAAUUACAGCUCCCCAACAUCAAUUCCAAAUAAAUACUUAAAUUAGAUAGAGGCGAUGAGUUUGCAAAACUAUGUAAACUUAAGCGGAGCUUCUUGAUGGUUCCUCCAAUCGCGGUCAUGAUAGCAAAUGUUGAACUUGGAAAAACAUAAGCUGCCGAACUCAAUAAGCAUUUGGAAUAGAUAGUACAUCAUGUAGUUUUAAGACCAGUUUUUUUUUUUUAACUUUUCUUACCGGGUGAAACAAAACCCAUGCCUUACUUUUGGUCUUUUGGAUAGAUGAGUCAAAAAAAAAAAAAAAGCACUCGUUGAUUUUUCAGAUUUAGAGAGAGAGGAGCGAUCGAAGAGUUUGUAGAGAAAAUAAGAAUACCCUAGGUGUGAAACGUGUAGAUGAGUUUGUUCUUCAAUAGCAGGGUAUUAAUAGCUGUAUUGUAAGGCAAAUAGAUUUUCCCUUAAGCCCAUUGAAACUCGGCCUAUAUCUAAGGAAUAAGUAGACUUUAAUUCUCAAGCUGAUUUGGGGGACACUGGGCCAGGCUGGCUUCGUUUUGUUUUUUGUUUUCUCUCGCAAAUAAAAUUACCAAUUUAAGAGCAUCUCCAAAAGAUUUUUUAGAUUUUAUUCUUUAAAUAUCAAUUUACUUAAUGAUGUGAUAAAUAAGUGGAUAGAAAAAUACAAUCUCUUCUAAAAGACUCAUUAAAUAAGAAUAAGUUAACAUUAUUUUAAUCAAAUCUUUCCACUAUUAAAUUGAAUUGAUGUUAUGUUUUUGAAAGGAAACAUAAAUGAUAAUUAUUGCAGUCUUAUCUUUUCAAUAAAUAAUAAAAAAAUAUUAACAGAAGAGAGAAAAACUCACUCGGCAAUAUUAAAGAGUGAGAAACGAAUCUUAUUUGAAGAAUCUAAAUUAACGUGUCUUUUGAAGUGUUUAAUAUUGAUAUGACUCUUCAAAUAAGAUAUAGAAUUUUAUUUGAAGAGUCUUUUGGAGAUGUUCUAAAGUAAGGCUUUGGCUACCUUAGAGCUGUUCUAAAGUAAAGUAAGAAUCACAGCCACAUAUACAAAAUGAUAAAUAUUAAAAAAAUUAUUAUAACUUUAAUCAUAUGGUUAUAAAAAGUUGUUCUACCUUAAAGCAAUUCCAAUAUAAUUGAACUCAAUCCCAAUUAGUUAUAAACGUAAAGUUUCACUAAUGCGGUGUGUGUUUUCAUGUGUCAAAAUUAUAAUUAUUGAUUUACUUCUACAUAUGUAACGCACUACGAGCGUAAACUAUCGAAAUCGUACCAUUAUUAUAAAUCUGUUCUAAUCUAUGAGGCUUUUAAUUGAAAAUAUAAUAGAUUAUAUUGUAAUUCAAAAUAAAAACGUAUAAAUGUCAAAUAAUAAGUUAACAUACGAGUGCAGUCUCACACAAAUUUUUCUCGGUGCACGCAUUGCCAACUUGGAAAAUCUACUCAACUAAUACUUCCUUCUCUUUACUGUUGCAUUGACUUUAGAAAGUUAAUUUUAGGGGUCUUGUUACAAUGCACCAGCUGCACCAUCUAACAAGUUUUACAUUGUCCUUAACCAAUUAUUCAUUCAUAAUCGCUGAUUCACUAUAUUAUUUUUAUGCAUAACAUGUUUUUGUAAUACAUAUAGUAAAUUAUGUAUACAACGAAAAAGUUAUUAUCAAUUAAAAAAAUAAUUGCGGAUGUAUGGUGCAGCAUGCUGCGCUAUAACACACUCUAAAUUAUUAAAAUAAUAGAUAAAUUAAAAGAUAAAUAAAACAUAAAUAAAAUAUUUUAUUUUUUAAUAUAUUAAAAUAUGUGUUUUACAUACCUUUUAAAUUAUUUCUUAUUUUAAUAAUUUAAAAAAUCUUUCAUUCAAAAUCUAUUCUAUACAUAUAUUAAGUUGGCCCAUUUUGAUAACAUAAUAUUUACAUGCAUGAACUUGAUCACUAACACAUAUACUACAUGAGUCGCACCUGAUGAAAAUUCCAUAUGAUAUAUAUUCAAGUGAUCCAGAUCGAUAGACAAAUUAAUUGUACCAACUACCAUGUUACAGUUAAAAUUGGAAAAUAAUAUAUAGUACAUCUUCCUUUUAUGUAGCAAAAUAAUAUAUACAGUACAUUUUUCCUUUACGUGGCCCUCAUGACGUCAAGGUAUAAAUCAUCAUGUGACAGUGAUUUAAUGUGGACAUCUAAUGGACCGCCAAUAUCCAACACUGAAAGUUAAAUCAAUUUUUGUCUUUCAACAAUUGUAUAUCAACAAUUUAUGGUCCUAAUUUUAACAUAAUGUGAACGUUCAAAGAAGACAAAAUACUUGAAAAUUUAGCAACCUAUUUUUCCACGUGAGGAGUCAAGCUCCCCCUCCAUUGCCUUUGCAUUUAUUUUUCAGUAAUAUCACUUUUUACUUUAUAUAUGAGAUUUUUAAAAGUAGAUUUAGUAGUCAGAUUGUGUAUAGAUAUCUAGAGUGCCAACGAACUAUAUAAGCUCUGCAUAAAGGAACUUUUUUUAUUCUAAGCUCCCUAGCUUUUAACGGUCUUAUUCUACAUUUUAAUCGUAUAAUAAUAUUGUAUAAUUGAGAUUUAAUUGUUAUUAUUAUAUUUUAACUUACUAACCACGAAUUAUUUACGUAAAAGUUACUCAAAAAGAACUCAUAUUAGGAGGGAAUAUGGUCAGUAAGUAACCAAAGUAUGCCACAACAAAAAAUGAUUUAGAUAUGCUAACGGUAAAUCUUAACUAGUGCUUGUACUACUUAUACAUGUACGUUUGUACUACCAAUGGUGAAGCCAGAAGUGUCCAGUCUGAGCAAGUACUACCUUAUUAAGUUAAUUUUCUUCCAAAACUUCAAUCCAGAAAGUGUGAGAAACGACAAGCACCGUGCUUCAAUUUUCCCCUCAAAAAGAAACAAGCAAGAAAAGAAAAAGCACACACGCUAUACUUUUUAGUUCAACUUCCUCGGUGCUUUAAAGCUCUUUGGGAGCUGCUGUCGAAGUGUACUCGGCAAAGGUUAGCCUGGGUCCAAUUGUUCUCAUUUGCAGGUCAGAUCUAAAAUUGGGUCAGCAAGAUAAUUGCAUAAUUGAACCCAAUUCAAACACCAUAAUUGUUUUAGAAAGACUGAUAUGCGUUUGUAAUUGGUUUUGGUAUAUUUGUAUUUCACCAUCAGUGCGGCAGCUUUUUUUUGGGGAAAUUUUACAAAUUAGCCAUUAAAAUUUUGUAUUUUUCACUUUUAACCCCACUAACUUAUUUCUAUCAAUAUUAGCCAAACAACAAACUUUUGGACCAUAAUACCCUUGCAAUCUCACCCAAAGCUCACCAAAGCUUGAACUCACCUACACUUCUCACCAAACGGAAGCACCAUAGAGAGCCAAAUCGGAGACCAUCAUCGGCGGCAAUCUCACCGGAAUCCCGUUCAGCAACACUAAUUCCACCAAAAUCACGUAUAAUAGCAAUCAAAAUCUACAAGAUAACAGUUGAAGUUCAAAAACCCUAGGUUAGCAAUUUCAAACACAUGCUUUAUAUUGUUCUUGUGUUGUGUUGUAAUUGUGUGUUGUUGUGAUGAUGUUUGUGGUGGUUGGUGGUGGUUGGUGGUCUAUUGUCGGACUGUGUUGGAGGCAAUACGUUGCAAUGGCUGUUGACCAAUUUGUGAAAAUUUGAAUUUUUUGUGCGACAGGUUCCCGUCGCACCAAAUUUUGUGCGACUGCCUUUCUGUCGCACAAAAAAUCUUAUUACACAAUCUGAAAUUUUGUGCGACAGGUUCCCGUCGCACCAAAUUUUGUGCGACUGCCUUUCUGUCGCACAAAAAAAUCUGAUUACACUAUCUGAAAUUUUGUGCGACAGGUUCCCGUCGCACCAAAUUUUGUGCAAUAGAUGCUGUCGCACAAAAAAAUCAUAUUACACAAAAUUUAGGUUAUUUUCUGGAGGUCAUAAUUACAGCUAAAUAAAUUCAUUUUUUGUGUAUAAUAUAUCAUUUCAACGCUUGCAACGAAACAAAUCAAACCCACAAUGUGUAACCACAUUUGUUAUAUUUUUUGUAUAUUUUGUAGAUUUAAUGGAUUCAGUUGUGCUUCAACUGUGUUACGACGGUUGGUGGGAGACGUUGGCGGAUGGGAGUAUGGAGUACGUGAAUGGCAAUAAUACAGCCUUUCUAAUUCGAAAAGACUGUACAUUUGAUCAGUUUCUGGCAAGAGUUUAUGAUGUGUUACAGAUAAAUCGUAAUGAAUACAAUAUCACCAUGAAGACAACUUUGAGGUCUAGUAAUACAAUGUAUCGUACAUGUUCACUGCCUAUGGACAUAUUUAACGAUGAAAUAGUCAAGGUUGUGUUACAUAUGGCCUCUGAUGUGGUAAAUUACGGAUGCAUUCCUAUUUUUAUGACCACAUCUUCUCGAGUUGAUUACCAAGAUCUUGAGCCACCUGUAGAAACUGAAACUUCUUUUAGAGCAAAUGUCUCUGUCCCUGAUAGUGAAGAAGAGGUAUUACCACAGACACUGUCUUUACAACAACGUUACUCUCCACUCCACGGCUACAAUGACACUAUUAAUGACAAUGGCAUUACCCUAGCGGAUGUUGAAGCAGAGGCAUUACCACAGACAUUGUCAUUAGAGCAACGUUACUCUCCAUUCUACAAUAAUGAAUUUCGCAGUAAUGAUGAUCCUAUUGAUGACAUCGGCAACACAGCAGUAGAUAAUGUUUGUAUGGAACCAUAUAAUAAUACAACGGACAACCAUUUCAAUAGUUCAGUUUGUGAUGGAGGCGUUGGUCCUUCUCAUAUUCCUACUAAUGUUGAUGAUGAUGAUCAGAAUAGUAUUCCUAUUAAUAACAUUGCCAGCCAACCUAUUCCUUCAGUGCCACGUUCGAGAAGGAGAACAACAGUUGACCACCUCGCACAACUUGCUCCAGUUUUACCUUCAAACUUAGCUGCUCCUAACUUGGUCAGAAAUUAUAAUUAUGAUGAUAUUAGUGUGGGUAAGUUGUUUGUUGCCAAGAAUGAGUUAAUACUACAACUGCGUAAAGUUGCCUUGAGGGGUAAAUUUGAUUUCAGGAUCACACGGUCCACAACAACACGUUUCGAGGCCCAGUGUUCUUCGGAAUUAUGUAAAUGGCGUAUUCGAGCAACAAGAGUUUCGAAUGAGCAGAAUGUUCCGUGGUUAGUGAGAAGAGUUGACAACGUACACACUUGUUGUAAUGAGGUAUUGGCUGGUGGUGUUCAUCAAGUAAGGAGUCGGGUUGUUGGUCAUAUUAUUACGGACAAGUUCAUCCAAGAAAAACGAAUAUAUACUCCAAAUGACAUCAGAGCAGACAUCCAGCAGGAAUACGGUGUCCAAUAAUUUGUAAUUUCCUCAUUUGCAUCUGCCUGGAGGGUUUGCAUAACAUUCCCCUGUCAGUUGAUUACCAAAUUUGAAGUUAGAAAAUCUUUUUAGUACUUAACAUUUUUAUCGUUGUUUAAAUAUAUAUAAUACUUACAACACGAGUGUUAUCGUUGAAAAACGAAUGCACUGCAUCAUAAGUUAUUUUCGAAGAAACAAAUGCCUUCCACUUUAAGAUGCGGGGAAUAUGAUUGUUUAUCUUUACGGCCCACAGUGAUGGUAUCCCCUUGAUCACUUUGAAAAGCCAAGCCUACAACAAACAAAGUUAAAAAACCACAUAAGUUAAUUUGGUAUAAAUAUACUACUAACGAACUCUGAUAUUAUUUUUUUUUUACCAACUCACCUGAACCCCAUGACUGAACCCAUAAAUAUUGUAUUUCUCAAUAUUAUGAGAUGGAUCUUUCAAACGCUCCAUCUUAAAUUUGUUGGCCUUCUGGUUCAAUGCAUUGUUCAAACUGUCGUAUAUUAUUUCCCACGAUAAACGACCCCAUGGACGACUUCGAAAGUGGUCUAUAUCGUCAACAUGAUUCAUUAGCUGAAAGUCAGCUUGACUAUGAUCCUUUCUCCCCUUCAGUACCCUAUCCACAAAGUAAUACAACGCGAUUUUCAAGGCAUCAGUGUCGUCCAUGGCACGAAAUUUCAAAGCGGAAAAUCUAGCAUCCAAUUGCUUGAGAGUCAAGUCCUUAAACCGACCACCGAAGUACUUAUUAUGCAACCUAUGUUGCGUCUUCAAAUUUUUUGGUUCGACGUUCGGACCAUUGGAAAGCCCCGUAAUGAGGCACCAUUCUCCAAUUGAUAAACGAACCAAGUGCUCUCCAAUUUGAAACCAUAAUUGAUUUUUAUUAGUUUUUUUAUGUGCCACUUGCCUAAGCAAUAGGUUGUGAAAUAUAACACCACUGAAAUUAUAACUACCCAAGUCCAGGAAGUGCCCAAAAACAUCACUUCUAAACAAUGACAAUUGCUUGUGCGUUAGCUUACACUGGAUAGCUGCGAUGACUUUUUUAAAUUUUGACGUCUCUGAAAUACGACCCGGGAAAUGAUCAUCAAAAUAUAACUUCAUCACGCCCGGCUCCUUCCCAGGUUCAGGCGAAUUGCGCUUUGCCAACUUAGUUUUCGCCAUCUACCUGAGACAAUUGAAAUUUUAUUCAUUAUUGUGUUAUUUAUAGAAUAAUAAUAUUAAUAAUAUAAAAUAAAUAAGGUAUCUACAAAGUAAAAAUGGCCUUGGGUGUAAUCUAUAUUUUUAUGCGACAAUCUAUUGCUGCAUUUUUUUAUCACACACGAUCUGAAUUUUUGUGCGAUGAGUGCCCGUCGCACAAAUAUUUUUGCGACGGCCACUUAUCGCACAAAAAAAUAGUCUUUUCUUUCAGCAACAUGCUUGAAUUUAAAGUCGACGGCCACCCGUCGCACAAACUUUGGUGCAAGGGGCACCGGUUAUACAAAAAUUAAGAUCAAAUACUCUUGAAAAAAAAUCUGAAUUUUUGUGCGACGGGUGCCCUGUCGCACAAAUAUUUUUGCGACGGGCACCCGUCGCACAAAAACUCAGAACAUGUGUUGUGAGUUUUUGUGCGACGGGCACACUGUCGCACAAAAAUUUUUGCGAUGGGCACUCGUCGCACAAAAAUUCAGAAUGUGUGUUUUGAGUUUUUGUGCGACAGGCACACUGUCGCACAAAAAAGUUUGCGACGGGCACCCGUCGCACAAAAAUUCAGAACGUGUGUUGUGAGUUUUUGUGCGACGGGCACACUGUCGCACAAAAUUUUUUGCGAUAGGUACUUUUGUGCGACGGACAAACUCGCGCAAUGGGAAUGGGUGCAGCAAGCAUCGCGCGAGCUGCAGCAACCAUCGCGAUGCUUGCUGACCCAUCGCGCGAGAUCGCGCGAUGGGUACUGCAGCUCGCGCGAGCUCGCGCGAUGCUUGCUGCAGCUCGCGCGAUGCUUGCUUCAGCGCGCGCGAUGGGUGCUGCACCCAUGGCGCUGCAGCCCAAUCCCGCUGCACAAUCACACACCCUUCGCACAAAAAAUCUCCGUUACAAAACAACACACUCCCAAAAUCCACAACCACCAUUACAAGCACUACCACCACCAUUGUUAUUCUCAAAUUUCAUUCUUAAUUAAUCAAAUAUAAAUAAAAUGGCUUACUUAUGUUGAUGGUGUGUGAAGCCGUCGCCGGUGAUGGUUGAAGCUGCUGCCGUUUUGCCUCUUGGAGAUCUCACGUGAAAGAGGUGGAGUUGGGGGAGAGAUGGAGAGGGCACUUUGGUCUUGAAAUUUUAGUUUUGGCUAAUAUUGAUAGAAAUAAGUUAGUGGGGUUAAAAGUGAAAAAUGUAAAAUUUUAAUGACUAUUUGUGUAAAUUUCCCUUUUUUUUGAAGUAUAGUGAAUGAACAGAGAAAUUUGUCGGCAAGCUUAUCCCAACUCCUUGAUUGCUAGUUUUAAGUGUCUAUUCACAACAAUGAGCCAAGUUGAUUCAUCUCACUACCGGUAUUUAAGGUCAAAUUUAUUAACUUAAAUCUAAUAUGUUAUUAUACAACUUAAACGAUAAUCCCAAGUUUUUUAAACUUUUAACUUUUGUAUGAUCAAAUAAAAAUCAGUUAGGUUGCAGUAGCCAACACAAGAUAACUAAAAACAGAACAAAUUCCAUGAAAAGUUCACUAAAAAGUCUUUAAAAAUAAUUGCUUUGUACUAUAAAAAUUAAAAAAAAAAAGUGUUCCCGCACACUUUGAUGUACUUAAUUUUUUUGUCUCAACCUCUCAAUGGUAGUCAAAAAGUUUUCAAACAACCAACUUUGAUCUCGUAAAUUUAGAUUUAGAUAAACAUAUGCAAAUCUACCACAUAUCUUAUUCUAACUAUUAAAAGUAAUGCUUUCCAUGAUUUUCUUAAGUAAUAAGAAAUUUGUAGUGUUUUGAUUGCCUCAAAAAAUCCCAAGAUCUUUGUCAAGAUAAAUUCAAGUUGCAUAUGAAUCAAAUGACCAACCUUGAUGACUCAAUGAUUAACAAGAACCUAGUAAACGAAUUUUAGAGACCAGAAACACAAGUAUCAAGCCAAAUUGGCAACCAAAACACACAGAAAAGAAGACUGAUUUUACGUGGUUCAAUUGUGCAAAGAAGCACAAUCUACCAGAAUGAGUUUUUACUGAUGAUUGAAGUUGAAUUUAUAGAGCUUUUACAGAAUAGAUGACAAGGAACGGGAUGACUCUUUCUCUCUGUCUCUUAUAUCUCUCUAGAACGCUCUUAAUUCCUCACUGAAACUGCCUCAACAAUCAGCUUUGUAUAACAGCCGAUAACAAACCGGAUUGCACCAGUUUCUGCCACGUGGAUAACGGCCUGCAACAAUCUUGAUUCCCCCUCACAUGCUUAAUCACGUGCAUGACUUAAGUCUGAGCCAAAACGUCUUCAUGUCUUGCCGGUUAUUAAGUGAGUCACACGUCCAUCACGUGACAGCUUGAAACAAAUUGAUAGGCAAAACGAUGCCGUUUCACAUGUCCAAGUUUUAAAUUCAGCAAAUUAGUCCACAAAAUUAAAGUUAUUUAUUUUUUUUUUAUCCAAGGACAACUCUUUGCUCAAACCAAAAACUCUUGAUCUUGAACAUCUUUAUAAUCACAGAGAGCCACCUGAAGCUUGGCUGCUCAUCAGCCUCGCUUGGAUUCAACCACUUGAGAGGACACCAACAUUAAUUUUUGCAUCUGAUGUUCUGCCAAUAUUUCCCUCGUCAAUCCUUCCGCAUUGGAAGCAUAAAACAUUAAAGAAAACACUGAUAAUAAAAAAUUAAGUGACAAUUCAAAAUGUUAUACAGUUAAUGUUAAUUAUUAAACUCUAACAAGACAAGAAAGAAAUUAAGAACAUUAAUUGUGAAAAAAAGUGAAAUAUUGAUUCAAAAUUAUAGAUCUUAAUGUAUGAAGCUAUAAAGGAAACGCCCAGAGGAUCUGUUUUGUGAUGAAAAUUUAAAAUUUAUGUUUUAAAAUAAUAAUAAUAUUUUGAAAAUUUGCACAUGUAAAAAAAUAUAGAAAUGUGUGAAUAUGUUUUCAUUUAGGUGGUAAUUUUGCUCGCCUAAUCAUAAUUCUUUUUUAUGUUGUAUGAAAAUAAAAAAAAUAAUUGAAUAUUAUUUAGAGAUAUAUACUAAAUAAUUUAUUAAAAAAAGUUUACAAUCUAUAUACAAAUUAUGAUCUAUAAUUUAAUGAGAUUCUGUAUAAUUGCACUUUAAAUUGAUAGUACAAUCCAGAAGUUUUUCGAAAAUUAACUUGGAAAUCUACUCUCAUAAAUAUACAAAAAGAUAUGUACGGUAUUUUAAAUUAAAAAUAUAAUAUUAUAAUUCAUUAUUAAUUUGGUUUGUAUUAAUGGGAAUCUUCCUUGCAUUCUUCUUUUAGUUGUGCCAAGGAUAUCCUUGAAAAGGAAAUGCUUCCUCAUGUUCCUAUGACUGAAUUCUCUAGAACUAAGAAAGCUUAUUAUUUUGGGUAACUAUAAUCCUUCUAUAUAUUAUCAUUGUCAUUACUUUAGAGUAGUUACAGAUCUUAUUGAUCCUUUCUUCAGCUAUAUUAUACAUCGGCUUCUUCUUUGUGCAUUUGGCCGGUGGGUUAAAGAUGAUAGAUAUCAUUAUGGCAACAAGAGGUUGGACCUUGCUGGUUCAUUACUUAGAAGGCUUGUUUAGGAUGGUUUGUUUCAUUUUUGUGUUGAGGUAGUUGACUUUACUUGUGAUCAUAAGAAUGAAGAUGUAUCUCUUUUCUUUUAACACCCCACUUUUAUAACUAAAAUAAGAUGAUUUAUUUUAAAAUAUUUAAAAUCUCAAUUUUUUUUAAUAUAAAUACGGAUAAUUAAAAAUUUUACAUGAUAAGCAGAAACUUCAUUACAAAAUAUAAGAGACACAUAGAGAUUCCUUAGUAUAUAUUUCAAAACUUCGUUAUUAUGUAAGAGAAUUUAAGAUAUUUAUUUUUUAUAAGAACACAACUAAGCCCAUCACAGUCCAACGGUUUGACAUGCCCAUAUGCAUUUCAUCUUGGUUGGGACUUGGCGUCAGCUUGAUCUACUCAUUAUUACCUACAAUGUAAGGAUUGCAUGAGCCAAUACCUAGUAAGAUAACAUGCAAGUAUAAAUUGUUAUGCACAUAGAUGAGCUUAUGAACAUUAAAUCUCUAAAAGAAACAUAGAAAUAUAAAACAACUUUGUUAGGGCCCUACGUACAUUGCACGGCAAAGUUGGCAAUUUUCAUUCUUUAAAAUAGCAUCCCCUUAGGCCUAAAUUAAUAAUUGAUCUUUGGGCAUUGCAUAUCGCCGUCCCCAAAAGAUUACUCUUUAUUUAGCUUUGAGGGCUUGCCCUUCUUGGAAAUUUUACCACCCCAGUAGUACAACAAUCCAUUGUUCAAGACUCAUUUUUAAAAAUGUCUUCUUUGUAAAGUAAUCUUAACAUAUUAACAUGAAAUGCAUGUGUUCAAUGCAACCUAUAUCAUGACAUGUAAUUUUCCUAGAUAUAUAACAAAGCCAACCAUACAAAGUUUUCUAAAGACAACAAUCUUUAGUAUAGGCAGCAGUGCCGUCCAUAUAAAGAUUAAAUAAAAAAUGUUAUUAUAAUAUAGAUGGGAGAGUGGACUAGGGGUGGCAAAAUAACCUAGACCCGGCCCGGACCCGGAUGAACCCAGAUUAUCCGGUGCAGGUUGAACCAGGUCCAGAGAUAAAAAUAAUGCGGAUCCGGAAUUCAUUUUAUAAACCCGGACAUAUCCGGGUCCGAAUCCAGGUUUACGUAAACCCAGAUCUCCGAAACCCAGACCCGGCUAUCUUGAUUUUAAAAUUUAUUAAAUAAUUAAUUUUAAGUUAUUAAAUCUAAGUAUAAAAGCAAAAAAAAAAAAGGAAAAGAAAAGAAACCCUAAAACAAACUGCAGCCGCAGCAGCCCUGUUUCUCCUCUUCUCUCACCUUCUUCAAUCUUCACGCCACAAAGCCCAAAUUCAUCAUCGUCAAUUUGUCAUCAUCCUUGUCAAUAUUCAAGUAAUUCCCAAGCAUCAUCAUCAACAGCUCAUCAUCAUCCUCAAUAUUCAAUUCAUCUCGUCACCGUUCUUCUUCACUAAUUCGUCGCGUCGCCGUCCAUGAUUCACCAUCGUCUUCAUCGCGUCACCAUUCAUCUUGAUUACAUCGUCAACAUACAUGCUUCUUGGGAAUUAAUAGUGCUCUGAGGUGAUAUUAACAUAUGUGGGUCAACUUUUAUCUUUAAAUCAUGAUCAUUUCAAUUCAUUUAUAUUCAAGUUGUCUCGAUUGUAAAGAAUCUAUAAUCCUUUAAUUCAUUGGUGCUUGUGAUUUGAACUCUUUCUGGAAUUUUUCAUAACCUGAAACGGGUUUAUGUUUUUCAGUUCAUUCAGUUAUCCGGGUUUUAAACCUGACAUCCGGAAACUCAAAUUUCUUCGAGUUGAACCCGCACUGGACCCGGAGCCAAAAAAUCCAGGUUUAUAUCCGGAUCCGAAAUGUAAAAUUGCCAUCCGGGUCCGAAACCGGGAAGGCUAAACCCGGACCUGGACCCGGAUUUUGCCAUCCCUAGAGUGGACCAUAUCAUAAUUAAAUAAAAAUAUCACAGUAUAGGCAUAGCCAACCAUAUAAAAAUUAAAUGAGAAAAUAUGAAAAUAUAGGCGGCAUGGCUGACCAUAUAAGGAUUAAAUAAGAAAAUAUCAAAUAUAAGUGGCAUAGCCAACCAUAUAAAGAUUAAACAAUAAAUAAUCACAUCAUAGUAGUCAUCAUAAGAUAAAAAAAUAAUUAAAGAUGAAUUUAAGUAUGGAAAGAACAUUAUCCGUAAACUACAGUUGAAGUGUUACUUACCUCUUAAUCUUGACUUCUCUAGGCCCUCAUAAUUUGAGGAUUUCUCUAUUGUUUGAUGUUAUUACUUAGAAUAGAAAAGGACAGAAUUUCUAAAGUGAUAUAGAAAAUGAAAGGGCUAGGGGUACUUUUAGGAUUUACUAAAGCUAAUGGAUGGUUAGGAUUUUGCCAUUAUAACUUUUGAUUAAUGGUUGAGAUUUAUCCUUCCAUAAAUAUCUUUAUAAAUUCUAGAAUUUAUAAAUAUUUUAUAGAUAUCUUGUUGCAUAAUUACUUAUGUCAUCGCUUAUGUCAUCAUUACUCUAGAAUUUUCUAUCAUAAAUAUUUUCUAUUAUUAUUAUUUUAAUAGGUAAGGGGAUUUAUUAGCCUAAAAAUUAAUUCUACUAUAUUCAAAUGAGAAAUUUAUAUCUCACAAUUUCCUCCCCAUUAAGAAAAUUUUAUGCUCGAAAUUGAUUUAUUGAAUAGCUCAGGAUACUUAUUCUUCGUAUUUUCUUCACGUUCCCAUGUUGCCUCCCCCAUCGAGCUAUUUCGUCAUAGUAUUUUAACUAGAAAAAUCUUCUUGCUUUUUAUCUCCUUUAUCUUUCUAUCAAAUACUUGGAUUGGACGUUCUCCAUAGGUUAAGUUUUCUCCUAGUUGAAAAGCCUUAUAAUCUAGCACAUGAGAGGGGGUUUGUAACAUAUUUCUUUAACAUGAAGAUAUGAAAAGACAUUGUGUAUCCUUGACAAUGGUAGAAGAGCAAGUCGGUACGAAACGUUCUUGACAUAUUCAAGUAUUUCAAAUGGUCCAAUAAACCUCGAAAUUAAAUUUCCUUUUACAAAUACCUUAUCACCAACUUGAAAUUCUGAAGGCCUUAAGCUCUUAUCUACAUGACUUUUCUGUUAACUUUGAGCUGCCUAUAUUCUUGGACGUAUUUUCUCGAUCGCCUUAAAUGAGACAACAAUGAGGCCGGGCCCAAGCUACCUUUGCUCGCCCAUUUCAUUCCAAUGAAUAGGUGACCUACAUUUUUUACUAUAUAGAGUUUCGUAGAGUGCCAUGCCGAUUAUUGCUUGAUAGCUAUUAUUGUAGGCAAAUGCAACCAAAGGUAGAUAUUUGCUCUAUGAUAUUUGAAAGUCGAUAGUGCAUCCCUGUAAUAUAUCUUCUAGUGUUUAGAUCGUUGUUUCUAACAGACCAUUUGUUUGAGGGUAAAAUGUUGUACUAAAUUUUAAUUUUGUUCUCAUAGCUCUAUGUAACUUUUCCUAAAAUGUUGAGGUGAACCUUGUAUCUCGAUCAAAGAUAAUAGAAAUAGGUACACCAUAUAGUCUUACUAUCUCCUUUAUGUAUAUUGUUGUGCAAAUUUUAAUGUACUCGCAAGCGCACGAAUCUAUUAUAGUAUAGACUAAUGGUGACAAGUGUCGAUCCCACGAGGAGGUGGAUUUUAAUUGUGUGUAGAAUUAAUUUUGUAAAUGGGUGAUUGGAUUUGUGGUGGAAAUGAUUUGGAAUAUGCUAAAACUUAAAUUAAAAUGGUGAGAAUAAAUUCUAAAAUUAGAAUUGAAAUGGCGAGAAUAAAUUGAAGAGAAUUCGAUUAAAAUGACGUACUUGGGUAUCUGGAUCCGUAUCAACAUGCAUCAUGGGUUAAAUAAUCCGUAUUAAUACCAAUUAAAUCAUGAGGGGGGAAUCCACAUCUCAUGAACCACGCUCUAAUCAAUAUGGUGCUAAGGGCUUAUCGUGCCAAAUAAUAAUAACUUUGUACUAGAGGGCCGGUGAAACCAAUGCGGUACUAGACAAGAAUAUUAUUAUUUGUCAACGAGAAGUCAAAACAUCCAUAAAAACUAGAGGGGAAGAGAAAAUAAAUUUACCAAAUUAAGCCCAUGACACAUGUUGAGAUUUCACCUUCAACCCAAGCUUGAAAGAAAAUUAGCCACUCAUAAUUGAACUAGGGGCAAAAUGAGAAUUUAUUAAAAUACGAAGAAAAUACAAGAUGGAGAAAGAAUUACAGAAAAUGGAUCCCAAAAAUGGAUUCAGAGAUAUCAAAUUAGGGGGGGGAGGCCCCUUUUUAUAGAUACAUGAAGUAAAUCAUGGCCAUCGGAUUAAAAACAGUUUGGACGCUCAGGAUUGCGCCACAUCAUCAGUCAACAGUAUGCGAUUUGACCACGCGGAUGAACAGUAACACGGUUUGACCCAGGUGAACAGUGAUGCGGUUUUGUUGAAAAUAAUCCUGUGUGAUGCAUAUACCGUACGCGAGAUUUUUGGUCCAGUGAUAUGCUGCCACGUCACCAUCAACAGUACAUAAGAAUUUUAGUCCAACAGGAUCGUGACACCUCAUCAGUCAAUGCCACAUCAUCGGUCAAUGCCACGUCAUCGUCCAUCUAUGUGAACAGUGCCGUGAAUAGUAACGUAUACAGUACCGUACACGUGAAUAGUACCGUACAUGUGAACAGUGCCAUUUUUCUUUUUAUGCUCCUCCUAAGGUUUUCGACCGUCCUGAGUUCAAAAGUGAUGUCCGUUUUGCCAUCUGAUCUCUCGUUUAUUGUGAAAUGACUACGAUGCCCCUAAAAUAUAUAAAAUACUUAAUUAAAAUAAAACACACGGAAUUAAAUUAAAAGAAGGUUAAAUUUAUAAAAAUAAAGGUGUUAGUAAAACUUGUAGUGUAAAAUUACGAUUUUCUCCUUUAUAAAUAUACAUUUUCUAACACUCAACAUAUAUUUCUGCAAAUUGGUUUAUAGUGCACGUCAUUCAAAUAGGUAAAAAGUGGGCAGACUUUAUGAGUCAAUUGACGAUAAGCCAAAUGACAUCAUGCAUUUCUUUUUCAAUUUUUUUAUUACUGUUGGUAUUUAUGCAAGUUUUUAGAAAGUUAAACUGGAAUGUGAAAGCUUAUGUGAAGAAGGUUCUAAGUAUUUGUUGCUUUCUUUCUUUUUUCCUUUUUGUUUGAUUUGAAUCACUUUUUUCAUUUCUUCUGGUUUGCACUCAUGCAGUUCAUCCAUUUUGUAAAUGUUGGAUAAGGAUCUAUAUGUUAAUUUGCAAUAUGCUAUUUUAGCUAAAACAAUUACCCAUGGUAUAUAAAGUAUUCUUUAGCUACCGGUAAUUGGGGCCAGCUAGAUGCGUUUAUUACAAGAACAAAAGUGUCAAAGAUUUUUUUAUUUUUGAUCCAUUUAUUGUGGUCUUUCACAAAUGUUGAAUUACAUGACAUGCGCCUCUACCUUGUCGCAUUUGCGAACACUGUGUUCUCCCACAGGGCAAAAAGGUAAACUACUUAUUGUUGUGCAUGAUUUUGUUUUAUUGAGGAUUCAUUCAUGCUUAGUUUUGUUUUUCUUUUAUGCAUCACCAUGUUGUUAUUUUGUUAAUUUGUUGCAUAUAAUUAAUUGUUUUCACUUUAUUUUUCUAAAGAAGUUUUCAUUUACUAGGUACACAAGUAAAACCUAAGCUGGCACAUAAUACACAAUGGGUUAAGAUUUGUUCCUUUCCAACACUUUUAGGACAAGUAAGUUAAAAUUGUGCUUAUAGGAUAUAUCUAUAAUAUCUAUUUCUGAUUGUAGCUUACAAGAAUUUGUUUUGGUUAAUCCAGGCCUGUGGACUAGUGAAGAAUCUUGCUUUGAUAGUCAAUGUAACCCUCGGCUCAUUAGUAUUUCCCAUUAAUGAGUUAUUAGAAUAUGAGCCAAUAGUAGAAGCCAAGGUGCAUUUUGUAAUUUAUGGCACUUAGACGUUAAUUAUACAUAUUUCAUUUAUGGCAUUUAGACGUUAAUUAUACAUAUUUCAUUCACAUUAUUUCAAUUUUCUCUUAAUUCUAGGAUGCUACUGCAAACUUUUUUCUACAAGCUACAAAAUUUUUUGUCAAUGGUUGCUGGGUGUCAUGCAUGAUGUUGGUUCAUUGGUCCAAGCUUUGAGACACUUGAAAAGAAAUGUCAUUAUACUUGUAUUUCAUCUAUUCGUAAAGAAACCUCCGUAUUAAAAGUUGGCAAACCUAUUGGUGUACUCUAAACUUUCUUUAGUAUUAUUUAUGCCAUUUCUGAACUAUUUUGUUUGUCUACCCAUGUACAUGACUUUAUAAAUGCUGCAAUUGGGGUUUCUAGGGAUAUCCAUUCAAAAGAAUUGUGUAUAUACACUGAUUUUGGUCGUUGUUGUCGUCCAUUGCUUAUUGUCCAGAAUCAAAGGCUUCUUAAAAAGAAGAAAGAUAUUGACGCCUUCUAUGACAAGGUUAGCCAAAUAGUUCUCUCUCUCUUUUUUAUUAAUGAUUUGUCUUUUCUGUAGUUACAUGACUUUUAUCUUGUUAAUCUUCUAGAAAUCUUUCGAAGAUGGUUGUUGGUGUGACCUUUCUAAAAAAAGGGUUUAUAGAAUAUAUUGAUCCAUAAAAAGAAGAAACCAUAAUGAUUUGCAUGACAAUCAAUGUGAAUAAAAUGGUAUUGGUUGGUCGAAAACCUGUUAUCGUGAGACGUAAUUUUUAAGUUGCUAAAAAUUUGAUUAACACAAAUUUGUUUCAGGAACUUGUAAAUGCAAAGCUUCAUCUAGAGGAGGCUACUUCUAAUGCAUACACGCAUUAUAAGAUUCAUCCAUCCUUGAUAUUGGGAGCUUAUGCUUCAAUUAUACCAUUUCCCGACCAUAAUCAGGUGCGUCAUGCUUAUGACAUUUCUCUGGUAAAAUAUGUUUAUAUAUUGACUCAAUCUCACCAAUUUUUUCUUUCUUUUUCUUGAUGGGGUUUGCUUUUAGUCCCCAUGUAAUACGUUUCAAGCUGUAAUGAGCAAGUAAGUAAUUGGAAUCUAUGCUACAAACUACCGAUGACAUAUGAUACUGUAUUUGGUUUCAAUUUUUUUGUGAUUGGAAGCUCAUUUUCAGCAUGUCAUAUAUAAUGAUAUUAUUUUUCCUUUAUAUGAAUUAGGAUGCUUUAGCCUAUGUUCUUUACUACCCUUAGAAACCACUACUUGCUGGGACGCCAUAAAAUCGCUUCAAGUUAACCAACUUCCUACUGGUGUGGUGAGUAUAUAAUUUAAUGUUGUGUUAUUGUUGCUCCUUAUGAUCAUAGUUUUCUUAUAAUCUUUUUGUCUCUGUUAUUUGGCAUUAGAAUGCAAUAGUCACUAUUGCCUGUUAUGAUGGCUAUCAUCGAGGAAGUUCUGUUGUUAUGAACCAGUCAUCUAUGGAUUAAGGAUUAUUUCGAUCUCUUUUCCUUCCAUACAUCUAGGUAAGCUGUUGUUGAGACAUUUUGUAUCUUAAUUAACACGACUCAAAAGUAUUGAUUACUUCUGAGUAUAAGAGUGUCUAAUUAUAAUAUAAUCCAGUGAGUUGGGGUUGAUCCACAAGGAAUCUAUAAAUCUAGUAGUCAUUAUUAAAAGGGAUAUUAUCAUUUUACUAUUAAAGUUAUUCUGACAUAUCAUGUCAAUAGCAUGAUUUGCCGAAAAGUACAUUUUACUAUCAAACGUUUGUGCCGUUAUCAAUUCACUACUAUUCCGUUAAGAAUUUUAUGCGGUGUCCUUUGCGCCAGAGGUUUCAGCUGCGAUCCAAGAGAUUCUAAACUCUAAUUUGUUGUCGUCUGACUUCUUUUGCUCAUGGAUUUUAGAUAAAACUUCUGCGCUAAGUCUUGUUCAAAGUAUAAGUAUAGAAUUGAACUUGAUUCUGACUGAUUCCAUUGUUAAAAUGCAUGAGUUGUGUGGCUACUGGCUACUCUCAACUGAUGGUUUGCUGUCAUUGUACUUGUGCGUCAAAGAAGGUUUUCUUAAUAUUGUUGAGGAAAAUGUUGUCAGGUAAGGCUAAUCUGUUCACAUCUUGAAAUAAUUAUUUGAUGGUGAAUAUUUGUUAAAGUUAUCUAUUUUCUUUAUUUCUUAUGAUGAAGUAGAUUUGAUGUUGAGAAGAAAAUUAUUAGUGUUCAAUUGUGUGUUGAGUGAGUGGUUUAAAUGAGUAUUAAGAGUAAUUAAAAAUUAUAUAGUAAUGUUAAAUUGUUCAUAAUAUUAGUUUAACGAAAGACUUCUUAAUUUUUUUAAUAAAAUAUAGUGUUCAAAGUGUAUUUUAUCAAUAAUGUUGACAUUCCUACAUUUGAGUCUUAAUUUUAUGUGUCGCUUGUUCAUUAGAUAAUAUAUUUUACAAUUUAUAAAAUUAUUAUUUUAUUAUACAAUAAAUAAAUGACUCAUCAAUUAGGACUAAAUUGAAACAUAAAUGUUGAAUAUUACGUUUUGUUAAUGUUAAAGUGUAAUGGUCAUGUUAUGUAGCAAAAAUUCAUGUAUUUAUUUUUUAUUUAUUUUAUAAAAAUUCAGUUUUUCAUAUACAUAGAAGUUAGUAAAUUGAAAUUGUUUCUAUUAAACUGUUGAAGUACAGGUGUGCAUUUGCUAUAUAUAUGAUUUUUUCAGAAUCUUUUAGUUAAAAAAAAAAAGACUCGUACUUUGAUAGGUAAUUAAUUAGAAAAAAUAAAUAAAGAAGAAAGGUGGCAACUUAAGUGUAAUUUCAUUAAAAAUAAUGGAUCCCUCUAAGUUACAUGCAUGUACCUUACACCCCUCUCACAUGAAUAGUGAGUGGACCCACAUCAUUCACUAUUUAUGUGAGAGGGGUGUAAGGUACAUGCAUGUAACUUAGCAUUAGCCUAUAAUUAAAUAUUUUGUUGAUAAUGAGACAAAAAGUUAUUUUAUGUGAUUUUGAAGAAACAAACGAGUAAUGGACACAUGUCUAAUGUACAAAGAGUAGGCGAGUAAGUCGCACUGACCGUAACACUAUUUAUAUAUACUGUUGCGGACCCGCCUGAGUUACAGUUCACGUAACACUACUCGACUUUUCUGGCUUCUUAAUGUAAACUAUCGUUGACCUCCUUGUACUUUAUAUUAUUAAUAAUUUAUUCAUAAGUAUAUAAAAUUUUCUGUAUUGUAAACUUUUGUUGAGCCCCUUGCACUUUAUUUUAUUUUAUUGAAACCCUUAGAGUAUCAAAUUCGCCCCUAUAAUUUUUAAAUUCCCAAAAUACCCUCUAUUUACUUAAAAAUAUAAUAAUUAUUAAAUGUAUUAUUAUUAUAAUUAUAAUAAUUAUUUUAUUAUAAUUAUCAAUAUAAUUAUAAUUUUUAAAUAGAUUAUUAUUAUUAUCAUUAUUAACAAGAAUAAAAGUAUUAUAAUUAAUUAAUCUAUUAACGAUAAUUAAUAAUAAUUUUUCAGUUAAAUUAAUAAUUAUUAUUAUUAAUUAAUUUUGAAUAAUAAUAUUAAUCAAAAUAAUUAAAAUAUAAAAUAAUUAUUAUGAUAAAAAUUAAUUAAGAAUUUUAUAGUAAUUUGUUACAAUUUAACUCAUUCCGAUUUUGAUUCUAAAACAAAGUAAAUACAUAAAUGUUUAUACAACUCAUUCUAAUUAUGAUUCCUCCAGUUCAAGUAAAUAAAUUAUUUUGAUUCUAAUUUCUCAUUUUGAUUCUAUCUAUUCCAAUUUUAACUCAUUAUGUUUUCAGUUAAUUUUGAUUCCUAUUUAGUGAAUGCACUAUAAAAUUGUAAACCACUCUAUAUUCAACUAGAUCACUCUAUAUUAUUUACAAUUUAUUCAUAAGUAUUAUGAAACUUUCUUCUUACCUAUACUAUAAAAAUUCAAUUUAUCUCCCUACACUCUUUUUCGUUUACUAUUUUUUUAUAAGUGUCAAAAGAGUGUUUACAACCAUGACACAUUAGUUAUCAUAGCACACUAAUAUUAAUAAAAAGUUUUUUAAGAAUAUUACCAUUCAUCUUUUAUAUAAUAUAUUCUCAUAAUAAUUAAUACUUUCAUGAUAAAAGGAUUAACAAAAUAAAAAGCAAAUUCCCUUUGAAUCCAUCCGUCUCCACCAUUAACUUCUCUUUAUCAGCAACCUUCAUCGAUAAUUGAAGUCACCAUUAGACUCAUCAAAGAGAAAGAGAGUACGAGAGGGGAAGAAGAAAUGGGAAAAAAAUACGAGAUGUUCACAAUUUUAUAGUGCAUUCAUUAAGAAAGAAUCAAAAUUAGCUGGAAAAAUAAUGAGUUAUGAUUGAAAUGAGGAAUUGGAAUCAGAAUAAUUUAUUUACUUAAACUGCAUUAAUCAUAAUUAGAAUGAGCUGUAUUACCAUUUAUGCGUUUAUUUUGUCUUAGAAUUAAAAUCGGGAUGAAUUAAACAAAUUACUAUAAAAUCCUUAAUUAAAUUUUAUCAUAAUUAUUAUUUUUUAUUUUAAUUAUUGUGAUUAUUAUUAUUAUUUAAAAAUUAAUUAAUUAAUAAUUAUUAUUAUUUUUAAUUAUUAUUAUUAUUAACAAUUUAACUAAAAAAUUAUUAUUAAUUAUUUUUAAUAGAUUAAUUACUUAUAAUACUUUUAUUCUUGUUAAUAAUAAUAAUAAUAAUAAUCAUCAUCAUCAUCAUCAUCCAUUUAAAAAAUAUAAUUAUAAGUAUAAUCUAUUUAAUAAUUAUUAUAUUUUUUUAAUUAAAUGGAUGGUAUUUUGGAAGUUUAAAAAUUAUAGGGGCGUAUUUGAUACUCUAAAGGUUCUAGUUAAAUAAAACAGAGUAUAAGGGGUUCAACGAAAUUUUAUAAUGAAGAAAUUUUCAUAUACUUACAAAUAAAUUGUAAAUAACAUAGAGGGUAAGGGGUUCAAAGAUAUUUUACAUCAAGAAGCCAGAAAAGACAAAGACAAAGUAGCUGCAGGUUACGUGAACGGUAACUUUAGGAUGGCAAUGGGAUGGGGUGGGGGUGGGGAGGCCUAUCCCAUUUUCCACCCCGUUAAAAAUUUUAGCUUCUAUUUCUCACCUCAUUUCUUAAUAAAUUUAGUGGGGUGGGGAUGGAGAUUCUCCAUGUGGGGAAUGAUUUCUCUAUCCCCACCUCAUUUCUCAUUUAUCUAUUUUAUAAUAUAUAUAUAUAAAUAUAUUAUUUUAGUAAGUUAAAAAUUAGAGACUUAAAAUAAAAUGAUCAUCAUAUUAUAAAGUAUUUAAAUUAUUUUUAAAAAAAAUCUAAAAGUUUAAAACAAUAUCUUAAAAUAAUAUUAAAAGUGAAAAAUAUUUAAAGAGUGUAUCACCUUAAAAGAGAAAAGAAAAUAUAACAAUGUUUCAGAGUUGAAAAAUAUUAUAAGAUUUUCUUUCAUUCAUAUCUUGCUUAUAUUGUAUAAAAAUUAAAAAAAAUAUUAAUUGACAUUAUAAUUGAUAAAAUUAAAAUUAUUAAACAAGAAUUAAAAACAUAUUUAUAUUUAAUGGGGAUUGGGGUGGGGGUGGGGGUGGGCUGGGGAGUACAAAACCAAACCCCACCCCAUUAAGAAUUUGGGGAUUAUUUUUACCCCACUCCCCACCUCAUUUCCCAAAAAUUUUUAAAAUUUUCCCCAUUUGGGGUGAGGCUCCAUGGAGCCCCAAACCCGUGGAGGAUUUUGCCAUCCCUAGGUAACUUAGGCGGGUCCACUUUAAUGUUACGGUCCCGGUCUUAUGUACUUUAUUCACAAAGAGCAGUGUUAGGCGCACAGAAGGGAGAGAAAGAUGAGAGAAUUCUAUUCUCUCUCUAUCCUCUCACUCACUCUCUACCAUUUUUUUUUUAUUUCUCUCAUUUUUUCUCGUAAUUCUCUUCACCAAGCAUUUUUCAUUCACAAAAGGGGCACUGAAUUAUUUAAUUUUGUAGGGCAGCUGCAGCUUGCGGAGUCCACACGGUGUUCAAUCUUAUCAAUUCCUCUGAGGCUCUGGACUUAUUGUUUCCAUAAUUCAACAAUUUUUUUUUGUUCUGCAUGCUCUCUCUUUCCCUUUUGAUCCGGUUUCCCAUGGCAGAGCUCUUACUCUCAGCUUUCUUUCAGGCUUUCUUUGGCAAGCUGGCUUCCCGUGAUUUGAUUAACUGAGGAGGGGUUGAUUCUGAGCUGAAGAAGUUUGAAAACACUUUGAAGAUGAUUCAGGCUGUCCUGAGGGACGCAGUGGAGAAGGAACUAACGAGUGAGACUGUGAAAUUGUGGCUGGACAAUCUCCCUAACUUGGCUUAUGAUGCUGAGGGCAUGCUGGACUAGUUCGAUACUGAAGCUUUGGGGCUUGUAAAUUAAAGAACCUAGUCCCUUCUUGUUUCAACAUUUCCGGUGGUUUCAACAGCUUCCGUAUGCUUUCUAAUACCUGGAGAAUUUGAAGCUCCGGCACUUAUGCUCCCAAGCCUUUAAAUCCCACAAACAUAUUCGGGGAAUUAGUGCAUGACAUUCAUUUGUGGUCUCCAAAAACAGGUUGAUGCCGGGGCGUUGAUACCGAACACCUCUGCAAUUUGGAUGCAGGGAAAUUAUUUUUUUGACACACAAGCUUCAAACUGUUAAAGCUCUACCCUGCAGGAAUGCUGUAUAUAUCAAAUUCCAAAAACAAAUUAGAAUUGCUGCUUCCUGUGAGGCACCAUACCAAGAUCUGCUUUUGUAUUCAUUCAAUCAGAUCAAUCAUAUGGAUUGUCAACUUUCAAGGUUACGAUGGACUAUGAGUGAACAGAGGAGUUGGAAGAAGAAUUAUUAAGAACAGAGCAAAAACUGAGAAUCAGAUAGAGGAAGUUGGCAAUCAUUGAAGAAGAGGCAGCCUACAUUGCUUUAGUUAAUGAUGAAAACUGUCAAGAUGCUCUUAGUUUGUAUGUUAAUAUGAUUGAAGUAUGGGAGAAAGUACAUUUGUCUAAUUUUUUUGACUUUAUUGCCCCCCCCCCCCAAAAAAAAAAAAACUCAAUCUUCAAAUCAAAAUCUCAUCUUCGAACCAACUUGAUAACAAAAUAUUAUUAUUGUUUGUUACUACUUGACAAGAAAUUGCUAAAAUGUUUAUUUAUUACGAAAAGUUUUGAACCAAGAUCAGAAAAUGACCAAUCUUGUUGCCACAAGACCUCACUAAACUCUCUGAUUAUUCACCAAGGGACAAAAGAAAUUAACAAUUGAAACAAACAGAAACGGAAUCAAAGAAAUCACAAAGAAAGAGCACACACAACAAUUAUAGAGGACUCAGGCAAAAAGGCUUUAUUGCCAUUUUUGGAGAAUAUAGUUAAUCCAGGUGCGUUGCACGUGCAUUAGCUGAAUCAAAAGGCAUUAUGGCCGUUACAAGAAGCGGGAAAGAUGUGUCUGGUAAGUGAGGGAUCUUUCCAUGUCAAUUGCGAGCUGUAUACAAAGCCUUUGAGGCUGGAGUUGGGUUUCUUCUGUAGCUUGUAAAAAUUUCUUCACCGCUGUAAUUUGUUCUUGAUUGAGAGGACGUUGGUUGGUGAUUGCACGUGCCUCGCAGGUGAGUCACUUAUCGCACACAGCUGACAUAUGAUCGUUGUCGUACGCAUCAUGUAUAAGACAACCGACAUGGCAUCCAGAAACGAUGGUACAGCUAGAGCUAGCAAAACGGAUCAUCGGGUCGUGUACGUGUCGUGUCAAAUUUAGGUCCACCUAAACCUAAUUCAUUUAAUAAUUGUGUCAAAAUAUUGAGACUCAAACCCGAUACGAAAAAAUAAUUGGGUUACCCAAUAACCCACUUAAUAUCUAUAAAUUAAAUAAAAAUUACAUUAAAUAUUUACACAUUGUCAUACAUACGUAUGCACAUGCAUAUAUACAUCCAUACAUAUAUACAUAAUUUAUCGAUAUUAUAAAAUAUACAUAUCUACUAAAAUAUUACGUACACUAUUGAUGUUUUAAUUAUAUAUAUGUAAAUAAUAUUAUAUAUCAAUAUUAUAAAAUAUACAUGUCUACCAAUAUUUUAUACAUUUACAUUAUUAAAGCUCUAAAUAUAUUUAAAAUUUUAUAAAUAAAAUAUUGUGUCUAUAUUCAUCCUUUUAAAGAAUAAAAAUAAAAAAGAAAAUUAUUUCUAAUAUUUGAGUUUUGAUGACAAGAAUCUGUAAUUUAUUUUAAAAUAGAAAAUAUAAUUAUGUCAUUGAUUAGAUAAAUGGGUCAAGAAUUUUAACCAUAACCUUAUACGAAAAAAAAUUAUAUUGACUCAGACCCAACUUAUUUAAUAAUCGUAUUAAAUUCGACGAUACAUACCUAUUUAUUGGUGUCAUACUCGUAUCGAGUAAUUAAAGUUUACCAGUUCUAGGUACAGCAACUCUUAUUUUCAUAAACAGCCUUUUUGUCUUCUCUCCUUUUUUAUUUUUGCCCUUUUUUAACUUUUUUUUUUUGUCCUUUUUUAACUAACAAUUAGUAAUACUACCAAUUACAUGUGACAACUGUAAGGAGUUCAUUGUCAACAAAAUAAUUGAGUCCAGAGAUUUGUUGUACCAUACUUGACAAAAUUCAACAUUCUAAUAAAUGCUGAAAAGUGGAAACGGAACAAUUGCAGAGCGCCGGUGGAGCUCACCCGGCUAGAAGAUUAACAAAUUUCCUCCAUUAUUGUAGCCUAAAGACUUUUGAAGGCUAGAGACUUGCUCCGAAAUUUCAGCAUCCAUUUAGAUCGAGUAAAAACCAUCUUUCUCGGACGAUUACGAAGCAAUGGCUGUUGAAGAGCUCUUACUGUCUGCCUUCUUUCAAGUGUUGUUUGACAGAUUGGCUUCUGGUGAUUUUCUCACCUUUGUGGGUCAACUUCGAGGCGGGCUGGAUUCCGAGCUCAAAAAGUGGGAAAAAACUUUGAUAAUGAUACAGGCUGUGCUCAGUGAUGCAGAGGAGAAGCAACUGACGGACAGGGCUGUGAAGAUCUGGUUCGAUGAUCUCCGAGACUUGGCUUAUGACGCAGAGGACAUUCUUGAUGAGUUUGCUACUGAAGCUUUGAAGCAGAAGACGAUGGCAGAAAAUUCGAACCACAGUCCUGCUUGUUUCAACUGUUUUAGUCCAAGUUCUGUCAAGUUUAAAAUCGACAUGGAUUCCAAGAUUAAAAGUAUCACUAGCAGGUUGGAUGAACUAUGUGCUAAAAGAAUUGUACUUGGAUUGCAAUUGAUUCCUGGAGGGAUAUCAAAUGCCUGGAAGCGAAGACCGCCGAGUUCAAGUGUGCCAACGGAACGGGCUGUCUACGGCAGAGAUGAGGAUAAGGCCAGAAUACUUGAAAUGGUGUUAAGUGAUGAUCCAACCGCUGACGCCAACUUUCGUGUAAUACCAAUUGUCGGCAUGGCAGGGGCUGGAAAAACAACGCUUGCUCGGGAGGUCUACAAUGACAGGGCUGUGCAAAAUUUCAAGUUUGAUGUGAAAGCAUGGGUUUGUGUUUCUGAUGAUUUUGAUGUUGUCAGCAUUUCGAGGGCUCUUCUCGAGUCAAUCACCUCCACAACUUGUGAUCUCAAGACGUUGAAUGAGGUGCAGGUUAAAUUAAAAAUUGCUGUGGAUGGAAAAAGGUUCUUGCUAGUAUUGGAUGACGUUUGGAAUGAGAACUACAACUUGUGGGAAAUCCUGAAAGCUCCCUUCAUGGCUGGUGCACCAAAUAGCAAAAUAAUUGUCACGACACGUCAUUCAAAUGUUGCAUCGACGAUGGGAUCCGUUGAACAUUAUAAUCUUAAGCUUCUGUCAGAUGAAGAUUGCUGGUCUGUUUUUGUGAAGCAUGCGUUUGAGAGUAGAGAUGCCGGUGCUCAUCAAUUUUCAGAAUUAUUUCGUAAGAAAAUUGUGGCAAAGUGCGGAGGCUUACCGUUGGCAGCAAGCACUCUUGGCGGCCUUUUACGCACUAGGCAUACUGAUGAUGCGUGGGAGGAUAUAUUGAGCAGCAAAAUGUGGGAUUUGCCUCAACAAACUGACAUUCUCCCCGUGUUAAGGUUGAGUUACCAUUAUCUUCCUUCUCAUUUGAAGAGAUGUUUCAGUUAUUGUGCAAUUUUCCCCAAAGAUUAUGAGUUCGAGAAGAAUGAACUUGUUUUUCUGUGGAUGGCUGAGGGUAUGAUUCAACAAUCAAGGACAGACAAACAAUUGGAAGAUUUGGGCAACGAUUUUUUUUGGGAUCUAUUGUCUAGGUCACUUUUCCAACAAUCAAGCAGAGAUGGUUGUAAAUUUGUGAUGCACGAUCUAGUCCAUGAUUUAGCUCAAUUGGUUUCUGGAGAAACAAGUUUCUGGUUGGAGGAGGCAAGUAAGCAGUUAAGAACAUUCAAAAGGAUUCGUCAUUUUUCUUAUCCUUGUGCUUAUGAAGAAGUAAAAGCCAAAUUUGAGGGUUUGGAUAAAGCCGCAGGUCUGCGGACAUUUUUGCCUCUAAAAGUAAGAUCAUCUUAUUUUUUAUAACCAACACGGUUCUUCUUGACUUGCUGCCAAAGCUCAAAAAGUUGAGGGUGCUAUCGUUAGAAGGAUACUACAUUGCUCAUUUACCUAAUUCUAUCAAAGAUUUGAAACUUCUAAGGUAUCUCAAUCUUUCUUGUACACUGAUCGAAAGUUUACCUGAGUCAAUAAAUUCACUGUUCAACUUGCAGUUUUUGGUGUUAAGAGGCUGUGAUCGUCUACAGAAGUUGCCUUCCAACUUGAGAAAUUUGAUUAAUUUGCAUCUUCUAGAUAUAAGGGGUGCACAUUUAUUAACAGCGAUGCCAUCGGGAAUGAAGAGAUUGAAAUAUCUGCAUACGUUGUCCGAUUUUAUUGUGGGUAAGGGUAUCGUAUCUGGCUUGAAAGAUUUGAAAAGUUUAACUCUCCUCUGUGGAAAACUUUGUAUUUGGAAAUUAGAAAAUGCGAAUAAUUCAUGGGAAGCAAGAGAAGCUUCAUUGUGCGAUAAGAAGUGUCUGGAGGCAUUGUCAUUAAAAUGGGGCUCUCCUUAUCAGUCACGAAAUGUUAAUGAUCAGGGAGCAGAAGAAAAUGUACUUGACAUGUUGCAGCCACAUAAAAAUAUAAAGAAGCUAGAAAUCAUGCAGUAUGGUGGCAGAAGAUUUCCUACAUGGUUAGGGGACCCAUCAUUCUCUAACAUGGUUGCUUUAAAAUUGAUAGGAUGUAAAAAUUGCACAUCCUUACCUGCUGUGGGGCAGUUGGUUUCCCUGAAAGAGCUUACAAUUGAAAGAAUGCUUGUACUCAGAAGUAUAGGGUCUGAAUUUUGUGGAAAGAAUUGCUCAAAGCCUUUCCAAUCCUUAGAGACUCUUUGCUUUAGUGGUUUGCCAGAAUGGGAGUUCUGGGAUACUGGCAACCAGACUGGGUAUAUUGAAAUAUUUCCUUGCCUCGUUGAACUGUCCAUUUUGGGAUGCCCCAAACUAUCUGGAAAAUUACCGGACCAUCUUCCUGCAUUGGAGACCCUUGUUGUCAGAUACUGUGAAGAGUUGUUAGUUUCAUUCUCAAGCUUUCCUUUGCUCUGCAAAUUGGAAAUUUAUAGAUGCAAAGGACUGGUUUGCAGCUCUCCUAUUGACUUUAAGUUGACCAAGUCUAUUACUAUUUCAAGCUGUUCAUUAGACAUAUAUGGAUGCAAAGGGAUGGUGUACAAUAGUCCACUUCACUCUAAAUCACUGUCGACUCCUGUGACUACUUCAAAUAUUUUAGAGUUUGGAAAAUUGUUAAAGCAGGGAUUUCUGCCAACAGAUUUCCUGGGGAUUGCCGAUUCUCAAGAUAUUGGGAUAUGGAGGCCACACCUUCAGAGUAUGCAUUUUGGGGAGGAGGCAGUACAAGGGCUACGGAUUAUCACCCUCCCUGAAGAGGUAUCACUUGAAGAAAAUUGCAUGAAUCUGGUUUCAUUUCCAGAGGUAAAAUUUUUCCCCAUCAAUCAGCUUAAACUUAAAUUUGAAAAUAGUGGAGCUUUAAAAUCCUUGCCUGAGGGAAUGAUUUACAACUGUGCACAACGGAAAAGUUUGACCAUUGAAGGUUGUGAUUCUCUAGAAUUCAUUGCAAGAGGCAAGCUGCCUUCAUCUUUAGAAGGUAUUCAAAUACGUGAUUGUAAGAAAUUGCAGUGUUUGGUAGUUGAUGAAGAGGAUGCUUCUGCUGCUUCUUCUUCAUUAUCUUCUUCAUCAAUGGCUCUCAAGUGGCUUGAUAUUAGCGGCUGCUCAGAGCUCACCAAUUUAUCAUCAAGAAGUAAACAAUUGCCAGAAGAGCUUGAAUUUCUCAACAUUGAGGACUGUCCAAAAUUAGAGUCAAUAGCCGAGAGCUUUCAUGGUAACGGACGUCUUAAACGGAUAGUCAUCUCCGAUUGUGGAAAUCUAAAAUCCAUACCGAAGGGCCAACAGAAUCUUAACUGUCUUAAGGAAGUCAAAAUCUUCAACUGUCCAAGUCUUGUUUCUUUUCCAGAAGGAGGGCUUCCCAACACUGUUACAGGUGUUUCUAUUGGCAGUUGUGAGAAACUUAAAGCCCUACCCGAAGACUUGCACAAGCUCCAUUACCUUCAAGAGUUAGAAAUCACGGAAUGUCCAAGUAUUGAAUCAUUUCCGGAAGCAGGCUUUCCUACCAACCUAACAUUACUUGCAAUUGCUGAUAUCAAAAUGUACAAGGCAAUUAUCCGAUGGGGCUUGCACAGGCUUACAUCUCUUUUACGCCUUUACAUACAAGGAGGUGAUAAUGCUGAGUCUUUUCCAGAUGAGAGGAUGGGAAUAAUAUUGCCAACCUCUUUAAAUAGGUUGAGUAUUUCUGGAUUCCCAAGUCUGAAAUGCCUAUCUGCAAUGGGUUUUCAAAGCCUGGUCUCUCUUGAAUUUCUGAGAAUAUCCAAUUGCCCGAAGCUCAAAUCCUUUCCAGAGGUAGGCCUGCCACACUCACUUUUGCAGCUGCACAUUCGAGAUUGUUCUUUGCUGAAAAAGCAGUGCAAAAGGGACAAAGGAAAAGAUUGGUCCAAGAUUGCUCACAUCCCUUAUGUUACGAUAGAUGGCAAAUUCAUCUUCGAUUAAAAAGAGAAAGAAUGAGCUCUGUUUAAUCUCAGAAUGAAGAAUUAAGAAUUGCCUCCUUUGUUCCCUUAUCUUCUAUAAUCAGGUAUGCCAAUUCCUAUUAUCCGGAUUACUAAAAACACAUUGUUAAAUUAUAAACAUAUUUUGAUUUUCAGUUUCAAGAUCAAUCCUCUGCCUUCAACUGAAAAUGGCACUAAAAUAUUUUCAUUUUUACUUUCUUAAGACACUAUGAUACGACAAUUUGACUUGAUGAUGCUGAAGGUUUUUUAUUGGUAAUGCACAAUUGGUUGGUACGUUUUCUGCUGGUUAUUUACAGGGUGGUUCAGUUGACUUUAGUACUUUGUAUCUGAAAAUUUCAAGUGAUUGUAAUACUUGUUUCCAUUUUCACUCAUCAGAAUUUGCUAUGUAUUUUAUGCAAUCGUACUUGUCAAAUGAAGUUUUCAUUUUAUGAUGAUCUUGAUGCUAACUACAUUUCCAACUCUUUUAAAUUUUUUGAGCUCUUGCUGGCGAAAGUCAAUGAGAAGAAGUUUGUGACUUUUCCAACGAUCAAUUCAAUUUGCUUCUAAGGAUAUAACAUUGGUCUUAACUUAUUUCAUGUUGCAGAUAUGAUUCUUUCUUUCUUCUGUUGUUAUUUCAGAGGCCAAGGUUGCUCACUUUGCUUGAGUUGACAUAGAAGGAAGCAUCAGGGAAGCUCUGAGACAAUCCACAUCAAAAUGUUCACCUGCACUUUCACAGUUUGGAAUGUACUACACUGCCUUCAAAAUGGACUUUUCGAAUCAAAAGGCAGAAAGGUAAUUAUACAGGGUUCAAAAGUCGGUUAAAAGUUAGUUUAAAAGCUUCUUAUUUUGUACCUGGAUCAUGGCAACAUUUGUUUCAUGCUUAUGGGCUUGAGAAAUUGACUUGCACAUGGAUCAUGGCAACAUUUGUUUAAUUUGGAUAUUAUUUGUUUUUAUACUGGCUUUUAGUUUAUUUUAGGUUCUCUGAGCAAAAUUUUAUCAUAAAUGCGAUUACUUGGAAAAUUCUAACACCAGUGUGUGUUUAAAAUGAAAUUGGGUCAUCUUAUCGCAAUUCUACGACCAAUCCAAAAAAAUCCCCAACAAGAAAAUCAAGGAAAUCAGAUCAAUUAGUGCAAGACUUGGCUUUGAGAAUAGAAGAAAACGAAACAUAAUCUUAUAUAUGGUGUCCAAAUAAAAGAAAAUUUGAGGACCAGUUCGGGAAAUCCCAAAUCAAAUUUUAGGAAGCUGGAUAACUGAUGCAGCGGAAGUUUAAAAUUCAAAUAUUCCGUUGAUUCUAGAGAAUACCGGAACAAAAGAACAACGAAAUUCAGGUUGAUUCAAAAAAUACCGCGAAUUUAAGGGUUAAGACUCGUUGAUUCCACAGAAUACUGAGAAUUAACUGUUUAAAUACUCACAAAGAGAUUUGAAAAUUGAAAUAUUAUUAAACUCAAAAUUCUACUUUCAAAGGCUACAAGAGGGAGCUAUUUAUAGUAGUAGUAAUUAUCUUAGUUCAUGAAGUAAAACAAAAUCCUAAAUUGAAAGGGAAACAAAAUUCUAAAUUAGAAAGGAAUUAAAAAGUCUUUAAACUUUAGUUAAUAAGGAAACUAAUCCUAGUAUAAUAUGGAUUCCUACUCUUCAUCAAUAACUUGCAGCCAGAAACCAAGUGAAUAAUAGAAUAAUUUGAGAGUUUUGUGGUAUGUAUUGUUAUGUCUAUAAUAGUAAUUUAAAUUUUGAACAAUUUUGUAAUAAAAGAAUUUUUUUUUUUUUACAGGUGGAUCUAAUGUGUGUUUUGGCAGAUUAAAAUAACCGCACCAUUUUUUACAAUCACAUAAUGAGAAAAAUUACCAAAAUCCCCUUUAUAUUCUUAGAGAUUAAUCGUUUUAGAAAUUCACUAAAUUUUUUUACAUUAAUUUUUUUAUUAAUUAUAUUUUAUUGAAGUAUCAAAUUAUUGCCACAACAUGCGAAAUCUUUUAAUGAGUUUUAAAACAUAAAGUAAAAAUGUUAAAUUUUAGCUAAUAUUAAUAAGAGUAGCAAUCUAUAAUUCAUGGGGUACAAAAUAGCUGGAUCUACCAUAUAUAUAAAAUCGAAGAAUAGGAAACAAGAAUAUUUAAUGUACACAAUUUUUUUUUUUAAACUGGCAACUUCAUUAAAAGGCAAAAACUACAGAGAAGUAAGUAACCAAGGAGGUGGAACAUGACUCCACUCCCCAAAGCCUGACAAAGAACCCCCCACUCGGGCAGCAACAUGGGCAGUGGUGUUCGCAAACCUUCGAACAAAAGAGAAUUCAAUAUCUCUUAUAGACUUAACUAAAGCUCUACAAUCAUCAAAAAUAAGACCAUAACCAUUAGGACAAUAAUAGUUCUCUGUAAGAGCUUUAAACACCUGAAAACAAUCCAUUUCAACUACAACACAAGACAAUUGCCGCUGCUUAAUCCAGCUGAGGAUCUCACGCACACCAAGCGCUUCAGCAUCCCUUGCCCCAUAACUACCCAGAACACACGUACAGCAAGCUGUCACAAAAAUCCCAUCAGAGUUGCGAAUGACCCCUCCAUAACUCACUUUCCCCUGAGCUGAAAAUAUUGCAGCAUCAACAUUACACUUAAGCCAUCCUAGAUGAGGUGGCAUCCAGCAAAUUGCCUCAUGACAGCCUUGGAUAGAAGUAGCAUUAAUGACACCAGAAUGCUGCCUCACAGUUUGCCAUUGAAACAAAUAAUUCUCAGUAGAGUUAAGGACAUGACGCACACUACAGACUUUGUUAUUCCAAACUUUCUCAUUCCUGUGAUACCAAAUCCUCUAGUAUAUCAUGGCAACAAGGUUACACAUCUCUUUAUUACAGCAAGUAAAAACUUGCUCCAACCAAUCAAAAAAUAAAGGUUGAGAACCAAUUAAACCAAGGGAAGAAGUUAGCCAACAUGUUUGAGCAAAAACACAGUUCACCAAAGCAUGCACAACAGUUUCAUUUUGCUGAUUGCAAAGAGAACAGAUAGACAUUACCUCGACUCUCUUCCGAAUAAGAUUAUCGGUUAUGGGAAGCACAUUCAUUGCGGCUCGCCAAAGAAAGAUCUUCACCUUACUAGGCACCUCCAAGUUCCAAACUUUCCUCCAAACACCAGAUGAAGGGGCGAUAACACAAUUAUUAAGCAUUCUAUAACAACUGCGAACAGUAUACAACCCAUGGGGGUCUGCCAUCUAGUACCAUACAUUCUUGUCUCUUCGAGAAAUAAGCGGGAUUUGCAAGAUGAGAUUCCGGUCUCGAGUAUCAAAAAGAUCUGACACUGCAUCGUAGUCCCAUCUACGCUGUCCAGGGACCAUCAAACUGCUGACCGGUGCUGUUGCUAAUAUUUCAUUUAAGCUAGUGGAAAUAAAACCAUUAGCUGCAUCUGGAAGCCAAGGAUCCGACCCAAUAAGAGUGUUCUGACCACUGCCAACCUGGAUCCUACUACCACGAACAAUAAUAUGCUUGGCUGCCAUUAAAGAUCUCCACACAAAACUUGGAUUAUGACCUAAGUCAGCCUCUACAAUAGAUGUGCGAGGGAAAUACCGAGCUUUGAAAAUUUGGCCAAUAAGAGAUUUCAGAUUCGUUAACAGCUUCCAAACUUGUUUCCCCAACAUUGCCACGUUGAAAUCGUGUAGGUUUUUUAAGCCAAUUCCUCCAUUGGUCUUCGGCUUACACAGCAAAUCCCAUUUCAUUCAGCGAAUACCACCUCUCCCAUCACGUCUACUUCCCCACCAAAAUGAGUUCAUCAUAGUUUCUAGUUCUUUGCAAAGAUCAAGAGGCAAAAGAUAAACCUGCAUAGCAUAAUUAGGGAUAGCUUGAGCCACUAUUUUUAACAGAAUUUCCUUGCCAGCUCCCGACAACAAAUUCAUACUCCAGCUGUGAAGCUUCUGCCACACCCUACCUCGGAUGGAACUGAAAACUUCUUUCUUGUUCCUGCCAAUAAAAGAGGGUAAGCCAAGAUAAGUACCAUGGUUAGCAGUAGCAUUAACCUCCAAUAUAUGGCAAAACUGCUCCUUUACAUCUUCAUUAACAUUCAAACUAAAGGAAAUUGAGGAUUUGCUGAAGUUCACCAUCUGUCCUGACGCCUGACCAUACACCCCGAGAAUGCACUUAAUCAAAUGAGUUUCCCUUGGUUAGCCUUGAAAAACAGAAAACAGUCGUCCACGAAGAAUAAAUGAGAUACAACAGGGGCUCCUCUAGCUACCUGAACCCCGUGGAGCAAACCAGCAUGUUCAUUCUUACGGAUUAAAGCACUUAAACCCUCCGCACAAAGAAUGAAUAAGUACGACGACAAAGGGUCCCCUUGACGAAGCCCUCUACUAGGAACAAUAGGUCCAAUCUCCUUCCCAUCCCGAAUAACAUGAUACCGAAAUGUAGAAACACAUAGCAUAAUCAAUGUCACCCAUUUAGCAUCAAACCCCAGCCUAAGCAGCAUAGCUUCCAAGAAUGCCCAUUCAAUUCGGUUAUAUGCCUUCGACAUGUCGAUUUUAAGAACAGCUGCCCCAACAUUUCCUUACCGUUUCCUCUUUAAAAAAUGCAUAAUUUCAGAGGAUAUAAGGAUAUUAUCGGUUAUGGCUCGACCCGACACAAAAGCACUCUGAGAUUCAGACACUACAGAGCCCAGAACAGUUUUCAUUCGAUUUGAGAGCAUUUUAGCGACAAUCUUAUACAAAAUAUUGCAUAAAGCAAUAGGCCUUAUAUCCGAUAGUGACUUUGGUUUUGAUUUCUUGGGGAUCAACAUAAUAGAUGUGUCAUUUAAGCCCUCAGGAAAUGAGCAAGUAGUAAUAAAAUUUAAACAUGCCUCAGUCACAUCCUCACCAAUAUUAAGCCAAAAUCUCUGAUAAAAGGCAAGGUUCAUACCGUCGGGACCUGGUGAUUUGUCCGGGAGCAUUUCGAAGAGAGCCCCUUUAACUUCACUAGCUGAAAAAGGUUCGAGUAGCAAAUUGUUCUGCUUAGCAGAAACUUUUAUCUCCACACAAUCUAAGAUUUCAUCAUUUUGACAACCAUCAGAAGUAAUAACUUGGAGAAGUAGUCAGAAAUCAAACCAUUUAUUUCAGCCGAGGUGAUACACCAGUGUCCUUGAGCAUUGCGGAGAGUCGUAAUAGAAUUCCUUCGCUUUCUUGCAGUAGCCGUAGCAUGGAAGAAUCGAGAAUUCACAUCCCCCUCCUUGAGCCAAAGCAAUCUUGACCUCUGUUUCCAGAAAACCUCCUAACUGUGAAGAAGCUCAUUAAACUGCUUCCUAACCUCUGUAAACUCCUCAAGACCAGCUGAAUCACGACGCCCCCUCAAGAGGGUCAUCCAUCUUCUACACUUGGAAAUACGAUUUUGGAAAUCCUGAGCUAAGUGACCUCCCCACUGAAGUAAAGUAGUCCCACAAUUUAAGAUUUUUUGUUGAAUUGGAAACCCACUCGAGGAAGACCAGCUAGACCGAACCACCUCUGUACAAUCAGCCUCUCUCAGCCACAUAUUUUCAAAAUGGAAUCUUUUAUGCCUUCGGGAAUGAACUAAAGGGUUUGGGUCUAUAAAAAUAGGCAAAUGAUCUGAGGUAGAAAACUCCAGGCUCCAAACCCGAGCUUCCUUGAAUUGGCUUAUCCACGAAUCAGUGGCCAUAACUCUAUCCAACCUUUCCUCCACCCAAUUUUCCGUCCCCCGAGACCGCUUCCAUGUAAAUUGAUAACCCUUCAUACCGAUGUCAAUUAAUCCGCUAUCAGAAACAGCUUAUUUAAAUCCCUGCAGCUUCCAAUUGGGAUGCUCAUGCUUUCUCGCUUCUCAUGAGCAGCUAAAAGGUCAUUAAAGUCCCCAAUGCACACCCAAGGAAGAGAGGACACAAUAGAUAAUGUGCGAAGGAGGUUCCAAGAUUCACGCUGACGACUGGAUUCCGGGAAACCAUAGAAGCCCGUCAUCCUCCACUUUCCAAGCUCUUGAUACUCAACCUCCACAUCAAUACAAUUUCUAGAGAAUUUUAUUAAUCUCACUUUGCUGCUUGCUUUCCAAAAGAGGGCAAUCCCUCCACUUCGGCCCAUUGGCUCAACGGCAAACAACCCCUCAUAGCCCAACUUCUUUUUUAAGCUUUCUAAUUUAUUUCUAUUACAAAGAGUUUCAAUAAGGAAAAUAAAAACUGGGUUCUUACAUUUGGCCCAUUCCUCCAGCAUUUGAACUGUCCGUGGUUGGCCCAACCCAGGGCAGUUCCAACUUAGGACACUCAUUUGUCUCGGAGGGCCUGAUUUACAGGGCCCACCGCUGGUCCAUUUUUUGAUUCAAGUGGUAAAAUCAUCGCUUGGGAAGAUACCUCUCCUUCAAAGCCCAUUUUGCAUUACAAUCCAGCUUGUGACCGUCUCCUGUUGGAAUCAGUAACAAUUAUUCCUUCAUCCAUAUCAUCCCUAGAAUCCGGAUUGAUAUCAAUUUCAUUUACUGUCCCCGCAACUUGCUUUCCUUUCACACGUGAUAGAGUCUUAGUAGACACCAGACUGUCACCUUCCUUAUUAACUACCAUGCUCCCCACAUCCACGUUCUCCUCAAUAUUCUUAGUGAUAGCAUGCCCCAGAUUUGCGGCAAGAAUUGGGCCAAUUGCCAUGGUAACUGCGAAGUCCCCGUACCUUCUUUUUUCCUCAUCAGCUUCCACCGGCGGUACAGAUCUCAGCCACCGUUCGCCAGAAUUCAUCGCAUUUCUUCUAUUUGGUGCCUUCAUCUAGUGACCAUAAGCUUUCACAAUCUCCCCAGGAGGGCAUUCAUACAAUUGGGGACACUGCUUUUCGGUAUGGCCAAGAAAUCCACAAAUAAAACAAAAUAUGUUAAGUCGUUCAUAUUUAAAAUCCACCCAAAUCCAAUCUCCGCCUGCCUUCUUUAACUUCAUCCUUCUCUUCAGAGGUUUUCUAACAUCUAUAGACACUCGGAUGCGCAUAUAGUUUUGCCAAACCCCCAUUAGGUUAUGCUCAUUAGACUCCAAAAAAGUGUCUAUGUAAUUGCCAAUGUCUUUUAAAAUUUUCGUAGACAUAAAUCCUAUUGGCAGGUUGUAAAUCUGGAUCCAAAACGAAGUAAAAUAAAGUGGGACAUUACUAGGUUGUUCGUUCUCCUCCAGCCGCUUAACAAGCAGAAUAUGUUGAUCAAACGUCCACGGUCCUGAGUCAAGAACCCUUUUCACAUCCACUUCAUGAAAGAAUUGGAAUAGAAAGAGCGUGGGAGAUAAAUCUUUAAUACAGACUCCCUUCCCUGGCCUCCAUAAUGAAGCCAUUGUAUUCUUCAUGGCAGGGAAAUUAAUAACUUUAUCCGUAAGAAAUCUGCCCACCAGACAAAAUCGAAAAUCAAUACUCACUGGACCACCCUCAUUACCAGCAUCUCCUUCUACAAUGAGCCCCCCUUCCUCCUCCUCAUCCAAACUGAUAUGAGCAUAACCAUUAUUAAUCCUGAUCUCCAGAUUUCCUUCAGACAUCGCCAUUGACAAAUAGAGAAAAAGACAAGAAACUAACUAGAAGAGUUUAAAUUCUGCAAAAAAUAUGAAAGGAACUUGUCAUACAAACAAGACGAGACAAAACUUGUACCAAGACAAGACGAGACAGGUAUUUAUAGGUUGAAAUACAUCAAUAAAAAUACUGCUUUGGUCUCUUGAGAUUUUUUUCUCAUUUAAUUUUUGUGAUUUUUUAAUGUACACAAUUUUUAUUUCCACUUACUUGCAUUUUUUACAUUCCUACUUUUUCUUCGUUUUAGUUGGGGUGUUAGAGAAAACCAUAAUGGAUAUAUACUUAUUACAGUCAUUGUAGCGGUCCACAACAUUCUUGCACCACAUUAAAAAAGUGAGAGAGUAACUAAGAAAAAACUAGAAAAUUCACUUUUUUUUUAUUAAGUUGAAUUUCUUGCACAGUCUCAUUUCAUUAUUCAAAAUUUUUAACUUACUCCAAUAUUUUAAUAUUAUUCUAUAUUUAAAUAUAUAUUUCUAGUUAGGGAUGGCAAUGGGGAGGGGAGGGGAGGGGACCAAUCUCCCCAUACCCAUCCCCGAUAUUUUGCGUAUACCCCCAUCCCCUCCCCGUCCCCGUCAGAAUUGCUUGAGAGAAUCCUCAUCCCCUCCCCGAAUAAUAACAGGGGAUCCCCAAGGGUCCCCGGUCCCCGAAUAAUUAAUAGUCUAAUACAUUUUUUUAUUUUCGAUUUUAAAUUAAUCAUAUUAAAAUAAAAAAUUCAGAUAAAAAUAAAGUUCAAAAUAUAUCUUACAUUAAUAUUGAUCCAUUACAAAGUCACAUUCAAAAUAUAAAUUAUUAAAAUAAUUAUCUUUGUCAAUGACUCAAUUUUCAUAAUCUUACAAUAAAAAGAAAAAAAAAUUAUUUUUAUAUCGACAAUAAAAUAAAUGAAAUAAAUGUAGAUACUUAAUUAAUAUUUUUAAUAAAACUAUUUACCUCAUGCUCCUCCUGUUCUUCCUCGAGAAAUGUGGCAAAUUGAGAGAUAGUCUCAGAUUUCAAACCUAAAACAAUGAAAAUGAUAUAAGUAACGUAACUUAUAAGUGCAAAUAUUAAUAAUUGUAUAAUAUAAUUACAAUGUAAAAUAAACUCAUACUGCUAUUGUAAGCUCAUAACCAACUUUGACAGCACAUUAAGGCCUCCAAUGUGCUUGGAUGAAGUUUGUUACGGUGUGGGCUCACAACUCUACCACCGGUGCUAAAAGCUGAUUUAAAAGCAACUAUUAUAAUUAGAAUUGCUAAAAUAUCUCUAGCAAUUCGAGCUAAUGUAGGAUGCCUAUUAGCGUUUGUCUUCCACCAACUCAAAAUAUUAAAAUCUUCCAUCCGGGGUAUAACUUUCUCAUCCAAAUAUGAAUCUAAUUCUUCUGCAACAACUGCACAAUCUCCAUUGUUUACAUAAUCAUCAAAACCUGUCAUCCAUUUGGUUGCUUUCUUAUAAGAAUCCCCUGUAGAUCUAGUAGAAGAACUACUACCAAUAUAAUCAAAGCAAUAAACAGUUGGUGAAAACUUCAAUUGAUACUCUUCCACUAAUUCCCGACAAAGGGUGACCACUUUCCCAAUAUACAACUCUUUAACAUCAUCAUAAACCAUAGAAAAGUAAUAUUCAAUGAACUUCUUUUUAUACCUUGGAUCAAAUAUACAUGCCACACUCAAAAUUCCACUCAUAUCUUGCCAAUAUUUAUAAUUUUGUUAUUUAUUUAUUAGUAAUUUUAAAAAUAAAAAUAAAAUUAAAAAUUAAAAUGGGGAAAUGGGUAGGGGAUGGGGAUUCAACCUCAUCCCCGUCCCCUCCCCGAAUAAAAAAUUGGGUAAAAAAUUUUUCCCGUCCCCUCCCCGAAUAAAAAAUUGGGUAUAAAAUUAUCCCCAUACCCUCCCCGAAUGGGGAAAAUCCCCGAGGGUACCCGUCCCCGUGGGGAUUUUUGCCAUCCCUAUUUCUAGUGAAUACAAAAGGUUUUGAAAGAUGAUACAAUGAAUAUGCCUUUUGAAGAAAAAAAAUGGUAAAAAAGAAAUUAUACAAAAAUUUAGAAAACAAAAUUUUUUUUAGGUGUUUCAUGCAUCUAAAUGUGUUAUAAAUGUGAAAAAAUAAAUUGAAAGGAUCUUUCACAAAUCUUUUGAUUUGAGAAGAUGAAAAUCUAUAAAUGACACUUGAAUAAAUCGGGUUUAAGAAAACAAAAAAAAAUAUUGUUUUUCCUAGUAUAUAUGUAUAUAGCUUAAAUUAUAAUUUUUUUUUCUUUUCACCCAAUAGCUUUAAAAUCUAAAAAUCAUUUUUUUAUUAAAAAGAAAAGAGGUUGAAUAGAGAGUGGAAUUGGAAACUUGGUGGAAUUGGAAACUUCUUUAAGUUUGAAGUUUUUGGGAGUGACAGAGAACGAACAGCUGAAUAGCAUUGAGUGCAAACAAUUGGAGUGGCUUUGGCUUUUUGUAGGAUUUCAUUGUUCAUGUUACUUAUUCGACACCUGGCUUCUCAUGGGUGGAAUUUGUUGAUUUUUACAACUCACUUCACUAUUCACAUGCAACUUUAGCAACUUGGUACACAUGGCUUUGACAUGGGUUGAGUUUGUUGUAAUGGCUUGUCGUUGGUGGAGUCCUUUCUGUAAUUUGUUAUUGACGGUAAAGGCAAACGAUUUGGACUAAUUUCCACAUGGGAACUUUAAGAGUGAAAUUUUGUUGCAGAUUGACCUGGUCAAGGUUACUAGGAGUGGUCUUAAGUUCAGAUUGACAUAAUGGUAAUAGACGAGGAAGAGGAAGAGACGAGGUUCAACUCGCAGAUGUAGCUUGAUGACGGAGCAGCUGGCGGAUUUUUAUUUCUUAUUACUCCCUCAAGUUUAAUUAAUUUCACAUAUUCGUUUUUACGUUUGAUCUUGGCACAUGUUUAAUUUUAACUAAAUAGAGAACCAGAAAAGAGCAGAUAAUUAGGGCUGAGAGAUCUACAUGUACAAUUAAAGACUCCUUAAAAUAAAUGAUUUCAAUACAAAAAGAUAAGGUUUAGGAGAUUAUAUUUACAAUUGACAGUUUACUAAAGGACCGACUAAAAAAUAAACAAUAAAAAGAAUUAACUUUCUAUAAAUUUUAGUAAGUUUACUUUUUCGAUUCUUUUUUUCUUUAAUUUUUUAUGAAUAAAUAUUUUUUUUAUCAUUUAAGAGAACGGACUAUCUUUAUUUUAAAGAAUAAGAAUGUCUGCCCAAAAAAUGAAACUCAAACCCAAAGGUAAACCACAUCUGCCAACUGCCAUUGAGAAAAAGGCUGUAGCAGAACAAUAUCAGCAAAAUCAUUAAAUUAAUUAUUAAUUGGUUUACAAUAAGAGGGUGAUGUUUCAUCUUACAGAAGCAAGGGGCAAAGCCAAUCCACCACUAGACUGGCAAAUCAAACGAAUACACAACUCUGCAACCACAGAAAAAAUCUUUAAAAUAGAGCAGACAUAAGAAAAGAUUUACAUUCAUUCAACUUUCAACCUACUGAUAUGUUAUAUGUAGCCCUCCAAUCUCCUUUUCUUUCGGCUUUGCAAAUUGUUUUUAGCCAAAAAUAUACUUGGAUCUGUCGGAUCUGAUGACACGAACACUUUUUAAGUGUUCAUCUGUCUGCUUUUUAAUCUAACUUCUUUUUAACUAAUGAUUAUGUUAUACGUAUGGUGUUAAUCUCAUCAUCGUUUAACUUUUUAAUCGAAUAAUGAUUAAUGCUUCAACGUACUACAAUUCAGAAAGAAUGACAAUUCCAUCCCUCCUUUCUUUUUUGCCCUUUUUUUCUUUUGGCAUCACUUAGGUUUCUUGUAGAUUUUUAGUACCUCAUCUUAUCAAUGACUAAAAAUGUCAAGUGAAGAAUUAUGCGGUUGAAGAUAAAAUAAUAAAAACAUAAUAAAACUGGGCCAGUUAACGAGGUCCUUUUAUGCCGACGCGACGUGAUUGUGCAUGUAUGAAAUAUUGUACUGAACAUUGAUGAGCCAUUGUCCAAAUCAAUAACUGGACCAGUUAUUGAGGCUGGCAUAGUCUCUAUUAACAAGGACUAGCCCAAAGUAUCACUCAAUCUAGGCUUCAGCAGUUGCCAUCCCAAAUCCGAUCAAGUGCUCUAUCCUAAAACCAAGAGUGGACCUUCUAACAUCCUUCAAAACUCUUAUAAAACCUCUUUUUUUUUUUUCUUUUUUUACAAUUAUUAUUAUUCUUAUUUUAAUACCAAAAUACCCUUUUCUCAUUAAAUUCCAUUUAUAAUUAUUUUAGUUUAUUCUAAUUUAAUUAUUUUAAGGCGUUAUUUGGUAAUGAAGUGUUGUACAGUUGUGAAAAAAAAUUAUAACUAUAAAAUAAAAAUUAAUAAUAUACAGUAAAUAUAAUUUUUAAAUAAUAAUUUUAACAAAAUCAAUAAAGAUAUACUACAUUUUUCAUCAUACAAAUUUAAAAUCUAUUUAACUUAUCUUCAAAACUAUGGUUGUUAAUAUUUACUAAAUAUUUUAAUAUUGUAAAAAUUACAGUUGUCCAAUCUUAAUCUCAAACAAAGACCUAAAUUAGAUAGAGGCGAUGAGUUGCAAAACUAUGUAAAGUUAAGUGGAGCUUCUCGAUGGUUCCUCCAAUCGCGGUCAUGAUAGCAAACGUUGAACUUGGAAAAACAUAAGCUGCCAAACUCAAUAAGCAUUUGCUAAAGAUAGUACAUCAGGUGGUUUUAAAACAAGUAUUUUUCUUUUUCUUUUUUCUUUUUUCUUUUUGUCAAUCUUCUUACCCAUGAAACAAAUCAAUGUCUUACUUUUGGUCUUUUGGAUAGAUGAGUCACCAAAAAAAAAAAAAAAACAAAGCACUCGUUGAUUUUUCAGAUUUUAGAGAGAUAGAAACGAUCGAAGAGUUUGUAGAGAAAAUAAAAAUAUCCUGGGUGUGUUGAGUUUGAAGAGGGAGAAGCAGGUGGGCGAGUUUGUUCUUCAAUAGCGGGGUGUUAAUAGCUGUAAUGUAAAGCAAAUAGAUUGUCCCUUAAGCCCAUUCAAACUGGGCCUAUAUCUAAGGAAUAAGUAGACUUUAAUUCUCAAGCUGAUUUGGGGGAAACUGGGCCAGGCUGGCUUCGUUUUGUUUUUUGUUUUCUCUCGCGAAUAAAAUUUACCAAUUUAAAGUAAGGUUAUGACUAUUUUAAAAUUGCUCUAAAGUAGAGUAAGAAUCACAAUCACAUAUAUAAAGUGAUAAAUAAUAAAAAACUCAUUAUAAUUUUGAUCGUGUAGUUAUAAAAGGUUGAUCUACCUUAAACGGUUCCACAUAAUCGGACCCAAUUAGUUAUAAGCGUAAAAUUUCACUAAUGCGGUGUGCGUUUUCACGUGUCAAAAUUAUGAUUAUUGAUUUAUUGCUAAAUAUGUAGUGCAUUAUGAGCGCAAAAUAUCUAAAUCGUACCAUUUUUAUAAAUCUAAUCUAAUCUUCUGAGGAAUUAACAAAUUUCUAAUUGAGAAUAUAAUAGAUUAUAUUGUAAUUCAAAAUAAGAAUGUACAAAUGUGAAACAAUAAGUUAAACAGACGAGUGCAGUCUUCACAUAAAUUUUUCUCCGCGCACACAUUGCCAACCUGGAAAAUCUACUCAACUAAUACUUCCUUCUCUUUACUGUUGCAUUGAUUUUAGAAAGUUAAUUUUAGGGGUCUUGCUUCAAUGCCCCAGCUUCACCAUGGUAACAAGUUUUUCAUUGUCCUUAACAAAUUAUUCAUGCAUAAUCACUGAUUCACUAUAUUAUCUUUAUACGUAACAUGUUUUUGUAAUAGAUAUAGUAAAUUUUAUAUACAACGAAAAAGCUAUUAUCAAUUUAAAAAAAAAAAAUUGCAGACGUUUGUAGUACGCAACAUGCUGCACCAUAAUCGGACCCUAAAUUAUUAAAAUAAUAGAUAAAUUAAUAAAUAAAUAAAAUUUACAUUUUAAAUAAAAUAUUUUAUUUUGUAGUAUAUUAAAAUACGUGUUUUACUUAUUUAAAGAAUCUUUCGUUAUAAAUUGUUCUAUGCAUAUUUUAAGUUGGCCCAUUUUGAUAACAUAAUAUUUGCAUCACUGCAUGCAUGAACUUGAUCACUAACAUUUAUGUUAUAUGAGUCGCAUCUGAUGAAAAUUCNNNNNNNNNNNNNNNNNNNNNNNNNNNNNNNNNNNNNNNNNNNNNNNNNNNNNNNNNNNNNNNNNNNNNNNNNNNNNNNNNNNNNNNNNNNNNNNNNNNNNNNNNNNNNNNNNNNNNNNNNNNNNNNNNNNNNNNNNNNNNNNNNNNNNACGUGGCCCUCAUGACGUCAAGGUAUAAAUCGUCGCGUGACAGUGAUUUAAUGGGGAUGCCUAAUGGACCAGCAACGUUCAACACUGAUGGUGUGUUUACUUCGUGGAAUAGAGAAUGAAACCCAUGUUUACUUGGUAAAAUAUAAUUUAGAAAUAAAAAUAAAAUGUAUGGUUCCCACACAAUUUAGGAAUAAGAAAUAGAAAUCUCAUUCCCAUAAAGGGUUUGGAAUGAAAUUGAGGGAAUGUGAAUGGAAUAUAUGUUUACUUUUGUAUUCCUCUACUUUUUUCAUAUUUUCCAAAUUACCCUUAUUCAAAUCAUAAUUAAUUUUAUUAUUUUAAAUGUCAUUAAUAAUAAUAAUUAUUAUUAAUAAAUUUUAUUAACUUUAUUAUUUUAGUUAUUGUUAAUUAUUAAUAUUAUCAUUAUUAACAAUAAAAAUAAUUAAUUUAUCAUUAUUAACAAUAUUAUCAUUAUUGUUGUUGUUGUUAUUAUUAUUUUUAUUAAUAAUGUGAAGACGUUAUUAAUUAAUGAUAAUAUUAAUAAUUAGAUCGGCACAAAUUUCUUAUUCCAAAAGGCUGAAGGUAGAUCGGCACAAAUUUCUUUUUCAAUUAGAUCUUUAAAAUCAGAGAUUUUCUUUUGGAUGAAAUCAUUUUGUAAUAAUAUAAUAAUAAUAAUAAUAACAAUAAUUAAUAAUAACUAAAAUAAUAAAGUUACUAAAAUUUAAUAAUAAUAAUAUAAUUUUCAUUAUCUAGAUACAUGUAUAAAUAUUAUUGUAAAAAUGAUAUUAAUUAAAAAUUCACCACACCCACAUGGUGUCGGGGGGGAGGAAUUAUUCCAUGACUUUGAAAUAUUCAUCUUUAGUUUUGGCACUAGCCAGGAGAGAUUGGGCUUUGGAUUUUUGGGUUAGGAAGGUUUGUUGGACUUUGGAGUCUUUAAUGGUUUGUGGUAGAAAGCCUUUUGAACAAAGCCAAUUUUUGAUAAGGGAUUCAGUCAAUUUGGUUUGUUCAUCGAAUUUUGACCACCACUUGACUUUGAAAGUUCUUUGUAUGAUGAGUUGUUUUUCAUGAGUAUGAAAUCUGAAAUUCCACAUCCAUACCCAUGGGAGGAAGAAAUUGGUACAAAAACAGAGGAAGGGAGAAAACCGUUUCUCUGAAUCUGAAGGGGAAUAAUGGGUUUUGAAAAAGUUUAAACAAUGAGUGGCAUUUGGAGUUAGGAUUUGUGGUGUUGGACUAAAAAAAUUCCACCACUGUUGGAACCAAUUUGGAAGACUUUGGACGGUUAUUUUUUAAUUGAAGAAAAAUAACCAUGAAUGAGACUUUUUUGGGUUUUGUAAGAAAAAUGUGUUGAACCAAGCUUGCUGGUAGUCCCAAUAGGAAUAGGCCAGGCAGUGUGGUAAACGCAUUUGAAAACUUGGAGGGAAAGUUUUGAAUUUGUGGAGUUGGUCACCCCACUGGUUUGAGCUUAAAACUUUUAAAAUAGUGGUCGUGGAGUAGGCCGGCUCUGAAUGGGUUUCACUGAGAAAGAAAUGUUUAAAUUUUACAAACUCAGUGGCUUCUAAAAUGCUUUGAUAAUAAGGCUGGGGUUUUGUUAAAUCCCAUGGUUUAAAAAAUCAGCCUUUAAGAAAAAACUUUGAGAUUGCUUGGAAAGGAUCAAUGUGGUAAAAUUCAUCUUCUAUAGUUAAAACAUUUUGAAAAUGGGUUUUAUCAUACCAAUCGGAAGUUUUAUUUGAAGGUGUUGGCUGGGAAAGAACAAUCUGAGAAGAUGAACUUUCACUAGAAAGAACAACAGUUUGACUUUGGGAAGAAGACUUUGUAAUUUCUUUAGAAAUUGGUUUUUCUUCCUCAAGGAUCNNNNNNNNNNNNNNNNNNNNNNNNNNNNNNNNNNNNNNNNNNNNNNNNNNNNNNNNNNNNNNNNNNNNNNNNNNNNNNNNNNNNNNNNNNNNNNNNNNNNAGAAAGGGCUUUAGAUUUUGAGAUGCCUUGUAAGGCAAGCAUAAGCUCAGGGGACUUUGUAAUAGAUUCCAUCCACUCUUUGACUUGUUGUUCAGAGGAGAUGGAUUUGUACUGGGUUCCUUGAUUUUCUUCAACCAAUUCAAUCCAGGAUUUAAUGGGUAUGGCUGAAGAAAGUAAUUUUUCUUUAGAGGGAGUAGAUUGAGGUUCUUUGGAGGUUUUUGUAGGUUCGGUAUCUUUGAGAACAGCUUUACCUUUGUCUUUUUUCUUCGGCAACAUUAUCUACUUUGCAAAAAUUCUCUGGUUAGAAAAUCAGGAAUAAAAUUUGUAUCUCCUUUAAUGAACUCAAUAUCAAAAUCAAAAACACUUAAAAUGGCUUGCCAUCGUGCAAAAAAUUGUUUUGAUGCAAUGUUUUGAACAUCUUUUUCUAAAACAUAUUUUGCAGCUUUGCAAUCGAUUCUAAGUAGAAAUUUUUGAUUUAAUAAAUCAUGUUGGAAUUUUGAAAUGCAUAAAAUAAUGGAAAGAAUUUCUUUUUUGAUGGUUGAAUAAUUCUUUUGGCAUUCAUUCCAAUGUACAGAAACAUACUGAACUAUCUAUUCCUUAUCAUUAUCUUUUUGCUUUAAUAUUCCUCCAUAACCUAAAUCAGAUGCAUCAGUUUCAACAAUUUUAGGUAAUGCAGGAUUUGCAAGAAAUAAACAUGGGAUGCUUUUUACAGAAUUCUUUAUAAGUCUAAUUACUUUAGUAUGCUCAUCGGUCCAGGCAACAGGAUUCUUUUUUAACCUAUCAUGCAAAGGUUUGGACAUCCUAUUGAUAUUUGGACAGAAAUCAAGAACAUAAUUUAGACUUCCUAGAAAUCUUUGUAAUUGAGUUUUAUCAAGGAUUUUAUCAGGAAACUUGUCUGCAAAAGCAAGAGAACGCUCAAUAGGGGUAAUGGUUCCUUUGGAAAUAUGGUGACCUAAGAACUUGAUCUUUGUAUGAAACAAAGAGACUUUAGACUUAGAGAUUGCUAAACCAGCUUUUCUAGUAGCAAGGUAAAAGGUCUUUAGAUGUUUAAAAUGUUGGUCGAUGGUUUGAGAAAAAAUCAAAACAUCAUCGAUAUAAACAAUGCAAAAAUCAGAAUAAGGGUUAUAAAUGUCAUUCAUAAUUCUUUGAAAUUCUGAAGGCGCAUUUUUCAACUCAAAUGGCAUAACAGUCCACUCAUACUGUCCAAAAGGAACAGUAAAAGCGAUUUUAUAACGGUCUUUUGGAUGAAUUUGAAUUUGCCAAAAACCCGAUUUCAUGUCAAAUUUCGAAAAUAUGAAAGCAGAAUGCAGUUUUUGAAGCAAAUCCUUUUUGUUAGGUAUUGGGUACCUAAUCCAUUUUAAUGCUUUAUUAAGGGGUUUAUAAUUUAUGACUAAUCUUGGUACUCCUCUUUCAAUUUCAGAAUUUUUGUUUACAUAAAAAGCGGCACAAGACCAUGGGGAUCUAGAUUUUACAAUGAGUCCUUUAGACUCCAAGUCUUUUAUUUCAGUUCUACAAUGUUGUUCCAAAUCCAUAUUUAUUUGGAUUGGACGAACUUUAGUAGGUAUCUGUUUUUCAUCAAAAGAAUUCUCGUAAGGCAAAUCUACUAAAUGUUGUUUCCUAUUCCAAAAGGCUGAAGGUAGAUCGGCACAAAUUUCUUUUUUAAUUAGAUCUUUAAAAUCAGAGAUUUUCUUUUGGAUGAAAUCAUUUUGUAAUAAUAUAAUAAUAAUAAUAAUAACAAUAAUUAAUAAUAACUAAAAUAAUAAAGUUACUAAAAUUUAAUAAUAAUAAUAUAAUUUUCAUUAUCUAGAUACAUGUAUAAAUAUUAUUAUAAAAAUGAUAUUAAUUAAAAUAAUAAUAAUAAUAAUAAAUGUUAAUAAUGAUAAUAUUAAUAAAAAUAAUAUUAAUAGUAAUUAAUAAUAACUAAAAUAAUAAAGUUAAUAAAAUAUAAUAAUAAUAAAUGUUAAUAAUGAUAAUAUUAAUAAAAAUAAUAUUAAUAAUAAUUAAUAGUAACUAAAAUAAUAAAUUAAUAAAAUUUAAUAAUGAUAAUAUUAAUAAAAAUAAUAAUAACAAUAAUUAAUAGUAACUAAAAUAAUAAAUUUAAUAAAAUUUAAUAAUAAUAAUAAAUGUUAAUAAUGAUAAUAUUAAUAAAAUUAAUUUUUGUCUUUUAACAAUUGUAUACCAACAAUUUGUGGUCCAAAUUUUAACAUAAUGUUAUCGUUUUAAGAAGACAAAAUACUUGAGAAUUUAGUAACCCAUUUUUCCACGUGCGGAGUUAAGCUCCCCCUGCAUUGCCUUUGCUUUUAUUUUUCUAUAAUAUCACCUUUUACUUCAUAUAGAUUUAGUACUCAGAUUGUGUGUAAAUAUCUAGAGUUCCAACGAACUACGUAAGCUCGGAUCUUUUUUUUUAUUAUUCAAGCCUCUCUAACUGCUAAUGAUUUUAUUCUACCUGUUAAUCGAAUAAUACUAUUAUAUAAUUGAGAUUUAACAAUUUAUUAUAUUUUAAUUUACUAACCACGAAUUAUUUACGUGAAAUUUACUCAAAAAAAAAUUUGAGAAUAUGAUCAGUAAGUAUCCAAUUAAACUACGCCACAACAAAAAUGAUUUAGACAUACUGACGAUAAAUCUUAACUACUACUGGUACUACUUGUACGUGUACAUUUGUAAUACCAACGGUGAAGCCAGACUAUGCCCAGUUUGAGCAAGUAUUAUCUCAUUAAGUUUAAUUUUUUCAAAAAAAAUUCAUUUUCUUUUUUGUUUCCCCUAAAUAUUUAUUUGCCCCCAAUAUAACCUGUGGUUGUCCCAAUUAGCUUUGAAUAAAACACAAAAAAAAAGGUAAUUACAAAUUUCCAUUUGAAUGAUGCUUAGAGAUCGCAAUUUGUUUCUAUCUGAUGCAGUAUUUAUUUAUUUAAUGAUAUAAUAAUAAUUUUGCUAAGUUAUAAAAUUUAUUAUCCAUUAUAUAAAUGACACAUAAGGUGAACAUUCAGAUUAUGUUAAUCUGAACAGAAUUAAACCUAAAAUUUAUUUUGUAUUCGGUUCGGUUUAGAUUGAGGGGUUGUUUGAUUUUUGUCUAAAGCCUAAAUCUUAAUUAUUUUCAGAUAUUUACAGUUUUUAUUUUAUUUUUUUAUCACUUAUGUCUAAUUAUAAUAUGUUUAAGUUUGAAUAAAAAACGUUAAAUAUUUUGAUUUUUAUCUAAAUGACAAAACAUCUGAACGAUUUUAUAAUAUUAUAUCUCAUCAAUGUUCAUAUUGAAUAAAUUUAUUUCUUAUUAUAUAAAUUAUCCUUUUAUUUUUUUUUUAUUUAUACACUUUUUUUGUUAUAUACAUGUACUCAACUAUUUAAUUUGGUUAUGGUUAAAAAGCACAAUUCCUAAUUCCCUUCUCUUCUAAUAUUAUCCACAUGUUCCCUUUUACAUUAAAAUUCAACUCAUUUUAUUGAUCGAUAUGAAAUUUUAAAAAAAAUCCAACCCUUCUCUCUUAUCUUUUUCCAUGUCACGCGUUGCGUUCAUACGAGGGAGACCAUAAACUAUUUGAGUGAAAUAUGGGCGUAAAUUUUGGUACGCACACUUCAACAUCAUUCAGACAAGAUAUGCGCGUUGUCGUCAUCUUGUGAUUAGUGGUAAUCAGAACCAGGACAAUUAAAAGCUGAAAACGAAUGAGACCCGAUAGUUCAAAGUUUGUCUCAUUAAAAAUGUUUUCAAAUACGUGGAGAUCUUUUAUAAUCUUGAAACAAAAGUGUCUGUCGUAGACAAAAUGAAUGAGCCAUAGAACAGUCAUAUCACAUGACGUCGUUGCGGCAGUGGUGACCAGUGUGGUCGGUGUGUACAUAUUUAUAAGUUGUUGCUAUCAAUUGGUUAAAAGAUAUCAUAAUGCAUUUUCGAAAAAGUUAAAAUUCGACUUGAUGAUGCUUUUCUGCUUUCCAAGUUUGUGGUUAGGUAUGACAGGUGGGAGUGACUCCGAUUGUGAUAGUCAUCAAAAGACACGUAGAUCUUAUAGAAUUAUUUUAGGUGCGUUUAGAAUUAAAAUUCGACUGUAGUUUAAAAAUUACAGUAUUAAAAUAUUUGAUAAAUAUUAAUUAUUGUAAUUUAAAAUGUAUAUUAAUAUGAUUUUUUAUUUAUAUAAUAGAAAAUUUAUUAUAUCUUUAAUAAUUUUAUCAAAAUUAUUAUUUAAAAUCUACAUUUAUUAUAUAUUACUAAUUUUUAUUUCAUAACUACAAUUUUUUUUCCACAGCAGCUGUAGCUUAAAGGUAAACACUAACUGUUGGGCUGUAACUUAAAAGUUACACUAUUAAAAUAUUUGGUAGACACUAACUGUUGUAGCUUGGAAGGUAUGUUAAUAUGAUUUUUUACUUAUAUAAUAGAAAAUAUAUUAUAUCUUUAAUAAUUUUAUCAAAAUUAUUAUUUAAAAUUUACAUUUACUAUAUAUUACUAAUUUUUAUUUCAUAACUCUAAUUUUUUUUCCACAGCAGUUGUAGCUUAAAAGAUACAACACCUCAAUCCCAAACACACCCUCAGACAUAAACUUAUGACAUUUACAUUUUAAGAAAUACAUGUACUUAAUUUAUUAUUGUUUUCAGUUAAUUUAAAGAUAUUAUAUAUAGUAUCUUAAUCUAUUUUUGGGAUCGAUAACGAGAUCAUAUAUAUUUUGAGAAAAGCGAUGAAAUCUCGACAUUAAUCAUAACGACUUAAAAUUAUAUACAAAUAAGUAUGUGUGUUCGUUCCUAAAAUUUGAAAUCUAGCCAAACAUUAAAAUAAACUUUUUAAAUUCAGAAAUCAGUCAAUAUUAUCCCCUAGCUAAUUAUUUGGGAAAUUUACAAAAAUGGCCAUAAAAAUUUUGCGUUUUUCAACUUUAACCCCCCAAAGUUUUUUCUAUCAUAACUAGCCAAAUACCCUAUAUUUGGACUACAUUACCCUCGUCACUUUCAUCAAAUUUACAAAGGCAUGCCACUUGUUCAAUUCCAGCAAAAGUAAAUACAGAUUUUCCUCAACAACUUAACAAACAUUCAUUACUCUCAACAAACUUCAUCAUUCUCGAUAAAUCAAUUGCAUAAUCGAAUAUAUAAUUAUCAAUGUGAGAGCUUCUUAAAAUUAGUUUAUUCUCUUAUACAAUGUAAACCUUUAAUCUAUUAAUUUUAUCAACUAAAUUCGAAAUUAAAGUGGGUUUUGUUGUAAAUAUUGUUAUUUUUCAUUUAUAAAACAAUGUGAUUUGUUAAAGUACUUAGUUUGAGUUGAAAAAUGAAGAAAAACCAUUGAAAACACAGAAAAAUCGGGCAAAAAAUGAAGUUCAGAACAAGUGAGACAUGCAAGUGGGACAGGUGCAUGUCUCACAUAAACGCACUGCAUUUAUGUGCGACAGGCACCUGUCCCACUGCCUGCCGCACAUAAACUCACGAAUUUUAUGGAGUACAUGAUUUUGAAUUUGAUUUGUCUCGUCGUAAGCUUCGAAACGAUAUAUUAUACGCCUAAAACGGACAUAUAUAGCUCAAGUUAUGGCUUUCGAAACAUAAAUGAAAUUUGGUGAGACAGGCAAGUGGGAUAGGUGCUGCGUUUAUGUGCGACAGGCACCUGUCCCACUGCCUGCCGCACAUAAACCUACGGAUUUUAUAGAGUACAUGAUUUUGGAUUUGAUUUGUCUCGUCGUAAGCUUCGAAACGGUAUAUUAUACGCCUAAAACGGACAUAUAUAGCUCAAGUUAUGGCUUUCGAAACAUAUAUGAAAUUUAANNNNNNNNNNNNNNNNNNNNNNNNNNNNNNNNNNNNNNNNNNNNNNNNNNNNNNNNNNNNNNNNNNNNNNNNNNNNNNNNNNNNNNNNNNNNNNNNNNNNNNNNNNNNNNNNNNNNNNNNNNNNNNNNNNNNNNNNNNNNNNNNNNNNNNNNNNNNNNNNNNNNNNNNNNNNNNNNNNNNNNNNNNNNNNNNNNNNNNNNNNNNNNNNNNNNNNNNNNNNNNNNNNNNNNNNNNNNNNNNNNNNNNNNNNNNNNNNNNNNNNNNNNNNNNNNNNNNNNNNNNNNNNNNNNNNNNNNNNNNNNNNNNNNNNNNNNNNNNNNNNNNNNNNNNNNNNNNNNNNNNNNNNNNNNNNNNNNNNNNNNNNNNNNNNNNNNNNNNNNNNNNNNNNNNNNNNNNNNNNNNNNNNNNNGUGAGACAGGCAAGUGGGACAGGUGCAUGUCUCACUAAAUUUCAUAUAUGUUUCGAAAGCCAUAACUUGAGCUAUAUAUGUCCGUUUUAGGCGUAUAAUAUACCGUUUCGAAGCUUACGACGAGACAAAUCAAAUCCAAAAUCAUGUACUCUAUAAAAUCCGUAGGUUUAUGUGCGGCAGGCAGUGGGACAGGUGCCUGUCGCACAUAAUCGCAGCACCUAUCCCACUUGCCUGUCUCACCAAAUUUCAUUUAUGUUUCGAAAGCCAUAACUUGAGCUAUAUAUGCCCGUUUUAGGCGUAUAAUAUAUCGUUUCGAAGCUUACGACGAGACAAAUCAAAUUCAAAAUCAUGUACUCUAUAAAAUCCGUGGGUUUAUGUGCGGCAGGCAGUGGGACAGGUGCCUGUCGCACAUAAACGCAGCACCUAUCCCACUUGCUUGUCUCACCAAAUUCAUUUAUGUUUCGAAAGCCAUAACUUGAGCUAUAUAUGUCCGUUUUAGGCGUAUAAUAUACCGUUUCGAAGCUUACGACGAGACAAAUCAAAUCCAAAAUCAUGUACUCUAUAAAAUCCGUGGGUUUAUGUGCGGCAGGCAGUGGGACAGGUGCCUGUCGCACAUAAAUGCAGUGCGUUUAUGUGAGACAUGCACCUGUCCCACUUGCAUGUCUCACUUGUUCUGAACUUCAUUUUUUGCCCGAUUUUUCUGUGUUUUCAAUGGUUUUUUUUCAUUUUUCAACUCAAACUAAGUACUUUAACAAAUCACAUUGUUUUAUAAAUGAAAAAUAACAAUAUUUACAACAAAACCCACUUUAAUUUCGAAUUUAGUUGAUAAAAUUAAUAGAUGAAAGGUUUACAUUGUAUAAGAGCAUAAACUAAUUUUAAGAAGCUCUCACAUUGAUAAUUAUAUAUUUGAUUAUGCAAUUGAUUUAUCGAGAAUGAUGAAGUUUGUUGAGAGUGAUGAAGAUUUGUUAAGUUGUUGAGGAAAAUCCGUAUUUACUUUUGCUGGAAUUGAAAAAGUGGCAUGCCUUUGUAAAUUUGAUGAAAGUAACGAGGGUAAUGUAGUCCAAAUAUAGGGUAUUUGGCUAAUUAUGAUAGAAAAAACUUUGGGGGGUUAAAGUUAAAAAACGCAAAAUUUUUAUGGCCAUUUUUGUAAAUUUCCCUAAUUAUUUCCUGUGGAUGGGAAGGAUAAAUGUCAGCAAAAUGGGUCCAAUAAUGAAAUUGCGGACCGUGAUGUGUUCUUUCGUGCAUAGGUAUGGCUUGAUAUUUAAUUUAUAGGCUCAAGAUAUUUAUAUGUAACAAUGUUCAUCUGGUAAAAAUCAAUUCUCAACAAACAUAAUUAUUAAUUUAUCGAGAAAGAAGACGAUUACACACACACACACACACGUAUUGGAACAUUUUUAUAUAUUAGUCCUGAUAUGGUUCAGAAUCUUAAAUUUUAUUAAAGUCUGAAAAAACUAUUAAAGUAUGUAGCUUAAUAGCUUUUACAGUCAUUACAUUAUUUUACCACACGAUUUAAUAACUUUCCUAAACUUUAACAAAAUCCAAGAUCAUGGAUUGGAACAUCUCUUUAUAUAUAGAAAAUUUUCAAUCUAAAAUUUUAAAGUACCGAAAAAUCUGGAAAAAUUUUAAACUGAAUAGUUUUAAAAUUUAAUUUCACAAUGCUAUUAAACCUACGAUUUUAAAGUUUUUCCAGACUUUCUCAAACUUUAAAAUUAUAUAUAUGUGUGUGUACCUCUACUAAUCAAGCAAAGACUUUUAUUAGAAGAAAUAAAACUACUCCUAAAUUAAUUAAACCCAAAUGGCAUAUGGUAAUUAACAACUAAUUCUUCAUCAUCUAACGGCAGUUGAUAAUUCGAUUGGCUUCAAUAUUUAAUUAGCUUGAUGAUCUCAGUCAACCAAGUCAUGCAAUCUUUGGCAAGCUAUUGAAGUCUCAACACCAAGUCUUGAGAUUUUAGCCUACAAAUUUGUAUAACAUAUCAAAAUAAGUAGUUAAUUUAAACAAAUUAAAUAUGAUCGGUUUCUGAUAAUUAAACUAGAGGAAAUGGCAUAUAUAUUUUUUAAUUACCUGGGCACGAACCGUGUGAAAAAUUUUAUCACCAAUAGUAGAAAAGCUAGCACUGACAACUUGAGCACCUUCUUCUUCGAGAAUACUAAUAACUUCAUACAACAUGAAGUUUCUUUGCACCCCACUUAUCAAAACCACUUCAAUACUAUAACCCAAGUCUCUUAAUUCAACCACCGGCAAAUUUGAGCAAAUAUUAUUCGUUUCAUCCAUAAUGUUAUUAUUACUGUUUGGUUUUAUUGACUUCAUUGCUUGUUCCUUCAUUCUCUUCAAUUUAUCUAUUCUUUCUCUCAGCUGCUUUAUGUGGCAGCAAGCUAGAUCCAGCCGGUCUUCUUGCGAUAGCAUACUCUGCAACAAAAUUAAUUAAAUAUGUUAGUCUAGUGUCAGUGAAAAUCCGCAAUAAUAUUUACUGGACAGCAACCAAAAACAUACGUACAAUUAAUGAACAGAUUAAUGAAAGGGCCCCAAUAAAUGGACUAUUAAUAGGAAAGGUCACUUUCUUAAAUCUCAUCCAGAAUCCAAAGUAACAGAACGCAAUUAUCUUUUAAGGAGAUAAUUAUCUCUAAGUAUCAUAACUUAUAAUCCAUGAAACUGUAGGAACCACAUAAAUAUUAAUAUUUCAUCCGGUCAUUAUCAAGUGGCCAGCUGUUGUCUGUGCUUGUGAAAUACAAAUUAAAGGGUCUGGGGCUCGAACAAUGGUCAUAUGAAUGGAGAGGAUGAAACGCUCACACUGCAGUUUUCCGCCGGGUUGGAGGAGGGGGUGGUUGGGGGGGCCUCUAAUAGUUUACAAGAGAGAAGGGACUGUAAAAAUGAUACAAAAAAAGCAAUUUUUAGUUUUUCAACCUAUAGAAAGGGUUAUAUUUAUGAAAUGAGUAAUGAUUAUAUCCAUAUCAUUUAUAGGGAAAAGGAGGAAGGAUUGAUGAUCAGUUACGUCACCCAGUAAGGUCUAUGAGAACUAAAUGAAUAGAAAUACCUUGGAGGCUCUGAAGUGGUGAGAAGGAACGAGAGAAAAAAGCUUGAAGCAUAAAGAUUUCAUGUGAUCUCUGCGAUUCUUUUCGAUAUUUUUUCGUUCAGGUUUUGACGACUUAUCGCUUCUUUUCUUCAUUCUUUUCCACUCUUUGCUCACUUCUUCUCGCCAAAAAGAGAGAUUGUAGAGAGAGUUGAAUGAAUCCAAAGAGUUAUGUAGCCCAUUAUAUAGACAAUUACGGAAGGUAAAUAUCUUAUGAAACCUCUCUGGUCUAUAUUGUCGGUAGAAAGGACGAGCUGUGGGGCCAAAAAUCUGGGGAUUAAAGUAAUAAAGGUACUUUUUAUUGAUUGACUCCUGGUUGUCUGUUGAAAUCAACUUGUAGUCCACAGUUUUUACAAAUACAUCACUUUAGUCCUCUCCAAUAAAUGCUAUCACUUUUGAACUUGUAAAAAGCCAACGGUCUAAAGGCAUUUUAGAUAAAACAAAUUGUUUGUCUCCUACACUUCCGUUAUACAUGUAAAUCAAAUCAAAAUAUUUUAUAAGAUUCUUAUAGUUAAUGUUAUCUUCAUAAUAGUCAUGAUAUGUUUAUAAAGUUUGUAUGCAAAAUUUGUAUCUCGGAUGACCACUAAGUGUUAGAUAGUAGUCGAGUGUCGACGUUUUAUAUUUUCAUUAAUGAGAUAAUUUCACAACAUCAAUGAGUUAAUGACACGUUAAAGGUAGAUAAAUUAGAAUACAAACUUUGUAUACUAUAAAUUGGAAAACAAACUUUGUAUACUAACUUUAUACAAACUUUAUGAGGGUAUCAUUACUCUUUUAAUAAAAUAAAUUAAGAGAGUAUAUAAUAAAAUAUAUGUAAUGACAUAAAAAAUUAAAUUUGGCUUUAUCCACCCCGAUAUUUUUUUCUUUCUAGAAAUGUAUAUUAACACAAAGUUAUAAAUUAAUAGAGUACAAAAACUCGAGAAGUAUUCAUAAAUUAUUAUAAAUCCAUGAAGGUUAUAGGUAACAACUUAAAUUUUCAUAAAGUAUGGAUGCUUAUAAAAAUUGAAAGCAGUAAGUUUAACUUUGAAUAGGACAAUUGUGGGUGAAUAAUAAGAGGUUAAGAGUUUAAUUCUAAAUAAUUACAUUUCAUUAAUUUGAUUUGCUAGAUCAGGAUACAAGGUAAUUGUAUAAGAAAAAUGAGUCGAAUAAUAGAAUAAUUAGUAUUUUUUUAUGGUCAAAAGUGGUCAAGGACCUGUGCAACCAAAAAAAAAAAAGAACUAGAGAAGACUUAAGUGAAACAUUUAUGAAUCCUUUGAUUUGUCAAAUUUUUGUAAACAAAAGACAAGGAGCCAAAUGAUAGAAACUCAAUAAAAUAAAAAUAAAUCAACAUUUCAAUUGAAUGAACUGUUUGAGCCACAUAAGGUGCUUUUUGACCUCUAACUAGCCAAGCGUGGAUAAUUAGAUAAUUAGAUAAAGAUGAUAUUGUGUUUUCAUAUCAUCACUUAUCAUAUCGGCUUGGUUAUAGUCAGGAUAUUAUACAUCUCACCUUGACUUUUCCUCCGCGUUCACCGGCCACUUUUUUGUGCCUGAACUUUUGUUGUUUUUUUGAGAGGACAAAAAAAUUCACAAUAAUUACUUGCUUUAACAUCAACACAGUCCACACGUCAGGAGAAUUAAUUAGUAUGUUAUUGACCAUGUGGGCGGCUAAAAUCUUAGGAUAAAUUUGACCAUUCUACAAAUUUCUCUCCAAUUCUAAUGAUGGGGCACACGUUACAUUGGUUUAAAAUUUUCUCUUCAUUGUUACAAGUCAUGAUAAGGGUUUGACUUGGAAUCGGAAGAUGUAAUGUAAGUAAAUAUUUUUCCAAGAAGACGGAUACAUGUCAAGCCAUUAUUUCCUAAAUCAGGCAAAGUAAUCACUAAAAUCAACGUGUCUUCACACUGUAAAACGGGGAGUAAGAGUAACCAUAGCGGGGAGCAUGCCAGAGAAUUUGGAGGCUAGCUACGAGUGUGGAAAUUGGCAGAACUGAUCCAACCGAAGUUUCAAGGCUUUAACUAUGACUGUAUGUACAGGACUUGCUUGACCAGCAACAGCUCAUAUGCAUGCUCAUAGUCACAGCGAAGAAUUUAGAGUGUGUAACAGUUGUUAAUCAACAGAAGGCUGAGAAAUAGAAUAUUUAAGGCUGUCAAAGAGCUUGCAGAAUCAGUCUGACGACUUCAUUCUUGACAUUGAAAUACUUCACAUGCUGAAUACUCAGACCGACAAGAUUCCACAUUAAAUCAAGGAUUUGUUUUUAAUUGCUGUAAGCAGGUAUACAAUAACAAACGUGUUUGGUAAACACCUGCAUACUUAACAGUUGGUCAUUCAACCCAACAAUUGCAAAGCGCUGCACAACACUUCAAUCUCAAUACACACACACGUGUGUGUGUAUAAACAGCCUAAAAUUUUACUGCCAGUAGGGUUAUAUAAAUAGUGGGUAUGCGGAAUUGGUAUGCCACAUCUGACAACUAAUUGUAAGAUAACAGAAAUCUAUCAUUUCAUGGUCAUUGUCCAUUUUUGUCAUCUGUGGCUUAGGUGCCGAUAAAUUAGGCAACUGCCCAGUUUUGGUUGUAUCGAGAGCAUGAUAAUUUGGAUGCAUCCAAUCAUACAAGUAAGAAGUAAUAGCCUGAUCAUGGUGUCGAUUUGAUACGAAAGAACCAAAGAAUUAAUCAGCUGUGUAUCUUAAUUUUUAGUGCUCGUAUUAGAUUUAGCGCUGUGGAAAUUAAGAAUCUAUCUCUGGCAAGGGCAAAAGCGAUAGGCCAGGUUAACGAGGAAAGGGGGACUGGUUCAACCUCAGGAAUGAGAGCAAGCAAGUCCAGCUUUGUUGUGCAAGUCACUGUCUUUAUCCGAUCUGAUAAGAUAGAUCUGAUGCACAUAUAGUAAAGAAAAGCUCUUCCGCAAGCCAUUUGGGGAAAUUCCCUAACUUUGAACGAAAGAAUGGUAAGCUUCUUUCCUUGUUACUUGAAAGAAUGCCUUGGCACACUCAUACUAGAAGUCAAAGAAAGAACUUGGGUCUAAGCUCUCAACUUCAAGGAAGGGAACCGAAAUAGCAGAAAUGUCAUCUACCUUUCCAAUGGAAUCUUUGACCGGCUAACGUGAGUUCUAGGAAAAGAGAGACUUUAAGCUAAAGAAAUUUUUUUUUUAACCUAGACAUUCUUCCAAGAGUUUAGGGCUAAUAGGCCCGGUCUGAUAGUUAUUGGUUGAGAACACAAAACCCUUCCCGAAUGAAUUCAGAAAAUCCAUUCACUGCAAUUGCAGCUCUAGUGUUUGAUGGAACAAAUUAUCAAGUGUGACCUGUUAGAAUGGAAGCUUAUCUGGAUGCUAAUGAUCUGAGGGAGGCUGUUGAACAAAUAUAUGAAGUUCCACCCCUACCAGACAAUUCAACUCUUGCACAAAUCAGAAAUCAAAAGGAGAUGAAGCAAAGAAAAUCAAAAGUGUUUGAGGGUGCAUUUCUCGCGGAUCAGCCAUACCCUAAACGAGGAGCCGGUCUCCUUGUAAGUGAGCAGACAGGUGAAGUCUGGUAGCAUAUAUCCAAGACCAGGAAUUCUCCGCUCAAUCACGAGGACGUCUUCUUCUAAACUAUAGUUCGAGCAGGGUUCCUGCUAAGAGCCGAGAGUCUUUCCUGCUGGAGAUCGGGGUCGGCAGACCCAGUCUAUAAUGGUUAACGAGACGUGCACUCCUAUCCGAGAAUCUAGGCACGAAACCCACUCAGCCGCAACUACGACAUUUAAGCAUCCACUUCCGUGAGCUGGGGGAGGUGAUGGACGUGGAUCGUGGGGGGCCGGAUUCGUAUGAAGGCUAUAAAACGGUAAUCAACGAAGGUUAAGGGGUUAGACACUUUUACACUAGAACUUAAGAAAAAAGAGUAUUUACUAAAAAACGAGAGAAAAACUCAUAGGUAUUUCACUGCCUAAGAGAUCAUUAGAGAGCCACGAGAUCAGUGGCCAAGUUUCCCAAAAAGUAAACAUAAAUUUCUGACUUGAGCGUCGAAGGGUUUACGCCGGGAUCAUUAGAGAGCCACGAGAUCAGUGGCCGAGUUUCCCAAAAAGUAAACCUAAAUUUCUGACUUGAGCGUCAGAGGGUUUACGCCGGGAGUCCUUACCAAAGUAGGAAACACAUGAGCAAGUAGGGGCGAGGGCCGGUAUCUCUCUGAUUCACCACCCAGGGGGAUUAAUAAGGGGGAGCCAUCAUAAUCUGAAUUGUCUCUGACCAGUUCUUAUGUGUGCAGGAGUCUGGUAAGUCAUACGAGGCAUAGCUCUGCUCAGUUAGAAGAGUUACGUGAAGUAUCUAGGUUGGUCGUGAGUUCGGGAUAGGGAUGGCAAUGGAUCGGAUCUGACCCAAGAUCCAUCUUAUCCAAAUCCAAUCGGAUUGGAUUUGGAUAUAAUGUGCAGAUCUAAGACAGAUUUGUCUAGAUCUGUCUUAAUAUUUAGAUCCAAAUCCAUAUCCACCUAUCUUUUAAUUUUAUUUUAUUUUUAAAAUUUUCUUAACAAUUUUGUAAUUAUAAAUGAUAGUAAAUUUCAUUCAUAGCAUAUUAGUAGUAGUAUUUACCAUGUAUUUAAUUAAAUAUCUUAAAACUUAAAUAUUAAUUUUUAAAUUUAAAUAAUAAUAGAAUAAAAAUUUAAAUGAUAAUAGAAUAAUUGUCAAUUUAUUUUAUUAUAUUAACCAAAUAAGUUUUAAGGAGUAAAUUGAUUUCUCCCAUACACAAGCACGUAUUGUCUCAAAAUUGCUUUCCAAAUUGUCCUUGAAAAUACUAAAGAGGCAUGUGAAAACAAUUAAAGGAAGCCUUAUAUUUUUUAUUUCAAAGUCGGCCUUGAAGUCAGUAUAAUGAUUGAUGAUUCACGAAUUCAUGUUACGUAUUUCCCUUUAUUAUUAAAAAAAAAGGAAGCCUUUAUUCAUGAAUAGAAUUCAUGAUACCAUUCGUAAAGGGAAAUAAUAUUUUUUAUUAUGAGGAAGCCUUAUAUUGUUAUAUGACACAUAAUAUAUAUUUUUUUUUUACUUAUUCACGAAUUCGUGAAUCCUGAUACCAUUCAUACUAAGUGCCGCACUUUAGUUUGCCCUAAUUUCUUUCAAUUAUUCAUAUUCUAGGUCAACUCAACGUCAGUCAUGCUCCAAUAAAAAAAAAAAAAGUACAACCUCUUUCUUUCUCUUCAUUCUACUCUCGCUUCUUUACUCUAUUUGAAUAUUUAGAUAAGUCCUUUAAUUGCCAUGUAAGUAUUUAAACUUGAUUUUUUUCUAUUAUUUUCUCAUAACAUUAUUCUCAUAACGUCCACAUAAUUUAAUUCUAUAAUAUUGAAUUAGGUAUAUGGUAAUCAUCAAAUUACGUAUUAGUUUUCCAUGUGGGUUAGUUUUUAUUUGAAUAUAUCUUAAAUUAUGACAGUUGAUUUCAUUAAUAAAGGAUCCAUGUGAAUAAAGAUUAAAUGAGAAGCAUUCAAUUAUUUAUUUAAUUUAUGCUCCUAAUUUUUUAUAUUAUUUACAAAUAAUUGUAUUUAUUUACUUGUCUAAUAUUGAUGUGUAAUAUUAAUUUUUUUUAGUGACAUAGACGCUUAAUGUUUUUGUUUAUUUCUUCAAUUAGGUGAAAUAUGGAUUUCUGUCCUAAUUUACUGCAGUCAGAAAAUGAUGAUAAUGAUGGGUAUGAUGUUGUUGAAGUAAUUGAACCAUCAAAUGGGAUGGAGUUGAAUUCAACCUCACCAAUUCCUAGCGAUGAAACUACUGAUGUUAGUAAAAAAUUGAAGUCUGUUGUGUGGAAUCAUUUUACGAGGCAAAAGAUUAAUGGACAAUUGAAAGCAAUUUGUAACAAAUGCAAUGGAAAGUUAGUUGUAGGAAGUGGAACGAACCAUUUACAUAAGCACUUGCUUAGAUGCCCACGAUGUAAGCAGCCAACAAUCAAGAAUGCUACGUUGAAUGCUACUAUAAAUAAAGGGAAAGUCCAAGUUGGGGCAUUUUCUUUUGAUCAUGACACUUCAAGAAGAGAGCUUGCAAAUAUGAUUAUCAAGCAUGAAUACCCUCUUAGUAUGGUUGAACAUUCUGGAUUCAGGAAGUUUGUUGGUUCUUUACAACCCAUGUUUAAGGUCAUUUCUCGAAAUACACUAAAGAAAGAUAUCUUUAAGCAAUAUGAAUAUGAAUAGUCUAAAAUAAUGAAGUUGUUGGCGAGCAAUCAAAGUAGAAUUUCUAUUACUACUGAUUUAUGGACUUCUAAUCAGAAUAUGGGUUACAUGGUUGUCACCACACAUUUUAUAGAUAAUUCCUGGAGGUUGCAAAGUCGUCUUAAUUAUAAGGUACUUUCUAUAGCAUUAUUUAUUUAUAUCUUUGUCAUGUCCUUUUCAUUAUGAUUAAUAAAUACUCAAUUCAUAUAAUAAUAUUUUUGUUCUACUGUUUGUCAUUUUUAUUUAGGUUUAUACAUGUGAUGUGUCCACACAUUGCUGAGGUACUUUCUGAUAAUUUAAUGGAGUGCUUAUUAGAUUGGAAUAUUGAUGGAAAACUGUGUUCUUUAACAGUUGAUAAUGCCACUACUAACGAUGCUAUGGUUGACAUCCUCUUAGACAAACUUUCUAAUUCAUUGUUAUUAAAUGGGAGGUUGUUUCAUAUGCGUUGUUGUUCACACAUCUUGAACUUGAUAGUGAAGGAUGGGCUAGAUGUCAUUAGUGAAAGUAUUGAGAGAAUUCGUAGUAGUGUUUCUUAUUGGAAAAUGACACCCAAAAGGCAUGACAAAUUUCUGAAGGGUGUUCGUGAUUUAAAAAUUUCAAGCACCAAGCAAUUGAUUCUUGAUUGCAAAACGAGGUGGAACUCUACCUAUUAUAUACUUGACACUGCUUUAGUUUAUAAAGACGUGUUCUCUCGCUUAAAACCACGAGAACCACAAUAUAAAUCAUUGCCUAGUGAAGAAGAUUGGGAGUUUGCAAAAGAAAUUUGUUGUAGGCUUAAAUUAUUUGAUGAAGUUUCAAAAUUGUUUUCUGGCACGAAAUAUCCUACAAUGAAUUUGUACUUUUAUUAUACUUGUGAGAUUAGAAUAUCUAUUUCUGAGUGGCUAGGUUCUAAUAAUGAUAAAAUAAAGAUAAUGGAAAAGAAAAUGUUAGAAAAAUAUGACAAAUAUUGGAGUGUGGUUAAUGAGUUAAUGGCAGUGGCAACUGUUUUGAAUCCUAGAUAUAAGAUGAAACUAGUAUAAUACUAUUUUCCUAUGCUUUAUGGAGUUGAUUGUGAAUAUAGAAUUGGGAGUGUCCGUAAUUAUUGUUAAAGUCAAAAUCAUAUGGACAUGUUUAUCAAUCUAAUGAGCCUUUGAUUACUCAAUCCCCAAUGGAGGCAUUUCAUUUAGGAAGGGAACAACGUCGGACUAGUUUUGAGACAUUUAUUAGUCAAAGUACUAGUAUUGACCAUGUGAAGUCUGAGCUAGACUAUCAUUUGAAGGAAUAUGUCCUGCCUCGAAUUGAUACAUUUGACAUAUUGGGUUGGUGGAAGGUGAAUGGAUCUAAAUAUCCUACUUUGUGCAAUGUUGCUAGAGAUAUUUUGGCUAUUCUUGUAUCCACAGUUGCAUCUGAAUCUGCAUUUAGUACCAAUGGUGGAUUUGUGACACCACAUCGUAGUAGACUCCGUCCAAAUACAUUAGAGACUUUAAUGUGUUGUCAAGAUUGGUUGUUGGCUGAAGAUGCUGGUUCGAAUUUUUAUAAUUGAAUUAUUUAUUUCAUAUUAACUAUUUUUUGUCUAACUAAUUUAAUUUUGUGCUCAAAAUCAGAUGCAUGUUCUUCAACACAUACCAGAUUGAUAUAUUCAGAAGAUGUGGACAUGGAUGAGGUACAAUUAACUAUAUCAUUCAUGUAUUUAGUUAAAUAUAGUCAUAAUAAAAAUAAUAAAGUAUUAAAUAUAAAUCAUAUUUAACUUAUAUGACAUUAUCUAAUGUUGUAGGAAUGAUGGUGGUUGUGUUGUGAUAUCCAAAUAAUGGAGACAAUAGAAUAUUAUAUUGAUCUUACUCUUGCAUUUUUUUAUUACCUUUCUUAUUUGCUAGUUUUGAUGUAAAAGCAUAAACUACAAUAUUUAUUAGACUUUUUAGACAAAUAAUAUAAUUUAAUCAUUAUCAAUACAUUUUAGUCUUUAAUUUUCAUUCCAAAAAAUUAUUGCUCUUUUAUUGUAAAGUUUUAGAAUUCAUGAUGGAAUUAGAGCAAAUUUGGAUUUUAAUUUUUUUUCUAGUUUUGGAGCAAAUUUAGAUAUCUAUUUAUUUUUUUGGAUCCGGAUAUGGAGCGAAAAACAUGGGUCUUUGAUGGAUCUGGAGCAGAUACGGAUCUCAAUUUUUAUUAUAGAUAUGGAUUUGGAGCAAAGUAGAUCCAAUCCAUAUCUGCCCCAUUGCCAUCCCUAGUUCGGGAGUUGAGGAGAGAUCCUAAUCGCAGACGAGCAGACACUAUAAUCUUGCAUCAACAAAAAGCAAAAGCAACCUUGUUUGCUGCAGUCUCAUCCACUAUUUUUUCCAGAUAAUGACGCUGAAAACAGCCAAGGAAAUUUGGGAUUUUUUGAAGCAAGAAUACAAAGGAAAUGAAAGGGUCAAAGGGAUGCAAGUGUCAAAUUUGAUCCCAUAAUUUGAGAUGUAAAAGAUGAAAAAAUCAUAAACAAUUCAGGAAUAUUCGUACAGACUUUUUGAGAUUGUCAACAAGGUAAGACUCCUUGGCACUGAUUUUUCUAAUUUUAGUGUUGUUCAAAAAAUCCUAGUCACAGUUCCUGAAAAGUUUGAGGCUACAAUUUCAUCUUUGGAAAACUCAAAAGAUCUGUCAAGUAUUACCUUGGCAGAAUUGUUAAAUGCAUUGCAAGUAUUAGAACAAAGGAGGCUUAUGAGACAAGAAGGAUAUAUGGAGGGUGCUUUUCAAGCCAAAUCACAAAACAACAAAUGUGGCAAAAAUAAGAAAAAAAACUAAAUAAAGACAAUAAGCUUGGAGGUUCUGCAAGUAGUAACAAAAAUAGCCAAAGCAGCAACACUUAAGUCUUUCCACCUUGCACUUACUGCAAAAAAGCCAAUCAUCCACAGAAUAAGUGUUGGUGGAGGACAGAUGCAAAAUGUCACAAGUGUGGUCAGUUAGGGCACAUGGAAAGGAAAUGCAAGACUCAACAACAACAAAGAGAAGCUAAGGUUGUUGAGGAUCAACCUCAAGAGGAACAGCUAUUUGCGGUAUCAUGCUUUGCCACCAACAGCUCCACAGAGAGUUGGCUUAUAGAUAGUGGUUGUACAAACCACAUGACUUAUGAUCGAGAGCUCUUCAGAGAGCUUGACAAGACCGCUAUUUCCAAAGUCAGAAUUGGAAAUAGGGCACACAUUACAGUAAAAGGUAAAUGAACGGUAGCAAUUAAAGGCCAUACAAAUCUGAAAUUGAUUUAUGAUGUUUUAUAUGUUCUUGAAAUUAAUCAAAAUCUUUUGAGUGUUACUCAAUUGUUAGAAAAAGGCUAUAAGGUGUUGUUGAAGACAAGAACUGUAUAAUCAAAUAUGCAAAAGAUAGAGAGGUAUUCAAAGUUCAAAUGAAAGGCAAAAGCUUUGCCAUAGAUUUAAUGAAAGAAGAACAGGCUGCUUGUUAGGUCCCAGUCAGAGACAACCAAUGAUCACGCGUAACACAAUUGAUAUUUUUCUGCUUAUGGCGAGAAAGGACCAAAUAAUUGUUGUUUAGAAUUCUGAAUGCCUUUAUUCAUAUUCUGGAGCUUAUUUAUAAUCACAAGAACUUGAUUUUCAACCUACAAUUACGGCUGAAAUCAAUAAAACAAAUAUUAAAAUAACGACUUAGUUAAUAUUUCGUAAAAGAUAAUCAAAAGCAACUUGAUAAGGUAUCCUAAAAGCAACUUGAUAAGGUCAUCCCAAAAUCACAGCUCCAGUACUCAUCUUUACAAUUUCCACACGUGAAACUGCACAUGCAUGUGUCAUGCAUGGCUUGCAUGGGAGUCAACUUAUGCUCUUACGUAAUAUAUUUAUGGUUUUGGCUUUGGCAUUCUUCCAGAUCUUCGUGGCUCAUGCACUUGCUUUCUAUCAUUGCCUCCGCCACGAAGAAUACCCUUGUCCUCAAGGGUCUGAUGAGGGAAUUGCUGGUGCAGCAUUGUGGCAUCCUCCCAUGUUGCGUCUUCAGUCGGUAUUUUUUUCCAACGGACUAGAUUUUGCUCGAUCACUUUACCUCCUCUCUUCACCCAACGUGUGUUAAGGAUAGCUUCAGGCUCCAUGAUCAUCGAGCCUUCAUAAUCCAUAGGUGGUAAAUCGACGCCGUUGCUAAGGAAAUCACCCACGGCUUUCUUAAGCAAAGAGACGUGAAACACCGGGUGAAUUUGAGCAUUCUCUAGUAAUUGUAGUUUGUAGGCAACGGCUCCAACUUUGCAAAGAACUAAAUACGGCCCAAGGUACCUGCAAGCUAAUUUCUGAUGUGCCCUUCUGAACACUGAAGUCUGCCGAUAGGGCUACAACUUUAAUAACACCAUAUCUCCCUGUUUGAACUCAACGUCGCGGCGACCCUUGUCAGUUGUUUGCUUCAUCCUGUUAGCUGUUGUGGCUAAGUUUUUCUUUAAUUGUAAGAGUAGUUCAUCACGCGAAUGUAAGGCUUGAUCAACCUCAUGCACCGGCGAGGAACCAAGUUGAUACAUGGGCACGGUUGGAGGUGGUCUUCCAUACAAAGCUUGGAAUGGAGUCAUUCCGGUGGAGACGUGGAAUGUGGUGUUGUACCAAAAUUCUGCCCACGGCAAAAAAGAAUGCCACUUUCCCGGCCACUGGUGAACAAAACAUCUCAAGUACUGUUCCAAGCAUCGAUUAAUUACCUCCGUUUGGCCGUCGGUUUGCGGGUGGUACGCUGAGCUCAUUUUGAGUUUGGUGCCUGAUAAAUUAAAGAACUCUUGCCAAAAUUUGCUGAUGAAUAUGGGGUCACGAUCACUGAUGAUUGACUUGGGCAUGCCGUGCAGCUUCACUACUCCUUCACUUUCUUCUCGAACUGGCCGCGGUGAACCAAUGGUUUCGUUGGUGCCGUGGCUAGUGGUGCCUUUGGAUGCAUUGAAAGUUUCUGCUAAUUUGCUGAUGGUGUCUUCUAAUCGCUGAAGCUUGUCAUUGAUCCCAAUCUCCAUGCGUUCCAUUCGGCUCUCCAUGCUUUUCAGGUCAGCUUCAAUUCGCUCAAUACGUUCUUUGUUGGUCAUCAUUGUUAACCCGCACUGAUACUAAUGUUAGGUCCCAGUCAGAGACAGCCAAUGAUCACGCGUAACACAAUUGAUAUUUUUCUGCUUAUGGCGAGAAAGGACCAAAUAAUUGUUGUUUAGAAUUCUCAAUGCCUUUAUUCAAAUUCUAGAGCUUAUUUAUAAUCACAAGAACUUGAUUUUCAACCUACAAUUACGACUGAAAUCAAUAAAACAAAUAUUAAAAUAACGAUUUAGCUAAUAUUUCGUAAAAGAUAAUCAAAAGCAACUUGAUAAGGUUAUCCUAAAAGCAACUUGAUAAGGUCAUCCCAAAAUCACGGCUCCAGUACUCAUCUUUACAAUUUCCACACGUGAAACUGCACAUGCAUGUGUCAUGCAUGGCUUGCAUGGGAGUCAACUUAUGCUCUCACGUAAUAUACUUAUGGUUUGGCUUUGGCAUUCUUCUAGAUCUUCGUGGCUCAUGCACUUGCUUUCUAUCACUACUGUACACAGAGAAGAUAGCAAUGUCGUGCUUUGGCACACAAGAUUAAGCCAUUUCCAUCAUAUUACUCUACUCUACAUGAAGAAGAACAAUCUAGUCAAAGGCUUGCCUGAAUUAGAAGAAGAGUUUCCUAAAUAUGCUACCUGUCAGUAUGGAAAGAAAACCAGGAUUCUGUUUCAACAAAAUAAGGCCUUGAGGGCUAUACAGAGGGUGCAAUUAAUACACAUAGAUGUAGAAGGGCCAAUGAAAACACCAUCUUUGAAUAACAGUGAGUAUUAUAUUGUUUUUAUUGAUGAUUACUCAAGAAUAUGCUGGAUUUAUUUUAUGAAGCUUAAAUAUGAGGUUACUGAUAUCUUUGUGAACUUUAAAGCUUGGGUUGAAACUCAAAGCAGAUGCAAGAAAAUUUAACAAGUUUUCUGAAUAUACAGGCAUUGAACAUCAGUUGACAGCACCUUACACUCCUCAGCAAAAUGGUGUUGUGGAGGGGAAAAAACUGGACAAUAAUGGAGAUGGCAAGAUGCUUAUUUCAUGACAAAGGGCUGCCAAAGAAAUUUUGGGCCGAGGUCGUAAAAAUUGCAAUUUUUUUUUAUUGAACAGAUUACCAACAAAAGCUUUAUAGAAAAAGACUCCAUUUAAAGCAUGGUAUGGCUAAAAACCAAAGCUGCUUAAUUUGAAGAUAUUUGGUUGUCUAUGUUUCUCUUACAUCCCUCAAGUUAAGAGAGACAAAUUGGACAAAAAAGCAGAACUUGGGAUUUUUGUAGGUUAUAGCUCAACUUCAAAAGCCUAUAGGAUCUACUUAUCGCAAAACAACAAAGUAAUAGUCACCAUGGAUGUUCAAUUCUUUGAGUUAGAUAACUGGGUUUGGGAGAAUGACAAGAAGCUUAAGGUCGAAGAUGAGAAUGAUGAUACGGAUGAUGAAAAUGUUAAAGGAACCAUAUCACUUUAUGACAUCUAUCAGAUGUGUAAUAUUGUUGUAAUGGAGCCUGCAGGGUAUGAAGAAGCUGCAAAUGAUCAGAAGUGGAUAACUACAAUGAAAGACGAGCUAAAGAUGAUUGAAAAGCUAUAGGAGUCAAGUGGGUUUACAGGACCAAACUCAAUCUUGAUGAUUCUAUAAACAAGUACAAGGCAAGACUUGUUAUCAAGGGAUAUGCCCAGGUGUUUGGGGUAGAUUUUUUUGAAACUUUUGCCCUUGCUGCCAGAUUGGAUACCAUAAGGAUAUUGCUAACUCUUGCUGCACAACACGGUUGGGUUAUACACCAAAUGGAUGUCAAAUCAGUUUUUUUUAAUGGAUACUUGGAGGAAAAAAAUUUUGUAGAGCAACGUGAAGCGUUUGUUUUUCCAGGACAAGAGGAGAAGGUAUAUCGACUGAAGAAAGCCCUGUACGAUUUAAAACAUGCACCAAGGUCCUGGUAUAACAGAAUUGACACACACUUAGCAAACUUAGGCUUCGAAAAAAGCCUAAGUGAAUCUACUUUAUAUAUCAAGAAGGCUGAUAAUGAAAUACUUGUGGUAUCUAUGUAUGUUGAUGAUCUACUCGUUACAGGAAGUAGCAAGGAGUUGAUUGAUAGGUUUAAAAGAAGAAAUAAAAAAUGUCUUUGAAAUGACAGACCUUGGGAGGAUGACAUUGUUCCCUGGUAUGCAGGCACAUCAAAAGCAAAAUCAAAUAUUUCUAUGCCAGCAAAAAAUACAAAGGAAGUUUUCAAGAAAUUUAACAUGGAAGAAUGCAAGCCAACUGCAACUCCAAUGAAUCAAAAGGAGAAGUUUUGCAAAGAAGAUGGAGCUGAAAAGGUGGAUGAAAGGUUGUAUAGGAGCCAAUAGGCUGCUUAAUGUAUUUAACUGCAACCAGACUAGAUAUCAUGCAUGCAGUGAGUUUGCUAUCAAGGUAUAUGCACUAUGCUAGUGAAAUUCAUUUUCAGGCAGUAAAAAAAAUUCUUAGAUAUGUUAAGGACACAAUUGAUUAUGGAAUAAGGUUUAGUUGAGUUAAAAAUUCCAGUUUUCAUGGAUAUUCUGGUAGUGAUUAGGUUGGAUGUGUUGAUGAUAUGAGAAGCACCUCAGGUUACUGUUUUAGCUUUGGUUCUGGAACUUUUUCAAGGUGUUCUAAGAAGCAAGAAGUUAUUGCUCAAUCCAUAGCAGAAGCAGAAUAUGUAGCUGUUGUUGCUGCAGUGAAUCAAACCCUUUGGAUCAGGAAACCCAUGACAGAUUUGCAUAUGGAACAACAAGAAGGCACACAAAUAUUUGUAGACAACCAAGCUGCAAUAAUCCAGUGUUCCAUGGCAAAACAAAACACUUUAAGAUAAACCUUUAUUUUCUAAGAGAGGUACAAAGAGAAGGAGAAGUGCAGCUGAUCUAUUGCAAAACAGAAAAUCAAAGUAUUGACAUCUUAACAAAAGCACUUCCAAAGAUUAGAUAUGAAUUCUUGAGGUAAAAGCUUGGUGUUUGCAGCUUCAGAGUCAAGGAGGAGAAUAUUGACUGAAAUGACUCAUGAAGUUAAAUCAGUUUUAUUUUUUGUUAUUUUUUAGGAUUAUGACUACUUCUUCAUGCUAUUUUCUUGCACUUAGUUGUUAGACUCAACAUGUAGCAGAUUUUUCUGCAAUUUAGUUUUCAUUAUACUGUAUAAAUAGAUGAUUUUAUUGCUCAAUAAAAUAUAACUUUGCAGUCUCUAAAUCAGCCUUCUCUCAUUAUCUUUAUAUCCAACAAUUAGUGAAGGUUUCAGUAUCUGAAGCGAGCACAACGCGCCUAACGAAAUCAAGGCAUGUGCAAAACCAAACCAACAAUCAUAAUAAUAUUUUCAAGAUUCCAUUUUUAGACCAAACUGCUAAUGGGCAGUAUUGAACCACAAACAGUACGCAUUAACAACCAUCAUCAAACCCAUUUCAGUGCCACCUAAGCAAAUCGACAUGCAACCCAAACACCAACAAAUUCCGAACAGGCUCUUGAGUCUUGGCACUUCAACCGGAGUGAAUAUCAACUGCGGUUAAAAAAGACUUAAACCAAGGACACUUGUCACUAUGUUCAUUUGGAAUCUCUUCUUUAAGCUGAAAAGACACUUUUACCCAGGCAGCUUUCACUGCUCUUUCUAACAUGGUCAAUAUGUUAAUGUGAUUUGAGUUUUAUCAGCAAUGUACUUAACUAGGGUGGUGAUCAGAAAAAUUCUCACUUAACAAAGUGGUCAUUAUCAUUGAUGAUACAUAUAACCUUUUGAACAUAAUGAUACAUAUAAUUGAAAUUGAAUUAAAACAGUAUCUUUACCAGUUUCUAAAUAUCUACCAAAUUUGGCUGACUUGAAUUUCUUCAAACCGCAUCUAUUUUUAAUGUUUAGGCAAUGUUGCUGCUGCCUUCACUGCCAAUGUAAUCUUUGAGAAUCGCUCUCAAGUAAACUAGCUGCUCAAAACUCCCUUGAAGUUCCUCCCACUACAAGCGAAAAAAGUGAAAAAAAAAAAAAUUGAUCAUUUAUUAUAUCAAACAGGUACCAAAUCUCAAUUAGGAAGAUCUUUCAAAAAAUGCAAAUAUGUAGAUGGAAUCAGGAUUGUGAUAAUGAAACUCGCCUCUUGAUGAGACAAUGACACCACAUUCCAGCCAGCAGCGGCAAUGUAGCGGCGUUUCAGCAUGGUAUGUCCUAAUGGUACCCCUGCAAAGAGAAAGAAGAAGAUCAAUUGAAUGCUAAAUUGGUGUGAAAUUGGUAAAAUAAAUUGAUCGAACACCAGAUGCACACCAGUAUUCCUUGAGAAAUGAGUUGGUCCAUCAAUCUCGAAUGCAACCUUCUUAUCGAACAGAACAGCAUCUACAGUAUACGCAUCCACGGCAUAUUCCCUAAUCCAAUCGAGGCCAGUGCUAACAAGAAGACGAGCUACCUCCUUCUGGAAUGAUGAAGUCACUUUCUGAUUAAACCUCUUUGUUUUCCCAGCACUGGCAAUUUUCUCUUCAAGAACGCUACUGAGAGCCAGCUGAAGAUGUGGGUGCUCUAGUUUCAAGCACUGGUUCACAAGAUGAACUUGAGAAGCGAACAUGAUAUCCUCCCUGUACUGCUCUGAAAUCCUUUGCUCUUCAAAACGGCUAAUAGUUUUCCAUAUGUGGGAAAAGAAAAUCCGGUCCAUUUGUCCAAGUACAGCAUAUGACCAGGCUAUGUUUCCGAGUUGAUCCCUGUUAAAGCUCAGCACAGGGGAGCUUAAACUUCCUUCAGAGUCAGCAUCUCCACUGCUUUUCACACCCCCAUUUUCAUUACAGUUUGACAACGCUUUGUUUAAACAGCAUGAGAAUUGAGUGGCAUCCUUGAAAGCAUUAUCCAAAGAUUCAAGUAAAGGGUCAGCAGGCUCAUAUAAAGAAGCAAAAGCCCAUAGCACUUGAGCAAGCUCCUGCUCUUGAAAAGUGUGAACUAUAUCUGAUGCUCUUUUUGCUAAUUCUGAAAAGAGAUCAGGAGCAGAGUGCUGCAUUGAAGCAAAGGCACCAGCAACAUUAGCAACAUUCUGAGAAUUGAACUCCCCAACCUUAGUCAAGGCUACCUCAGCAACUCUAUCCAUUUCAGACAAAUAAAGCAGUUCCCCUCCAAUCUUGGACAGUGCCCAUGCAAUAUUUGAGAUACCUUGAGCCGAACACUCAGGUAAUGCUGUCAUUGCAAUUGCCACAAGCAUUGACAUCUCUCUCUGGCGGGUAAAUGCCAAUCUAUGAGUAGUCAUCAUCGAGACUUUCUCCAUGUUCUUGGCAAUUCGAUGCAGCGCUGUGGCAAUGUUCAAAGGGGAUAGCGGCGAAGGGCUCAAACCUUUCCCAACCGCCGUAAUCAUCUCAGAAAUUACCUCCAACACCUCUGGGGCAGUCUGUGCAUCAACAAUAUCUUUGUUCAAGUUAAUUUCCUUCCUACGAUUAGAUGGCCCUGAAAAUUGGGAUAGCCUAUGUACAAACUCUUCCAUCGUCUUCUCCCUCUUUUCUUCAAACAUCCCACUUGCCAUCAUACUCACUUUCCUUCUAAGAUCAUUCAUAUCAUACCCAUUGCCACUACCCAUUAUAUCAUCCUCCGAAUCAAAAUCCAAAUCAUCAUCAGUCACCUUGUUUUUCUUUUUAAUCUUCUCUAACUUUUUCUUACCCUUUUUCUUUUUCUUCUUUACUUUAAUCAAAUCUUCCAUUGAACUAGCCAACCCCCUUGCCUCAAUAGACUUAAGCGCAACUUUUCUAGCCCUCACACACCAAUCCAUCCCUUCAUUAUCAUCCACCACCUUAGAUUUCUCUUGUUUCUUUCUCUUCUUGGGAGCUUGAUAACCAAAAGGGUCAAGCUCCCCGAGAAACUCCGAUUCCCAAUCUACACUGUCCUCACUUUCCUUCUCUUUACUAUCAUCAACUUCAUCAUCCUCAGUAACUCUUCUAAUUCUAAUAUUACUCUCUUUCUUCAAAUUCAAACAAUUAUUUCUUCGUAGACCCAACUCGAGUUUUCGGGUAAAAAACCCAUUUCUUAGUUUUAUCAACGGAAGAUUAUGAACGGUUGUUGGAUUGAAAAUGAAGGGUUUUAUUAUACAAGUAUGAUGAGUGAAUGUAUUUAACAAGCCCUCCAUAUUUUUCUUUAUCUCAUUUACAUACUGAAUAAAAGAAAAAGAUCAGCUUUAAUCAACGAAAAACAAUAAAAACAGAACACGGAGUUCGUUUAUUUAUCAGGCUACAGAUUUUAAAACUGAAAAUGAAGAGAAUUGCGACAGAUUUUGAGAAAGAGAACGUACGUACCAAUGAAGGAACUUCGCUGACUCUUACAGAGAUAAUGAAAAAUAAUGAAAAGUGAACUCGUCUCAGAGGUUUUACACGAGGUUUUUGCUUAAUGGCUUGUAAGAAUGGAAGGAAGCUCAGACGGAUAAGAGACUUCUCAUGAAGCGACGUCGUUGGGAAAAAUAAAAUGUUCACAUUAUUUUUUUAUCAAAAUCUCUUUUGAUCUUUUAACAUUUAAUGGAAUAAACUUUUAUUACAAAACCCUUAAAAAUUCCCUUUGAUAUUUUUAAAUAAAGCCAUUUCCAUGUAUUUAAUCAAAUAUUUUUAAAAAAAAAAAGUUGCUUUCGGUAAUCCAUUCUUAUUUCAAGUUAAUACUUAAAGAUUAAGAUCGGUCUGAAAUUAUUUUGAGAGCUUUAAAAAUGAUUUUAAAAAAAAGAAUUAGAGUUCACCUUUAUAGAUUUUUAUAAAAUGAAUAAUUUAUGAAAAGAGUUUGUGACUCCAGCAUAGUAAAUAAAUGAUGGAUUUCGGUUAUCUAAUUAAUCAAAAAUUCCAUUUUAUUUUGAGUUACUGAUUUAAAAAAAUAAAUAAAUACGGCAUAAACAGUACGUUGAUAUUGUGAUUAGUAUUUUGGUACCUUCAACUCCUAGAAAAAACAAAGAAUACGCAAGGAAAAGUGAAAGUGAAAAGAGAAUCUUUAGAUUUGUAGGAGGUAUUCUUCUGCAAAGCCUGCAGCUUGUAAAGAAUAAUUUAUGAUUCUAAAUUUUUGUCACAUACAGAAACUAGAUUUUGCUUUCAAUUACAUUACAGGGCCACCUUGCAUAAAUAUUGAAGGAAUGUACAUUAAUAAACUAAACUUGGAUUGGAUUUUUGGUGUUCCCUCAAGAAUAGCGAAUUUUCAUUUCCUUCCUGGAGAUACAUAAGUGUUCUAUUUAUCUUAAUUCAUAAAACAAUCAUGGAAGAAGAAUCCGAUUUUGCCAACGAUUGAUUUCAUUUUCAUAUGAUGCUGCCAUCUGCAAUUUCAGCCCCAUGAAUAAUCACCACAAUUCCUUCACUGAUAAUGUAGCCAUUAGCUUCUCUAUCUCCUUCUUGGACACCAUCUUUGUUAAUGAUCUGCAUAACAGUAAUGAUCAAAUUUGGUUUCAGCAUUGAAAAUAAAAUGUGCAAACUGCAGAUAUAACAAGAUUCUGCAAAAGCUGAAGUUGACAGCAAAGAUGUACUAGAGGUUUUGCUACUGCGAAUUGAUGAAGAUUGAUGGAUUUUCCAUAAUACCAAAACAUUUUUGCCAAUCCUGGCAUUCUUAUCUAUAACGGCUUUCUUUAUUUGAGUAUCUUCACCAAUUCCUACUGGAAUGGCCUUGUGAUUGAUACACUUGCCACUGCUUUGAAUAUCCUCUCCCUGCUGAUUGAAACAUGCUUGUGUUAGAAGUAAAGUAAUGAAAAAGAAGCAGCAAAUGUUGUUUUUUAAGAACCCUGGAUCCCCCCUGGUUGCAAAGCAUUCAGAAAAGGCUAAAUCCAGCUUUGACCAAACAAAACAUUCAUUUGGAAUGACAUUAGGAAGCUUCAUUUACGUGUGCUCUUUUUGAGAGCUCACUAAAGCAUUUAAUGAGACAGAGAAUUGAAGGGUAUACGAAGUCUAAAUAUCUCUUACUUGAUAGAAAUCAGCGCCCAUGAUCACGGAAUCUUCUAUUACUGCCCCAUCUCCAAUUCUUGUCCUCAUACCAAUAACUGUACCUUUGAUCUUGCACCUCUAUUGUUAGAAAGGUCAAAAAUGUAUUUCCAGACAACAAAGUAAAACGACAUUUCAGAAAGAAUAUGCAAAAUGCUUUUACUUACAUUGAUAAUGCAACCAUCUCCAACGACACUGUCUCUUAUUACAGCUUCUCUGAUCAUAGUUGGAGGCAGACACCGAGGCAUGGUGUAGACUGGACAAUCUCUAUCGUAGAAGCUGCCAUGGAAGGAAAGUUUGAGUUAGUUGGCGAGGAGCCAUUACAUAUAGUUUGUAAAAUUCACAAACACAAUUUACUUGCAUUAUCCUUUCAGCCCUUUCCGGUAAUUUAGCCACUGACUUAUAUCUCAUAUUUGAUCUCUUAAUGCAUUCCAUGUUUGCAUGGUAAAAUGCUUCUAUGCUCCUCAUGUCCUCCCAGUAUCCAUCGAACAGAUAAGCUUCAACCUGUCAUAACAAAAGUAGAAGGCAUGGAUGUAGCAUAUAUAGAAGUAAAAGUGCAUUUGCAAAGCUUAUGCAUAAUCUACUUAGUCUGACCUUCAUGCCAAUGGAUAUUGCAGCUGGUAUUACUUCACUUCCCAAAUCGGUUGCCUCAGGCAAAUAUUCUUUUAAAAGCCUUGACAUUGUAUCUCUAUUAAUGAGAUAAAUCCCCAUACUUGGAAAAUUACCAGAAGCAACACUGUCGGAUUUUCUUGAGCUUUUUCCCUGAAUUUUGGGAUAAACGCUUCUCAAAUAAGCACCUUCCAAAGUCAGAAUCAAGUUUUAUAAAAUGGAGAUUGAGGAAGACACUUACUGAGAUGGAAGUUAUUGUUUCCCUCUCUGAUUUCAUGCUAAAUUCUAUUACCUGAUUCGCUGGAUUUACUCUCAACAAACCAAAACCAGGGUGUUUAUCUCUUAUUGCAUUUAAAGCUACAAUAGUUAUAUCAGCUUUGUUAUUCCGAUGAGCUUCUAUUAGCCUCUGAUAAUCCAUUUUGUACAAAUGAUGGCCUGGAAGGAUAAGAAACUCAGUCACAGGAUACUCUUCUAGCACCCACAAGCAUCUUCUUAUAGCAUCAGCAUUUCCCUAACAAUCAGAACCACAAAACAAAGAAUGUUGUCAAAAUGCUGAUGCCCAACAUCUAUUUCAGGAAAAACUAGAGGCUCUGAGGCAGAAAUAGAAGUAGACAUCAACAAACCUGAAACCAGUCCUGGUCUUCAAGGCUCUGAUAUGCAGCAAUCACUUCGACAAACCCAUCUUUCCCACGAAGUAUACCAGAGAAGGCUCUUGAGAGAUGGAGAUUGAGGGAAGUUGAGUUGAACUGUGUGAGAGCAUAUAUCUUGUUAAUGUUGCUAUUAAUGCAGUUGCUUACGACUGCAUCAACAAGUCUGUAGUUGGCUGCCAAAGGAAUAGCGCCUUCUGAUCUUCUCUUUGUCAAUGGGUAGAGUCUUGACUCCGAUCCAUCUCCAAAUACUACUGCUGCAACACUCUGCAACAAACAAAUCUUCAAACAUCAAAGAUGGAUUUAUGUAUAAUAUUUGCUAGAAAGCUUGUGAGUAAAGAAAAAUGAACCUGGUCUACUGGAGGGAAAAGUGGAACGGGAUAGUAAGGCUCCUGUGAAUUGCAUAAGUACAAGCUAGCAGGAAAGGAAGAAGGAAGCUUUGACAAGUGUUUCUGUUGAUUGCGUGCCAAUCCUAAAAUGGGAAGCUUUGCUUGAUGUUUAACAAUGAUGGGACAAGAAAGCUGCAAUGUCACCAUGGGAAGAGAGUGCAAGAAAGAGUACAGUAUGCAACUUUCUUAUAGGUUAUGAUCUGUUAAUGUAUUUUUGCUUCAUUUGUUCCUUCUUGUGCAUUUGAGAUUUAAUAGAGAAAACAAGAGGGGAAUAAUUUAAUUUCUUCUUCCUCAUGACUACUGCAGAGAGAUCUGCCUUGCCUGGCUAGAUGUUGAUGACCAUAUGACACAAAGCUGUCAGAGACCUUUGUUUGCGCUAUUGUGUUUAACUUUGAUUCUAAGCUUCUUGUUACUUUUCCUUAUUCUUUGAUCUGAUGCAACUUGUUUGCAACUUUCUAUGCUAAGAAUGCAAAGUUAUUUUAAACUUACAAAAUUACCAGGAACAGCUUAUUUAGUAUUAAAAGCUGCCCUCAGAAUGACAACAUUACCCUCAAACAUACAGAGAUGGGAUUGGACAAGGACUCUUGAAAAUGGAAGUUAAACCAAAUUUCUAAUAGUCACUUAAGAAAAAACCUAAAUGUUUGCGCAGUUGCCCUUUUAUUAGAUAUUUUGCUGGUUUUGGUUCUUUAGUUCAAUUGGUUACAGUUGGAAGGUUGAAGCUUAUAGCCAACACCAGACAUUUGGAAUGGAGUAAUUUCCAAGUCAGGAAUUGUCUCGGCUUUUUUGCCUCAUGGUUUUAUUGCCAAUUUUCCACAUUAUUAUAUUCUCCCACCAAAUUAAUAGAAUUGAUUAAAGAACUGAUUUAACGUCAAUAUUUAAGGGUUAUGAACAACUUCAUGUGUACAAGGUGGUUUAGGCACCAAAUAUUAAAAAAUGAUGAAAAUUGCUCAAUACGCAAAUCAGCAAAUCCAAGCAAAAGCCUUAACCAUACACAUUUCACUAGUUUUCUCUCACCCUGAAAUCAAACUUCUUCCCACAAGCCAUGGCAAAUAGGCUUGCUAGCAACGUCACGCCUUUCAUGUUUUCAAAAUAACACCGCUAAUUCCCUACAAUCUGACCAUCAAUCAUGGAUGCAAAUGCCCUUUAUUUUGAAUAUUGUCAUCUAGAAAUACAUGUGAGAAGCAUACAGAAUCCAGAUUGUUUCUGAUUCAGAACAUUACGAAAUGCUUUUUCAGUAUCUGGGUGACGCGCAGGGAAAAGUAUCCAGUAUUGAAGCAGUGAACAAAUUGCUUAUCGUAUUUUGGAAUGCUAAGGCUAACCUUUUGCAGAUCCCAAAACUGUCCAUACAAAGGCUUCAGGUAUCAUGAAACUACAACAAAAGGCCACUUUCUCAAAAAGAAAAUAUGAGCGGAAAAAGGACUCUGUCCAACUCUUCUUGGUGAAACCACUACUUCAGGUGGUGCUCAAAUAAAGAUGCCAUUUCAAUCUGCAGCACAAACCAAAAAUAACCAUGAAAGAGCUGAAUCAACUAGAUAAAAUAUUAAUCAAAGCAAUUUUUUUUUUGUCUAGGAAAUUAUUUUGUCAGAAAAGACCAGCAAGAAAACAGUACUACACAUGCAUAAACCAUCUGUUAAUUAAAAAAAUAAUGCUGUACCGUACAUCAGUGCAAUUACUACUGGUACUUGCAAUGCUAGGAUUCAUAUCUUUUUAAUCCAGGACUCUACAUAAUAUAUUUACUUCAACGAGUAGCACAAUAUCACAGAUUUAGCAAUUAAAAUCCAAUUGCAUGAUACUACUUAACAGUAUUGAUUUAACAUCAACUUACAGCAGUCAAAGCUGCCUCAGCACCCUUAUUCCCAGAUUUACCACCAGCUCGAUUCAAAGCCUGCAAUUAUCAUCAAAAGACAACAGUUGCCGAUUUUAAUUGUUUGAUGGCACGAAAAAGACCUAAAUUAGUCACAUUUCUGGUUUCAUGGCAUUAUAGGUUACCUGGUCCAUGUUAUCGCAAGUCAGGACACCAAAUAUGCAUGGAACACCUGUUGUACAUUGGAAACAACUUCAGUCAGGAACAAUGUAUAACCAAAGAUACAGAUCAACAAAAUGAUGAGCUGCAAUGAUAUGCUACAGCAUAGUUUUCCCGCUGCCCAAAGGCAAUUCUUCCAAGGGGAUUCAGGUUUGAAUUAAUAAUUCAGGAGGCCACUGGCAGGAACUAAGUAAAACCAUACUUUGAAGCAUCAUCCAACAAUAUGAUAAUCUACAGGUAUCAAUAAUUUCAUUCUUUCACUGGUUUAUCUGAAUAAUAACCCAAAAAAAUAAAAAUAAAAAUAAAAAUAAAACAAUCAAGACCAAGAAAACAAUUUUUUUUUUUGGCUCACAUAUGAGCCACCUCGCUAACAGGUAUCAUCGAAAAGACAUACUAGAAGACACGAAACUUAAAGGGUCCAAUGUUUGCCAUAGACAGAAAAUUAGAACAAAAUACAUCAAUGGAAUGGAAAGAUGAUAAAGCCAGCGAACAUAGAUAUGGCAUGAUUCAAAUAUUAAGACAAGAACAUAGAUACAAAGAAUAAAAACAUGUAUUGUAGCAUUCUUCAAUCAAGCUGAGAUCAUAUCAGACCCAAAAAGCUAGAUACAGAUAUUUCAACACUUGACAUUUAAAGGGGUUGAAAUGAUAAAAUUUAAUCAUAUUCAGAUAGUAGUUACCUCCCAUUUGUCCCAUAUUCUAGUAAAGAAAAUACAAUCAAUUCAACAACAGAAACCAAAAAUGAAACAGUAACCUGAAUUCAUGCCAGCUGAAAGAACUCCGGAUGCAGCAGAAUUAGCUACAGCAUCAUAGUGAGUAGUAUCACCUCUAACCUACUGACCAAAAAAAAAAAAAAAUAGGGUUCAUGGAUUAGGUAAACAUCAGCAAUAUUUACUUAAACAAUAAUCCUUCUUGAUCCAAAAAUAUAUACAUAAAACAGAAGAUAUUUUAUCCUGUUAACAUAAUUGUGGAGAAACCAUACCACGGCACCAAUACACAAAACUGCAUUAUACUUCCCAGACUUCCCUAGCUGUUGUGCAACAACACCAAUUUCAAAACUACCAGGAACCCACACAACCUGGUGAGAAAGUGAAGAGAAGAAUCAUUACACAUUAAAAUCUUCUCAUCUGAAAGACCAAUUUAGAAACCAAAUGCUCAAAAGCCUGCUUGCUUCGCAAUGAAUCAUUCUAGAAUUCCCAAUAAACAAAAUGGAAUGCAUAAGCAAACAUUAUAUGAGGGUUCUAAUUUACAUUUAUGGACUGUGUAGACGAGGCAAAAGAAUAAAGCAAAGUCAAUAUAGCUACAUCAUUUUGAUAAAUAUAAACAAUAAAAUGUACAAAAUACUUGAUAGAACCAAGUACAAUAAAGAAGAGCUACAUACAUCAAUGUUUUCUUCUUUAACUGAAUACUUCUUGAAGGUCUCCAAAGCUCCCUCUAACAGUAGUUUUGUCACAAGCUCAUUAAACCGUGCAACAACCUUGAUGAGAACGAAAAAAUAAUUAAUAACAAAAAUGGCCCAGAUGAGUAUUAACAUCAUAAAAAGAAAAGGAAACAAAUUCGGGUAAGACAAGUGAAUUUGCAUUGAAAUCAAGAGAACAGACCAAAGCAAAACGGAGCCCCUCAUUUUUUGUAAGGAAUCCAGUCAAAUGCCUCACAGCUUCCGUUUGUACAAACGAUAAACGUUCCUUCCUCUCAAUCGCAAUCUGGGUUCCAAAUCCUGAAACUUAGAAAGAAGUCAACAACAAAACAACGACCCAUUCACUGGAGACCUAAAAAGAAAUGGCAAAAAAAAAAUGCAAAAAGAGACCUUUGAGUGAAGAAGAAUGUGAAAAGGACAUAGAAGUUGGUUUUGGAGAAAACCCAUUAAUGAAUUGACGAGAUGAUGAUGCGAGAGGAGAGUGAUGAAUUGUUGUUUUGAGGUUUAAAGCCAUUUUUGUUCUGAUAACAGCUCAGUGUCAGACUGAGACUUCAAUCUGAGUUUUAAACCCUAGUGUUAGUAGAGUAGUUGGGUAACCGUAAAAGUAAAAUGGGUUGAAAAAAACACGACCCAAAACCAAAUGAGUUAACGCGGGUCGGGCUCGGGAAAAAGAGAGGGUUUUCUUUUUGGUUAAUUUGCUUCCUCCUUUUUAGUCUUUACUAGCCAGCCACCGUUUAAAACUAGCAGCCGAUUUUGUAUUUUUUUAAUCAUUCUUAUUACAAACCCUUUACAGAAUUCUCUUUCUUUCUCAAGGUAUGUAAUCAAAAUUUGAUCUUCCACUGUAAAAAUCUCAGCUUUUUAUAAUCCUUUCUAGUUGACGGGGAGGGAUGUGAUAUGGCUUUUUUAUGUGGAACAGAUAAUGGCAUCUUUGCUCAAAGCUCCAACCAACAACACUUUGCAACUGCAUAAGUUGGAUUUGUUUACUGGAAGCAGCAGAAUCAACAGACAGAGUAGUAAUAGUGGUAAUGGGAAUGUUGCUUUCUCGAGAAAAAGAUCUUUGGUGCCACCGGUUCUGUCAAUGUCAGCAACAGGAGCAUCAACUAAAGAACAUUUGGAAACACCCAUGUCCAAAAAUUUGCAUAUUCCCAUCAUGGUAUUAUCUCAUAUUAACCUUCUACUGCUUUUAUUUUCUUUUGGUAUGCGAUGAAUUUUAAAAUUUGUGACUUCAAUCUUACAAUUGGGGUAAUAAAAGAAUGUUUUAAUAAUCAUUUCUUUUUCUUUUUUUGGAGGGGGAAAAAAGAUCAUUGAAUUGAUGUUGGAUGGCUUGAAUUGACUGAAUUAGCCAAGUUUUAGUGAUGUUGCUUAGUGACCCGGAGGGGAACUAACUAGAGUUAACAGAUAUGUUUUUUUCUAUGAUAAUGGACAUGAAGCUGUGGCUCCUUGGUUCUGAUGCUAAUCAUAUAUUGCUUGCCCUUUGUAGCUGCAUUGUCUUGCUUCUACCUGUUUAAGUGUUAUUUGAUUUUAAUUGAACUUUUUGCACUUGUACAAGGAUGGUAAUGAAGUUUAUUUAUUUAAUAAUUAUUAUGUUAGUUUAGCUUUCUAUGAUGAGCAAUAGUGUAUAUAUUGUAUGUGUUGAUGAUACACCUCAUGCUUUAUAAUUUCAUAUCCAUUAUAGGUAAAUAGUUGUACUGGAAAAAUGGGGAAGGCUGUUAUCAAGGCUGCAGAUGCUGCAGGACUUGAGCUGGUUCCUGUAUCAUUUGGCACAGAAGAGGAAUCUGGGCAAAAGGUGGAAGUGUGCGGGAAAGAGAUCCAGGUUCAUGGUCUUUCUGAUAGGGAAAGUGUACUUGCAUCUGUCUUUGAUAAAUACCCAAACAUGAUCGUUGUGGACUAUACUGUGCCUGCUGCUGUGAAUGGUAAGCAAUUGUAGUGUUUGUCAUUUGAAAAAGAAAAAUGCAUCUUAAAUUUGAAAAUUAUAUUCGGGCAAAUAAAUACUGGUAUUUUGGUGAUAGGAGCAAUUAUUUUUCCUUUUUUAAGAUGUUUCAAGUGAGAAAUUACUAGAAUCUUUUGCCUAGAGAGAUGGUGAAUACUGAAUAAAUUGUGUUCGAAAAAAGGAGCAAAGCCACUGUCCCAAGUUUCUCUUCUUAAUUAUUUAAGUUCCUACUCAAAUGCUCUAAUUAUAAGUUGUCAUUCUGACUUAUCAGUAGUAUUAGGACCGUUGACCUUGUUUAUUUUAUAACUUUCUACCGGACCUUUAAGAUAAUACAUAGUGGAUAAUUCAGCCCUCAUUGAAUUGCUAAGGUGCAGCAGAAUGCUUCCUCUGCUGCAUUUGCCUUGCUCCAUAUUUUUUUAAUUUAAUGAGGUUGCAAAUAAUGUAGGUAAUGCAGAGCUAUAUUCCAAAGUUGGAGUGCCCUUUGUUAUGGGAACCACUGGUGGAGACAGGGUCAGAUUGCAUGAGACAAUAGAAAAUUCAAAUGUUUAUGCUGUGAUAUCCCCACAAAUGGGAAAACAAGUAAUAUGAAUUGUACAACUUUAAUCGAAAAUAAAACUUAAACACAUUUGAUUGGUUGUAUAAAUAUCCUAAUAGUGUGUUGAUUUGAUAGGUUGUGGCAUUCCUUGCAGCUAUGGAAAUAAUGGCUGAGCAAUUUCCUGGAGCCUUCUCCGGGUAUUCUUUGCAGGUACUUUUGUUUCCUAAUUUCUUCUUAGGGUUUAUCUGAUGCUAUAAUAAUAAUAAUAGAUGAUGCAUUUUUGUUCUUAGGUGUUGGAGUCCCAUCAAGCUGGUAAAUUGGACACAUCUGGAACUGCCAAAGCUGUUAUCUCAUGCUUUCAGAAACUGGGGGUGUCUUUUGAUAUGGAUCAGGUGUGUUCAAGGGCGUUUAAGCUGUUGUCUUUGAAUCUUUCAUAUGUUAUCUUUAGGCUUUGCUAUUUGUUAUUCAGGAUUCCUACAUAUUGAAAUAUUGUGAAUAUAAUAAUCAUAAUGUGAUAAAAAUGAAAUAAUGCAUAAGUUUUGUAUGAAUGCCACAUAACAGGGAUAUAGACUUGGGUAUUUGUUUGUUUCGUUUAAGUGUAUUCAGGCAUAGAUGUUGACAGCCAUGCUUUUGGCUCAUAUGUUUGGUGUGCACGCAUGUCAGUGAUUGUCAACUUAACGAAGAGUGAAUAGAUUAGCUAUUUUGAUGUUCUAUUGAUUGGUAGAUUCUAAUCUGAAUCUUAAGCUCUAUUCGGGAGUGCUGCACUGCCACAGCGCUCCCAAAGGAAGCUUUAGACUGCUAUCGGCUUGGUAGACCUUGCUGGUUUUAGAACGUCUAAAUUGUUUUGGCUGGUUUUAUAAUGUCUAAUUUGUUUUGGCAUUAAUCCAUCUUGUGAAUGAAUGUGCUUUUGUGUAUGUCAAAUUAUCAAUUAGAAACAUUGUCAUUUUAAAAGUAUAUUGAACUCUGUUGGAUAACUCUUUCUUGGUUGAAGAAAAUGCCUAUUUUAAGUUAGUUUUGUCAAUUUCCGAUGUCUGUCUACCGGCCACAGCUUUGUUAUCUUUCUAACAAUAAUUUUUUAUUUCCUCUGUUGGUUUCAUAAUCCAUAAUCUUCCUGCCGUAUUCAUCAGAUACAAAUGAUUCGGGAUCCCAAGCAACAACUUGAGAUGGUGGGAGUUCCAGAGGAGCAUUUACCUGGUCAUGCAUUCCAUAUGUACCAUUUGACAUCACCUGAUCAAACGUAAUCCCAGGCAUCCUAGUUUGUUCCCCCUCAUUUUUGUCCGGUAUAUAUUUUCAUUUUCUUCUUUGUUAGAUUUUAAUCAUAAAUGACUUCUUUUUUUUCUGUCUUUUUCUCUCUUCGCAGAGUUUCUUUUGAAUUUCAGCAUAAUGUUUGUGGGAGAUCAAUUUACGCAGAGGGGACUGUUGAUGCUGUGCUUUUCCUUUCUAAGAAGGUGCUAAUACUUUCACAUCUCACAUUUUAUUUGCUCUUAUUCCGUUGCUUCCAAUGAUAAUAUAACCUUUCAUUAUGUGAAUAUUGAUAUAGUUAUAAUCAUUAUCAUUUAUGCGCAUGCUUAAUUUGACCGUGCCAUAACUUUGCUUUUAUAGUAUCCUUAUCAUUCGAUGACAACAAAUUAACUCGAUAGUCUGACCGAAAUUAAAAUUGCAAAAUUGCUUAUGAUCUUCUUACUUCUGUAAACAUCCAAACAUCGACCUUUAUGAUCUCAAGUUGUUUCGUCUUGAAUUUCUUGUUGUGUGAUUGCUUCUUACUCAAUAUUUUCAUGCAAAUCGUUGCGUAAAAACAGGUUCAGUUGAAGGCAGACAAGCGUAUCUACAACAUGAUAGAUGUCUUGCGAGAGGGAAACAUGCGUUAAAAUUUUGUUUUAGCUAUGUUCCUUGUAUUAGUAUUUAGUACAUUCUUCGCUCAACAUUUUUGGGAUUAUGAUGAAACGUGCAAUGCAAUUUUGGAUUAGUAACUUUGGCCUCGCAAUAUUUUGUUGUCAUAUACUUUUACUGCUAAUUCAUGAGAACAUGACAGACUAGUUAUGAGUUGAAGCCCCACUUUUCGUUGCCAUUGUUAAAUAUUUUUGUGCAUGCAUAUAGAUAUCAUUAUUUAUGGCAAAAAAAAAAAAUAAACAUUGACUUUUUUAAUUUCAUUGAUAGAUGUUACAUGUGAUAUAAAAUAAUUUUACAUCAAUUAAUUAUAGACAUGUAAACAUAUAAUAAGUGUGAAAUUGAAAAAAAAAUAUUUUGAUAAUUUAUUGCCAACAUAUGAACAAAAAAGAGUUUUUAUGGGAUAAAUAAUAAAAGGAGAUUCUGCUUAUAAAAAGGACUCUUUAUUAGUGUGUUGGAUCAUCAAGUAAUAAAAUUUUAGAAUCAUCAAGUAAUAGAGUCUUCUAUCUUCUUUCUUGUAAAAAUCUUUCUCUUACAAUAAAAUUAUUCUUUAUAUAUUUUCUUAUUUUUUAUCGAAUUAUUGAUAGAACUCAAAACUAUGCGGUAAUUGUAUGGGUUUAGGCUAUAUAUGGCACUAUGGUUAUGUGAUUUUUAAGCUACAAAUGAAGCCAAACAAAGAUAUUCUAAAAAAUUCAUUAUUUUUUUCUUGAUUUUAAUAUCUUUUUUUUUUAAAGAAAGGUAUUCCGAAAAUUCAUUAUUGUUUAUUUUUUAGUUUUACUUCUGUAAAGUUAUAUAUAAAUUUCAAUUUACUCAAAGAUAAUCUUACAAUUUUUGAGAAAAUGUAAUAAGAUUGAGACUCAGCUAUAGUGCAACUGUGGUUCUAAAUUGAUGAUGUCUUCACAAGAAGACAAUAUAAUACUUAAAUCAAACCUUAUUAAUUUUUAUUAUAAUAUUAUGAAAAUAAAAAAUUUAAUUUAAUUUAAACUUUCAAUCCUUUUUUUUUUGUUGGAAAAAUUAUAGAUUCCCCUUUAUAUCCAAACUAAAAUGGGCCAUGACAUUUACCCCCUUCAAAUUAAAAAAUGGUACACUUAAAUCCCUUACACUAAUAAUUUAAGUUAUUUUAUAAACCGUAAUCAUCUAUCAAAAUGAAACAUUAUAUAUGUGUUAUGAGCAAUGUUGUAUUUAAUAAAUUGAGUUAAUUACCUAAUUUAAGUAAGUUUUAUUUAUUUUUAUUUUCAUAUUUUCUUAGCUUAAAAACUGAAAAAUAUAAAAAUAAGAUUAAUAUAUAAUCCAUGAUGAGAUGAAAAUGGAAUAACAUUAAAUUAUCUUAUUAUGGAAUAAAACUUCAAAAGAAAAUUCAGUAUACAAAUAGCUUAUGUUUAUACCAAAAUUCUAAAUACAAAAAUAUAGAUUAGGUAAUUAACUUAACUUAUUACAAACGAUAUUAUCAUAUUACAUAAAAAAAAAAGCAUUUUUACAGAUGUUUGCUAUUUGCAAAAAUAAAUUAAAUUAAUUAGGGGUAAAAUGAGCUUUUUAUUGUAAAAUGACUUAAAAGGUCCAUUGCUACCAUAAUGAGGUUAAGUGUAAGAUCUUUAAAUUUGAAAAGGAUAAGUAUCACAAUUCAUUUUGAGUUUGCGUAUAAAUAUUUUUAAUUUAUAUUUAAAGCAAAAUCCAUAAUUUUUUGUCUUUUUUAUUUUAAUUUUCGGAUAGGGCGAGACUAUUUGAAAUAAUUUUUACAUUUUUAAUUUAUAACUUUUUCCUUUUAGAGUGAUGCCAUUUCCACCCUUCGAAAAUCUUAUAAACCCCUUUUUCCACUUUACUUUUAAAUAUUCCUUCAUACUUAUUUAUUAAAAAAGAAAAAGCCAAUCUUAAAUCUCUCCCGCUAAACAUAUUAAUUUCCCCUCUCUAUAAACUUUCUCAUACAGUAUUUUUAUUUUGGUUUAGAUUUCCUAUCAAAAUAUAUAAAUUCAUUUGUGCACUUCUAAAUCACUAUCCUUCCUUCUUAUUUCUUAACAAAAUUCCAUAAGAUGUUGACUUUCUCUCUCUAGAAUGAAUUUUAACAUUCAUUCUUCAAGUGAACUUUUUAAAUUCAAUAUAUUUUAUUGCGUGAAUUAUUAAAAUUUUUAUUGCUUUUGGAUUGUUCAUAAUUUAAAGUUCCGACACUUGUUCUACUAUUAAUUAAGACUCAAAGGAAAGCAUUUAUCGUUGUCGAUGAAUGAAAAUGGGUUUUGCAAAGGUCACCUUUUGUUUUAUAAAAUUAUUUCUAAGGUUAAAAUCGUAAACAUAUAUGAUACGGGGUUUUAAAAGAUAUUUAAAGGGGUGUUAGAAGCUCAAUUCGUUCUUGUAUAAAGUUAAACUAGCGAACUUGCCCAAGUUUUAGUGGGCCGAAACCACUUACCACAACCAAGUUCCGAUGACCGACCCGGCCCAGUUUACAUCCCAACUUCAAGAGCAACUUUGAUCUUCGAACUUCCGCUCAGCUUGGUGACUUGGUUUCGUUCAAUUCAAGCAAAACGAUGGAGAGCAGAGAAGAUUUGAAGUCAAUACUAGCGUACUUACCGGUGCUGGUUCGAUCGAAGAAUCUGUUUUGGCCAUCAAAAGUGGUGGAAGCACUGAAAGAAAUGGCGCAAGGGCCUGAUCACAGCGGGGUCAAUUCUGGGGAAGUUUUAUUUGUUGCAAUUCGUGAUAUGAGAAGCUCGCUCUCUCUCCUUCAACCUCUCGCCCCUUUUGCUUCUGAGGGUUACGCCCUCUUCUUCGAUGAGGUAAAAGCUCUUAAUAUCAUCUGGUUUUGCGUGUUUUUUGUCAGUUCGUUGAAGUCUCUGUGUUUGUAUUUUGGUUCUGAAGUUGAAACUUGAGUGUUUCGGUUUAAUAGGCAUGGCUUUCACUUGAUUGUAGAACUAGAAAUAAGAAACCAUUUGCUUGUUUAUUACUACAUGAAGAAAGAUUGUUUGCUGUGCUCGUGAGCUCCAGCCUAGUAAUCUGCAGUUGGUGUGGAAUGAAAUCACUAGCUCUCAAUUUAAAAAUUAUCCGUUAAAUACAAAUCAGUGUCUGCAUACACUGUAGCUGCUGCGCUUUCAGAAUUAAGUAGAAGCUCAACAGUGAAAACAAUACCCUGAGUUGUUUCUUACUUUCUAGUGUGUUUCUUUCCCUCUCAGAUGUAUUUGAUCAAUUUGAUCGACUGCAAAUUUAAACUGAGGGAAUGUUAAGGACAGCUUGAGUCUCUUUAUUGAUUUCAUUACUUUUAGUAAAAUACUGCUAUUUAGUAAAUGUGCCUACUCUCACAAUUACCAUAAAGAUGUAAAUAUCAUUGACGCUUAAUUAAGAGGAUUUAUGCAGCUGAUUUCCCGGGCAGAGGCGGCAGAGUGGUUUGGAGAGGUUCUCCCAGCACUGGCAAAUCUUCUCUUGCAGUUGCCCGCUCUGUUGGAAAGUCACUAUCAAAAUGCGGAUGAUAUUCUUGGUAAAUAUGGCUUCAAAACUGGUCUCCACUUAUUGGGUUCACAAGAAGGAGGCAUGGUGUUCCUUAGCCAGGUAUCCAUGUGUUUAGUUGGUCAGUAGUAAGGCCUUAUAUCCCCCAUGUUUGCAGGAUUUAUAAAAUUCUUAUGUGCCAUUUAUGUUAAAAUAGAUGAGGAACAAUGACCCACAGGGUAACCUAUUUUAGCUGUGCUGAAGAUUAAAAUGAUUUUAAUAUGAUGUGAUCUGCUCGCAUGGCUAGCUAGAGAUGGUUCUUUUUUUUUGUUCCCCUUUUUUGUACUGUUGAUAGCCUGUGAGUGGCUUGAACAGCAACUUACUUAUCAAUAAAUUAGAGAAGAAUCAGAAAUUGGUACUAUUGGACAGGAUGCUGGAUGUGGUACAAUCUCUAAAAAUUAUAAUGAUGGGACACGAAAGAUGACCCACCUCCGUAGAUUCACAACUAAUUCUCUCUUCUCUUUCAAUCUCUCUCUCUCUCUCUCUCACACAUUUAUUUUUUCCCUGCUUAAAUACUCAAUAAUUUCUGAUAGCAUCAAUGUUGCUUUUCAGGAAUUGAUUGCUGCUCUUCUUGCAUGUGCUUUCUUUUGCUUGUUCCCAGCCAGUAAUAGAGGUGCAAAUCAUCUUCCGACCAUCAACUUUGAUGAAUUGUUUGCGUAUGUGACCUCUUAAGCUAUAUUCUGUGGACCUUUGAACUGUUUUAUUCAUCCAUGGUAGAAAAAUCAUAAUGAGGUAGGGUAUUGCAAUAUGAUUCUUGUUUCUACUUGUUUAGCUUUGCAUUGCGUUAUGUCUAAAACUUCUCACACUGGGAACCAAAGUUUGAAAGUAAUUGCAACUGUGUUAGUAUCAUUGUUAUGCAUCAUUUCAAAUAAAUAAAUAGGAAGAUUCAAGCUUGCUUAAUCAAUGAAUUGGCAAGUUUGGUUUUCGGUGUUUCUUGGCGAGAGAGUGAUAAUAUUUUUUUUUUCCGUCUUUGUAGAUAUAUGCACUUCUGUCAGUAGGAUUGUGUUAAAUCGUUGCUUUUAGUGAAAGACUGAACUUGCUUUUGUUCUUCCUACUAGUGAUUGCUGGUAACAAUUGGAAGGAAAAGACAAUUUGGCUGUAUUUUGCUAGACAUGAUCUCAAAUAAAUUUUUUGUUGAGGGCAAACCUGGAUGCAGUAAACAUUGUCGUGUAAGAAAGCAAACUUUUAGGAGCCUCUAGACCACAUAGACUAAGAGAAAUAUCUUGUAGCAACAAUAUCUCUUGUGCUUCCAAAAUGAAGUAUGUGUGUCACUAUUUUCCCCAAAUAGUUGCUGUAGUGGAGGCUUGGAUGCUUCUAGGUAUCUUGACAGCUAGGGGAAAUCUGAAUGAUGCAUGCGCAAAGGGUUCCUUAAAUGCAAAACCUGAGCUGAUUGUUUUAAUGUCUCAUUGUGACCUAUUGCUAUUAAUUAGCAUAAACGGUUAGUGCAGUAAUUACUAUGUUCCUUUUAUGGUUGAUCUGAUUGCAUGAUUUUCUGGUUUUAUCCAUGAAAUCAAUUUUCUACUUCUUCUAUUUUCUUUUCUUUGCUUUUAUUUUUUAUUUUAUUUUAUUUUUUAUAAUAGUAAAUGUCAUAUACAAAUUUCUAUGUUUUCCUGAACCCACUACAUUAAUCACGUCAAUUGCAUUCUUCAGGAGUCUAUAUGAAGGUUAUAGUCAAAAGCAGGAAAAUAAAUUAAAGUGCAUUGUACAUUAUUUCAAGAGGAUAUGCUCCUGCAUGCCUGUUGGCUUUGUCUCUUUUGAGCGGAAAGUUCUUCCUCAGGACCGCCAUCCUUUAUUCACGUCUUAUCCUGAAGCUGAUUUUUGGAGCAAAUCUGUGCUGCCCCUCUGUGCUUUUGAGGUAAUUCAAUUUAAAUUUAAAUAUUUGCUACUGUAAAAGUUGAAUUCAAUUUAUCUAAUGUCAUAUUUCUGCUGUAGAUAAGAAAAUUUUGUAUUUGUAGGUUCAUAGUCUAGGCUUCAUAGAAGAUCAAUCCGCCAAUGCUCUUGAAGUAGAUUUUGCAAACAAAUAUAUUGGGGGUGGUGCUCUUCAUAGGGGCUGUUUGCAGGUACUAUUUUUUGUUAACAAUUUUACUGUGACUUCCUUAGUGGUUCAUACUUAAAUUAGGUAUUUUUUAUCGCCUAUUCUUAAAUAUAUUGUUCCCUGUUUGUGUUACUUCUGCAUGAAUGCCUUCUCAUUUAAAUUGCUUUCCUUAUUUCCCUCCGCCUACGUCAUGUGGAUCAUUAGCUUCUUGAAAUAUCACUCAACAUAGAAUAUUUAAAUCCUAAUUUUAUUUGUUGUCAAUGCCACUUUAUGUAGGAAGAGAUUCGUUUCAUGAUCAAUCCAGAAUUAAUUGCUGGGAUGCUUUUCUUGCCUUCCAUGGCAGAUAACGAGGCUAUAGAAAUAGUUGGUGCUGAACGAUUCUGUGAUUAUAAGGGGUGAGUCUAAGGCAGUAAAUCCGAAAAUCCAGGACUUUGAGUCAUUGGGGACAUAGAUACACAAUACGUUGCUGAACCUAAUUUUAUGUAUUUCUUUUAUGUACAUGACUUGACUUAUGCUGUGGUUGAUUUCUGAUUAUAAUAUCGUCUUGAAGUUGUGUAGGUAUGCAUCGUCAUUUCGUUUUGCGGGUGAUCAUGCAGACAAAAGGCAUUUUGACAGUUUUGGAAGACGUAUAACCAGGAUCGUUGCUAUUGAUGCAUUAUGCAGCCCUGGGAUGAAACAAUAUGCACUAAAAUACCUUCUUCGGUAUGUAAAAUUUGCUUUGGAACGCCUCAAGUACACCUAUUAGAGAAUAGACAUGUACACUUAAUGUAGUUCAAAUGGAAAUCUUCAUCUGGAUUUCUAUUACAAGAAUUUAAUAGGUUGCUGUACUCUCGUAGUCUUGUCCUAUCACUGAUCCACAAAUACGGAAUGAUCUUACAAAGAUCAGCCAGUGGCUUUAUUCUGUAUUUUGCAGCCAGGGAUAUAUAAGUAUAAUAAGGCUUUGUGGUUCCAUGGAUUAGUUAAUCAAAGUUGACAUUUUUUUUUGCACCAGGGGCGUUUUUGAUGUUAGAGAUUGUCUUCACUCAACUUGUUUCUCUUGACAGGGAGACAAAUAAGGCCUUCUGUGGGUUCAUUGAUCAAUCAAAAUAUUGCCAAUACAAGGGUUUAUUUCAAGUCAAAGGACUUCAUGAAGCUCAUCUUUAUCCAGAUGAGAAUGACCACACAUCAAGGAAUCAUCUCGAGGUGCAAAUUAUUUUCUUGAAUUUUUUGUCUGGUGAUACAAUGGUUAAUUGAAAAUCGUAUAUCAGAAUGUCAAAAGGCUGAUUUCUGAUGCAGUAUUAUUUGAAGUGUUUGUAAUUUAGAAUAAUUUGAACUUCUUCUUAACCCCUUAACUCAGAAGACUAAAUUUUCUUUGUAAAAUAGUUAAAUGAGGCUUCCUCAACUACUGUUGAAACAAAUCAAGGAGCUUCUGUAAGUCUACCAGCACUUGGAAAUUCUGAUGGGGAGGGUAAAGAUUUGCCAGGGAUUGCUACUGGGAACUGGGGAUGUGGUGCUUUCGGCGGUGAUCCUGAACUAAAGGCUAUAAUUCAGUGGCUUGCUGCUUCUCAGGUAGUUAUUCUGCAUAAGUCUGCCAUGAAUUUCAUUUGAAUACUGUUAAAAGUUGCUGUACAAAUGCUUGCACGCACACAACUAAAUCGCACGAUGCAUAUCUUCUCUCGGGUGGAGAUGCUGUUGGACCAAAAGUAAUUGUGUUGGAAGUUUGUAACAUGUGAACUUAGGAUUUCUCAAGGGUUUAAUAUAUUAAUGUGGAGAUACUAUUAUUUAUUUGAAAUAAUAAUAGAGAAACAUGUUCUCCUGUCGCUCAUUUCUUGUUGUGACUUGAUUCAGGCAUCGAGACCUUUCAUUUUAUACUACACAUUUGGCAUCGAUGCAUUGCAAAACCUAGAUCAGGUACUCAUACCAAUCCUCCACGGUGCAUCCUGGUCUUCCUGUAUUGUUUGCUCCUGCUAUUUCCGAAUCUUGGGUGCGCAUAUCGCAUCACAUUCUCAUCCGAGUUGAUGAUCUUGUUUUGCAGAUUACGCAGUGGAUUCUGUCGCAUGAAUGGACAGUCGGAGACCUUUGGAAUAUGAUGGUGGAGUACUCAUCCCAAAGAUUGAAUGGACGAACCGAUCUUGGCUUCUUUGCUUGGCUUCUUCCAUCCUUAACUUCCCAUGAAUUGUCAAAUACAAAUUAAGAUUGUAUACAUGAAUCAUGCAACACGCAAAUUGUUAACAGUUAUAUAGGUAAAAUAGGUUAUUUUGUUAAGCCUUUUAAUAACCAAUAAGAUUCGUAGUAUUUUCCCAGCAUCAGAUUUCAACGACCUUACGAAAUGAAAUAUAUAAAUAUUUUUGGUUUGGUUCGAGUAGGAUUCGUGAACCCAACUGGUUAAUUCCGGUUGAUGCAUACAAUUGUCGCAAUCUUGUUCACUGUAUUUAAUUUGCAACGGUAGGCCUGCCCUCACCAAAUAACUUACUCACAAGUCAUUAAAAAAACGAAUAAAAAAAUUAAUAGUAAUUGGUAAAUACUAAAUAGUAAAUACUCAAAAUGUAACUUCCUCACAAAAAUUUCUGAAGAAAGGAAAAAAAUCAAAUCGAAAGAAAUUGUGAAACCCGUUGCAGCCACAGACCGGCUCGUCGCCUCCGGCGGCCUAGCCUUCCGUGAAAAUAGAGUAAGUAAUCUUUUGCUCUCCUUCUACUCUCUACUGGCACCAGAUUCAUACACGGAUAUUGGCAAAAUAAAAAAUUUUCCCCCUUUUGGCAGACUUGAGUAUUCUCUUUACCUGAACAUCAGUAAUGGAAAGAAUAAAAUUUUUAUUGAUUUAUUAUUACAGGGGAUGGAAGAGUAUAAAUUAUAGGAUCUUUUCUCUGUUGUUGUUAAAUUUCUGACAGUUUUGCUAACUAUCAAUAUGAGUUUUAUGAAAGACCCAUUAUUAACCUAACUGAAAAAAUGCUUUCUUCUCAGCUUUAACACUGUGUUUAAUAUAUAUUUCAGGUUGGUUGAUAACUUUCACGAUGAAUAAAUCAAAAUCACGUAAAGUGGGUAAGUUAAAUAAAAGAGAUAGGAUUAGUCGGAUGCCCGAUUCAAUCCUUUGCCAUAUUCUCUCAUUUCUGCCCACAGAACCUGCUGUUCAAACUAGCAUUUUAUCAUCAAGAUGGAAGCUGGUUUGGACUUCUCUUCCCAAUCUUGUGUUCGACGACAAGUUUUGCUACAGAAGUGGUGGUACUUCAGUUAAUAAUCGGUUGACUAGGUUUGAGAAUUUUGUCAACAGGAUGCUUUUGUCCAACUCGGUAAACAUUAACAAGUUUUCCCUUCAUUGUCGGAAGCUUAGGUAUUUGUCUUGUUUGAAAUUUUGGGUUGCACUUGCAAUUAUGCGAAAUGUUCGUGAGAUUGAAGUUUAUCUUCCGUUUGGCAAUCCAUUUGAAGAGGGUUACAAGCCUGCUGAGCUACCUGACUGCAUCUACAAUUCUGAAACACUUGAAAUUUUGAAACUAGAAACAGAUUUUCUAUACAAGAGCCCUUCCUCUGGGAUUUGUUUUCCAAGGGUCAAGAAAUUUCAUGUUGAAAUACAUAAGCCCAACAUGCCUGACUUUUCUAUCUGUCCUGUACUUGAAGAUUUGUCAAUUGUUGCAUACUUGCUAACUAAUGAUUGGAAGGCCAAUAUUAGUAUUUCGUCUCAAACUAUAAAGAGGUUAAACUUGUUGAUAGAGAGAUAUAUGGGUUUCAGUAAUGAGCACCAGGUUAUGAUUGAGGCUCCAAAACUAGAACAUCUCUUCAUUAAAGAUCAUACAUUGGUAUCUUAUCUGGUCCAUGAAGUACAUUCAUUAUGUGAUGCACACAUUGAGAUUAACUAUUCAGGGGAACGUGAUCAUCCGAGUCAAGCUGAUCGUGCACUACAGCUUCUCAAAAAGCUCUCAAAUCUUCAGUCUCUAUACUUAUGUGAUGGCACCAUAUAUGUAAGUUAUCUGUCUGCUUUAUGUUAUGCAUAUUUUAAACUUUAAUAUUCUUCUUACUUCCUCUUUUUUGUUUUUAAUAUGAUUAUGUUACAUAGUUACAUAUUUUUCUGGUAAUGUGUAAUAAAAGUUAUUUUGGAACUCAUUGGUGGAACAAUUUCAAUUCCUCAAGUUAAUAGUCGCUAGAAAUUUUAAUUAUUGUCUUUGUCUCAAUGAAAGGCACUUGGUGAAGCCUAUCAGUAUUUGUAUGAUGCUCGUCAAUAUUUCCUUCCCACAUUUUCCAACUUGUCUUUCUUGGAAGUGAGGACUCGAGAAUAUGGAGGGUGGAUUCUUCCGAUCAUCUUCAGUUGUUCGCCUAACUUGGAAACUUUUGUCUGGAUGAUGGUGAGGAUGUGAUAAACUAUUUAAAUAAAGGGUAUUUAAGUUGUUUUUAUAUUUAUUUCUUUGUAAUCAGGCCACAGAUGACCCUGAAGACGAUGUAGAAGUUGAGUGGAUAGAACCGCAGUUCGUGCCCUACUGUUUGCAGUUUAAUGUCAAGAAGAUUGAAAUUCUGUAUCACGAUGAUGAUCCAUUGGAACCAGUCAAGUAUUUAUUGAAGAAUUGUGGAGUUUUGGAUAGAAUGAUCUUUAGAUAUGUUGGAGAAUCUUCCAAUGAACUUUGCAAGGAAUUAUUAAUGUUUCCAAGAGGUUCAAAGACUUGUGAGGUUGAAUUUCAUGGAAAGUAUAGGGAUUGAGCGACUUGGUUAUUUUGAAUUGGUGAUUUUGGUCGGGUGAUGCUGUAAAAAUUGCUGGUGAUUUGCAUCAGAACUCUAUUGUAGAUGAUAAAAAUAUGAUUUCUUUUGUAAUGUAAAUGCAUUGUUUACUGUGCCAUUUUUUUUCUUUUUUUUCCCUAAAAAAAUCUUUUUGAAGCUUCUAUUAAUUUUUUUAACGGUUUUGCCUAAAAAGGAUAUAUCAUUUUAUUGAAUAUUUGAGUCUCAUGGCAUGGACUAAAAUUUUCGUCUCACAUUUAGAAAUGAAACCUUCUUUUUUUUUUUUUUCAGUUGAUAAUCUCUAACUACAUUGAAAAUAGCUUACCAAACUAGAGACAGAAGAAAAUCUCUGACGAAACACUUAACAUUGAUAUUUAAAACAUUUUAAGUCAAAAUUGAAAAUCUGUAUCACAGAAAUUUCGACUUAUUUUAAUUUUAUAAAUUUUUGUGUCAAUUAGGCAUGACUAGUAUGAUUUUUUUAGCCAUCCUUUAUUCACGUCUUAUCUUGAAGCUGACUUUUGGAGCAAAUCCGUGCUGCCUCUCUGUGCUUUUGAGGUAAUUCAAUUUAAAUUUAAAUAUUUGCUACUGUAAAAGUUGAAUUCAAUUUAUCUAAUGUCAUACUUCUGCUGUAGAUAAGAAAAUUUUGUAUUUGUAGGUUCGUAGUGUAGGCUUCAUAGAAGAUCAAUCCGCUGAUGCUCUUGAAGUAGAUUUUGCAAACAAAUAUAUUGGGCGUGGUGCUCUUCAUAGGGGCUGUGUGCACGUAAUAUUUUUUGUUAACAAUUUCACUGUGACUUCCUUAGUGGUCCAUACUUAAAUUAGGUCUUUUCCUUCACCUAUUCUUAAAUAUAUUGUUCCAUGUAUUUGUUACUUCUGCAUGAAUGCCUUCUCAUUUAAAUUGCUUUCCUUAUUUCCCUUUGCCUAUGUCAUGUGGAUCAUUAGGGUCUUGAAAUAUCACUCAACAUAAAAUAUUUAAAUCCUAAUUUUAUUUGUUGUCAAUGCCAUUUUAUCUAGGAAGAGAUUCGUUUCAUGAUCAAUCCGGAGUUAAUUGCUGGGAUGCUUUUCUUGGCUUCCAUGGGUGAUAACGAGGCUAUAGAAAUAGUUGGUGCUGAAAGAUUCUGUGAUUACAAGGGGUGAGUCUAAUGCAGUAAAUCAGAAAAUCCAAGACUUGAGUCACUGGGGACAUAGAUACACAAUAGGUUGCUGAAUCUAACUUUAUGUAUUUCUUUUAUGUACAUGCCUUGACUUAUGCUGUGGUUGAUUUCUGAUUAUAAUAUCAUCUUGAAGUUGUGUAGGUAUACUUCGUCAUUUCGUUUUGCGGGUGAUCCUGCAGACAAAAAGCAUUUUGACAGUUUUGGAAGACGUAAAACCAGGAUCAUUGCUAUAGAUGCAUUAUGCUGGCCUGGGAUGAAACAAUAUGCAUUAAAAUACCUUCUUCGGUGUGUAAAAUUUGCUUUGGAGAACCUCGAGAACACUGAGAACUAUUAGAAAAUAAAUGUGUUUGCUUAAUGUAGUUCAAAGGGAUAAUCAUUUUCAAAUCUUCAUCUGGAUUUCUAUGACAUGAAUUUAAUAGGUUGCUGUACUGCUCAUAGUCUUGUCCUAUCACUGAUCUACAAAUAUGGAAUGAUCUUACAAAGAUCAGCCAGUGGCUUUAUUCUAUAUUUUGCGGCCUAGGAUAUAUAUAGUAUAAUAAGGCGUUGUUGUUCCAUGGACUAGUUAAUCAAAAUUAACGUCAUUUUUGGUUGUUUUUUUUUUUUGGGGGGGGGGGGUUAGUGAUUGUCUUCGCUCAACUUGUUUCUCUUGAUAGGGAGACAAAUAAGGCCUUCUGUGGGUUCAUUGAUCAAUAAAAUAUUGCCAGUACAAGGGUUUAUUUCAAGGCAAAGGACUUCAUGAAGCUCAUCUUUAUCCAGAUGAAAAUGACCACAUAUCGAGGAAUCAUCUCGAGGUGCAAAUUGUUUUCUUGAACUUUUUGUCUGGUAAUAUAAUCGUUAAAAUCAUAUAUCAGAAUGUCAAAAAGAUUCUUUCUGAUGCAUUAUUAUUUGAAGCGUUUGUAAUUCUCAGAAGACUAAAUUUUCUUUGUAAUAUAGUUCAAUGAAGCUUCCUUAUUUACUGUUGAAACAAAUCAAGGAGCUUAUGUAAAUCAGCCAGCACUCAAAAAUUCUGAUGGGAAGAGUAUUCAGCAUUGGGAUAGUAAAGAUUUGCCAGGGAUUGCUACUGGGAAUUGGGGAUGUUGUGCUUUCAGGGGUGAUCCUGAACUAAAGACUAUAAUUUAGUGGCUUGCUGCUUCUCAGGUAGUUAUUCUCAUCUGAAUACUGUUAAAAGUUGCUACACAGACGCUCACACACACACAACUUAAUUGCACGAAGCAUAUCUUCUCUCCGGUGGAAAUGUUGUUGGACCAUAAGUAAUUGUGUUGGAAGUUUCUAGCGUGUGAAUGGAGGAUCUCUCAAGGGUUUUAUAUAUUAAUGUGGAGAUAUUGUUAUUAUUUGUUUGAAAUAAAGCAGAGGAACAUCUUCUCUUGUCGCUCAUUUCCUGUUUCUCUUUGAUUUAGGCAUUGCGACCUUUCGUUUUAUACUACACAUUUGGCAUCGAGGCAUUGCAGAACUUAGAUCAGGUACUCGUUCCAAUCCUUCCAUCAUCAGCACUUGUGAAUGUAUUAUCAUUAUGAAUCCUCCACGCUGCAUCUAGGUCUUCCACGUAUUGUUUGCUCCUGUUCUUUCUGAAUCUUGGACACGCAUAUCGCAUCACAUUCUCAUAUGAAUUGAUGAUCUGGUGGUGCAGAUUGCGCAGUGGAUUCUGUCGCAUGAAUGGACGGUCGGGACCUUUGGAGUAUAACGGUGGAGUACUCUUCCCAAAAAUUGAAUGGACGAACCGAUCUUGGCUUCUUUGCUUGGCUCCUCCCAUCCUUAGCUUCCCAUAACUUGUCUAAUACAAAUAAAGAUUGUGUACAUGAAACAUGCAAAUUUUUUAACAGUUACAUAUGUAAAUUAAACAUGUAAAUUGCUGUGCAACGUUAUCAGUAAUUAAAUUUGAGUUUAGAAUUUUGUUUAGAAAAAGACCAUUAUUGUCAUCUUUUCUCAAUAAAAUUUGUAUAUAAAUAAAAGACCGUUAUUGUCAUUUCAAAAAAAAAAAAAAAAAAAAAACCACGCCCGUAUAUAAAAAAAUUAAUGCUCUCCAAGAAUUAUAGAUCAACUAAUGAAGGGAAAAAUCAUCAAUUUAAUUUUUAGUAUUUAAAUUUAUUAAUGUUAACAGAAUUGGAGUGUCAUCAGCGUGUUUAUUUUUUAAUAAAUGUUGAAAUAAAUAUAUCUUAAGUGACAUUAAUUUUAUUUUUUAAUAAUUAUAUUAAAAAAUAAUGUUAAAUUUUCUAAAAUUUAAAAGUUUUAUAUUUAAAAUUCUUUUAAAUAUUUUCUAAAUAUAUUAUAUAAAUUAAACUAAAGAAGUUAGUACAAUAUAAUAUAAUUAAAAAUUAAUACAAUAAAAUAUAGCAUCAAAAGUUAUACAAUAUUAUUAUAAAAUAAUACUAAUUAAAUACAGAAUAAUAUAAUAUAUUUAUAUUAAAAUAAUGUAAUACAACAUAACAUGAUAAGGUGUGUUAAAUGCACCCUUAGUAUAUAGUAUAUGCAAUUGUUGAAAUCGUAUUCACCGUGUUUAAUUUGCAAUUGUAAGGCUGCCCACACCGGAUAACUUACUUAUUAAGACAAAAAAGAAAGGGUAAUUUUUAAAAACCUCUCCUGAGGUUUGGGUUUGUUGCAAGUAGAUGGCGAGAAUUGGUUUAUUUGUAAAAAACCCUCUACCGUCAGCUAAUUUUAACAUUGACCAUUAGUUGACCGUGCAAAGACAAUAUUACCCUUAACAAUAGUUUAUAAACGAAAAUAACUAAAAAAAAACUAAAAUUAUUGGCGCGAAAAGCACAAACCCUAUUUUUUAACAAUUUUAUCCUUGUCAAUUCCAAAAAUUUACAAUAUCAUAGGUAAAGAUUAUGACUAUUUCAUUUUUAAAUUUUUAAUUUUAUCUUUCUUGUAGGAAUUUUAAGAAAAUAUCAAUAAUUUAAAGAGGAUUUUUUAAUUUUUUAAUUUUAUCUUUUUUAUAGGAACUUUAAGAAAAUAUCAAUAAUUUAAAGAUGGUAAAAUAACUAAUAAUUUUAGUUUUUUUUUAGUUAUUUUCGUUUAUAAACUAUUGUUAAGGGUAAUAUUGUCUUUGCACGGUCAACUAACGGUCAAUGUUAAAAUUAACUAACGGUAGGGGGUUUUUUACAAAUAAAUCAAUUCUCGCCAUCUACUUGCAACAAGUCCAAACCUCAAGAGAGGUUUUUAAAAAUUACCCAAAAAAGAAAUCUAUAAAAAGAAUUAAUAGUAAUUAGUAGGGUCCGGCUACGGUGCAACGGUGAUACGGUAUCACCGUUGCAUCCAGCCGUUGGAUCUACGUGGAUGAAUGAAUCCAGUGGGAUCCAACGGUGAUACCGUAUCACCGUUGCACCGUAGCUUUCUCCUAAUUAGGGGUCCGGCUACAGUGCAACGGUAUCACCGUUGCAUCCAGCCGUUGGAUCCACGUGAAUGAAUGGAUCCAGUGGGAUCCAACGGCUAUGGUGCAACGGUGAUACCGUAUCACCGUUGGAUCCACGUGGAUGAAUGGAUCCAAUGGGAUCCAACGGCUGGGUGCAACGAUGCACUGUAGCUUUCUCCUAAUUAGGGGUCCGGCUACGGUGCAACGGUGAUACCGUAUCACCGUUGCAUCCAGCCGUUGGAUUCACGUGGAUGAAUGGAUCCAGUGGGAUGCAACGGUGAUACCGUAUCACCGUUGCGCCGUAGCUUUCUCCUAAUUAGGGGUCCGGCUACGGUGCAACGGUGAUACGAUAUCACCGUUGCAUCCAGCCGUUGGAUCCCACGUGGAUGAAUAGAUCCACUAAAUGUAAACGGUAAACCCCUCCCUAAAAUUUCUGGAAAAAGGAAAAAAAUCAAAUUGAAGGAAAUUUUGAAACCCGUCGCAGCCAGAGACCGGCUCGUCGUCGCCUGCGGCCUAGCCUUCCGUGAAAAUAGAGUAAGUAAUCUUUUUUCUCUCCUUCUACUCUCCACCGGCACCAUAUUCAUAAAUGGAUACUGGCAAAAUAACUUUUAAUUUUUUAUUUAGCUUUUAGCAUACUUGAGUAUUAUCUUUACUUUGAACAACAGUGAUGGAUAGAAUAAAAUUUUAAUUGAUUUAUUAUUAUAUGGGAUGGAAGAGUUUAAAUCGUAGGAUCCCACGUUGUGUAUUCUCAAUUGUUGUUAAGCUCUGCAGCUUUCUUAACUAUCAAUAUGAGUUUCACGAAAGACCCAUUAUUAAUCUAACUGAAAAAUGCUUCCUUUUCGGCUUUAACACUGUGUUUAUUACAUCUUUCAGGUUGGUUGAUAACUUUCACGAUGAAUAACUCAAAAUCACGUAAAGUUGGUAAGAUAAAUAAAAAAGAUAGGAUAAGUUGUAUGCCGGAUUCGAUCCUUUGCCAUAUUCUUUCAUUUCUGUCCACAGAAGAUGCUGUUCGAACUAGCAUUUUAUCUUCAAGAUGGAAGCUUGUUUGGGCUUCUCUUCCCAAUCUUAUGUUCAAUGACAAGUUAUGCUACAGACGUGAUGGUACUUCAGAUAAUGGUGCGUUGACGAGGUUUGAGAAUUUUGUCGACAGGAUGCUUCUGUCCAACUCAGUAAGCAUUAGCAAGUUUUCCCUUCAUUGUCAGAAGAAGCCCAGGUAUUUGUCUCGUCUGAAAUUCUGGGUUGCACUUGCAAUUAUGCGAAAUGUUCAUGAGAUCGAAGUUAAUCUUCCGGUUGACGAUCCAUUUGAAGAGGGUUACGAGCCUGUUGAGCUACCUGACUGCAUCUACAAUUCUGAAACACUUGAAAUUUUGAAACUAGAAACAGAUUUUGUAUUCAAGAGUCCUUCCUCUGGGAUAUGUUUUCCAAGGGUCAAGAAAUUUCAUGUUGAAAUAUAUAAGCCCAACAUGCCUGACUUUUCUAUUUGUCCUGUACUUGAAGAUUUGUCAAUUGACUACUCGCUAAAUUUUGAUUGGGACGCCGAUAUUAGCAUUUCGUCUCAAACUCUAAAGAGGUUAAACUUGAUGAUAGGGGGACCUAUUGUCUUUGCUAAUGAGCACCAGGCUACGAUUGAGGCUCCAAAACUUGAACACCUCCAUGUUAAUGAUGGCACAUUGGUAUCUUAUCUGGUCUAUGAGUUACAUUCAUUAUGUGAUGCACGCCUUGAUAUUGACUAUUCGCGUGUGCGUAGUGAUCCGGUUCGAGCUGAUCAUGCACUACAGCUUCUCAAAAAGCUCACGAAUCUUAAGUCUUUGUACUUAUCUUGUGGCACCAUAUACGUAUGUUCUCUGUCUGCUUUAUGUUGUGCAUAUUUUAAACUUUAAUACUCUUCUUACUUCCUCUACUUUUUGUUUUUACUCUGAUUAUGUUACUUAUUUUUCUGGUCGUGUGUAUUAAAAGUUAUUUUGAAACUCAUUGAUGAAACAGUUUCAAUUCCUCAAGUUAGUAGCUGCUAGAAUUUUUAAUUAUUGUCUUUUUCUCAAUGAAAGGCUCUUGGUGAAGCGUAUCGGCAUUUAUAUGAUGCUCAUCAAUAUUUCCUUCCCACAUUUUCCAACUUGUCUUUUUUGGAGGUGAGGAUUCGAGAAUAUGGGUGGUGGAUUCUUCCGAUCAUCUUCAAUUGUUCGCCUAACUUGGAAUCUUUCGUCUUGAUAAUGGUGAGGAUUUGAUGAACUUUUGAAUAAAGGAUAUUUAAGUUGUUUUUAUAUUUAUUUUCUUUAUAAUCAGGACGUAAAUGGCCCUGAAUACUACGUGGAAGCUGGGUGGAUAGAACCACAGUUCGUGCCCUAUUGUUUGCAGUUUAAUGUCAAGAAGAUUGAAAUUCUGUAUGGGGAGGAUUUGAUGAACUUUUGAAUAAAGGAUAUUUAAGUUGUUUUUAUAUUUAUUUUCUUUAUAAUCAGGACGUAAAUGGCCCUGAAUACUACGUGGAAGCUGGGUGGAUAGAACCACAGUUCGUGCCCUAUUGUUUGCAGUUUAAUGUCAAGAAGAUUGAAAUUCUGUAUGGGGAUGAUGAUCCAUUAGAACCAGUAAAGUAUUUAUUGAAGAAUUGUGGAGUUUUGGAUAAAAUGAUCUUUAGAUAUGUUGGAGAAUCUUCCAAUGAACUUUGCAAGGAAUUGUUAAUGUUUCCAAGAGGCUCAAAGACUUGUGAGGUUGAACUUCGUGGAAAGUAUGGGGAUUGAGCGAAUCGGUGAUUUUGUAUUGGUGAUUUUGGUUGGGUGAUGUUGUAAAACUUGCAGGUGAUUUGCAUCAGAACUCUAUUGUAGAUGAUAAAAAUAGGAUUUCUUUUGUAAUGUAAAUGCAUUGUUUACUGUGCUACUCCCCCCCCCCCCCCCAAAAAAAGAUCUUUUUGCAGCUUCUAUGAUUAUUGUUUUUUUUAAUGGUUUUGCCUAGGAAGGAUAUAUCGGUUUAUUGAAUAUUUGAGUCUCAUGGCAUGGACUAAAAUUUUCGUCUCACAUUUAGAAAUGGAACUUUUUUUUUCCAGUUAAUAAUUACUAACUACAUUGAAAAUAGCUUACCAAAAUAGAGACAGAAGAAAAUCUCUAACGAAAGACUCAACAUUGAUAUUUAAAACAUUUUAAAGUCAAAAUUUGAAAACUGUAUCAUUGAAAUUUUGACUUAUUUUAAUUUUAUAGAUUUUUGUGUCAAUUAGUCAUGACUAAUAAAAACUAGACGUGUCAUGUAAAAUUCUGCACCGAUGAAACAAGCUAUAGAUUUCAGGAUACUUUUGAACUAAUCUACCAAAAAUCUUAGUUAAUAAAGCAACAAGUAAAACAUUCAUCCUAAAGCCAAUAUUUUGUAUUUUAAUAUAUAUAUAUAUAUAUAUAUAUAUAUAUAUAUAUAUAUAUUUAUAUUUAUAUAUAAAACAAGCAAUAAAAUGAAGCCCCAAAAAUAUUUUUACUCUCGCAAAACAUACAGCCCAAAGAUCGAAUUUGCUACAUGCCCAAUAACUCAAUGGUACCCUACUAAAUGUUACAUUUUGUUCUGAAUUAUGAAACAAAAAAGAUUACAUUUAGAGGAAAGACAAGGAGUAAAGAUGAAAAAAUGUAUCGGCAAAUGCAUAAUAAUAUAAUUAUUUUACUCCUUUGGUUAGGAAAGGAAAUAAAUAAACCAAAAUAAGAUUUCUUUUUUGAUUUUAACAACAGAACUUUUGUUUCGCAUAUAAAUUAGAGAAAUUGUUUUACAUGCAAAAAGAUUAUUUAGUUUAUUUUUUUUAUUACUAGGUAAUUUUAUUGGUGAACAACUUUUAUAUUUUUAACUCUUUAUGAACUUUUAUGAGUGGAAAUCUAUUCAGUGGUACAAAAGAUUUAAUAUUCAAAUCCCGCUCACAAAACCAAUGGCCUUUUGUAUUAAGUAUUUCAAUUGUGACGAUUUAGUGAGGAUUUGCAAACAAUUAGUUUAUUUUGAAUAUUUAGAGAACUAUGAGGACUGUUUUGUAAAUAUUCACCCUUGACAUAUAAAAAUCGAAAUGUGCUCGCUCAUCUUAUCCAUUUGAGAGCUCUGGGUUUAGCGGAGGGUUUAAGCUGAACCAGAAGCACAAGAAGAGGAAGAGGAGGGGGAAGAAGAAACAUAUUUGGGCAUUAAAAUCAAACAAUCACUGGUCAGUACUUGCACAAUCAACUCAUUAACCCAGUUUUGUUUCUUUUGGCUGUUUUUAAUUACUGUGCAUAUAAAUCUUUUUCAACAAACCAUUACUUCAAUACUUCUUCAUCUUCAGUGAUUUCAAUUGCUAGUCCUUUCAUGACAUUGAAAAUUUAUCACAUUUAACUUGAAUUCUUCAUUAUUUAAUACCCAUGUUAAAAGAAAAAGGCCCUUUUUUUUGCUUUGCAGUUCUCUCAUUAACUUUUUCUUUUAAUUAAUUAGGGGGUAUUUUUGUAGUUGGAAUUUUUUUUUUUGCAGUUCUGUUAUUCUUCAUUUAUACAUUUACAGAUAUUUGAAUUAUAAAUUUAAUUUUGCAGAGUCAGAUACGGGGUUGAAAAAUGGCCCUACAACAUACAAUGACUUUCGAGUGCUUAAAUUCACCAUUGAAGGGCAAUAGAUUAAAAUCUUUUCCUUUGAAUUCUGUUAAAGUUUCUCGUCCUAAUGAAGAACGAAGCAGCAGCUGGGUUUCAUCAUCAAGGAUGGAGUGUUCCGCCUUCUCAUCAAACAUUGUCAAGUUGCCUUUGCAGGUGUGUUUUAUUUUAGCAGUUCAAGUCAUGUGGAGGAUAUGUUAGUUUUAAAAGUUUUCAAAUGUUUUCUUUGCAUAAACGUGUGUGUAUGUAUGUAUAUUUAUAUGUAGAAGCUAAUUGUGUUUGAAAAAACCAGGCUGUUAGUUUUAGAAGAAAUAUAAUAGUAAGAUCUUUGGUAGAGAAACUAGGAAAGAGAGGAGGAGGAGGAGAAUCAAGUGACACAGAUGAUGAGGACGACGACGAUGAUGAUUCCUCUAGAAAAAUGGAUGUGGAGGAUGACCCGUUGAUGGAUCCUGAAGAGAGACGUGAAUGGAGGAGAAAGAUUAGAGAAGUCAUUGCUCAAUGUCCUGAUGUUGAGGAGGAGUCUGACCCUAUUGAAAAGAAGAAAAAGAUGCAGAAGCUUCUGGCUGAUUAUCCUCUUGUUAUGGAGGAAGAUGAUCCUGAUUGGCCUGAAGAUGCAGAUGGGUGGGGUUUCAGUCUCAGUCAAUUUUUUGACAAGAUAACUAUCAAGAAUGUCAAGAAAGAUGAAGAUGAUGAGAAUUACGAUAGUGAGAAUGAAAUUGUGUGGCAAGAUGAUAAUUACAUACGUCCUAUCAAAGACAUCAAGACUGCAGAAUGGGAAGAGGCUGUUUUCAAAGACAUCAGUCCUCUAAUUGUUCUCGUACAUAAUCGCUAUAAAAGGUUAGUUUCUCUCUCUCUUUUGGCUUACUGUUAUAUGUGUAUGUGUAUUAUUCAAUUUGCACUCCUUCCAAUUAGUGCCUUAAUUUGAAUUGAAUGGACAUGUUGUCAUUCAUGGCUGAUUUUUUUUAUGCACAAGACGAGAUGGUGUUAUUCACUUGGCUGAUUUCAUGCGUAGUGGCAGAUUUCAUUGUAGUUGCUUCUUAGUAUUGCUUUCAGUGUGCUGAUCCAUGAAGUCAAUUUAGUUUGUGAUCUGCCAAUAAUACUCCUAUAUAUUUGUUUUCUGACCACUAUUCAAAAGUUCUGCUUAGUCUUUUUCUAUUGAAUCCAGGUCAUUGCUUAAUGUCAGAUGAUUUUUUGUGAUUAUUGAAUCAUAAGUCAUUCUGUAAAAGAUGGUCAAGCAUUGUAGGUCUCUGAAGAAUAUAAUGCUUCAUGCUUGUCCUCCAGAAAGGUCCGCUGCUCUGCAUUAUCUAAGAGAAGGUCUUGUCGAAAUCUCUAUAGAGUUUCCAACAUGAAAACAUUGCUUCUGGAGAUUUUGAGUUUGUCUACUACUAAAAUCAAAUUCCACUGAAUUUCCACCAGUCUAGUUAAUGUGAUGCGUUCUAAAAAUAACUGUAUUAUGACCCGUUAAACGUGCUGUUGAAUGAAGUUUCAUGUACCUUCAUCCCUAUUGAUCUUAGAGCUCCAUGGAAUGGUUAUUCUCGGUUCUAAAGGUUUAUCAUUUUACUAAUUCUAUGCUUAUCAUGGCAAAAAACUGGAGGACAGAAUUCAAAAUUUUUGAUAUUCUGAAUUGAGAAAAUUUUGCUGUGAAUCAUGGAUCAUACACGUAAACCAUUGUAAUUUACUGAUUCAUAAUCUACAGGUUACAUUUUAAUACUUGCAUCUCUUGUAUAUUAACAAUUAGUUGCUCUGCUUUGUUAUAAUCCACAUCAAUUCGAUUGUUUGCAGGCCAAAGGAAAAUGAAAGAAUUCGGGAUGAACUGGAAAAAGCAGUGCACAUCAUAUGGAAUUGUAGGCUGCCUUCGCCACGAGUAAGUAAGAAAUUCAAUGCUUAUUUGUUUUUGCUCAUAAUGGUGAUUGUUUCUGAUAUGAAAUUAUUGUAUUACACAGUGUGUUGCAGUUGAUGCUAACGUUGAGCAUGACUUAGUUUCUGCUCUUCAAGUGUCUGUCUUCCCAGAGGUUAUAUUCACUAAAGCUGGGAAAAUCUUGUACCGGGAGAAAGGUAAUUUUCUUAACCGAAGAAAAAGCUGCCUCUUAUUAUUUUGAAGGGAGUAAUGUUUUUGAUCUUGCCUUGUUUAUGUGUGUGUUCUUCAGCAACAAGAACUGCAGAUGAGUUGUCAAAGAUAAUGGCGUUCUUCUAUUAUGGAGCUGCCAAGCCAGAUUGUUUGAGUAGCAUUGAGAGUAGCCAAGAAAUGAUCCCAUCUGUUGCCAUCACCAAUCCAAGCUAAAAGUAAAACAGAUCUGCUUUCUUCAUGAUGUAGUGGAUGUCAUAAAUGAAUUGAGAUUUAACAUAUACACGGGAACUAAUGUAUAGCUUAGAUUCACUGCAAUUCAAAAAAAUAGUAUGUAUUAUGCAUGCUGUCCUGGGUGAAGUUAUUUUGUUUCUUAAUCUAACUUAAAUCCUGUUUGUAUUCUAUCGAUAUCCAAAUUCAUGGCAAUUACGGGGUAUGUCCGUAUAUGAUAAAUUUUAAGCACUUUCUGGACAAGAACUAACAGAGGACUUGUGUUUUCUCACGCCUCUGAGAUAAGCAUCCUAAUCAAGAACUUGUGAAGAAAGACGUUUAAGAUCUUUGUGGAUUUCCCCGCCAUGCAUUUAUUCUCUUUCCAGGGACAUGGGCUAAAAUCAAAGUUGAUGAGAUUGGUGACUUCUUGGUCUCGAUUAGGGAUGGCAAUGGGCACCGCCCGCAGCGGGUUUGCCAUUACCAAACUCAAACCCGCACAAAAUUUAAAUUACCAAACCCACCCGCAACCCGCAGCGGGUUUUAAUUUUUUUACAAAAACCCACCCGCAGCGGGUUUUAACAAUUACCAAACCCGCAAUGGUAUCCAGCGGAUUUUUUGCGGGUUUCCGUAUUUAAAAUCACAAAUGUUUAAUAUAUAAAUUUAUAAUAAUAACCUCAAAUUUCAUAUAACAUACUCAAUUUUAUAUUUAAAUAAUGUAAAUGAAAAAUUAAAAUUUCCACAUCAAUUCAACACAAAUUCUCAAAUUUAAGUAUAAAUUACACAAAUCCAUUUAAAAAACACAAAUUAGUAUCUAAAAAUAAUAAUUACAUUUCAUAUUAUCAUUUAAAACAAGCUCCAAGAGAAGAUAUUCAUUUCAUUCACCACCAUAAGCACCCAUCCAACACAAUGCCUAUAAGGGUAAAAGCUCGUUUAGUCCCUAUACUUUGAGGUUAGUGUCCGUUUAAUCCCUAUAUUUUUAAAAAUACCUCAAAACAUCCCUAUCAUUAAAUUAUUGACAUUCUUGCCAUUACCUUUUGUUCAUUUUGACUUAUUUUUACAAUAUUACCCUAUUACAAUAAUGUUCCUUUUCUAAACAUUAUUAAAAAGAAAAAUUAAAUUACCAGUUUAACACCAAAAAAUAAAAUAAAAACAAUAUAUAUAUAUAUAUAUAUAUAUAUAUAUAUAUAUAUAUAUAUUAAUUUUUGUGGAACACUCUGCUGAGAAGUUAAAAUAUUAAUUUUUUAAAAAAAUUGAUAACUUAAUUUUUUACAAAAUUAAUUUUUUUUGGACACACAUGAGCUUCCACAAAAAUUAAUAUAUAUCUUUUUUUAUUUUAUUUUUGGGUUUAAUUUGAUAAUCCAAUUUUUUUUUAUUAAUAUCUAAAAAAGAAACAUUACUGCAAGAGUGUAAAAUUGUAAAAGCAUGCUAAAAAAAUAAAAAAUAAUGGCAUAAGUGUCAAUAUUUAAUAGUAAGGAUGUUUUGAGGUAUUCUUAAAAAUACAGGGAUUAAAUGGGCACUAAGCUCAUAAUAUAGGGACUAAACAAGCUUUUACCCAUGCCUAUAAUAAUAAUUAAGAUUAAUAUUUUCAAAUACUAAUUCGAAGGAAAAUGCCUUUAAUUUUCUUUAGAUUAUGACUUUAGAAUAGGAUAUAGGCCACAUACACACAUACACAACUUUGAGCCUUUGGCUAUUUGGUAAUUUAAUUAAUGACAUUAUUUUCUUUAUACAUUUUUAGAUUAAAAUUAAAUUAAAAAUAUUUGAAAAAAAUAUUGCGGGUUUGGUGGAUAUCCAUGCGGGUAUCCACCGGAUAUAAGGUUAAUACCAAACCCACCCGCAUCCAUGUGCGGGUUUUAAUUUAUAAUACUAAACCCGCCCGCAACGGGUAAAAUUACCUGCAACGGGCGGGUUUUGGCGGGUGGGUUUGGGCGGGUUUACGGGUUUGCGGGUAUAAUUGUCAUCCCUAGUCUCGAUGGCCAGCUUGAUGGUGUCAUUACGCCUGUUUAAAUGUUUCUUCAAACUUCAAGCCAUCUUUGUUCACCGGUACCGAAGGACAUGCAUUUUCUUCCAAUCCAAGACACCACCAAUAACUAGACAUACUAAUCAAGACAGAAGGCAAUGGAGUUUGAAGAAAGAACGAGUGGACAUCUCACCGCUAUUCCCAUUCCAUUUUAUCCCUAGACAUCUUAACAAUAGGACCAAAAGAGGAACUCCUUAUGCCGCUUCAUUCCCAGCAUAAUUUUCACUCCACCUCAAAGAAGUUGAUCAUCUGAAAUGAUGGAGCACAGAUUUGGCAAAUCUAGUAUCGACUUUAUCCAAAGCAGAAGUUAUUGCUCGAACUUGACUUAAAGAUCACAAAUUUCUUUAAUUACCAUUCACCAACCCAUGUUAAAAAAGCCUAUAUGUAAUGGAAGCUCCCCUGAUGCUUCUCAUGUUCUUAAUUCAUUCUGACAAGUCCUCUGUUUCCUCCGUUAGCCACCGUGUCAUGACUUUUGCAGUUGAUGAAAUGGACGACUGAUCUCAUCAGUCUCUAAGAGUCCAGCUUGAUGGUGUUAUUUGCCUUAACAUUUCAGCCGAUUGAAUGGAUGCAAAAUGGAUCUUCGUUCUUUGGAGGAGUUAUGUGUUCCCAUUUGAUUUUGGAGUUGAUACUACAUCCACUAAGCCUGCAGGGUAAAAGUCUUUAACUUGUUAAAUUGCUUCGCGUCAACAAACCAUUUCCCUGCAUCAAAAUUGCAAACACUUCACACUAAUUGGAGGCACACUACAUUGAUUGUAAAUACUCAAAUAGUAUUUGUAGGGUGAAAGAAUGAAGGCUUAGAAGCAAGUUCGUCAUGUUUGGUAAGCCUCUUCAGAUGCUUUUCCAAAUAUCCGGACAAUGUUGGUUCUCUUAAGUCACAAGCAAAACAAAGAAAAUCAAAUGAAAUGCUAAGGUACCAGACUCAGGUACCGCAACUGACAAAAUCAUAAUACGGUAGAUUCUACAAAUUUUGAAAAAGAAAAGUACAUGAUAUUCUGCUUCUAAUGACAAAUCGUGAAUUUCUUAUUGUGUUUUUCAAGAAAACAACAAGUUGUAACUAAUGCAAUAGAAAGUGUACCGAUUAGUACCUCAUUACAUAAAUUGUGUGGUAUCUAGUUGGCACAGCAUCCGUUACUUAAAAAGCCUUAGCAUACAAUCUGAUAAAUGAAAAUAAAAAUAAGUAUUAAAUUGCUGAAAAAAUUUCAGAUAUGAAGGUUUUAAAUCAACUUCACCAAUCUGUAAUUGAAAUUUGUAAAAUUUGUAUUGUUUUCAUUUUUAUUAUUUCGAUUCCCUUUCACCCAUAAGAGUGAAAAAAAUCAACGAGUUGAAAAUUCUAUCGAAGCGUGCAAAGUGAACCACAAAAAUCUACGAAUAGGUAUGACUAUCUGUCAAUGGUAUUAAAUUUCAUCAGAUAAAAGUUCUUAAUUUGAACCAAACAAAACUGUAACUGAUUGACAGAAUAAUACUGAGGUGUUUCAAUGUCACUGAUGAAGAAGGCAAUGAAGAAGAAGAAGGAGGAGCAUCCUCUUCACCGUCGACCAAAAGUUGCAAGUUCUUACAAUUCUCUCUGAAGCCUUUUCAGAGAUAAAGGUGGCUUGCUACUUGUGAUGAAUGUUAAGAGAAUCACAAUAUUUGAUACACAACUUUUCCAACUGUGAAUUAUUUCCCAUAAUUUCCUGAGGUAAGGACUUCAACGCUCUGCUAUUUUCAAUUUUAAGAUACCGCUGUGUUGAUGCGAGAUUCUGGUUGUCCUCGUUCUACGACCAGGGUCUCUGCUCGAUCAACUUCACCACGACCAGGAUCUCUCCUCGUAAAGCUUCUUCUCCAGAGGUUCCUGCGCACACAGACAGGUCAGAGUACGCCGGUUGUUUUCCCGGCGCAAACCCUCCGACGCUCAAGUCAGAAAUAGGGGUUCUGAGAAUGUUUGCCACGAAUCUUAUGGCUUCUUUUUAAUCUCCGUUCUCGGAACUUUCUUUUCUUAAUUCUAAUAGCAAAAAGUCUAACCCUUUUACCUUCGUUGGUUACCUUUUUAUAGGCUUCCUCUGAAUCCCGGUCUUCCGUAGUCCACGCCCAUUAUUCUGCCCACCCUCGGAUGUGGAUGCCCCAAUGUCGUCAUUGUGGGCGAAUGGAGAUGGACUUCGUGCCUUGAUUCUCGGAUAGGAACGCACGUCCUGCCAACUGUCGUUGACUGGGUCUCCUCGCCUCGACCCCUAGCAGGAAUGGCCUUAUGCCUUUAACAGGAGUUCGUCCUCGUGAAUGGCAUAUUCGUGGACGAGCAGAAUAGCCCUGCUCCUGUUCCCCUGCUACCAGGCUCUUACAGGACACACCUGCUCGCAGGACUCUGCCACCAACUAUCUGCUCACCACAUCUGGUCUCGCCGAAGUAUUUCCCUCAAACACGCUGAUUAUUCAUAAGAAAAAUUACCUUAGGAAAUGAAAUGAGACUCACACAAUUCUCUUCUGUUGACAGAUCUUCAGGAGAGCUGAGUACAUACAACUCUUGUUCCGUCUUUUCAAAUUGGAGCCAUGACUUGAUCUGUUCAGAAUUGCCAAUUGCCAAGGUUCGUUAUAUCUAAAAUCCAUGACUACAAACUACCAAUGUGAAUAUCUAAGGUUCGUAGUUGAAUUUGUCAUCUAUGGCAACUCGAGGGAUGUGAGAUAUCUGAGACCACACUUCUCCGAUAUCCCACUUGAUCAGUGCCUUGUACAUUCUGUUGAUGCGAGAUUCUGGUUGCCCUCUUGCUUCGACCAGGAUAUCUGCUCGAUCAACUUCACCUCGAUCAGGAUCUCUCCUCGUAUGCUUUCUUCUUCAAAUAUUCCUGCGUCCACAGAAAUAAGUCAGAGCACGCCGGUUGUUUUCCCGGCGUAAACCCUCCGACGCUCAAGUCAGAUAUGAAGGUUCUGGGAACGCUUGCCACAAAUCUUAUGGCUUUUCCGUUAUUUCUAUUCUUUAGAGCUUGCUUUUAUCUUUGUUAUAUUCUCAAAAUUGCUAACCCUUUUACCUUCAUUGGCUACCUUUUUAUAGGCUUCCUCUGAAUCCCGGUCUUCCGGAGUCCACGCCCAUUAUUCUCCCCACCCUCGGAUGUGGAUGCCCCAUUAUCGCCCUAGUAGGCAAAUGGAGAUGAACUUCGUGCCUUGAUUCUCGGACUGGAGAGCACGCCUCGCCAACUGUCGUUGACCGGGUUUGCUCGACUCAACCCUUAGCAGGAAUGUAGAAGGAAUGGGCUUAUGCUUCCAACAGGAGAUUGGCCUCGUGGAUGACGUGCUCGUGGAUGAGCCGGAUGUUCCUGCUCCUGCUCGAGGAACACUAUUACCAGAUGUCUGCUCAUCACUGUUGGUCUUCGUCGAAGCAUAUCCCACCAACACCGGUCCCCCAAUUUCUAGUGUUGGGUAAUGUAGUAAGCCAACAGUAGAAACUUGACAGUUCUUGUUUGCGCGGGAUAUGAAAAAGGUUGCCAAGAGUUGUGUCGCAUUUAAUUGCGGAUGAGGUGAUGUGGCAGAGAUCUACCACUCCAUUUGAAUUUCAAACCAACGGUUACGAGGCCCUUGGGAUUCGGUGCCGUUUAAUGCUGGCAACCCAAGAGUCCGUCCCCAUUAGGAAACCCAAAUCCUUUCGAACGGCAAAUUCGUCAUUCACUUCGUCUCCGUCUCUGUCUCUCCGGCAAAGAAGUUCCGGCAUAAAGGCCUCCAUCUCUGUCUUUCUCCGACUGACCCAUUUCUUCAGGUAUUUCUUCUAUCUCCUUUGUCUCGGAUAGUUGUAGAUAAUUUCUCUUCUCGUUUGUUUGGGUAGUAGUUGGUGGUGGUGUUGUGGUUAGAGCUUUAGGGAAUGUCGAAAGGUAAAGAGAAAGUCAUUGAGGUUGAUGACGAUGAGUUGGACUUCUUGCCUAGUCUGCUCACCGAUCCUGCUUUUGAUCCCGGGAUCCCCUUAGAGCCCAUUAGAUCUAGUGUUGGCACUAGCGCUAGGAGGAUGUCCCCCCAAACAGCCUCCUCGAGCUGAAAUAGCGAUGAGGAGGGGUCUUCUGGCUCGGAGAACACCCUGAGUGAGGACCGAGGAGAUGAUUCUGGUGAGGUGUCCCCAUCAGAAGCGUCGCGACUAGAAGGGCGGAGUACAGUAGGAGGUAGAGCCCUAUUGCGGGAUUACGCUAUUGAUUACAUGACGUGCACGACCACGUUUGACGAGCUCACUAACCUCCGGCUUAGGUAUAGCAUUCCUGGUGAAAUACUUCUCAAAGUCCCAGGAAAGAAGGAUACCCCUAGCCGACCUCCUAGGGGAUAUGUUACCUUGUUUUUGGAGAGUUUUAAGCAUGGGCUGAGGUGUCCCUUGCAACCCUACUUUGCGCGGAUUCUUAACGGGCUAAAUCUAGCUCCUGGUCAACUGAACCCCAACGGGUGGAGAGUGCUCUCUGGUCUAUUCAUAUUGUGGGACAGAUGUUGUCAAAGCGAGCCCACGGUCGAUGAGGUGAAACACCUGUACCAACUAAACAGCAGCCCUAAAGAUGCCGGCUGGUACUACUUCCAAUCUAGUACCAAGAGUAGGAAACCCAUAACUGAUCUUCCAACUGGUGGUAGUGGGGCUUGGAAGAGAAAAUUCUUUUUUGUUGGGGGUCCUUGGGGUCAGGUUGCACAAAUGGACGGGAAGGAUUGUCGCGUCCCACCCCGUUUCACGGUCCCAGGUUGCCUGCUCGCUUUAGAUGUCUUGUAUCCAUAAUUGUUCUCGCUUUACUGGUUUGUCUCUAACCAAGUGUCUGUUUGUGUUACAGGUUCUUGGGGUGUUCACUUCCCGCUCAAACCUGACCAGCUCAAACGGGUUGAGGCUGUACUAGCCAAUUCCUGCUCGAGCCGAGAACUGAUUACUACUUACAACUUGCUCGAGUCUCGCUUGGUACUCCCUGGCCAUAAGAUGGAGGACGCUGUGAUUGGGGCUCUGAACAGGAAACGUUCUCGACCUCAAACCACUAAGAGGGACCAGAACAAGGACGCCCCUACUGCAAAGCGGGCCAACAUCGUGCAGCAGGUCUCUCCCUUGAAGACUUUACCUCCUGCUCCUGCCAAAGUCAGGGAAACUAGUGGAGCAGCCACAGAUCCUGCUUCCUCUUCUCCUCCUGUCGGGCCUCGGUCUCACUUACCUGACAGCCGAGCAGAACACUUGGUCCCCUAUCUCAAUGAGUUGUCUAAGCUCGUGAGCAAGAAGGACCUGGAGGACUUUGAUGGCUGCACCCUGGGCGAGUUGGUGGGAGCCAUGCAGUAUAGCGCUUUCCAUCUCAGCUGCAUGACCACCUACUAUAAGGCCAAGGUUGGCCGUUAUGACAGGAAGAUGAAGGAGGACAUUCAGUCGGCGAUGACCAGAGCUGACCAUGCCGAGAAGAAAGCAGGGGAGCUGAAUCUCGAGAAUCUGAAGUUGAUGGAGCAAGAAUCUCUUGCUCAAGCAAAAGCCAUUACUCUCGAGGAAGAGCUGACUAAGGUCAAGGAGGAUCUACAGAGGCAGAAAGCUAUGUACGAGGCUCAGCUCGAAUCUCUCCGCGACUCUCACCGGGUUCAGGUCGAGAGUUUGGUGAAGGAGGCUGACAACCAGUACGACCAGGGACUUCGGCAUUCCUAUCGUUGCAUCAUGGUCGUCCUCAGGAAGCAGCAUUCUGAUCUAAAGAUGGACGACCUUGUAGCUGGUGUCGCCCAACAUAUGGACGAUGAGGCUGCUAAGGAAGAUGUCGAAGGGGUGGAGCCAAUCGUAGUUGAGGAGGAAAAUUCUCCUCCUCAUGCCAUUCCUGUUGAUGUGGGUGAGGCGAGCACCCCCCCCGGACGCAACUGGUGAUACUCCCCCAGCACCUGAGGUGGACCAGCCGACUGAGGCUGUUCGACUUACGGACCCACCGUCUUCUUAAACAUGUUUCUUAUAUUGUAAUGAACAAUGUUUGUGAAGAUUACCUGCUUUGUUAAUUAUUAACAAAUUAAUGAAAAUGUUUUUGAUUACUUUCUUGUGUUGUAAUCACGGGUUAUUUUUCCGUUUGAGAGUCUGCUCGUCUUCGUCCGGUCGAGCAGGCUUUGGCUUGGCAUAUGGUUUUGCCAUAUGCCUUAGAAAAUUUUUCAAUGCUUGGGAUUCUACUCGCCUUCGGGCGUUCGAGCAGAUCCUGGCACGCCCGGCUUCUGGUCUCGCCAUAAACAGGCUUUGAGACUUAGUGAGCCUUCGCAUGCCUUAGAAAAUAUUUCGAUGAUUGGGGAUUCUGCUCGCCUUCGCGUGGUCGAGCAGAUCCUGGCACGCUUGGCUUCUGUCUCGCCAUAAAACAGGCUUUGAGACUUGAUGAGCCUUUGCAUGCCUUGGAAAAUAUUUCGAUGAUUGGGGAUCUGCUCGCCUUCGCGUGGUCGAGCAUAUCCUGGCACACUUGGCUUCUGUCUCGCCAUAAAACAGGCUUUGAGACUUGAUGAGCCUUUGCAUGCCUUAGAAAAUUCUUCGAUGAUUGGGGAUUCUGCUCGCCUUCGCGUGGUCGAGCAGAUCCUGGCACGCUUGACUUCUGUCUCGCUAUAAAACAUGCUUUGAGACUUGAUGAGCCUUUGCAUGCCUUGGAAAAUAUUUCGAUGACAGUAUAGCUGACUGAAAUUCCUCAUUGAUCCCUUUAUUGUUGAAUUCGGCUUAUAUGAGAUCGUUUUGACAUAAAAUAAAUAACAACGAACACGAACAGAAAGAACUUGAAAAUAGGAACGACUCUUACUGGAAAUAUUUCCUGAGAUGUGCUGCGUUCCAUGGGCGCUUCACCUCGUGGCUAUCCAUGCGAACCAACUUGUAAGCUCCUGGUCUAACUAGCUGCUUGACCCUGUAUGGCCCCUCCCAAUUCGGUCCGAGCACUCCUUGAGUUGAGUCUUUGGUGUUCUGAUUCACUCUCCUUAACACCCAAUCUCCGACCUUAAACUGCCGUACAUUCACCUUCUAGUUAUAAUACCGGGCAACCCUCUGCUGGUAAAUGACUGAUCGCUCGGCUGCUUGCUCCCUUUUUUCCGUUAGCAAGUCCAAAUUCAAACACAUCUGCUCGUCGUUGUCCUGCUCGUUGAAAUGAUCUGUUCGGUGUGUGGUCGUUCCUAUCUCAGCUGGUAUGACCGCUUCAUGUCCGAAAGCCAAGGCGAACGGUGUCUCCCCCGUUGCUGUCUUAUGGGUUGUCUUGUAUGCCCAUAGUAUGCCUGAUAGCUCAUCAACCCAAGCACCCUUCUUUGCUCCAAGCCUGGUUUUCAAAAGCCUCUUGAUCAUCUUGUUGGCUGCUUCUACUUGUCCGUUAGAUUGAGGGUGAGCAGGCGAGCAAUACUUCAACUCUAUCCCGAGGUUCUGGCAGAAAUCCCUGAAGCUGUGAUUAUCGAACUGCCUACCAUUAUCCGUUAUCAAGGCAUAAGGGAUCCUGUAUCGACAGACCAGGUUUCUCCACACAAAGUCUGUUGUUUUCUUCUCUGUGAUCCUGCUAAGGGCUUCUACCUCUAUCCACUUCGUGAAGUAGUCUAUAGCAACUAUUGCAUGCGUUGCUGCUCCUCGUCCCUUUGGCAACGGGCCGAUCAGAUCAAUUCCCCAUUGAGCAAAUGGCCAAGGGGAGGCCAUGGAGGUGAGCUUCUCUGGUGGUUGGUUGGAGAAACUUGCAAAACUUUGGCAGCUUACACAGCUCCUGGUCUUCCCUUGCGCAUCCUGGUGCAUUAUCGGCCAGAAAUAUCCCUGUCUUAGAACCUUGUGGGCCAGGGACCUCCCACCAGAAUGAUUUCCGCAAAUCCCUUCAUGUACUUCUCUCAGUACGUAAUCCGUGUCGUCCUCAUCCAGACAUCGAAGGAAAGGUAGUGUAUAUCCUCACCGAUACAGUACCCCAUCAAUCAUUGCGUAUCUCGAGGCCUGGGCUCUAACCUUCCGAGCUCGCAGCUUAUCUGGUGGUAAUACCCCGUCUCUAAGGUACGAAAUUAUUGGGUCCAUCCACGAGCAUUUUUGUUCUAUCCGUAGCACCCCUAAAUUCUGUUCGAUGCUCGGGCUGGACUUCACCUCCAAAGGGAUCGACUUUGGCAUUUUUGGGUCUGCUACCUCUGCCAUCCUGGCCAAAAUAUCUGCUCGACUAUUCUGCUCUCUGGGGAUUUGUACCACCUCCACUGCUUUAAAUUUCUCCAUCAUCUGCCUGACUAUCUUCAGGUACUGCUCCAUCUUCUCCUCUCUUGGUUGAAAUCUUUCGCUGACAUGAUUUGCAACCAGCUGGGAAUCAGUUCUGAUCUUUACUCUGUCUGCUUUCAUGGCCUUAGCCAAUUCCAAACUUGCUAUCAAGGCUUCAUACUCUGCCUGGUUAUUUGUGGCUGCGAAUUCUAACUUUACAGCAUAAGAGAUCUGCUCCCCCUCCGGUCCUUCCAAGACAAUCCCUGCUCCUGAUCCCUGCUCCUGAUCCCUGCUCCCCUGAUGACCCAUCUACAGACAUUUGCCAUGGGCUUCGCCACUGUCUGUAGCUACCUCUCGUUGGUCCAAACAUACUUCGGGCUCUGUGAAUUCUGCUACGAAAUCGGCCAUUGCCUGAGCCUUUAUCGCUGCUCGGGGUUUGUAGUCUAUGUCGAACUCGCUCAGCUCUACAGCCCACUUGACGAGCCGACCAGAGGCGUCUGGCUUGUGUUAUUACCGAGACUGGGAAUGCUUGGAAGUAUGGCCUCAGCUUCUGAGCAGCAACCACAAGGGCAAGUGCCCAUUUUUCCAACGGUGGGUAUCUGGUCUCAGCGUCGAGCAGGGCCUUGCUGGUGUAGUAUAUCGGAUAUUGAACCCCUUUUUCCUCUCUCACCAGAACAUAACUUGUGGCCCGAUCUGAUAUUGCCAAAUACAGAAACAACUUGUCCCCAUCCCUCGGUGUGGACAGCAGAGGUGCUUGCUGCAAGUAUUGCUUCAAGUUCUGGAAGGCUUCCUCGCAUUCUGGAGUCCAUUCUGUUUUCUUUCCCCUCCUUAUCACUUGAAAGAACGGCUGACACUUAUCUGUAGCCUUGGAUAUGAAUCUGCUCAAUGCCGCCAACCUCCCCGUGAGGCUCUGCAUCUCCUUCAGGCUACGAGGAGAGCUCAUCUGCACGAUCGCCUGGAUUUUCUCGGGGUUUGCUUCAAUUCCCCUAUGGCUCACCAUGAAUCUAAGGAAUUUCCCUGACUCGACCCCAAAAGCACACUUCUCCGGGUUGAGUUUCAUUUUAUACUUCCUCAAAAGCCCGAAUGUCUCCUCGAGGUGUCCGACAUGUUCCUUCGGGACUUUGGACUUGGUGAUCAUGUCAUCCACGUACACCUCCAUAGUUUUCCCGAUCAACGGCUUAAAGACCUUAUUCACCAGCCUCUGAUAGGUGGCCCCAGCAUUUUUGAGACCAAAUGGCAUUACCCUAUAACAGAAUAAACCCUAGUUAGUGAUAAAAGCAGUGCUCUCCUCAUCCUGCUCGUACAUAGGGAUUUGGUUAUAUCCCGAGAACGCGUCCAUGAAGCUCAGCAGACCGUGCCCAGCUGUUGAAUCUACUAGCUGGUCGAUUUUUAGCAAAGGGAAGCUGUCUUUCGGGCAUGCUUUAUUGAGAUAUGUAAAAUCCACACACAUCUUCCACUUGCCAUUCGCCUUCUUUACCAACACCACAUUCGAUAUCCACUCGGGAUAAUUGACUUCCCGAAUGAAUCCUGCUCUCAAGAGCUUUUCCACCUCGCCAUUUAUAGCCUCAUACCUCUCCUGGUUGAAGCACCUCCUCUUCUGCCUUACUGCCCGAGUACCUUUCUUUAUUGCCAGCUUAUACAUGCUACCUCAGGAUCAAUCCCUGGCAUGUCUUCAUGUGUCCAAGCAAACACGUCUGCAUGAGCCUGUAAGCAUUUCACCAACUCCUGCUUUUGCUCUUCCUUAAGUUUUGACCCGAUUCUGAUCGUCUUUCCCGGAUUCUUUGGUCCCAGGCUUACUGUCUCCAGAUCCUCUACAGGUUCUUAUUUGCCAUUCUUGUUUUCCACUCGGAUAUCAAGCGAUGUUAUCUGCAUUGCUUCCCUUGCUGCCGAGGAGUAGUAGCUUCUUGCGAUCCUCUGGUCUCCUCGUACCACUCCAACUACCCCAUUUACCCGGUACUUGAGAGCCAGAUAAUGGUUGGACAGCACCGCUUUGCUCAUCCUCAGAAAUGGCCGGCCUAGGAUCAUCUGGUAAGGACCUUCCUCAUCUACUACCACAAAGUCCAGUAUCAUUGUCCUUUCUGUCGGGGAGCUCCCAAUCGUGAUAGGCAGCUCGACCACACCUAGAGGGACCAACUUUCCUCCUCCAAACCUCUUCAAGGAGGUAUUGGUGUAAUCCAAUUUCAGGUCUGCUAUUCCCAUCUCCUCCAGGGUUGACUUAAACAACACAUCAACUGAGCUCCAUGUGUCAACCAGUAUCCUGUCAAACUUCUUGCUGGCAACAGUGGCCUUGAUGACCAAAGCAUCCUCGUGGGGGUAUAGAAUCCCUUCUUCAUCCUCAUCUGUCCACAUGAUUGGCACUUGUCUGACUCUUGCGCGUUUGGCUGCUGGGGUGUUAAAGAAUACAUCUUUGCUGGUCAUGGCGUAUCUAGCAUAAUUCUUCCUCGACCUGUUGGAAUCUCCGGCCAAUGUUGGGCCCCCAACUAUCACCCUUACUGCAGGCUGCUCGCGCCUCAAGUUCCUGUCACUCUGCUUCCCUUCGCUUGUCGAGGCUACCAUUGGGAAGGUCCCAUCUAUAAACUCGUCCAGAUACCGAUUUCUCACCAAAUCUUCAACCUGGGUCUUGAGAUCCCUGCAAUCUGCUGUGGUGUGGCCAUGAGUGCCAUGGAACUUACAAUAGCGUUCCCUAUCCCUCAUGCUGGGUAGCUUUGUUAUUGGGGCAGGGAGGUAUAGCAACCCUUGAUCCUUUAUGGCCUCGUACACCUCGUCCAGGGAUAUCUUCAAGGAAGUAUACCGCCUAUAGUCCUGGUUCUGGUCGAUCAGGUGCACUGCCCUUUCUCUAUUUGCUCCGUUCUGAGUUGGAGGCGGUGGCAGCACUUCUGGUCUGCCCCCUCGGCUACCGUGGGAGUGUUGAUGAAGACCACCGUAUGCCGAGUCAUGCCUUCUCCAAGGCUCCCUAGCUGGGGAACGAGGAGGUUGCGCCCUGCUGCGCUGAUACUGUGGUGGCCUCUGAUGAGGCUGGUAAGUAGUUACCCGACCUCCUGCUCCACUACCUGAGGCCUGAUGGUCCCUCCUCCUGAUCGGCCCAUUCCCUGGCAAUGCUUUCUUCUCUUUCUUCCCCAACCCUUCUAACUGGUCUGUCUUGAUCCGUACUGCCUUUUCCUCUUCAAUAUCAAUGUCCCUCUUAGCCUGCUCGUAUGCGGCUGCGUACGUCUGAAUAACUGGGUUUCUCAAAUUGUACCACAGUCUUCCUAUCUUCACCCCUUCUUUCAGUCACCUUAAUGCCUGAGGAUGGUUGAAGGCUCCCAAAUCAAGGACAGCACGGUGAAACCUCUUGAUGAAUUCCUGAAGUGUUUCUUGUUCCCCCUGCUUCAUGUUUUUCAACUCCAUCAUGUCAUCUUCUGGUGCCAUUGCCCCACGAAACUGUUCUGUAAAUUCCUGGCACAUCUGCUCGAAGGUUUUAAUGCUCCCCCGAGGAAGUUUCCUGUACCACUCUCGUGCACGUCCCUCCAGGGAUAGUUGGAACACCCUGCACCUUUGGGAUUGAGAUAAUCCUUGUACCCCAGUUAUGUCGUUGAAGCGCUCUAUGUGCACCAGCGGAUCAGUUCGUCCCGAAUAUCUAAGGUCUGGGAGGCGGAAAUCUCUCGGAAUAACUGCCCUCAUGAUCUCUGCUGCGAGCGGUGAUUCUCCAUCCAGCAUUAUCCUCCAACCAGGAGCUCUGCUCCUUCCUUGCAUGUCGUCAAUUAUCUGCGCUAGCCUGCGCACUUCCUCCUCCAGCUGCACUGCACGACCAAGGUCACGUGCUGCAACUUGAUCCCGCUCUUGCUCUACAUCAUGCAAGUGUUGCCUCAACUCUGUUUCCUCUGCAUUCGCCACCCCGUCGUCCUCGUCAAAAAUCUGUCUUGCCGGGGGUGGCUCUUCCUCUCUAUGAAAUUCUCCCCGCAGAGGUAUGUUACCUCUCUCACCACCAAAUCUCCCGGUGUUUGACUUCUCCUCGUACUAUCGGGACCUGGUGCCACUCCACCACCUCUCACCCUUUCCUCCUGGGUUACUCUUCGUUCACUCCGCAGCUCAUGCAGGAUGGUUGUCAGGGUCUCCAUCUGCUUUUCCAUCCGUUCCAUCCGGUCGAACAUGGCUUUUUCCCGCGCUUCACUGGCUAUCUCCCUCAGCGUCACAGAAUCAUUAAGCCUCAUAUCACCCCCUUGUGCAUUACUUCCUCCUGUCUCCAUUGCUUUUCACUUGCUUCACUUCUCUUCUUGCUAUCAACAGAAGCUUUUUGCUCAGUUCCCCACAGACGGUGCCAAAAUGUUGAUGCGAGAUUCUGGUUGCCCUCUUGCUUCGACCAGGAUAUCUGUUCGAUCAACUUCACCUCGAUCAGGAUCUCUCAUCGUAUGCUUUCUUCUUCAAAUAUUCCUGCGUCCACAGAAAUAAGUCAGAGCACGCCGGUUGUUUUCCCGGUGUAAACCCUCCGAUGCUUAAGUCAAAUAUGAAGGUUCUGGGAACGCUUGCCACAAAUCUUAUGGCUUUUCCGUUAUUUCUAUUCUUUAGAGCUUGCUUUUAUCUUUGUUAUAUUCUCAAAAUUGCUAACCCUUUUACCUUCGUUGGCUAUCUUUUUAUAGGCUUCCUCUGAAUCCCGGUCUUCCGGAGUCCACGCCCAUUAUUCUCCCCACCCUCGGAUGUGGAUGCCCCAUUAUUACCCUUGUGGGCAAAUGGAGAUGGACUUAGUGCCUUGAUUCUCGGACUGGAGAGCACGCCUCACCAACUGUCGUUGACCGGGUCUCCUCGACUCAACCCUUAGCAGGAAUGUAGAAGGAAUGGGCUUAUGCUUCCAACAGGAGAUUGGCCUCGUGGAUGACGUGCUCGUGGAUGAGCCGGAUGUUCCUGCUCCUUCUCGAGGAACACUAUUACCAGAUGUCUGCUCAUCACUGUUGGUCUUCGUCGAAGCAUAUCCCACCAACACAUUCUUCAAGAGAAGGCCUUCUGCUGGAAAGGAUGAAAUACUCGCCAUACAUGCUGUAUUGCGAAGAGUUAUUUCGUUUUUCUUAAUCUAAAUUAAGAAAAAUUUUAAGCAUUUGUGGAUAAGCAGUAACAGAGGAUCUUCGUUUUCUCACCCCUGUUUGAAAGCAUCCUAAUCAAGAAAAUUUGUGGAAGAAUUUAAGCUCUUCGUAAUAUUGGUCACGCAGACAGAAGUUGUUGAUGUUGAAAUCUGGUCGUCCUUUGCCCGACCUGAUCAUUCCACCAACGUUUGUGUUGUCCACGAAGGGAAGGUUGUACUCUCCUUGCUCUAGCAACUGCCCGUGUCCCUGGGACCCGAAUCACCCUUUCUCUCCUUUCCAAGCUUGCGCUCACAGAAACAAGUCAGAGACGCCGGUGGUUUUACCGGCGUAAACCCUCCCAUGCUUAAGUUAGAACAAGAUAUUUACGGGUAAAGUGUAUAAUUUAAGCGAGUAAACUGAAUACAGUAUUUUUGGCACAAUCUGUAUCGAAGAUCUUUGUAAAAAUGAGUCAGGAUUUCAAUUUGGCAGAGUUUUUCAUUUUCUCUCCACUUUUUCAUCCUUUUCUUCAUCGGUCUCUUGGCUUCUUAUAGCCAUCAUCCCACGUUUCCUGCGUAUUCUUCAUGCCCUCCAUUUUCGAGUGAUGGCAGACCCUCAUGGGUCUCCAACCACCGAAUCAUGGGUAAACGUGGGAUGGCAUGUUCUUCCCAGCGAUUCGCGGCAUAGCGAACUUGUCACGAUUUCGUGAGAUCGUGUGCUCUUUCUUUGGGUGAUGAGCAUCUGGUCGGUACAUAUCUCUGGUCAGUGCUCGUUUCUAGUUGGCACAUGCCCGUACACGAUGUUUUACCAGGACUCUGCUCGUGCCAUUCAGCUGGGGAGAUUCGCCUCAGGGUGAGAGAUGAGGACAUAGCUGAGUUGAUACUUUUCAUUACUCAACAGAAGUUACUCACAUAAUCAUAAAAGAUAAAAAGAUCUGAAUCUGUCUGAUUGAUCGAAGAGAAAACUUUAAUAAAUUAAUCACGUAUGAUUGGGUCAAAUGUGACAUAAUCUUACAGUGCAAGCUCUCAUACUUUGAAUUAUACUAUAGAGAGCAGGAGGAUGACAACAUAUAUCGUCUUUAAGCAGAGAAAGCAGCCAUUAUAGCAUUUGCAACAUUUCAAAGUUGAUGACAUUAGUCUAAUAUGGAUGGAUGAAUGCAAAAUUAGAACAUGGUGCUGCAGAGGCAGCCAAAGUUCUUAUUUCCUACCGGAAUUCAGACAGCAUCCGUCAAGCCUGCAGCGUAAGUCUUCAACGGAUGAAGCUUUGCAUCAGCAAACAUGCUCGUAAAGCAAUGACCGAGUUAUCAGGGGAGGAUCAUGGAUUUUUUGAAAUCUCAUUCUGGUGUUGGUAUACGUCCUCUUUCCAGGGACUUGGAUUAGCAUCAAAGUUCAUGAAACGGUGAUCUUGUUGUCUCAAUGUCAAUCUCGAUGUUUUUCAUUCUGCCCGUUGUGAUGUUUCUUCAAAGUUCAAACCCCAAGCCAUCUUUGGUCAAAGGUGCUGCAGGACAUUCAUUCUCUUCCAUUCCAACACAGCAUCGAUUUGUUUUCAUAACUCCAUUUCUAGAAAUAAUCCUGCACCAAACAGAGGCAAAUUAACUAGCAUGCUACUCAAGAAAGAAGGCAAUUGAAUUGGAAGAAAGUAUUAGUGGACGUCUUACCAUCAUCGCCAUGAGUCCGUAACCUUUUAUCUGAAAAUUACAAAUAUCAUAUCACCAGGACCAAAAGGCUAACUUGUUAUGCCACAUAUCCCAGCCUGCCUUCAGUCCAUUCCAAAAGCAAAAUGAAUUUAUCAUCUAAAAGAAAACACAGAUUUAGCAAACUCAGCACCAACUUUAUCCAAAACAGGAAAAAUAUUGAAAUUUGAAUAAGCUCACAAAUUUCGUUAAUUACCACUCACCAGCAAAAGUUCCAAAAGCCUGUAUGUAAUCGAAUCUCCCCUCAUGCUUCUCAUGUUCUUAAUUUAUUAUGACACAUCCUUUGUUUCCUGCACUGGCCACCGUCAUGACAUUCACAGUUGAUGAAAUGGAUGAUUGAUCUGAACGGUCUCGAAGUUCAGAUUGAUGGUGUGAUUUCCCUUGUCGAAAUUGUCAUUAAUGCAAACCGGCUCUUGGCUCUGUAGAGGCAAAGUUCUCACUGGAUUUUGGCGUGUUGCAACAUCCAAUAAGCCUGUGGGGUAAGUCUUAUCAAUCUAAAGUCUUGCAACAACAAAUCAUUUCGCUGCAUGAGAAUUGCAGUCUUUAUUGUAAUUUCAGGCAUAAUGCAUCAAUUUCAAGUACUCACAGGAUUGUGUAGUAAAGAUUGAAGACUUGGCAGCAAGCGAAACCUCCCAUGUUGUCUAGUUUUAUUAACCCCCUUCAGAUGCUCCUGCAAACCUCUUAAAUCUUAUUUCAUAAGCAAACUAAGGAAAACGAGUAAAAUGCAAGUUGUACGUCAGAUACUCCAACUGACAACAUAUAAUAUAGUAGAUACUCUAAAUUCUGGAGAAAAAGUACAUCAGAUACUAAGACUAACAAUAAAUUGUAAAUCACACACUAGUUGUGCUUUUCAAGAAACAACUAAUAGAAGUUAACCGGUGAGGAUCAUGAAUUUUUUACCUCAUCAAGGGUACUAUUGUCUGCUUAUAUUCUUCUGAUACAUUGGUGAUGCUACUAUCUCUUUUCUACGAACACGUCACUGCAUCAAAGUACAAGCCAUGUUGGCGUUCUUAAGUAGGAUGAAAAAGAAAGGAGAAAAAGGAAAGGAAAUCAUGUACAAAUUGUCUCAACCUAGUAUCUGAUUCUGAUAUAUGAAAAUGAAUAAGAAGUAUUUUCAAAAUGAUUUUGAUAUCUCUUUGCUACAACUGACCUCGUUUUGUUAGAGCGGUCAGAAAUGUAUGAAGUAACAAAAUCUACUCUGCCUCUGGAUCGUAUAUGAAUUUGUCAUCUAUCUUAACGCAAGGAAUGCGAGCAAUCUUGGACCACUCUUUUCCUCUAUCCCUUUUGCACUGUUUUCUCAGCUUUGGACAAUUUUUUAUUUCUAAGCUCAAAAGUGAGGAUGGAAGGCCCACCUCUGGAAAUGAUGUCAGAUUUGGGCAAUCUUCAAUCAAUAGAUGUUCAAGAGAGGUGAGGCUCUGAAAACCCAUUGAAGAAAGGUAUUUCAAUUUCGACAAUCUCCUAAGGAUCAAAAAAGUUAGAGAGGCGGGCAGCAUCAUUCUCAUCUCUUCGUCAGGAAAGGACUCUGCAUCAUGACAUUCUUCAAUUGAGAGGCCUAUAAGAGAUGUAAGCCUGUGCAAUCCCCACUGGAUGACUGCCUUAUACAUUUUCGCAUCAACUCCACCUCCAAUUCUAAUUAGUUUUAGAUUUGUUGGAAAACCUUCUUCUGAGAACGAUAAAAUACUAGGACAUUCCUUUAUUUUUAAAUAUUGAAGAGAUUGGAGUUUGUGCAUGCCAUUGGGCAGGGCAUCAAGCUUCUCAAAAUAGGAAAUGGUUACAUGUGAAAUGGUGUUGGGAAGCCCUUUUUCUGCCAAGGAAACAAGACUUGGACACUUCUUUAUAUAAAUGCUCCGUAACUUGUGCAGGCCCUCGGGUAUUGACUCCAGCUUUGGACAAUUACGAAUGUGGAGGUCUUCAAGCGCCUCAAGUAGGUGGAUUCCCGAUGAUAAACAGGUGAGCUGAGGGCAAUCCCUUAUCUGCAGGCUUUCCAACGUCACUGAUGAAAGUGAAGAAGAAGGUGCAUCCUCUUCAUCAUCCACCAAACACUGCAAAUUCUUACAGCAGUUUAUCUCAAGGCUUUUAAUACAUGACGGUAGCUUCUGCCUCGCAACAAAUGUUAGAGAAUGACAAUAACUGAUAAAAAAUGACGAAGAAGAAGCAACAGCAGAAGCAUCAUGUUCACCAUCGACCAAGUGCUGUAAGUUCUUGCAAUUCUCUAUCUGAAGACUUUUAAGAGAUGAAGGUAACUUCCCUUUUGUGACGAAUUUGAGAGAAUCACAAUAUCCGAUAUACAAGCUUUCAAGUCGUGAAUUGUUGUCCACAAUUUCCUCAGGUAAGGAUCUUAAUGUUGAGAUCUCGGAAAUUAUGAGAUACCGCAGAUUUCUUGGGAAAAAACUGAUCUCUGGAAACGAAACAAGACUUAUGCAACUUUCUUCAAUUGAUACCUCAUCAGGGCAAGCAAACAUAAUUAGCUCUUCUGGUGGUUUAAAAAGCAUUCGAAAACCUCCAUACGGCCUCCAUGACUUGAGCUCUCUAGAAUUGCCAACUACCAAAGUUUCUAAUACCUGAAAUUCUGGUUUGAAUAAUUUUCCAAACUCCAAAGCAUUUGAAAUUGUCUCGGUUUGUAACAGUGAAGAGCUUGUCCGACUAGCGUGAAGCAUCCCCUCACAUCCAUUUAUGUCUAAUGAACUAUUUGAAAUAGUCAUAGACUUUAUUAAUUUAGAAUCAAUCGGAGUUCUGCACAGCAGCUCUUUGCACUCAUCAGCUUCUAAUCUGCAGAGCAUCGGAUAGCUUGACAAUGAAAAUUUCAACUUUUGACAUUUACUAACAAGAAGUGUUUUCAAGGAGGGCAGAAGCUCUGGCACUUUUCCAGAGAGUUCGGGACAUUCAACAAUGGAAAGUUUCUGAAGGCGAGGAAAUAUUUCAACGUGCUCAUUUCUGUCGACGUUAGUGUCCCAGCGCUCCCAUUCUGGCAAAUACUCAAAACUUAGAAUCUCCAACGAUUGAAAAGGCUCUGAGAAACAUUUGCCAAAAAACUCGCAACCUAUGCUUUUUAGGUUCGUCAUCCUCUUAAUGGUGAGGUCUCUAAGUGAACUCAACAACCCAAGCGAUGGCAACGAUGUGCAAUUCCAACAGUCAUCUAAUUCAAGGACAUUCAUCUUAGAGAACAAUGGAUCUCCUAUCCAAAGCGGAAAUCUCGCUCCCCCAUAGCGCUUGAUUGUGAGCUCUUUAACAAAUUUAUGAGGUUGUAGUACGCCAAGUACUUGCUCUUCUGCUACUUCAUCUCUUGAAUUGUCAAAUUGGGAUCCCCAUUCUAGCGACAAUGCUUCUAGAUUCAGCUUCUCACAUAACGCAGCUUCUCUUGCAUUCUUUGAAUCAUUCACAUUUUGUAAUCCUGAAAUACAUAGUUCACCACUGAGAAAUUUUAAAAUUUUCAAAUCUUCCAAACCAGAUGCAGUUUCACCACCCUUGCCCACGACGAAAUUAGAUAAUGUUUGAAGAUUCUUGAGCUCCUUCAUUCCAAAUGGCAUCUCCUUCAGUAAAAUUGCCCCUCUUAUAUCAAGAUGACAUAAAUUGAUCAACCUCCUUAUUUUCGACGGCAGCUUUAUCAAACUACUACAAUUUCUUAAAAUCAAGAUUUCCAAGUUCAACAGUGAGCAUGAUGACUCGGGUAAACUUCUUAUGUCAGUGUCAGCAAGGUUGAGGUACCUUAAAAGCCUCAAAUCUUCAAAUGGAAUAGGUAACUCGCCAAUAUAGUAUCCUUGCAAAGAUAGCACCCUCAACUUUUUGAACUUUGGCAACAAAUCAUAUAACACCAUGCUAGUUAUGUAACAAGUAAUAAUGUAAUCUGUUUUGUGUAAUGGCAAGAAUGUUCGCAGAUGUUCAAUUUCAUAGAAAACCUUGAACUUAUUUCUACCAUCCAACUCGCCACAUGCAUAAGAAGAAUGGCGGACCCUUUCAAAUCUUCUUGAUGACGAAUUGUCCUCCUCUAACCUGAAAAUGGUUUCUCCAGAAACUAGCUGAGCGAGAUCAUGGACUAGGUCGUGCAUUGCAAAUUUAGAACUGCCAAAGCCUGUUCGUUGAAAAAUUGACCUUGAAACUAGAUCAUGAAAGCACUGGCUGCCCAAAUCUUUCAGCUGCUCAUUGUUGCUUGACUGUCGAAUAAUACCCCCAGCAAUCCACAAGAAAACCAGCUCCUUCUCAUCGAAUUCAAAAUCUUUGGGAAAAAUCGCACAAUAGGCAAAACAUCUUUUCAAAUGAGACGGAAGAUGGUGGUAACUCAAUCUUAACACAGGGAGGAUGCUACUUUGACGAGGUAAAUCCCAUAUUUUGCUAUCCAAUAUGUCGUCCCACAUAUCGUACGUAGUAGUACGUAGAAGGCCCCCGAGUGUUUUUGCCGCAAGGGGCAAGCCUCCACAUUUGCCAACAACUUUCUUGCGGAAUGAUUCUGAGAUUUCAAGUGCAUUAUGAUCUCUACCCUCAAAUGCGUGCGUUUUGAAAAUAGACCAGCAAUCAUCGUCUAACAGAUGCUCGAGGUAAUAAUGAUCAAUGGGUCCCAUUGUAGAUGCAACAUGUGAAUUCCGUGUGGUGAUAAUCAUCUUACUAUUUGGUGCAGCAGCCAAGAAUGGAGCUUUUAAAUCUACCCACAAGCUGUAGUCCUCGUUCCAAACAUCAUCUAAGACCAGCAAGAAUCUUUUUCCGUCCACUGCUUUUUUCAGUUGAACCUGCACUUCAUCUACAGUCUUGAGAUCACAAGUUGCCGAGGUGAUUGACUCGAGAAGCGCCUUUGAGAUGCUCAAAACAUCGAAGUCAUCGGAGACACAAACCCAUGCUUUUACAUCAAACUUACCGGAAUCUUCAACGGCCUUGUCAUUGUAGACCUCCCUAGCAAGGGUUGUUUUUCCGAUCCCACCCAUGCCGACGAUGGGUAUUACGGCAAAGUUAGCAUGAUCAGCUGCGGUAUCAGUCAAUACCAUUUCAAGUAUUUUGGUCUUAUCUUCCUCUCUCCCAAAUACGACAGGUUCUGUUGGGACACUUGAACUGGGUGGUCUUCGCUGAGCAGCAGCAGUUGAGGAAGUCCCUCCAGGAAUCAAUUGCAAUCCAAGUUCAAUUCUUUGUUUACAGAGUUCUUCCAAGCGGCUGGUGAUCUCUUUGAUCUUGGACCGCAUACUGAAGUUGAACUUCACGGUGGUAAUUGGACUGAAACAACGGAAACAUGCUGCGGGGACCAAGUUGCGGACCUUACUACUAGAGCCAGGCUGAUCAAGGCCUUCCGCCAUCAACUUGUGUUCCAAAGCUUGAGUAGCAAACUCAUCAAGAAUGUCCUCAGCAUCACAAGCCAAGUCUUGGAGAUCGUCCAACCACAUCUUUACAGCCUCGUCCGUCAGUUGCUUCUCCUCUGCAUCGCGGAGCACGGCCUGAAUCAUCUUCAGUUUUCUUUCCCACUUUCUGAGCUCUGAAGAUACCCCGCCUUGAAGUUGACGGAUAAAGUUGAACAAAUCAGGGGAAGCCAAUCUAUCAAACAGCACAUCAAGGAAAGCAGAGAGUAAGAGCUCUGCCAUGGUUUCGUUCGUUCGCCGGAGAGAAAGGAAUCGGUGUCCAAGAAAGAAGAAUAAGAAGGGAUCAAACUGGAUUGAUUGAAGAAAAAGAGAACAGGAUUUAGCGAAUGGACAUGAAAAUGGAAAUAAAACAUCAAAAACCUGCAAAGACUCUAAAUCAAGGACUCCAACAGCGGGCCUACAUCAAUUAAUAAUGGAGUAACACUUUCAAUGUUACUCUUGUCCAGCCGUGUCCCGUGUGGACUCCACCAAACAGUCUUCAAGCUCCAAAGGAUUAUAAUCUUGUUAUCAUUAUUUGAGCUUCGAUUUUUUUUUUUUUUUACUACUGUCAAUUUUUAUUGAUAGCAAUACACUGUAACGCGACACUCUUUUAAACGGAAGACAUAUUUAAUCCACCCAAUUAAUAUAUGCAAUUGUGUUCAGUCAGAAAUCAGUUUUAAGUGAAAUUAUUUUUUGAUUGUGUGUGAACCCCUUGUUCUCAUUUUUUUCCUCCUUUUUUUUCUUUUGUCAUAACUUUAUCUCUCCCUUGAGCAAGUGAUUAUUAAUUACAAAAAUAAAAAUAAAAAUAAAUCUUACUCAUACAUUUUUACUAGAGAAUAUAUAAUACAAGAUUUUUAAAAGUUUCACAUUAGAGAGGAUCUUAAUACUCAAAUUAAUGGCUAAAUUUCUCUGUUAAUAAAGACCGGAAAGUAAAGUUUACGGUUGAACUAAGCUGUAACAAAUUUAGUUUAAGUGAUUGUUUUCUAAUUUCAAAAUAAUGAUUUUGAAUCCAUUCUACAUACCCAAAGUCACUUCACUUAUGAACGAACUCUUAAAAGAAUAAAAGCAAGUUACAAUGGCCCUACAGUUUUUUGUUGAUAAGAAAGGUAGCUACUCCGAGAACUUGACAACGACAAAAGCAGUUAUACAUAUGGGAUUUCUUAGCUUUAUUUGCUUGCCAAUAUUGACUACAUAUCCUAGAUUCUGAUCAGCGGCAGAUCCAAAAGCCCCCGCUGACCCAACCCAAAAAAAAAAAAAAAUAAAUAAAUAAAUAAAUUCUAAGACUAAUAGAAAAAAAAAUUGGGUUUCUAAUUUACCCCCAUUAAAUCUAUUAAACCAACUCCUAUAAAUUUAUAUAAACCCAAAAAAUUUCAACUUUAACUUUAAAAUUAUAAAAACCCACACUUUAAUUAAAAUAAUGAUAGUCGACCACCCAAAAAUAUUUUUUCUAUUUCUAAAAAUAGGAUUGAUUCUUCCGGUUUAUAAAGUAACAAUAGAACAAAAAUUUUAAUAACGAAGUUCGUAAAGAAUUAUUUCUAGAAUCAGAUGGAAUGAAUGAUAGUUUAGUUGUUUAUGUAAGAAAUGAUACAUUUAAUAAUAUUGAUAAUGAGUCUAUUACAUAACAUUUUCAAAAUAUGAAAAAAUGUGUUGAGAACAGUUAUGAAUGUAUUAGCAAAUAUUUUAUAUAUUCAAAGUUUUAAUUUUUAAAAUUUACUAUUAUCUAAUUUGGCCCCUAGUAAAUUUUUUUUCUGGAUACGCCACUACUUCUAAUGUUAUGAAUCUUUUGUUCUUUCCCAUCUACGAUAAUAGUUUCAUAUUGGAUAACAUCUUUUAGGUUUUGGUUAUGUUGGUUAAAGAUCUUUUGCAAUGAAAAUAUUUUGAUCACGUUUCUCAUACAACAUGUAGAAUUACUAUAAUUUAGAAAUCAUACCAUUGCUUUUUCAUAAAAGUAAAUUAGGUUUUCAAGUCACGAUCUGUCACCAUGAAUCUUAUUAGUGUUGGGAAAAUAUGCUCUUUAAAAGCAUAUGUGUUUAUUUAAUUGUAAUAAAUAUUUUUUCUGAUUAAUAAAAUUAAUGUGGUAUUUUAUUCAAAUAUCUUAAUUGCAUUAAUAUUUGUAUUAAAGUCCAUUUAAUCAUAUUAUAUGUAUUUAUGUGAUCACCAUGUGGAUCACAGAAGACAUAAAUACAAGUUAUCUUAUGAUUAAAUAAAUUUAGUUCGCAGUUGAUAUGUAAUAAAUUCAUUGAAUGAUUUGUCUUAAUCAUGUAUGAAUUUAUUGAUGUAGUACGACUACAUUGAACAGGAUCACAUAUGAGAUUUAAUUAACUUUGUAAUAACUGUCAGAUUUAUUAAAUCUCAUAGGCAUUGAUUUUACUGUAAUCUUAAUCUUGAGUUAAUUAUGAUUUCAUAAUUGUAAUUGUUAUUUCAUUUGAGUUACCAAUGGGCACGACACAUCCUUGCGGUCAAGAUUACCCGGUAUCUUGGUGGGAGCAAUUAUGAGUAUUGGAGUUAUGGAUUAACAAUAUAGAAUUUGUGCAACACAUCUCUUGAUAGGUUUUCGGUACUUGAUCAUAGAAUUCUCUGGCCAGAGUGUGUCAACAUAUUUAGUAUGUUGAAAAUGAUCAUUAGAGAAAACCAGUAAGGAUCAAGGAAUAAGAUGUUAUUAAAUUGAUUGGACAGUUGAGAUAUCAAUUUAAUUAACGAUGUGGUACAAAGGAUUGUGCAGUAAAGAAAUCAAUGUGGCUUGGGACGAAUUAUUAUUCGAGCAUACAAUUAUGGAAGUCAGUUCCAAUCUUUUAGUGGAGUAGAUUUGGAAUUAAAUAAUUGGGCUAGUUUAAUUACAGGCCUAAUUAUUGUAGCCACUAUUGUAUGUUCCCAAAUGAUCCCCGGGUUAGCUCAUUUAAUUGACUGCACCACUACUGGACUAAUAAGUAAGAUAGCUAGCUAUUUGGGUCAAAAGCCUAAAUAUAUCAUUUAGUGGGAGGCUCCAUUUAAUUAACUUUUGUGUAAGGGGCCUUAUGUUAUUUUACAAGGUGGGUCCCCUAUUGAAAAAGAAAAUAACGUGGGUUUUGUUUUUUGAUUAUUUGGAGCCUAGGGUUUUCACUAAAGGGUGAUAUAAAAGGCUUAUUUUCUCUAAAGGAAAGUGAGAAGCCACUUUAUACAGAUCAGAGAAUAAGAUUUUUCUCUCUAUUGUUGAGAGAAAAAUUUUCUCGUGCUAGUUGCUUUGGUAGUGAUAAAGGCGCCCACACGUCAAGUGCAGAUCGAACCUGAGUCAUAACCUGGAAGAUCAUUGGUGACAAUUCGUGAUCUAACAAGCGUGGUGGUGACGGAUCGUGAUCUAACAGGAGUGGUGGCGGCGGAUCGUGAUCUAGGAGCCUAAAUCACUUCAGCGGAAAAAGCCAACUCGGAUUUUCAAGGUACGAUUUCUAGAAUACAAAUUCUUAUAUAUUAUAUAAGAGCGAUCUUCAAAAGGUUGUAUAAAAAUUUAAAAACCUGAUUUUUCCCCAACAAUUGGUAUCAGAGCCAUCUCAUAUUAAUAUAUAAGAAUUUCGUAUGAAAUCAUUCUUGAAAUUUAUGUAUUAGAGUGGCACAAUUUAUUCAGAUAUAUAUUAAUUGUUUAAUAUAUGAAUAAAGCAUGUUUUGGUUUGUCUUAAUUCAUGGUUAGAUUUUCUAUUGUAUUUUUCGUUUGGAUCUGUAACAAGAGGGGUGGCUUUUUAUCACCAUAAUUCCCUCUUGAUUUAUUUUACUGUAAUUGAAAUUUUGUAAGCCAAAAUUUGCGUUGAAAAUUUGUAAAUCACCGAAGCAUCAUCACUGGAAAACGAGCGCAAACAAUCGAGGCCGGAAAUUUCAGCAACGAGGGGGCAGCGUGCGCUGCAACGCAAACGUGCACGCAGCAGCAGCGCGCACGGGAAGCGUGGCUUGUGCGCGCAGCACGCGAUGGCACAGGCUGCUCGCGCAGCAAACAGCGCGCGCGGCCAGCGUGGCCAGCAGCGCGCGCGAGUUUGAUGCGUUUCCGGCGACGCGGUGGCAGGUGGUUCGACGUCGGAGAUGCGUCGGAGGUCGGCUGGCGUCUGAACAGUGGUGGAGGUUUUUGGAGAUGGCGGCUGGGGAAGAGAGAAAGAAAAAGAUGGAUUUAGGGUUUUAUGGUUUUUAUCAUGGAGGUCCCUAUGGUUCCAUAAUUUUUAUUUGGGCAGAAAAAGUUUAAUUUUUUGCGUUUAAAUCCAAAAACAGUUUUGGAUUUAAUAAAUCCUAGUUUUAGGCCCAAUUUCAAUUGGGCUUAAUGGAUUAAGAUGCAUAGAUAAAAUUGAAUGCAUUAAAUUUAUUUUUGGUCCAAAACUUUUAUUUUAAUAAAUUUUUUUUUUAUUUAUUUCUUUUGAAAAUUAAAAUUGGACCAAUUAUAAAUUUAAAAGCCCAAUUUCCCCUAGUCCAUUAACAAAAACAAGAUUAUGGAAGAUGGACAUUGACAAGAAGCCCAAUAAAGAUUAGGCUUAGAGUUAAUGUAUUUUUCAUUAUUAGGAAAGCCAUGAAUUAAGAUUAUUUAAUUGUUUUUCUAUAUGUUAUGUUUUGGAUGAUAACAUGCCAUAAUAACAUGUCAUAUAGAAUAGGUAGUGCCACUCUAUGCAUAAUGAUACAUGUCAUUCAUUAAUUAUGAAUUUCAUUAUAUUGUUUGAAAUUUGUCUAUGCUUAAUAAUAUUGGAUAUCAUCUAGAUAAUAUUAUAGGAAGCAUGCAAUUAACAAUAUGUAUGUUUUAAAAGGAAAAACCAAUUUUAAAAUAUUGAGUGAGAGAGGGAAAAUUCAAGAUAAUUUUCCCACGGGCUCCAUUGUUAGUUCAAUAAUAAAAUUAUAUAUAUACCUCGACUUCAUGAUACGGUGAUGCUCCCUUCGGAGGGUAUAUAUAUUAGAUAUUUUAUUUGAUGAACUUCUUCAAAGAUAAAAUCGAAAUAUUUUUCAAUCGAUUGUUCACCCCAACGGUGACUAUUGAUAUGAAAAAUACGUAGAUUGAAACAAUGGUUAUACACUCAACUAAAGUUUGUUAUUAACCUUCCCAACGAAGCUCUGUUAACAAAUUUAGGCCCAAAGGGAUAACGAUAAUUAUUUAUUAUGUCUCUACAUGAAAGUAAAUAAUCUAAUGGAUAAUUGGGUCUAGUAAGUGUAGACAUGACUUCCCCAACGGAUAGCUUGUCAAAGCGGUACUAGAUUAUCGUUACAAUAAAUUAAAAUGCAUUUAUGGUUUUUACAUUUGUGUCAUUUAUUGUGAAUAUUGUUUCAAAGUAUUUAUGCAUGUUUAUUUUAUUUUUUUCAGAAAAUGUCUUCCAUCAACCCAUUAUUAAAUAUCCUUGUUAAAAAUGAACUCACUGGCAAAAAUUAUUUAGAUUGGAAACGCAAUCUAUUUAAUAUUCUCACUGCUAAAGGAAUCAAAUAUGUUUUGACCCAGCCUUGCCCUCCUGAACCAUCGUUAUACGAUUAUAGAAAUCAGAGGGAGCCUUAUGAGAAAUGGUACGAAGCUAACAAAAUGGCUAAGUGCUAUAUAUUGGCUUCGAUUUCUGUGGAACUGCAUAAGAAACAUCGGAGCAUGGAAACAGCCACUGAAAUUAUGGCUAGUCUUCAUCAGAUGUUUGGGCAAAAUACCCAUUUUGCCAGAGAAGUAGCAUUAAAACGUAUUACGGAUACUAAGAUGGAAGAGGGCACAAAAGUUCGUGAUCAUGUCCUCAAAAUGAUGGACUAUUUGAAUGAGGUAGAGAUUCAUGGUGUUCAAAUCAAUGAUAAAUCAAAGAUUAACAUGGUGAUUGAAUCUUUACCUGAUACAUUCAAAGAGUUUAAGGUCAGCUAUAUCUUAAAAAAUAAAGAUAUGACCUUAAUUGAAUUAAUGCACGAACUACAUGCUAUAGAAGAAUUUUAUAAUAGCAGAAAACUUCCUGAAAAAGGAUUCUCUUCAAGGCUUAAGUCGAAAGACAAGAAUGAGCAAGCAAGAGUUGGGAUCGGCAAACUGUCCACUAAAAGAAGUGGCAAGCCAAAAGGCAAGUGUUACAAAUGUGGACAGAAGGGUCACUGGAAGAAAGAUUGUCCUAAGAUUAUUAAAAUCAGGUAUAGGAAAUUUUUAAGCUUCCUAAUUAGUUCAGAUUUCUAUUGAUUCAUACAAUAAUGAAUUCUGAGAUAACUAAUCUUAUUUGUAAUUCAUUUAUUUGGUUUUCAGGAAACCAAGAGAUUAAGUGAAGAAAGCUUCAAACAGCAGUUGAGGACGUGCUAGUUUAUAUCAAUUGAAAGACUAGAUCAAUUUUACAAGACUUUAGUUUUGAUAUUUGUCUUUAUUUUUCCAAAUAUUAGAGGAAUUUAAUUUCGGUGGCUUGUUUUAAUAAACAGGAGUACACUGUUAUUUAUGGAUCCUCUGUUUUUUACUUAUUUUGGUUAUUUAUAAAGACAAUUUAUAUCAUAGAAGUACAUUGAUCUAUUCAAAGUAAGAUAUAAUGAUAAAAAGUAUAUGCAUUUAUCUAAGAAAAGAAAUGUUUCUUCUAACCAAAAAUCACCUCUGAUAUUUAUGCUUAAGUCAUAUAAACUAUAAUAAGAUUUUAAGAAAAUGAUUAAUGAUAGACUUGUUGGCCUAUUAAGAUUGAUCAUUGUAACUCUAUAAAUCUUAUUUAGAAAAGUAAUAUGACAAGGAUGCUCUUUUUUGAGCUAAAAGCAUAACAUUGUAUUUGAUGAUUUAGCGCAUACAAAUGUAUACGGACUAAUCAGUUUACAUGUUAUAAGAGGUUAUGAGUAUUCUAUCAAUCUUGUUGAUGAAUAUUCAUUUUAUUUAUGUUUGUCUAAAUGCGUCAUGAUUCCAUUGCUUUUGAAAUUCAAAAGAGUACGUGGAUAAGACAGAAGCAAUUAGACAGGAACAUAAAAGAACUUCGAUAUGAUCGAAACAACGAAUAUCUCUAUGGAGAAUUCAAGCACUAUUUGGUUGUCAAUGAACACUAUGAUACAAUAGUGUAAUUAAAUGGAGAAACAAGAUUCUUUUGGAUAAGACAAGAUAUAUAUUAAGUGGUUUAUCAUUUACCUUUUUGAUUCCAGAUACUAGUAUUUGAAACUACAAAGUUUAUUGAACUUAGUUUCAUCUAUCUCGGUGUCUACUACUCCAAGAUAUUAUGAAAAGUUCACAAACAUGGUUUGAGACACAUUCGUAUUUGGAGUUUACUAGUAUUUCUACUAGAAUCAGAGAUAGAGAAGAUGGAUUCGUGUUCAGAAGCUUGCAUGUUUUAGGUAUCUUAAAGGAAUAAGGGAAAGUCUGAAUUAUAGUCCUCAAGAUAGGAAUGUAUUUAUAGAAAUAUUCUUUACUUUCUUUGAGGAAGACUAUAUAAUGACUUAUAACCUAAGAGUAAGGUAAAACUAGAGAAAUAAAAUAGAUCAGGUUGAUGCUAAGCUUUCAACACCUGUUAUAGAACAUGAAGAACAGCAACAACCAGCUGAUCAGCACAGGAUUAUCCUUGAACAACCAUCACUUUUAGAACCUCGUCGUAGUGGGAGGGUAACUAGGUUACCUGCGAGAUACAUGCUUUUGGGAGAAACCUAUACGGCUAUCUCAGAUGAACAUGUAUAAGAUCCCACUAGUUACAACGAAGCUCUAAUAGAUAGAGAUGUUGAAUUUUAAAAAAGGCCAUGUAUCAAGAAAUGGAAUCUAUGUAUUCCAAUAAAGUCUGGGAACUUGUAGAGGCACCAAAUGAGGUAAAACAUAUAGGGUGCAAGUAGAUCUACAAGAUAAUAAGAGGAGUAGACGGAAGGGUGGAAACAUUUAAAGCAAGAUUAGUAGCCGAAGGGUUUACUCAGAAAGAAGGAAUCAAUUAUGAGAAAACCUUUUCUCCGGUUGCUAUGCUUAAAUCCAUCAGGAUUAUGCUUUCCAUUGCUGUAGUGCUAGAUUAUGAAAUUUGGCAAAUGGAUGUCAAGACUGUCUUUCUUAACAGGCAUCUUGAAGAAAACAUCUACAUGCAGCAACCAGAUGGAUUUAUACAAAAAAGGCCAAGAACACAUGGUAUAUAAGUUGCAGAGAUCCAUUUAUGGAUUGAAGCAAGCAUCCCAGUCAUGGAACAUCAGAUUUGAUCAAGCGAUUAAAUCACUUGGAUUCAUUCAGAACAUUGAUGAACCAUGUGUGUACAAGAAAAUUCAGGGAAAAUUUGUAGCCUUCCUAGUUCUUUGUGUAGACAAUAUUCUCUUGAUUGGAAACGAUAUAGGAGUAUUGACUAUAAUAAAGAUCGGGUUAGCAAAACAAUUUGAUAUGAAAGGCCUGGAAGAGAUAAGUUAUAUUCUUGGUAUCAAGUUACUACGAGACCGGAAGAAUAAAACUUCAGCCUUGUCUCAAGCGGUCUAUAUCGAUAAGAUAUUGGCUAGAUUUAGCAUAGAAAAUUCCAAGACUGGUUUAUUACCAUUCAGACACGGAAUUACAUUCUCUAAGGAUCAAUCACCUAAAACAUCUGAAGAGAUAGAGAGAAUGAGACGAGUUCCCUAUGCAGAAGUUGUGGGAAGUCUCAUGUAUGCCAUGCUUUGCACUAGGCCAGACAUCUGUUUUGCGGUAGGGAUGGUUAGCAAAUAUCAAUUUAAUCCUGGACCUCAAUACUGGACUGCAGUCAAGCAUAUAAUGAAGUAUCUGAAAAGAACUAAAAAUUAUAUGCUUGUGUAUUCCGGUGAUGAACUCAUUCCAGUGGGUUAUACUGAUUCUGACUUUAUGUUAGAUAAGGAUUCCAGAAAAUCAACUUCUGGCUAUGUGUUUACAUUGGGAAGUGGAGCUAUUAGUUGGAUGAGUGUGAAACAAUCUUGUAUCACAGACUUAAUAACUAAAGCUGAAUAUGUGGCUACAUAUGAAGCUGCAAAAGAAGCUAUAUGGAUCCGCAAGUUCCUACAAAAUCUUGAGGUGGUACCUGUUGUAACUGCACCCCUUAAACUAUUUUGUGAUAAUGGUGGUGCGGUAGCUCAAUCUAAGGAACCAAGGAACCACAAGAAACAAAACAUAUUGACAAGAAGUAUCAUCUUAUAAGGGAAUAGUGUAGAAAGGUUAUAUGACAGUACCCCAAAUGGCAUUAGAUGCUAAAUGGCAGAUCUUAUUACAAUGGCCAUUAGUGGGAAACCUUUAUAACUUGCACUUAGAGCCCUAGAGCAUGAGCAAUAUGCUAGAUAUGCUUUGAGAGCUAGUGGGAGAUUGUUGGGAAAAUAUGCUCUUUAAAAGCAUAUGUGUUUAUUUAAUUGUAAUAAACAUUUUUUCUGAUUAAUAAAAUUAAUGUGGUAUUUUAUUCAAAUAUCUUAAUUGCAUUAAUAUUUGUAUUAAAGUCCAUUUAAUCAUAUUAUAUGUAUUUAUGUGAUCACUGUUGAGUGUUAGAAAAUGCAUAUUUAUAAAGGAGAAAACCGUCAUUUUACAUUUUAAGUCUUACUAACAACCCUUACUUUUAUGUAUUUAACCUUCUUGUGAUUUAAUUACAUGUGUUUUAUUUUAAUUAAGUAUUUUAUAUAUUUUAGGGGCAUUAUAGUCAUUUCACAAUAAAGGAGAAAUCAGACGGCAAAACGGACAUCACUUUUGAACUCAGGACGGUCAAAAACCUUAGGAGGAGCAUAAAAGGAAAAAUGACACUAUUCACGUGUACGGUACUGUAUACGUUACUGUUCACGACACUGUUCACAUAGACGGAUGAUGACGUGGCAUUGACCGAUGAUGUGGCAUUGACUGAUGAGGUGUCACGAUCUUGUUGGACUAAAAUUCUUAUGUACUGUUGAUGGUGACGUGGCAGCAUAUCAGUGGACGAAAAAUCUCGCGUACGGUGCAUGCAUCACACAUGAUUAUUUUCAACCAAACCGCGUUACUGUUCAUCCGGGUCAAACCGCGUUACUGUUCAAAGUCGGGUCAAACCGUGUUACUGUUCAUCCGCGUGGUCAAACCGUGGACUGUUGACUGAUGACGUGGCGCAAUCCUAAGCGUCCAAACUGUUUUUAAUCCGAUGGCCAUGAUUUACUCCAUGUAUCUAUAAAAAGGGGGCCUCUCCCCCCUAAUUGGAUAUCUCUGAAUCCAUUUUUGGGAUCCAUUUUCUGUAAUUCCUUCUCCAUCUUGUAUUUUCUUCGUAUUUUAAUAAAUUUCUAUUUUGCCCCUAGUUCAAUUAUGAGUGGCUAAUUUUCUUUCAAGCUUGGGUUGAAGGUGAAGUCUCAACAUGUGUCAUGGGCUUUAUUUGGUAAAUUUAUUUUCUCUUCCCCUCUAGUUUUUGUGGAUGUUUUGACUUCUCGUCGACAAAUAAUACUAAUCUUGUCUAGUACCGCCUUGGUUUCACCGGCCCUCUAGUACAAGGUUAUUAUUAUUUGGCACGAUAAGCCCUUAGCACUAUAUUGAUUAGAGCGUGGUUCAUGAGGUGUGGAUUCCCCCCUCAUGAUUUAAUUGGCAUUAAUACGGAUUAUUUAGCCCAUGAUGCAUGUUGAUACGGAUCCAGAUACCCAAGUACGUCAUUUUAAUAGAAUUCUCUUCAAUUUAUUCUCGCCAUUUCUAUUCCAAUUUUAGAAUUUAUUCUUGCCAUUUUAAUUUAAGUCUUAGCAUAUUCCAAAUCAUUUCCACCACAAAUCCAAUCACCCAUUUACAAAAUUAAUUCUACACAAUUAAAAUCCACCUCCUCGUGGGAUCGACACUCGUCACCAUUGAUCUAUACUAUAAUAGAUUCGUGCGCUUGCGAGUACAUUAAAAUUUGCACAACAAGUUUUUGGCGCCGUUGCCGGGGAGGUAAGUAAUUUUAAUUCGUAAAAUUAAUUUUUUGUGAAUAAUUUCUUUUAUUUGUUUUCUUGUAUUUUUUUUAUUAUUAAAAAAAAGAAAAAGAAAAAAAAAGUGAAUCUACAUUUAAAGGUUAGUAUUUCUUUUCUUUUUCUCUUCUUUAAAAUUCUGUAAUUUAAUUUUCAAUUUAUUUUUCUUUGUAAUUUUUUUUUAUCUUAUUAAUUUAUUUUUAGUUAAUUUAUUUCACGUAUUUGUUUUUGUGUAUUUUUAUAGAAAGGUUUUAAUAGCGCAAUAAGGUUAGUAUCGUAAUUUCUCCCUCUUAUUUAUUUUUAUUUGUUUUGUUCCCACCUUUAUUUUCAUUUUAUUUGUUUUGCAUGCAUGGUCGUAGGUCAUUAUUACCUAAUCUUGAACCUAUAGACCUUGAAUUAGAAAAAACACUUCGCACACAAAAGCACAUUAAAAAUAAAUUUGAAAUGGAUUUGCAACCACAAGAGAGGCCAUUUAAGGACUACUUCAGUCCCUUAGCUAAUUUGAGCACAUCAUGCAUAAGAUACCCAAAUGUAGCUGCUAGGAGUUUCGAAUUAAAACCUAGUGUGCUAAAUUGUCUCCCCACAUUUUAUGGCCUAGAAAAUGAGGAUCCAUAUAAUCAUCUGAAUGAUUUUCAUGCCAUUUGUCAAACUUUUAAAUAUGAAAAUUUUUCAGACGAUGAUGUUAAACUCAGAUUAUUCCCAUUUUCUUUAAAGGAUAGAGCUCGUUCAUGGCUUAAUACAUUGCCUGCUAAUAGCAUUUCAUCAUGGGAACAAAUGGUAACUAAAUUUUUGAAUAAAUAUUUCCCAGUACAUAAAACCAAUGCUAUUCGCAGGGAAAUCUCGGAGUUUACUCAGAGAGAGGACGAGCAAUUUUUCGAAACAUGGGAGCGAUUUAAUGGGCUACUCUUGAAGUGUCCACAUCAUGGGUACGAGAAAUGGCACCAAUGCCAAUACUUUUUGGAGGGAUUACUACCAAAUGUGCAAGAAUGGCUAAUGGCAACAAGUGGAGGAGAGCUAAUGUCAAAAAGUGCAUCAGAGAUUUGGGAAUUCUUCCAGCGACAAGCAGAUAAUUCCCAACAACGGAGUCGAUCACUCAGGAAUACUAGAAGAAUUAAAGGAGUGAAUGAGGUUCAAAUUGGCGAAUCAACUUCGGGAAUCAAAGAAGUCAAGGAGAUGGUUGAAGGUCUUGCUCGACAAAUAGCAUCGUUAUCAACUGGGAAAUCAACAGAACCACAUGACCAUGACUCAUACUCAGAUCAAGCCAAUGCCAUAGGUGUAAUGAGAAAACCAUCGAAUUACAACCCAUACUCUAACACAUAUAACCCUGGAUGGAGAGACCACUCCAAUUUUUCAUGGUCUCAAGGAUUCCAACAGAACGGACCAGCAGCUCCAGCUCCACCAAUUCCACAAAAUCCUCAAGCCUCUCAGCCACCAUUUAGACCAUACAAUCAGAACCAGAACCACUCUCAACCUAGACCAUGGGAGGAUGCAUUCCAGAAUUUCAGGAAUGUUACUCACUCCACGAUUGAGCAACAGAACCGCACCAUUGAUGGACUACGAAAUGAGUUGAGAGUAGGCUUCAACUCACAAGCCCAAUCAGUUUCAAGCCUCGAGAAGAUGGUGGGACAACUUGCUUCUUCAGUUCAGACCUUGGCAAUGAUCGUUGAGAAAGGUAAGUUUCCAAGUCAACCAGUGCCUAACCCUAAAGGAGUGCAUGAAGCUAGUACCAGUUCACCACAGCAGCAUGGAGAAGUCAAAGCAAUAAUGACCUUGCGAAAAGGAAAGGAAGUCGACAACAAAGUGGAGAUGCCGGUGACAAAAGAAAAUCAAAUUGUACCUGUGAAUGUUGAUGACUCAUCACCGGAGGAGAAAGAAGAAACCAACCCACAAGAAUAUGUUCCCAAAGCUCCAUUUCCUCAGAGGUUAGCUAAAGGAAAAAAGGGAAAAUCCACAGGUGAGAUUCUUGAAAUUUUCAAACAGGUAAGUGUUAACAUCCCUUUACUUGAUGCUAUUAAGCAAGUUCCAUCUUAUGCCAAGUUUCUUAAAGACCUUUGUACUAAAAAGAGAAACAUGCAUGUUCAAAAGAAGGCAUUUUUAACAGAAAACGUUAGUUCUAUACUCCAACAUAAAAUUCCUUUAAAAUGCAAAGACCCAGGCUCCCCCACUAUCUCAUGUAGCAUAGGGAACCACACAAUUGAGAAUGCUUUGUUGGAUUUAGGAGCUAGUGUAAAUCUGUUACCUUAUUCAGUGUUUGUGAAACUUGGACUUGGAGAAUUACACCCAACUCCAGUGGUGUUACAGCUUGCAGAUCGGUCCACGAAAAUACCUCGUGGUAUUGUGGAGGACGUGCUUAUUCAGGUAGACAAGUUUUAUUUUCCUGUUGAUUUCAUUGUAAUUGACACUCAACCAAUACAGGAUUCAAGAAAGCACAUCCCCAUUAUUCUAGGCCGACCUUUUUUGGCAACUGCGGAUGCUCACAUUCAAUGCAGGACUGGAAAUAUGCAGUUGUCCUUCGGCAACAUGACUAUGGAGCUAAACAUUUUCAACAUUGCCAAACAACCUCACAGUGUAGAUGAUGGAAUUGUUGAUGUGGAUUUAAUUGAAGCAUUAGUUGAUGAUACUUUUGUUUCAAACCUUAGUGAUCCUUUACAAACAUGUUUAACUCACUUUGGUUUGGAUUUUGAUAUUGACAGAUCGGUCGAUGAGGUCAAUGCCCUGCUUGACUCAGCACCAUCUAUGGACACUAAUAAAUGGAAGUCAAGAGUUGAGCAACUAGCACCAUCAGAGAAGAAACUCAUCCCAUCAUCAGAAUCACCACCGAAACUCGAGCUCAAACCAUUACCCAACACUUUGGAAUAUGCAUUUUUGGGGGAAGAAAGUACUCUGCCGGUAAUCAUCUCAUCAUCCCUCAAUGACGAACAAAAAGGUAAGUUGUUAGAUGUUUUGAAAGAGCACAAAGGGGCAUUAGGAUUGACCAUAGCAGACAUAAAAGGUAUAAACCCAGUAGACUGCAUGCAUUACAUUCACCUUGAUGAAAAUGCUAAAACUACUAGGGAGAUGCAACGUCGGUUAAAUCCUAACAUGAAAGAAGUUGUUAGAACAGAAGUCCUUAAACUAUUAGACGCAGGUAUCAUUUACCCAAUUUCUGAUAGUUCAUGGGUCAGUCCUGUACAAGUUGUCCCCAAAAAGUCAGGAGUCACAGUAGUUACAAAUGCUGAUAAUGAAUUGAUACCCACUAGAGUAACUACAGGAUGGCGUGUAUGCAUUGAUUAUAGAAAGUUGAAUUCUGUCACACGUAAAGACCAUUUUCCUUUACCAUUUAUUGAUCAAAUGCUUGAUAGAUUAGCAGGCCAUGAAUUUUAUUGCUUUCUAGAUGGCUACUCAGGAUAUAAUCAGAUUCCCAUAGCACCAAAAGAUCAAGAGAAAACUACUUUCACUUGCCUUUUUGGCACAUUUGCAUAUAGGAGAACGCCAUUUGGAUUAUGUAAUGCACCUGCUACAUUUCAACGAUGCAUGCUAAGCAUUUUUUCUGAUAUGGUUGAACGAUUUCUUGAAGUCUUUAUGGAUGACUUUUCUGUCUUUGGUGACUCGUUUGAUCAAUGUUUACAUCAUUUAACACUAGUUUUGCAGAGAUGUAUCGAGAAGAACUUGGUCUUAAAUUGGGAGAAAUGCCAUUUUAUGGUAAAACAAGGUAUUGUUCUCGGUCACAUCAUUUCGAGCAAAGGUAUUGAGGUUGACAAAGCCAAGGUGGAUCUCAUUUCUAAUCUUCCUCCACCCAAAACAGUCAGAGAAGUAAGAUCUUUCCUUGGGCAUGCUGGUUUCUAUAGACGUUUCAUUAAAGAUUUUAGCAAAGUUUCUAGACCCUUAUGCAAUUUACUUGCUAAGGAUGUACCUUUUAUCUUUAAUGAUUCAUGUCUUAUGGCGUUUGAAAAAUUAAAACAGUUGUUGACAUCAUCACCCAUCAUUCAGGCCCCGAACUGGAAAUUACCAUUUGAGCUCAUGUGUGAUGCAUCUGAUUAUACAGUAGGAGCAGUAUUAGGACAAAGAGUUGGUCGAAUUCCCCACGUUAUUUACUAUGCUAGUAUGACAUUAAAUGAUGCACAGUUGAACUAUUCAACCACUGAAAAAGAAAUGCUAGCAGUAGUAUUUGCAUUAGAGAAAUUUCGAUCUUAUCUCAUUGGUUGUAAAAUAAUUGUGUUCACAGAUCAUGCUGCUCUUAAAUAUCUUCUCACAAAGAAAGAUGCAAAAGCCAGACUAAUUCGUUGGGUGUUACUUUUGCAGGAGUUUGACUUGGAAUUCAAAGAUAAGAAAGGGACAGAAAAUGUUGUGGCGGACCACCUCUCUCGUCUCCAUUUUGACACAAUUACAGAGCCAUUAAUAUUGAAUGAGUCAUUUCCAGAUGAACAAUUAAUGAAUGUGGAAGUAUUACCUUGGUAUGCUGAUAUAGUUAAUUAUCUUGUUACAGGUAAACUUCCAGAGCAUUGGACCAAGCAAGACAAGGCUAAAUUCUUUGCAGAAAUAAAGAAUUUCUUUUGGGAUGACCCGUAUUUGUUCAAGUAUUGUGCAGACCAAAUUGUUAGACGAUGUGUCCCAGAAAGUGAAAUUCAAAAUAUCCUUUCAUUCUGCCAUGAACAAGCUUGUGGAGGCCAUUUCAGUGCUAAGAAAACAGCGACUAAAGUUUUACAAUGUGGUUUCUAUUGGCCAACUAUAUUUCGAGACGCUUACACUUUCUAUUCUUCAUGUGAUAGGUGUCAACGAAUGGGGAGCAUUACACGAAGGAACAUGAUGCCACUAAAUCCAAUUUUAGUGGUUGAAAUUUUUUACGUAUGGGGUAUCGACUUCAUGGGACCCUUUCCCUCAUCUUUUGGCCAUCAAUACAUAUUGGUUGCUGUUGACUACGUAUCAAAAUGGGUAGAAGCAAUUCCAUGUAGGACCAAUGAUCACAAGGUGGUGAUAGCAUUUUUGAAAAGCAACAUUGUUUCACGCUUUGGAUUCCCUCGAGCAAUAAUCAGUGAUGGUGGUGCCCACUUUUGUAACAAAGCAUUCAAAGCUCUUUUGACAAAGUAUUCAAUCACACACAAAGUGGCGACCCCGUAUCAUCCGCAAACCAGUGGCCAAGUUGAGAUAUCCAAUCGAGAAAUAAAGCACAUAUUAGAAAAAACGGUGAGGCCAGACAGGAAAGAUUGGUCAUUAAGACUUGAUGAUGCCUUAUGGGCAUAUAGAACGGCUUUCAAGACCCCGAUUAGGAUGUCACCCUACAGGAUAGUGUAUGGAAAAGCUUGCCACCUACCUGUGGAACUCGAGCAUCGUGGGUAUUGGGCCAUCAAGAAAUUCAAUUUUGACAUGCAGCAAGCCAGCUCAGAAAGAAGAUUACAGCUGGCAGAACUUGAAGAAAUUCGCAAUGAUGCAUACGAAAAUGCCAAGAUUUACAAGCAACGAAUGAAAGUCUUCCAUGAUAAGCAAAUUAUGAGAAAAUCGUUCACUCCAGGUCAGAAAGUGCUUUUAUUCAAUUCUCGCUUGCACCUAUUCCCAGGUAAGUUACGCUCUCGUUGGUCUGGCCCAUUUAUUGUUCAUACUGUUUUUCCACAUGGGGCAAUUGAAAUUAAAGACCCAAAGAACGGUGUCACGUUUAAAGUUAAUGGUCAAAGAUUAAAGCCAUAUCUAGAGUACCAACCACAUGAAGAAGACACCGAAAUAAAUUUGAGUGACCCACCAAAUUUGAAUUGAUUUUUUUUCUUUUCGUUGAUUUGAUUUUUCUUUCUUUCUUUUUAUUAUUAUUCUUUUGCUAAUUGAAAUUGUUUUUGCAUAAGUGUGUUUAUUUUACCAUUAAGUUUUCUCUUAUCAUUUUUAAUCAUGAGUCUCAUACUUAGACCGUUCCUCCUGAACAUUCUUAAACCACUUCAACGUGUCAAAACUCAUCUCAAAAGGCAGAUUCAAUUUUGUAAAACACAACGCAUUUGGGCUCUACAACCACCAGAGUUAGUAGCCUAUGUUGAGGGUUUAGAACGCCAACUCAGAGACAUUGAGAGAAGUGUUUACGACAUCCAGUUGGAGCUUGAGGUAAAUUCAAUAAGAGGACGAUUUUAAUUUUCUUUGUGUGUUUUAAUUUGUUUUUCUAUUUGUGUGCUUUAGUUUGUUACCCCGGUGAAGUGGCGGAUAACGGUACUCCGUGACAAUCAAGUCGGUUACUUCAGUUUCCCAUAAUAACUGAUAUUCUGAGGCGAAGGUAUGGACAAAAACGAGACUCUAGCGAAGCUUCACAAGCGAUUCCCUUCACUUCCUCAGAAUGCCCUCCUUACGAUCUAUAAAGCUCGGUCCAAACGCAUGCGAUUACUCAUGAGGAAUAACAUACCUGCUGACAUCCGUUGGUUAAUCGAGGCUAAAGUACGAUCGGCAGGUGAGUUACCUCCAAAAUUUAUUGCAUACAUGCCUGGUUGUGGUAAAGGAAAUUAUGCAAGAAAACGACGAGCUCGAAGAAUUUCUGUUGCUUGUCAUAAGUGUGCCAGAAUGAGUUGCAAUAAAAACCCAUGUUCUUUAGGAAUGGUGUCUGAUAACAGGGAAGAUAAGAUUCAAUUCAUUAGGGAUGGCUUGAAUAAGGAGUCAUUGGAUGAUAUCCAUUUGUCUCUUGAAACGCAUCCCAGUGGAUAUGUGCAAGGAGCGAUUCUCCAGUUAUGGCCAUUAUUCCAGAAAGAGCAUGCACGAUAUAGUCUCGGGAAUCUGACUAUAAACGACCCUGUUUGCCAGUUUAUAAGAAAACUGGAUAGGAAGCCUAUCCUCGACCCAUAGAGGGCGUUCAAGCCGUUUCUGGACGUAAAACCAGAGGAAGAUGUGAGCCACAAUCGCAACUACCUGUAAAUAUCCUUUUACUUUAUUAUUUCACUAUUGUCUUAUUGUUUGCAUUAUUGUCUUUAAUAAUUUUAUUACUGUUUGUUUUUUUUUCUUUUUACUGUUUUCUUUUUGACUUGCGAGCCACGUGCUUUACGCGUUAUUUGACACUGACAUAUUACCUCAUACACAACCAUGACCCACUAUCACCGAGAUUCUUAAAUGUGAUUUCCUUUUUGUCAAGCACUCACAAAUUGUUUUCGAGAAGUAUCACAAUGGCAGCUACUCCCAAUAGACAAUUCAAGAACAUUUGUGUGCUUUCUGGAUUUACCUAUGGCAAACAUAAAGAGUUCGUUGAGGCAGCUAUAGAUCUUGGUCGAAGCAUAGCAGCGAGAAAAUUACACUUGGUGUAUGAAGGAGGUAACCGAGGGUUAUCAAAAAUGGUCUCAGAAGCAGCUUUUAUCAGAGGAAGUCAAGUGUUAGGCAUCAUCCCAAGAGUCCUAAAACCAUUGGGCAGUUCGUCUGACUCAUCAACUGGAGAAGAGUUAGUCGUCUCAAGUAUGCAAGAAAGAAUAACUGAAAUGCUUAAUUAUGCUGAUGCUUUUAUUUUCCUUCCAGGAGAUCUUGCAACACUAGAGGCACUUAUGACGCUAGCAUCUUGGGCCCAUCUGCACAUCCACCAAAAACCCAUCGGUUUGUUAAAUGUCAAUAACUUUUAUGAUGGCUUUAUCGCAUUUCUUAACCAUGCAAUAAAAAACUAUUUCAUUCCUUCUAAUGUGAAAAAACUUUUUAUUUGUGCUCACACUGCUAAUGAGCUACUUGAUAUGUUACAAGCUUAUAAACCGGAGCCAGACCCCUGGACCUUUGUGUUGGAGCGCCCAAAUAAUGAUGGUAACAGUAGCCGCAGUAAAAAGUACAAAUUAGAUUUAACUCUCCGCUUGUAAAUAUUGUUUUCUGUGUUGCACCACCCAGGUGAUGUCUUCUAAACUCUACUUCUUUCCUUUCAAACAUUGAGGACAAUGUUUCGUUCUGGUUGGGGGGAGGGAAUAGUCGACAAUUGUGGAAUUUUGGUUAAGUUUUUACUAAUUUUUGUUGUAGAAACUAACUGUUGCUAACUUUUUGUGUCGAAGAUGGCUGAAUAUAGAGUGUAGUGACUCUAGAAACGCAUCUUCAUCGUAAAAAAAAAAUUUUAAAAAUUAAAAAGCUAAAAAAAUUUUUUUUUUUCUUUUUCUUUAUUAUGUUUUUAUGUUUAUUUUUCUUCUUUUUAAUUUCUCCUCUAUAAAUAUACAUUUUCCAACUUGUGAGUCGAAGAUGGCUAAAUAUGGAGUGUAGUUCCUCUAGAAACGCAUCUUCUUUAAAAAAAAAAAAUAUUUUCGUUUUCUAUAAUUUUACAUGUAACUUUUCUAAUUAGUUUUUAUGCAUCAUUUUCACAUUUCUGCAUGCAUAUUUUCCUUUCAUGUUUAGAAUAGGUUGGGGGGUAGAAUGUUGUUUAAAAAAAAAAAUUUGAUUUGUUUUAACAUUAGAUGACAUGAUUAAUUUCAAAUUUUAGUAUUUGUAUUACCUUUGGUCUUAAGUGAUGUUACAUUAUGUUUGCUACUCUACAUGUUGAUGUCGGAGACAAAUAUGCGUUGCUUGAAGGAAUGAACAUGUCAUAAUAAGUACCAAGUGAGUUUUUGAGCCUAUUAUUUUUCUUGGAGAAUAACUCUUUUGCCCAUUCUCUAUACAGCUUAGCAGUUUAUUAUUUUAUACACGAUAUCUAAAUUUAUUUUGAGUUAACCCUAAAAAAAAAAAAAUAAAUAAAUAUUGUAAAAAAAAAAAGAAAAAAAAAGUGUGUUGCUACAUUUGGAGGCCCAUCUAACUAGUACAUAUGGAAGGUUAUUUAGAGCCCUAAAAGACGAUGGAAAGGCCAUCUUUGAUCCGUUUGAACCUUUCUAGCCAUCCCUUUUAUUAAAUAUCCAUAGUUAACCCUUUUGAGCCUUUAAAAAAAAAAAAACAUUUUCUUUGUCAACUUAUCAUCUUGACCCACUCCGAUUUGGAGUAUUACCCGAUAUCUUAUAAGUUCCAUCACUUAUUUAUGUUUGAGAAAUGUAAAUAAUUAUGUUGUUCGGUGAAGUUAUACAAAAAAAAAAAAAAACAACAACAACAAAACAAAAGUUGUUGUUUCAAAAGAAUAAAAAUAAAAAUAAUAGGUGAAAUCCACCUUGCAACUUCCAAAAAAAAAAAAAAAAUCUCUGCAUUUUUUUCAAACAUACACUUUGUUUUCCUUAUUUCCCUUCUUUGUUAACCAUGUCCCUAGCCUACGUUGCGUCCUAAUAAAAGUCCUUCUUGAUUUUAGGGAACUAUAGUUUGAAGUAGAAGCUAGUUAUAUGGGCUAAAAAGAUGUAGUGAUGCAUAAUUAAAAAAAAAAGAUAAAUAAAGUGGGUUGACUUACAUUUUAUUUGACUUGAGAUCGUAUUAUUUCUAAGCUGAGGGCAUAUUUAUUUCAUCUUGGUGAGAGCAUGUGAUAUCACUUCUUUAUUAUUUUCUCUCUCAAUUACCAUUCAUUGGAGUGACUAUUUUUAUUGGGUUUAAUUUAUUUGUGAGAGUGUCACUACUUCCAGUGAGAUUUUGGGGUUUGACAUGUCAUUCUUGAAAGUAGCUAUAACAAAGUCGACUGGGCUAAUUCAUGUGAAUGGUUGAUGUGGGUGUGAUGUUGCUUUAGACUGGAGAUAAUGCUUAUACUUUUAUUUGAUUGCUAUCAUUAAUCUGAUUGAAUAAACACGAGUGUUUCUAAAAAAAUAAAAAAAAAAUCAUUUUGAAUUUGAAUUUUGUUUUCGCUUUACUUGCUAGGGACUAGCAAUAAGCUGGUUGAGGGGUGUGUUGAGUGUUAGAAAAUGCAUAUUUAUAAAGGAGAAAACCGUCAUUUUACAUUUUAAGUCUUACUAACAACCCUUACUUUUAUGUAUUUAACCUUCUUGUGAUUUAAUUACAUGUGUUUUAUUUUAAUUAAGUAUUUUAUGUAUUUUAGGGGCAUUAUAGUCAUUUCACAAUAAAGGAGAAAUCAGACGGCAAAACGGACAUCACUUUUGAACUCAGGACGGUCAAAAACCUUAGGAGGAGCAUAAAAGGAAAAAUGGCACUAUUCACGUGUACGGUACUGUAUACGUUACUGUUCACAUAGACGGAUGAUGACGUGGCAUUGACCGAUGAUGUGGCAUUGACUGAUGAGGUGUCACGAUCUUGUUGGACUAAAAUUCUUAUGUACUGUUGAUGGUGACGUGGCAGCAUAUCAGUGGACGAAAAAUCUCGCGUACGGUGCAUGCAUCACACAGGAUUAUUUUCAACCAAACCGCGUUACUGUUCAUCCGAGUCAAACCGCGUUACUGUUCAAAGUCGGGUCAAACCGUGUUACUGUUCAUCCGCGUGGUCAAACCGUGGACUGUUGACUGAUGACGUGGCUCAAUCCUGAGUGUCCAAACUGUUUUUAAUCCGAUGGCCAUGAUUUACUCCAUGUAUCUAUAAAAAGGGGGCCUCUCCCCCCUAAUUGGAUAUCUCUGAAUCCAUUUUUGGGAUCCAUUUUCUGUAAUUCCUUCUCCAUCUUAUAUUUUCUUCGUAUUUUAAUAAAUUUCUAUUUUGCCCCUAGUUCAAUUAUGAGUGGCUAAUUUUCUUUCAAGCUUGGGUUGAAGGUGAAGUCUCAACAUGUGUCAUGGGCUUUAUUUGGUAAAUUUAUUUUCUCUUCCCCUCUAGUUUUUGUGGAUGUUUUGACUUCUCGUCGACAAAUAAUACUAAUCUUGUCUAGUACCGCCUUGGUUUCACUGGCCCUCUAGUACAAGGUUAUUAUUAUUUGGCACGAUAAGCCCUUAGCACCAUAUUGAUUAGAGCGUGGUUCAUGAGGUGUGGAUUCCCCCCUCAUGAUUUAAUUGGCAUUAAUACGGAUUAUUUAGCCCAUGAUGCAUGUUGAUACGGAUCCAGAUACCCAAGUACGUCAUUUUAAUAGAAUUCUCUUCAAUUUAUUCUCGCCAUUUCUAUUCCAAUUUUAGAAUUUAUUCUUGCCAUUUUAAUUUAAGUCUUAGCAUAUUCCAAAUCAUUUCCACCACAAAUCCAAUCACCCAUUUACAAAAUUAAUUCUACACAAUUAAAAUCCACCUCCUCGUGGGAUCGACACUCGUCACCAUUGAUCUAUACUAUAAUAGAUUCGUGCGCUUGCGAGUACAUUAAAAUUUGCACAACAAUCACCAUGUGGAUUCACAGAAGACAUAAAUACAAGUUAUCUUAUGAUUAAAUAAAUUUAGUUCGCAGUUGAUAAAUAAAGUUGGGCACUUUAUUUAGGUAUAGACUGUAAUAAAUUCAUUGAAUGAUUUGUCUUAAUCAUUUAUGAAUUUAUUGAUGUAGUACGACUACAUUGAACAGGAUCACAUAUGAGAUUUAAUUAACUUUGUAAUAACUGUCAGACUUAUUAAAUCUCAUAGGCAUUGAUUUUACUGUAAUCUUAAUCUUGAGUUAAUUAUGAUUUCAUGAUUGUAAUUGUUAUUUCAUUUGAGUUACCAAUGGGCACGACACAUCCUUGUGGUCAAGAUUAUCCGGUAUCUUGGUGGGAGCAAUUAUGAGUAUUGGAGUUAUGGAUUAACAAUAUAGAAUUUGUGCAACACAUCUCUUGAUAGGUUUUCGGUACUUGAUCAUAGAAUUCUCUGGCCAGAGUGUGUCAACAUAUUUAGUAUGUUGAAAAUGAUCAUUGGAGAAAACCAGUAAGGAUCAAGGAAUAAGAUGUUAUUAAAUUGAUUGGACAGUUGGGAUAUCAAUUUAAUUAACGAUGUGGUACAAAGGAUUGUGCAGUAAAGAAAUCAAUGUGGCUUGGGACGAAUUAUUAUUCGAGCAUACAAUUAUGGAAGUCAGUUCCAAUCUUUUAGUGGAGUAGAUUUGGAAUUAAAUAAUUGGGCUAGUUUAAUUACAGGCCUAAUUAUUGUAGCCACUAUUGUAUGUUCCCAAAUGAUCCCCGGGUUAGCUCAUUUAAUUGACUGCACCACUACUGGACUAAUAAGUAAGAUAGCUAGCUAUUUGGGUCAAAAGCCUAAAUAUAUCAUUUAGUGGGAGGCUCCAUUUAAUUAACUUUUGUGUAAGGGGCCUUAUGUUAUUUUACAAGGUGGGUCCCCUAUUGAAAAAGAAAAUAACGUGGGUUUUGUUUUUUGAUUAUUUGGAGCCUAGGGUUUUCAUUAAAGGGUGAUAUAAAAGGCUUAUUUUCUCUAAAGGAAAGUGAGAAGCCACUUUAUACAGAUCAGAGAUUAAGAUUUUUCUCUCUAUUGUUGAGAGAAAAAUUUUCUCGUGCUAGUUGCUUUGGUAGUGAUAAAGGCGCCCACACGUCAAGUGCAGAUCGAACCUGAGUCAUAACCUGGAAGAUCAUUGGUGACAGUUCGUGAUCUAACAAACGUGGUGGUGACGGAUCGUGAUCUAACAGGAGUGGUGGUGGCGGAUCGUGAUCUAGGAGCCUAAAUCACUUCAGCGGAAAAAGCCAACUCGGAUUUUCAAGGUACGAUUUCUAGAAUACAAAUUCUUAUAUAUUAUAUGAGAGCGAUCUUCAAAAGGUUUUAUAAAAAUUUAAAAACCUGAUUUUUCCCCAACAAUUAGAUCACAAUCCGCCAUCAUGAAUCGUACCUUUAUCACUGUUGAAAGUAACUAGCAAGAGAAAACUAGUUUUUCUCUCAAAGUUAGAGAGAAAAAAUUUCUACUCCUCUAUUUUGCAUAUUGUGGCUCUUGUAUUUCUUUUGGAAAAUAAGCCUUUUUAUAUAUCUUUUUGGUGGAAAUUUAGGCCUUUAAAAAUUAGAUAAAGCCUAAAGUAACGCAUCACUUGUGCUUGCUAUAAGGACCCACCUUGUAAAAUAAUACAAGGACCCUUAUACAUAGACAUAUUAAAUAAAGCCUCCAGCCAUUAGGCUUUUAACCCAAAUAAUAUGUUAUCUUUCUUACCAAUUAAAUGAGCUAACCCAUGGAUCAUAUGGACAUACAAUAAUAGCUACAAUAAUUAAGCAUAUAACUAAAUUAGCCUAAUUAUUUAAUUCCAAAUUCUACUUUACUAAAAGAUUGGAUUGACCUCUAUAAUUCUAUGCUGUCUAAGAUAGUAUUCUUGAAUAAUAGUUCGACCCAUGCUAUAUUGAUUUCUUUAUUGAACAAUCAUUUAUAACGCAUCGCUAAUUAAACUGAUAUCUCAACUGUCCAAUUAAUUUAAUUAUAUCUUAUUCAUUGACACUUAUUUAUUUACUUUAACGAUCAUUUCCAACAUACUAAUUAUGUUGACACACUCUGACUAGAGAAUUUAACGAUUAAGUAUUGAAAACCCGUCAAGAGAUAUGUUAUACAAAUUCUAUAUUGUUAAUCUAUAAUCUCACUACUCAUAAUUGCUUUGCCCAAGAUACUAGGUAAUCUUGAUUGUAAAUCUAUGUCACGUCCAUUGGUAACUCGAAUGAAAUGGCAAUCACAAACAUGAAACUAUAAUUAACUCAAGAUUAAGAUUGCAAUAAAAUCAAUACGUAUGAGAUUUAAUAAUUUUGAGAGUCAUUUCAAGGUUAACUAAAUUUCAUAUGUGAUCUACGUCAAUGUAGUCAAACUACAUCAGUAAAUUCAUACAUGAUUAAGAUAAAUCAUUUAAUGAAUUUACUACAAUCUAAAUAAAAAUAGAGUACCCUACUCUAUUUAUCAACUGUGAACUCAAUUUAUUUAAUCUAAGAUAACUUAUAUUUAUGUUUUCUAUGAAUCUAUACAAUAAUCACAUAAGUAUAUAUAAUAUGAUUAAAUAGAUCUUAUUCAAAAUAUUUAUAUAAUUAAAAUAUCUGAAAAACAUCUCAAAUAAUUAGAAUAUGUAUUUUUAUAAAUAAAUUAAUAUACUUUAAAGAGUACAUAAUGCCAACAGGUUCUCUAUGUAAAAUGGUCUAGAAGUCCAUGUCAUAAUUAUUAGAACGGAACUUUAUUAUUGCGUAAUAGUUCAAUGUUGUUAUUAUCCAUAUAUAUCAACCUAUAUUUAUUCAAGUAAAAGUUUAGAUUUGCCCCACGGACUUGAAUGAGUGAGUUUUAAGCUGCUUUACUUAUUGAUCACCGAGUUCGAAUCUUGAGGGUUGUAGGGAGUUAAAAUAUUAAUUUGAAACUUUCUAAUUCCUCUAUUUGGGAAGAAAAAAAAGAAAAAGUAAAAUCUUUGAUUUAGAGAUAAUAAUCUUGAUCUCACCAAGAAUUAGAGAAAAUUUCCUCUUUUUCACCCUGAUAAUCAUCUUUUGAUACCGGCUUACCUAGUAUUUAACUGCAUUUUUUACGCAUGUUUACAUUAUUAGUCAUGUGUGAUACAUGCAGACUCCAGUUCUAUUUUUUAAUAACUAGUAAUCUCAUGUUUGAAGUUUUUGCUUAUAUAUGAUAAAACUAAAAUAUUCAUCCUAGACAAGAAUCCUGGAUAUUUAUACUCAACAACAGAAAGUCGUUGAUUGAUUCUCUAGGUUUGCAAUAGCGUAUAGCUAGCUCUCCACAUAACUCUUUGCUUCCUAGAAAUUUAUAUGUUAAUUUCCAGGAUUCAUCCUCGAAAUUUCUUGAUGUGACAUAGAAAUCAAAGACAAUCCUGCGUGUAUUGUGAUUAUUACUUUGUAAUCAAGUGACAUAUGAUCAUUCUAAUAAACUCCGUAAAAGUGAUUUCACAUGGCCCUGGAAAUUUAGUUGACAAGAUUAAAGAAACUUUAUGAGCUAGCUACUGUUAUGAUAUGAUAUGGUAUAAUCACAUCGUGUUUACAAUUUUUUUUUUGUUUUUUUUUUUGUAUGGUUAUUUUUACCAUAUUUUAAAAAUUGUUUAGCUGUAUUUAUCUAAUGAGUUUAUCAAAGAUUUUAGAAAAUACAUUAAAAACAUGUUAAUCUGGUAAAUUUCAUAAAAAAUGAAAUAAAAUAUAUCAGAUGCCUGGUAUAAUUAUGACAAAAUUGAGUAAACUGAUCUUAUUAGUGCCUGAAAUUUUGAAAAUGUGGGUCUAUUUAAAUCUACUAAAAUACUCAUAGAGCUACCACUAAUUUAGAAAUUUUCUCUAUACUAGCUUAAAUAUAAAAAAUUAUAUUACAAUAAAAACUCUACUGAUAUUUAUAAUAAGAAAUCGAUUGGGACCUCCUUAGUCAUUCUAUUAUGGCACAACACGAAAUUCUACUCUCAUUUGACAUCGAAGGUGUUGGAGAAAAAUCAGUUUUUUAAAUAUUUAUAAAAACUUUUAGGAUCGCUCUCAUACAAUAUAUAACAAUUUGUAAUAUAGAAAUCGUACCUUAAAAAUCCGAUUUAGCCUUUUCCGCUGAGGUGAUUUAGGCUCCUAGAUCACAAUCCGUCACCACCACUCCUAUUAGAUCACGAUUCGCCACCAAAUAAUCUUCCAGGCUAUGACUUAAGUUUGAUCUGCACUUGACGUGUGGGCGCCUUUAUCACCACUAAAACAACUAGCACGAGAAAAUCUUUCUCUCAACAAUAGAGAGAAAAAUCUUUUUCGCUGAUCUGUAUAAAGUGGUUGCUCUGUUUCUUUUGGGAGAAAAUAUGCCCCUUUAUAUUUCUAUCUAGUGGAAACCCUAAGCUCCAUUUUUUUAUAUUAUUUAAUUCUAUUAAAUAAGGUUUGAUUUAAAUUAAAAAUAAUAACCAAAAGUAAAGUUACUUCUUUCUUGUCAUAGGGGCCUGCCUUGUAAAAUAACACAAGGCCCCUUAGACACAAGUAUAUUACAUGGAGCCUCCCACUAAAUAAUAUAUUUAGGCUUUUAACCAAAAUAGCUAGUUAUCUUGCUUAUUAAUUCAGUAGUGGCGCAGUCAAUUAAAUGAGCUAAUCCAGGGAUCAUUUGGGAACAUACAAUAGUGGCUGAAAUAAUUAGGCCUGUAAUUAAACUAGCCCAAUUAUUUAAUUCCAAAUCUACUCCACUAAAAGAUUGGAAUUGACCUCCAUAAUUGUAUGCUCGAAUAAUAAUUUGUCCCAAGCCACAUUGAUUUCUUUACUGCAUAAUCCUUUGUAUCACAUCGUUAAUUAAAUCGAUAUCUCAAAUGUCCAAUCGAUUUAAUUACAUCUUAUUCCUUGAUACUUACUACUUUUCUCUAAUGAUCAUUUCAACAUACUAAAUAUGUUGACACACUCUGGCCAAAGAAUUCUAUGAUCAAAUGCCAAAAACCCAUCAAGAGAUGUGUUGUACAAACUCUAUAUUGUUAAUCCAUAACUCCAAUACUCAUAAUUGCUCCCACUAAGAUAUCGGGUAAUCUUGACCACAAGUGUGUGUCGUGCCCAUUGGUAACUCAAAUGGAAUAACAAUUACAAUAAUGAAAUUAUAACUAACUCAAGAUUAAGAUUACAGUAAAAUCAAUGCCUAUGAGAUUUAAUAAGUCUGGCAGUCAUUUCAAGGUUAAUUAAAUCUCAUAUGUGAUCCAGGUCAAUGUAGUCAAACUACAUCAGUAAAUUCAUACAUGAUUAAAACGAAUCAUUCAAUGAAUUUACUACAGUCUAAACAUAAAUAGAGCGCCCGACUCUAUUUAUCAACUGUGAACUAAAUUUAUUUAUUCAUAAAAUAACUUGUAUUUAUGUCUUCUGUGAAUACAUAUGAUGAUCACAUAAAUACAUAUAAUAUGAUUAAAUGGACAUUUUUCAAUAUAUAUGUAAGCGAUUGAAAAUAUCUCAAAUAUUUUAUUAAUCAAAAAAUAAAUUAAUACGCUUUAAAAGAGCAUAUAAUCCCAACAGAAGGAAUAUCUAUUUUACCCAAAACAAUGAAAAGAUAAAUUGAUCCCCACUCAAUUUUGUUAGAAGAGAAAUCAAGUCCCAACAAUGACAUGGACUGGAAAUCUCUGAAUACAUAGAUUGUCAAUAGCUAUGAGCCCAUUGGCUAACACCCAUAUAAAUUAAAAUAAAAAAUAAUUGUGAUUUUUUUCUCUUUAUUUCGCUUCCUUCCCCUAGUUUUUGUACGACUAUUCUUUCUCAGUUAGACAAAGCUUGGGCUUUGUUACAACAAAAAGGAUCCCUUCAACGUACAUAUAUAGCAAUAAGCUAAGAUUAAAGGUUGGGAAGUGAAAUGGUGUUACUCAGUACUCACAUAUUACACGUCAAUAAAAUUACAUUUAUUUUCAAUUGAAUAUUUGUUAUUCUUUAUACUUGCUACUCAUAGCAAGAACAUUAACAGUUUAUUUAUACGAAGAGAAUAAAAUUGAAAAAACAAAAAAACGCUAAUGCCCGAAAUAUAUAUGGAGAAAUUGUUUUAACAAUCAUCAUCUACCUAACACUUACGGUUAGAAUUCUAGUUUCUAUGGCUAGAAUCUCAUAAUGACGAUUGAUAUUGAAUAAAAUUAAGAUUCUGAGGUAGAAAAAUUAUGAAUCCCAAGAGUGGGUGAGUAAAGUUGUUUGCUUUUCAUUUAUGUUUUAUAAUAUAUCUUGUUCUUUGUGGUAUAUUUCUUAAUGGAUUUUAUGAUAAUAAAAAAAGUUAUUAAUAAAUGAGUGUAUCUAUUUUAGUGGUUUCAACUUUCAAAUAACCCCAUCCAUCUUAAUAUUUGAGAUCAUCCUAUCGAAACUGUAUGAAAUAUAAUUAAAUAGUAAUGAUCACAUCUCUUUGACGUGACGAUUUAAGUUUGUAGAUUAGGACUUAAAUUUGUAAUAAUGAACAUUCAUUGCAGUAAAUGUAAGAGAACUUCACUUCACACCGAAAUAUAAAUAUGGCAUGGAUAAACAAACAAGCAUCAUUUCUAUCAAUUUCUGUUUCAAGUGUCCAUAAUGUUUGGCUGACAACACUGUAAGUGCAAUACAAAUGGGAAAAAUACAACAAAGAGAAUUUUGGUUAAAUAAACUAUUAUUUUUUUAAUUAAAAUCCACUAAGAUGGUGGCGGGUUAGGCCGGACCUUUACCUGUAGAAUAAAUCAAGCAAUGAAUAUAAGGUGGGGGACGUAAACCAAAACCUUCCAAGAGAAGCAAAUGUUUUAGCGAUCAAUAUAGAAAUAUUUCAAGUCAAGGUGAUUAAUGUUGAAUAUUGGAAUCUCGAGAGUGUUCAAAUGGUUAAAUAAACCAUUUACUCAAACUAAAUUUAAUUAAAUUUCAAAUUAAUAAUCAAUAUUGUCUUGUAUUGAUUUUUCUUUUUUCAAAUUCCAUCUGUAAAAUAGUAUCACACCAAAGAAUAUUUCAUCAAUAAUCAAUUACUUAUUCUUGCAAAUUAUAUAUCAACACACUUUGGUGGUUGUCGAAGCCAGCAAAAAUAAAUACCUACUCUAAAUAAAUUGUGUCUAGUGAUUGAGCCGGGUCGUGUCCACAGAGAUCGGUAAUUAUUUAAAUCCUUUUAAAAUGUAAAACGUUAAAUGGGGGAAUUGUUGACAAUAAUAAAAAUCAAAUUAAAAUAACAAGAAUGCAAAUUAAAGUUAUAAUUUAAAUUGGAGAAAGCUCUGGUUGAAGGAAUUAACUCAGUUUGAUUCGACUACUGAUCAUUGAUUCAAAUAUAAAUUAUUAUUGCUUAGGAAUAGACCGGUUAUAGCUACUGAGACCCUCUAAUAGCCAAUCUCUCCUUAACUAGUCGAUAACCAAGGUACGACCGUUGGUUAUUUCCCUAAUCAAUAGACAACCCUAGAUACGAUCAUAGGAUUUAAUCAAUUGACAGCCUGAAAAACCAGAGAGACCCAAAUCCUAAUCAACAAACACAUACGAUGGUUCAUUUAAAUUAGAUUGUUUAUUCUCACAACACAACUCACUGCUAUGUUAUUUGUCACAAACAUUAAAAUCUUCAUACGAUGAAUCCUUUAAUUGACAAUAGAUUAAGUUAAUAAUUAAAUAGUGGCCAAUUAUCUAAUUAACAAACAUAAUCAUGAUAAUAAUUCAGAGAAUAAACAAAUACCCAAAAAGUAAUAAAACAAUUAAAGCAUAAGAAAGAUCUCACAAUCGUGAUGAAUCAAAACUUCAUUAACCUUCAACCAGAAUAAUAGGUUUAGUUCUUCAUAGAGAGAAAAGAAAAGUUUAGAUAGGGUUUCUUUCUUUUCUAAAAAAUCUCCUUUUUUUCACAAUAGAUUCCUCCCUUAAAUGCUCUCUCUCUCUCUUCUCCUUUAGACUUCUAUUUAAAAUAAAAUACUAAUACCUGAAAUAUUAAAUUCGUAAUUACAAAAAGAACCAAAAAUACAAAACAUGUUAAACUAAAAAUUGUAGGUUCGUAGUUGACAGCACGCGCCCAUGCCUUAUCAACAAAGUUCUUCUUACGCUCAUAAUUUCUCCAAGAGAACAAUCAUCCUUAAACAUCAUCUUGUAGCUCAAUUUUAUCAGCAAUCAAUAGAAUUAAACCUACAAAAGUAAAACACAAGUAAAUCACUAUUAUUAAGUGCAAAACAUCGAUAUUAAGGGAAGUAAACAAUGCAAAACUAGUGCAUAAAUUGCACUCUAACAAAUUCCCCCACACCAAGAUUAUGCUUGUCCUCAAGCAUAUAACUCAAGACUAAUCCCAAAUCUCCACUCAAUUCUCAUCUCAACUCAUCCAAAAAUAAUUUUAAGCAAGCAUACCUCAAGAAUUUAAGUCGAUCAACAUUCGAGAGACAAUGAUUUUAAAGCAUAGAAUCUCAUAAGCUAGAAUAAAAGCAUUCAACCACCAAGAAGAUCCAUUCAAAAUUCAAGUGCAACAAGAUUUAAUAGCCCUCUCAUUGACUUCACUCCAUGCACUCAAAGUGUUUAGGGUGUCAUUUAUGCACUCAAAUCAAAUCAAAGAAUGCUAUUACCAUAAGCUUGCUUAUAUAUCACAUCUCAAUCCACAAAACAUGAAUUAAAUGCAAAAAUCUAAGGGUCUUAAAAAGGUUGUAAUGGGGUUAAAUGGGUUAAAUGAAAAAGAAAGGUUUAUGAAAGAAAAAGAGAUCAAAAUGAGAAGAAUGAACUCAUUGAAUGAACCUUAUGAUAUCGAAACACUUAUUUCUACUCAAGUCACCAAGAAUGUAAACAUUUUUUUUCUUUUUUUUUUGAAUCAAACAAAAGAAACGAACCUUGCACAAUUUAAUUCAAGCAUAAUGCUUGUUGAUCUAAUUGAGAAACUUUAAUACAAGGUAGAAAAAGCAACAAAAUAUAUACAAAAUAUAUCCACACAAUGAGUCCAAAAAUCUCCUUAAAUUGAGGCUCAAAAAGAAGAAAAAUGGUUAAAUAGACGGAGAGAAUUAGAUGGGUAAUGGUUAAGGCACAAACAAAGAUAGCAAAUAAAGGUCUUCGGGUAGAGGGAAAAAAAAAAGAAAAUGCGAGAAUAGAAAAAUGAAAAAUGGUUUGCACUUAUCAUUUUAAUGCAUAAAAUCCCGUAAUGCGGCUUCAACAUGCAUAACAAAGUAAGUUCUAGAAUAAACAAACUAAGAUUGAUAUUCACAUAACAAAAAUAUUAGAGCAAAGUGGUUGCUCAUAGGCUCAAAUCCUCACAAAGUUGGUAAAUUUGCCAUCAAAUCAUGUACACUCUUCAAAUGAAUCAACCAUCAAUAGUGGUUUGGAAUGAGAAGAAGGUAGGAGUGAUGUAUAAAAGGAAAGGUAAAAAUGAUAAGAAGUGAGAAAGAUGUAUGUAGUAAUAUGAAAAGUGAAAGAUAAAAUGUGAGUGAUUAAAGAGUAUGAUAGAAUAAAAAUAGAUGUAAAUAAUUUGAGAUAGAUGGGAAAAGAGUAGUGGGAAAGAAAAGAAAAGAAAAAUAAUAAUAUAUGAAGCAUACUAACUCCAAAAUCAUUUAAGGAUGAGUAGAGUGAAAAUAGAUGAGUAGAAUGAAAAUAGAUUAGUAGAGUGAAAAUAAUACUUCUAGACAUCAAUAAUGCAAAAAUCCCUCCCCCACACUAAGAACUUACAUUGUCCCCAAUGUAAGAUAAUUAGAGCUCACAUAAAAAUUAAAGCGUAAGGAUAAAAGAUUAAAGGCAAAAACUUCCCAGAAUUGUGAGCUUUGAUCCUCAUAACGUCUAUGGGCUUGGCGGAAAUGGUGGGAUAAAUCCCACACUCUCGAAGUAUGCGGCCAAAUUUUGCUCCAUCUUGUUCAACUUGUGCUCCAUUUUCUCUAACUGAAUGCUCAAAGGUGGUGCGGAUGUAGAAGGAAUAGUCGGCGGGGCAGCAAUGUCGUCAUCAAACUCAUCAUCAGAGGUAGCAUCACUCCUAGCAUAGAGCUUCUUUGGAGGUUGAGUGGGUCCUGGUUCAGUAAACUGAAAUCUCCCCUCCUUGAAUUCGACCACACCUGUUCUUUCAAACACAGACAUGUCCAAAAAUUCCUUUUUGCGAGCAAGAUAUAAAUCAUUAUUGUCAGGAUCAAGCACACAUAGGUUUAUAGCUAACAGAGUAAUGUAUGGAUCAAGAAAUAAAGUCCUAUACCGUUUAAGCACACUUUGAAAUGGAUUUGCUAACCAAAAACCUAAAUUAGGCCUCAUAUCAUUUAACAUGCACCAGAUAAAAUAAAAUUCAGUUUUAGAGAAAACUCCUGAGUGAUAUUUCUUUCUUAAAAAAUUAUAUGCUAAGAAUCAAUGCACGCAUUUCAAAAUAGGAUCACGUAAGAAAGAACUCUUGGAUUUACUCGGGUUAUAGGCAUUGUGAUCAACAGGUAAAUUACGCCAAAGUCCAUAAGGCUCAAAAUUUUCACUAAAGUCACAAGUUGUUCCUAAAUAUGCAUCACUAGAAGACUAAUCACCAUCAAUGAAUCCUAAAGCUAGGUUAAAAUCCGUGAUAGAGUGAAAAAUUUCGUCCCAUUAACCUAAACUUUAUAACGUCCGGGGUAUGCAAAGUAAAAUCAUUCGGUAUAUUAAAUUGAAAAGUAGCAUAGAACUCCCUAAUCAACUCAACAUAACCCAAACAAUCUACAUCAACAAACUUACACAAGCCAAUCUUAUAUAUCAAAUAAUCAAAAUUAUCCUUAACAUUUAAUUUUUCAAGAGUCGGGUAAUGAAUAUACUUAGCUGGAAGUAUUUUUCGCUUGGAAAUAUCUUUGUACCUCUCUUUCUCUUGUUGAGUCAUGAAUGCGAGGCACCCUCCGAGAUUGGAUUCCGCAAGUGGCAAAAUACUCAUGCCUUUUCCAUGUUUCGAUCUUUGUCUCACGGCUUGGCGUGAAUCUGAAACUGUGUUCCAUGGAACCGUAGUGGGAGCGGCAAGCUUGGAUUGCUUUGUGAUGGGUGUCUUUUUAGAUGACUUGGAAGUUGAUGCUUUCCUCUUUGGCAUUGUUACAAUAAUUUCACUCACGAAUUUCGAUUCACGCGGUUGGAUACUGUUGUGGGAAUCCUGAUGGCCUAACUCCAUAGCUAAAGUUGGGAUGAUCCUUUCAUCCCGGAUUGUAUGUUUGUGCAUAAGGAUCAUACCUCCUCUGAGGCAUGCCUGGAAAUCCUCCAACUGCAUUGGCUUGUUCAACGGGUUCUUCUUGAAGUGUAGGACACAUAUCAGUAGAAUGACCCAUAUUGUAACAAAUGCCACAAGCCUUCACCUGUUGCACAUUACCUACAACAAACUUUUUCACAAGAGAAGUAAGUUUAUCUAAACGUUGUUCAACGGAAGAAAUAUUUACCUCAUUUACCUUCCUUGAAGUAGGAUCUUGCAUGUUGCUAAAUUGUUGUGCAUUGGCAGCCAUAUUUGAGAUCAACUCCCUUGCUUGAGUAAGGGUCUUGUUCACCAACACACCUCCACUAGCAGCAUCUAUCAUACUCCUAUCCAUUAAUGACAGUCCUUUGUAAAAAUAUUGAAUAAGAAGUUGAUCAGAAAUCUGAUGCUGAGGACAGCUGGCACACAAUUCUUUAAAUCGCUCCCAAUACUCCUACAAAGUCUCCCCAGAAAGUUGUCUGAUCCCACAAAUGUCGUUUCUGAUGUUGGCAGCUCUUGAAGCAAGAAAGUACUUCUCAAGGAACUACUUCUUCAAACCAUUCCACGUUGUAAUCGAUCCAAGAGGCAAGUAUUACAACCAGUCUUUAGCUAGCCCAUCUUCAGAGAACGGAAAAGCACGCAGCUUAAUCUGCUCUUCAGUCACGUCUUGUGAUCUCAUACUUGAACAUACAACAUGAAACUCCUUGAGAUGUUUAUGAGGAUCUUCACCUGCAAAACCAUGAAACUUGGGUAAUAAAUGAAUAAGACCAGACUUUAAUUCAAAAUUUACCUCCAAGUCUACAUAUUGAAUGCAGAGUGGUUGCUGAUUCAAGUCUGGUUCAACUAACUCUCUAAGAGUUCUUUCUACAGGUGCAGCUCUAUCCAUCACUUGUUCUUCUGAAUCACUAGAUGAUUCAACUAAAUCAGGCACCGUAUCUGUUUCAGAAAGCAAAGGCGACGAGGAUCGUUGCUUAGCUCGCUUCGUCCGCUGUCUCAAUUGGCGAGCUGUCUUCUCAAUUUCAGGAUCAAACGAAAGUGUACCUGUACGAGAAGAAUGAACCAUACACCAAGUAAAACGUAAAAAGGAUUAAAUAAACGACACCAAUCCCCGACAACAGCGCCAAAAUUUGGUGGUUGUCGAAGCUAGCAAAAAUAAAUACCUACUCUAAAUAAAUUAUGUAUAGUGAUUGAGCAGGGUCGUGUCCACAGAGAUCGGUAAUUAUUUAAAUCCUUUUAAAAUGUAAAACGUUAAAUGGGGGAAUUGUUGACAAUAAUAAAAAUCAAAUUAAAAUAACAAGAAUGCAAAUUAAAGUUAUAAUUCAAAUUGGAGAAAGCUCUAGUUGAAGGAAUUAACUCAGCUUGAUUCGACUACUGAUCAUUGAUUCAAAUAUAAAUUAUUAUUACUUAUGAAUAGACCGGUUAUAGCUACUGAGACCCUCUAAUAGCCAAUCUCUCCUUAACUAGUCGAUAACCAAGGUACGACCGUUGGUUAUUUCCCUAAUCAAUAGACAACCCUAGAUACAAUCAUAUGAUUUAAUCAAUUGACAACCUGAAAAACCAGAGAGACCCAAAUCCUAAUCAACAAACACAUACGAUGGUUCAUUUAAAUUAGAUUGUUUAUUCUCACAACACAACUCGCUGCUAUGUUAUUUGUCACAAACAUUAAAAUCUUCAUACGAUGAAUCAUUUAAUUGACAAUAGAUUAAGUUGAUAAUUAAAUAGUGGCCAAUUAUCUAAUUAACAAACAUAAUCAUGAUAAUAAUUCAGAGAAUAAACAAAUACCCAAAAAGUAAUAAAACAAUUAAAGCAUAAGAAAGAUCUCACAGUAGUGAUGAAUCAAAACUUCAUUAACCUUCAACCAGAAUAAUAGGUUUAGUUCUUCAUAGAGAGAAGAGAAAAGUUUAGAUCUAGGGUUUCUUUCUUUUCUAAAAAAUCUCAUUUUUUUCAUAAUAGAUUCCUCCCUUAAAUACUCUCUUUCUCUUCUCCUUUAGACUUCUAUUUAAAAUAAAAUACUAAUAUCUGAAAUAUUAAAUUCGUAAUUACAAAAAUAACCAAAAAUACAAAACAUGUUAAACUAAAAACUGCAGGUCCGUAGUUGACAGCAUGCGCCCACACCUUAUCAACAAAGUUCUUCUGACGCUCAUAAUUUCUCCAAGAGAACAAUCAUCCUUAAAUAUCAUUUUGUAGCUCAAUUUUAUCAGCAAUCAAUAGAAUUGCUCCUACAAAAGUAAAACAAAAGUAAAUCACUAUUAUUAAGUGUAAAAUAUCGAUAUUAAGGGAAAUAAACAAUGGAAAACUAGUGCAUAAAUUGCACUCUAACACACUUGUAUUAUCAUUCUUAUCUAACAAUGAAUAUAAAUAAGGGGGCGGUUUGUAUUUUUUUUUUAGUGUUUGAGUUACCGUAACUCUAUAUUAUAUGUAAGACAUGAAAAGCCAUUAAUAAAGAUUGGAGAGCAUGCAUUUUGAUGCUUUUGUUACUCGUCAAAACCGGUGCGGAUUCCUCCAUAUAAUUAAAUUCAAUUACAGGCUCCAAAUGACUGUCACAAUUACCAUAAUUCUUUUAAAUGUAUUAAGCUUUUUUUGGCUCAAUUCACUGUUAAAAAAUCUAAUGAAAAACAAAAUUUAAUGGAGUCCGCAGGAUUGGAAGGGGUGGUAAACGAAUUCGAUUCGAUAUUGUAUUUUACACAUAGAAUAGAUCUUACAAAGUGCAUAUUUCAAAACUAUGUUCUCUAAGUUUUCAAUAUAAUUAUAUGGAAUUUAUGAUCGUCGUGAUAUAAAGGUUCAAUUUUAAAGAAAAAGUGAAAUAUUUCGAAAAUUCAUAACUUUUUCGUUUCAGCAUUUACUGCUCUAAAAUAUUUUAGGAAAAUGUAAUAGGAUUGCUACUACAUUAAUAAAUUGAUGACCUCUUUACAAAUAAGAUCAUAAUAUAACAUUAAAUAAAACCUUCUUUUUACUAUUAUAAAAUAAGAAGAAAAAUUUAUAUAAAGAUUUUCAUGCUUUUUUUCCCUAAAAGGAAUAGUAAUAUUUGACCUCUCAGUUUAUAUCUUGAGCCCCACUUCACACAAUUAUCAUUUAUUUAUAAAAUGACCAUUACUUAGCAUUUUUUUUUUUUAUCAUUUUUUUAUGAGCUCUUGUUAAAUUUGAAAUUGGAUAAGUGAUUUUCUUUUAGCUAAUGUCAAUUUGAACUCAUUUAAUUAAGUCUGCUAACGAAAAUCACCAUUAUCUACUUAACUUGCUUGGAAAUAAAAACUGGGAAUUCAAAAUACCGGAGCUGCAGUAGCAAUAACAAUCAAUUUCUGAUCUUCGACUGUAGCAGCAGGGCAGCAGCAGCAGCACCACCACUAGUGGCAGCAGCAAAAGUAGCUAUUGCUACCGUCGCACCACCAAAUCCGACAUUCAGAAUCAAAUAGCUUGGAGAACAAACUCAGAUAGGAAGAGUCAAUGUCCAAAUUUGCAAAUUGCAACCUUGAUCACAGUUGCAAGUUUCUCAAGAGUGAUGAUGAUUCCAUCAUCGAGGAGAAUAGAGAAGCCACUCUAUGUUAUAGCUCUGUUAUGGCAAAUAUUGAUGUUAAGGGUGAUUAGGAAAUAAAUAUUGUUAGCGUAGAAGUAGGGAUAAAUGACAUAAAUUUAGUGGGUCAAAUAUUAGGGAUAAAUGACAUAAAUUAAGUGGGUCAAAUAUGACUACUCAAGUCAUGUGGAGAAUAUGUUAUUUUUUAAAGUUUUUCCAAAUAUUUUCUUCGCACAAAUGUUUGUGUGCGCAUGUACAUAUAUAUAUAUAUAUGCUACUGGAAGUCAAAUAGCAUCAAUAAAGCUAGCAUCAAUGUGCCUGUUCUGAUGUUUCUUUAAACUUCAAGCCAUCUUUGGUCACAUAUAUUCUCUUCCAAUCCAAGACAGCGUCAAUUUGAUUUCGUCACUCAAUUUCUGGAAAUAAUCCUGGACCAAACAGAGAUAAACUAACUUGAAAUGCUACUCGAAAGAACAAUUGAGUUGGAAGAAAGUACAAGUACACAACUUACCACCAUCGACAUGAAUUUUUAUCUGAAAAUUACACAUCUUAUCACAAGGACCAAAAGCGAACAUGAUAUGCCUCAUGUGCCAGCCUAUUUUAAGUCCAUUUCAAAAGCAAAUUGAUUGAUCAUCUGAAAGAAAACACAGAUUAGGAAAAUUUAAUGUCAAAUUUAUAUGUAAAGAAAAGAUUGAAACAUAGAGUAAGCUAACAAAUUUCUUUGAUUACCACUCACCAGCAGAAGUUCAGAAAGGCUAUAGAUAAUUGAAUCUCUUGUUCUUAAUUCAUUACAACACAUCCUCUGUUUCCUCCUCCGGCCACCAUCAUGACAUUCACAGUUGAUGAAAUGGAUGAUUGAUCUGAGUAUUCUCUAAAUCCUGCUUGAUGGUGUGAUUUGCCUUGUCAUUUCAGCUGAUCGAAUUAGUGCAAACCGGCUCUUGUUGCAGUAGCGGAAGCAAAGUUCUCAUUGGAUUUUGAAUUGAUACAACAUCCAGUAAGCCUGCUGGGUCAGUCUAAUCAGUUUAAAGCUUUACAUCAACAAACCAAUACGCUGCACGAAAAUUGCCAUCUUUACAGUAAGUUAAUGUUUUGCAUCAACAUCAAUUGCGCGUACUCACAGGAUUUGUGUGGUGAAGAAUGAAGGCUUGGGAGCAAUUGCAUCUCCCUGUUUGUCUAGUUUUGGUAACUCUUAGAUGCUUCUUCUGGCUAACGUUGGUGUUCUUAAUUCAUAAAUAAAAACAAAGGAAAGCAAGGCAAGCAAGAAAAAAAUAAAAGGGAAAUCAUGUACAAAUUAUAAGAGUUGGAUACUGCAAUUCACAGCCAAUAAACUUCUUAAAAAGGGCUUUACAUUUAUGCAUUGACUAUAUGUUAGCAGUAGCAGGGUGGCAGGUGAGGAUUAUGAAAUUUUUACCUCAUCAAGUGUAUUGUUCUCUACGUUUCUGUGAAAAAAUCUUGCCAUUCAAUUCCUGCAGGAUCGGGCUCUUUUCGAUCGGCCUUUAUCUUUUCUCUUGCACUAGCUGUUGGAAGGCAACAUCAAGCAUCAAGCAUCAAUAUCAAUCACUUUGUAUCAUUUGAGGCAUUGGUUUUGCCAGAUUUAUCUGCAGCCAGAAGCACAAUGAUUGAGUUUCUCCAGCUCGAAUAGAAAACUAAUAGUUUUGGCUUUGCAGAUCCCUACACUAAGGCAUAGGCUAGGUACUGCCAUUCUUUUUCUGCCUAAUUAAAAACAAUUCCUUUUGGCUCAAUCUAUUUCAAAGCUACAAUUAAAAUUUGACUAAGUUUUGAAAUUUCUGUUUGACAUUACCCUUCACCCAUAAGAGUGAAAAAAUUAAUGAGUUGAAAGUAAAAUUAAUAAGUAAUAAAAAACUGGAAUUAGAACCAACUAUUCCUCUAUGGUACUUAAAGUACCACUGGUUGUGUGUCAUCAAAGUGAUAGCGUCAGCUAUUCUAGUAAUGAAACAAAUAGCUAUCCUCAUACUUGCAUGUUUGCGUUUUAGAUUCAACGAAAAGCAGAAAUUGAAUAGCUUAUUCAAUUAAUCAACUGACCUUUCUUCCACAGAAUCCGAACCGUAUGUCUCGACGCGACGGAUGUUGGCAAUCUUGGACCACUCUUUUCCUUUAUCCCUUUUGCAUUCAGUUUUCAGCUUUGGACAUUUGGAGAUGAUUAAUUGCAAAAGUGAAGAUGGAAGGCCCACCUCCGGAAAGGAUGUGAGAUUUGGGCAAUCCUCGAUCAUCAAAUAUUCAAGAGAGGUGAGGUUUUCAAUUUCGGCAAUCUCUCAAGCGACAGAUGAGUUAAGAGUGGUGGGCAGUAUCAUUACCUUCUCGUCUGGAGAACACUCUGCUUCAUGACAUCCGCUAAUCGAGAGGCUUUGAAGAGAGGUAUACCUGUGCAAGGCCCACUGGGUGAGUGCCUUUACAGUAAUUGCAGGCAUAACACAUCAAUUGCAAGUACUCCCAGGAUUUGUGUGGUGAAAAAUGAAGGCUUCGGAGCAAGUGUACCUCCAAAUGAUCCUCAAACGCCUAUCGCAUUGCAUGGCUUCGAUACUGUCAGAGCUCCCCUUAUUCUUCUCUCUGUUCUCACCACCAGAUUCCAUCAAAUUUGGUUUUCCUCUUAAAUGUUGCUUCAAAUUUGUUGCCAUCUUUGUAUUCUUGGGCCUCCAUUUACCUCUGCAUUACUAAGGAAAAAAAAAAGUUAAAUGUGAAAACGCUAAAUCUCAGAAUAAAAAAUGUUAAAUUAUUCAAGUACUCAGAAUAAACUGUAUAAAAAAGUUUGAUGAAAUGAAUCAUUUAAAUAUCCAAUUGUUACCUCAAUUAACUAUCGGGAAGCAUCCAACGAAAUUCAUGCAAGUGGAAUAAAAUUAAUAAAUCAUUUUUAUCCAGUGGGUUUCUACUCUUCAAUUCUCAUUUGAAACUUCAUCUUGCAUCUACCAAAGUCACUGACAAAACCAAUGUGAUACAAAAUGUACAUACGUCUUUGAUCGUAACAACAUUUUUUUUCAAAAAAAAAAAGCAUAUAUAUUAAAAACUAGCAAGGAUUAAAAUUUGGCUGAUUUACAAAUUUAUUAAUUUAUUCUUAUUAUUAUUUUUUUAAUUAUUAUCACUCACCAAAAGAGUAUAAAAAUCAAUUUAGUUAAUAAUGAAUCAUAAAAGUUCUGGAAUUAUAACCGACUGUAUUAAAUCAAUACAAGAAGUACUAAACUACUAAUUACCAACAAAGCAUAUGAAUAUAUAAGAGGAGAUUAAGCUCACAAAAUAGAAUCAUCUGUCUAAAAACGAAAAAAGGCAGAAGCAUAAGAAAUCAUAGAAUGCAUAGUAGUGUAUAUCCAUAACAACAGCAUAUAUGUAUAUAUUAAUUUGAUUAAGCUAAAAGAGUUAUUUGAUUACCAAAACUUUUUCUACUUACUUUGAUUACCAAACUCAUUUCUACUCCAAGGCAAUUCCCAUUUUUAAACAGUCAACUAGCAGGGUUCUGAAAAUUGAAUUUAACUUAGGGCAGAGGAUUAAGUGGAUAAUAUAAAUCAACUGACCUUGUUUGUUAUAGAGGACGAUCAGAGAUGGAAUGAUGUAAUAAUUAAUAUGAUCUACUCCUCUGAAUCUGGAUCAUAUAUGAAUUUCCUGUCUAUUAAAACCAUGGGGAUGUUGGCAAUCUUAGACCAUUCUUUUCCUUUACCCCUUUUGCACUCUUUUUUGAGCUUUGGACAACCAGCAAUUAAUAACCCCAAAAGUGAUGAUGGAAGGCCCACCUCUGGAAAUGAUGUCAGAUUUGGGCAAUUGUAGAUUUCCAAAUGUUCAAGAGAGGUGAGGCUUUGAAAAGCCAUUGAAGAUAGAUAUCUCAGUUCCGACAAUCCCGAAAACUCCAAAUGAGUUAGAGAGGAGGGCAACAUCAUUCCCAUCUCCUCGUCUGGAAAACACUUUGCUUCAUGACAUCCUUCAAUAAUCCAGAGGCGUCUAAGAGAGGUAAGCCUGUGCAACCCCCACUGGAUGAGUGCCUUAUACAACACUUUCACAUCUCCACCAAUAAAAAGCGAUGUUAGAUUGGUGGGAAAACCACCUUCUGGAAACGACACAAUACUUGGACAGUCCCAUAUGGACAGAUGUCGAAGAGAGUUGAGUUUGUGCAUGUCAUUGGGCAGGGCUUCAAGCUUCUCACAUCUGCAAAUUCCGACGAUUAAAAUGCUUUCGGGAAGCCCUCUUUCUCCCAGGGAAACAAGACUUGGACAAUCAGAUAUCUCAAUCCUCUGUAAACAGUCGAGAUUGUAUAGGCUAUCGGGUAUUGACCCUAGCUUUGGACAAUUAUCUAUGUCUAAGUACUCAAGCGCCUCAAGUAGCUGGAUUCCUGAUGACAAACUGGUUAGCUCGGGGCAACGAAUUAUCUUCAGGCAUUUCAGCAUCCCAGAUGAAGAAGAUGAAGAAGGAUCAUCCUCUUCACCAUCGACCAAAUGCUGCAAGUUCUCACAAUCCAAUAUCUCAAGGCUUUUAAGAGAUGAAGACAGCUUGCUCCUUGCAAUGAACGUCAGAGAAUCACAAUUGCUGAUGUACAAGCUUUCCAGGUGUGAAUUGUUGCCUACGAUUUCCUGAGGCAAGGAUUUUAUAGUUCUGGCCUUUCCAAUUCUAAGAGACUGCAGAUUCUUGAGAAAAAAGUUGAUCUCUGGAAAUGAAACAAAACUUAUGACACUUUCUUCAAUUGAUACCUCUUCAGACAACGUGAUAACAUGUAGCCCUUGUUCUGGUAAUGGCUUCUUGGUUUCAAGCCAUGACUCGAUCUGGUCAGAAUCGCUGAUCCACAAAGUCUCUACUUGCUGAAAUCCUUGCUUUAAAAAUUUUCCAAACUCCAAAAGAUUUGAAAUAGUCACAGAGUUAGCAGCUGGACAAUCAUUAUACAUCAUCCCUUUGCAUCCAUAUAUUUCGAAUGAACUAUUUGAAAUAGUCAUACAAUCAACGGACUUAUCAUCGACUGGAGACAUGCUGCACUCAAGUCCUUUGCAUCCAUCAAUUUGUAAUUUGCAGAGCUUCGGAAAACUUGAGAAUGAAACCACCAACUCUCCACAUUUACUAACAACAAGUUUCUCCAGUGAAGGCAGACACUCCGGCAAUUUUCCAGAGAAUUUGGGACAUUCUACAAUGGAAAGUUCGCAGAGGCUAGAGAAUCCUGCAACAACACCAUUUUUAUCGAAUUUGGUAUCCCAAUGCUCCCAUUCCGGCAAAUCCUCAAAGCAAAGAGUCACCAGUGAUUGAAAAGGAUUUGAGCAACUCUCUCCGUAAAACUCAACACCAAUGCUUUUCAAUUUCUUCAACCCAUUAACAACAAGGUGUUUAAGUGAACUCAACAACCCGAGGGUCGGCAAGGAUGUGCAAUUUUCACAAUUUUUUAAGGUAAGGACCUCCAUCGUGGAGAAUGAUGGAUUGGCUACCCAGGAUGGAAAUCUUACACCACCAUAAUGCCUGAUUGCCAACUCUUUUAAAUCUUUUUGAGUUUGCAACAUGUCAAGUACAUUUUCUUCUAGUGCUUCAUCUCUUGAGUUGUCAAAUUGAGACCCCCAUUCUAAAGACAAUGCUUUUAGAUUCUGCUUCUCGCAUAACAUCGCUUCUCUUGCAUCCUGUGAAUCAUGCACAUUUUCUAAUCCUGAGAUACAAAGUUCUCCACGAAGGAACUUUAAGUUCUUCAAAUCUUUCAAACCAGACGCAGCACCACCCUUGCCCACAAUAAAAUUAGACAAUUUCCUGAGAUUCUUCAAUUCUUUCAUUCCCCAGGGCAUCUCUUGGAGUAAGUUUGCACCUUCUAUGUCAAGAUGACUUAAAUUGAUCAAUUUUCUCAUUUUGGCUGGCAACUUUAUCAGACGAGAACAGUCUUUUAAUAUCAAAAUUUCUAAAUUCAACAGUGAACUUGUUGACUUGGGUAAGCUUUUUAUACUAGUGCCAGCAAGGUUGAGGCACCUUAAAAGUCUCAAAUCUGCGAAUGAAUGAGGUAACUCAAUGACACAGUAUUGUUCUAACGAUAGCACCCUCAAAUUUUUGAACUUUGGCAACAAAUCAUACAGAACUGCAGCAGGCAUGUAAUAAGGGCCUACAUAAAAUCUUCUGUUUAAAGGUAAAAAUGUUCUUAAAUGUUGCACUUCAUAUAGGAGGUCAAACUUAUUUUUACCAUCACACCAACCCUGGGAGUAUGAAUAAUGGCGAACUCGUUCGAAUCUUCUUGAUGGCUUAUUGGCCUCCUCUAACUUGAAAAUGAUUUCUCCCGAAACAAGUUGAGCAAGAUCAUGGACAAGGUCAUGCAGCACAAAUUUAGAAUUGUCACUACUUGAUGGUUGAAAAAUCGACCUUGACACUAGAUCAUGAAAACAUUCACUGACCCAGUCUUCCAACUCCUUACCCUUACUUGAUUGUUGAAUAAUACCUUCAGCCAUCCACAAGAAAACCAGUUCCCCCUCCGUGAAUUCAUAAUCUUUGGGAAAAAUUGCACAAUAAGCGAAGCAUCGCUUCAAGUAAGAAGGAAGAUAAUGAUAACUCAGUCUUAACACAGGGUGAACGUCGCUUUGUUGAGGUAAGUUAGCCAAUAUAUUUCUGUUCAAUAAUUCAUCCCAUGCAUCUUGUCUCCUGGAACGUAAAAGGCCACCAAGAAUCGCUGCUGCUAGAGGCAACCCUCCGCAUUUUUCAACAACUUUGUUACGAAAUAAUUCCGAAAUUUGAUGUGCAUUAAUAUCCCUAUCAUCAAAUGCGUGCAUUAUGAAUACUGACCAGCAAUCUUCAUUUGAUAGGGCCUUUAGAUUAUAGUGUUGAAUGGGUCCCAUUGUUGAUGCAACAUGUGAAUUGCGUGUGGUGACUAUUAUCUUACUAUUGGGCGCACCGGCGAUGAAAGGAGCUUUCAAGGUUGCCCACGAGUCGUAAUUCUCGUUCCAAACAUCAUCCAGGACUAGCAAGAAUUUUUUCCCAUUCACUGCCUUUUUCAAUUCAAUCUGCACGUCAUUUAAAGCCUUGAGUUCACAAGGCCUGCAGGUGAUUGACUCCAGAAGUGCCCUUGAAAUGCCCAGCACAUCAAAGUUGUCGGAGAGACAGACCCAAGCUUUUAUGUCGAACUUAAAAACUUCAACGGCCCUGUCAUUGUAAACCUCCCGAGCAAGGGUUGUUUUCCCAACCCCAGCCAUGCCGACAAUGGGGAUUACACGAAAGUUGGCAACACUUGGCUCAUCGCUCAACACCAUUGCAAGUAUUUUAGCUUUAUCAUCAUCUCUUCCAUACACAGCACGUUCUGUCUGCACACUUGAACUGUGUGGUCUUCUCUGUGCAGCAGUAGCUGAUGAAGUCCCUCCAGCUCCAGGAGUCAAUUGCAAUCCAAGUUCAAUUCUUUGUUUACACAGAUCUUCCAUGCGGCUUGUGAUAUCUUUAAUCUUGGUCCGCAUGCUGGAGUUGAACUUAAUAGUGCUAAUUGGCAUGAAACAACUGAAACAAGCUGCAGGGACCAUUUUCCGAACUUUACUAUCAGUGCUAGAACCAGGCUGAUCGGGAUCUUCCACCAUCAACUUCCGCUCCAAAGCUUGAGUAGCAAACUCAUCAAGAAUGUCCUCGGCAUCAUAAGCCAAGUCUUGGAGAUCGUCCAGCCACAUCUUCACAGACUCAUCCGUCAGCUGCUUUUCCUCUGCGUCGCUCAGCACGGCCUGAAUCAUCUUCAACUUUCUUUCCCAGUUCUUGAGCUCUGAAGAUACUCCGCCUUGAAUUUGACGGACAAAGUUGAACAAAUCACGAGAAGCCAAUCUGUCAAACAGCACAUCAAGGAAAGCAGAAAAUAAGAGCUCUGCCAUGGUUUUGUUUGUUUGUUCGUUCGUUUGCCGGAGAGAAAGGGAUCGAACGGGAUUUAGUGAGAAACAGACGAGAAACAGGGUUUAUUAAACUGACAUGACAAAAUGGAAACAAGUCUUCAAGAAAAGUAGAUAGAUUGAUUAGGUUGAAAAUAGCGAACGUGGAUUCCUCCAGUUGCUGGCCUCCAAUAAUUCAUAAUGAAGCAACACUUGUAAAGUUCUGGUUUCUUUUCAAGCCGUGUGGACCCCACCAAACAAUUUCAAUGAUAGUGCUCCAAAGGAUUAAACAUCUCUGCAUGAGCUUCUAUUAAUAAAUGUAAAUUUAGAAAUUCAAGGGUUGCAUCUUUGAGAAUUAAUACAAGCCAUUUUACAAACGCACCUAACUCUCUUUGUAUUUGGUCUACUAUAAACAAUUUUAUUACAAAAUUAUUUGGCGAAAAACAUUUAUUUACCUUGUUUCUUUAAAUUAUUUAUUUUAAAAAUCAUAUUUUAUUAAAUGCCAUAAACUUUCAUUUUACGCUUAAAACUUAUAUUUCAUAGCCCAUCUGCACAAUAUUAAAUGGCAUUGGUAACUAAAGGCUAGGAAACAAAGUUAACAUGCGAACUAAGCUCUAAGCCUGUAAUAAAGUUAUUAUUAAACUGUACUAAAAAGUUAAUUAGUAGUUUCUUAAUUUCAAAAUAACGGAUUUUGAAUCCAAUGUCAUUAACCAAAACCCUUAACAUUCCCACAAUACAAUACAGCGGCUGUAAAUGUAACUCUUCAUAAAAGUAAAUUCCAAUGGCCCUACAGGCUACAGGUUUUGUCGUCUGCAUUUCCUUGCACUAUAUUCUAUACCCAUGUUCAAUAGUCUUCAAAUAUUCUACGUAGGUGUUAUUUAUUUCAUUUUAGAACGAUUGGAAUCAAUAUUCUACGUUUUUAAAUUAAGCUGCUUUGAGUUUUUAAAUUUAUUGUGACAUUUGUGCUUUGUGGUAAACGGCACUAACACUCAAAUUAGUCUAGCAAUAAAAAUUGUUGAUAUAGGCUGUUUUGAUAUAGGCNNNNNNNNNNNNNNNNNNNNNNNNNNNNNNNNNNNNNNNNNNNNNNNNNNNNNNNNNNNNNNNNNNNNNNNNNNNNNNNNNNNNUAUUAAUUCAACUCUUUAUAAUCUUCUGCAUUUGUACAUGUAUAGCAAUAUACAUUUAAGAUAUAAUUAAUUUUAUACUUUUAUUCAAUAAUUACUAAUUAAAUAUUUUUAAAAUAUUAACAAAAAAACUAAUUCAACACUGAAUCUAAAUCUGUUUUAUGAGUGAAUCAUGAGAAUAAAUCUCGUCCUUUUUAAAUGUCUGUGAAGGAAAUUUGAAAAAACAAGACAAUCUUUUCAUUGUUUUUUUUACUAUUGUUUACCCUCUACUUUCCUCUUCAUUAUUUUCUCUUCGAUUUCAUUAUUUAAUUAUUAUUUUAAAAGAGCUACCAAGAACAUUUUUAAAUCCUGAAACACAAAGUUUAGAAUACCUUUCACUUGACUAUUUUCUUUUCCCUAACAAAAUUUUUAUUAUUAAAUUUAAUUUUUAUCGUAACUUAUGCUGAAUUUGUAUACUUACAAUUGAUAUAAAAAAAAUGAGUGCUAUUGAUAUGGGAAUCAAGGAUACCCCGNNNNNNNNNNNNNNNNNNNNNNNNNNNNNNNNNNNNNNNNNNNNNNNNNNNNNNNNNNNNNNNNNNNNNNNNNNNNNNNNNNNNNNNNNNNNNNNNNNNNGAGGAAAUCGAAUCCCUCAAAGGAAAGGAUGGUGUUGUCAGGUGGGAAGUCUCGAACCAGAUGGGAAAUAAGGAGACCUCGAUCUAAAUUUUGAAAGAAUCAACACCCAUCAUGCCAAGAAGGAUGGAAUUUUGGGAUAACACCUAUCAUUAAGGAAGAAUCACAUAAGCAUUGCAAAAGUGGGUAAGGAAGUUGGCUAUAAAGGCCACUACACCCACAACACCCUCAAAAAUAGGGUAACAACACCCACUCUGAGAAGCAUGCUGUAUUUUCUUCUCCAUAAAGGUAUUUUUAAGGAAAAAUUGCCAAAGAAGGUAUGGACACUCUACUGAAUGGAAACUACCCAGAUUCAACUCCAAAGAAAACUAUAUUGACUUAAGCAUCUGCGUGGGCACGCCGGAAACCACCAUUUUUGGCACCAUUUCACCUUUUCUUUGUUUGUUGCACUUGGUUUGACCGCAGGUGGGAAAAAAUUAGGCGUCAACAAGUGCCUUGAAUAUGUAAAAUCAUAUAUGUAACAUGUUCGUCAUAUUCAUGUAACAACAUACAUGCAACCAUAUUUAAGUAACUUGAAAACUUAUUUCUUAUCAAUUUUUCAUCCCUUACUUACUUUCUCUCAUAAACUGCCAUACUAAAUAUUUUUGUUUUUUAAAAGUACCUAAAUAAUUAAUAGGAUUAAAAGAAUUUUUUUUAAAAUUGUUAUAUAAAUAAAAGUAUGAGUGACUUUAGCAUAGUUGUGUGCACACAUAACAAUAAUAAAACCCUCAAUAUCAAGUCAUCAACCCCCACAUGGCAUCAUUGAAAGAGAUUCUGAAUUGGUGGUUGGUGGCAGCCACGAUCCAGAUAACAGUAGCAGUCGGCGGCGUACAGGCAGAAGGAACAGUUAAUGCACUUUUAGGUUUUUAGCGUCUCAAUAUAAUGGCCUUCUACAAGGACUCCAAUGCACGCACGCAGAAGUUCAAGCCAGGUACCUCAAUGUCCGUCACGAUAAUGACUUUCAAAGACCAUAUGUUUGAGUUCACCUUUAAGUCUCCAUCGGUUACUUAGUACCUCAAACAGGCGAUGGGCGUUGCGUCGAGCAGCAGCCGGCCCGGGCAUGUGAUGGCGUUGAUGGCGACGUUGAAACAGGUUUAUGAGAUAUCCAAAGUGAAGCGGUCUGAUCCGCACUGUCAGCACAUGCCCUUGGAGAGCAUUUGUAAUUAGCCCAUUAUUGGGACUACUAACAGUAUAGGCAUUAAAGUUGUAACACCCUAAGCGAAUCCCACAUCGACAAAUCAUGGGAGAGGUGCUAAGUUUAUAAGGGGUGAUCUACAAUUUAAUUAGCAAGACACGUUUUGGGGUGUACACGCGCCCUAGAAACAAAAACGUGUGAACCUUAUUAAGUCACAAAGCAGACAAUAUCUUGUCAGGUCUGAGUUGGAUCAUGACAUAUGAUAUCAGAACAACUCUGCGUGUCCUCUUGAGCAAUGGUGGAACGAGCGAUAGUGGGGCAAACCUCAGUGAGGACGCUGAGUCUUUAAAGGGGGUGUAUGUAACAUCCUAGACAAAUCUCACAUCGACAAAGCACGUGAGAGAUGCUGAGUUUAUAAGAGGUGAUCUACACCUUAAUUGGCAAGACGCGUUUUGAGGUGUAUGAGCGCCCCAAGAACAAAAUCGUACGGGCCUUAUUAAGACCUAAAGCAGACAAUAUCUUGCCAGGUUUAGGUUCGGUCAUGACAGAUGGUAUCAGAGCCCUAGUUUAGGAUACUGUAGACUUUCUUUUAAGGUCUAAUCAGAUUGUCUAAUAGAAUUGAUUACAUUUGUUUUGUGACAUAAAGAGGAACAUUAUGGGUAUGAAAAGUUCUAGGAAUAAAAGAUGGACAAAAAUUGACAAGAUUGAAUAGUUUAUCUUAGGUGGAGUUCUUGUCAAAGAUCUUAGAAGGCUUUAUAAAUAACGAAUGAAUGAUAGACUAAGACGGACUAAAAUUGUUUACAGAGAUACUUCUCCAGGACCAAGAGCUUUAAAGAAAAAAAUUCAAUGAGGCUAUUCGAGGACAACGUGUUUAUGGCAAGGGAGCUAACAAAAAUAAGCUUGUAGUACGUUGCCUAUUUUGGACAAGACCUCGAUUUAAGUCUUGUUAUAACAAAGGAUGGGUUCCUUAAUGCCUUGAUAAGCUAUCUCACAAAACUUUUAAGGAAAAUAGGACAACUAGUGUCACGGCUGUGGAAAGAAAAAUAGAAUUAAAUCAUUUCCCUAUUUGGUUGAGUAAACCUAUGAACUAUGUGACAUGAGUUUGCCAAAUUUUUAGUUAACCCAAAAGGCAUAACUAGGAACUCAUAGUGCCCAUAACGAGUUCGAAAGAUUGUCUUUAAUACAUCCUCACUUCUGAUUUUCAGUUGAUGAUACCCAUAUCGUAAUCGAUUUUUGAAAAUAUCAUUGCACCUCGUAAUUGAUCAAAGAGGUCAUCAAUUCAGGGAAGAAGAUAUUUAUUCUUGACAAUAACCAAAUUCAAAUAUCGGUAAUCAAUACACAACCUCAUUAAACCAUCUUUCUUUUUUACAAACAACACGGGAGCACUCCAAGGUGAGACACUAGGAUAGAUGAAACCCUUAUCUAGUAACUCUUGCAACUGGACUUUCAGUUCUUUUAACUCAACACGUGCCAUCCAAUAUGGUGCCUUAAAAAUAGGUGCAAUAUCGAGAACUAGUUCUAUAGUAAGUUCAACCUCUUGAUCCUGAGGUAGUCUAGGAAGAUCUUCAGGAAAUACGUCAACAAACUCUCUUACAAUAUGUAUGUCUUUAAGGCAUGCCUCAUUAGAAUGGUCAGCAACUACAUACGCUAAAAAUCCUUCACACCCCAUUUUUUAGCAUUUUGUUGCCUUAACCAUAGAAAUUAAACCUCUAUGACUCCUUUGAUUCCCAUGAAAAUGAAAUUCUUCCUCGCCAGGUAGGCAAAAAAUAAUUUCUUUAGCAAAACAAUUCACUAAAACAUUGUAAGGUCCUAACCAAUUCAUCCCCAAAAUCAAAUCAUAAUCGUGCAUCUCUAAGGGUAGGACGUCCAUAAGAAAUUGCCUAUCACAUAAUCUAAUCACACAUGACUCAUAAAUAUAAUCUACCAACUGGCAAUCCCCCAUAGGGGUACUAAUUGACACAUGAAUAUUUAGUGGCGUGAUCGGCACAUCAGCACAAUGGGUAAACACACAAGAUACAAAUGAAUAUAUAGCACCAGGGUCAAAAAGAACUUUGGCUUCCCUAGAGAAUAAAGACAGGGUACUUGACACCACAUCAUUGGACACCUCAUCAUCUUUCUCUGUUAGCGGAAAGACACGCCCUUGCACCUUCAGUUUCUUCCUCUGCCCUUCAUUACUCUGAGUGUUUGCAGUCCCACUACGUCUCUUUGGGAAAUCUAUAAUCUUGUGUCUAGUUUUUCCACAAGAAAAACAAGCUCCAAUUUUCUAAUAGCAUUUACCAGGGUGACUCAUUCCACAAUGACGACAAGUAGGAAAUUUUUUCCGAGCGGUGGUAUCAAGAACAACCUUGUUAUCGCAUUUGUUACCUCCGCCAACAUGCUUCUGGCAUUAGGUGCCUUCCCCAUAAAAACUUCCAUUUUGAGGUCCACCUUGCUGAUUCUUUUUAUUCCUCUAAUCCCUUGUAACUUGAGCUUCAUGAAUAUCUUUCUUAACAAGAAUUGCUCGAUCCACUAAAUCAGCAUCAUUAUUAAGCAUAAGGAUGGUCAAUCGACCUUUGAUAUUUGGACGCAACCCUCCCAAGAACAAAACCGCGCAGAUCUUAUUAAGGCCCAAAUCGAACAAUAUCUUGUCAGGUCUAGAUUGGGUCAUGACAGAUGGUAUCAGAGUGGCUCUGCGUGUCCUCUUGUGCAAUAGUGGGGUAAACCUUAACGAGGACGCUGAGUCCUUAAAGGGGGUGCAUAUAACACCCUAGACAAAUCCCACAUCGGCAACGCACAAUAGAGAUACUGGAUUUAUAACAAGUUUUCCAUACCUUAAUUGGCAAGACGCGUUUUGAGGUGUAUAGGCGCCCUAGGAACAAAAUCGUGCAGGCUUUAUUAAGGCUUGUUGAGUCCCUAAGGGGGCCGUAUGUAACACCCUCGGCAAAUCCUACAUCGGCAAAGCAUAAGAGAGAUACUAGGUUUAUAAGAUGUGAUCUACACCUUAAUUGACAAGAUACGUUUUGAGGUGUAUACGCACCCGAGGAAUAAAACUGUAGGGCUCUUAUUAAGGCCCAAAGUGGAUAAUAUCUUGCUAGGUCUAUGUUGGGUCAUGAUAGAUAUGUAACAUCCUUGGCAAAUCCCACAUCAGUAAAGCACGAGAGAGAUGCUGGGUUUAUAAAGGGUGAUUCAAAAUUUUAUUGGCAAUAAGCAUUUUGGGGUGUAUGGGCGCCCCAGAAACAAAACCGUGCGGGCCUUGUUAAGGCCCAAAACGGACAAUAUCUUGUCAGGUCUAGGUUGGGUCAUGACAGAUGCUAUCAGAGCAAUUUCCAACCGAAAAUGUAUGGAUGUUUGUGACAUCCUACAUCGCUUGGGAAGGAUUUUGUAGGGAUGAAUAGAAUUAGGUCUAUGCCAAACCUUUAGACUCUGUGAUUUUUUUUUUAAGAAGUAUAAUUGAACUAUCAGAGUAGCGCAAUAAAAGUGUGAUGUGUUAAAACUAUAUCUAGAGUAUCAACCACAUGGAGGGACACCGAAAUAAAUUUGAGUGACCCACCAUAUCUGAAUUGAGAUUUUUCUUUCUUUUCAAUGAUUUGAUUUGAUUUUUUCUUUUUACUAGUUUUUUUAAUUGAAAUUAUUUUUGCAUAAGUGUGUUUGUUUAACCAUUAAGUUUUCUUUUAUCAUUGUUAAUCAUGAGUGCCUCAGUUAAAUAGCUCCUCCUGGACAUUCUUAGACGACUUCAACGUGUAAAAUCUAAUCUCAAAAGGCAGAUUCGAUUUUGUAAAACACAUCAUAUUUGAGCUUUACAACCACCAGAGUUAGUAUCUCAUGUUGAUGAUUUAGAAAGCCAACUCAGAGACAUUGAUGGAGAUGUCUACAAUAUCUAGUUGGAGCUUGAGGUAAAUUUAAUAAGAGGACAAUUGUAAUUUUCUUUGUGUGUUUUAGUUUUUUUUUUUGGUUGUGAGCUUGAGUUUGUUACCCCAGUGAAGUGGCGGAUAACGGUACUCCGUGAUAAUCAAGUCGGUUACUUGAGUUUCCCAUAAUAACUGAUACUCUAAGGCGAAUGAAUGGACAUACAUGAGAUUCUAGCAAAGCUUCACAAUCAAUUUCCUUCACUUCCUCAAAAUGCCCUCUUUACAAUCUAUAAAGCUCGGUCUGAACGCAUGCGAUUGCUGAUGAGGAAUAACAUACCUAUUAAUAUCUACUGGUUAAUCGAGGCCAAAGUACGAUUGGCAGGUGAGUUACCUCCCAAAUUUAUUGCAUACAUGCUUGGUUGUGGUGAAGGAAAUUAUGCAAGAAAACGAAGAGCUCGAAGAAUUUAUGUUGCUUGUCAUAAGUGUGCCAAAAGGAGAUGUGAUAAAAAACCAUGUUCUUUAGGAAUGGUGUCUGAUAAUAGGGAAGAUAAGAUUCAAUUCAUUAGGGAUGACUUGAAUAAGGAGUCAUUGGAUGAUAUCCUUUUGUCUCUUGAAAUGUAUCUCAGUGGAUAUGUACAAGGAGCAAUUCUCCAGUUAUGGUUAUUAUUCCAGAAAGAGAAUGCACGAUAUAGUCUCGGGAAUCUGACUAUAAACGACCUUGUUUGCCAGUUUAUAAGAAAACUGGAUGGGAAGCCUAUCCUCGACUCAUAGAGGGCGUUCAAGCUGUUUCUGGACGUAAAACCAGAGGAAGAUGUGAGCCACAGUCGCAACUACCUGUAAAUAUCUUUUUACUUCACUGUUGUUUUAUUUCACUAUUGUUUUAUCAUUUGCAUUAUUGUCUUUAAUAAUUUUAUUUUAUCAUUAUUUGUUUUUUUCCUUUUUAUUAUUUCUUUUUUUACUCUUGAGCCAUGUGCAUUACGCGUUAAUUGACACUAACAUGCCACCUCAUACACAACUAUAACCCACUGUCACCAAGAUUCUUAAAAAUGAUUUUUGUCAAGCACUUACAAAUUAUUUUUGAGAAGUAUCCCAAUGGUAGCUACUCCAAAUAAACAAUUAAAGAACAUUUGUGUGCUUUCUGGAUUUAACUAUGGCAAACAUAAAGCGUUCGUUGAGGCAGCCAUAGAUCUUACUCGAAGCAUAGCAGAGAGAAAACUACACUUAGUAUAUGGAGGAGGUAACCGAGGGUUAUCAAAAUUAGUCUUAAAAGCUGUUUUUGUCAGAGGAAGCCAAGUGUUAGUCAUAAUCCCAAGAGCCCUAAAACCUUUGGGCAGUUUGUCUGACUCACCGAAUGGACAAGAGUUAGUCGUCUCAGGUAUGCAAGAAAGAAUAACUGAAAUGAUUAAUCAUGCUGAUGCUUUUAUUUUCCUACUAGGAGAUCUUGCAACACUAGAGGCACUUAUCACAUUAGAAUAUUGGGCCAAUCUGCACAUUCAUCAGAAACUCAUCGAUUUAUUAAAUGUCAAUAACGUUUAUGAUGGCUUCAUCACAUUUCUUAACCAUGCAAUAAAAAACUAUUUCAUUCAUUCCACAACGAAAAAGCUUUUUAUUUGUGCUCACACUGCUAAUGAACUACUUGAUUUGUUACAAGCUUAUAGACCAGAGCUAGACCCUGAGACCUUUGUAUUCGAGUCUCCAAAUAAUGAUGAUAACAGUAGCCGCAGUAAGAAGUACAAAUUAGAUUUAACUCUCCACCUGUAAAUAUUUUCUUCUUUGUUGCACCACCCAGGUGAUGUCUUCUAAACUCUACUUCUUUCCUUUAAAAUAUUGAGGAUAAUGUUUCGUUCUAGUUGAGGGAAAGAAUAGUUGACAAUUGUGGAAUCUUAGUUAAUUUUUACAUAAUUUUUAUUGUAGAGACUAACCGUGGCUAACGUUUUGUGUUGAAGAUGGCUGAAUAUGGAGUGUAAUUACUCUAGAAACGCAUCUUCUUCGUUUGAAAAAAAAACAAAAAAAAAAUUCCAGACAUUUUCUUUUUCUUUAUUAAGUUUUUGACAAUCAUUUUUUUUUCUAACUUCUUCUUUCCAAUUUCUCCUUUAUAAAUAUAUACUUUCAAAUCUUUGAGUCGAAGAUGGCUGAAUAUGGAGUGUAGUGCCUCUAGAAACGCAUCUUCUUAGUUUAAAAAAAAAAAACUAUUUUCUUUUUCUAUCAUUUUAAGUGUAACUUUUCUAAUUAGCUUUUCCGUAUCAUUUUCACUUUUUUGCAUACAUACUUUCUUUUCAUGUUUAGAAUAGGUUGGGGGGUAGACUGUCGUUUUUAAAAAAAAAAUUGCGUGAUUUUAUAACAUUGGAUAACACGAUGACUUUCAAAUUUUAGUAUUUAUAUUCUCUUUGGUCUUAAGUGAUGUUGCGCCAUGUUUGCUACUCUACAUGUUGAUGUUGGAGACAAAUAUGAGUUGCUUAAAGGAAUGCACAUGUUAUAAUAAAUUCCAAGUGAGGUUUUGAGCCUGUCGUUUUUCUUGGAAAGUAAUCAUUUUUGCUCAUUCUUCAUACAGCUUAUCAAUUUAUUAUUUUAUACGAUCUCUAGAUUUCUUUUGAGUCAACCCUUUAAAAAAAAUUUGUAAGAUAAAAAAAAAAUGUGUGUUGCUACAUCUUGAGGUACAUCUAACUAGUUGAUAUGGAAGAUUAUUUAGAGCCCUAAAAGAUGAUGGAAAGUCCAUCUUUGACCCAUUUGAGCCUUUCUAGUCAUCCCUUUUGUGAAAAACCAAUAGUUAACCCUUUUGAGCCUUUAAAAAAAAAAAACUUUUCUUUGUCAAACUUAUCAUCUUGACCCACUCUGAUUUGGAGUAUUACCCAAUAUCUUAUAAGUUUCAUUACCUAUUUAUGUUUGAGAAAAAAGUAAAUAAUUAUUUUGUUUAGUGAAGUUGUGACCAAAAAAAAAAACAAAACAAAAAGAAUUGUUGUUUCAAAAAAAAAAGGAAAAAAAGAAAGAAAAAAAUAAUAAAUAAGCAAAAUGCACUUGUAAUUUCUAAAAUAUCUUUACUUUUUCUCAAACAUAUAUUUUGUUUUUCCUAUUUUUCUUCAUUUGUUAGUCAUGUCCCUAGCCUACGUUACAUCCUAAUAAAAGUCUUUCCUAAUUUUAGGAAGCUAUGGUCUGAAGUAGAAGCUAGAUAUAUGGGCUAAAAAGCUGUAGUGGUGCAUUAAAAAAAAGAAAAAAAAAUAAAUUAGGUUGACUAGCAUUUUUGUUUGACUUAAGCUUGUAUUAUUUCUAAGUUGUGGGCAUAUUUCUUUCAUUUUGGUGAGAACGUGUGACAUUACUUCUUUAUUAUUAUCUCUCAAUUUAGCAUUUAUUGAAGCGACUAUUUUUAUUGGGUUUAAUUUCCUUGUGAGAGUGUCACUACUUCCAAUGAGAUUUUGGGGUUUGACAUGUCAUUCUUGAAAGUAGCCAUGACAAAGUCUGCUGGGUUGAUUCACGUGGAUGGUUGAUGUGGGUGUGAUGUUUCUGUAGACUGGAGAUAAUGCUUAUACUUUUAUUUGAUUGCUAUUAUUAGUCUGAUUGAAUAAACACGAUUGUUUUAAAAAAAAAUCAUUUUGGGUUUGAAUUUUGUUUUCACUUUAUUUGCUAAGGACUAGUAAUAAGCUGGUUGGGGGGUGUGUUGAGUUUUAGAAAAUGUAUAUUUAUAAAGGAAAAAAUCAUUUUACAUUUCAAGUCUUACUAACACCCUUACUUUUAUGUAUUUAAGCUUCUUAUGAUUUAAUUAAGAGUGUUUUAUUGUAAUUAAGUAUUUUAUGUAUUUUAGGGGCAUCAUGGUCAUUUCACAAUGAACGAGAAAUCAGCAGCAAAACAGACAUCACUUUUGAACACAGGACAGUCGGAAACCUUAGGAAGAGUAUAAAAAGAAAAAUGUCAUUGUUCAUAUGUACUGUACUGUCCAUACUACUGUUCACGACAUUGUUCACAUAUACGGAACGAUGACAUGGCAUUAACCGAUGAUGUAGCAUUGACUAAUGAGGUGUCACGAUUCCAUUGGACAAAAUUCUUAUGUACUGUUGAUCAGUGACGUGCAACAUGUUAGUGACGAAAAAUCAUGCAUACGGUACAUGCAUAUACACGGGAUUAUUUACAACCAAACCGCGUCACUGUUCAAACCGUGUUACUAUUCAAACCACGUGGUCAAACCGUGUACUAUUCAAACCGUGUGGUCAAACCGCGUACUAUUGACUAAUAACGUGGCGCAAUCCUGAGUGUCCAAAAUAUUUUUAAUGCGAUAACCAUAAUUUACUCAAUGUAUUUAUAAAAAAGGGGGCUCUCCCCCCUAAUUUGGCAUCCUUGAUUUCAUUUUUGAGUUUAAUUUUCUGUAAUUCCUUCUCCAUCUUGUAUUUUCUAAGUAUUUUAAUAAAUUCCUACUUUGUCCUUAGUUGAAUUAUGAGUAGAUAAUUUUCUUUCAAGCUUGGGUUUAAGGUGAAGUUUCAACAUGUGCCCUGGGCUUUAUUUGGUAAAUUUAUUUUCUCUUCCCCUCUAAUUAUUGUGGAUGUUUUGACUUUUCGUUGACAAAUAGUAAUAAUCUUGUCUAGAUACCGCCCUAGUUUAACCGGCACCCCAGUACAAGAUUAUUAAUAUUUAGCUCGAGAAACCCUUAGCACCAUAUUGAUUAGAGUGUGGUUCAUGAGGAGUGGAAUCCCCCUUAUGAUUUAAUUGGCACUAAUAAGGAAUAUUAAGCUCAUGGAGCAUGUUGAUACGUAUUUAGAUACCCAAGCGCUUCAAUUACAAUAGUUUUCACUUUAAUUUAAUUUUGUCAUUCCCAUUUAAAUUCUAGGAUAGUCUGAAUCACUUUCAUCAGAAAUCUAAACACCCUCAUAGAAAAUUAAUUCUAUAUAUAAUUAAAAUCCACCUACUUGUGGGAUUGACACUCGUCACCGUUAAUCUAUUCUACAAUAAAUUCGUGCGCUUGCGAGUUCAAUAAAAUUUGUACAACAAUGAUGGCGAAGAAAUGACCGGCUUCAUCUGAGGGUUUGGUCAUUACCUUACGUUGCCAGUAAUGUGGUCGGAAAUGGAAGUGGGUAGUAGGUUGGUUUUUAGGUCAGGUUGGGUUUCAAAAGCUCUCUUCGCCCCUCUCUCUCAUGCGUGCACUCCCUUUCUCUAAAAUAAUUUUGGCUUCUCUUAUUUCCUCUUCAGAUUCAAAUCAGGCACAAUUUCUAAUUAAACACCCUAUUCUCUCUCUCUCUUUCUUUUAAAUAAGCUUAACACAAAUUAAGCUAUUCUGUAAUUGGUAAUUGUAACAAAAUUUGAGAAUGGGGGUCGUUACAUCAUGUUCGUAUUGUCUCGAUUUUGUGUCAUGACAAGUUUAAAUUAGUCCAAACACGAUCUAUUUAAUAAACUUAUCAAAUUUGACAAUGCACACCAAUUUAUUUAUGUCGGGAAAUUGAGUUGCGUUAAAUUUGUCAACAACAGUUGUAAUGAAUCGAUAACUUUUAAAACUUUAGGUCAAAAGGGAAUGUUAAAAUAAUACACUUAAUUAAAAAGGAAGUGCAUAUGUUAAUUUAUGAUUACUAUUCAUUUAAAUUCUUGAUUUUUUUUUUAAAAUAAAAACUUUUAUGAAUGUUUGUUUUCUAAUGUAUAUAUGGCAUGCAGUUUUAUCACGAUGUGGAUUUGACCAUCGGAAACCUUUUCAUUUGCAAUAUAUAAGAUAUUUUUUUUCGAAAUUAAACAAAGGGUUUAUUAGGGAUUGAGACUUUUCUAUAAAUUCUUAGUUUUUAACCCAACUCAUUUUCAUAUUGAUUUUGUUACAAACUUAAUAAAUGAAUUUUACUCUGUAGAGGCAAAUGAGUGCUGUAGUAAUGCUAAUAUUAUUUUAAUAAAGGAUUUCAAUAUGAAUAAUGCUAAGUAUCUCAAUAUCUAAAUCUUAAUUUCAAUCCUCAUGAUGUGGUAUAUAUCCAAUGGAUGGUGUUAAGUAAUUUUAUAAGUUACAAAAUCUAUCAUCUGAUAGAUGAGUAUAAUACAGGGUAUUAGGACUUAAGUUAAUACUCAAAUAUUGAAAUCUAUGAUAUUACUAUUUUAAUAUAGGUUUCUUGCUUCAUAAGGACUUUUCCAUUGGUGCUACUUUUUCAUUGGGUAUCUCAUGUUCUUAAAAUUGAUAAAUAACAAUGAAAUUAAAAAACUGCGUGUAAGAAAAGGUUACAGAGUUUUGGUUUGGAAGCAAGAAGCCAGUUAAUUUUGGAAAAAUUCAAAUCGACAUGGCUAAUUUACUCACUUCGGAAAUUCUUCUCUCGCUUUUCCUGUUUCAUGACUGUGGGACGCUCUAAAAUAUACCUUGUAUAGUUACUCAGAUAAUGCCAUUAUCGUAUAACUAUUCUAUUCCAAUAACAAUAUAUAUUGGUCCUGAAAGGCCAUUGUUGUUAAUAUUUACUACUUAAGAAGCUUCUUUUUUCUCACCUUAUCUAAUUAGCUACUUUUUGUUGUUAAUUGUUGUUGUCAUUAAAAAGUCAGGCUAAGAGACGCAACUCUAUACAUACGUACACGUGUUAAUAUAUACACGAUAUAUUUAUUUAGUUGAGAUACUCAAUAAUUUAACAACUUAUCUGUUAUUCAGUGAUUAAGUUAUUAUUUCUUUUAUGAAGAUUGAUUAAGUUAAAAUCAAUGUCAUUUGAUUAUAAUUUCUCUAACGGAAUUGAAAUCUAUCCGGACAAAAUUGUUUAAAAGAUAAGAUGUGUGACCAUUUUUAAAAUCGAUGGAAUUUAUGUGUACAUUUUUAAGUACCUUUGGAGGUCUUGGUGGAUUUUUCUUUCUAAAAUUAUUAUGUAAAAUUAUCUUAAAUAAUGUGAUGAUGAGUGGCUCAUCUUGUUGAAUCACUUAUUGUUAUUAACGCUAAGGGAAAUUUUCAAUAAUCCACCUAAUUUUUAACGAAAGUUCACAAAUACUUAAGAUUUUUUAAAAAUAUCAUUGAUUAGCCUAAAGGUUCGUCAAUUGUUUAUCAAAGUCACCAUUUCUGCAUUUCAUUAACAUUUGUUAGAGUGUGAUGUCACAAUAGUAAAUUGAUCAUUCAGAUGCCAAUUAAUUUUUAUUUCUUCCAAAAUUAUUGUCGGACCACUUAACUUUUACCUAAAAAUUUAAUUACCGACAUGGUUUCUUUUAUGGAAUAAUAUGCUAUUAGAGGGAUAGUAGUCCUUUUAUAAAAAAUCUUUAAAAACUUCAUGGACUAAUGAUAAUUUUAUAAGAUUUUGAUGGCUGUUUGUUAACGUUUUUCAUUCGGUUUUUUUUUUUUCAAGAACAAAAGUUGAAAAAAAUAUGUUUGGCAGCCCUUAUUUCUGCAUUGUUAUGAUUUUUGAAGAGAACGAGAUGUUCUCAUUCUUCACUUUUUGUGAAAAAAAAGAGUAGAAAAUGGCUUUAUUAUAUAACUCUUUUAUCUUAUACUCUUUUCAUAUAAAUAUAUGUAUAUAGGUAGAUGUAUGUAUUUGUAUGUUUAUAAGAUAAUAAUAUAUUAAUUUUAUGUCUUUUAUUUUUGGAAAAAAAUAACAUGAACAAUAUCAAUAUAUAUAUAAUGGAUUGCAAAUUUCGAUAAUUAUAGCAUAAACUCACAAAAUAUAAUAUCAUUACUAAAAAAAAAUAAUUAAUAAAAUAAUUCUCCCACUCUCUUUCACUAUCUCUAAAUAUUUAGAUAAAUAGUCAAACAUAUUUUCGCUAUAUUCAUUUUCAUAUACUAUAUUAAAAACAAACUACCAAACAUAUUUUCAUUUUUAAAAUUUUCACAUCAAAAUUAUCAUUUUUCUUUUCUAAAAAAAGUAUAGAAAACAUUAUUUGAGAUACAAUACCAAAUCCACCCUGAGUAUCUCUGAACUUUGACCAAAUGUUAAAUGGGCAAAUGAUAAAUUUCUUAUCAUUAGUGAUAAUUAUUUUCAGAUCUAUAGAAGGUUGGAAUAUUUUAAGGGCCUCUAUAAAAAAGGUAUUUUUUAAUGAGGAUAAAAAUCCUAUUUUUUAAUUAUUAAUUAAAUGAUUGGUGGUGCUGGUGGAUAAUUCCUCCUCGAAGAGAGCUGUAUGCAAAUCAAUCCACUACUGUUCACUUCUUCUGACGACUCGAUUUCGGUGCGCUAUCAAAACCAUGGCCGUAGGAGAGCUCUUACUCGCUGCGUUCUUUCAGGUGUUAUUUGACAGAUUGGCAAAUGGUGAGCUGCUCAAGUUUGCAACCCAUCAGGGUGUUCAAUCAAAGCUCAAAAAAUGGGACAAAAAUUUGAAGAUGAUUCAGGCUGUGCUCAGCGACGCAGAGGAGAAGCAACUGACUGACGAGGCUGUGAAAGUUUGGCUGGAAGAUCUCCGAGACCUGGCUUAUGAUGCAGAGGACAUGCUGGAUGAGUUCGCCACAGAAGCUUUGAAGCGCAAGUUGGUGGCAGAGGAUCCUGAUCAUCAGAGCCUCAUCAUCCCUGCUGCUUAUUUCACAUGUUUAAACCCCAGCAGUGUUGAGUUCAAUUUCAGUAUCCGGUUCAAAAUUAAACAUAUCACCAGCCGGUUGGAGGAACUCUGUAAACAAAGAACUGAACUUGGGUUGCAGUUGACUCCUGCAGGACCUUCAUCUACUUCUGCUGCACAUCGAAGACCGCCCAGUUCAAGUGUGCCAACUGAACGUGCCAUCUAUGGCAGAGAUGAAGAUAAAGCUAAAAUUCUUGAAAUGGUGUUGAGCGCUGAGCCAAGUGUUGCCCAUUUUCGUGUAAUCCCCAUUGUCGGCAUGGCGGGUGUUGGCAAAACAACGCUUGCUCGGGAGGUCUACAAUGACAGGACCGUACAAGAUUUUAAGUUCGACUUAAAAGCUUGGGUCUGUGUCUCGGACAAUUUUAAUGUCUUGAGCAUUUCAAGGGCAAUUCUUGAGUCAAUCACCUCGGCGCCUUGUGAUCUCAAGGCUCUGAAUGAAGUGCAGGUUGAAUUGAAAAAGGCUGUGGACGGAAAAAAGAUAUUGCUGGUCUUAGAUGAUGUUUGGAACGAGGACUACAGCUCGUGGGAAGACCUGAAAGCUCCUUUCCUUGUUGCUGCACCAAAUAGUAAGAUAAUUCUGACCACUCGCCAUUCACAUGUUGCAUCAACAAUGGGACCGAUUGCACAUUAUAAUCUGAAGCGUUUAUCGGAUGAAGAUUGUUGGUCUGUGUUCAUGAAGCACGCAUUUGAGGGGAGAGAUGUUGACGGACAUCAAAUUUCAGAAUUAUAUCGGAAAAAGAUUGAUGGAAAGUGCGGAGGCCUGCCCCUGGUAGCAAAAACUCUUGGUGGCCUUUUGCGCUCCAAGAGAGAUGAAGAGUGGGGGGAUGUACUAGAAAGCAGAAUAUGGGAUUUGCAAGAAAGUGGGAUUCUGCCUGUGUUAAGAUUGAGUUACCAUCAUCUUCCAUCUCAUUUGAAGAGAUGUUUUGCUUAUUGUGCAAUUUUUCCUAAAGAUUAUGAGUUCGAGGAGAAGGAGCUUGUUUUCUUAUGGAUGGCUGAAGGUAUUAUUCAACAAUCAGCAGUCAAUAUGCGUCUGGAGGAUUGGGGCAGCAAGUGUUUUCAUGACCUAGUGUCGAGGUCAAUUUUUCAACGAUCAAGUAGUGAAUGUUCUAAAUUUGUGAUGCACGACCUUGUCCAAGAUCUUGCUCAAUUUGUUUCCGGAAGAACCAUUUCCAGGUUAGAAGAUGCCGGUAAGCUAUCAGCUGAAAAACUCAGAAAGGUUCGUCAUUCUUGUUACACCCGUGGUGAGUUUGAUGGUAAAAAUAAAUUCAAUUUUCUCUACGAAGUUGAGCAUUUGAGGACAUUCUUGCCAGUACUCAAAAGAGGUGGCACUGAUGUUAGUUUUGUAACUAAUAUGCUUCUACAUGAUUUAUUGCCAAAGUUCAAGAAGUUGAGGGUGUUAUCUUUGCAAGGGUAUUAUAUCACUCAAUUACCUGUUUCAUUUACAGAUUUGAGACUGUUAAGAUACCUAAAUUUUGCUGGCACUAGGAUAAGAAGUUUACCCGAGUCAACAUGCUCACUUUUGAACUUGCAAAUUUUGAUAUUAAGAGAUUGUGUUUGUUUGAUGAAUCUACCAUCCAAGCUAAAGAAUUUGAUCAAUUUGUGCCAUCUUGACAUUGAAGGUGCAAAUUUGCUCAAAGAGAUGCCAUUGGGAGUUAAAAAGUUGAAGUAUCUCCAGACUUUGUCUAAUUUUAUUGUGGGAAGGGGUAGUGUAUCCACUUUGAAAGAUUUGAGCGAUCUAAAGUUUGUUCGAGGGAAACUUUGCAUCUCUGGAUUAGAGAAUAUGACUAAUUCACAAGAUGCAAGAGAAGCCAUGUUAUUUGAGAAAGAACACCUGGAAGCAUUGCUGUUACAAUGGGGUUCUGAAAUUGAUGACUCACGAGAUGUGGUAGGGGAGGAAAAUGUUCUUGACAUGCUACGACCUCAUAAAAAUAUAAAAAUGCUGACAGUCAAAUGCUAUGGUGGCCUAAGAUUUCCUUUAUGGAUUGGAGAUCCUCUGUUCUGUAAUAUGGAGGUCCUUAAAUUAGAAAACUGUGAAAACUGCACGUCUUUGCCUUCACUCGGGUUGUUGGGUUCACUUAAACACCUCACGGUCAAAGGGUUAUCAAGGCUAAGAGUUAUCGGUGCUGAGAUUUAUGAACAAGGUUGCUCAAAGCCUUUUCAAUCAUUAGAGACUCUUCAUUUUGAGAAUAUGCCAGCAUGGGAGUGCUGGGACACUAGUAUCAUUGAAAAUGAGCAUGUUGAAGCAUUUCCUCGCCUCCAUGAACUUUCUGUUGUGGGAUGUUCCAACUUGUCAGGAAAAUUGCCUGAGUUUCUUCCUUCAUUGGAGACUCUUGUUGUUACUAAAUGUCCAGACUUGGUGGUUCGUGUCUCAAGCUUUCCGAAGCUCUGCAGGUUAGAAAUUGAUGAAUGCAAAGGACUGUCAUGCAGCACUCCAAUUGACUCUGAACAGAUGAAGUGUGUGACUAUUUCAAAUAGUUUAUUACAAAUAUAUGGAUGCAAAGGGAUGAUAUACAAUAACUGCCCAUCUGACUCCAGGUUACUACUCAGGUCAACUCAGCCUAUUUCUAGUUUUCUAGAGUUGGGAAAGUUGUUAAAGCAAGGAUUUCAGAAUGUGGAAACUCUGGCAGUUGGUGAUUCCCAAUGGAUUGAGCUAAGGAGGCAUCAUAUGUUUUCUCCAUUUCGGAAGCCAGUGCAAAGACUGAAUAUUCUCACCCACCCAGAUGAGAUAUCAAUCGAUGAAAGUCGCAUGAGUCUUGUUCCAUUUCCGGAGGUACAGUUUCUUCCCAAUAAUCUGCGGUCUCUUGAAAUUGUAAAUAGCAGAGCUCUCAAAUCCUUACCGGAGGAAAUGAUGGGCAACAAUGCACAACUGGAAAGCUUGUACAUUAGCCAUUGUGAUUCACUAACAUUCAUCGCAAGAUGCAAGCUACCUUUAUCACUUGAAAGCCUUGAUAUAUGGUAUUGUCAGAAUUUGCAGCAGUUGGUAGUUGAAGAUGAACUGAAUGCUUGUUCUUCUUCGCCAUCUUUGCUGAAAUACCUUAGGAUUUAUGAAUGUCCUGAGCUCAUCACUAUAUCGUCAGGAAUCAAGUUACUUGAAGCGCUUGAAUACCUCUACAUAAUUGAUUGUCCAAAGCUGGAGUCAGUACCUGAUGGCCUGCACAGUGUCAAUUGUUUACAGAGGCUGUUUUUACACAACUGUCCAAGACUUGCAUCCUUUCCAGUUGGAGGGCUUCCCAGCACAAUUUCAUGUAUUUCAAUUGGUGGUUGUGAGAAACUGCAAGCCUUGCCUGACAACAUGCACAAACUCAACUCUCUUCAAGAACUGGAAAUAAGCGAAUGUCCAAGUAUUGUAUCGUUCCCACCAGAAGGCUUUCCAACCAAUUUAAAAUCACUUAAAGUUGAAGAUGUCAAAAUGUACAAGGCACUGAUUGAGUGGGGGUUGCACAGGCUUAACUCUCUUAGACGCCUCUGGAUUCAUGAAUGCCAUAAUGCCAAGUCCUUUCCAGACGAGGCGAUGCGAAUGAUGUUGCCCAAUUCUUUAACAGAAUUGAUCAUCUGGGGAUCCCCUAGAUUGAAAUACCUUUCUUCAAUGGGUUUUAGUAACCUCACCUGUCUUGAAUAUUUGUGGAUCAGUAACUGUCCAAUGCUCAAAUCCUUUCCACAGUUUGGCCUUCCAUCAUCACUCCUGCAAUUACAUAUUGAUGGCUGUCCAUUGCUGAAAAAGGAUUUCAAAAGGUAUAAAGGAAAAGAAUGGUCUCAAAUAUCUCACAUCCCUCGUGUAGCCAUAGAUGGCAAAUUCAUCUACGACUGAUCAUAGAUACUCCAGAAUGGCAGUUUCAUAAGGUAAUUAAUGCUUUUUGUUAAAUUAUUGUUGGAUUUGCAGAUUGUAGUGAUUCUUUUCAUUUUGUCUUUUCUCGAAGUAAAGGGAUUUUGUAAGGGGAGUUCUGAGGCAGUCACCUCUGCAAACGGUUCAAGGAGCUCCCCGUGAAAGUGAAAGUAUAAUAUACUUUAGCGUUCAUCAAUUGAAAUUUAAAGGCAGUAAUCCAACUGAUGUAAAGGCUUUAUUUCUUGCCUUAAUAUUGUUUUUAAUUUAGUUUUUCUGAUAUGCUGUUUAUUAAUUAUUGCUACGACUGGUGCACUCUUUUCAGUACUAGAGGCUAGAAAUUCGUGUGUUCGUGCUUGAUUUUAAUCAGCAGCAUUCAGUACCUUAUCCAAGCUAUAAAUUUUUGCCAUCAAUAUCCAACAAGGCUUCGGGUAAUAUUUCCAGAAGGUUCAAGUCUUUUUUAUUUCCAAAUGAAUGCUACAGUGCACUGUUCAGUCAUAGUGCUGAACGGGGGACUAUCAUCAAUCUGAUAUUCUUUAUUCAGAAGUAUUGACAAAAUUAAUUAUUGUGAACACCACAGCAACAGAAUGCCUUGUGGUAAUGGAACCUGAAGGCGAAAAGCUGGUUAACAUUCGAGCCAUCAAACUUGCACUCAGCCACACCAACAACUUUCUUGAUUUUCUUCCCUGGAAAAAUUGUGAGGCAUUUUCCUGUCAUGCGAGAAACCCAGAAUCUGACCUCUUGGUGGUUAAGCUUCUUCGGUGGAUUAAUCGAUUUCCAGUCAGCCUCGGCUAAGCUUUCCAGGGAGCUCAAUGAUCUAAGUCUCACCUUCUUAUUUUUGUCCACUGCGAGGUAGCUUUGACCCUCUGAGCACUUGUCCAUGUAGUUGCUAAACCUGUAGUUUAUUGAAAAAUCUGGUUUAGUUUAUGAAUAAACUAGAGCAGAAUCACUGAUAUAUUCUUCUCAAAAAACUAAAAAGAUCAACUCAAAAUUCAUAGCCUUUAAUUAUUGAACAGAUUUUUGAAUCCCAAAACAAUUUUUUUAAUUUAAGAAAUGCAUCCAAAAUUGCUAUUUGAAGAAUAAUGCAGGUCACAUUUACAUUGUUUUUUAUUUCAAUAAAUUGAUCAAUUUAGUUAGAAAUUAAAAAUAUGUGCACAAUGUUGUAACAUUGCAUCUUACCUGUGGUACCCAGAAGUAGAACCAGAAGUGGAUUUCCAGCCAAAAUAAGCAUUAUAUUCCUCAGAUUCACCACCUUUGAUAUCGGGAACCGAGUAAACUCCCCGAUCAUUGGAGUCCACAAAAUCCGACUGCAAGGCACCGGCGAUGAGCGUGUUGUCGAAUGCCGUCAUGUGGGGAUAAGCUUCACUAGCAGGGCACUGUUUUGACUCACAAUUGGAGCACUGGCUGCAAAGCUUGUCACUCUUUAAUUUUGUAGCAUUAGCACCAUCAAAAUUAGUAUGAAAGAUAGACAAGACAAUCAUUAAGUAAAGAGAAACCCUUAAUCUCUCCAUGUUAUUAUCAAUUCGACUAAAUUUUUUUUUUCUUCUCUUUUCCAUGAUUCUUGAAUCUUGAUUGAUUAUAUAUAAUCAUAUAAAUCCUUGGUUUUAUCAACAUUUCUUUGUCUCUUAAUAUGAUGAAAUGAAAUUUAAUUGCGUAACGUUGGCAAACAUAAUAAAAUUAUCAAGGCUAGAACAAGGCUGGAUUUUGUCUUUAGUGGUUAUUUUGUCUUGUGCAAUGGGAUAUUAAAUUAUUAUUAACUAACAACCAAUUAACAGAUGGUAAUUUUAGUCUUAUUAGACAAACGUUCUAUUACUCAUUUUAGCUAACAUAUUUUUUUAUUAUUAUUUAAUUAACCACUACUUAAUCUCCGCUUGGUAUUGAUAUUGGAGAAUUAUAAUUUAAAAAUUACAAUAAUAAAGUAUUUGAUAAAUAUUAACUAUUAUGUCUUAAAAGUUAAAUUGAUUCGAUUUACUACUAGUACGAUGAAAGAACGUAUAACAUUUUUACUGUUUUUGUCAAAAUUAAAAUUUAAGAGUCAUAUUUAUUCAAACUAUUAACGUUUAUUUUAUAACUAUAUUUUUUUAUAGCAAUUGUAGAUAAAAAAAAAAUACAACACUUUAAUACCAACAGCCUUAUUGGCUACUAAAUUUUCUUAUAAUGUUAUAAGUUUUAUUAAUUGAAUUACUUGGCAUCCACGUAUAAAAGAGCUUUUGAAAAGUUGUCAUGAAAGGUUUGCCAAAGUUGGGCGNNNNNNNNNNNNNNNNNNNNNNNNNNNNNNNNNNNNNNNNNNNNNNNNNNNNNNNNNNNNNNNNNNNNNNNNNNNNNNNNNNNNNNNNNNNNNNNNNNNNCCCCCCCCCCCCCCCCCUCUCUUUAGUUUUUAUUUUAAUCAGCAGUACAUUAUUUUGUAAAAAAUAAUUCAAAUUUACCUAAUUAUGACAAUUUUGAAUUUUUAUGCAUUACUUAAAACUUAUAAAGGUUCUAUGAUCUCUAUAAUUUAUCAUCAUCAUUAUUAUUAUUACUCCUUUAUUAUUGUUUGCUUCCCCAUUGAUUUUUAUAAAUGAAAAAUUCAAAAAUCAAUAGAAUUUCUCUGUAGUUAAAUCGUUAUAAACUGGAAUUUGCCGAAUGCGGCUGGUAACAAUAGGGUCAAAUCAUGACAUGAGGCAACAAGAAACUAAGGUAGCAUUUGUUUUUUAUCUGAAAUUUAAAUGCGUCUGAAUUUUUCUAAAGUCUGAAUGGGUCUGAAUAUGAAAAUCUGAAUGGCAUAUUUGUUUUUUUUUUUAAAUAUCUGAAUAUAAGUGGCAUCUUAUUUAUUUUUACAAUUAAAAAAAUCUUAAACUUGGUUAUUUGACAUUUAUAUCCUUGUAAAUUAAAACAAAAAAAGAGGAUUAAAUUUUAUAGUUUAGGAAAUAAGUUAUUUUACAGAGAUAUUUUUUAAUACAAUAUUUACUUGUCAUUCAGAUAAAAGUCACAAAAGUUUACUUUUUUUAUUCAGAUGUAAAUGUCUAAAAAUCAUACAUAAGUUCCAAAAAACAAACAAGCAUAUUUUAGAAAAUGUCUUAAAUUAAUAAAAUUUCAGACUUCAGACAUUUAACAAACAACCUCGCUAUUAAUAUACGUCUAUAAGCACAACAUCAUCAGCAUACAUUGUUAAUCUAGCAUUAAAUUCAUCUUCAUUAAUUAAUCUGCGCCUCACUUUUUUAUUUGUCUUCCAAAUCUGGCCUCGUAAUCCACCUCCAAGAAAUCAUCAAUAAAUAUAUCGAUUUAUUUUAUCAAUCAUCACAAUCAGAAAUAUUGAUACACAUGACAAAGGUAAAUACUUACCUUUUUUAAAAAACAAAAAAGUAUAGUUACACCCUAAAGUUUAGGGAAAUAGUCAUGUAAAUCUCUAAAUUUUUAAAAAGAGACAUCAACACUUUUUUCUUACCAUAAUACCUUUUAAAUAUGGUAACUAAAGAAUUUAGCUUUAAAUUUUUUAAUAAAUUCAACUAAUAUUCAAGUAAUUUUAGAUAUAUAAACUAGUAUAUUUAUUUUAAUAAUAUAUUUGUAUCUAUUAUAGAGAUUUUAAAUAAUUCUUAGAGUUAAAUAGAUUUUACAAUUAAUUAAUAUUUCAUGUAUUAAAAAUGUUACAAUUAUUAUGUUACAUAAUAUUCAAAAUAAUUUAAAUUUCAAUAUUAUGUUUCUAUGUAUUAAAAAAAUUACUUUAAUAUAAUAAAAUAUUACUAAUAGAUUGUAAAAUAUUUUUUAAACAUUGAAAUUAUUUAAAAAUAUAUUUAUUAUUGCAUUGAUUUUAAUAUUUUAUUUUUUUAUUAUAAAAUAUUAGAGUUAUUUUUUCAUGUUAAGAGAGCUAAAUGGUACUAUGAUCAAAAGAGGAUCUUGACGUCCCUUUUGAAAACUUAGGGAUUUUCUUUAUCAUUUUUCAAAACUUGGGGAUGUGGGUAUAUUUUUUUCAAAAAUUGAAAGGAUAAAUAUGUGAUGUUAGUGGAGUUCAUCUAAUUUAUCUGAAUUUCAAAGGGCAGGAAUGAAAUUAUUAACACCUAAAGACACCAAAGAAAUUAUAUUUAACAAAAUUACUAACUAGCUUUUUUUGUUUUGAGGGAAAAAAAAGUUGAAAAUUGAGUGGGAGAUCAUGAAAAAUAUGACACCCAAUUAUAAAAUUGGGCCAAGUAAAAAUUAGUACUUUUUUGGCCGAACUAGAAAAAGAAGGGAUACUUUUCCCUAAUCAUCGUUCAAUCAUGGUCAGUGUAUAAAUUAAUAAGGACAAAGUAAGACAAGACACUUUAGCAGCCUGACUACAAAAAUAUUUGGUAGUGGAAACUUUAGCAAAAAACUACUCUAAAGCAUCUUUUUGCAGCAAUUAAUAAAAGGUUGCAAAGUAAAUAAGAAAACAAAUUAAAGCAAAGCAUAUUAAGGUAUUCUGCAUAGUCUAAAAGUAAAGAUUCGAAUGUUAAAUAAUUAUGUAUUUAAAAAAAUGAAAAUAUUAAGAAUUUAAAUUUUUUAAAUUAAUAAUGAAUGAAUUAAUAGUUAAACAAUAUUAUUAUGAUGAUGAUCUUUGAUGCUUUCGGAGUUUUUUUUUUUUAAUGUUUACUAUUUGUGGUAUGUGCAUGUAUAUCAUCAUAAUUGGUUGAAACAUAUGCGUGGCAAAUUACAUCACUUUAAUAUUAAGGUUAUCAUAUAUAGAUAAUCUAUAAAAAUAAAUAAAUUUUAAUUGUAAAAUAAUUAUUAAUUACAGAGAUUUACAAAAUUAAACUUUUCUAUCAUUUUAUUAAUUAUUAUUAAAAAAUACUAAAAACAAAUUCCUAAUCUUUGGACCCAAGGCGACUAUGUUAUGUACCGAUACUUAAAAAGCCGCCUAGAAAAGUAAACUACUAAAAGUUAUUCCGCUAAAAACUUCAAAGGUAAAGGUUCCAAUUAUCUUAUUUGCAGGAAAGCUUCUUUGAAUUAAUUAAUUGUUGAGUAUUAAAAAAACACCAGUCGGGCAUGUCCCCAUUUCCUACCCGAGGGUAAAUCUCCUCGGAUGAAUGGUAUGAGUAGAUUCAUGGUGAUGUCUUCUUCAUGGAGCACGUAACAACCGACCAAAAAUGAGUACCGACCAAAAACGAGUACCGAUCAGAAAUGAGCACCGAUCAGAAAUGCAUACCGACCAGAGACUCAUGACGUCCCGAGGCUUGUCAUUCAGAAAGAGGGCACGAUCUCGCAACAACGUGACAGUUUCGCCACGCCCCAAACCGCUGGGGAGAACACGACACCCCACGUUUACCCACGUUUGAUUGUUGGAACCCGUUAGAGCUCUUGACCGCCCGAGUAUGAUGAACGUGGGAAAUGUUCUAGGAACAUGGACCGAUUGCCUAUAAAAGCUGGGAAAAUAGAUUGAAGAAGGAGAUACAAAAAAGGAGAGGGAAAACUCUGCCAAAUUGACAUCAAAAUUUAGCUUCAACAAAAGCUUUUAAUACACUUUUCCUUGAUAAUAUUGCUGUGAGUUGGCACGAACUUAAAUUACACAGUUUUCCCGAAAACCCCGCAUACUGACUUAAGCAUCGGAGGGUUUUCGCCGGAAAAACCACCGGUGCCUUUGAUUUGUUUCUGUGAGCGCAUGUCAGGAAUGAAGAAGGAGGAAGAAGGGUGAUUUGAGUCUCAGGGGUUGUUGUAAUUACAAAAGCUAGUUGAGUAUAGUGUUUUUAUAGUUAUCAGUACAACUGUUGGUGAUCUAAUCUGGUCGGGCAAGAGUCGUCCAGAUUUCAGCAUCAACAUUUUGGCGCCAUCUACGAGGAACUAAGUAAAAAGCUACUGUCGGGAGAGUAACCAUUUGUGGAGCAGUGAAAGAGCAGUUAUGGAUGUGACAUGGAGUGGCCCCCUAGGGGGCGAUAAUGAAACCAAUGAGGCAAUCACUCUCCAGGAGAUAGCAAACGAGGUUAGAGAGAAAGUAAUUUAAGAGCGAAUGGAGAGAAUAGAAAAGCAUAUGGAAACCCUUACCACAAUACUGCACGAGAUGAGGAAUGAGCGGAAAAUAAACUAUGACACGGCCGUAACAGGAGAUGAAGCCGCUACGGAGCCCGGUCAUCGAAAGCAUAAGAACAAGGAGGUUCCUUCAUUGGGGGACGGCCUAAAGGGGCACAUGCAUAUAGAGAUGCAAUUCAGACUCUAGGAGAGCUUAGAAAUGAAGAGAGAGACUGAUUACGCAGCGGGCGAAUCCUGGGAAGUGAUAGCCGAGGAGCGAACGCUCAAGAGAAUGAUCUUAAACAACAACUACAUACCAUUGAACAGGAGCACACCAGGUUGCUGCGCGCGAUCUUGGUCGGGCUUUAGAAUUAAAAGGAGAAGUGCGGCGGUUGGCAGAGAUAGUAGACGAAAUGCAGGGUAGGAAAAGACCUCUUAGAUGGAGGAUAAUUUUGGAUGACGAAUCUCCUCUCUCGGUAGAGAUCAUAGAGACAAUAAUACCGAGAGAUUUUCGUUUCCCAGACCUUAAAUAUUCUGAGAGAAGUGACCCGUUGAUGCAUAUUGAACGUUUCAAUAAUAUAAUGGGCAUGCAGGGGUUAACACCAGCAUAGAGGUGUAGGGUAUUCCCAUUGACGUUGGAGGGACGAGCCCGGGAGUGGUAUCGUAAGUUGCCGCGUGGAAGUAUAAGAGGCUAAGAGCAAAUGUUCUAAGAGUUGGCCAAGCAGUUCCACAGAGCAAUAGCCCCAGAGGACGAUAUGAUGGAGUUAAUGGGAAUGAAACAAGAGGAGCACGAAUCUCUUUGAGAUUAUGUGAAGAGAUAUCAUCGGGCCACACUUGACUUGGGGGCUUUCAAUCAUCCUUAAGCAUUGAAAUGGUUAAAAGGAGUGAGGAUAGGUCGAUUGUUGUACAACUUGAGAAACCCCGUUAUUUAACGAGGUAUAAGCAUGCGAAGAGGGAUAUAGAAAUCGAUGAGGAGAAAGCGGCGAGAAUAAAAAAUGAACAGUUAAAGAAGCUAAGGCGAAAAGAGAAGAAAGUACCGAAUAAGAGCGGGUCAGAAAAGCGAACCAAUGAAUCAUCAGUAGGUGGGGGAGCAUCAACUCGGUCUCGUCCCUACCAAAUGGUUCAAAGACCGCAACAGGUCCAGCACGACCGAGCUCAGCAUCAGCGCUCCCCAUUCCCGGAACGGCAGCGAGAAUUUCGGGAGAUGGUUGCCUAUCAUUAUCACAACACUCCAAGGACAUUGAAUGCAGUUAAUCCCAAGGUUGGCCGACCAAACUAGCCACCCAUAAUGCCAGCCCGAGACGAUUUUCACGACAGCCGAGCAGUCCAACUAAUUGACCAAAUCCUGGCAUACAAACAGUACACCCCAUUAAAGAUUUCUAUAGAAGAGUUAUAUGAAAUGAUUAAAGGGCGAGGCCUCUUGUACCCCCUAACCCUGUAACCAAACUUGCUCACAAACGGAAUAGGAUCUGCAAGUUUCACGACACUCAUAGGCACACUAUCGACCAGUGACAUGAUCUGAAAAACCAAGUUGAGAAUCUAGUAAGGAACCAGUAUCUUGAUAAGUAUGUUGAUGGGGCGUUUCCUGUUAUGGAUUCACAAUAUACAUUGGGAGCUGGAACUAAGAGGGAUCUAGAGCGUGAACAACCAACCAUUCGGGUAAUAGCAUGAGGGGCAACACUGGUUGAUGUUUCGAAUAGAGCGAGAAAGAAUUAUGGAAGAUAUGCUCUAACUAGUAAAAAGAUGUUUUUCAACUUGUUGGCAAUCAAGAGGGCAAAUGUGAGGCAACUUCCCAUCAUGUAGACAGAUGAUGAUGAUGAGGGUGUCUUAUACUCCCACGAGGACGCACUAGUAAUCAAGGCGACUGUGACGGGUAAAGAGUUCCAACGGAUACUAGUGGACACAAGUAGCUCGGUCGACAUACUCUUUAAAUCGACCUUGGAUGAAAUGAGAAUUGCAUACCUAAAGUAGGAACGCACGAACACAUCCUUAAAAGGAUUUGGAAGAGGAUGGCCGACUCCCAUGGGGAUCAUUGAGCUACCGAUUACUAUAGGCUCAAAGCCGUUUGAAAAAACAGUGAUGCUGAAUUUUGUUGUUGUAGAAGAAAAAAGCCCCUACCAGAUAAUACUUGGGCGACCAUUUAUGAGGGUAAGCCAAUGCGUCAUAUCCACGCAUUACCUGACGUUGAAGUAUAGAGUGAACGGGGUGGUGGGCGUGGUGAAAGGUGACCAAAUGAUGGCAAUGAGUUGCUAUGCUACAGCUGCCAAAGAGACCUUACAAGUUACUGCGCUUGAUAGCCGAAGGGAUUCCAAGAAGGGUCGCCAGGAGCCAGCUGAGACUCUGGAGGAGGUGGUAGUGAACCAGGAUGAUCCGAGCAUAAUAGUAAAGAUCGGGUCCAGCUUGAGCGAGGCAAUAAAGGACGGGCUGGUAAAGUGCUUAGUCUCAUGCAAACAUAUUUGCUUGGUCGCAUGAAGACAUGCCAGGAAUUGAUCCCGGGAUUGCUUGCCAUAAGUUAGCAAUUAAAAAAGGGGCUAAGCCGGUGAGACAGAAAAGCAGGUGUUUUAACCAAGAGAUGUACGGGGCCAUAAAUGUCGAGGUGAAAAAGUUGUUACGAGUAGGUUUUAUUAGGGAAGCCAGAUAUCCAGAGUGGAUUUCUAAUGUGGUACCGGUAAAGCAGGCAAACGGAAAGUGGAUGAUGUGUGUGGAUUUUACGGACCUCAAUAAGACAUGCCCAAAAGAUGGUUUCCCUUUGCCAAAGAUAGACCAACUGGUUGACUCAACGGCUGAGCACAGCCUGCUCAGUUUUAUAGAUGCAUUUUCUGGAUACUACAUUCAUCACUAACAUGUGUUUGUUCUAUUACAGAGUGAUGUCAUUCGGUUUAAAGAAUGCAGGAGCCACUUACCAGAGAUUGGUAAAUAAAAUCUUUAAACCACUGAUCGAACGCACAAUGAAAGUGUACGUGGAUAACAUGAUCAUAAAGUCCAAGAACUCAACAGAUCAUGUGCAGUAUUUAGAAGAAACCUUUGAGCCACUGAAGAAGUACAAAAUGAAACUAAAUCCCGAGAAGUGCGUAUUUGGGGUUAGCCCAGGUAAGUUCUUGGAAUUCCUGGUGAGUCAUCGAGGAAUAGAGGCCAACCUAGAGAAAAUACGGGCAGUAGUAAAGAUUAAGUCCCCUCGAAUAGUCAAAGAGGUGCAAAGCCUCAUGGGGAAGAUGGCAACAUUGAACCGAUUCAUUUCAAGGGCCACGGAUAAAUGCCACAAUUUCUUCCAAAUUAUGAGGAAAAGAAGAAAAAUAUAGUGGACAGCGAAAUGCGAUAAUGCAUUUAGGCAGCUGAAGGAGUAUCUCGCCCGUGCCCCAUUGUUAUCAACUCCAAGGGAGGGCGACAAGUUAUAAUUGUAUUUGGUUGUCUCCAAGUGGGCUACUAGUUCGGUGUUGGUUAGAAAGAUGAAGGAGAGAAACAUCCAGUGUACUGCACUAGUAAAGCCUUGGUGGACACAGAGGCUAGGUAUCUCGCGAUGGAGAAAUGGGCACUGGCCUUGGUAACAACUGCGCGUAAGCUCAUACCAUAAUUCCAAACGCACCCAAUAAUUGUAAUGACUUAUCAACCUUUUCGACAAACACUCCUAAAACCAGACACAUCUAGUUGCUUAGUUAAAUGGUCAGUGGAGCUGAGCGAGUUUGACAUAACCUACCGACACCAAGGAGCCAUCAAAGCACAAGCCCUGGUCGACUUUAUGACGGACUAUACAGAGCCUGGUGAAGAGGUUCACGAGGAUCAACCAACUGAAAAAGAAAAGCCACGAGGGGUAUGGUUAAUAAUGGUUUAUGGGUCACGUAGUAAGCAAGGAUCGGGAGCAGAGGUGGUGAUACGGAGUCCAGAGGGGACCGAGGUCUCUUACACAGUGAAGUUUGAGUUUCAGCUCAUGAAUAAUCAGGCAGAGUACGAAGCCUUCAUUACUGGGCUUAGGCUAGCGCAUGCAUUACAAGUAAAAAGGGGCGAGAUCUGAGCAGAUUCUCAGUUUGUCUGUAAUCAAUUUAAUGAGUAUUUUCAGGCAAAAUGAGAGAAUAUGAAGCUUUAUUUGAAGAAGACAAAGCAGAUGAUUGGGAUAUUUCGAGAGGUUAAAAUAAAGCAAAUAGCAAGGACAGAAAACUAUUGAGCAAAUAUGCUAGCCAGAAUUGCUGCAACUGCAGAUCCGAAGUUGCCCAAUCAAUCCCACUGGAAGUGAGAACUUCGUCAAGCAUUGGGGUAGAAGCAGAAGUAAUGGGGGUGGAUGAUGGAAUAUUGUUAGGUCCCAGUCAGAUGCAGCUAACGAUUACAAGUAGUGCUAGUGAUAUUAUUUCUGCUUGUGGUGAGAAAUAACCAAUUAAUUGCAGUUUGAAAUCUCAAUGCCUUUAUUCAUAUUCUGGAGCUUAUUUAUAAUCACAAGACCUUGAUUUUCAACCUACAAUCACGGCUGAAAUCAAUAAAAGCAAAUAUUAAAAUAACGACUUAGCUAAUAUUUCGUAAAAGAUAAUCAAAAGCAACUUGAUAAGGUUAUCCCAAAAGCAACUUGAUAAGGUCAUCCCAAAAUCACGGCUCCAGUACUCAUCUUUACAAUUUCCACACGUGAAACUGCACAUGCAUGUGUCAUGCAUGGCUUGCAUGGUUUCCACACGUGAAACUGCACAUGCAUGUGUCAUGCAUGGCUUGCAUGGGAAUCAACUUAUGCUCUCACAUAAAAUACUUAUGGUUUGGCUUUGGCAUUCUUCCAGAUCUUCGUGGCUCAUGCACUUGCUUUUUAUCAUUGCCUCCGCCACGAAGAAUACCCUUGUCCUCAAGGGUCGGAUGAGGGAAUUGCUGGCACAACAUUGUGGCAUCCUCCCAUGUUGCGUCUUUAGCCGGUAUUUUUUCCAGCAAACUAGAUUCUGCUCGAUCACUUUACCUCCUCUCUUCACCCAACGUGUGUCAAGGAUAGCUUCAGGGUUCAUGAUCACCGAGCCUUCAUCAUCUACAGGUGGUAAAUCGACACUGUUACUAAGGAAAUCACCCAUGGCUUUCUUAAGCAAAGAGACGUGAAACACCGGGUGAAUUCGAGCAUUCUCUGGUAAUUGCAGUUCGUAGGCUACGGCUCCUACUUUGCGAAGAACUAAAUACGGCCCAAAGUACCUGCAAGCUAAUUUAUAAUGUGCCCUUCUGAACACUGAAGUCUGCCGAUAGGGCUGCAACUUUAAUAACACCAUAUCUCCCUGUUUGAACUCAACGUCGCGGCGACCCUUGUCAGCUAUUUGCUUCAUCCUGUUAGCUGCUGCGGCUAAGUUUUUCUUUAAUUGUAAGAGCAGUUCAUCAGGCGAAUGUAGGGCUUGAUCAACCUCAUGCACCGGUGAGGAACCAAGUUGAUACAUGGGCACGGCUGGAGGUGGUCUUCUAUACAAAGCUUGGAAUGGAGUCAUUCCGAUGGAGACGUGGAAUGUGGUGUUGUACCAAAAUUCUGCCCACGACAAAAAAGAAUGCCACUUUCUCGGCCAUUGGUGAACAAAACAUCUCAAGUACUGUUCCAAGCAUCGAUUAGUUACCUCCGUUUGGCCGUCGGUUUGCGGGUGGUACGCCGGGCUCAUUUUGAGUUUGGUGCCGAAUAAAUUGAAGAACUCUUGCCAAAAUCUGUUGAUGAAUAUAGGUCUCGGUCGCUAAUGAUUGAUUUGGGCAUGUCGUGCAGCUUCACUACUCCCUCAAUAAAUUUUUCUGCCACUGUUUUUGCUAAGUAAGGAUGAGAAAGAGCUAUAAAAUGUGCUGAUUUACUCAAUCGAUCUACCACCACCAAAAUAGCAUUCUUCCCUUGUGAGCAAGGUAAAGCUUCCAUAAAGUCUAGUGUAAUAUCAUCCCACACCUGACACGGGAUUGGCAGAGGCUGGAGAAGUCUUGCCGGCUUGAGCGUUUCUGCCUUUGUUUGUUGACAAGUUGCACAUUUACUCACGUAUUCACGCAUAGUUUAGAACAUGGAUGGCCAGUAGAACUGUUGUGAUAAACGUUUGAAUGUGCGAAGAAUUCCAGAGUGACCUCAUUGAAGCUUCAUCAAAUGUGACAUCUCUGCUAUACACAAAUUUUUUGCCUUCGAGAUCCCAAAGCUUGAAGCCCUUUACUCCACUUUUGAAUCCCACAAAGAUAGCUUUUCUAAAACGAAUAUCCAGUUUACCAUCUUUGACAUGAUAAUAAGCUAGAUACCCGAAUAUACGAAGGGAAUCAUAGUCUUGUGUAUGCUUUCCAGACCACAUUUCCAUAGGAGCUUUACCUCCAAUUGUAGCAGAAGGCAACCGGUUUACCAAAUCACUUACGUAGCUCACAGCUUCAGCCCAAAAUUUUUAUCUAAACCAGCAUUAGAUAACAUACACCGUACCUUCUCCAGUAAAGUACGAUUCAUACGCUCAGCCACACCGUUCUGUUGCGUAGUAUAUCUCACCGUGAAAUGUCUUUUAAUACCCUCGUUCUGGCAUACUUGCAAGAAUGGAUCAGAAGUAUAUUCACCCCCAUUAUCAAAUCGUAAUACUUUGAUCUUUUUGCCAGUUUGAGUCUCCACCAAUUUCUUUCAUUUCACGAAAAUCUCUAGAACCUCAUCCUUUACUCGUAGGGUGUACACCCACAUACGUCUAGAGAAAUCAUCAAUAAAAGUAACAAAAUAAUGGCUUCCACUAAUUGAUGCAGUCUUGGUUGUUCCUCAUAUAUCACUAUGAACAUAUUCAAGGAUCUCACGAGUAUCGUGAUUAGCUGUACCAAACUUGACCAUUGUUUUCUUGCCUACUACAUAAUGCUCACAGAAAUUUAAUUUACAGGUUUUGGUACUUUUUAAGAGUCCAUGCCUCAUCAGAGUUUGCAAAGACUUCUCUCCAGCAUGUCCCAAUCGUACAUGUCAUAGCUUGAUGGUGUCACUGUGCGCCUCAACAAUAUUUGCUUCAUCAGUUGAACCUCCCUUUAAAUAGUACAGAUUGUGACGCCGAACCCCUUGCAGAAUCACCAUAGCUCUAUGUGUAAACUUCAUUAUACCAUCUUCAAUGGUAACCUUGUAGCCUUUAGCUUCCAAAGCACCCACAGAAAUUAGAUUUUUCUUUAAAGCUUGAACAAAUCUAACCUCUUUGAGUUCUCUGACCAUUCCAUCAAACAUUUUGAGCCGAAUUGUUCCUAUCCCCAUUGUGCGACAAGGUUGAUCAUUCCCUAUUACAACUACACUGGAUUUCAGAUUACGAAAAUCCGUAAACCAUUCCUUAAUAGGACAAAUGAUAGGUUGCUCCAGUAUCAAGUAUCCACUCACUCAAACUAGCCACAUAUGCUGCAGGAGUAAUACUUAGUGAAUAAUCAGAGCCCUCAUCUUUCCGUGCCAUGUUUGCUGCUGGUGUUUUUUUCACAUCUCUCUUUUGAGCCUUUGGACAGUCUUUCCUCCAAUGGCCCUUUUCAUGACAAAAGGCACACUCGUCUCGAGCUAUAUUUCUGCUUCUCGAUUUGGAUCAAUAAUUCUUUCCACCACGCUUCUUCUGUUUCUCCAUCGCCCAAUCUCUGCUCACCAAAGCUUCAGACGAUGCUCGUUCAGAAUUUUUAUCAUUAUUCCGAAUCUCCAAGUUAGUCAAUGCUGUGCAAACAUCUUUGAAAACGAUCACACUCUUCCCAUAUAUCAAGGUAGUCACAAAAUGACUAUAUUCCUCUAGUAGUGAAUGUAAUAGAAUCAUAGCCUUAACUUCAUCCUUAAUAUCUUCAUCAAGAUUCUUCAAAUCAGCAAGUAACUUUUCAAAUCUUGAGACAUGAUCGUGCAUUGACACCCCAGACUUCAUUCGAAAGCCAUAUACUUGGCUCAUUGCAUGAAGGCAAUUUUCAGGACUUUUUAGCAGGUACUUCUCCUCCAAUGUACGCCACAAAGUCACCGCACACUCCUCAUCUUUCACCAAGUAUUUCACCUCCUUGGUUAAACAAGAUCUGAUCUGACCACAAGCUUUCUCGUUCAUACGAUCCCAAAUUUCUUCAUCAUACAAGUGUCUUUUAUUUUUCAGAACAACAUCGAGAUCAAUUUGAAUAAGGGCACCUAUAACUUCGCGCCUCCACAUGCCGAAGUUGAUUUUCCCAUCAAACUUUUCAAUAUCGAUCUUUUGACCUCCUAUAACAGGUGCUGAAUAGCGAUUUGACAAAUCUCGCCUCCCACCUGAAGUGUCUCCUGAAAUGGUCUCGGUAGAUCUCUCCCCAAUUCUUGAAGUUUCACCUUCUACCAUUUUCUCAAUGAAUUAUUUCCACUUGAAAAACAGUCUCUAUGAUGUUAAUUUCGUGUGAAUAAAUGCACCAGAAAAGUUCUUAGGAGACUGGACGGGAACUCGGUCCCAAUUAAAAACCAGAAUCCUUAAACUCUUAUCGCCUUUGUUGACAGAACUUUCCUAGACAUGCAAAAAUACACACUACUUACAAUAGACUGUCUCCCCAAGUACAAAUGGUCGUCUCCACUGUAUUCGUGAACAAUACCGUAUACGUGAACAAUUCCGUAUCCCCCAAGUACGAACCGUCAGCUCUGAUACCACUUGUUGUGCGCGGAAUGCGGAAUCAAGCGCACCAAAUAAUUACUGAAAAAUAAAGGACACAAAAUUUACAUGGUUCGGUAAUUAAACCUACAUCCACGAAGGUAAGAAAGAAUAUUUGUUUAAUUUACAAUUAAUAAAGUACAAAUAUUUGAGUAAAGAAAACUUACUUUCUCAUAACCCAAAUAUACCCAGUACUCUCACACUCUACAGGAAAGAUAAAUUCCCCAUACACACUUCUCUCACUUCUCUCAAAAGCUUAGAAACUUAUAAGCUUAACAAUUUUGGGAUGCUAAACAAAUGAAGAAUGCUUAGUUAUGUAUAGGGAAAAUGUUGGCACUAUUCAUGAAACAAAUAUCAAGAAAAAACCGCGUUCAAAACGCGUUUAAAACGCGUUCAAACCGUGUGCAAAAAGUCCACACGGUUUUGACUUGACUUUUCAACAAAUAGUAAGAUAAUAGUGGCUACACGCAAUUCACAUGUUGCAUCAACAAUGGGACCGAUUCAACACUAUAAUCUAAAGGCUCUAUCAAAUGAAGAUUGCUGGUCUGUAUUCCUGAUGCGCAUGUAAUGAUAGGGAUAUUGUUGAACAUCCAAUUUCAGAAUUAUUUCGCGAGAAAGUUGUUGCAAAGUGCGGAGGUUUACCUUUAGCAGCGGCGACUCUUGGCGGCCUUUUACGCUUCAGGAGACUAGAUGCAUGGGAUGCAUUAUUGAACAGCAAUAUAUUGGCUGAUUUACCUCAACAAAGCGACAUUCACCCUGUGUUAAGAUUGAGUUAUCAUUAUCUGCCUUUUCAUUUGAAGAGAUGCUUCGCUUAUUGUGCAAUUUUUCCAAAGGAUUAUGAAUUCACGGAGAGGGAAGUGGUUUUGUUGUGGAUGGCUGAAGGCAUUAUUCAACAAUCAAGAAAGGAUAAGGAGUUGGAAGAUUGGGGCAGCGAGUGUUUUCAUGAUCUAGUGUCACGGUCAAUUUUUCAACCGUCAAGUAGUGACAGCUCUAAAUUUGUGAUGCAUAACCUUGUCCGUGAUCUUGCUCAACUGAUUUCUAGACAAAUCAUUUUCAACUUAGAUGAGGCCAAUAGGUCAUCAAGAAGAUUGGAAAGGGUUCGCCAUUCUUCGCACUCCCGGGGUUGGUUUGAGGGUAAAGAUAAGUUUGAGUUCCUUUAUGAGGUGAAACAUCUGCGAACAUUCUUGCCUAUUUACGCGAGAGGUGGUGCUGACUAUAGGUUUAUAAGAGCUGCAGUUCCAUAUUAUUUGCUGCCAAAGUUAAGAAAGUUGAGGGUGCUAUCUUUGCAACAUUACUAUGUCACUGAAUUACCUAAUUCAAUUGCAGAUUUGAGACUUUUAAGGUGCCUCAACCUUGCUGGCACUGCUAUCGAAAGUUUACCCGAGUCAACAAGCUCAAUGUUGAAUUUAGAAAUUUUGAUAUUAAAAGACUGUACAAGUCUAAGAAAGUUGCCAACCAAAAUGAGAAAAUUGAUUAAUUUACGUCAUCUUGACAUAGAAGGUGCAAAUUUACUUACAGAGAUGCCUUGGGGAAUGAAGGAGCUGAAGAAUCUCAGGAAGUUGUCUAAUUUUAUUGUGGGAGACUGUGGUUCUAGGUUGAAAGAUUUGAAGAAUUUGAAGUUUCUUCGUGGAGAACUUUGCAUCUCAGGAUUACAUAAUGUGCAUGAUUCACAGGAUGCAAGAGAAGCCAUGUUAUGCGAGAAGCAGAAUCUAAAAGCAUUAUCGUUGCAAUGGGGUACUCAAUAUCAAAAAGAUUUUAAUAAGCGGAUGAUGAGCUCCUAUUCGUCGCUAUUCAUGUCUCAAAUUGUCAUAUCAAGAGCUGAAGAAGUAGAAGAAAAUGUUCUUGACAUGCUGCAACCUCAAAAAGAUUUAAAAGAGCUGACAAUUAGUCGUUAUGGUGGUGUAAGAUUUCCAUCCUGGGGAUGGAGGUGGUUUAAAUUCGAAAAUUGUGAAAAUUGCACAUCUUUGCCGGCGCUUGGGUUGUUGAGUUCACUUAAACAUCUUGUUGUUAAAGGGUUGAAGAAAUUGAAAAGCAUUGGUGCUGAGUUUUAUGGAGUGAGUGGCUCAAAUCCUUUUCAAUCACUGGUGACUCUCUGCUUCGAGGAUUUGCCGGAAUGGGAGUAUUGGGACACCAAACUCGAAAAAAAUGGCGCUGUUGCAGGAUUCUCUAGCCUUUGUGAACUUUCCAUUGUAGAAUGUCCCAAAUUCAGUGGAAAAUUGCCGGAGCAUCUGCCUUCAUUGGAGAAACUUCUUGUUAGUAAAUGUGGAGAGUUGGUAGUUUCAUUCUCAAGUCUUCCGAAGCUCUGCAAAUUAGAAGUUGAGGGAUGCAAAGGACUUGAGUGCGGCAAUCCGAUUGACUUAAAGUCGAUCGAGUCAAUGACUAUUUCAAAUAACUCUUUACAAAUAAAUGGAUGCAAAGGGAUCACAUCUAAUGAUUGUCCAGUUGCUGAGUCUAAAUCUCCACCAAACUCGGUAACUGUUAUUUCAAAUCUUUUGGAGUUUGGAAAAUUUUUAAACCAAGGAUUUCAGCUAGUAGAGGCUUUGUGGAUUGGCGAUUCUCAACAGAUCAAGUCAUUGGGGGACUGUCCACAACAACAAUUUCGGAAGCCAGAACAAGGGCUGCAUGUUAUCACCUUCCCUGAAGCAGUAUCUAUUGAAGAAAGUUGCGAGAGUCUGGUUUUAUUUCCAGAUAUCAAAUUUUUUCACAAUAAUCUGCGAUCUCUUAAAAUUGGAAAGGCCAGAGCUUUGAAAUCCUUGGCUAUGAUGGGCAACAGUUCACAACUGGAAAGCUUAGUUAUCAGCAAUUGUGAUCCUCUAACAUUCGUUGCAAGUCGCAAGCUACCUUCAUCUCUUAAAAGGCUUGAGAUAGAGAAUUGUAUGAACUUGCAGCAUUUAGUGGAUAGUGAAGAGGAUUCUUUUACUUCUUCAUCGUCUUCUUCAUCAGUGGCGUUGAAACACCUCAGUAUAAAGCUUUGCCCUGAGCUCAUCAGUUUAUCCUCAGGAAUCCAGUUACUUGAGGCCCUUGAAGAACUCCAAGUAAGCGGAUGUCAAAAGCUGGAGACUAUACCCGAUAGCCUGCACAAUUUAAAGAGCCUUUGUAUAGACGGGUGUCCAAGUCUUGUUUCCUUGGGAGAAAGAAGGCUUCCCGAAAGCAUUUCAAGCGUCGAAAUUCGCAGAUGUGAGAAGCUUGGAGCCCUGCCCAGUGACAUGCACAAACUCAACUCUCUUCAAGAUUUAGACAUAAGGGAAUGUCCGUGCAUUGUAUCGUUUCCAGAAGAAGCUUUUCCCACCAAUCUAACAUCACUUGCUAUUGGAGGAGAUAUGAAAAUGUUGUAUAAGGGGCUCGUUCAAUGGGGGUUGCACAGGCUUACCUCUCUUAUAUGGCUCUUGAUUGAACGAUGUGAUGAAUCAGAGUGUUUUCCAGACGGGAUGAUGGGAAUGACAUUGCCCACCUCUCUAGUUCACUUGAACAUUGUGGAAAUCCAAAAAUUGAAAAACCUAUCUUCUUCUUCAUUGGGUUUCAAAGCCUCACUUCUCUUCGACGUUUGUCGAUACAGGAUUGCCCAAAUCUGACCUCAUUUCCAAACGUUGGCCUUCCAUCCUCGCUUUUGGACUUAUCCAUAUUCAAUUGCCCAAAUCUCACCUCAUUGCCAAAGGUUGGCCUUCCAUCCUCCCUUUUGGAGUUAACCAUAUUCGAUUGCCCAAAGCUAAGAAAAGAGUGCAAAAGGGAUAAAGGAAAAGAGUGGUCCAAGAUUGCCAACAUCCCCAUGUUUUUAAUAGACGAUACAGAUUCAGAGAAGGAGUAGAGACUCCUGUAUAACAACAAAACAAGGUCAGUAGAUUCCUACAAUCCACUUCAACAUUCUCUUUUCACUCUCCACGUUGUUUAAUGAAUCCUCUUCAUGCCUUGGUUAAAUUCAAUUUAAAAUGCUUCUUUGCCACUUUCUAUUUCAUUUUCACAUAUCAUCCAAUGUAGAGUGGUGGUUUGUAAAGAAAAUUAUAUAGUAGUACCUUUACGCUCUACUGUGCUCAAAAUUAUAAAUUUUACAUAUGCUUUUUGUUUUUUAAAUUUAUUUUGUUUAUGUUAAUUAUUUUAAGAAAUUUUGUAGCUUAGUCAAAUUAAUAUUGUUCCUAAUUGCAGAUUGAUAUGACUGCUUGGAAAGGCACCCCUUCAGUUCUUACUCAUUACAGAGUUAUGAAACCAGACAAGCCAGCCGGAAAGGAUGACUUAUCUUGAAGUAGCUCCAGAACCCACCCGUUGGCAGAUAUGUUUGUAAGUAGCUCAAGCAGUAAAGAACUAAAGCUUAAUCUAAAACUAAGACUCUUACCUGUAUUAGAAUUACAAUAUAAAUAAUAAUUAUUUACAUCAUAAAACCACGUAAUUCCCAUGAAUUUGGAAAGAGAUAGCAUACAAACAGAAUUUAAUUAAGAUUAAGAAGAACAAAAAUAAUGCUACCAAACCAGCAUGCAUAAUAUGUACUACUGUCGCUUUCAAUUGCAAUUUAAAAAAAGGAGAAAACACCAAUUUAACAAAAUUUGAUGGCAAUUUGCAGAGGGAAUAGGGAGAAGAAUAAGAGGAGCUUCGGCAUUUGAGACCAUCAAAGCUGUGCUGACAAAGCUGAAACUACUAGUUUGUGAAAGGAGUUUUGAGGAUCGCAAUUCAAGUGCUUUCGAAAUUGAGACAAAUCUGGUGGGAAUAUAUACUGAUUAAGAAUUUGUAAAGCCAAUGCCUCAAAAUGAUGCAGAGCAACAGAUACUGAUGUUUGUUGUUUGACUUCCAACAGCUCAGUGCAAGAGAAAAGGAGAAGACUUUCAUGCAAUGAAAAUAAUCGUGGAAAAGGGAUAUUGCAGAUAGAAAUCUUUCAAUUUAGGAUUUUUUUAAAGUCUGAAAAAAUUAUUAAACCGUAUGGUUUAGUAGUACAAUAUCAUAAUACUAUUGAACCACACGGCUUAACAACUUUCUCUGACUUUAAUAAAGUUCAGGAUCUUAAACCAGAGCGGGGCUAUAUUGCAGAAGCAUCUAAAGAGAGAGUUAACAAAACUAAGCAAACUGGGAGGUGCACUUCCUUCCAAGCCUUCUGUGAAGAUGGCUGGUGAAUCAAAUUGAUUCUCCAGAAACGACAUCGUUUGAGGCUUAAGAAGCUUUAUGAAGUCACGUGCUGCUCAUUUGCUUAUAACAGAAAACAGAUUUUACAAAACGACGUGCAAAACAUGCGUUUUGGGUCAGCAGCUUAAGUAACCACGUGAGGAAGCAUGCGUUGGAGCUUGGUUUCAGUUAGUUAAGUUUGUUAACCACGUGUCAACAAACUGUACAGUCUGGAAAUAAGCCUGCUAUUAAAACACAGUAUAAAGGCUGGUUUUCGAUUGCCAUCUGGAAAAUGAUUGUAGAAAAAGAUUUGAGAGAGAGAAAGUGUCAUAUUGUACUCUGUAAAAUCUUGUAUAAGGUUCUGAAACUGUCUCCACAGCUGAAUCAAUAAAAGCUCAUCUAAAGGCUUCUCCUGUGUAUGUUUGUUUGGUUUAUGUUCUUUACUAUUUCUUGAUCGAUUCUUGUAGUUGCGUAGGUUGUGAUUUGAUCUGUUCAGUCUUGUAUUUUUGCAACUUCAAUUAGUUUUGGUCAAAGAGAUCUUGGGAGUGAUCAGUUUUGUUUAGAACCAAGAACAAACUGAUUACUACACCUUCCUUGUUCACCACACAGUUCCUGUGAGUACUUCCAAUUGAUGUUGACGCAAAACAUUCCCUUACUGUAAUUAAAGAUUGCAAUUUUGAAGCAAUGUAAUGGCUUCUUGAUGUAAACCUUUAAACUGAUAGGACAUACACAGUAGGGUUACUGGAUGUUGUACCAACUCCAAAAUUCAAGGAGAACUUUGCUUCCCGUACAGCGCCAAGAGCUGUUCUGCACUGAUUCAAUCAGCAAAAAUGACAAGGCAAAUUACACCAUCAAGCUCGACUUCGAGAGUACUCAGAUCAGUUACCCAUUUCUUCAACUGUGAAUAUCAUGAUUGUGGCUAGCAGUGAAGACGGGGGAUGUCCCUGGAAAAUCUUGAGAAAAAAAAUGCAGACAUGAUACACAACACUUGAUCUAACUUCUGGCCAUUGCUUUACAAGCAUGUUUGUUUAUGCAAAGCUUCAGAAGUUAAAGACUACUUACGCUGCGGCGCCGCUUCAUGGAUGCUGUUUGAAUUCCAGUAGCAAAUGAGAACUUUAGCACCAUCAUCCGGUUUAGAUGACACCAUGACAUUGAUGAACUCACUGUUGUCAUCAACUUCGAAAUGCUGCAAAUGCUAUGAUGGCAGACAAAUAACUGUUGUAAUUGCUAAUUCAUCUUGUAUUAACAAUAUUUGCUAGUGAUUGAUUCGUAGCAUCUUUCUAAGAAAGAAAAUUUACUUGAAACAAGUUGAUGAAGAAAUAAGUUUCAUUUAUUUAUGUUAGUUAAUCACAUUCGUUAACUCAUGUUAUGCUUAUACAAUUUGUUGAUGCCCAAAUCUGAUCUAGUCUAUUAGCGACUUAAUAUCAGACUUCUACCCCAGCAUUAGAUUUAUUUGGUAGAGAAUCGAUUGGUCAAUCGUCUAGAUAUCCUGCAACCACUGGUGAUUAACCUGCGAAUACCUGAAAUCAUAGAAGACAGUCAGAGGCGCCGGAAGUUUUUCCGGCGUGAACCCUCCGACGCUCAAGUCAGUUUCUGGGCCUUUGCCAAAAAACUUGUGCCACCACUCAUAUGGCUUAAUAAACAUUGCCUUAAAAACCAAAAGUUUUUUGAGUCCUUUGCAGAAAAAAUGAAAUAGAGUGUAAAAGAAAGGAUUUUCCCUGAGAGGAAGAGGGCAAAAAAAAAAAACCCCCCAGUAGGAGAGAGAAAAAAGAAAUAAAUAAUCCCCCCUAGCUAACUCCCCACUCCCCUCUUUCCCCCCUUGUUCUCUCCCACUUUCGGAAGUUAAGGAUGAGGUAAAAGUAAUGCCCCCACUCUCCUUUUUUUCCUCUUUUUUUCUGUUACCAAACACCAGUCCCCUAGUUUCUAGUGUUGAGAGUUUUAACGAAUCAAGACUGGAAACUAUAUAAAUUUUAAAGUGACCUCGAGGUGGUUGCCAUAAAUCGGCCCGGGAUUGCUAAAAUUAACCUUGACAUUAACAAAAAAGUUUCAAGUUUUAAACUUUUACAUGCCUUUAAAUAUACCAUUUUCCUACUCACAUAAUCAUGUAAAGCAGGUUUCAUAAGUUCAUGUAUUUAUCUCACUUGAAGUAGGUUUUAAGACUUAGUCAUUUAUCUGCUUUAGAACAUUUUUCGCUCAUAUAACUCUUGCUCGCGUAAUCCUAGUCGGGCAAGAGCAGGCAAACUUUGACUUCGUCUCACAGCGAGGAGGUUUGGAGACUAUAAGCCUUUUACGUGUAGUACCUUUUUCUUUUUUUUCUGCUCGCCUUCACAUGGUCGAGCAAAUUCUGGCAAGCUUGACUUCUUGUCUCACCAUCCAGCAGGCUUUAAGACUUUGAAGCCUUUUGCGUGCCUUAGAAACUUUCUUGGGAUUUUUUAUCUAUGCUCGCCUUCACAUGGUCCAGCAGAUUUUGGCGAGCUUGGCUUCCUGUCUCGCCAUCGAGGAGGAUUUGAGACUUGUGGAGCCUUUACUUGCCUUAGAAACUUUUUUUUUUUAAAUUCUCAUUGUCUGCUCGCCUUCACAUGGUCGAGCAGAUUCUGGCGAGCUUGGCUUCCUGUCUCGCCAUCGAGGAGGAUUUGAGACUUGUGGAGCCUUUACUUGCCUUAGAAACUUUUUUUUUUUAAAUUCUCAUUGUCUGCUCACCUUCACAUGGUCGAGCAGAUUCUGGCGAGCUUGGCUUCCUGUCUCGUCAUCGAGGAGGCUUUGAGACUUUGGAGCUUUUGCGUGCCUUAGAAGAUUUUUGGUGGUCUGCCCGCCUUCGCUUGGUCGAGCAAAUCCUGGCAUGCUUGGCUCCCUGUCUCGCCAUAAAACAAACUUUGAAACUUUGGAGCCUUUUCGUGCCUUAGAAGAUUUUUGGAACUUUUGCGGUCUGCUCGCCUUCGCUUGGUCGAGCAGAUCCUGGCAUGCUUAGCUUCCUGUCUCGCCAUAAAACAGGCUUUAGACUUUGGAGCCUUUGAAUGCCUUAUCAGUAAACUUUGAUUGGUUUCUCAACGCUAACCUAGCUCUCCUUUCUUAAAUCAUUCUCAUAUUGAGUAACUUUCAAGAAAUCAAGUUAACUAAGUUAUACCGUCAGCCCUAAUAUGAGCACAAUCAAUUUAAUGAAUAUAAGGUAUCCUCAUCUCACAUAGCAGGAUUUAGAGAAAUAAUUGAUUUUUCAUAGAAAAAACUGGUUGUACAUAUAACUUCUAACAUGUUUUGAUUCCUACAAACGUGUGACUUCAAUGUGCUCUUAUUUGAGGUUUUUGCUUUAAAUCCCUAAAUAUGGAUAACCAUCAAAAAUUUAAUUUCUGACGUGUAACGUAUAACUUGUCCAGAAAAUAGCUCACAUUUACAACUUGUGCUUUAGCUAUUUAUAUAUGUUUGGGCCUUUGAUGGACAAACAUCCUUGGUGUUUUUAUUACCAUCUAUAAUAUUUGGUUAGCAAUAUUAUUAAAGACCUUUGCUAAAGGUGCAAAGCACCAUUUACUAACACUAUAGAUAUUGAAAUUUAUAUAUAAAAUAAACCAUAUUAUAUAAAAUAUGUAAUCAACAAAUAAAUGGUAAUAUAAAAGUUUAAGCAAAGUCAUAUCAUUGUAUCAAGGAAAUACGAUCUCAUGCUAACCCAAGUUCCAUCAAUCCUUCGGUCAAGCAUGUUGUGUGCUAAUAUAUGACUAUGCUAUAUAUUCUAUAAUAUGUAAUCUUAACUAUUUUCUAUUAACGACUUAAUAAGUAAAAACCCCAUCCAUCAGAUUUUUGAAGUCAGGUAGCGGAUUUAAAGGAUAAAUAUAAAACUGAGGUUUUAGAACAAGUGCACCUGAGAUUGCGCUCUGCAUUAUUUCAUUGGUACUUCAUCAAACAAAUCCCGAGCUUGACUCUGCUUUGCUCCCUUCUUAGAAUUAUUCUGGAUUUUAGUCCUUGGCUCUUGCGCAAUGUUCUAUUGAGCGUCACUCCCUGUAAUUUCAGUUGCAGCCUUUGUUUUCCAGUCCAAUUAAUCUCACCAUCUUGAUUGUUCCUCUGUAGAGUCUUAAGCUUGCUCUUUACAAUUUGAGGCUGCGAUUUAUUUAUUUUUUAUUCUGUCAGUCAUUUUGUCGAACACUUACUGUGCGUGAUCUCGUAUCACCACUUUUAAUAAAUAUCAUCUGAAACCUGUUUCUGAAAUUACAAACUCACAUAUCUCUGCAUCCAAUUAGUAAUUAAAUCUCGCUCGAAAUGAUUAAACCCAUCAAAAUGCAUGCUGAAACCGUGGCAUAAUCCGAUUGGGAAAGUGGUUAAAAUCUUAAUAUCGAAACUUGUAUGCGUGCAAGACUUUAAUGGUAAGCACAUGAUCAGCAGUUGACUAUAAACCAACAAGCAUGUGGCCACUAGUUUGUGAUAUGAUUUCAUAUAUUCAGUAUAUGUAUUUUUUAAAUCUAUCCUCUAUAAUCAAUUUCUCAUGCUCAUGAAAGCCAAAUCACAAUUGAUCAUUUGAUGCAAUAUAUCAUGCGCACAAACAAAUAAAUUGAAAGUAAUUGCAGUAAUUUAAUUGGAAAUACAAGUGGAGAUGAAUAUGUGACAGAUUUUACCGAUCUGAAGCUUCUAAAUGCCAACAUUGGGUUAGUUUUUUACCGAUUCGCUUCGCUUCUUUCACGUGAGUUCAGAAAUAAAAGACAGGUUGCUUCAAUUCACACAUGAUAAUAUUUUGCCUUCGCUUUGGCUAGAUGAAAGUUGAUAGAGAUAACAAAUUGGCUUCUUGUAUCAAUCCCCACAGACGACGCCAAAUGUUGAUGCCCAAAUCUGAUCUAGUCUAUUAGGGAUUUAAUAUCAGACUUCUACCCCAACAUUAGAUUUAUUUGGUAGAAAAUCGAUUGGUCAAUCAUCUAGAUAUCCUGCAACCACUGGCGAUUAACCUGCGAAUACCUGAAAUCAUAGAAGACAGUCAGAGGCGCCGGAAGUUUUUUCGGCGUGAACCCUCCGACGCUCUAGUCAGUUUCUGGGCCUUUGCCAAAAAACUUGUGCCACCACUCAUAUGGCUUAAUAAACAUUGCCUUAAAAACCAAAAGUUUUUUGAGUCCUUUGCAGAAAAAUGAAAUAGAAUGUAAAAGAAAGGAUUUUCCCUGAGAGGAAGAGAGCCAAAAAAAAAAAAACCCCCCAGCAGGAGAGAGAAAAAAAUAAAUAAAUAAUCCCCCCUAGCUAACUCCCCACUCCCCUCUUUCCCCCCUUGUUCUCUCCCAUUUUCGGAAGUUAAGGAUGAGGUAAAAGUAAUGCCCCCACUCUCCUUUUUUUCCUCCUUUUUUCCGUUACCAAACACAAUUUUUUUUGUGCCGUCCGCAUAAAAGAUCUUGUUAAACUACCGUUAUUAUAAUUUACAGCACAUCCAAAUUAGGAGGUAAUCCCAACCUCUUGGCCCCUAGCCCAUCCCAUUAACUAAAUCCGACUGUAAAUGAAAGUUUUGAGUUUAGGUCCCCCUCUCCUUUCAUGCCAAACACUAAAAAGAUGUUUGUUGGGCUUGACAAUGCAAAGAAUAUGAAGUAUAUACUGAGAGAAAAGAAAUUUGGAAACUCUACAGAAGAGCUGAAGAGGGGACCAAUUGAUAAAACAGAAACCACUUGUAAUUCUAUCUACAUGUCACUUUCGGCUUUCCAAAACAGUUGUCGAAGCACAAAAACAAAACAAUGUUGAAAAAAAUUCUCCUCUUCUAAAUUGAGUUAAGAACUUCAAAUUAAUUCACACCACAACCCUUAUUCUCACCAAUCAGUCAGAGAAACACACGCAGAUUUAAGAAUUGGUUUAUUCUGAAAGCAUAUGCCUUUGUUUUCAACAAUAAUAUUCCAAAGCAUAUGCUUUUUUCCCCCCAACCCUUUUAUUUAUUUGCUCAUCUAGGCUUCUCAUAUUUUUCUUUCUUCUAGAGUUUUCAAUUUGCUCUGUUAAUUAUUAGCGAUGAUCAUAACCUUUAUUUUUUUAUUUUUUUUUUGUGCAGCUUUGAAUUUGCUUGUUGAUUGUCAUCUAAUCAUUUUCUUUUUCAUCCUAGAAUUUGAAUGAUUAUAUGGUUAGAUGACCAUCAACAAACAUGUUCAUGGUAUUGCAUGGAUUGAUUUUUUUUUGCUUUUGCUUCGGGGUUUAAGCUCCUUUUAAUCUUAUUUUAUUCCUCUCUUCUAAUUUUUUUUUUUUUUAAAGAAAUGAAAAAUCCAAUCCCUAUGAAUUAACAGUCUUCAAAUUGUUUUGCUUUUGUCUUGUUUUAUUGUUUUUUUUUUCUUUUUUAAUGAUAAUAUUAAUUAAAUAUUCCCUUUAAUUAAAGAUUCUCUGUUCACGCGCACUUAUACAGUUGUUUUUGCACCUGUAAAUCCCCCAUGAUGCUCCUUAAGAGCAAAAUAUUUCUAUUGAGUAUUUUACAACUUCUGAAUUCAUCUUUCAUGAAUAAUAAUCGCUAUUGAUUCACAGAAUCUUUAUAAGAAAGAAAAUUUACAUAAAGCAAUUUUCUUUUUCAUUAAAGUAAGUGAUUUUUAUUCACUAGACCUUUAAAUAUUUGUAGCAAUAUUUUGAGUUUUUUUCUUUUUUUUAAAUAUCUGCAUAUUUGUUAAAAAGAAAAUCAGAUCAAUAAUUUUACAUGCAAAGAAUAUUUUGAAAGACCAAAUUUAUUCAAUUUUCUAUGCCGUAAAAAUAAAAAUUAUUUUUUAUAUUUUAGCUGAUUUAAGAAGACCAUAAGAUAUUUAUUUUUUUAAGGUGAACAGACCUUGACCCUUAAGUUUGCUUAAAUGGUGACACUUAUCCUUUUUUACUAUUAUGUUCUUUAAUUAUAUAUAACUAAAUAACUGAAUUAAAAAAAUUUUGAGAAAAAGAGUGAAAUCCCUUGGUGUUUGAUAAAACUAAUUGAAACUCCCCUGGUGUUUUAAGACACAUCUAAAACCCUUUGAGUGUUAAUUUUUUGCUGAUCUUGCUAUUUCACCCUUGAUGAUUCUUUGAUAUUGAGAAUAUGAAUACCUUUAAUUAUUUAAUUAAUUGAAUAAUUUUUUAAUUAAAAUUGGAGAAAAAAAAACUAGGGGAUUGUCAUAAUUUUUAAUUGAUUCUGAAUUUUUUUUCGGAAUUUAUUAAAAAUUAAAUGCAAAAUUAAUAUACAUACAUGUAUAAAUACUAUUUUUUGGAGAAUAAAUUAUAUAUAUAUAUUGUUUCAAAUACCCUUAACUUAUUAUUCUCCAAAAAAAAUAACUGUAUAUUUAUUUUGCAUGAAAUUUUUGAAUUAAUUCUAAAAAAAUUAUAUUAAUUGAAAAUUAUGACAAUCUCCUUUCUUUUUUAAUAAUUUUUCAAUUAAUUAUGGUUAUAAAAAUUAUUCCACUAAUUAAUUAAUUAAUUAAAGUAUUCAUAUUCGCAACAUUAUACAAUCACCAAGGUUAAAAUGGUAAGCUCAAUAAAAAGGUUGACACUUAUAGGGGUUUGAAUUUGUUUUAAAACAUCAGAGGAGUUUCUAUUAGUUUAGUUAAACAAUAGGAGAGUUUCUCUCCUUUUCCCCAUAAAUUUAAUGGACAAACUUAGUUAUGCAAAAUAACUACUAUUAGUAGCACCGCAUUUUUAUUCUUGAAAAUAUGCUUAAAUAUAAUACAUAAUGAAGGCAGAAAUUAGGCUCCUUUUGGAGAAGUAUGUGUACAAAUACAAUAAAAACCUGAUAAAUUAAUAUCUGAGAAAUUAAAAUGUCAAUAAAAUAAUAGGUCUUGUCAAUCUCGACUUUGGGUUAAUAUGUUAAAUUAUAAAUCGAUUAAUUAAUAUUCACUCAAUUUUAAAAAAAAAAAUCAUGAUCCUAACACUAUAUUAUUUUGUCGAAUUUUUUUUGUAACUAGUAUGCUAUAUAUAAUACAUAGACAUUUUUCGCUUUUGUGCAACUAGAAAACUAGGUUACUUUAGCAUAUUGUUCAUGACAGACGUUGGGAAAAAGGGCCAUACAGUGAAAAUUUUGUAAAUUAAUCAUGUUGGAACCAUACAAAAUCAAUUAAUUUUAAAAGGUAUUAAUUAAUUGAUAAUUAAUUAAUCAAUUUAUUAAUUUAGAGAGUGUAUAUACAAUUCAAUGAACAUACAUUUAAUCAAUUAAUAAUUCAUUAUAUUUUACCAAUCUGAUUAGUUAAAAAUGAAAUAAUCCACCAAAUAUAAAUUUUUUUUUUCAAUUUUAGAAUUCAACUCUAGAAUUUCUAUAAGAAAUAAGCAAAUUUAGAAUGAGAUCCAACUAUAUCUAAAUUUCAAGGAAAAAGGUGACUAUAGAGACAUAUCUUGUCUAAUAAAAUAUUACAAAAAAAUGUUUUUAAUUUUAAAAUAUUAUUAAUUUAUAAAAUGAAUGGGACCAUACAGUUAUUAUAAAAGCAAAAAAAUUGUGGGAUGAACAGUUGAAGUGGCUUUAUUUCCUUGUAUCUUUUUAAUAUCUAGAAGGUUGAGGCUCCUUUUUAUUUGCUAUUCUUAUUUGUCAAUAGGUUGAAUAUAUUGGUUAAUUAAUUAAUUAAUUGAUGUAACAGUUUCUGACCAAAAAAACAAAAAUUCUUUUUUCAUUUUCUAUUCGUUUCUCUUAUUUUCUAAUUACAUUACAUUGUGUGCAGUUCGGCUCAUCAAUUUUUUAACUUAAAAAGAAAAUCAAUACAAUUGCUAAAACAAUAACAUCCAAAAUUCCAAAUAGGGUAGGCAAAACGCGGGUCCUGGGUCUGGGUACUGCAAUACCUGACCGAGUUUUUAAUCUGAGUUUUUACUCUGAUUUUAUUUUUUUAAUAUUAAAUAUGUGUACUUUUUUAAUUUCUUUUAUAAUUUUAUAAUUUUUAUAUUAAUUUCAAUGAAAUUAGACAUGAAAAUAUUAACUUUAAAUGAUUAAAACUUUACAUAUAUGUAAUAGAUUAGUCAAAUAGAUAUAAUUAUUUAAAAUAGCAUAUAUUUUAUAAUUUUUUUUAUAAAAUCCUGGUUUAUCAAGUGAUACUCAGGACCGAUCCGUCUUCAUAAAUGGGCAGUGUAUUAUCCGGCACACAUCACCUGAAUCCGAUCCGGAUCCAAACCGGACAAGUAUUUUUGACACCUCUACAUCAAAAUUGGGCCUCCGUACAAAAUUAAUUAAAAUCACUGGAAGAACUUCUUUUUUACUUUUAACUCCAUGGUAAUUUUAAUGACUAAUUUUAUGAGAGAAAAAAAAUGCUGGCUAAUAUGGUUGUCAAUUUUAUGCUUGGUGGAUUAAUUUUUCUCCGAACAAAUUACACAAAAAAAAAAUCUCUUGAAAUGAUGCACUUGGUCUUAUUAAACUACUACACAUUAAAUGACAGCUCGCUGCCUUGCUGGGAGAACAAGAAUAAAGUGAACCAUUUCAACAAUUUUUUUUUUAAUCACUAAAAUGAAGUUAAUCAAAUAAAUUAAGUGUCUUUUGCCCAAAUUAUGUUUCAGAUCCACAAUAUAUAUAUAUAUAUAUAUAUAUAUGAAGAACAAAAUUGGGAACCUACUGAACUACUGAAGAUUCCAUUUGCAUGCUUUUAUUAUUUGAUAGGCCCGCUUGACUGCAAGCUGCCCAAAAUUGACGUAAUAAUGCAAGCUUUUGAUACAAAUUCAAAGAAGCUAGCUGUAAAAUAAUUGUAUUCACAUAUAAUAUAAUAGGCUACCUUAGUAGCCUCGAUUAAUUACAACAACUUUUGGAAAUCAAAGAAUUAAUCAAAAACAACAUUAUCAAAAUAGAUCAUAUAUAUGUCUUAACUCUCGACUAACCUAAAGCAAAGUCAAAACAUGAAAAAGAAUACGGAAUCUUAUGAGGACACUAUUUUUUCACUAGUAAUUAUUAACCAAAUUAUUCAGCUUGCACCUGUUACACAUGAGAACAUUCUGUGACUCCUAAACCUCACCAGUUGCUUUGCCCUUGGAGGAGGAGAACCACCGCCACCGCCACCACCAAAACCACCACCAUUCGCCACUGAGUACCCGGCAUAAAAGUCUCCGACGGACUUAUGCCGCCGGUGGCCGUGUCCCGGCUCCAUUUUCUCACCUGAACGUGUCACAUACAUGGAAUUUUGAUGAGCAAUAAUAUUACUAUUGAAGUCUGCUGCGUUGUAACUUUGAGCUGCCCCCGACGAAAGACACUCGUAUUGCCGGCGAGUUUUGUUCUUCUUGAUUGCUUUGAACACCAUUGGAAUUAAUCCGUCCAUGAGACUUGAAUUUUCCUCUCUGAUGAAGAAAAAUAAACAGAAGAAUCUAAGUAUUUGAAGGAGAAGAGAAAUGGAAGCAGUCUUAUUGAUUCAUUGGGUUUGGUAGUCUUAUGAGAAUGACAUAUACUUUCCACAGCUUUAAAGUCUACAACACGUCAUGCUGUUUUGUCGACCUUACUAGAGAAAUAAAUCAAAGUUUCACAUUGUACAGCUAAGAUAUAAUGACACAAAGGGCCCUAGUACUUCUAGGUUUUGUUAUUGAGAUCCUUAAUUAAUUACUAUGUAUUUUCUUACUACUGUUGAUCUAGUCGAAAAUUCUAGACUUACUAAAGUUUGGAAAAGAUACAGUCAUAUAUUUUAACAAUAUAAAAUUAUUAUACCACUAAACCAUAUACCUUAAUAAUUAUUCUAGACUUUAAUAAAGUCCAGUAUCUUGGAGUGAAAUAUUUUUUUUUAUUUUUAUACUUAUCUCUCAUUAACAUAUUACUGUAUGUUAAAAGAUAAAUAUGACUUUUUACGAUGCAAAAUAUUUCAUACCUCAUGAAAAAAUACAUGAAAAUUAGACUGAAAACAAAAGUGUAAUAGUAAAAGAACUCAAAAUUGAGUUUUCUAUAUUAAUAAGAUUUUGAGGACAUAAUUGUUAUUAUGUCCAUACAUUACAGCUUCUAUAAUCCUUUUUUUUUAUUUUCAGGAGCAGAUGUGUAGCUUGUGUAAAUCGGUUGAUUAGGACAAUAGUGACAUAGGGGCCCAAAAGUGAUCACAUUCUUCGUUUGUAUACGCAGAAGCAAACAUUUUCCUAGAAGAUCAACAAUUCAAAAAAGAAUAAAAUGAUAAAUAAUAAUUAACCCCUCAGAAUAAACUCCAUUAUUUUUUUUUAUAGCCUCUAGCACAUAAAACCUUAUCAGUAAUCUACAUCAGCAACCAAACCUUAAAACUUUUGCAGAGUACUCCUAUAUAUGUGAAAUUUAUAUAUGUAUAAAAUGAUACUUAAAUUUGAGGCUAAAUAAUACUGUCGAAUAUUUAAGUAGUGUAAAAUUUUAGCUUAACGGGAAGACGAUUUUACCUUAAAUACAAUAGAAUAUUUAAAAUACAAUAAAUAUUAUGUAAAUUUAAAAAUUAUAUUUUAAAAUGUACAAAUAUCCACGCUAAAAAGUGUUGCGAAUUUUAUAAAUAUUAAUAUUGAUUACAAAACUAUAUUGUGUUAAAUGUUUUACACGCAAAGGAUCGGAGAGUAUGAAUUAGAUUAGAUUAAAGGAGCAUAUCUUCAAAUUUGCAUUGACUUGGUCCUUGUUGGGCAUAUGUCAACUCAUUUGUCAGGUCAACGAAUCAUAUCUCUUCUUUUAAUAAACUUUCUAGUCUUUGUUUGUUAAUUAAUAAUCAAUCCUAUGGGAAAUAUUGUUGGUUUCUUUCCUUAUGAAGUCCAAGUUGAAACUUAAUUGGUUUGAACAAGGAGAAACCAGGGAAUUUGUAUGUUUCAUUUUACUGAGGUUGAACGCAGCCCUCAAAAUGAAUUCUAAAAAUUUAGCAGCUAAUAUUUACUUGUGGAAUAAAAUUUCCCAAAGCAGUCAUAUCUAGCAGCCAAUGUUUCACUUUUGGUCAUAAUUUUUUUUUUUAGUUACGAUUCUAUUUGCAGCACUAAGCAAUUAUGAGAUUGUAGAUUGAAGCUUUCAUGUUAAAUUUGAAGCACUUAAAUGUAUUAUAUUCACUGCCUUGUAUCUUUUGCUCAGAUGAAGCUCAAGAAGAAAAUCCUAGCCCUAGAAUUAAAAUCUUUCACGUCAGAACUUAAAACGUGUAACAAUAAUACCCCACUACGUGCCUUCAUUAUACAUGUUCUUUUGCUUUAUUUAAUUAAAAAAAAAAAUGAGCUGCUAGAAUUCAAGUUGCUUUGUACCUGGAAUUUAACUAUAUUAAAACAUUAGUCUCCAUCGUGUAGUAACAAAGACGGCCGACUAAAUUAGGUGCUUAAUGCACCAACUAUUUUCAAUACAGUUCAUUUCGAACAAAGCUGGCAUUUUUCAUAUUUGACUAGAAUACACAAAUUUCAAUCAAGUGUGCGUCCUAACGUCUCUUGUUUUUUAAUCAUUUUGGAAGGCUGUAUCUGAGGUAUAACAAUUGAAUUAGAAGGACCACAAAUCGAUUCUGACCAUCUGCUCAUACGACAAAGCCAAUGCAUCAAAGUCUCCAAGAAUAUUUUACUAUAAGCUAUUCAUAGCUCACAGUAGAUUAUGAAAUUGAUGUGUUUGAAAAUUCUUAGUUCCUGAUAUCAACCUCUAAAACAUAUCGAUUUGGAAAAUCCGCAGUUGUUUUAAAGACGUUGUUUUGAAAGAGAGAAGACCUAUUCAUAUUACUCGUAUAAUACAUAUAUAAAUUGAUUAAAAAAAAAGAAAGAAAACCUGUCUGAACCCUACAUAGAUAGCUCUAUCAAGCGGACUUGAAUGUGUGAGAAGGAAAGCGACAUACCCCUCAAGCAAAUAAUGAAUGGUUUUGAGAUAUGGACGUUUACAGUUUAAAAAAUGUUACAACCACACCAGAUGUCAGACCUUCAGUACAUGGAUUUUUUCCAAAUUGUUUCAACAUUAUAAAUGCCUUCAUAUAAAUGCCUUCCACGAGAAAGUUAACUAUUACUUGUAGUGUCAAUCUAAGAUACAAAAGUGACGGGGCAACUACUCAAAUCAAGAUAAUGUUAAUGAAACUCAAUUGCCAAGCCAAAGUUGCAUACAUUUGAUAGGUGCAAAUGUUGCAGCAUCCAUUGGCCAAGCAUCAUCAUCAUUGGCCUAUCACUGUGACAGCAUCCAAUCGAAAAGAUGUAUAUAUCAGCUCUUUCCUUGUCCAAUACUUUAACAUAGUUCAUACUAGCACUUAAUCCUGGAUUAUAAUCUCAUCUAAACGGAAGUUCAACACAUUAUCAUGUGUUUAUCCAAAGUACUCCCAAAUAAUUCUUUGAUCUCAAAAACACUUUUUGGCCACUUAUACUAAUCAAUAUGAAAGUAACAUGUUAGAUAUCCUGAACUGUCUAACAACAGAACUUAUGGUACAAAAAUACUUCCAAGCACACUUCAGAGGUCUCGUCACAUGAGUGGCAACAUCAUGAUUCUUUCAUAAGUUUGAUCUCUCAUUUCCAUGUUCUACGAAUUCCAUCCUAGUUUAAGCUAUGCCAAGUAACUGUCGUUUCUGGCCCGACUUUUUUUUUUUUUUCUGUUGUUCUGAUACAUUUUCUUCAAAAAAUAGUUUCCCAGCCUAUGUCCCAUAUCGAAGAACUUCUCAAAGGUCUAUACCAUGUUUUAACAAUAUGUCCGAGUCCUUGGACACCAGCCUAACUCUAGAUGACUAUGCAAGCUCAAUAUGGAAACCAUGUCAAUUAGCCUAAACUGUGUCACUAGCAAUUUUGUUCUUUCAAGAAUACCAUAACAUGUGCUCAAAGAAAAAAGGAUAUUUUGUUACCGCAUAUUUGUUAUCUCCAUGACUACCACUUCCUUUAAAUUAGAGUCAAAAUGCAGAAUUUUUCGGUUCCAUUUUCAUAUUCUCUUGGUCUGUGAUAAAUCAAAAUCUAGAACCGUCAUAAUAUGUGAAUGCCUAAAAUUGCCAUGAAUGGAGAUGCAGCAAGACUUUCCCAGGAAAAAAAGAAAAAAAAAAAAGCCCAAAAUUUGGUGCUUAUUAAUAGCCAAGUAACUCUUAUCAAUGGCAUAAGUCAAAAUGGUAUAAGCAUAAAAUAUUUGAGCCCUGUCUCUUCCAGAGACCAGCAAAGCUUAUCAAGCAAUUCCAGAGCAUCAGUGAAAGCUUUUCACAAUUUUCCACUGUAAAGCUGAAUAAAUUUCAGAAAGUAUUCACAAUGUAUGAAAAAAGAAAAUAUCUUAAACGAAUUGUGAGCCAAUAAAAGCGCAAUUGAAAAUACAACUAAUCGAACAAGGUGAAUACAUGGUGGCAUUUAAGUGAUGAUUCGACAUCACCACCAAGAAUAACCAUUUCAGGUUUAAAGUUAGCUACAAGUGCUUUAAUGUUUUGAAGGAGUAAAGGAAAAUGGAGAGAGAAAAUCAUACUUGAAACAAGUGGUUCUUAUAGCAUAGAGUCCAAUCUGAAUCCCCUGAAGCUGCCAAGCCACCACCAUCAGUGCUUAUUGACUCUGCACAUGAACAUGUAAUUUGAGAAGGAACUCUUUCUUCACCUUUUCCUUUAACUCCAGUUUUGGUAUCUACAUCUUCAGUUGACCCAAAAUCAUUUUUCAGAAUCUCAUAGUUCCGCUCAUCAGCAUUGACAUCAGGAUUCUGACAGGGUUUUAACAGGUCAUUGGCACAACCACCAACAUCUUCCUCUUCAUCUGAUAAGUAUCUGCAACUAUCAAACUCAUCCAUCUCGAAAAUCCGACUCAUCAGCCCUUCCCUCCAUGAUAUCCUCAUCUGGGAUUGUGAAACAUACCCUAAAGUGGAAGUAGACGUCCAAGAAUCUCGGUCAUCUAAAACUUUCUGAUAUUGGGAAAGAUCAACAGAGUUGGAAGGCGUCAUCACACAAUCAAACUGAAAACUUGAACUGGUAGGAUCCCAUAUCGAUUCAUACCCCUUGGAAGACAGACUUGCCAUGGGAAUACAUUCAGUGAGCAAAUCACUCUCAGAAUUAAAUUGAUGAUUUUGACAAGCUUCUGUUUUUAACCAUGACAAGCCAGCAGGUCUAUCUGGGCUUGAGUCAGAUUGUGGGGUUUGAAUAACAUUUCCACUUCCAAAUGUAUCCACGGAGAAUGGAGAAUUUUCUGCAUUAAAAUCAUAACGACCCUUCUUCUCAUCUUCCAAAUCAGCAGCCUUGCAAAUAGGAAUACAGUUGGGCGAAGAUGAAAUAACCAAAUUUUCAUGAAAAGUAUCCGAAAUUCCUUGAAAUUCAGGAACUCCACAAGGAGAACAUAAAGAAUUACUCCCCCUCCUAGUAAUAAUAGAUACCCUCCUAUUACUGUUUUUAUUACACAAAUCCAAACUAAUCUCAUCGUUGAAUAAACUAGAAGAAGGUGAAUGAAUCUGAAAUUUACGUGAUCCAUUUUCAGUAUUUUCCUUUUGCUCGUCAUCCUCCUCACUACAAGGAGACAAAAGCCAAUGCAUGCAAGCCUCAGCAGGUAAAGGCACAAUAGAGACCCUUCUAGAGUUAUCAACAACUCCAACAAUAUUUUCUUUAUUAUUCCCUUCACGUUCUUCAAAACUAUCAGCAGCCUUGGCAGAACCAAAGUCUAGCAUAUUGUUAUCACCUACAGUCAGUAACCCUCUAGGCCUACAUUUCCUCUUGUCAGUAAUCCCAGACACAACAUGGCCAGCACCAUAACAAGCAGGCGUCCUACUUGUUGCUGUUACAGAUAGGCCAGACUGUGCAUGUAACUCUGGAGACACUGAGGCCUGAAUAGGAGGGGUUCUAUUUCUGCUACCACUGCCAUUUGACAACUUCUCAACAUCCACAACAUCAUCACCAACAAUAACCUUUUUGUCUAUUGCACAAUCUAAGCCUGACUCAGUUGCUAUCUUACUCAAAGGAGUCAAAUCCACAACAUUACCAUCACAAAACCUAACGUCAGGCCCAGAAGUCACUUUAUUUAUGGGACUGCCACCGGUAUCCAAAAUCGAAGAAAUUUUACACUUUGAUACAUUUCUCGAACUGGAUUUCUUCCCAGAUUGCAACUGGUACAAAAAAGUACUAUCUUUCUUUACUUUCUCCCCUUUCCCCAAACUGGGUUUCUGUAAAAUGCUGCGUCUCGAUGGUUUUGACAGAUUGGGAGCAGAUUUUGGGGUAGUUUUAGCUAAAGUUUUGAUCUUUACGGGCCUAUCAAUUAAAGGGGUUUUCGAAUUCGAAGAAGAAGAGUGAGAAAGAAAGAACCUGAGACAACCCUUUGGAGCUUCAAUGCUGCUGGUGCUGCAACUAUUGUUGUUGCCGCUGCUGUUAUUGAUAAUGGUGGUGUUGAGAUUUUGCAAAGGGUUUCUAGAACAUUGCUGCUGCUUCUUUGUUCUUUGUUCAAUCUUUUUUGAGCAGUUUCUGUUUAGGGAUUUUGUUGAUUUUAAAGAUGAUGAUGAUGAUUUUGAAGGUGGGUUCAUUUCGUGAUCGUGAAGCACUGAAAGGACAGUGCUACAAAAAUGAGAUCUACUUGACAGUUGCUUGUAACGGGAAGUGAUUUUGAUUUGAAAAUCGAUGGGAGGGACUAGGGAGAAAGGUUGAAUUUCUUCAAUUACUGAUUUGCCCUUGUUUUGGUCUUUAAUUACUGAUUUGCCAUUAUACUUUUGACUGAAUUUGGGAAUUAUUGGGCUGCAGCCUGCAAGUGCGCCUUUUGGGCCUGAACGGACCCACCAAAAAAUUUAGCACUUGGGCUUUGGCCUUUGAGUUUGAGGAAAUCUCUCAAACUGAUACUAAUAAUUCAAUAAACAAAGUUAGCAUCUGUUCAUUAGGUAUCUCAUCCCAUGCCAAACCGAGCUUCACUAGCACAGAGCCCCAUAAUGUACUAAAAACUCAACUCUUGAAGAGUAGAAAUUUAACUGAACAUCCCAAACAAAACAGGAAUUUAGCUCAACAUACCUCAGUACACUUGUUGAUUAACAAAUACCAUCAAGACCAAAAUACAUAUCUAUUUAUACUAACUCAAAAAAUAUUGAAGUUUCAUAAUGUAUGAUGUAUGCUGUACAUAGGUAAUGUUAUUGCUAGUGUAUUAACAUUCAAAUCAACAAAAAUUGGAGCUUAAAAAUCACAAGAACCUACUGUGAGUUUAACACCCCGAGGCAACUUAGCUUUUAGCAUGUUGGUACUAUUUUUAAGUGUUGUUCUCUUCCUAGAACCGGAAGGUUUAAUAAUCAUCUUUUCAAGCAUAGUUGCAUUUUCGAAUACGUAAAAUGCAAGUUCAAAAUCAAUUUCACGCCCAUUAAACCCUUGUAAUUCCACCAGCUUGAGGUGUUGAUGAGAGUGUUUAGAAAUCUGAUGUCGUUUUUUUCCAAUCCUUCGGCCAUUAUUCCAUAUCUGCAACAACAAAAAGGAUAUAUAUAUAUAUGAUCAUUCUUGUUAGAGAUAACAGAUAAUAUGUAAAACUCGAACAUUUGCCUACAAGUAGUGAAACUAGUUGGUUUCAAAAGUAUAUGGCGCAAAACCAUUACAAUAUCCAAUGAACCUUUGCGAACUUCCUCCAGUAAGGCAAUAAACAAACUACUAUUUCAUUAAAGCAAAUAAGCAUAUUUCUCAGCAUAGAAUAGGAGAAAAAGGGAAAAACGAAAUUUGCUUUAUCAAUAACAGAGUAAGACACGGAGGCAUAAGCUCUAGCUUAGAUAAGAUGUGAAUAUGAUCAAAAACACAAUCUGAAAUCUUUAUUCCGCAUCAUCAUUAGAACUCAAAACCUCUACUAGACAUGUAAAUCUAUAUUAAACCAGUCCAUACUUGAAUGUAUUUCAAUUUACUACAGUUGCUUCAACAUUAAAACUCUUAUAGUAAGUUGAAGUUUUUGUGUACAUCUACUGUAAUCAUCAUGCUUCUGCAGUAUCAGUUGAGAGAGCUUGAAAAUACUCACCAAAUGACAUCUUGUUGAAGGGAAUUAUCUUGUAAAAGAUGUGAUAUUCUUGUAAAAUGUUAAUUAACAUCGUAAUAUGAAACAAUAUUCACAAAAUAUCACUAUAAAUAUAGUGGCCAUCAAACAUUCAAGUGUUGAAGGUUACUUUUCACCAUAAAGGUAUUAACUGACAAAGAAUAGAGAGUUACAUCUGUAAUUAGACCAGUUGUAUAUGAGAUCAUCUGAUCGAAAAAUCCAAAAUUACACAAAACAUUACCGAUGAGAUUUACAAUGCCCACCCGCCCCAUAAAAUCUAAACCAGCCGAUCUAUAAUCCUGAAAGCCCCUCAAAGUAUUAUGAGUAAGGUUACUAACCAGAUGCUUUCCACAUGCUUAGUACAGGAAAAGGAAAAAUAUGAGGAUGCUCAUACAUUUAUAAUAUCAACAAGCUUCAACUAGUAUAAUGACAAUCUCAAACUUCUCAACUUGUAUGUAAUCUACUAAAAUAUUUACCUGAAGCACAAGCUUUUCCAGAAAGGGACAUGCCUUCAUUAUGAAUGACAAGCCAAGUAGUGUUUCCUGAUUAGCUGCUGUAAAACUUAUGUUUAAGUUCAUUAGUUUGGGAAAUUCACGCUGUGAGAAUUGCGCGAAUACCUGAAAAAUAGAACGAACAUAAGAGAACGGACUUAAAAAGUAAGUAGAAACAAACAUACCCACUAAAUACUGACCUCAUUGCAGCCGUCCAACUCAAGGGUCUUCAAUUGAGGUAAAUAACUUACAAUCGAUCCAAUACAGUGCAUUUUUUGAACCAUGGGUGUCACAUGGAACACUACAUCAACAAGUUGAGGAAGACUCCCAACAUGUAAAUUGAUAUCUUGUCCAAUAUAUUUAAAAGAUAACAGAUUCGGAGCAGAAAUUUCAAUUUCCUUAAUCGAGUAGCAAAACUGAAUGUCGAGGCACUUCAAUGGGAUUGAUGAACCAACAACCUUCAGGCUUAAUAGAUCCGGACUUUGGGUGAUGCGUAAGUUUUCCAAGAGUGGACAAUUAUGAAUAAAAAACUCAACAACUUCUCCGGUGACAUUUACAGCACAAAGGGUGAGGGAUCUUAGAGACUUAAUACCAGAUAAACCACAACCGCUUUGAAGAUUCUUAUAACACUCUUGUGGAAUUUCAUAAUAGUUGUCAUAUGUUCCUGGCGACAAAUCCAACUCAAAGUUCCGAACAUUUUUUGCUAUUGCUGUGCUGACCCAAUUAGUAAUAUUACAUUUAUGUUUAGCAUCGAGACGAAAACAUAUUCGAAACUGAUUGAUACGUGAACCCCUGUGCAAUUCCAAAACUUUAUUAACCCAGCUAAUGUACUUAGACUGUUUAUAAUCUGGUGGGAAUGACAUAUAUUUUACUUUUUUAUCAAAGUCAAGAGAAGUAGUAAAAGUCCACAAAUAUUUCCAUCUGCUUGAAAGAACACUAGUCCUCGCAGCUUCCUUAAGAGUCAAGCCAGAUAUAAUAUGGAUGAGAAUAUCAUCUGGGAAUCGACUAAACCAAUCCUCCAAAUUUUCCUUCUGCUUAAUAUCAUAAAUAAAUGAAACCCAUUCAAUCUCAUUGUUUCAAACCCCGAAAACAAAAAAUUAAAAUUAAAAUUAAAAUUUAAAAAAAAAAACCAGCAACAAUAACCCACAACGACAUUAUAAAAUUAAGGGAAAAAAAAAUUACCUUCUCUGGAGCAUCUUCAGAGAUAUGGCGCGCUUUCUUCGUCAUCAACUCGGCAUGUAAACGCUUCAACGGAAUUCGAUUUUGCUGUAAGCGUGGCUUUUGGCUCGGUUCUGAGGACUGCUACUUAAGUUAUAUACUGUAAAUUAGGGUAAUAACAUCUAUGUACUCAAAGUUUUAAUUUUUUUUCUUUUUGCAAGUAAGGACAUAAUUCGCCCAUUGUGCGUUAAAAAAAAAAAAAGGCCAUUAACUUCUUUUGAAUUGAUAACAUUAUCCUUUUGAUAUUUAAAUUUAAAUAUGUAACCUUUUGUUUUAAUAUUACAUUAGAAUGCACAAUAAAAAUAUUGACAAAUCUACCUAUUCUAUAAAUCAUACCUUAAAGCUCAUUCCGACGUCGGCAUAUAAUAAUUGAAAUUAAUCUCAAACUAUCAAUCUCGGAGAUGAGAUGAGAACAUACUUCAUCAAUUUAUCAAUCUCAGGGAUGACACGAUUAUUAAAUAAGUUGGGUUCGGAUUGACUCGAUUUUUUUUCGUAUUGGGUUAGGGUUAAAGUUCUUGACAUAUUUAUUCGAACAACGACAAGAUUAUAUUUUUAUUUUAAAUUAAUUUUUAAGUUCUUAUUAUUAAAAUUCAAGUAUUAGACAUAAUUCACUCUUUUUUAUUUUUUUUUGGAAGACAAACAUAUACACAAUGUUCUAUUUAUAAAAUUGUAUAUAAAUUUAGAAUUUUAAUAGUAUAGAUAUAUAAAAUAUUAAUACAUAUGUAUAUGUUAUCAUAUCGAUACAUAAUAUUAUUUACAUAUAUAUAAUUUAAACUUUAAAUAGUGUAAAUGUGUAAUAGUUUAGGAUGUGUGUGUAACAUUUGUUAAAUAUAUAAAUAUUAAACAGAUUAUUAGGUAAUCAGUUUAUUUUCCAUGUCAGUUUUGGGUCUCAAUAUUUUGACACAAUUAUUAAAUGAAUCGUGUUUGAGUCUACUUAAAUUUGACACAACAUAAACACGAUCCUAUGACCUAUUUUACUAGCUCUACUUCAAGAAGACUUCUCUUACAUGAAUUCAAUCUGUUAUGGGUCUUAAUUUAAAAUUAGGAACAAGAUUAAUUCAUAAUAAAAUAGAAAUAGCUCUUGUUUUUACAUGGAAUGGCUAUGCUAUUAUUAUAUGACCAAAAUAAAUUCCGAAUGGCUAUGCUAUUAUUAUAUGACCAAAAUAAAUUCCAGCUUCCAUAAUUUCCUCCGGAUGGAUAUUUCUAUACUUCUUGCAUAUUUCUUAUUUUAUUAUGUUUAACUCUAUAUUCACAAAAAAAGACUAUAAUAUUAUUACUUUUUUUAUUUGUAUUAACAGCUACCCUAUGAGAAAUAAUUUUAUGCGUAAAAAUUUCAGCAAAUUUUUUACUCAAAAAAUAAAAAUAGAUCUCAUUUUCACAUGCUUAUGUUAUUGUUAUAUGAAUUUAGUCUAUCAGUGAGCUUCUGAAGAAAACUUGACAGUAAAGUGUUUGAGUAAAAUUUGAAAAUAUCCAAUGUUUGGGGUAGAACUCAUAUUAAACUAAAUAUUGAGGACAAGUAUAAAAAUAUCCCAUGUUUGGCUUGCUCGAGGGCUAUCAAUUGCAUUAUAAUAGUUAAUAUAUCAAAAUAAAUCUAUAGCGCAUUAUUAGUACAAUACAUAAUGUACAGAGGCAAUGCUGGUAAUGUCUUUAUUUUCAUAAUAACAAAGACUGGAGCCAGUGAAUCACAACGAACCGACCACAAGAUCAACGCCUUGAGGUAACUUAUCUUUUAGCAUGUUGGCACAAUGUUUAAGUGCCCUUUUCCUCCGAGAACUGGAAGGUUUAAUGAUCAUCUUCUCAAGCACUUUUGCAUUUCUGAAUAUAAAAAAUGCAAUUUCAGGAUCAAUUUGAAGCCAGCGAAACUCGUGUAAUUCCACCACCUUGAGGUGUUGAUGAAAGUGCACAGGAAUCUGAUGUCUUUUUUCCCCUAUUGUCCGGUUAUUAUUCCAUAUCUGCAACGAAAGAAGACUAUGUCAUGUUUAACUGCAUAGUUCUUGUUAGAGAAAACAGAUAACUGAAUUUGUAAAACCCCAAAAUUUGCCUACAAUUAACAAAGAGAGUUAUGACUCCAAACCAUUAAAUAUACUGAGCAACACUGUCCUGCACACUUUGACUGAUUUUGCACGCAACAUACAACCUAGCUGAUUGAAAAAAAUAAGCACAUAUGAAAUAUGAUCAUGAUAUAUGCCACAUAUGAAAAGAUCGCCACACAAACAACCACUAUGAAACAAAAAGUUGAGCAGUUGUUCCUGUUUUAGCUCCUAACUAAAUGCUGUAUUCACAGCUUACCUUCAUCUUCAGGCUACUUCUGCCUAAUACUCUGGUCCACAAUAUAUUAUUGAGAGGGUAAAAUAUAAAACAUAUGCUUUAGCUGGAAAGAUAUAGAAUAAGGUCAAAGACCACACAAGUGAAAAAAACAUAAUUGACCAUUACAGAAACAAAAUCUGAAAAAUUUAUUCUGCAUCAUCAUUAGACCUCAAAAAUCUCUGCUAGACUUGCAAAGCUAUACAAAACCUGUCCAUACUUGGAAUGUAUAGGAAUUUACUACAGUUGCUCCAUGAUUAAAACUCUAAAAGUUGAAGUUUUCAACACCUGCAUUAUUAUAAUAUUCAAGUUUCUGCCAGCAGGGAGAGAAUGAAAAUAUUAUCAAGUGGAAGAGCAGAAAUCUCAUUUAAGGGCAUUCACACAGAUGUGAUCUUCUUAUUCAAUAAUAUCUGUGUAAUCUUAAACAAUAUUUAGAUGAUAUCAUGACAAACAUGGUCAACAUACCAGACAUUCAAGUAUUGAAGUGCAAAAUGAUACGAGAUUAAGAUUUCUUUAUGCAAGAAAAAAGAGUUGCAAGUAUUGUAGACCAGUUGUCCACAGGAUCAUGCAAAACCGAUUGAAAAAAUCCAAAACUACAAAAAUAAAAUUCUGUUGAGAUUUAUAAUGGAUGCCCAACCAAACCACCCUAUUCAAUGAGAUUAAUUUACAAUCUUCAUGUCCGAGUGGUAAUCUCUUGAAAGAGACUAAAGAUAAAAGCAGGGACUGUGAACAAAUGUGAUCUUUUUCUGUUAUGCUAGAUGACAUUGUAAUUUCAAACAAUAUUUAGAUGAUACUGUGAAAAAUAUAGUCACAAUGCCAAGUGUUUGCAUGUUGAAGUGCAAACUAUUAUCAGAAGAAGGUUACUUACUUGCUGAAUUUAAAAUGCUUAAUAAAUGGGGGAAAAAAAGAGGGACUAUGCCCAUACAUUUGAAACGUUCAGCAAGCUACAACAGUAACCAUCACAUCUAUCCCAAGCUUCUCUACCAAUAAGUAGAGUGUGAAAAAUUUACCCUAAUUACAAGCUUUUGCAGAAAAGGACACGCCUUCAAUACGAAAGACAGGCCAAGCAGGCUUUCACAAUUAGGUUCUGUAAUGGUAAGUUUUAAAUGCAACAGUUUGGGUAAUUCCCAAUGUCCGAAUUCCAUGAAUACCUGAAAAAAUAGAAAAACUAAGACAACUGACUUGAAAGUUUCUAAAAACAUGCAUAACCACCACAGUACUAUUGUACUAACCUCAUUGCAACACUCCAAAUCAAGGGUCUUCAGCUGGGGAAAACAGCAUACAACCGAGCCAAUAAAAUACCUUAUUUGAAAGAGGGGAGCCCCAUGGAUGACUACAUCAACAAGUUUGGGAACAUUCCCAACAUGUAGCUUGAUAUCUUUUCCACUGUAUCUAAAAGAUACAAGACUUGAGGCAGAAAUUUCAAUUUCUUUCAUUGAGUAGCAAUAGUGAAUGUCUAGGAACUUCAAUGGGAUUGAUGAACCAACAACCUUCAAGCUUAAUAACUCUGAAGAAUUGGCCACGUAUAAGUGUUCCAAAUGUGGACAACUGUGUAUAAAAAACUCAAGCACUUCUCCACUGACUUUCAGAGCACUAAGGCAGAGGGAUCUUAGUGACUUAAUGCCAGACAAACCAUGCCCUCUUUUAAGGAAGUUGUACCGCUCUAGCGGAAAUGCAUAAUAGCGGAAAUGCAUAAUCAUUAAUAUGAGAUGGUGGCCAAAAAUCUAACUCAAAGUUUUGAACUUUCUUUGCUGUUGCUGCGUAAAUCCAAUUGGUGAUGUCCCUUCCAUGUGAAUUAUCCAGAGUACAACGUAUUCAAAACUUAUUUAUAUUUGAACCUUUAUGCAAGCUCAAAAUUUUAUUCACCCAGCAAACGUACGCACUUUUUUCUUCUUUACUUGGGAAUAUUAUAUCCUUUCCUAUUCCAGCAAAGUCGAGAGCAGUGGUAAAAUUCCACAAGUAUUUCCAUCUACUUGAAAGGACGCUAGUCCUUGCAGCUUCUUUAAGUGUUAAACGAGAUAUAAUAUUAACAAGAAUAUCAUCUGGGAAUUUACUGAACCAAUCCUCCAUAUUUUCCUUCUGUUUAAUAUCAAAGUCCACAAUUUUCAUUCAAACACAUGAAUUAAAAAAAAAAAGAGAGAAAAGAAAAUCAGCAACAGAAUUAACAGUAACCCAUAAUAAAUAUUUACAAAAUAACGGAAAAAUGAUACCUUUUCUGGGGUAUCUGCAGGUGUCAGCCGGGCUCUCUUAGUCAUUUGCUCUGCGUGCAAAAGCUUUCAGCGGAUUUUGACUCUACGGUAAUUGUUGCUCUUUUGGCUGAUUCGAACCAUUCGGUUCAGUGGGGUUUGCUCCGCAUUAUUGUUGGUUCGGUUCAGUGAUGGAUUGCAAGCCAAUUGGGAUAAUAGCAUCUAUAUCCUCAUCUCUUUUUUAAUUUUUUUUUCAAAUAUUAACUUAAAUUCCUUAACUACAAUUUGAUAUAUUUGAAGGUUACUAACUACAACGAAACGAUUGUAGUCUACUUGUAAUAUUGAAACUUAAAAUAUAUAUCUAACUUAACACUUAAGGGAAAGAACAUGUGUAAACUUAAUCAAGUGAUUUUCAAACAAUUUUCUUUAUAUUGUCAUUGGCGUAUAAAUUAUGGGAGAUAAUCAAUAAAGGACUAAAAAAAUUGAUUUAACUUUUACCCUUUUGCUUACCUUUUAGAAAUAUGAUUAAAAAAGGAAAAAAAAAAUAACACUCAAGGGCAUUUUUGGUGCAUUGCAUUUGAUGACAUAAAAUUGAAUAGAUUGGAAUGGACAAUAAUGUAUUGCAUUAAAAAUGAAUUAAUCUUAAGAUAUAUUAUCAUUUUUUCACUUAAAUUUCUCUGUCACAUUAAGUCAGUAUCAUAGUUUGAUGAAAACUGUAUUUUAUCACUAAAUGUUUACGCUGUUAGCACUUUACCAUUAUUUCAUUAAAAAUAAAUUAAUAUUUAAUGAAAUAUGAGUUAAAAAUCAAUUUUGUCCCUGGAACAUAAAAGACAAUUUUUGUCAUUGAAGGAAUAAAUAACAAACCCAAGCUCUUGAAUUUUUAUUUUAUUUUUUAAUUGUCAGUUGAUUUUUUUUUUAAUAUCAUGUAUAUUUAAUUAGUUGAAAAUAAUAUGAAGAAGCCCUCUCAUUUGUUUUUCGUUUGCUUGCUUUGAUGAUAACUGGUACUGGAAAAGAAGCCAUAAAAUAGUGGUCGGGGGGAGGUGAGGCAUCAAUUAUAUUUACAUCUGAUCUGAAGAACUGAAAUCGAGUUUGUAAUCAGAAUCCAAAUCGAUGGGUGUCGUAAAAUCCUUGGCCUUGUGUGUUUUUGUCUUCCAACUGCUUUCCCUUUCUCGGACGAGAUCCGAUACAACAAGAUCCGAAACGAAAUUAAUAAAAUAGAUAUUGAUGAUGUUUUAAGAAGUGACACAAGCUACGGGAUUAUUAUGCAUUUAAUGUAAUUUACAGCCAACUAAAAUUUACUCACUGACCUAACGCCAUUGCUUUUAAACUUGAUUGUAGGUUACAAUAAUUAUACCCAGAAAAAUAUUGUUAUUAUAUCAGUUUUAGACUCAUUGCAAACUUUUGACGAAUCAUGUCAAAAAUCUGAUAGUACAAUUUUCGGGGUCUUAUUCGAAAGCUAAAUGUAGAAAUCUUGUUAAACUGAAUAUCAAUGACCAUCUAGAACGGUAUUCAAAACGAGAAGAAGCAACCGUCACCAUUACUCCUUGUGUAAAGAUGAGAGGUAAUAAAUUUACAAGUUCAACGCCUCUGGGUAUUGGUGCUGUCUCUAAGUGCUUCUGGGGCUUUAUAGAUUAGAUUUGGAAGGUUCAAUGAUCAUUUUUAAUCAAGCAUAAUUGCAUUUUCAAAUAUGAAAGAUGCAAGCUCAGGAUCAACUUUACGCGCAAGAAACCCACGUAAUUCCACUGGCUUCGGGUGUCGAUGAGGGUGCCCAGAAAUCUGAUAUCCUUUAUUCCAAAUCUUGAUAAAAACAUGUUAGUACGUAACAGAAUAUGUGAAGCUCCGAAACACCUGCAACUAACGGUAUGAAUUUUGAAAUUAAUUGGCUUCAAAGAAAGUAACCGCACGUACAAAACGAUUUGAAUACCCAAUGCAACUCGAUCUUGCACGCUUCAUCUAGUUUUGCUAGGCACUAAAAUAAACUAAUACUAAAAUUAAAGCAGAGAGGCAUAUUCCCUGCAGAGCAUGUAACGAAUCUGAUUAGGUCGUGAGAAAAGAUCGUCUGUAUAGACAACCGCAAUGAAACAAAAAAGCUGAGCGAUGAGCAUUCAUUCUUGUUUUAGCACCUAGAAAAAUGAUGAAAUUAUCCAAGGAUACUUUCUUUCGUAUGCUUCUUCAACCUACUCUAGUCACAAUAAAUCCCUAAUAGAGUAAAACGCAAAAGCAUAUUCUUUGACUAAGAAGAUAUAGAAUAUCAUUAAAGCUGCUACAAAUGAAAAUUUUGGCUGCAUAAAUCACCAUAACAAUAAAAAAAAAUGGAAAUAUAUUCAAGAUUACAAUUACACCUCGAAAUCUCAGCUAGGCUCGUAAAAUUUAUAGUAAUUGGUCGCACUCUAUUGCAAUUUGAUUAGUAUAGUUGCACCCACAUUAAGGGUGUGUUUGGGAGUGAUGUGUGGCAGUUGGGCUUUGGUAUUUGGUAACAUUUUGCAACUGGAUUUUGGCAGGUCAACAGUUUUUUGUCCUCAAUUUUACUUCACAGUAACUGCAGCUUAAAAAUUACAGUACCUCGCUUACAAACACACUCUAAAACUUUUAAAAUAAGUUGAAACUUCUGUGGAACUUGGGUUAUAAACUUAUAAUCUUCAGAAUUGUGUUAUAAUAUGUCAAGGGAGAGUGAAGAUCAUCAUCAUAUGAAAGUCUGUGGGAAUGAUUUUUAAGGGCAUUGAAUUUUAGCAGAUACGAUCUUCUUCUAUGUAUGUUCAUUGACACCGUAAUUUUUAACAAUGUUUAGAUGAUGUCGUGACAAAUAUAGUCAAAAUGCCAAAUAUUUUAGUGUUGAAGUACAAAUAUUGACAGAAGAAGGCUAGUCACCACAUUCCAUCCAAAUGCCAUAUAUUUAUAAAGGACAAUGCCCAAAAAUCUAAAAUAAUAACCAUGUCAUCUAUCCUAAACUUUUCAACCAAUAAAUAAUGAAUUAAAACAUUUACCUGAGGUACAAGCUUUGGCAGAAGAGGACAUGCCUCCACUGUGAAAGUCAAAACCAAGCACAAGCAGGCUUUCACGAUUAGAUUUUGUGACUAGAAUCAGUGGCUAGAAGUUACAAGUGGAUUAAUUUGGGCAAUUCACGACGUCCGAAUUUCAUAGAUACCUGAAAUAUAGAAAAAUAAUAAGAUAUAUGACUUGAAAAGUUUACAAAAAUAAACAUCGCCCCUAAAGAACUAACUUCAUUGCAGCACUCCAACUCAAGGGUCUUUGGUUUGGGACAACAACUUAAAAACGAACCAAUAAAAUACUUUAUUUCGGACAUGACAGUUCCGUCUAGGAGUGUUCGCGGAUCAGAUUUUGCGGAUUAUAAAUUUUCAAUAUAAUUUAAUCCAAUCCACAAAUUGGUGAAAUUUAAUUAAAAUCCAAUCAAUAAUUAGAUGCGGCCUUGAUCCAAUCCACCAUUUUUACGGAUUGAUUUGCGAACUAAAAAUUUUUAAUUGUCUAAUUCACAAACAAAUUAAAUAUAAAAAUAAUUUAACUAUCCAUCAAAUUCAAAAUUGAAUAAGAUUUAAAUAAAUUACUUGUUUAAAUAAAGUUAGAAAAUAUAUUCUAAGUUUCAAAAUAUAACACACCAAAAAGAAAAAAUCUCAUUUAUUUAUAUCAAUACAUGAAAAUUAACUAUUUAGAAAGCUAUAUUUGUUUAUAUAAUUAUUUUUUAUUUUUUAUUAUUAUCAAAUAUGGUAUAAGAAUGAUGUUACUUUAACUAUAUUUAGCUUAUUUAUUUUAUUAGUAAGUAUUAUUGCCACAUUUACAAGUUUUGUUUUUCAAUUAAAUAAUUUUUUUUUUUUGCAGAUUCGCGAAUUUACAGAAGUAAUACAUAUCUAAUCCAUCGACUAUGAAUUUUUAAAUUUUCAAUCCAAUUUAAUCCACUAAUCUACAGAUCAGAUUUUUACAGAUCAGAUUUUUAUAAAUCAGAUAGAUUAAGAGGAUUUGAUUAGAUUUUGAACACCCCUAAUUCCGUCCAUAAAUACAUAGACAAAGUUUGGGAAAUGUAAAUUGACAUCUCUAGUUCUCUACCACAUUAUUUAAAAUAUAUAAAAGUUGGGACAGAAAUUUAAAUUUCUUUCAUUGACAACCAAAAGUCGAUGUCUAGAUACUUCAAUGGGAUUGAUGAACCAAUAAUCCUUCACGAUUGAAAACCUAAUUAAUCUCUUUACAUUUAAACUUUUUUUUUUUUGGGUGUGUUUUGUGUGUUGGAACAUCUUUUUUUUUUUUUCAAAGGAUCUCUUGAAUUUAGGAGAUUUCUUAAACUCAAAUUUUAUUUUAAAUUAAGCUUUUGAUUUUUGUGGAUGUUAUGUGCAUUUUAUCAUUGUAAUUAAUUGUACUUAUUUAUCAUCAAAAUCAAUAAUAAAAAAAUUAAGUUUUUUUUUCAAUUCUUAUAACAUUUUUACCCGUAUAUUUUCUUUUCAAAAUAAUUUACUUAAUCUCAUUGCUACAACCAAAAAUUUACAUUGUCAUUAUUAUUAUUAUUAUUUAUUUUUACUAUUAAAUUAAAGGUAUUCAAAAAAAUUAAUUUAUACGAUUAACUAAAAGAGUUAUAACGGAGUAAAUUUUAAAUAUAAUGUUUAUUUUUCUAUAGAAUUCUAUAAGGAAAGUUGAAAAGGAAAUUACUUCGUUUUUAUUUGGAUAAUUUUGCCCUUUAGUGUUGUACUUAUAAUAUUAAUUAUAAAGUAAAAUAAAAAAAAAAACUCAGAUUUAAUAUAAUUUAAUCUAUUAAAUAAAUAAUUAAUAACUUAAUUAUUGUAAAUUGUACUUAAAUUUACCAUAACCGACAAGCUUAUACAGUUUGAGUCGACGCAUCAUUCAGCGGUGAAUCCUUUCGGUAAACAACGUGAUGUCCACCUACCAAACAAAAAGACGACAAGUUUUCAGAACUGACAAGUGUAAAGUGCAUGUGCCCGCACGUACAGAGGAUCAUGGGUCGUUUAUAGUUUUAUCAAAAAACGACUUGCCGUUUCUUUAUUUAAGUAUUAGACAGCAUGUCAUCCAUCAAAAUUUCCAGAACUGACAAGCAUAAAGUGCAUGCGCCGGCGCAUGCUCGAGAUAAUUUUAUCAUCAAACGAAGUGCCAUUCGUAUCGUUAACCUAAAGACGAUUUGUCGUUCGCCUGCAUUGCUUUACGAAACAACAAACAGAAUUAUGAACCCCGUGAAUUGCAACUAGAUAUUUCAAACAAAUUCAAGCAAUCUUAAAACUGGCCAUAGUUUAUUUAGAAGGAGGUUUUUGACAUCCCUUCACCUUCUACCUAUGAUUUUUACUAGAUUGAUUCUUAACUUUAAGUGUUCUAUACAUAAUUAUCCAAUUAUUGAUAAAUUAUACGUUGAUAGUUUCUAAACUCUACCGGAUGACUCGUUAUUAUAGUUUAUUUGGAAGUGUGAUGAGGUAAUUGGGUUGUUAAAGACCAGCUACUAAAGUGUUUGGUAAUACUUAUAGUUGAAUUUUGACAGGUUAAUAAAUUUUUUUUCCUAACUUCUACUCAACAACCGUAAUUUUUACUCCACAGCAGUUACUUUUACUCCACAAUAAUUAUACCUUAAAAGUUACUGCAUUUUACUCUCAAACACACCCACAAUCGUGUUAUGCUCAAAAGACAUGCCGUUCGCAUCUUUAACCGGCAGACGACUUUUUGUCCGUUUGCUUUGCCAUCAACUGGAGAUGGGGGCGGCGGCUAUCAACAUUAUGCAAAUCGUUUUUGCUUUAUUUGUAUUCAUACCUCAUCAUAUGGACCCAUAAAGGAUAAGAUUGAAUUAAAAUUGACUAUUUUCAACGUAGCGACACCAUAUCUACCAAAAUCUUUGAUAACCCGCUUUCGCUUCAUAAUCAAAUGGUCCCAGUAGACCAUUAGCAAGGACCCCUGUAAUAUUAUUAUUUAUGUCAUAUCCCCUGAGGCCGAAUAGUUUUCAAUCGUCUUUAUUUAAUUAAUAAUCUAAAUUUACAACCUGUAAAAGAUAAAUCAUUAAUUUAAAUUUUGCCCGUAUCUUACUAUUUUUUUAUUUUAAAAUAUGUUUAUGUCACAUGAUCUGUUUUAAUAAUUAAUCUUUUAUUUUUGAGGUGGAUCUAUAGUUUGCUUCCUAAUCAUGUAGGUGAUAAAUUGAUAAAUUUUUUGCGGCGCAGUCAAGUGGCAGCAUAUAGAGCUUUAAAUUAUAGCAAGUUAUUAUUGGCAUUAAAUUAAUUACUUAAUAUUUAUGAGAUUUCAUCAACUAUUUACGGUGCAUUUGAUAUUGAUUUUGAGCUUAAAAACUACAACACUAAAGUGUUUGGUAAACAUUAACUGUUAUACCUUAUAAAUUAUAUUUAUAAUAAAAAAUAUAUUAUAUCUUUAAUAAUUUUAUUAAAAUUAUUAUUUAAAAUUUAUAUUUACUAUAUAUUAUUAACUUUUAUUUAAUAGUUAUAAUUUUUUUCUAUAUCAGUUAUAACUUAAAAUUUACACCACCUCAAUUCCAAAUAUACCUUAAUACCUAACACUGCAUGCCACAUUGUAACUCUUAAUCAUAUUAAGUAAAAUAGUAAGGGUUCAUAUGAAAAUAUUCUCAUUGAACGGAUAUCGAUUCAUCGAAUAUACUAUAAAUAUAAAAGCUCCUUUUUAAAGUGAAAAUUUCAAACCGUGCCCACGUUGAUUCAUGAAUAUUCCAAACAAGCCCAAAAUCUGGACAAGGACUGCAAGUAAAAGCUUGUACACUUAAUAAAUUCCUAACAAAAACUAAAAAUUCUUGUCAACGUCACAGCUUUAACUGCCAACAAAUUGCCUGUACAAAACUUUCUCAUAUCCUAUAACUGAAAGCAAGAUCAUUUGAGUCGAAUCCAAAAGAAAAGAAAGAUAAUAAUGGCUACAGACCUGAAGAAGAUCAUCAUUGACACUGACCCUGGUGUUGGUAAGUCUUUUUUACAUUCAACCGUAUCAUCAAAUUAUUUGUUUUUAUCAUCUGGGUAUUUUUUAUUUUCACAAUUGAAGCAAUAAGUUUGGAUUUCAUGUCGCUGCAUAUGAUGUCAUGGUUAUACUUCUGGCCUUGAGGUCACUUGAAGUGGAGGUUAUUGUACUUACUACAAUUUUAUGGUCAUCUUUAAACAAUUCUUGUCACCAAGAUCGUCUUGCAUUUGGUAACUAAGACAAGAUUUUCACUCUUUGUUUCUGUGGUUUUUUAUUGGUUUGUGAAUGUUUGUGCAAAUGGGUUGAUUUGAUAUGGCUCAGAUUUAGAUAUUUUUGAUAGUUUUGAUUGAUUGGGGGUGCUGUGUUUCGUGGAUUAGUUGGAGAUUGCAGGGAGGACUGAUGUCCCGGUGGCUGAAGGAUCCCAUGUCACCAUCACCGUAUGUGCUUCCCUCUUUUUUGUUUCACAAAUUUUCAUCUACUUGCAUGAGCUGAUAAUACCUGAAAUUAUGGGAUGUUUCUAUCAAUUAUUUACUCAAUGAAUGAAGGUUAAUGUAUGUGUCCGAUUUUCUAGUGAAUUAUUAUUAAGGCAAAAAUAUUAGUCUAUAGGAAUGUAUAACUGAGAAGUUGGAGUCAUGUGGAUGACAUUGUUAUACUUUACCUAACAAAAUUUUAGCUUGAGAUCUUGCAUGUGUAUCACAAUUAUUACUCAGCAAAACUUAACUGAUGUUUUGUUGGGUAUUGAGGUUGUCAAUGUUUUGACUUGUUCUUUCAUGUGAAGCAAGGUACAAAACUUCGCAUUGCUGAUUUUGUCCAUGGUGCUGACGGACUUGGCAACCAGAAUUUCCAUCCACCAAAAGGGAAGCCAAUUAAACAGUCAGCAGCUGAUUUUAUUGUUGAGCAAGCAAAUCUUUACCCUGGGAAAAUUACUGUGGUUGCAUUGGGGCCACUAACAAAUAUUGCAUUGGUCAGAUUUUCAUUCAUUGAACAUUUGUUUUUGUUGCAAGUACAAUCUAUAUUACUUCUUAACCAACCAUCUAUUUAUACAGGCUAUUCAACAAGAUCCUGCAUUUGUUAAAAACAUUGGGCAGAUAGUUAUUCUUGGUGGUGCUUUUGCAGUAAAUGGGAAUGUUAACCCAGCAGCAGAGGCCAAUGUAAAUUCCUCAAAUCUAAUUCUUCAGUUGCCUAGUGUUUUGACUAUUCAAGUCAUAAACAGCUAAUGAUGUAAUAUAUUGUAUGCUUCUACUGCACUCAGUACUCUUUCCGGCCUACUUAGUUGUGACUCGUCACAUUUGAUUGUGUCAGUGGUGUUUAACUUGUAUAUCUUUCUGAUCCGUGAUUGGAAUGAGCAGAUUUUUGGUGAUCCCGAUGCUGCAGAUAUUGUAUUCACAUGUGGAGCAGAUGUUGUGGCUGUGGGUAUUAAUGUUACGCAUCAAGUUGUUAUGACAGGUAUUUGUCAGAAAAUCUUGUGUCACUUGUUAUUCAUUUAAAUGGAAACAACAUCAAUGUGUAAUGAUGUCAUGUGCUAAUCAAUGUCCUGAUGCUUUUACUAAAGUAGUAUGAAUUCUGUUGUCCAGGCUAAAUACUUAACAAUGUUGUAUCUCCAACACAGUAGCAGCUUUUCUACUUUUUUAAGUUAUCUUAAGUUGCACUUGCAUCCCACCAAAUUGUGUCUCUGAAUUUUGAUAACCUUGUAUACUGGUGUCUAUAAUAAAUUUCCUCCACCUUUUUUUUUUCCCCAUUUUUCUUUUUCCUUGUCAAACAAUUAUAAGUUCUUAUGAUUGCAUUAAUUACCUCCACAUUCUUUCCAUUGCCUAUUUGGAGUUACUGAAUUCUUUUUCGACGCCUUUCCGUUUCUGUAGAGUUAAUUCUAAACAUUGAAAGCGUAUCCAUUUUUUUUCAUUUAAGCAAUUAUCUGUGCAUAAACUUGGAUGAGCAUAAUAUUCUUGACUAUUGUUAUUGUAAGCUUGUAACUAGAUGUUAGUCCAUUUAUUUGCUUAUUUCAUUUGAUUUUUUUAUCUUUUUUCUUACCUUUUAGAUGCUGAUAGAGACAAGUUGGUGUGUUCAAAUGGAAAACAUGCGCAGUAUUUAUGCAAAAUCUUAGAGGUCUACUUCUCUUAUCAUCAUGAUGCAUACAAUACAAAAGGUUUGUUCAUUUGAUGAAAGUGGGUUGAUAUACCCUUGAAAGUCUGAAGAACGACCAUACACCUGCUAAUAAUAAUUCAAUUCUUCAUAUAGGCGUUUACCUUCAUGAUCCAACAGCUCUUCUUGUAGCUGUUAAUCCUUCACUAUUCACUUACAUGGAGGGCGUCGUUAGAGUCCAGACUAGUGGCAUUACAAGGGGACUCACAUUAUUAUACAACAAACAAAAGAGGUAGGAUUUUUCAUAUCAGCAACUUUGAUUAUUGUGGUCGGUUGAUGUGAUUUGUAGAUACCAAAUAUAUGUUGAUUGAAGCCAAGGGACUUGACUGCUACAAAACCAAAUUGGUGCUAACUUUAUUCAAGAACUUAACAGACGAAGGAAAAAUGAAUUUGAUAAAUUGUGUGUGUAAAUGAUGAUUUAAGGCCGUAAUUAGCCGAGAACUUAUUUCACAAAAUCAAAUACUUUUGUAUGUGUCUGGAAAAGUAAGAUAAGUAACACGCGUCUCUUACAUUACAGGUUCUGAACAUAGGCUUCUUUGAACUCUCUGUUGUUUGUCAUAACAUCUUCAUUGAGCUCCCACUGACUCAUCUCUUUAAACCAGGUUUGCUGAAAUCACUGAAUGGUCUGAUAAACCUUCGGUUAAGGUUGCAGUCACAGUUGAUGCUCCGGCUGUCUAUAAAUUGUUCAUGGAUCGGCUUAUGGACUCAUAAAUAUAUUCAACCUAUGAAAUUGUCCUUGAUUUGACAUCCUGCAAUUGAUAGUAAUCAACCAUUCUUGGCAAUAAAAUUGUCCUUGAUUUCCAGUUCUGGACCAUCUUUUGUAAAACAUCCGAUCAAAUGGUGGCAUUGAGCUUGAAAUGACGUUUACAACUUCAGAUUUAUUGCACAAUAAAGACAAUUGCAUAUAUAUAUUUUUUAUUUUUCUGUUUAAAUGUAACAUUGAUGUUUUAAUAAUGUAACAUAUUCCAUAAUUGAAACCCCAUGUCAGUUCUACCACUCUGCAGUCAAUUUGCAUAUUCCUUCAUUUAUAUUAUUUUUUAACAACAUAAAUCCGAAAAUGUAAGUAAUUUUUAUUUACAUUACAUAUGAUAAUUUUACUUCUCGUAAAUUUUUGUUGUCAAUCUAUUAUCAUUUCCUAAAUUCAGUGAAAAAUGGCUCUUUGGCCUUUGCCAUCAACAAUUUUAACCCCCACCACCCACCCCACCCCCAUAAAAAGGACUAACAUCGUAACAUGACACACGAGGACCUAUUUUAAUAAAGGGUAAUUUUCGGAUACCUCCCAUGAGGUUUACCUAUGUUACACUUAGAGAGAAUGUAUGAAUAUAUUGACAUAUAGCACCCCUGAAUGUAUAUAAGCGUUAGGGAGCCGUUUGGUAGUCAAGGGUGAUAACGUAAUUAUAAAAAUUUAAUAUUUUUAAAUGGUUAAGAAACAGUAAAUUGAUUAAACUAAACACUUGCAUCCUGCACAAUGACUGUUGAACGAAAGCAUUGUACAUAAAUAAUGCACAGUGACAAAGCAUGGAACACAAUGAAAACCAAAGGGAUGGCGACCCAUCUCUACUUCUUCUCAUGGGUUGACUUUCAUUCCCAUAUGAUACCCACUAGUUCAACUUAUAUGGACUUAAAGAUACAGUGAGAAAAAUUCUCUGACAUUAAGCAUGUCAAGAACUAAAUUCCAGCCACAACCGGCAUCUGAGCAGUCAAUCAAUGAAGAACGUACUAGGUGUGUAUUUCCAUAAAAUCUUUAAGCUUAAUUUUGGUUUCAUUUAUUCUUGCAUUCUAUUCAAUAGGCUGCUAGUUUAGUUGACUAGUGGGCUUUUCUCUUACGAGUCUAGUUCUUAUUUGUAUAGUGUCUGUGCUAAUGUAGAAGACUUGUGUUGGUAUUAUGUGAAUAGAUAAAUUGGUAUAGAAAUCCAAUACAUAAAAAGUGAUUACAAUAUAUCAUAUGCUUCUGUUUGUUUCAAUCAGUAUGGGCAUUCAUGAAUUUAAAAAUGUUGUUCAUCUUUAGUGUAUCCGCUUGUUUACCUUGGUUCUUCACUUUCCAAUGCAAUCCUAAUUACUUGAGGACUUUGUGAUCGAGCCCAAUUUUGAAUCCAAUAGAUGCAAAUGUUCUUUGAAAGGUAACUCUAGACUUUGUUAUGUUGACAUUGACUUAAAAUUCGAUAUGAUAUUCUAGUUGAAUAUAUGAUAGAAAAUUGUAUGUGUUUGCAUAUUUGUUAAGAUUUUUUGCACUGAUUCAAAGAAUCUUAAAAUGUUCUUUAAAACCUAAACAACGGUUGUUUCAAAGAAAUAUAAGAGGUUUGGGCUUUGUCAUGAGAGAAGGUAAAAUUAAAAAUGGCAAGGGUUGGGCUGGAACUCAAAGAUAUUAUUCCAUCCUUUCUUCUAGCAAGCAUAGAGUAGAUAUUUUGGGUACACUGUUGGGAGGUUUUCUUUCUGCUUAAUGCUUGUUCUUUCGAACUGUAAGAAAUAAUGAUUAUUUAAAUCAAUUUUUAUGAGUACAUAAUCAAAAUAUGUGUUUCAUAUGGCUGGUACAAAGAGCUUCACAAGGCUAGAAUGUAAUACUUGCGACUAGUCAAGGUAUGUUCUUUGAUCCCUUUAGAAAUAGUAUGCUAGUUUCAGGAACUUGCUGCGAUUGGCAAAAUUGAAAGGAUUGCUUAUUGCAUUUUUUAUAUUCUUGUUAGAUUUUAGGAAUUUAACCUUGUAGCAUAAGCAAAGUUACUGAGAUUUACACAUUUGUAUAUAGCCAAUAUGCCCAAAUACUACUAAUAAUAGCAUUAAUUCACUCAUCAGUUAUGCAAUAUCAGCGCUUAGCAUUCUAUAAACUACUAUUAUCCAUAUAUUUUUGUAAAGGUUAGUUAUUUUUGUCAUUGUUUACGCAACUUGCUAUACUUUGACAUUAAGGCAGUGAUAGAUGGUAAAGUUUUUUAUGUUGGUUUAGCUAUUCCAGAGCAGUAUAGCUUGCACAAACAAUGGGUUGAUAUUAGGGAUGCUUAUUGAGGUCAUCCUAUUAGGAAUGCAAAUAGGAUAAAGGUCAAGUGAUAUUUCCAUGGCAGACUGAGCAGUAAACAAUUUUGAUUGACAAAGACUUGUUAGAGACAUUUGAACAACCUAGAGUAAAGGGGUACAAUUGGGCUAGGUUUGCAGUGACUCCUGAGAAAGUGCUUCCAGAUAUGAAUAGGGUUGAAAGUUCAGUAUAAAAGUGCACUCAGCAAUUGAAUAAUGAUGUGGAAAGUGGAAAUAAAGAGUUGUAUAAUUGUUAUGACGCAUCUGUAGAUGAAUUUGAAGAUUAUUAUGAGACUGAUCCACAUGAUUCUAAUCUGGUUGGUUCUAAUCCAGAUGAUUAUAAAGAUGAUUAUGAGACUGAUCCACAUGGUAAUGAUCUUGAUGACUAUGAAUCUGGAGAUGACAGUAGAGGUGAAUCAGAUGAUGAUGUUGUCCAAGAACAAACUUGCAUUAAAUAUGAAAAAAAAAUGCAUGUGACUUUGAGUUUAAUUCUGUUGGUGAUGAGAUAUUGUUAAAGCCUGGACAAUUGUUUGUCAAUGUGUGGGAGUUCAGAAAAGUGUUGAAGGUCUUUGCAAUUAGAAAUGGAUUCAGACUGAAAAGGUUAAAGAAUAAAAAAACGGUUAGCCUAUAUGGCUAUAGAUAUUGAUUUUGAUAAUAACAAACCACAUGUGUUGAUUAAACAAAGAUCAAUGAAUUGUGUUUUUAUAAUAAGAAAAUGAUGUUAUGGAAUUAAAGUGUUUUGGACUAAAAUGAAAGUAUUUUAAAACAUUUGAUAUUGUUUUAAAAUUUUAGAUUUGGACCUAUUUGAAAUUAUUUAAAUAUUUUGGGUUAUUCUAUAAUUUCACAUAGCUUGAGUGAAAUCAUAAUUUUAGAAAGUUUUGGGAUUCACAAAGUAUUAUUUAGAAAUUCUAAAAUUAGACCUAUUUGAAAGCUUUCAUAACAUUUUAGGUCAUAAUAUAAUUUUAUAAAGUUUUGGGGUCAAACUAUAAAUUUAAAAAAUAUUUCACUGUAGCAGUUACUGUAGCAAGCGAUUAAUCGGAUAUGGUAAGUGGCAAUCCGGAUUUUGGGCAGUAAGCUUCUGGAGCAUAAACGACUAUCUGGAUUUCAAAAACGGCUAUUCGGAUAUAAAAAGCGGCAUCCCAGAUAUUCUAAAAUUCAAAUUUUUGCCUUAAUAGUAACAUAAAAGCGGCUAACCGGAUUUGAUAAACGGUAAGCCAGUUAUGACCAAAAUGUGCAUAACGGCUAGUUUUUUAGCUCAAAUUAUAUAAAUUCAAAUCCAAUUCAUUUUCAAGCUCUCUAGCAAGCAUAAACAAAAAGCACACGAGAUAUCUUGAGCUCUCAAUUCGCAAAUCAUAAAACAUUGAAUCAUCUCUUGUUCUUCAUUUUGAAUAUUUACUCUUUGAGUGAGUUUUGUUGUAACUUUCAUUUCUUCAUCUUAAUUGUAAGUGUUUGAGUGUGUGAGACACUUGAGUGAAGAGAUUAGGAGAUAAUUUCUUUGUUGUAAAGGUUCAUUGACACCUUGAAGUCAAUUGUAAACAUUUGAAGGCUUGGAAAGGUUCGGAUAGUGAACUCAUCAAGCUUGGAUCGCUUGGAGGCGUGGACGUAGGCGAGGAUUGGUGAACCACGUAAAAAUUCAUGUGUUUGUUUCUCUUCUCCCUUACUCAUUUGUUAUUGUACUUUUAUUGAACUUAUUGCUUUUGAAUUUAUUAAGGCGUUAGAUUAGAUUGUUGUGUGGCUUUGUUAAGAUAAUUUUUAAGUACCAAUUCACCCCCCUCUUGGGUUGCACACUUAUAUUUCAAAAACAAAGGUGACAUGUGUGUGUGCUGCACCAAAUUGCACUUGGAGAAUCCAUGCAAACCCUAAUUGGAACAGGAGAUCAUUUCAGAUUAAGACUUACUGCCCUGAGCACACUUGUCCUAAAGUUGAUGACAAUUAUGAGGCAACUUCGGAUUGGAUAGCAACCACAUAUCUACAUUUGUUCAAGGCCAAUCCUGACAUCAAGAGUUCUGUUAUUGCUACUACUUUGAUGCAAAGAUAUGUAAUUAAAUGCAAUAAUCAGAAGUUGUACAGGGCCAAAAGGAAAGCACUUGAGUUACUUGGUGAAGACCAUAAGACCAGUUACAUUAAAUUAUUUAGGUACAUGCAUGCUUUGUUAAAUUCCAAUCUUGGUUCCACUGUCUCUUUUGGAAGGGAUUGGAUUGGUGGUGCUGAAUUUCCCACAUUCAAGAGGUUUUUCUUCUGUAUUGACAAUAGUAGAAGGGGAUUUUUUAAGGGUACAGGCCAUUCAUUGGGGUUGAUGGCUGUCACUUAAAAGGACCGUAUAAAGGUGUAUUCCUAAUCGCUGUCAGCAUUGAUGCAAACUAUGGAAUUUAUUCCUUGGCUAUGUGUGUGGUUGACACUGAGAAUAAUGAGUCUUGGCAGUAUUUUUUUGGAAAAAUUAUAUGAUCAAGUCGGCUAUAAUGGUGUUGAAGGUUUAUACUUCAUGAGUGAUAGGCAAAAAGGUGUCCUCAAUGCAUUAGAUAGAGUAUUUCCUCUGUCGUUGAAGAGGUAUUGAUGUAGACAUAUCUAUGCAAACUUCAAGAACAAGUUUCCUGGGUUGAUAUUGAAAAAAGUUUUCUGUAGGGCCUGUAGGAGUUCUAGUGCUACUGACUUUCAUUCCCAUAUGCAAGAAUUGAAGAAUAUAACUCCCGAUGGUUAUGAAUGGCUAAUGAAAAUUCCCAUUGCAUGUUGGGCAAAUCAUUUGUUCUCCUCACACACAAAAUGCAACUAUGUACUAAUUACAUGACUGAAUCUUUUAAUAAUUGGAUUAACAACUACAGAGGUUUGUCAAUUGUGAGGAUGUUUAAGGAGAUACGAAGGAAAAUCAUGCGCUUAAUUCACAAAAGGCAUGAGGCAGCCCUUGGAUGGAAUGAUGAGCUUUCACCAGGUGUGAGAAGAAAGAUUGUUGAGGGAAGACUAGCAGCAAGAUCAUUGUCUAUCAUUUGUAGGCAUAAUGAAACUUUUGAGGUAGUUAAAGAUACGACAAAGAUUAUUAUUGUUGAUUUACCGAAAAAGAAUUAUGACUGUGGUGAAUUGGGAAUCUGCGGACUUUCUUACAAACAUGCCCUUUGUUCCAUAGAUGUAAAGAGAUACCAUGUAGAAGACUUUAUACAUCCAUAUUUGAAAAAUGCAGGUUUUAUUGGGACAUAAAAACAUCAGUUUACACCAGUUCCAGAUGAAAAAAAGUGGCCACUUGAACUUCACGACAAUUUGCAGCCACCGACAGCCAUAAGAUCAGCUGGCAGGCCUCAGACUAAAAAGAGGAAAGAAGAAGGUGAAUCCUCAACAUUUAAGCGAAGUUCAAGUGUGAGGUGCUCUCGUUGUGACCAUUGGGGACAUAAUAAGAGGACUUGCCUAAGGGCAACCCGUGAUAAUGAGAAGAAAAGGGCUAAGGGCAAGGUAAAACAAAUGUAUUGAAAUUAUUCUUAAUGAAAACUGCUGCAGACACAUGAUUUAUGAACUAAUCACUAAUUUUCAUUUUCUAAACACCAAUUAGUAAGACCAACUCACAGGAUUUAGACAAUCGAUCUAGCCAAACGCAGUCAUCUGCCCAUGAUAAUGGUAAUAAUGAUUUUGGAAACAUUUGAAGUUACUUAAUAUUCUUAAUUUUAUGGUUUUUAUACUGAAUAUGCAAUAUGCUUACAGGGCAUUUGACUCAAGAAUGAUUACUAAAGUUAAAGCAUCUAGCAGAUUCAAAAACAUAGAGCUAAAAGUAUGUGACAAGACAGAGCACAUAUAUAACCUCCUACUCUAUUUUUUUAAGGGGAUUAGAUGAUGCAACACCUUUGAAUUGUCCAGAGCAUCAAUAGAUGAUGUAUAAUCUCUUACUCACCUAAUAUAUAGGUUUGAGUACUUUUGAUUUAUACUUUGCUGAAAGGUAGAGACUUUCAUACUGCCAAAAAUAGGUCAUUAUGAGAGAUAUAACUAUAUAUAUUUAUAUGUUGUGCUUCUGUCACUUGUAAAGACUCGGUGUGUUGUAGCCAAAGAAUGAAUGUUCAAACUGAGUUUCUGUUGGAAUGCCAAUUAUCCAUAUGAGCAUGCUUUGUGGUUUCAUAUUAUAUAUUAUACUUUGAUUUAAAUUUAUGCGGUUGCUUGUUGUUUUAAUGUUCUGAUGAUAUUGAGAUAGAGUUAAGUGAGCUUGCAGUUGAAUAAACUUGAAUGAGAUAAUGAGCAAUGGAUUAAAGCUUAUUUUAUACUAAGCAAACUUGUAUUGUUCUAAAUGUCUCAUGUCAUGUUGUUUCCUGGAAAGCUGUAAAAUAUCUCUCCCUUCCAAUUUCUUUUUGGUGGCUGGUAGCGGUUGUCAAUGUCUUAUAUAAAAUUAUAUAUUGAUUAAAUUCUUGUGUUCAUCGACACACAAUUCUUUAAUUUUACAAAUGUUACUUUUCUGCUGGAUUAUGCAUUCAGCUAAUCUAGAUAUUGAACUUGAAUGGGUUAGUUAUUUGCAUUUAUAUGCAAAAGUCAUACACAUUAUUAAAGCUCAUUUUAUGUUCAUAUUGAUGUUCAACUAGUCAUAGUGGAUAAUAAAAUUGAAUAGGAUAGUGAGCUACAGAUUAAAGCUUAGAUGCAUUUUAUGUUCAUAUUUAGCUAGUCAUGUAAAUUGUUGUUAAGUUCACAUUCAUGGUAGUAGUUGAUCAUUACAUACUUUAAGUACUAAAACAUGCAUCUGUUGCAUAAUGCCUACUUUGUAGCUAAAACUACACCCACUAUUAAAACUAUAGUAGCACAGAUGAAAAAGAACAUGUUCAAGAAACAUAUUGUCUUCAUGCCACUGCAUUUCCCUAUUGUUUUAUGUGUUUUUUGCAUCAGCAACUUCAAAUCUGUUAACUCUUUUUGCAUGUUCAGCAAUAACUCAUAAUUUGCUUGACAUGUUCCUACACAUUCAAAUAUUUCACCUUUAUUGAAAUCAUUAAGGGAUGGCAUCCAUAACUUGAAGUAGUCGCAGCCAUGUCGGCUGUCCAUACAGCAAUAAUAUAGCUUGUUUGGGUUGUCAUCCAAUUAUGAAAUCUUCACACUAGCUCUUUUGUUGCACUUACAUAUCUUAUUUGCAAAUCGAAUGAGGUUGCCAUUAAUCUCAUUCCUCCAUCCUCUGCUUUCGCAGCUGCUGGAUCCUGUUGUUUGUUCUCAGCUUGCUGAAUCCAUAACAAGCAUUAGGUAGUGGUGAAUCUGGGCAAAAAAUGAGUGUUAUUUGCUCUUAAAUACAGCUCAGGAAGGUUGAUAUUACUGUUGGGUUGUUCCAACGGUAAUAUCAGCCUUGCUUUGUUGCUUUUAAAUUGUUGAAAUGUAAGUCAUUCAACAACUGUAAAUACAUUUUUUAAAGGGUAUAUUAGCAUUUUCACCAAUCACAUGAAUUUUGUCUCAUUAUGUCGUUUGUUUAUUGUCAAAUUAAAUUAUUGUAUGUCGUUUGUUUAUUGUCAAAUUAAAUUAUUGUAAGAGUAUAAUAUCAGCCUUGUCUUUAUUCUUAUGCACUUGGCGCCAAGAAGCAAGGGCAUUAUUGUAUUUUUAUUGUCAAACCAAACGGCUCCCUAACCCUUAUAUACGUUAAGGGGUGCUAUAUGUCAAUAUAUUCAUACAUUUUUUCUAAGUGUAGCAGGGGUAAAUCUCAGAGGAGGUAUCCAAAAAUUACAACCGUACAUACUAUUCCUUUACAAGAAAUAUAUAAAAGUGCAAGGAUCAAAUGAUAAAAUCUCGUUAAAGGCAAAAAGUACAGCAAGCAAAGCGGGGUUUUUAAUUAAAUACCCUUUAAUAGUUUCAAAAUUAUUUAAAUACCCCCUCCCUUUUUGGUUUUCAUGGAUACCCUAACAAAUGUGAGCAAAGUCAGAAAUACCCUUAAUGAAUGCAUCAAAUUCACUCAAUGAAUUGUUUUCAUAUUUCUUUCCUCAUUUCUUUCACCCAAAUCUAUUUUUGCUGCUGAUUCUUUCAAAAUCUCUUAGAAUCUCUUAGAAUCUCUCAUAACUUCUUACACAAAUACAAUUAUGUAUUCAUUUCUUUAACACCAACUCUUUCUUUAAAGGUGCAUUGCUUAUUAAACAACCCAAUAAGGUAUGUUAAUCUUGUUGGGUUUUAAAUUUUUUAAUUUUUAGGAAAAUUUAGAAAUUUUCCUCACAUUACAAUGUUUUAUUUUCACCAUUUUUUCUUAUACGUAGAAAUAUAUGCAAUGUAGGUUGUUUAAUUAUUUUUUUCAGCAAUAUAACUUAUUUAUGGCGAAAAUGUUUCGAGUCGUGCAUUCUUUUGAUACCGUGUACGUCAUAUAACUAGUCAUGUAGGUCGUGUAAGUAAUAUAGUCGUGUAAGUCGUGUAGGUCAUGUAAGAAAUAUAGUCGUGUAAGUAAUAUAGUCGUGUAGGUCAUGUAGGUCGUGUAGUUACUUGUAUAUGAAAUUUAAUAUUAUUGUUUUUAUUGUAUCAUCAGAUAUGGUUUUAGUGCGUGUGCCUAUUCUCUUUAAUGGUGAAUGGAUUGAGCAAAAUGACGAGUAUAAGUUCAAAGGUUCAAAGGCUAAAGGGAUAAUGAUACCACGAUUGACAACAUAUGCCGAAUUGGUGGAGAAGAUAGCUGAAGUUAUUGAUAUAGAUACUUCAGAAUUCAAAAUCACAAUGAAGUUCAAACUUAAGACAUCUGAUCCUAUGCCACCAGUUACAAUUCAAACUAAUGAUGAUGUGGAAUUUUUUUAGAUUCCAAUUUAAUUUCACUUUUUUUUUUAAUAAUUUUCGUUGACAUUUUUUGCAUACAAGCAUACAUGAGGAAUGCCUGCAUAUAAUUAAUCCAUGAAAUCAAUUAAGAAAAAAAUAUAUCAAUUAUAGGAAAUUAAUGUAAUGUUAUACACAUAAGAACACCAUUCGCAGUGAUAAAAUAUUUCCACUCAUAACUAGACAUAUCAUGACUUACCAUGACUUAUAAUUGGAAAUUAAGAAUCUCUCUAACUAAUGACAUUUCACAAGGCAAAUGUAUAUGCACCAUUCCAAUUUAUUGUGAGCCUAAUUAAACUAAAUGUAAUGUGUAGAUUCUAUUAACAAGAAACAAAAUGUGGAAUUGAAGGUCGUGUACUUGUGUAAUACAAGAAGAUCGUGUAAUUGUAUAAUACAUGAAGGUCGUAUAAACAUGCAAUACAUGAAGGUCGUGUAAACGUGUAAUACAUGAAGGUCGUGUAAUCGUGCAAUACAUGAAUGUCGUGUAAUCGUGCAAUACAUGAAGGUCGUGUAAUACACAACCUUGAAUCUUACAUAACUUUACACGACCAAAUCUUGUGUUACAUAACAAAAUUAUAAUCAGCACAAUCCAUUAAUUUUUCACAAUUUGCAUGCAGCAAAACAACUAAAAAUUUGUUUUCGAACAUGUUAUGAAAAAUUUGUUUUCGAACAUGUUAUGAGAGACCCACAACUAAUUAAUCUAUUUUUUCAAUAUAAAACCCUAACUUUUUGUUUUUUUCCCUUAAAUAUUAACAAGAAAACUAAUUACAUGGAAUUACUUGUCUCAACUACUUACAUUCUGAUAAUUUUGCAGUAAAUGAUCAACUCUCUCCGGCGAUUAUGUAGUGACGAACUAUGCUUCACUUUCUCAGUUGUGGCAGCUUCCCCUUCUCAGGCUUAGUUUGCUCGUGUUGAAGUUCGAUUUACCAUGUAUGGAGAAUGAAUGUUUGUUUCGGUAGAGGUGAUGCCGGUGAGGGAAUUACAGAGGUGAUGCUGGUAAGGGAAUUGCAGUGUUUGUUUGUUUGAGUUUGAUAAUGGAGGGAAUUGCAGCAGAUGAGUGUUUGUUUGCUUCAGUAGAGAAGGGAGAGGUGCUGUCCGUUGAGUUGAAAUGUUUUAAAAUAAGGAUAGUUUAGUAAUUUUCUAUCAAUUUUUAAAGGUUAUCGAUGAAAAUUUUGGCAAAAAUAGAUUUAGGGUAUUGAGAUAAUUUUUGAAGUAUGGAGGUGUACCGGGCGCAAUUGGCACAAGCAAAGCAGAGCAUGUGAUUCUUCCGAGUCCGGACUUCCCUUCUUCCUCUUUCGCUGUGAAAGCCAACACAGAACACGAACACGAACAAAUAGGGGAAAGAGAAAAAUGAGUAAUUUGGUUAAAGGAGUAAUUUUGGACGAAUCGGAGAUGCUGUCGGCCUCCGAACACGGGACUCCUACAAACGCAAACGACUCGUCGUUUCAGCUGCGGCCCGGAGCCUCCUACUUGCUUCGUAAGCUCCGCCACUCCAACAUCCGAUCGGUACUCUCUUCAUCUGUUUGUUAUUGUUGCUUGAAUUUCUUGUAUAUAGUAAUAAUAAUGAGUGGAAUAUGAGCUUUUUUUUUGUUAAAUAAUUUUCAGGGAAUUUCUUACGGGCCGGGUCUUUCUCCUGAUAAGGUACUUCUUUAAUUCUUUUUUUCUUUAGUUUUUUUAAUUUCUUUAUGGUCAAUGUAAUAGGGGAGUGUAUCAAUUUCAGUUACUUCCAUAAAUAUUCCUUCAAAUGGAAAGCGCUUUCUACAAAAGCACUUUGCUAAAGUGCAUUUGUUGUGUGUCUCUUCUUGUUUAAGGUGAAUGUGUUGAAGAGGAUAGCAGUAGAAUACUCAUGCGAAUGCUUUCUUCUGCAUGCAUCUGUGGAUGGUGGUGUAAAUGAGAUUACACGAGCUUGGGGUGACGUCGGAGGAAUUAUUAUGUAUGUCGUUCAAAACAGCAAGGAUUCCAUGUGUAAAAUUAGCAGCAAUUGGCUUAUUACUGUCGUUGGUGAGUACUGCAGCGUCUAUAUUCUCGUCGCCCUCUUUGUGGGUGGGAGAAUUUGGCUAGGGGGUUGUAUUUGACUACCUAUUUUGUCACAAUAGCAUUUCUGUCCGUCUUUCAUCUAAGAUUCUUUCUACACUAGGUAUGAGUGUCUCUAUAGAAUUGAAUUGAUACAGUUUUGCAGUAACACAAAUUGGUGGGACUUGGGGUUAUGUGCCAUUUAUAGUUGCUGCCUGCAUGUUGGGGGCGCAUACAUUUUAGUUUCUGCUAGUUAUUUUAGGUAAAAUUGGUUGCUGACCUAGAGUCUGCUUCCGUUUCAGGUGCUGAAGUUGUUACUGCAGGUCAGAAUUCAAGCAUGCUUUAUAUCAACAAGCUAGAAGAGUUACCUUUGACUAUUUGCUGCUUCAACAAAAAGGUUUCCUCAGGCGAUUCAUCUCUUAUAGUACCACUUUAGUUUUGUAUGGUUAUGAUUUGUUCUUUCAAUAAUUUUUGGGUUUAGUGAGAUAACAUUUGCCAGCUUAAAACGGAAAAAUGGCAAAGUGCUGUGUUUUCUAGAGAAAAUACUAAUUUAAGGUGUGCUACUGAAAUCAUGGAUCUAUGAUAUAUAACAUACACCUGAAAUUCAAACUUGUUCUGGAAAUACAAACUAAAAAGCAGUAAAAAGUAAUGUGAUUAGUUUCUUGUAGAUCACAAAAUCAAAUGCAAGGAAUAUAUGUAGAAACACCAUACACUAAGUGCAUAGUUUUUUAAUUAUCUUUAGAGUUUCAGUCCAUGAUUUGUUUUAUGUCUCUCAUCUUAAGUAGGCAACUUGCAACAAUGUUGUGGUGGUUGGUUAUGUUAUGAAGCCUUCGCGUGAAGAAGAUUUUGCUAAGGUGAGCUCUUUUUGCUUAAAUGAGAGCAUGGUGUGUUGAAAAGGCUUAAAAGAAAUGUGGGGGUUGUCAAUCAUUUAUUCUUUACUCAUCUUAGAUUCAGCGACUAUCAUGUGAAAGCUUAUUUGGUCCUAUGUUCUGUAGAGGGGUGCAUUUCCCUUGUAUCCUACUCCAAACGGGUUGAUAUUUCUGCCUCUCACAUUUGAGAUCCCUCUAUCAUCUCAAUUACAAAAUGUUGAUGUGGUUCUACAUAAAGCAACAGAUGAAAUCAUAUCCAUUGAGUUGAGCAACUCUUCAGUAUCCUCCAACAGAAUUACUUACACAAAGGGCAUGCAGGAAUUACAAAGGUAACUUCUCAAAGUUCCAUUUUCUCUAUUUGAAAAUAUAUUUUCUUGCCUUUUGGCAAUCAUUCUAUAAUUAGAUGGCACUCUUGGUGGCUGGAAAUUGUACUACCAGUCAGAUAUUUUUGUUUUACCUCUUCAAAGAUAUCCUCCAGUUAUCUACAUUUCUGCUAUAUGGAAAGAUUGUGGUCAGAAGUUUUUUGGGAUGAAAUCUCGUGGUUUGUGAUUAAUAGCUAGGGUGUUAAGACUUUGUUUGUGAUGGUCAGUUUGCUUCGAAAAUUUAGUGACAUAUCAUCUUAAUUUAUUUCUAUCAAGUUGUCAAGUCAAAAAGAUUUGUUGGGCCAUUAUGAAUUCUCAAAAGUGUCUUUGAGAGUGGUAAGAGUUUUUCCACAUUCUCAAAUGAUCUUAAAAGCAAGUAACUAAACAUCUUUUUGUUAUGAGUCCUUUUAUCUAUCUUUUCUAUAGUCACUUUUCCAAACACUCUGUCAACCAUGUUUACAUGAGAGAAUGAUAGAUUAAAGUUUGUUGCUUCCUACUAAGAAAGGAAUGAGCUCAUGCUGUUUAAGUAAAUGAAGGUUUUUGCUAAAAAAUAAAUAAAUAAAUGAAGGGUCUUUGCCAAUUUCUGGAAUUUAGGAUGAAAAUAAUUGUAGUAACUGAAUUGAGUGUCUUGACAACCAGCACUCUUAUUACAUCUUUCCUGUCUCAUAAUACCCAUUUCAAGAAAUUUUAUCUAAAAGACUUCUAAUAGCAUGUUGUGUAAAAAAAAUUUUGACACUUAUUCUUAGAUUAAUGUAGUAUUCACUUAGUUUUUUCAUAAAGUCUUGCCACUUUACAGAUUUAUGGAAGACCACUCAGAUUUCCUCGCAAUUGACCCACUCAGUAACAUUUACCCUGUACUGGAUCGGCUAAAGAUCCAACUGAUUCUACUUAGGCUGCAAGAACAAAAAGCUAAAGGACGACAUGCAAUUAGGGGCGCCCAUUUUCUUAAGGUCUUUUCUACCAGAAUGGCCUCUUUGUUGUUCUUAACUAUUGAUCUCACGAAUCCUUGAACCAGUAGAAAUUGGGUUCUUUCUACAAAUAAAACACUGAUAGAAGGAUGGAUUCAUUUUCCUCUUUGUUGCUCCAAUUAAUAUUGCUCUGUAGUACAUUUUAUGAAUGAAGGAAUCUAGAAUCAAUACAAGGUUUACUAAUGCUGCUAUAUACUAUGUUCUCUGUUGGGCACUAAUAGAUAAGGUGGGUUUUGUGUUGGUUAGUGUAAAAGGACCCUUUUGUGAGUACUUUGUAGUAGAAGAUUAGCAUAUGUAUCUCCAUGAUUAUACAUUUCAAUAAAAUUGUUUUUUGAGGGAAUCUGAUAUUACAAAGUAAUUCAGAAAAAUGCUUGGUCUUUUAUUUCAGUCAAUGCUCUGUAUUUGUCAAGUAGUUUAUUUUCUCUAGGUGCUUUAUAUAUUGAUAAUUUUUUUUAUGUAAUCACAAUUAUACAGCUUAUGGCUUGCUUUUGGACUUAAAUCUUCUGAAGUUUCAUUAGUAUCUCCUCCAAAUGGGUAACAUCUAAAUUUCAAAUAUGCAGGUUAUUGAUUUUAAAGAUCCUGGCUUGCCACAAAGAUUGUCAGAUGCACAACUUUCUCUUCCCUGUAUAGUGAAACCUCAAGUUGCAUGUGGUACGGCUGAUUCUCACAGUAUGGUAGGUAUAGCUUUAAUCUAAUUCUUGGUUUUCCUUUCUCUCAAUUUCUUCCCAGUUUAAUAAUAGCUUUAUCUUGGAGUGACAGGCAAUUGUCUUUGGAACUGAAGAUUUUAAAGAUUUGAAUGUUCCUAUUCCUGCUGUUGUUCAGGUGAGCACGAAGUUGAUGGUAUUUGCAUAGUUAUAUGUUGCUUAUUGUGGCAGCAUAAUUGUUAUUGUUGCUCAGGUGUGGUUACAACUGCUUUCAUAUGUCGUGAUUUCCACUCAGAAUUGUGUUUCCUUGUGGACUGUGCUUCACAAACUCGUCUAUUGUUUAUAAUCUUAAAUGUUCAAGUGUUCAUACAUGACUGAUUGCAUGGGAGCUGAAUGGAGUGGAACUCAUUGAAUUCAAAACUGUUCUUCUUUGAUAUUACAGGAAUAUGUCAAUCAUUCGUCCACUCUGUUUAAGUUUUAUGUCUUGGGUGAAAAUAUUUUCCAUGCAGUUAAGAAGUCUACUCCAAACUCUGGUAUUCUGAUGAAAUCGUAUGAAAGGAAUGGACUUAGACCUAUCCUCUUUGACAGGUAGUGUCUGCUCCCCAGUUUCCGAUUCCCUCUUACUUUGAUCUGCUUUCUCUAAGGAUGGUUGUGAUACUUCGUUGAAACUAAUAAUGUGGUGGUGUCUUUUGCAGCUUAAAAUCUCUACCCAUCGACACUGAAAAUCAAAAUUCAGGAGAUUCGAUUUCCUGUAAGGUUGAUCUUGAUCUUGAACUGAUCAAAGAUGCUGCAAAGUGGCUUGCAAAAACACUUGAUCUGACCAUCUUUGGAUUUGAUGUUGUCGUGCGUAUUCCAUAUAAAUUCUUAACUAUCAUUUCUUGACCUCCCUGCAUUGUACACCGUGAGUGAAUUGCCUGAACAUAUAUAUUAACAUGUGUAUUAUCAAUUUACAGAUUCAAGAAGGCACUGGUGACCAUGUCAUUGUAGAUUUAAACUACCUUCCAUCAUUCAAGGAAAUAGAUAAAGAUAUCGCCAUACCCGCUUUUUGGGAUGCCAUUAAACUGAAGUUUGAAGCAAUAAAGAUGCAACAAGCAACUAUAGCUUCCUCAUCUUGAGCGUCAUCUGCAGCUUGUUGGUCGGUUAAGUAACUUUAUGUAAAUUCACCGACACUGAUGAAGCUUGGUUUUGCUUCAAGUACCUGUUGUAUCAUAGAGUUUGAGCUGUGUUACGAACAAAUUUUGAUAAAUUGGGAAUCUCUCUCCAUCCUCUUAAAAUUUGUUUUCUAAAUUUAUUUGAGGAGAAAUAAUAUAUUAAUAAUAUUGAGAAACAACAGUAUUCAGGGCAAUAGAAGCAUUUGCUAUGGGGUUUUGAAGGAUUUGCUUAGGGCCUUGGCUGUGAGGACACUCGCGUGCUGUGGUAUUCUUUUUAAGAAUAAGAAAAUAAAUGAUAAAAUAGUCUCUUAAUUUGGACAAAUUGAAUAUGAAAGUUGAAUCUUCGGAGAAACAAGCGAAACAGCAAGAAAUAGGCAAAAGGGAAAUUAUUUCCAAAAGUUAAUGUAAAUGAAAUUAAAGGUGUUCAUAUUAGCUGUAUGUUACCAAAGCCGUUUCAUACUGAAAAAAUAAAUAAAUAAACAUGAGCCAUAUUAAAUUAGGGGUGUUUAGAAUCUAAUCUGAUCGGCUCAAUUCAUCUUAUGACUUAUCCGUAAAUAUUUGAUCUGUAAAAAUCUGAUCCGUGUAUUGGUGGAUUGGAUUGGAUUGGAUUAAAAUUUUGAAAUCCACAAUGGGUGGAUUGGAUAUGAAUUUACUUCCGUAAAUCUAUAAAAAUUCGCGAAUCCAAAAAAAAAAAUAUUUAUUUAAUAAAAAAAUUAAACUUGUAAAUAUGAAAUUAUUCUUACUAAUAAAUAAAUAAGUUAAAAUAUAGUUAUAUUAACAUCAUAUUAUGCCUUAUCUGAUAAUAAUAUAAAACAAAAAUAAUUAAAUAAAAAAAUAGAGCUUAUUAAGCAAUUAAUUUUCAUCUACUGAAAUGUACAAAUGUAUUUUCUAUCUUUAUUUAAACAAUUAAUUUAUUCAAAUCUUAUUUUAAUUUUGAAUUUGAUCGGUAGUAAAAUUAUUUUUUAUAUUAAUUUUUUUAUUUAAUUAGUUUCGUGGAUAAGACGUGAUUAAAAUUUUUUAGCCCACAAACCAAUCCGUGAAAUGGUGAAUUGAAUAUGGAUUGAGUCAAAUUUACAUCCGAUUCGCAGACGUGUGGAUUGGAUUUGAAUUAAAUUAGAUUAAAAAUUUAUAAUCCGUAAAAUUGUGAAUCAGAUAUGCAUUGAUGUUUAAUCCGCAAAAUCCGAUCCGCGAAUACCCCUAUGUUAAAUGACCAAUAUUUUUUAAUUAAAUAUUUCACUGCAUGUCUUCUUUUAAAAGAAGAAAAAAAUAUUGAAGUGCCUAGUUGUCUUCUAAGGAAAAAAAAAAGAAAAUUUAACUUAUUUUGAUUUGUGGACAUGGGCGGACCCAAUUAAGGCCCAGGAGGAGCUUCAGUCCCCCCUAAGCCAUUAAGUUUUCUUUUAAAUGUAUCCCAAGCCCCUUUUAAAAAAGUUAGAUAAACUAAUUUGGACACAUUUUUCAUAUAUUAAAAGACUUGUGGUUCAAUGGUAAGAGUGCUAUUUAAUGAUUUUGAAACCUUGGUUCAAAUCCCAUUAGCCACAUUAUUUUAUUUUUUUAAAUAUUUUGUGGAAACUACUUCGAAAAAUAAUAUUUUCACGCAUUUAAAAUACUACUUCAAAAAAUGAUAUUUUCACGCAUUUAAAAAUAAUAAUUUAUUACUAUUAUUAUUUAGAAUUUAAAAAAAAAGUAAUAAAAUUUGAGUUUAUAAGACUUAAAAUGUAUUCGAGUGAACAUUAAAAAAAUCUAAGUUAAAUAAAAUUUUUUGAACUAAGCCCCCCCUCAUUUUAGUUUCUGGGUCCGCCACUGUUUGUGGAUGCACCUAAUUGAGACGGUAAAGUCUGAUGUAUUGAAAACAAUAGUCUAAGGUUUGAACUCCAUUCGUGAGUAGAGUGACAUGGGCAGUGACGAAAUUAGCUUGCUAACUAAGCUAACUAAUAAAAAAAUUAAAAAUUUCAAAAUUAGUAGUAAAUAAUUUUACAAUUCUAUGGUGCGUUUAUUGAAAUAAAUUAUUUGCUUGAGCUAGUAUUAUCAUUGGUGUUUCUAGUUUAUCUAAAAAUCAUAAUAGAUAAUUUUAAAUUACCAAAAUAUCUUUAGUUAAAGGAUUUUUCUACCUUACAGUCAAUGUAAGGUCCCACAACCAAUAGAGAGGGUUGUACCUUACAUUGAUUGUAAGGUAGCAGCUCCCUUAGUUAAAAUAUAUGAUAUAUGUUUUGUUAUUAUUUAUUUUUUAGUUAUAAAAUAAAUAAAUAAACAUUUAAAAAGAAAAAAAACAUACAUGUUUAUUAUAAUAUAGAAAGCAAUACUAUAAUUUUUUAAUUAAAUUAGUUAUUAAUAAUAUUAUUAUCAUCAUUUAAAAGGGAUGACAUUUUUUUUUGAUUUUGUCUAAUGAUAAAAAUUAUCAAUUUAAUCUACAUUCUUAUUCUCUAUUUAAAUACUACCUCUCCCAUUACAUAAUUAGAUUCUCAUUCCUAGUUCAUAAAUUUGUGUGCUACACGAUGAAUACAGUUCCAUUCCUUGCAUGUUUAUUUAACAAGUAAACACCCUUAAUUAAGGAACUCACUCUAAAGUCUACGUCAACUAGGAAACGUGUGGACGCUUCAUCUUCUUUACUCAGUCGUUUAUUGGCAGCCGAUAAUAAGGGUAUCUGAUGCUUGCCUGUAGUGGGAGUCAGCUGAUCCAUUCCUCAUUUAAUAAAUGCUUCCUUUUCAGUUUAGUUAAAUCACUAAGAAAUCUUGUCAAAAAAGAAAAGUUCAGUUAAAUUAUUAUUAAAAAAUUGCAUCUGGGUUUGUUUUUGUUGUACUAAAGAGAGGUGAUGGCUGCUGCAUUUGUUGGAGGAGCUCUCCUCGGAGCAGUAUUUGGAGAGCUACUAAAAGCAGUUUCAGAGGAAAAAGACAAAGCAGUCACGUUUAAGGAUCGGUUGGAGAAACUGGAAUCCACUUUACGAAAUUCAAUUCCGUGGAUCGAAGAAAUAGAGAAGCUGAACCAAGUGUUAGAUCGGCCAAAGCAGGAAACAGAAAAUUUAGUUCGGAUGAUGGAGCAAGGGGAGCAGCUGGUGCGUAAAUGCUCAAAAGUGAAGUGGAAUUGCUUCAAGAGAUAUGUUUAUGCUAAAAAGAUCAUCAAGUUGGAUACAUCCAUCAGUGACUUCUUUCGGACGAGUCUUCCUCUGCAACAUGCAAGAGACGGCAAGUUGAUUAUGGUUGAGGUAAAAGAGAUUCACACGAUGGUGAGAAGAAUGAGCGGUAAUGGAAAUAUCAAUGGUUGGAUGUCUAAUCAGGUCGGAGAUUGCUGCUCGGCGCCUGAUCCUCCGGUGAUUACUCCAGGAUUGGAUGUUCCAUUGAAGGAGUUAAAGAUGGAGCUGUUCAAGGAUGGAAGGCAAUUCAUUGUGGUCUCGGCUCCUGGAGGAUAUGGCAAGACCACAUUGGUCCAAAGACUUUGCAAAGAUGAUCAAGUUCAAGGUAACCAGAUGUCUUGAUUCAGCUUUUUGCUAGUGUAAGAAUGGUACUGAAUUUCCUCGAGUCUUUCACCACCAGCUUUCUCACUAUGGCACUUGAACAGGAAAAUUCAAGGACGACAUUUUCUAUGUUACUGUUUCCAAAAACCCCAAUGUGAAGGCCAUUGUACAGAAAGUACUCCACCAUAAGGGUUACCCUGUGCCCGAGUUUCAAACAGAUGAAGCUGCAAUCAAUGACUUGGAGCGAUUUUUUAAGCAAAUGAGAACAGAGGCUAUACUGUUGGUCCUCGAUGAUGUCUGGCCCGGGUCAGAAUCCCUGCUCCAGAAGUUGGGGUUCCAGUUACCCGACUACAAGAUUUUGGUGACCUCAAGGUCUGAAUUCCCACAAUUUGGUUCUGUGCAUUAUUUGAAACCAUUGACUUAUGAAGCUGCCAGGACUCUUUUUCUUCACUCAGCAAACCUACAAGAUGGAAACUCGUACAUUCCAGAUGAAAAUAUCGUCAGUAAGGUGCUCUGCUUAUCCCCAGUUAUAUGCUAUUAUUCAUUUUAUUUUUCACCUUUGUAUAUGAAAUGCGCGCAUGUUUUUUUUUUUUUUUUACCUUCCAAAUCUGGUUUUACCCAACUGCAGAUAUUGAGAGCCUGUAAGGGAUGUCCUUUGGCCCUUAAAGUGGUCGGUGGAUCGCUCUGUGGGAAGCAGGAAGUAUUCUGGCAAAGAAUGGUGAAGGAAUGUUCUCGGGGUGAAUCUGUUUUCCAAUCAAAAAAUGACAUACUUGAUUGUCUCGGAAGCAGCUUGGAUGUCUUAAAUAAUGAGGUCAAGGAAUGUUAUUUGGACCUGCGUUCCUUUCCUGAGGACCAAAGGAUUCCUAUCACUGCACUCAUUGACAUGUGGAUGGAAUUAUAUGAACUGGUUGACGACGUAUUUGCCAUCACCAACCUUCAUGAACUAUCUAGCCAAAAUCUGGUUGAUAGGGUGGUCACAAGGUAUGCAGCGAUCAACCAAGCAAUUGCUCUUGUGCUUGUAUCCUUCGUUAUGUGCAAUUUUAACAUACGUGUUCUGCUUUACGGAUAACUUCCUUCACAUUGAUGUGCAUGCAAAUUGGUGUGUGAAUUCUCCACUUUUUUUUACCUGAAAGGCCAUGAAUCUUCCCUGAACAAUCAAUUUAUGUCUAUUCACUAGGAAAACUGCCGGUGACUACGGCUGCUACAAUGACGACUUUGUGAUGCAGCAUGAUCUUCUCCGAGAAUUGACUAUCUGUCGGAGCAAGUCAGAGCCCAUAAAUCAGAGAAAACGACUCGUUGUAGAAAUAAGCGGAAACAAUUUUCCCAAAUGGUGGAUGGAUCAAAAGCAGCACCCCAAUAAUGCCAGCCUCUUGUCAAUCUCAACAGGUUGUUAUUACUUUUUUCUUUUUCCUCACACUUGGACACUGCAACAUGUAGAGAUUUUAAUUCAUUUGAUGUCAAGAUUCAAUCAUCCUCGGUCUCACAUAAAAUGGACGUGAUAUGCAGAUGAAACAUUCUCAUCGAACUGGCCUGACAUGCAAGGACCCGAAGUUAAGGUUGUGGUUCUGAACAUUCGGACAAAGAAGUACAUCCUUCCAGAUUUCCUGCAGAAGAUGGAUGAACUGAAGGUCUUGAUAGUCACAAAUUACGGAUUCUCCCCUGCAGAAUUAAAUAACUUCCGAGUCCUCAGUGCUUUAUCCAAAUUAAAGAAAGUCAGAUUGGAGCAUGUUUCUCUUCCUAAUUCCCUGGCCACCGUACGAAUGAGUCAUCUGCAAAAAGUAUCCUUGGUUAUGUGCAAUGUUGGUCAGGUUUUUCGGAAUUCAACCUUUCGAAUUUCUGAUGCUUUUCCAAAUCUCUUGGAGAUGGACAUUGAUUACUGCAAUGAUCUCAUAGAAUUGCCAGAUGGGUUAUGUGACAUUGUGUCCAUGGAGAAGCUCCGGAUCACCAAUUGCCAUAGGCUUUCUGCACUACCUGAGGGGAUUGGUAAGCUUGGGAACUUACAAACGCUAACACUUGCUGCAUGCACCGAACUGUCAGCUUUGCCAGACACGAUUGGAAACCUGUCCCAUUUGAACUUUCUGGACAUAUCCGAAUGUCUGAACAUCCGAAAAUUUCCAGCACGGUUUGGUGAGUUGUGCUGUUUAAAGACACUUUGCGUGAUUGGGUGCCCGAUUUCGGAGGUGCCCUCAACGAAUCUUGAGAAUUUACAAGUUGUGAUAUGUGAUGAAGAGACAGCCGAGCAAUUGGCAUACUCCCCGCCCGGACGUGCAAGGAUUGAAGUGAUUCAAGAAGAUUCCAACUUAAAUUUUCUUCAUUAGUAUACUCUUUUCAGGACUUUCCUUUUCCGUUCCACAAUGAAGUGUAUUGAGUUCGCAUGGCGCAAGCUUUUAUCUGUUUGUUAAUUAUAAGAAAAAUAAGUGAUAUUUAGUCAAAAAGGGUUAUAGACCGGUAACAAAAAUAAUGGUAAAAUCAUUAUUUCUUCAUUUAAUGAUAACUCCGAUUUUAACGUUAAUUCUGUCUGUCGCACUCCGUAAAAUUCACAUGGCUAAUACAUCUGCACUGUAAUUAUGAAGCAUAUGUGUCCUCAAAAUCAAGAAGAUUAGUAUAAACAGCUUAUACGAAUAAGGAAAUUUAUAAAAAGUAGAUACUAUUUACUCUUCUAAUGUUUUUAUAAUAAUCAAUAACUUCCUAUCAAUACAAGUUUACAAUAUUAUUUUUAUUUUUAAAUAUAUUUUUAUUUAUAUUUAUUAUAGAUUAAAUAAAUCUCAUAAAUAGAAAUUAAAAUAAAAAAUUAAGUAACUAAAAAUAAGAAAUAUAUGUUUUGUGUAAAAAAAUUAAUAAUAAAAUAUUUUUUAAACUUUUUUAUUUUACAAACAUUUUCUUAUAAUAAACAUAUAUAAGAAAAUUAUUAUAAAAUGAUAAAAAAUUAUUAUAAGAAAACUUGCAUGAUAAACAAAAAAAUUAUUAUUAAAUAAAUAAUAAAAUAUUUUUCUUAAUUUUUUAUUUUAUUUCUAUUCAUAUAAUUUAUUUAAUUUAAAAUAGAUAUAAAUAAAAAGUGUAUUUGAAAAUAAGGAUAAUUUUAUAAAUUUAUAUUCUUACAAGGAUUAUUAACUAUUAUAAAAAUAAAAGAAAAAUAAAUGAUAUAUAUUAAUUAUACUAGGAAGACAGUCUUGCUUUAUAAAAAUAGCUACAAAACUUACGUGAUUUUCAAAAUUAACCGCUCUAUUAUGUGAGCUUUUCUUUUUUUUUUUUUCCCCGGUUGAAAAGUAAAAAUUUGUCCUUUAAUUUAUUCAUCUGUAACUGUCCCAAGGCGAUAAUCCCCACCCAUAAAUCAUGUUAAAUAAUUUAUACAAUACACUCGAUUCUAGAGUAGCAGUACCGUACACAAUCAAUAGGAUGAAAAUCCGUAUUAUAGAAAAGUCUAUUUUUGUUAUUACUCGUUUUGCAUAUAAUAAUUAACCCUUUCUAUUUCCUGGACUGGGAAUGAGUGGCCCGCGAAGGCAAAUCCUCGGUGACUUUUUAAUGAAAAUAGAUUUAAAUUUCUUUUGGUUUUACAAAUAACUUAAAAUUAAAUUUUUUAAUAUAUUUUAUUAGUACAAGUUUUUAAAAUUCAUAUAAUUCUUAGUUAAAAAAUUAUAAUUGAUUUAUAUUUAUAAUUUAUUACAUAAAUAAUUCAUAUAAUGAUUUUUAAUAAAUAAAAUUAUAAAUAUCAUGAUUUAUAAAUAUGUAUUAAUAUUAUUAUAAAUUAUAAUUUAUGACUCUAUGUAAGUCCGAAUUAACAAUUAAAUUAACUCUUAAGAAAAAUUUAUUAUUGUUGUUGUUGUUAAGUAUUAAAAAAAAUUCUAAUACUAUAUGGUCAAAUUUAAUAAUUAAUAUUUCAUUCUUUUACUAUUAUUAGUUUAUUAUUAUUGAAUAUGAACUUGAAUUUUAAAUUUUUGAUUUUAUCAAAUAUGAAUAAAAAUACAUGAACCUAAAAAAAUUCAUGAGCUUAAAGAAAUAUACCAACAACUUAGCAUGCCUUCUUAAAAAAAAAAAAGUUUAUUAAGCUUUUUUUAUUAGGUAUGACACGGUUGGGUCUAAGAAAAAAAAAAUUAGACACGGUACAACACGACACAAAACAUAUAAUGGGCACGACAGACACAAACACGAACUGAUAUGGCAUUCUUUUGAUGGCCAGCACGGUUUUGCUCUGAGUAGACUACCCUAGUGAUCAUGUUGUCUACCCUGCACUGCACUAGUGGACGAAGUGGAAAUGAAGAUGUCGAAUCAAAUAAUGCCAAAAACAAAUUGUGAAAAUUCAACAUUCCAUUAAAGAAUGUUCCUAAAAUCCGGGUGACAAGAACUGAUCUCUUAUUUUCUUACUUCCAUGAUAUAUAAAAACUAAUUAUACUAUCCUUAAAGAUUAGUGUCUUAAUAGAGUUUGGUUGAUCUCUGACAAGUGAUAACUAUGGACGGACAAACAAUUUUAGAUUCGGUUUAGGUUUUGAACGUAAAACUAAAACCAACCUAUUUGAUUUGGUUUUCUUUAUUUUUCUAUUUGUACCAAUCUUUAAACUAAAUCAACUCAAAUCAAUGCGGUUUAGUUUAGACAGAAAUGUAAAUUCAAAUCUAAAAGAUAUUUCAAAAUAUUUCCUAAAAAAAUAUAUAUACGGUAUAUUAUUAAUUUGGUAAAAAAGGCUGCAUAUAAGUAAAUAUACACUAAUAAAAAUAAUCAGUUUAUUCUAAGUAGAGAAUUUUCUAAAUAGAAAUCCGACAUGCAAAUCAAAAUCAUGAAUUAAUGGUGAUAAUCAUCACCCAUAAAUCAUGUUCGAUAAAUACUAAGAUACAGCCGAUUGUAGAGUAGGAGCACCGUACACUAUAAAUAAGUCUUGAUCUAACGACUUGUGAAAACUGAGACAUCCUCUCCAGUGACUGUGUGUCCCCCCCUCCCAAAAGCUCUCUCUCAGGGCCAAUUGCUCCGCCCUCCCCCCUCUAAACCCUAGCCCUGAAAUUAAAAUCAAAUUUGAAUUAAAAUUUUGAUUUAAUUAGAAUUAAAAAAUUUAAAAAAUCGGGAAAAUGGCACAACAAUCUCAAGUUGAAACCCUAGAUUUAUCAUCGUCAAAUGAUCAGUCUCAAUCGUCUCCAUCAUCAUCUUCGGAUCCGUCGCUGUCGAGAAAUUCGUCGUUCAGUCGACUCAACGCGAAGGCGCCUGAGUUCGUUCCGACUCGGAAUCCACAAUCGACUCAGUCAAAGCCACAAGUGCAAGUACAAGUACAGCAGCCGCCGCAGCGAGUGAUGAUGCCUCCUCCGCCGCCACCGGCGGCAGCCAUGGUUCACCCUCAUCCUCCUCCUCCUCAUCCGCCUUCUCCUCAUCAUGUUUAUCCGCCGCAUGGAACGGGAGCGUUUCAUGUGAUUCCGGUUCACCAUCAGAUGCAUCACCAGCAUCAUGUCCCGGUUCAGAAUUAUCAUCAUCAGCAGCAUCAACAUCACAGGAAUCACAAUCAUCAUCAUCAUCGGCAUCAGAAUCAUCAUAAUAAUAAUAAUAAUAGUCACCAUCAGAAUAAUCAGUAUGAAGAUCAGCAAGAGGGUGAGGUUCCAGGGGUCAAGGAUAAGAAGGAGAAGAAGGAUCAUCAACAUGGUGGAUUAAAUGAUGAAUCUAUUCAGAAAGUUUUGAAUCAGGUAUUCUCCUCUUUGGAAAUUUAAUGUUUAGCAACGAUAUUGGUAAUUAUCGGUUUGUGUCAGCUAUUAAUCAAUGUGUUCGAGUAUGUAGAGUUUGAAUUAAGUGCUCGGUCACUAGCCGUUGUAUUUUUUUAAGUGGAUUUAAGUUAUCUUAGUCAGAAUUAAUCUUUUGUUAUCUUUGGGAUCAAGGUGUUGUGCUUUUAAUCCACGCCUGCUCUGAAGUGUACUCAUUAGCUGCCAAGUAUAGGUUUUUUGGGCAGUUGGUAAGUAUUAGCUGCAAAGUAAAAGUGCAUGUUUGCAAAUGCUUUAACUGCUAUGCUAUCAGUUACUUAUAUACCCGUAAUAAGAAUUUACUGUAGCUUUGGACUGUAAGUACUAUCACAAUGAAGGUAAAACCUGCAUGGUAAUUAACAGCAGUUGACUUCAGUCCUGGUAUGGGGCCUUAAGAUGCAAACAAUCUUCAGUUUCUUUUCUUUUUUACUCUUUUGUGGUACAUUGGCAUAUUAUUACAUCAUAGAGGACCCAGUAAUUUUUGUCGAUUCUGCAAGUAGUGGUUCUCCUUUGAUAUUUCUUUCGUGCUUUCAUUUUAUUUUCCUGACCGUCACUUUCUGUGGAUAAUGUUUUGCUUAUUGUUUUUUACAAUAAAUCAACUUGUAGGUGGAGUAUUAUUUCAGUGAUUUAAACUUGGCCACUACUGAUCAUCUUAUAAGGUUCAUCCUCAAGGAUCCCGAAGGAUACGGUAAGAUCUCUGAUACAUUCAUUAUAUUUUAAAUAGUUUGUUGUAGAAUGGUUCUGUCUAUUUAGGCUCGAAGUUUACUGCCCCCUUUUUUUUUAUAGUGUUUAGGGAUAGAAAUAGUUUAUUUCUUUCUCUAUCUCCUUUCUUUGUCUUUGGUGUUCUUUCUCUCUCUCAAUGAGCACUUGGUUCUAUCGAGGUGAUUUUCAUUGAGAACCUGUGGAAGGCUUUAUAUGUUCUGCGGAAAGCAUGUUAAGCAUUGGAAAUCAAAUUAUUAAAAUUUGAACCUAUAAAAAGCCAUGAUGAAAUGUAAAUGAUUAUUUAAAAAAAAAAAUUGUCUUACCAACAGAAAUUAUUGUCAGCAAUCAAAUAAAAAUUGGAAUUCUAUUUACAUCUGCACAAAAUUGCCUUUUUACCACAGAUGCCAAAAAAAAAAAAUUAAAAUAAAAUUAGUAGGGGCGUAUAUUUGGUAUGUUUACGUUAUGAGAUUAAAUUGGUUGUUGGCUUUCUAUAGGUAUUCGUACUUCAGCUGGUUUUCACUUUUAUAUGCAUGAGUAUUAAUUGUAUUAUCUUUUCUAUUCGCUUGACUGAUUGAUUACAUUGAAAGAUUGUCAAUUUUCUAUUAGUGGUUUCCAUAUUUAUUCUAAUAUCUUGUCUUCAUUAUUACUAUAGUGCCAAUAUCAACUGUGGCUUCUUUUAAGAAGAUUAAAGCUAUCAUAAGCAGUCAUUCCCAUCUUGCUAGUGUUCUGCGGAAGUCUUCAAAACUUGUGAGUAGUUUAUCUUGUGCUCUUGCUUUAACUUGCUUUAACUACUACUUUGUUGCACAUAAUGUUUUCUAAUUGCUGUACAUAUGUUCUGAAUCUUUCUCACACAAUAACUAACAGGUUGUUAGUGAAGAUGGAAAGAAAAUAAAACGUCAGAAUCCCUUGACCGAGUCAGAUUUGGAAGAAUUGCAAGUACGGAUUUUGUUUUUCUUAAGCUGCUUUUUCCCAAUUAUUAUUAUGUUGGGUGAGUUCUGUCAGUACCUUGUUUAUCCUGUUUCUUUGCUCAUCCAAGGUAGUUUGUGGAAAACUUGUGCUUCAUCUUUGACUGUGUAUGUGUCUCCCUAGAGCUUUAUGGGGUGCAUGUUGUAUUUUUUUAGAGUGAAUCAAAAUUUUGUAGUCUUCCUAAUUACUGACAUUAUUAUUUUUUAAAAAUUCUUUUUCUCCUUUUGUGAUCUGUAGUCUCGCAUUGUUGUUGCUGAAAAUUUACCUGAGGAUCAUUGCCACCAAAAUCUUAUGAAGAUUUUCUCUGCUGUUGGGAGGUACUAAGUUCUUUUAUACUUAAUUAAUUACUGCUUAUGCGACUUUUUCUGUAAUUGUGUAUAUCCUGAUUCUGGAUGCUUGAGCUUGCUGGAUUGUUCUGUGUCAGUGUGAAGACUAUUCGUACAUGUUUGCCUCAAACUUCUGGCGGAGGAGCUUCUUCAGGAUCUAGAUCAGCAAAAUCUGAGGGCAUGCUUUUCAGUAACAAGGUAUCAAUACUUUUCAAGUCACUUUUAAUUUUGCUUUUCAUUUACAUCUGCAUCAUAUUGCAUUGUUCAUCUGUAUUGGAGUGGUGACUGGAAUGUCCCUGUUGUGCUUGAUGGGGAAUUUUAAGAUAAUAUUGACUAUGACUUGUAGGAUCGUCUACAGUGUGUACUUUCUGGUGCUCUAUGGUCCAUAUAUAUGGUGUAUGAUACAUUGUUCGUCUGUAUUGGAGUGAUGACUGGAAUGUCCCUGUUGUGCUUGAUGGGGAAUUUUAAGAUAAUAUUGACUAUGACUUGUAGGAUCGUCUACAGUGUGUACUUUCUGGUGCUCUAUGGUCCAUAUAUAUGGUGUAUGAUACAUUUUCUGGUUGAAUUGAUUGCGAUUUGUAUCAGCUUCUAUAUCUUUUUCACGUUGAACUAGAUAUUGUGAUUGUCAUGCCAUGGAGAAUGCUUUUGUCAAGAAUUUCUUUGUGGACUCAAUAAGGCUUCAAGGCCUAUGCACCUCUACAGUGAUCCAUUUCCUUGGGCUUAAUGAGCUCUGAAGAAGGCUUCUCUAUGCUAUUAGAUGUUAUCAUCCUAAAAUCUUUUUAAGUGCCAUUUAUAUGUGCUGCUUUGACUAAUUUAAUGCAAGUUUUGGAGUGAAUAAUUUUUGGACUUAAGAAUUUCUGAUAGCAGUACUGAUGAGAGUUUCUUGACAUAUUUUUUAUGAUAAACAAAAAUGUGUGGGUAUUAGAUAUUGCUAUCCGCCUGCUGAAAUCUUUGUUUCAUGUGUAGUUGCACGCAUUUGUUGAAUAUGAAUCUGUUGAGCUGGCUGAGAAAGCGGUAAGUCACUUACAUUUUAUGAUAAUGUUGUUUUUCUUUUCUGCUUUUUGUCUUUCUUUUCUGCGUUUUGUCUUAUGUUUGUCACUCAGACUAAUGAAAUACGCACCUCCUUCCUGGCAGAUUGCAGAGCUAAAUGAUGAGGGUAACUGGAGAAGUGGCCUAAGGGUCCGUUUAAUGCUUAGACGUGGGGUAUAUUCCAGAACUUAACUCUUUCCUUUUGAUCUUCGCAUUUUUUGCUCACACCAGUGAUAAAUAAUGCUGGUUGAUCUUUGAAUUAAAUCUACAUCGAUCUAAUGGAAUGACGCAUACACUAGAUGAAUUAUCUGGAUGAAUUAUGUGUUAAAUUUACACUCACUAGAUAUACUUUUAGUGUAGUUUUAUGUUACCAGCAUUGAUCUUACACUUCGAUUGGCUUAGCAAUAGACUGCUUCCGAGCUUGAAAACAGUAGUAUUUAUUUAUUAAUCUGUUGUUACAUUAACUCCGACAUACACAUGCAACAUCUAUUGACCAUUGAGAUGUUAUGAAAAUGCAUUUUGGAUGCACAAGAGUCUUGAUAUGGAAGUGGAACACUGCAUUUUUCUUUCAAUUAUUGUAAUUAAGCUGAAGCUUGAUACAUAAAGUUAAUGGUUUUUUAAAAUUUAGGUUGGCUUAUGGGGCUAGUCUAAUUGAUUGGUUCUUAUCUGGUUGAUUGAUCUCUUUUAGAAGUAUUCUUAUCUCUCUUUAUCCUUUUUCUUUUACAAGUUAAAAAGGAAGUUUUUGUGGUGCUAAAUUUGUUGAUUGAUUGUUCUCUCCCUUCUCUUGCUUAGUCAAAACCUGCUCAAGUUAAAGGUAAAAAGGGGCAUGAGGGGGAGUGGCAGUGUGAAGAAGAAGAUACCUCCACAUCUGAGCAGCAUUUGAAUGAGAAGCAACCGGAUGAUUCUUCUCAACAAAGUGAUGUACAGUCACAUGACCAUACAGUGAGUGCCAGCAUAGUUUCUCAUAUUGUUGGGCUGCUUUCUGCAUAACUGGCUGUUAGUCAAGUAAUGUUCUUUCAUAUCGUGUAAUAAUUAAGAUUAGCUCAGAAAUGUGAGGAUUAUUUUUAUAAAUGCAUUAUGCAGAAACAUUCUAUGCUCCUAACUAUGCUGUUUAGAAUUUAAGCUGAGUGGAGGAGAAAAGAAAGUGACUUGUUCAAACUUGUGAUUUUGAUUUUGCUUUUAUGUGCCUGAUUUGGAACUUCUGAAAGGAAUGUGCUUGUGCUUGUAUUUGCUUCAGGGAUUUGUCUAUAUCACGGUGUUAACUCUUAAUUUAUAACAUUGCUUGGGCAGGGAGAGGAGCACAAUAAUGAGAAAGAGGGUGGACAGAGAAAAGGGCGUAACAAGGGUCGUGGAAAAGGACGUGGCCGGAAUGAUCGUGGUCAAUACCACAACAACAGCCACCAUAACAACAGUCAUCACAACAGCAAUCAUAAUAACCAUCACAAUAAUCGGGGACAUCACGUCGGUACACCCCCAUCAAAUAAUAUGGUGAACAAUGAGCAGCCAAUGAUAGGCAAGCAACCUCCUGGUCCCCGAAUGCCAGAUGGAACACGAGGAUUUGCAAUGGGUCGAGGGAAACCAGUUGCUGUUAAUACUGCUUGAAUUUUAUUUCUGCCGAUAUACAGAUGUUUUUGUUACCAGCACCGCAAGUGUGUUUACGGUUGGGGAACCGUGUCUAUUCCAGCUGUGUUGAUGGCAGGGUUUUUCCAAAGGGUCUGUCCAUCUGUCUAGAGUGUCGUGUUAGGGUUAAUUUUAGCCGUUUGGAUUCCGUAUUUUCUGGUAUGUAUGAUGAUGCUAAAACAAAUGUUGCCCUGUUUUUUUGUUUUGCUGGUUAAUGUUUUUGUUCCAGUUUUAUUUAUGUAGAAAACAUGAAAAAAGAAGCCUUAUUGGAGUCCGAAAUGCUUACAGAUAAAUAUGAGCUAAUAAGACUACGAGAAGAAGAUGCAAAAUAAAGUGUUUGUUAGAAUCUUCUCUGCAAUUUUGUUUUGCAUUUGAUUGCCGGAAUUAGGUAGUUGUAUUUCGCAAUAUUUAGAAUAAAAUUUAUUAUAUAUUAUAACUGAACAACUUCAAUGCAACCAGGCCUAUUAGCUCAGCUGGUUAGAGCGUCGUGCUAAUAACGCGAAGGUCGCAGGUUCGAGACCUGCAUGGGCCAUAAAAUAAUUUUUAAAAUUUAAAAUAAUUUUUUUCUUCCCAAAAUGCCAAUUGCCACCAACUCACCAAACCAAGCUCCUGAGUGUUGACUCGACAAAUUAAGAAUUUAAAAAAAAAAUAAUAAUAUCAACAAUUGAAUAACCCUUUUUGCCCCGAAAAUAGUCACCAUCUCUAUACUUUUAAAAAAUGAAAAAGAAACAAUUAAAAUAAAAAUAAAAACAGAAUCACGCUCUCAAUUCAAUUUGCACCACCCUCUUUUUCUUCACAAAAUUUUCCUUAAAAUCUCCACCCAUCAGAAAUGGUUGAACCAUCACCACCCUCUCCUUCACUCCAAAUCCCCAACCACAUGGUCCCACCGCCGUUAGAUCCGCCGCCACAACCUUCACCGUCACCGCCACAACCACAACAACAAAGAACAUCCUCACUCUUUUCAUUCCCCAGCAGGCCUGCUCUUAGAGUGACUUCAGAGUUCGACAGUGACAGCUCAAUUUUCUUGCACAAGAUAUCAUGCAAGUUAUUUGACAGUCUAGCAAAGCUCAAAGUCUCCUUUCAGAACGACAACAAAGGCCAAAUCUUCGAACCCCAGUUGGCUUUCACUUCCAAGCAUCUCUCCCUUCACUAUGAUCUUGAAGAACAGAAUGCUUUUGUUAAGUCCUCUUUCGAUGUUGGUCCUAAGUUGCAUUUCAGAGCUGCCCACGAUGUCAAGGUCUCUCCUUUCUCUUGUUUCUUCAUAAAUUUGCUUGCUUUUCAUUUAUAUUCAAGUUUUUGAGAAAUGAGUUUUUUUUUUUAAUUGCUAUGAAUUGGACUAUGCUUUCGAUGAGCUUCUGCUAGUGUUCGAAUUAAGGUAAGUUGUAUUGUUUUUUGGGGUCCGUAUUGUGUAUACUCAAGUUUCAAGAUAAGGAUUUCGGUUUAUUUUCAUUUUCUAGUUUUUAGCAUUAAUUUGUUUGGACUAUGGGUUAAAAUUUAGAUAUUUUGGCUGAACUUAUUGAAUUUUUACAUUUCAACCAUGCUAUUGAGAAAAUUAUGCAUCUUUAUAUUACUAAGAGAUUCCCAGGGGUUAAAAAUUGCAUGUCCAAAUGGCCCUGCUUAUGUUGUUAAUGUUCAAAAUUAAGAUCCAUUGACAUGGUGUGAUAAUUGGAGUCUUUUCGUUUUCAAUUUGCAUUAUCUUGUAGCCAUACAAGUGAUAUGGUUUUGGGAAUGUAAGGUAACUGGAGAAUUACGAGUUUUUGAGGGCAAUUACUCUCUGUUUAAGCUUUAUAUGUGCUUUUUCUGUCUCUCUAACAUUUCUUUUACCUUUUAGGCACAACAAGGAGAGGUGGGAGUCGUUGCAAACCUUGGCGAUCCUGGAUAUGCUCUGGAAUUGUCGUCUCCAGUCCCCUAUGUUGGUUAUGUAAGUCCUAUCUUGGCAAAUUACCUUCAGCGUUCAGUUGUCUUUGCAUUCAAGAAAAGUUGCUUUUGAAGCCUUGGUCAUCUGAAUACUCAUAGCCCGUCAUCUUUGUUUUUCUAUGUUCAUCUUUCCCACCAAAAUUUUUCCUACAGUUUCAUCAUUUCCAACAUCAUCUCUGAUGGUUGUUUCACAAUGUUACUGCAUUCAUUAUAUGUAUUUCUGUUUCAGCAUGUAUAAGUCAACAAGUUAAUUAUCCUCUUUUAUUGCCUUAGUUAUCUUCUUUUGAUGUUGCAGCCGAAAGCAACUUUUAAAUUCCCCCUUGGCGAAGUUUCAUUGGUGGAGAGAGAAGAGGAAGAAGUGAAGAAAACAUUGUCUAUAAGUGGAAUCGCUAAAGGUCAGAUUUUGAAUGGGAUCUGCACAGCUCAAUACGAGGAGGAAGAUUUGAAACUAAGAUACUGCUAUAAGGUGCUUUGCUCUUCGCACUGUAUUUUUUCCAAUUUCUACUACUAUUGCGGCUUAUGUUGAUUGCCAGGCUAUCCUCCCUUGGUAAUUACUAUGUGUGUUGGUGAGAGGGACAUUUAACCAGGGACUCCUUUUCCUGGAAUUUUGAAAUAAGGGCAUGCCAAAUGCACAAUUAUCAAUUUUCAGUGCCAUUCUUUUUUCUUUUCUCAAUCAAUGUUGUUAAAAAUUUUAUUAUUAAUUGCAGGAUGAGGCUUUGUCAUUUAUUCCAACUAUUUCACUUCCUUCAAAUGCUCUAUCAUUUGCAUUAAAGCGUCAGUUUAGUCCCUCUGAUAAGUUGAGGUUAGAACUCUCUUUAUUCCCCUUCUUCCCUCUUCACAUCUAAUUGGAAAUCUUUCUUUUUGCGAUUCAUGGUUCUUCUGGCUAUAGAAUGAUCAAUGCUCAUGGAAAUGGAAAUUGAAAAAUAUUAGCUCCAAUAUAGAUACUCUGUAUUUUAUUGAUGAGUUUUGUUGUUCUGGAGUAUGAAUUGCUCAAUGAGAACCUCAGUAAUAAUGCAUCCUAGAAGAAUGCUGAUUGUGGGAAUUCCUACGUACCUUUCUUUUGUGCUAUUUUCAUUGGACAUGAGAUUUUCUCUUGCAAUAGAAGAGAUCGCUUGAGAAGUGCCAAUAGUGUAAGAGCUCUUGUAUAACUUAAUGUAAUCUAUACACACUGCAAUAUGUAUUUGUUGCAAUAUAAAACUUGCUGUUAGAACAUCACCAUUAUGAGAGAUAUUCAUGCUUAGGAUGCCAGGGACACCUAAAAUAUGUAGCUGCCUUGUCAAUGCUAGACUGAUGCGUUCACUUAUCAGUACAUGUUGAAACUAGAGAUUUGCCCAACCAGAUUUUUAGAGUUAAAGUGAAAUAAAUUCUGAGGUUUUAAUUUAUUUUUCCUCAAAACAAUUUGGAUUAUCCUGGAACUUCUAAUGAUCCGUACUCUUAACAACCCUGCUUUCACCUUUCAUAUGUUUUCCCCUUUCCAUUGUCUUUCUACUAGAAAACAGAUGUUCUGUCAGUUCAGUGAAUUUAAAAAUAUAUUAUAACUAUACAAGCAUAGUGGAAUUGUCGUGUGCAGUCCCUCAUAGCCACUUUGAAUUUCCAGCUGGGUUUGCUAUUUUAAGAUGUAUAGCUUUUUCUAUUCAGGAAAGACCUUUCUCAUGUCUGCUUGAGUAGAUAUUAUUUUAAGAAGUAAGGUGGGGAUGAAGAGUGGAUGUGAAUUCUUAAGUCAUCAUAAAUAUGUUCUUAAUAGUCAUCAUAAAUAUUGUUGUCGAUAAUAUUUUCAUGUAAAGCCCUAAAAAUUAACUUGGGAAUGCAAAUCUUCUCUUCUAUUCUGGAAAGUAGAAAUGGUGAAAAUAUGAACCUUUAUUUUUGUUCUGCACUGAAAGUUGAUUGCUAGAUGGGAAAGGAACGGGACUUUCUAUGACGGCGUCAAAGAUUUCAGAUCUUUCUUUGUAUAUAAUUCAUUUUCAUUUUUUUAUUUUUCAAAUUAAUCAUGAAUUUCUGGCUUGGUCAUAUAUUGAUGGAAUUUAUUAUUUAUUGAAAUUUUCAUAAUGCAGCUACUGGUACAAUUUUGAUUCCAACUACUGGAGUGCAGUAUACAAACACACAUAUGGCAAAGACUUUAAGUUCAAAGCUGGUUAUGAUUCAGAGGUGCGACUAGGCUGGGCAUCUCUUUGGGUAAGUGGUUUUGAAAAGAGCUCACCGUCAUUUGUUUGUCAUCAUUGUUGUGAUUGCUACAGUUCCCUCAACUUCUAUGAUUACCAAGGACUUUGCAUGAUUUCUUGAUGCAUAAUCAUGAUGUCCAAAUUUCAGGUUGGAGAUGAAGGCGGAAAGGCAAGGACAGCCCCGAUGAAGAUGAAAGUCCAAUUCAUGCUCCAAGUGCCACAAGACGACAUCAAAUCCUCAGCGUUAAUGUUCCGUGUUAAAAAGAGGUGGGAUGUAUAGGGAUCUGUCAGCUUGACAACCUCGUCCACAUAUGCUCUAAAUGUAGGUUUUUAUAUAGUAGCAUAGUUUUGGGACAUCCCCCCUUGUAAUGAUGCUUACUGCUACAUAAUGACAUCAACUUGGUAUUUUCGUCACAAUAAUUUUUUACACUAGAAAUCAGGUUAUUCACACCUGGGGAUGUUGGGUGAAUUAGAAAGCCACGGGGUUGCCAUAGGGUGACCGGCUGAUGGAAAUUCUACUAAAAUUUAUGCAGCCAGAUGUGUAAGGCUGUACUCUGCUGCAGUUGUCAUUGUCUGAUUGAUACUCUAGCCAAAUGGUUUCUUUAUUGGCAACCUCUAACAAAAUGAUGCAAUUGUUCAACAUUUCUUUUUUCUAAUUUUUUAUCAAGGCCAUAUGAAUUUCACUCAAAUUUUCUUAUUAAUGGGUCUGUUUCUAUUUUUACUUUCCAAUUUCACCUCAAGUACAAGUUGGAUUAAAACCAGCUGCCUGAGGGCCUAUUUGACUAUUUGAGUAACACUACACCUUUAGUGGUAUCUCAAUUUUUUUUCCCAACAUUAUUUUGAUAAAUUAUAUUUUAAAAAACACUAUUCAUUUAAAUGAAGGUGGGCCGUGAGUAUUAGGUAUCUAAUUUUGAUAUUUUAUAUAAUCAUAUUUUGUUAGUUUUUGUUGAUCUUUUAAUUAUCUGAUCGUGUAAUAUAUCUAAGUAUAGGCUUUUUUGUUUUUUUAAGUAUUAUUUUAAUAAUUUUUAUUUCAAGCGAGGUGGAAUUUAUUUAAUGACGUGGAGUCCGGCCUAGUUGAUAAAUGAAAAUUUUAAUUUUACGGCUCGUUUCUUAAAAAAGUUCCAUUUUAAGGUAGCGACGGUUAAAAUAGAAGACCAAAAUCUUAACAGAAAUGAAAAGCUGAACGUCAUGCGAACUGUGAGUCGUGGCUUGAUAUCCAACGCUCUCCGCUUCUCAUUCUCAAUUCCCAAUAUUCUGCAGUUACCUAUCAGCUCUGUUCGUACAAGAAGCUUUGGGAUUCGUGCGACCAAACCGAAGAUGGGAAAGAACAGAGAAGAAGUAGAGAACGAUAAUGUCAUAAAAUCACAUCCUCGUGUGAACAAGUUGCAGCAACUCAUGCAUAUCGAAUCUUCUGGUAAAAGUUAAAAUACCCACUUUCAUUUUCCCAUAACGUUUCAAAAUUUAGUCCUUUUUUUUAUGGGGUUAUGAAUUUGGUAUCAGAAGAUGGAUUGCUAUGUGGGUAUGAGUGGUUUUUUUUUUUUUUUUAAUAAAUGGAAUCUGUUGGAUAUUUGACUGAGCAAUAGCUGACUACGUGUAAAAAGAAUGAGUACAUGUUUGUCAUUGUUGGGCAUUAUGCUUAAUUUUGUAACCUGGAUAGCUUAAAGUGUUUGGUAAAUACCCUUAUUUCAACUUUUACAGCUAAUAUUUAUGAACUAUCUGCCUACUUAUACUUGAUACUUAGUGAUUUAAUUUUAGAGUAGUCGUGGAUUAAAAAUUUCUUUCCCUUGAUCCCAAAUGGUUCGAUUAACGCACUAAGCAGGAAUUUUCUGAGAUAUUAGUUGAAAAUGAAUAUGAGCCACUGGCAUAUAAACCUGAUGCUUCUGAGUUCCAGUGCCAAUCUAAGGAAUAUGUGUAUCUAUUUUGGUGUGACAAUUUAUUUCAUGCAGUCCUAGUGUAUCUGGAAAAAUACCUGGGAUUGAUAAUUUGACAUUUUAGUGGAAGGCCAUUAAAGCCAAUUUCAUUUUCAUCGAACUUUGUUUAGCAUUUUAAGUUAAACUUGACGAGUUGGGUUCUUUGUGGUUUCAUUGGCUAAUCCCUGAUUGAAAUUGAGCUUUAUACAAGUAGUCAAUAGACUUGCAUAUGCAUUUAGUGGGAAUUCUCACAUUUGUUGUGUGUUUAAUUAGGAGUGUGGUGAAACAUCUGUUUUGUUGUGUAUGAAAUCCAUAAAGUCCUAUUGAUGGAAUAGUUCUCCAACUUGUGUUGGGGUUUAGGGCUUCUCCACAUGUGUUUUUUGUUAUAGAAUGUUGAACCAUCAUGUCAUUAAUCUUUCAGGAGGAUGGGAGAAAUGCUGGGAGGAGGGGUUGACCCCGUGGGAUAUAGGACAACCUGCACCUAUUAUUGUACAUUUACAUCAAUCAGGAGCCCUUCCCAAGGGCAGGGCUCUGGUCCCUGGUUGUGGCACUGUAAGUUGUAUGAUCCUGUAUGCAUUUUCACCUUUUUAGAGCUGCUGAUUAGUUUUUUAAAUCAUCCAUUUGCACAAUAAAUAGCUAUAUGAAAAUUCUGUGAUUGUUGUAUGACAUUAUCACUAGUUUAUGCUUUGUUUUCCUCCCCGCUUCCCUUCUUGCAUUCUAAGACCUCUUAAAAGGAGCCGAAACACGAUAGCUGAACGAAUAUAAUAAGCAGUUAAGAAGGAAGAAAGUUGCAUGCCGUUAAAUAAGCACUUACAGAGCACCAUUAUUAUCAUUUGAAGCAAUAGCCUCCUACCUAAGGCUUAUUCCUUAUUUUCACAUGCUACUAUUUUAACUGUUGUCUUGCUACUUGGUGUAGCCUUUGUAACAAGGCUGUUCCUAUAUGGCAGGGUUAUGAUGUGGUAGCAAUGGCAAGUCCUGAACGAUAUGUUGUGGGAUUGGAGAUAUCGGACAUUGCCAUCAAGAAGGCAGAAGAGGUGACAACAGUCUGAAAAUUUCAAGUUAGCACUUAUAGAGAUGUUGAUAUGUAUAUUUCACAGUUGUUUUCUCUUCCUUUGAAUGCAUCGACAUUACCAUGAUAAUCAGAUGUGAUGGUCAGGGUCGCUGUACUACUUUACUGAAUCAUUUGAGUUGCUGUUUAUAUCUAAAUUCAGUUUGUAUUCUUGCCUGAGUAACUAAAUGAUUCUGCAUUUCCAUCUAAAUUUUUGGUAUUGGAAGCUUUUGCUAUUUUAAAGUUCCAUUUGGACUGAUUCUCCCUCUCAUCAAUGUCAUUGUUGCCAUGUUUUGAGGAAUCUAAGUCUCGUCGUUGCUCUGUUUUGAAGAAUCAAAAUCAUCUCAGAUUUUCUCUAAAUUGCGGACAUGCAUUCAAGCUGUUGGACAAAGUACCAAAGAAAUAGAAAGGUCCUUUUUGAGUGUGAUAACCCCACUUUCUUUCAUGCACAAAACUACAUUCUUUCAGGUAGGCAAUGGAUUGAUAGCUAUUAUGUUUAUAAUUGACACAAAAUGUGUAACUCACCUUUUUGGUCCAAACCAGUAUGUUCACGUUGUAACUCACCUUUUCUGUCCAAACCAGCUUGUUCACAUUGUUAUUAUUAAGAGCACUUGAGUUUCUCAGCUGCAACACGUUUUAUAAGGACAGUUUGAUUAUCGUGCUAGUAUCUAAAUACCUUUGCUACGUGCACUAUGAAAUCUAUGCUGGAUUUUUAGUUUUUGUAUGAUCACCUGAACAACAGUUCAUUGUGGUAGUUCUAGUUGGUUCCUGAAAAUUUCUUCAGUCUAAUCUUCUAUUUAAAUGUUAAGGCAGCUGUCUUCCUCAUUACCAAAUGCAAAAUUUGUUAGCUUCUUAAAGGCAGACUUCUUCACUUGGUGCCCAACUGAGUUGUUUGAUCUCAUCUUCGAUUACACGUAAGUUGACAUUAGAUUGUCUUUGUUUCUUACAUCAACAUCGUGUGUUGAUUAUCAUUUUCUUAUUCAUGUUGCAGAUUCUUUUGUGCCAUUGAGCCAGAAAUGAGAGCAGCAUGGGCACAGAAAAUUAAGGAUUUUUUAAAACCAGAUGGAGAGCUUAUAACACUGAUGUUUCCAGUAAGAUCUUUGUAUCUUCAUUUCCUUUUCCGUUUCCUUUCCCUGUUUGGAGAUUUUCCUUUGCAAGUGAAUAAUAAUACUCUCAUGUUGUUUUAUUUGUUUAUUUUUCUCUUUGUCCAUGUGUCUAGUCUAGGACAUUUAUGUCUGAAUUAUUUCCCAAUGCUGCUACUCAAGCUAAAAUUACGUUGUUGCAGAUUAGUGAUCAUGUCGGUGGACCUCCUUAUAAAGUAUCAGUAUCUGAGUAAUACUCUACCUUCAGAUUUUUUUCCUUGAUCUUCUUGGAGUAGCUUUGCACUUUAAAUCUUUUACUGCUUUCUAAAAUUCUAUAAGUCUGCGAAUAUUUCUCUAUACUCACAAAAUUAUUUUAUUUAUUCAUUAUCUUGCAGUUAUGAAGAAGUAUUACAUCCCAUGGGUUUCCAAGCAACAUCUAUUGUUGACAAUAAACUCGCUAUUGGUCCACGGAAGGUGUGCGAAAAUAUUAAUUCAUUCGUGCAUUUUUAUAGUCUUUGGUGCUAUUGGAGCAUUGCUCCUUAUCCAUUCAUUGCUCACCACGUGUAUGGAGACAAUAACUGAUGAACUAUUCAUUUUAUCAUAAAAACAGAGAAGAAUAGUUAAUGGGUUUUAUUCUAAUGUCAUGUGACGAUCGAAGAUUACUAAAAAAGGAUUUUCAAUAUAAUUUUACAGGGAAGAGAAAAGCUUGGAAGGUGGAAAAGAUCCGUAAGGCACUCCUUGCUUUAAUGAUGAAUCAUGAUCGCUUUAUUUGAAGAUCACUUGGAGUCACAACAAUGUAAUGCUUGACACGUCCUGGUUUAAUCCUUGUAACUGUGGCAUACAUAUUCUUCAUUCUGAAAGAAGUCUUCAAGUGAAGCUCAUGCACGAUUUUUAUUUCUUUUCUAGAGAAAAAGGCUAUGCAAAUCAGCAAUCUGGUCAUGCUACAAUACCUGGAUGAUACGUAGUAUUAUACUUACAUUUCUGUAGUUGUUACUAGUCUCAUUUUUUAAUAUUAUAAUUUAGUAAAGUUUUACUAUAUAGUGUAGAAUAAGAUCCUCUCUUUACUUGAACUCGAGCUUUAAAGAAUUAUUUGACAUGUGUAAUAUUAAUAUUCUUCGUAUAUGGUUAAGAUUCAUUCUUUUGUUAUAUUCUACUUAUUAACAUCCAUUUGCCUGUAUGUACUUUAAAGAAUCUCACGAUGCUAUUUUGCAGGUUUUAGAGACAUCAGUUGUGAUACAGACAUAAUUGGUGUUUUAACUUCUAAACAGUUUGUCAAUGUGUCUCUCUUAAUUCUCCUCGAUCAUUCUCUACAUAACAUAAAAGUAAAGAUUUUUUCCAAUCGUUUUUUUUAAAUAGUCUUAACGCAUAAUUGGAGUAUGACAAAUAACAUAUACAAAACUGCAGCUUUGGCUAUAACGUGUGUGUGUGUGUGUGUGUGUGUGUGUGUGGUGACAAUCAAGCAUCAGGUGGAAACUGUUGCUUCAGAGCUGUAAAAUUAGCACAUUUAUGACGAAUAACGGAGAUGCAAGUUAAUAAUGGACAAUUGAUGCGCAGAAAAUCUUCCCCAAACUACAGCAUGUAUCUAUCUAUCUAUGCAUAAAUAUGUACAUAUAUACACUCUAAUUCUCUACAUGCCUAUGGAAUAAAAUCACAAAAUGAACUUGCCUUUUUCAAAUUUUCUAAGACGUCAAUAGGGAUGGUAAAAUUAUCUGCAAAGCCACAAACUUAUAAAUCUAUCCAAACAUACCUGCAGAAACUCACUUGUUGCAAGUAAUUUUGUGAUUUGCUGGUAGGUUUGGUAUUUCAAACUUAAACUUGUUAUGAGUUGUGAAUGUGUUUGGUAUUGAGAAAAAAUACGCCGUACGCGAGUGUCUGUCAACAUGCAUUCUUUAUUUAAUUAUUUAUGUUUUUAAUUUUAAUCAUAAAAAUUACAUUAAAAAAAUUUAGUCAUAAAUGUAUGUAAGUUAAAGUUUCUAAUUCUUAAACCUAACCUAUCUCACUUACACACACACACACACAAUAAGCCUUUAAUAAGUAGAAAUUUUAUGAUUUUUAAGUUUAAUGUUAUUGAUGUUUCAUUUUAAGUUGAUUGAUUUUGUUUGUUUUGCUUUAAUGCCUUGAACCAAAUGAUUACCUACAAAAGUUGAGUUUUUAUUUGUUUAAUUUAUUGUUAAUGGUAGUUGUAUAAAAUUUACUUGUUAAUAUUAUUGAUAAUACUUGUAUAUCGAUUAAAAGAUGGAGUAAACAAUUGAUAGUAGUGAUGAUGAUUUGCCUUAUGUUAGAUAAAUAAGUUUUGUAUAUUUGUUUUAAUAUUGAAAUUUUAAUUUCUUAUUUAUAUUGAUAAAAUAUAGAAUUGAGCAUUAUAUGUUGAAUUUUUUAGGCUAUUCUUAUAAAUUUAUAGUUUGAAUCAUAUAAUUUAAGUUUUAUGUACUACUAAAAGUUUUUUUUAAUAUUUAUGAUUUUAAAUGAGAAAAUCAGCAAAAAAUCCGCCGAAGAUUGCGGGUGAGUUUGGUAACAUAUAUAUAUAUAUAUAUAUAUAUAUAUAUAUAUUCAACUCUCACUUUCAGCCAACAUAACAUUAUUUAUUUAUUAUAUAAUUGAUACGAUACCUCUAAUAUAUUCUAAAAUUUUUCUCCUAUGAGAGGAUAUCCCGGUCAUAACUCUUUAGAGAGCAACACGAUCAAAGUCCACAUCUUCUUAGGAUCCUUUAGGGCACAGUUCUAUGGAGGACAAAAUCAAAUGUCAAAAAGAAAAAAAAAAGAUUUUUUAAUACUCUAAAUUAUUAAUAAAUCCUAAUUUAUUUUUCUUAAAAGUAAAAUCACAAACCAACCAGAAAAGAGUGAUGAUAUCUCCACCCCACAUUUUUUGUGAGUCCCCCACUUUCAAAAAAUAAUUAUAAAAGUUGCACAUUAUUUUUAAAGUUUUCAAAUCAAAAAGAGUUUUGGAGAAUUAAUUAAUUAAAUCUAUCUUAGUUCACUUUUUUGUACAAAAAUAAUCAUUUAUAAUACUACUUUAUUAGUAUAAUUAUUAUUAUUUUAAUUAAACUAACAUAGUGUCUUUAUGGCACAAUUCUCAUGUAAAUUAUUACGCUGUCAAAUUUAUGUCAUUUACACGUAAGGAUAGUGAAAUAAUAAUUAGGUUUCAUUAAAAAAUAUUAGAUUAUAAGUCAAAAAAUUAAGUACCUAAAUUAUUUGAUAUAAUAACUCAUGUUUUAUGAGGAUAAUUUCAUCUUUUUAUAUCAUAAUAAUAAAAUAGUAAAAUAAAAUUUAUGAUAAAAAAUGGUUAAAGAACCUGAGAAAAAAAAUUAAUAAAAGGAUUUAAUUGAUUAACUGUACACAAUUUUAUUAAUUUGUAUUUUUUAAGAAUAUUGUGAACUCGUUAUAAUUAUUUUUUAGAAGUGAGGUAGAUUUACAAAAAUGAUAGAGUUGAAACAUCCCCAUUCAUUAGAAAAACAUUAACGUUACAAAUAUCUAUUAGAGGUAAGACGAUAUCAGUGAGAUUGUGAGAUAUAUAGUUGAUGAAUUGAGAAAUGCGUUAUUCUUUUAGUAAGAGAAUAUUUUAUUAUAGCCGGUCCACAUUUAACUCCUGACUAGGCGAUUAGAGUUGGUUAUGCAACUCGAUUUUGGCAGGAAAAUAUUCUAAAAUAAUUAAAAGUUUUAUUUCCUUUAGUUACUAUUGAAUUCUUAAGUCCUUGCUGAAAAUUCCACGUGUAUAUAUAUUCUUCAAUCAACCUUUAUGUGUAGCAGUAAUAGAUAUAUUACAUGAUAAAAUAUAUUGUAUGGAAAUGUGUAAUUUUUUUUAAAAUCUUUUAACUUGUUCUUUAUUUUAUUAAAAUGAAAAAUUCUCUUUUUGCAAAGUUACUGUCUGUGUGUGUAUUAGCUUUAGGUCUGGAAUUAAAAUUAGAGGCGAGUUUACGAUAAUGUAAAUAAAAUUUUCAACAUUGUACACUACCUCUUUUCACUGUUUUAUAAAGUUGCAAACGAGUUUACAAUGUUGUAAAAGUCUAUUUACACCGUUGUAAAUUUAUCCCAGACAUUAGUCUUAGAUUUUAAUUCUUUAAUACUUGAGGAAUUCUCUUAUUGUAAAAUUAUUCUCUAUGUAUGAAUACAUAAGAAAGUCAUGUAGUACAUUAAAAAAUAACUCUAUUAAAUCGCACGGCUUAAUAGAGUGUUGGAUUUAAAAAAAACGAGAGUACCCGCCGCACCUGAGAAUAAUUACAUACACAUAUACAUAUACAUAUAUAUAUAUACAUACAUAUAUAUAUAUAUACAUAUAUAUAUAUAUAUAUAUAUAUAUAUAUAUAUAUAUAUAUAUUUAUGCUCAGGUUAUAGAAUUGUAAAUGGCUUUCAUAACGCUAUGCAAUGACUGCAUAAAAAUUCAUAAGGAAGUGGGAACCAAAACUAAAAAACCAAUGUUUGAAUCGAACUUAAAAAUUAAUAAGGUCUGAUUGGUUCAGAUUUCUCUAGACCGAUCGAAUUCAUCUUAAUUUUCUUAGAGAAUUGAACCAAACCUUAAUUUGUCCACUCCUUUCAUGUAAAUGUAAAGUUCUCAAGUCCUCAUUAGAAUUCCCUUUAAAGGUAUAAUUGAGUAAUUUUCUGCUAACUUUCUGGUAGCAAUCGUUUUUUUUUUUAAAAAAAAAGAAAAAGAGAAAGAAAAAAGAACUCUUUGAGCCCAAACUACCUUUAAAAAAAUAAAUAAAUAAAAAGUCCUUUUUGGAAUUCAUACGUGUAUAUUCCAUCUAAAUGUAUGCAGUAAUGAUGAAUGUAACAUAUACAAGAAUUUAUUUUUUAAAAUUAUAAAAACAUAUUCUAGAAUUAAAGUGCCAACAAGACACGAAAUGAAUCCCAUGCAACGAGCCUUUCACGUCCGUUAACUCAUCCUUGUUUCCCGCUCACCCAUUCAUACUCUCCCCUUCUCUCUCGGAUCUCUCUUUAGACCCUUUCCCCCUCCCCUUCUUUUCUCUCUUUCAAACUUUUGCAAACCCGAAAAAACAAAAUCAUCACUCACAAAACCAACAAAUUUAAUAACAAAAAAAAGUUUUACUAAUUAUUAGUUAACUGAAACCUAACAACAGCCAGCCGGAGUCACCCGCCAUGGAGGAUGAAGACAAAGAAGCGCUUGCAGGCCUCAGCCCCGUUCCCCCGCCCCGCAAAGUCCACUCCUACAGCCAGCAGCUCCGCGGAACCACCGGGUCAAAACGCCCACACCCCGUUCGCAAACACAGCCUUGAUGACAUUCCAAGGCCUACUAAUACUUGUACAACAACAGCAACAACGACAGUUGCUGACCAUUUUUAUGAUUCUUCUGAUGAUGACUUGUUCAGUAACAACUCCAACGUUAUUACCACUUCAGGGGUCCCUGUUAACGAGGAUUACGUGUGCCCCGGUCCUGAUGCCGCUGAUGAUCAGCAGCAACAUAAGCCCUUUCAACCAAUGGUUGAGUUCAUUGGCAGUGGUGGUGGAACAGGUAUAUUUAAAGUGCCUAGUAGGGCGGCUGUUCACCCUGGACGGCCGCCCUGUCUUGAGCUGAGGCCGCACCCGUUAAAGGAGACUCAAGCUGGGAGGUUCUUGAGGAACAUUGCUUGCACGGACACUCAGUUGUGGGCAGGACAGGAAUGUGGGGUGAGGUUUUGGAAUCUUGAGGAUUCGUACGAGCCUGGGGCUGGGAUUGGGGGCAGAGUUAGGAGAGGGGAUGAGGAUGCGGCACCGUUUUAUGAGUCUGCGAAUACUUCUCCUACAAUGUGUUUGAUGGUUGAUUGUGGGAAUAGGUUAGUUUGGACUGGACAUAAGGAUGGGAAGAUUAGGUCUUGGAAGAUGGAUCAAACUUUGGAUGAUGCUAAUAAUCCUUUUAAAGAAGGCCUGUCUUGGCAGGCGCAUCGCGGUCCUGUUCUUGCUAUGAUUUUUAGCUCCCAAGGUAAAUCACUUAAUCUUAAUGAGAACUUCGAAGAGUAUAACUUCAAAAUGUUACGUUUUUGAGAUCACAAGUUGUUGAUAUUGGACUAGGAGUAUGGCAAUGAAGCCAUGAGUCAGGACAUUCUUUUGUGGAUUUGAUGACUUGGUUUAUCGGCAGUAAGUAGGAGUGAGAUAUAGGAAUUAAGAAAUGUGACUUGAUGAACAUCAGAGGAAGGAUGCAGAAAUAUCUGAUAUUCAUGGACAAAUGAAGCCUUGUUGGUUUCAAUGUGUUUGUGUUAAUUCCAUCACACAAUAUCUUAUUCUUUUUUUUUUUUUUAACGUGAAGGAUGCUAUGAUUCAUAGUUAAUUGUUAGAUCAAUUUGUCUAUUAGAAGCUCAGCAAAAAUAUAUAUUCUAGUAUAUGGUGAAAUUUAUCAUUAAUUUAUAGCAAAAGAUCAUUUCUAGUAGAUUUGGUCAUGCCAAUAGCUUAUCUGUUGUGUUUGGUGGGUGUCUUUAAACCAAAUUCUCAAUAUCAAAAGCACAUUGGGAUCAUUUUCUAUUCAGCAUUAUCUGCUUUUGGCAUGUAAUGUCUGUGCACAUAGGAAACUACGCGUUGUUAUAUGCCCCAUUCCUGGAAAGCUUCAAACGGUUUUGAUAACAACGUGGCUAAGAAAUGCAUGUAUCUUGGUUGCAUAUGAAUGUUCAAGCAUGUAUGCUUGAGGGUUUUUCUUUAGCUGCCACUUAUUUAUUCUCGUCCAAAUGAUUCAGGAUUGUAUUUAAUUUAAUUCCAACUAUUCGAUUCACGUUGCUUUGAUUCAGGAGAUUUAUGGUCAGGGGGAGAGGGUGGUGUGAUCAAGAUCUGGCCAUGGGAAUCUAUUGAAAAAUCUCUCUCUCUUAAACCAGAGGAAAAGCACAUGGCUGCUUUGUUGGUCGAAAGAUCAUUCAUUGACCUCAGGGCCCAAGUAACAGUAAAUGGAGCAUGUAGUAUAUCCUCUACAGAAAUCAAGUGCAUGUUAUCAGAUCAUGCAAGAGCUAGAGUUUGGUGUGCUCAGCCUCUUUCCUUCUCACUUUGGUAUGUACGCACUUGAGACAUUACUCUGAUAUUGAGAUACAUCUCUUAUACACAUUAAUGAUUUUGAGUUUGGGGCUUUUCUUUAAUAGUAGCUUCUUGAAAUCUUUUGUACCUAAUAUUCUAAGAGUUGGGUUUUCUUCAGGGAUGCCCGUUCAAAGGAACUUCUGAAAGUUUUUAAUAUUGAAGGUCACAUUGAGAAUCGAGUGGACACGCAAUCGGUCCAAGAUCAACCUGUAGAAGAUGAGAUGAAGGUAAAAUUUGUUUCUUCAAACAAAAAGGAGAAACCUCACGGUUUUUUGCAACGGUCACGUAAUGCCAUUAUGGGAGCUGCAGAUGCUGUUCGCCGAGUUGCAACAAGGGGUGCAGGGGCAUUUGUAGAUGAUACCAAAAGGACAGAAGCAAUGGUACUAACGGCUGAUGGAAUGAUCUGGACUGGAUGUACUAAUGGCCUACUUGUCCAAUGGGAUGGAAAUGGAAAUCGUGUGAGUGAUAUUCUUCACCAUCAGUGUGCUGUCCAAUGCUUUUGCACUUAUGGAAGUAGAAUGUAUGUGGGAUAUGUUAGCGGCUACUUGCAAAUUUUGGACCUUGAUGGGAAUCUGACAGCAUCCUGGAUUGCUCAUAGCAGUCCUGUGUUAAAGUUGGCAGUUGGGGUUGACCAUAUCUAUAGCUUGGCUGCUCAUGGUGGUAUACGUGGUUGGACCUUCACAUCCCCAUCACCUCUUGACAACAUAAUCCGAUCAGAAAUUGCUGCAAAAGAAGCCGUAUACUUGAGAAGAGAUGAUGUCAGAAUCUUAGUUGGAACGUGGAAUGUUGGCCAAGGAAGAGCCUCUCAUGAAUCACUUCUGUCAUGGCUGGGUUCUGUUUCAUCAGAUGUUGGCAUUGUCGCUGUUGGCUUGCAAGAAGUAGAAAUGGGGGCAGGUUUCCUUGCAAUGUCUGCAGCUAAGGAAACUGUAAGAUUCUAAUAAUAUUACUGAUGUUGAAGGGUUGCUUGAAUUCUGCUUUAGUUCCUAACAAGAACAAAAGGGAAUAGGCAUAUGCUAAUAUUAUUAUUAUUGUUAUUUUCUAAUGUAGACUGUAAAUUGUGCUUCUUUCAUUUAUCUGUUAAAUUCUAAUUCUAGGUAGGACUUGAAGGGAGUGCUAUAGGACAGUGGUGGCAGGAUACUAUAGGGAAAGCGUUGGACGAAGGAACGACUUUCGAACGUAUGGGUUCUAGGCAGCUGGCAGGCUUGCUAAUAUCAUUUUGGUAUGCUAUAUUAAGAAAAAAUUAUGCCACAGAUUUAGCCUUUAUUCUGCUUUCUCAUGUAAUAAUUUUCCCUUUGCUUUGGUGAGGCAUCUCAAUCCUGACCUGCUGAUGUUUCACGAUACCCCUCUUUUAUGAAGUUCCUCUUAUUAUCAGUUUUGUCUCUAACUUCAGGGUAAGAAAAAAUCUUAGAACACAUGUUGGGGAUGUUGAUGCUGCGGCAGUUCCUUGUGGCUUUGGUCGUGCAAUUGGCAACAAGGUUAGUAUGUGUAUUUGAUUCAGCAAAGCAUGGACAUUUCAGCACACAUCUGCUUCUGGGGAUCCUGCAUCCAGGAAUGUGGCUAAAAAGUACUAUUGGUUGUCCAAUAUAAAAUUAAUUUAACUGAUACUUUUGGGGAUGAUUUACCUCGGUGCUGACAACACAUUGUUUUGUCUUGUCAAUGUAUGAGUAAGAAUGUCUUGAUGUGAAAAGGUGAAGCUUGAAAGCCGGAUGGUCAAUUAUAUAAAGACACAUUGAAACCAAAAUUUGUUUUAUGUUGUCAGCUUUUUGUUUUGCCUAUGAGUUCCAAAUGAUUAUAUGCAAAUAAGUCUUGAACCGUGAUUUACAUGCUGAAGAAAAAGAACAUUUAUCUGCAUAAUGCACUAUUGAAGCUUAGGUGAUAUAAUCGUAAUCCCUUCUAUCAUAAACGAAAGAGACGUUGACACCACUACUUCUGACCACACAGGGAGGGGUAGGUUUGAGAAUCAGAGUCUACGACAGGACUAUUUGCUUUGUGAACUGUCACCUGGCAGCACACUUGGAAGCUGUCAACCGUAGGAAUGCUGAUUAUGAUCACAUAUAUAGAAAUAUGGUCUUCAGCAGAUCGACAAGUACACUUAAUUCUGCAUCUGGUAUGGUGCCAUACCUGUUUUUGUAUUGCUCUCUUGCCUUCUGCACAUAUUUAUUUUGGCUGCUUUAUUCUUCUGGCUUCCCAUUGGUGCUUUCUGCUGCAGCUGGUGUCUCAACUGCCGUCAACAUGAUGAAGACUUCAAAUGUACGUCCUUGUUCUGAUUUAUUUUACUCACAACAACUUAGUCUCCAGCCUUUCAUAUUCUAUUCCUUUCUAUGACGCUAUGGUUUACUGGUAUUCUGGUGCUUCCUCAGACUACUACUACUCUGAAUACUGAAGAAACAAAGCCUGAUUUAGCUGAAGCAGAUAUGGUUAUAUUUUUUGGUGAUUUUAACUAUAGACUUUUUGGAAUAUCUUACGAUGAAGCAAGAGACUUUGUUUCCCAAAGAUGCUUCGAUUGGCUGAGAGAAAAAGAUCAGCUCCGGGCAGAGAUGAAAGCAGGCAAAGUUUUCCAAGGCAUGCGAGAAGCAAUCAUAAGAUUCCCUCCAACUUACAAGUUUGAAAGGCACCGGCCUGGUUUAGCAGGUACAGUAUUAAGAUAAUGGUCCAAGUUUCAACCUGAUCAUUUCAUAGCAGUUGAUCAAUCAUACUAGGAAAUUUUUCUUUCUUUGAAGCAUAUUGAACCUCAUACUUUGGAUGUGAUCUUAUGUUUACAUGUUUUCUUUUUCUUUCUUUUAAUAUUAGUGAUAAAUUUGAUACAUAAUACUUUUUUCAUCUGCAUCUUUCUAGGAUAUGAUUCUGGGGAGAAAAAACGAAUUCCUGCUUGGUGUGACAGAAUAAUCUAUCGGGACAGUCGUUCAACACCAGUGUCUGAAUGUAGUUUGGAGUGCCCAGUAGUCUCAUCAAUUUUACUGUAUGUCAUGUGGUAGGUUUGUUUCCUAUUGCCCUUUUUUGAUUUGUUCUAAAAUUAUGGUCUCCAUGUUUUUAACAGGUAUGAUGCUGUCAUGGAUGUGACUGAGAGUGAUCACAAACCUGUCCACUGUAAAUUCCAUGUAAAAAUUGCCCAUGUGGAUAGAUCAGAAAGAAGACGAGUGUUUGGGGAAAUUCUGAAGAAUAAUGAAAACACAAUCAAGUCCAUGCUUGAUGAAUAUCGUAUUAUUCCAGAAACCAUAGUCAGCACUGAAAGCAUAGUCCUUCAAAACCAGGACACAUGCACUCUAAGAAUCACCAACAAAAGUGCACAGGAGAAAGCCAUAUUCAAAAUCAUUUGUGAUGGUCAGUCCACUGUCAAGGAUGAUGGGGAUGCAUCUGAUUAUCGUUUAAGGGGCUCUUUUGGCUUUCCCAGAUGGCUUGAGGUAUUGUUUCUUAUUUCUUCUAAAUUGGAAGUACUUGAGCCUCGACACUUCACUGACCUGAAUGCAAGAGUCUGUGAUCAAAGACUUCAUUGCGUAUCAAGCGAUGUCAAUGUGGAAGAUAAAUUUAUAACCUGACCAUUGAUGAUGAUCAUGAAGUACCUUAUGAGCUUGUUUUCUGUCCAUUUCAGGUUACACCAGCAGCAGGCGUAAUCAAACCUGAUAGUUACAUAGAGGUCUCCGUACAUCACGAAGAGUUCCAUACUCUCGAAGAGUUUGUUGAUGGGAUCCCACAAAACUGGUGGUGUGAAGACACCAGAGAUAAGGAAGUGAUGUUGUCUUUGGUAGUCCAAGGCUGUUGCUCAAAUGACACAAGAAAGCACCAAAUCCGUGUUCGUCACUGUUUCUCCGCCAAGACAGUCCGCAUAGACUCAAAAUCCAAUGGUUCACGGAAACACCAGGGAGGUUCCACAAACCGAUCAGAACCUCGGCAGCCAAGUGGUUCUUCGGACGGCUCAGAUGAUCGCCGAAGUUAACAUGGCUAAAACGAAGGCCAAUAGAAUUGUGCAGAUAAGCUGGUAAUUGCAAAGGGAUUCGGUUCAUCAAGUCAAGAGUUCUGAUGUAAAUACUUGUGGAGCAUGAUUGCCCCUGGACUCAAAUCUUAGCCUAGGUUCAAAUUGUAUAUCAUUUCUUGCUCUUAUCAUCAGAUACAAAUUCAACUUUGUGGCCAGGAUUUAAGGGUUGUAAAGGAAUGUAGCAACUUUUGGUUCUUUUCUAACAUUUUAUGUAGCAAAAAUAUCUGUUUCUAAGCCUAGAAAAGUGUUUGUUAUAAAGAGCUAGGAGUUUUUCGUUUUGCUUCUCCCAUUGCUUCACACAAAUAAACUUCCAAAGGUGUGAAUCACUCCUAGUUACUAAUUAAAAUAUCAGAAUUACUGUCAACUAAUUUUUAUACCAAAAAAGGAAAAAAUCAGAAAUCCAUUUGAUAUUUUAGUGCUAAUUCUGCUAAAAAUUGCUGCAAUAUUUCUCUGUCCUCUGUUACUAGCAAAUCGAAAUUGAGUAACAGGGCCAAUGAAGAGAACAUCCCAUGAGGGGACGCUAUUCUAUUAUAGACAUAAUAUAUCAUUACAACAUAAUAUGGAUUAUGUAAUAACUCAAAAGCAGACAAUUCAACGGACAGACAUGGCCAAAUUUGCCAGCUCUUGAGCUUCAAUCAAAUCAGCAACCGCCAAUUGGCCUAAGAACUCAUAUUGAAAUCCUGAUGCCAUUGCAAUGCUAACUCCAUUUAAUAAAAGGCGAAGGAAACGAGGUUACCAUUCUCAAGUAAACUUCCAUUUGAAAGCACAUAGCAGGCAGACCAUUUUCAAGUAAACUUCCAAUCAGAAGCACAUAUCAGGCAGAAGAUGAAAACACAAACAACCUCAACUCCUUCCUUUACUUGCUACCGCUGAAUAUUCAUUUCGUCUCGUCGUCUGGCCACGAGAAUGACCCAGCUCAGCUCAAGUACUAAGAAUCAUAUAAUAGUUGCUAGAGUUGAAGCCGCUAAUAGUUACUUAUAAUAGCAGGGAAAUGACAGUCCAUUCAAUCCUUGUUUUUGAUAACACUUCUAAUAGCCUUAAAGUGCAUACAUCCUCUUGUAUUCACUGUUCAAAAUCUCCUGAUCUGAAGCCACAGACAUAGAGAAAGAACGAGAUCGACUCUCAGCUUUCCUUAUAUUCCUCAAUUUUUUGGCUUCCAUCCGAUGCAAAAUGACACAAUAGCACAUAGAACCAAUUGUGGUGAGCAUAAUUGUACCACCGAUUACUGUCGCAGACACAGCAAGCCAUCUAGAAUGCUCGCCUACUACCACAUAAGUUAGAGAAAUAAAUGCAAUUGAAAUAAAGAGGCAAGCCAGCCACAUGAGCUUGUUAAUCACAAACACAAGUUGCCUCUUUGCCUUUUCUUCAAUGACCACCACAGAUGUCUGGACAACGACAACAGCCAGUGAGAUGAAUAAUGCUAGACUGUCAAACACAAAGAAGAUGAUGAAAGCUGCAUUUUUUGCUAUGUGAGCUUGCCCAAGGGAAAAACCCUCUGUUUUUUCCUCAACAUAUUGUCCAGGCACAGUGAAGAUGGCAGCAAAAGCAACAGUAGCAAUGAGAACAGCAACCACAGUUGAAGAGUUUAUAGCAUUGUUGAGUCCACUAAUGUGGAGCUUCUUCAGUUUCUUCGCAAUUUUAUGGACUUUGAAACCAGUUUGUCGGGACUGCUGGAGUUGAGACUGAACGUCAUGCUUUAUGUCACUGACAGUCUGCUUAAGUUGCUUUGUUGCACUUGGGGGCUUUCCAUGGUCUUUAGAAUGGGCGGCUCCUGCUUCCUUCAACAGAGAAAAAAGCUCAGUGUUUCCAAGUUUUUCUGCAAUGUCAAGCGGGCUCUCUCCGGCCUUAUUUAAUGAAUUAACAUCAAUGCCCUCAAUCGAUAAUAAGCAUCGUACAAUCUGCAUUCAGAAGUGUAAUUUAAUACAGACUGUAAUACAAAUCAAAAUUAAAACUAGAUGCUAUAAAUAUUUCUUAUAUUUCUACAAUCUGAUAGGGGCAAGUGAUGUAGAGUGUAGACAAUUUAUAUUCCCAGAGUUAUCAAGAAUAUGAUUACUUGUGGAUGUAAAUCCUUUGAAAUGAAAAUGGAUCCUCAUAUUUCUAUUUGAAUAACAUGAAAAUGUUCCAAUAUCAAUAUUCGUUAAACAUUUGGCCCACAACAUAGGAAAAUACAUCUUAAUUUUUCGCAUACAGAAAUUGAAGUACUAGGUUCUGACAAAACAAACGCUUCAUUAUUUCAACAUCCUUAAACAAUAUCUUUUUUUUUUAAAAAAAAAAAAAGGCAGUGGUUGCGGUUUAGUGAUUAUGUGGUUGACUGUUGAUUGAUGAUUAAAUGUGAUCCAACAGAUUUAGUUUGAUACUGGAGACUAAAAAGAGAGACUUUUCCAUUGUGGGCUGACUUGUGCACAUUCAAACAAUGAACUCAGCUGUUACUUAGUAAACUUAGACACUUGGAAGGCAACAAUAAAUUAUCAGUUUUCAACACUCAAGCUUAUGAAAACAAUGUCAACCAGUUUACCGACAUUGAAAUUCCUACAAGGAUCUUAAGCUUUAAGGCAAUUCCACCAUUAAGUUCAAUUUCAUAGUAAAGGAGUCUUUUCCAUACCUUAGUGUAUUUCAUAUAUAGCAACAUAUGUCUAAGAAAAGAAAAAUUCAUACAAAUAAAAAAAAAAAAAACAAGCACCUGAGUUCGACCCUUCUUUAUGGCAAUAAGCAAUGCGGUAUUUCCUUUAUUAUCUUCUAAUUUCAAAACUGAGGGGUCUGGUUUAAUUAAUUCUAGCACAAUAUCCUCAUUUUGCCCCUUUACAGCCAUGUGCAAUGCAGUUUGGCCUUUUUUGUCCGUCCUGAAGCCAGUGCUUGGGUCCUUGCUUACGAGGGCUUUCACCACUUCCAAAUGACCCAUCCUUGCUGCUGAAUGAAGCACAGUCUUACCAUUAUUCCUGGCUAUCUUAGCGAGGUUUGAGUCAAUUUCAAGAAGGAAAUUGACUACAUCAAUGUGCCCCUGCGCAGCAGCUGUGUGUAACGCGGUUGAACAGGAUAAGUCUGUGGUCAUAACCAAGUUGGGGAAUUCGCCCAAAAGUUCCUUUAACACCUCUGCAAAAUUUUUUUUGUUCAGAACUUAUAACAAGGACUUGUAAGGAGAAAACUUAGAACAUGACUUUUGGAUGAAGCCACAAACUUAACAAUAAUAUAAUAGCAAAAUAAAACAGCGGUGUCAUUAUCCACAGAAACUGAUUAAUAAAUGGAGAGCAGAAGCCACGGCAUAAUCAUGAAAGCGGAAAUCACAUUGUUAGUAUGAAGUAAAGAUAAAACAAACACAUGAACAUGAUUGGAUGCUCGCACACAAUGGUAGACAUUUUCUAUGUCCACAGCAUUUGCAUAGAUUUGGAUCACUGAAACAAAGUCUGUAUUCAGCAUUUACAUUUGUAGCAAUUUUGUAAUGACUCCAAGAUCCCAAUUCUGUUUGGUUAUUUUAUUUUUCUAGAAUAUGAAUUUAGUGCCUAAAGCUAUGAAUGACAAAUAAGACAAUACUUUACUAGAAACAUCUAAAUGCCACCAAGAAAAUCAGUGAAACUGACGAAUAAACAAAGAUAAUGUAAUAAUUUUUUAAUGCACAAAGAACCAGGAAGCCCAAGCAAUUGUAUGAAGCAACAGUCUACUGUCAUCAUAUUGAUGAAGCCUAUAGUAUCAAUGAAGCUAUUCUAAAUAAGAUGUUGAACAACGGCAACAACAAAGAGAUGAAUAAGGUUAAUGCAAUCUCAAACUUAAUUCACGGUAAACGGCAUCCCACAAACAAUAAUGGAACACAUAUUAUACUAAUACAAAUUUGUCUAGAGUAGCUAUCAACAAUUUUCUUCAUUUCCUUGAGAAGUAAAAAUAAUUACGAAUAUCCACUACAAAAUGCAAAAUCAGAUUGAAAGCUCACCAAGAUGACCCUGCUUUGCUGCCACAUGAAAUGAAUCAUAUCCAUUCCUGGCUGGAAUAGACGCAGUUUCAAGGUCCAUAUGUUGAAGCAUCUCUUCAACAAUCAAAGCGUGCCCACUCUCUGCAGCCACAUAAAGGGGGGUCUCCCCUUCUUGAUUUUGUUUCGACAACAAAUCCUUAGCUUCGUUAGCAUCACAACUCUGCAAAAUCUCCAUAACUCUACUUAAAUUCCCUGCUCGAGCCGCCAGGUGUAGCUGCAAGUCACCUCUUUUUCCUGGCGAGUCCUUAUUCUUCUUCCUCUCACCACCACCUAUAAAACUCAGCUGUCUCUCCAUCACUACGCGAAAACUCUUCUGUUUCUCUAUAAAACCACGAAAACUCUUCUGUUUUUCCAUCACACCACGGGUACUCGGCUGUUUAUCAAUAGUCACACCAUGAAAACUCUGCUGUUUCUCCAUCGGUCCAAGAGCACUCGGCGGUUUAUCAGUGCUCUCACCAUUAAAACUCUGCUGUUUCUCCAUCACCCUGCGAAUACUAGGCUGUUUUUCAAAGGUGACACUGCGAAUACUUUGCUGUUUCUCCAUCGUCCGUGCCCUAAAACUGCUUUGUUUCUCCAUUAUCAUUCACAAAACUAGACUUAAUACCCAACACUAGCUACAACUAUCACUUCCCCUCAGCAUCCAAAUCCUUCAUAUACAAAAAAUUGAAACCUCACACCUUAAAUUUUAAAACCCAGAAAUCAUUUCUUUUCCUCCAUGAUCAUCCACAAAGCUUCACACAGAUCGAUAUCAAAAUCUAAAUAACAUAACUUUCUUGCAAUCACAACUGUGAUUCCCUGUAGUUACAAUUUCAAGUCUCUAAUUCAAGAACCAAUUUUUACCCACUUCAGCAAAGAUCAAACCAGCUGCGCUACACAUACAAUCAGCAAACAUACCAAAAGCCCUAGCUCACACAGCUAUAUAUAUCAACAACAGUCCAUGCUCAAAAUAACGGAAACUCGGAAUUGGAUACCUUGCUUUUUGAGCUCAAAAUCAAGUCUUUGUGGUUAUCCAGAAGAAAAAGAACGCAAUCAGCAAUCCACUGAAUUGAAGAACCCAGAAACAGAUUUGCAAUAAAAGAUCAAGACUUCAAUCAGACCCUCAGUUCUUUUGGCGCUGGGGCACACCUGAGAGUGAAGACAACUGACAUAUAAAAAGCACUUCACAAAUUUAUAUCACUACCAGUUGGUUGUGAUGUUAUUUUAUUUUAUCAUUUUCAACAAUUAAGAUGUUUAUCUUUUUAAUUUUAUUUAUUUUCUGCCACUAAGUAAUUUGCAUUAUCUGAAACUAGCUGAAAAUAGAACAGUUCCUGUCUUUUAUUAUUUAAUUUAUUUUGUCAGGUACAUUUUGGUCCUCGUCAUUUAUCUAGAGUAAAAUUUGUGUGUUGAUGUGGUCGGCCUACUCAUCGGGGCCCCACGAUUUUUAAGUUUAAUAGGUUUUACGGUGAAAUUUAUAGUUUUUAUAGCGGGGUGGGUAAAUUUGGGUUUAGGACUUUAGGUUAACCAAUUUGGAUUUUGGGUUAAUUGGAUUUAGAAAAUAUAAUCUGAAUUUAAUUCGAUUAUGUAAUCUGAUCUGAUUUGAAAUAACUUGGGUCUGAUCGGAUCGGGUUGGAUAAAAAAUUUGUGUUUAUGUGUGUUUCGAUUUCUUUAUAUUUUGCAAAUUAGAUUGGAUUGGAUUUGACCUAAUGUCAUCUGAUCAGGUUGGCCAAAAUCCAAUUCGAUCGAGUUAAGCCCUUCAUCCGAAUUUGAUUUGAACUCGAAUUUUUCAAAACAGAUAAGAUCGAAUCGGUUUGGAUUGGGUUAUUUGACCACCCCUAACGUGUUAUUUUUGAAUGAUAUGAGUUUGAUGUCAUUUAAUUUUUGGGUAUCAUUAUCUAAUCUAUUAAAUGAUAAGUCCUCUAUGAUCAAGUAUACCAUCUUAAAAUAUUGACAUAAUGUACUCUAAAUCGAACCUUUUAAAUAAUAGGUCCUCAGUGGUCAGACAUACCAUCUUGUAAAAGGAUUAGGAUUCUUUUUAUGAUCUGAUUAUAUUAUGAACAAAUAACUCAAUUACUGAUUAGUUGUUAAUAAAUAAAAAAAUAAAAGAAGUUAAAUCUUAUCCAUACACUGUCACUAAAAGACACAUGUCAAAAGAUCCUUAAAAACUCAGUAAUGCUCAAAUCAGGAGAGGAUCUUGUUCCCUUAUAAAACUUACGUAGUAUACCCAAUUCCAAGAACUCCCUAGUGCAAGUGAUUUUAAAGAAAAAAAAAAUUAAAAUCUCAUUGAUUUCAUUGUUUGUCAGCUUUGUGAAGAAGAUGCAAACCUCUCAAUUUUUCGGUUACAAAAGUUAAUUUUUUCUUUUGCUUUUUUUUAAAAAGAAAAAAGUUGUUUUCAAGUAAGUUGAGAUUUAGUAUUAUAAAUUUAUAUUCUAAAAUAAAUUGAGCUAUAAUGAGAUUGGUUUAGUGAUGGAAAUAAUCUAGUUUCAAUAAUUGAUAAUAUAAUAGAAGAACAAAAUGAUUCAUGAUGUUCAUUUUGUCUCCUGUCCAAAUCUUUUUAUUCUACAAGAACAUGUACUCUAAUGAUAUGACCUUCAUGUAAUAUUAGGGAAAAAAAAAGUGAAAGUAGUUUAAUUAAUUUUGAAAAUAAAAGGUUAAAAUUACGAUAUCUGGAAAUCAUGAACUUCAAACGCAAUAAAAAUAUUAUGAGAUUAAGACAAUAGCGUAACAAAAUGACAAAAUAACAAACUAAUGCUAAAAUUUUCAAGAUUUUAAUUUAUUUCAUCAAAUAUUUUUACGGAUUCUGUAAAAUUCUUAGCCGCCUUUGUUGUCCAUAUCAAAAACACACAAAAUAAAUGUGGCCUAUGUUUUAUGAUUAAGGUGCCCCCACAAAAAUGUUUUGAACCUUUAUUUAAAGAACAAAUGGAC